UACACACAAACUCCGAUUCACACAAUCAACAAUCAAGAUUAAUCCACCGAGACAAUGUAAUCUCACGACAAUAAAGACAUCAGAUCUUCUCGAAUAAUAAUCUGCUAAAAAGAGACAAAGAACAAUAUUGUCUCGGGCAAAAAGAGAAAGAGAGGAUCGAUUAUUUGUUUAUUGAUCCACCCCUUAGAUAGAUUAGGACUGUAUGUUUUCAGCGACGGCGUCGAGUGAUCUGCAGAGGACGCACUUGCAGACAGAUUCGUCACAAAUCCCACCACAAUAGCCAUUAUCGACGCAUGUCUCGGCACAGGCCUUGGCGGCGCAGGCUGGAACUCUGGCUGCGGGGCCGUCCCAAUGCAACUCCCUGCUUGCACCAACAUCUAUGUGCAUAUACAGGAAAAAAAAUGGAGGUUUUGUCAUAAGAUAAGAGGUACUAUACGUAGUACUUACAGAAACUACAAAUUACGAUCUUUUAGAAUCAUACCGAAAGACGCAAGGAGCAGCGCCGACACCAAUACGAGGACGGUGAUCUUGAAAGCCAUGAUCGGCCAAGGAAUGGAAGUACAGAACACUAACUUUGGGCUUAAUAUCUGGUCUAGGUAGGUUGCAUGAGAAGAAGCAAUGCACGGUCUACAAGUUCAGAGUGUGGAUUUAUAGAGAAGCACAAGUGCUAUCCGUACGUAUGGAAAUAUAUCCUGGAUAUGCAAUUUAGGAAAUAUUUUGAUGUCUACCAUUUUGGUUUCUUUUUAUUGCUUACCGCAUAUAUCACGUUGUAUUUUAGAGAAGAUAGAGCUGAUAAUUCUAAUUAAUAGUAACCUUCCUCUUACUGGUAUUAAUUAAUAAAGAUUUGGGGUGGUUAAUGCUGAUGGCAUAGGGCGAUUCUAGGGAUCGGUUGCUUCCCAUCGGACUACAUUAGGCCGAAAAUACGAUUGCUUUCACCAGGAGCCUGCAAUGCUCCAGUCAAACGUGCAGUUUGUGAGACAGCUUGCGUACAGGAUUUUGCAUUAGUUAUGAUUAAUUUGUAUUCAAACAACUUCUUCCUCAAAUCAACGCAUGUCAUACACCUGCCGGUUGAGAUCUGUUGUACAUAUAGUGGAGUUUCUACACAGAUUUCAAGCGUGAGAGUCCUUACCUCCGAAAUGGAAUGGCUGUGUGAACGACCGUGUUGGAUCCAAUAUUUUAAUUUGCUUCGUCAAGUUAAUCUUUUUGUUUCGGAUUCUAAAAAAUUCUUUAUUUGUUUCCGUCAAAUUGCUUCCAUGGCAACUAAAUAAAGAUGAGUGCUUCGCUUAACUAGCAGGUAGUUCGCGGCAUGCCGCUGCGCCUCACUGGUUUGUCUGGGAAUUGUCGAACCAUUGCAGGAUUUUUAUUUAACUCAACAUAUAGAAAACUAUUGGUAAAAGCUAUAUUUCAAGGGAACCCAUGAGAAUUUGGUUUACUUGACUAUAUCAAAUCCAAAGAACUAUCAUGAAAAUCAAUAUUUUAGAGUUAACCUUUUUUUGCGGGUGAUAUUUUAGAGUUAACCUAAUGAGAACUUGCUAAAUUUCCGUGCAUUGCAACGGACUAACAAAAAAACGCACAUAGAAGCAUGGAAAUUAAUUUCCUCUCUCAAUAUAAAAAGACUCAAAAGGCAUAUCAAUUUAAUCUCGCUCAUCGAACAGUAUCGAUCCAACAACCUAGAUUGAUCCAUAAGGGCUCAACAUGUUUAGCCUGCAAUUAAUAUCAUACCAUAUAUAGUGGCAAUGCAAUCACAAAAUUGAUGCGUAAUUGAUGUCCUACCUAAUAUAAGCAUGGAAUUAAUUUGCUCUUUAGUUGAUAUUCUUUUGCCUGUCUUUUAGUAAGGCAGUCUUACAUAUAUGGUGUAAUUUCUAAAUUCUUAAUUAUAUAAUAUUUAUGUGAUUAAAUUGAAUUGGCACCUACCAAAGCAAGCACGAAAACCAAAAGAGUGUCGGACUACUCCAUUCGAUUUUUAGUGGGAGGGUGAAAAAACCAGCGUGGAGGGGUGGUAGUGGGAGGUGGAGGUGAAAAUAAACCAUGGAAACAAAAAUAAAUCAUGCAUAUCGGACUACCAAAUCCCCUAUUAGGAGUAGAGAUUUGUUGUACUCAACUGAAAAAACGACCUGCAAGAGGAAAUUUGAUGUAAGCAACAACAAAAGUAACACACGGUAACCCUAUUCGCAAAUAAAAACAUGGUAACCAAGUACAUAAUCACGAAAGUAGUUAGAAUAAAAAAUCGGAAGUCAUACAUAGAAAUAGAAUCUAAUUACAGAUACGCAUGCAUAUUCCAAUUUAUGAAGAUACAACUCAAGUUUUUUGUGCUCUAACAUAUACAGAAUAAACGUAUAGAUGAACAUAUCCUAUGAUUUUUUUUAAACGAAGGCUCAAGGAGAGCCCCGCUUUGAAUUAACAAAGCCAUCAAUCGGUCGGGAUUACAUUGAAUAAACAUAGGAAACAAUGAAAAAAAAACAGCCAAACGAUACAUGGUGUUGUGUAAAUAGCUAUCAGGCUACUACAAACUACUAGCAAAGAUAUGGAAACUAAAGCACAAGUUCAGCUAGAAGUCAAAGAAGCCAUCCACAGCGAGCAGAGCACCACGCAGGACACCAACAAAAGCUUGGGGAAGAAAACAACCAGUAGCUGGAGGAAUGUCGUUGUCAGCUCCAUGGGUUCUGGCCAUCGAUAUCGCCCUCCUCCACCUCAGAAGGAGGGCUCCCUGCCCCCUCGCCCUGGCACGAAGGGCGCCGAUCCGUCGAAUGUUGGAGACGCUCACCCGAGGGCUAAAGAGCGACCGACGCCAUUGCCAACCGGAAGACCACACUAGGACACCACCACCAAACUACAUGGAGCUCAGCCAAGGGAAGCAUCGGCAUUACAUGAUAUCUGCACAUGAGGAGAAGCAAACUACACGGCAAGGCUGCUGAAGACCAAGCAACCCCCAACCAGAACAAGCACACUUCCCACAAAGCUCACCAAAGACGGCGCCCACGGCGUCGCUACUGACCAAUCCCGAGGGAUUUGGGUUUUCACCCGGUACACAAGCAACACAGGAGGAAGAGGAGGGGGGAAGGGGCAUUUUACCAGCCCCUACAUGUAGGGGACAAGCCCAUGGACGUCGUCACCGGCAGGCCGGCAUAGCCAGCCACAGAUUUCUCCGGUCCCUUCUCCCACCCCCACCUCGAGGGGAGACACAGCUACGGUGCCCGGAGACCGCCGAAGAACGGAUCUGAGACGACGGUGACAAGAGGGUGAAAAGGAAGAUGCCUUCAGAUCUGAUGUGGGUGGCCCCGAGGCCACCGCGCACCAUAGCCAUCGCCCGUCGUCACCAUGCUGCCCGCAUGGCCGAGAUGGGCGGCCAGCACCCGCUACUGCCGUUUGCUAAGGACGACACAACACCACCGCCGAAGGUCGCCAUCUCGGCUCCAAGAUCCUCUACAGGGGCAGAGCGACCAGAUCCUCGCCGCCACCAUCCCCGGCGGCCACGUGGCGUUCCGGUGAUCCCCUCCGGCGGCGACGAGGGAGAGGAAAAGGGAGAGGGAGCCCCGACGGCGGGCUAGGGUUUGAGCCGCCCGAGUCGCCCCUGCGGGAGCGACGCGGGGGCCAAGCGGUUGUGUACGCUGAUAGAGAUGAUUUGGCCCGAUUAUUUGAAAUAGAAACUAAAAUUUGGAAAAUAUGAUGAAACUUCAAAGUUUAACUUGUACAAAGGACAAAUAUCUAACACAAAGUUCUUGUUAAUUUAUAUUGCUACUUAUUAACAUCCCUACCUGAGUAUGUGGCAGGGUAACAUGAUAUCAAAAUCAUCACUACCUGAGGAUAUCUACUGGAAAGGAAUUGAGGUUGACAUAUUUUUGGCCUGGAAGAACACUCAGAGAGCAUUCUUAUUUUGGAAUCAACAUCAGGGCAUGAAAGCCCACUUUUCUUCAUACAAUGGAAAUAAUGUCAUGUCUAUAUAUUGUGCAAAAUUGUUUAUAGAUGGAUCUAGAUCAUAUAACCUUCUAUAGUCACUAUAUCAACAAUGACAUCCUUCCCCUCUGAUAUCCUUCGUUAGGUAUUUUUUCUAAUAGUCUUGUAAUGAAAUCAGCAGCAAUCUCAACAAAUUGAAUGAGUAAUCAAACCAAGUGAACAAUUUUCGGUCAAUGCAAAAAUGAAAAAAAAAAUAGUAAGCCAACAAAAGAUAUGUUGAAUUUAUUUUAGGGUCAGCUUUCGUUUGCGGAGUCUCUCUAUUCGUUAUCUCUGGGAUCCGUUUGCACGGGGUGGAAAACUUGACCAAGAGAAGCCAGUUUUGCCUGGCAUGACCGCUCGUACGAGCGAGUGCACUAAUACCACAAGUCGUCUUAUUUUAUGGAAUUCUAAAAGCAGCACGGUUUCUUGACCAAAAAUAGGUAAUUUGCAAUAAAUGCUCCAAAUCCUCUAAUUCUAUAGAUUUUGGUGAAAUCAGACGAAAACAGACAAGCGAUUGCGGUAAAAUGCAAAAACUUGCAUGUCUACGAUGGAAAAAUACUAAGUAAAACAUGAAGCAAAAUGCAGGAAUUUCCUAUUGGACGCACAACAUACUGUCGAGGUUUGGGGGGACCGAGCGAUCGUUCGACUGGGCCGGCCCGUUUAAACUUUCAUCGUCCCCCGUUUUCAGAACCUUCUAGAGCUUCUAUGGCCCGAUCAUUACUGAAAUAAAAUCAAGAGCUUCUCUUUUGAAUUGUAAUUUUUCUUUCGAAGGUCGUGCAAUCAAUAUGGAUGCACAUAGAUUAGCUAAGUUUGCUUUAUCCUUAGUUCCGGGACGACAUGUAUGGCUUGGCCAGCCUCAUCCCCUGACUCGUAUUCCACACACGGUGGUAUUUGAUUAAUAAAGUUGGCUUUACCCCUCAAAAAAAAGAGGUUUCCAGCAGGUUUUUCUGGUUUUGAGAAACUUCUAGAAAGUUCCUGAACCUUUUUUUCCUUGUUCUUGUUUGCUGUUUUUCUUUGUUCUAUUUCCUUUUCUUUGUUUUUUCUUUUUUUGGCUCUCCAUUUGUUUUUUCUUUUGUCCUGCUUUUUUCAUAAAAUGUUUAAAAUUUGUUCACAUUUCCAAAAAUCAUCUGUAAGUUUAAUUAUUCUCAAAAUUUUAAAAAUGUUUGCAUUUUUGAAAAAAUGUUCAAAAUGCAAAAUAAAAAAAUGUUCAAAAUAUCCGAAGUUUGUUUGCCUUUCCAGCAAAUGCUAGGAUAUUUUCAAAUAAAAGACUGCAUUAUCUGUAAAAAAUGUUCGUGUUUUAUAAAAUUUGUUCAAAGAUUUCAAAAAAGUUUUUGGCUUUCAAAAUUUUGUCCACAUAUUCACAAAAUGUUUGUGCUUCCAUUUUUUUUGAAAUUGUUCUCCGUUUCAAAAUUUGUUCUCUAAUUUUAAAAGAUGUUCUUGCUUUAGAAAAUUGUCCACAAAUUUUGAAAAUGUUCAUGUCUUCAAAAAAUGUUUGUGCUUCCAUAUUUGUUCAUUAUUUCGAAAUUGUUCUCCGUUUCAAAAUUUGUUCUGAAAUUUUUAAAAAAGUGCUUGCUAUACAAAAUUGUUCACAAAUUCUGAAAAUAUUCAUGUUUUCAAAAAAUGUUUGUGCUUCCAUAUUUGUUCAGGAUUUCCCAAAUUGUUCUCAAAUUUUAAAAAUUUCUUGCUUUAGAGAACUGUUGACAAAUUCUCAUGUUCUCAAAAUAUGUUUGUGCUUCCAUAUUUGUUCAGGAUUUUUGAAAUUGUUCUUUGUUUCAAAAUUUGAUCUCAAAUUUUAAAAAAUGUUCUUGCUUUAGAAAAUUCUUCACAAAUUCUAAAAUUGUUCAUGUUUUCAAAAAACAUUUUGGAAAUUCAAAAUUUGUCCAUGAAAUCAUAAAAUUGUUUGCUAUUUUCAAAAAAAAUUGUACGGUCAAAAUUUCAUGAAAAUAUGGAAAAUCGUAAAGGAUUUUUUAAACAGUGUUAAGUCUUAUACUUUCUUUAGUUCUUAUAGUUUUCCGCUAUAUAUUUGUCAACCGAGCCGUUCUGUCGUAGUGUCUAGUAGCGUGCGCACGCGAAUCAGCAAUCCUGUGUUCGAUUCCCAUCCAUCGCGCCCUAUAUUAUUUUUGCAAUUUUUCACCUGCUAUUUUCGGCGCACUGUAAUGGGCCGGCCCAAUCGGCGCACCGUGACGACGUGCCUGUGCGAAAGGGCAGCAUUUUGACGCAGAACACGUCAUAUAGCAACUCCCCAAAAUCCACUCAUCACGUAGCAACCAAUUAGGGGGGAUGGGCUAUUAGGGGGUACACAUGGGCCGCAUUGGGCCUGCCACAUAUCACACAUAGAAGCAGCCCAUGGUACGGUAGAAGCAUGAGUAAAUUUUUUCCCUAGUUAGCCUUAUAAUAUACUAAGUAGAAUGCCCGUGCGUUGUUACGGGCUAUAACGCAUAUAUAAGUAAAUUAAAUAAAUAAAUAGGGUUAUCUUCAAGGUCGAAGUUCAUUUCUCCCUCGUACGUUCGGGCGUGUUCCAACAUUAGACGAGUGCCUAGUAGGCUCCCCAGAAUUUAAACGUCUAAAUAGUCCAGGCUCCCUAAAUCCAUAUCAUAUAUGGUGGAGAAAUAUGGAUGCCCGGACUAUUCUCCAUGUUAUCUCCAACAUGCAGACCCAACAGCAAAAACCACACUCCACGGCACACCCUUCCCUUUUUUUCCUAUCGGACCCUCCAUUUCCUACUCGAUUUUUCGUCAUACCGGGACAUUUCUCACUUGAGCCCUCACCUUUAGAACCAUAUGAUGUUCACCUCACCUUCGCCGUGCAUUGCAACAUGUAUGAAACUUUUUGUAUUUAUAAUAUAAUAGAGCGGGUAGAGCUAACAUAUACUAUUAACACAAAACAACAAAUAACUAUAGAGCUAAUUCAACUAUGCAAAUUAAGACUGACUUGUAAAGCGAGUGGCAACCUAAACAUAUUCCUCGUCUCCAAUAAGCUUCACCUCUAGCCCACACAACAUUCAUUGCUAACCUCUUCGUUCUUCUCUUCCUCGUCCUUCCCUACAUCUUUUAUUCCUAACCUCUUCGUCAAUCUUCGUUGGCGCCAACCAACACCAUGUCAACAUCAGUGUGUUCAUCAGUGACGUCUCAUCUUCUUCUUCCUCCUUCCAUGCUAGUUUUAGUUCUCGAUCCUACUAUUUUAUAGGAUACUCUUCCUUUCUUUUUUCACUUUAUUUUCUGGAACAUUCUUUUCUUAUCCAACACAAUGGAUCAUUUGGCCGCUUUAAUUCUUUUUCCUUCUUAUUCUUGGAACAUUCUUUCUUUCUACUACAAAAUGAACCACCUGACCGCUGUAGUGUCGUGAUGUCCUCGCCCGCGAAAGUUUGAGGAACCGUCGGCGUGUGGACAUACUGCAGAGCAUGGUCGUCAUGCAUCUUGGUGAACGCUUGGUGGACCAUGUCGCGAGCGCAUAUGGUGGCCGUUGUCUAUGGUGCUCGGCGACGCUGAGAGCCUGUUGACCGUCCUUGUCCGUGAGUGAUUUCAAAAUGAUUCGGCGCGAUUAACUGUCUACCUAACUCUACUAGAAGAAUGCCCGUGCGUUGCAACGGGGCCACAUUAACUUUAAGAGUUCAAUAUUACGACAUUGGCGACCUUUUUUACCAUCAAAUCCUCACACACACACUCUCUCCCCCUCUCUCUCUAACACAAACACAUAGCCUAUUCUCCCCGCCAAUAAGACUUACUCAAUUGGCAAUAAUGUGUGGACUUGUGGUGAGCUUGACUGAACUAAUGGAUAGUGUGAUAUAUUCCCCAAUCAUUUAACAAUGAAAUUUCAGAAAUGGGAAGAUUAUGUAACACCUCAAGUCGUUAGCUACAGUGACCUUCCCCUAAUGAUGCCAUGUCAUCAGGCUUGCUAAGCCAAACUGCCACUUGAUAAAAAUCAAAGCCCAAUUCAAAUUUAAAAUAAAGUGAAAUAAAUUAUUUUGUCAAACAGUAAAACCAAAAUGUUCAGCAUAUUCUAUAAAUUCUUCUAAUCUUUGACAUGUUGAGCCCAACAUUAUUUGACCAAAAAUUAAAUCUUGUCAAAUUAAUAAGAGGCCCAACAGUAGUUAAAAUAACCAAUUAAAUAUAAACCUAAUUUUAUGUAUUUCCUUUUGGACCCAAACUUUUUGUGCCACCUAAAAAUAUUGUGCUCGAAUUGUGUGCAUAGUUUCACAAUUAACAAAAUCCAUUUAGUUGAUAAAAGAAUAAAUAGAAAACGGCGUUAGAAAGGAGAAGCGGAUUAGAAUACAUUAAAAACCAAAAGGACGAUGAAAAAGGGGAUACCCCCUACCCCCGGCCUUGCCACCGAACUAGCCCAGUGAUCCAGUCCCCGCACAGUCAUCUUCUCCUGUUCCCCGAGCCCGUCGCUACAGAGCCGGGCUCCCGCCCGACCACCUCGCCGACAUCGAAGGGGAAUGGAUAAGGGUGACGCCCUGCCUCCCCUGCCCCCAUGGCCUCACUCCUCCUCGACGCCCCCUCCCAGAUCCACUUCUCCUCCUCGCUCGCUCGUUCCCGGUGAUCUGGACGAAGUCAGAUGCCAUGGCCACCAUGACCGACCCCGUCCAUACGGCCACUCCCCUCCCUGCUGGCUAGGAGCUUGUCGAGGAGCUUCGAAUGCCUCCGCUACUUCGUCUGCGCCAACGAGAUCAAGUCCAGCAUCCCCAGAUCGAUGUCAUUGUCGUCUUCCUCAACCUUCGGCCACCGCGACAUUGCCGUUCGAUCCGCGCUGCCCUGAGCUCCCCUGUCUUCCCAUAGGGUGCCAUUGACACCGCCGUGAUCUUCUCUUGCCUUUCCCCAGUUUCCCCUCUCAUUUGCUCUCGUUAGGUAUUUCGCCGUGGCCGAGAACCGCCGUCCGCCAUGGCCAUUGCAGGGGUAGCCACUGAGCUCCUCGGAUUGACCCCAUGGCACAUGCCCGCUCCUAUGCGCGCCCAUGCCCGAGCCUUCAGCUCUUAUUUCGCGCCCGCGGGGCCACUCCCUCUCUGGCUCUCCAUGCCCACGCACGUGCUACACCGCGUCCGUCGCGCCCGCCGUUGCCAUGACGCUCGCCACAGCCACCGCACCAUUGUGCCCCGCGCGACGCACAUCCUGGCCGCGCGUCACACUCUCGCUGGCUGCGCUCGCCCCAUCUGCUGCCACCUAUCCCUUCGCUCGCCCCGCUGUCGUGCCCCUGUCUCGCGCCGCCUCCUGUCGCGGCCAUCUUCUGCCGGCCGCACCCUCAGCCACGCCGGCCGCAUCUCUGCCCUCCAUCAUCGGCCGCUCGCCUCGCCUGCUGCGUGCUUCUUCCUGCUGCUAUGGCGCUGCUCUACCACCGAUACGCUGUUGCGCCAUGCCCUCGACACCGCCGUGGACAAACGUGGCGGAGGGAUUGUCAAUGGAGUACGAGGAGGAGGUGGUGGAGAAGGUGUGGAGAGGCAAGAGGUCUAGGGUGGCGCCAGCUGGCUGUGGUGGAGGUGAUUAUGCGAGAAGGAGCCGGAGCGGAAGGAGAGGUCAAAAUUAGAAAGAAUCGCAAAAAAAUCAUAACCCGGAGAUCUCAUUCCAAAAAAAUGCUAAUAUCGAUGAAGGGGUGAUUUUCUUCAAUAGGUGGAAAACAUAGGAAAUAUUGGAUGUUAUCAAGGAAAGGUAAAAAUUUAGGAAAGUUAGGAUUUUGAAUUGAUUUCUAUGCAAAUGGGGUUUUAUUGUUUGGUAACAUGCCCAUUUGUUAGGUGUCUGAUUAGAAAAGUUUGCAAAUGUUAAGAAACUAUUUAUUGAGAGGAAAGUCUGUGACGUGUCUGUUAUUUUUUCCUAAAACAAAUUUCACAAAUGAGAGAUAUCGAUUGAUUUAGAUAUGUUACGAAAGUUAGAUUGAAAUCUAUUAUUUGUUUCUUAAAUUUUUUUAUUUGUUUCCUAAGACAAAUUGAACCAAUAAAAUUAAUCGAUUGAUAUGAUUUAUUAGAUCCGUGAUUUGUUAUACGUUAGGAAAGUCCUGGUUCUAAUAAAGAGUGGAGAGAAAAAUAAACCGAUGGACCAGGAUGGGAGGGGGUGGUGGGAGGAAGACGAAAAAACCCAACAAAAAUAAACCGUGGAGACUAUUCACCAACUGCUCCACUAGGAGUAGAGAUGUAUGACUAAUUAACUGACAAUUAAAUCAAUUAAUUAUCUAGAUAAUUGGGAAAAUCCCUACUUCAAAUUUCCUGACAUUUCAAUGGUACACUUGAUUUAAGAAUAUAUCCUGGCUGGCUAUCUGUAUGACUGACAAGAAAUAUAAUAUGAUCGCGUCCACAAACAUGUACGUGGCGGCCCGAUGACCCGCCUUCCUCCCAGCCGUCCUCGACGCCAAGCUCCCGCCAUGGCAUUCUCGAGCAUUACAUCGGCGUCAGGCCCGGACACGGCGUCCCUCCGCAGGGGCGCGCAGAUGCAUAUGCCCAUAAGAAUUUUUUUAUUUUGUUAGGAAACUUGUGACUGUCAAUUAAUAAUAGAGGUAAUGUUAAUGAUAAAUGGCAUAAUGCGGUAUUAGCCAUUUGUUAAUGAGGAAUAUCUGAUUUUUUGGAAGGUUAUCGAGAAAAAUCUUUUGUCUCUAUUUUAGGCAAGUGAUCUCAGAUGUAUGGUAUGGUUUCUGAAUCCUUAUUUAUCUAUUAUUUUGGAAUCAGCACCUACCAAAGUAAGCACGAAACCGUAUCUCCCCCUUUAAUGGGAUUUGGGUUUUUAAUUGGAAAAAGAAAAAUUCAGUGACAGUGACAGGGGUGAUGAGAGGUGAAGCGUAAAAAAUGAGACAAAAAUAAACCGGUGAUGAGAAGCUACCAACUCCCCCUUUAGGAGUAUAGAUUCCUAUUUCUAAUUAUCUACAUGCUUAUUUAACUAUCAGCAUAAUUGAUUAAUUUCAUUAAUAACUCAUUAUUCAAAUUGAUUACGCGCUAAAAAAUUCCUAUUGAAAUGGACUUAACUAAUUGCAUAAAUAAUUAACAAUCUGGCAAUUAAUUACAUUAAUGGCUUGAUUAUUGUUUUGGCAUCUGGUUUCCAAACUAUUUUCACCAUUGUCCUCGAUGGGGCGGUCAAAACCUUUUGUCGUGAGUGUUUGGUUGUCCUUGAGCACAUGUUGACCUCACCUAUGAAUGUUUGGCAACUGUGAGUGUACGGACGUCUACAGAGCAUGGUUAUCAUCCAUCUUAUCGACCCUUUGGUCGCCCACAUCCAAAGCGCGUGGUGGCCAUUGUCCAUAUUCAAAAGCACUGGUCGGUGAUGUCGCUGAAAGCCCAUUAGCAGUCGGUGAGAACCUGCUGUCCAUCCUCACCAGCGAGCUUUUCAAAUUGUUGGACACGCUUGAUUGUUUGCCUAGUUAAUGAAUUACGGGAUCAAUUAACUGCAUGCCUAAUUAUCCAAAGGCCGAAUUAAUUACCUACCUAAUUAAUUAAUUGCCCGCCAAAUUGAAAUAAAAUUUUAGUUCUAAUUAUCUACAAGGCUAAUUAAAUGUAUGUGUAAUGAAUUAAUUGCAUUAAUGGCUUGGUUUUAAAAUUGAUUCCGUGUGAAAAAUCCUUAUUUAAAUGAACCAAAUUAACUUGCAUGCACAAUUAACAAUCAAGUAAUUAAUUGCAUUAAUGGUUUGAUUUGUUAAUUGAUUCGGCAGUCGGUUUACAAACUAUUUUCGCAUUAAUGACUACAUGCGAACCAAACAAACGAAGUACGGACUCGUCCAUUAAGAAUAGAGAUUUAUUUGUUUUCUCUGGCUUUUAUUUUGAUAAUACAAGAGUAAGCUAGUCCAGGGGUAGCUAUGCCGGUCUCCACGUAGAUAAUACAAGAGUAAGCUUGAUGUAGGGUAGAACCCUAGGUGAGAGAUCUUUCACGAAUUGGAGGGGAAUCCCCUAUGAACAAGAUGAACAAAAGAGGGAAAACAAGAGGAACACUCAAGAACAAGUCCAAUCACACAUCCACUAGACAAUCAAACACAUAAGAUCCACAAGGUACAUGAACAACAAAGGGAAAUAAGAUACAUGGUAGAGUUCAUCCCAAAUCCUAUGAAGGAGAUGAGGGCUUGAUGAUCUAGAUAGAUCCUUCCCACAAAGGGGGUCUUCAUCCACUAGGGAUCUUCUCCAAUGGAGGCCUUGAACUCCAAUGGAGUGUCUCUCUCUCUCUCAAGAGGAAUCCCACAAGGGGAGGUACAUGAGCUAGGCUCUAGUGUUUAGAUCUAUCCUUAGCUAAGUCUAAAUGGAGGAGAUGAAGGAGUAUAUAUAGUCCUAGGCAAAGAGAGGGGUAAGUGGGGGCGAAAUGGUAAAACAAGGGCAAAGCCCGCAAUAUCUCUCAGGGGGCCCCGUGUGCACGGGGUAAGUGGAGCCCGAGCGCACGGGGUAUCCAGGGACCGGACACAAGGGCCCGUGCGCACGGGGUCCGUUAGGCCCGUGGACACGGGGGUCCCGUGGGCACGGUACAAGCCCGUGCGCACGGGGUCUUCAGGACUGCCAGCCUGGGAGGCCCGUGGGCACGGGGUCGGAGGGGCCCGUGCGCACGGGGUCGCCUGGGAGUUGCUGCCUUCUUCUUGGCGCUUCCUUCUCCGCUUCCAGGCUUCCGUCUUGGAUGGUGUAGAUGUUCUCUUCUGCUUGGACUCCUCCGUGAUGAAUGUGUAGCUCCGCUCACACCUAAGUAUGCACACGAGAGAGGGGUGAAGUAGUAUACCAUCCUCGAAGGAUACAAGUGGACACGUGUAAAGGAGAUGGUUCACCUUUGUAUGCACGAAGUAGAUGUGGCACGUGUCACUUAUCAAAUGGACUCUUGACAUGGUGAUGUCCAUAGGAUGCUCCGCAUCAUCCCCUCCCCCUUGGGAAAGAUCCGACCUCGGAUCGAAAUCCAAAUCACCAUGGGAAAGAGAUGAUGUCGUCGUGUAGAAGUGGACGAUCACCAAGCAUUCGUCAUCUUGUAGUUCCAAAUGGGCACUCUCCGAUGUCGCACCGUCUUGUAAUUCCUUCAGAAGUAGCAAAGAUAACAAGCACUUGGAAAAACAAAUGUGGUUGUCGUAAGAGCAAAACCAAGCAUUCAAGAGGUGAUUCACCCAACAAGUGUUGUCAUCAAGCAUAGCAUAUGGUUUGACAAAGAAGUGUGUCAUGGCAUUUGAGCAUAUAAAUUGAGCACAAUCAAUUACAUCAUGGGAACAAGCAUGUAAAUGGGAGGUCAAGAUGCAAAUAUAUGUGAUAAGUGAACAAGCAUCUACCUCAAGGUCAUAGCAAGAAUGCAUAAAGUGCUCAACAAAUGGUCUAUGGUAUGCAUAUGAAUCGUUCACAACACCAAAUAUAGUGAAGUGUCUAAACACAUGGGGAAAGUGCAAGGCAAUCCAAGCAUAACGUGCAUAUGGUGUAGUGAAGAUAUCGAGGCACUCAACACAAUGGAAAGAGCAAUUGUUCAACAUGUGUGAGGCAAUCAAGUCAAGCAUGUGAUAAGCAAAGGGACAUGGCAUAUGUGAAGAACUAGAUGCAACACUCAAGGCAUAUAUGUCGUGAGGCAUAGCAAUGUGGUAAUGAGAAGUCGAAGCAAGAUCACUAGCAUGUGUGCAAAGUGUCGUGGAGCAAGCAACACAUGAAGUAUGAUCCACAAUAUGCAUGCUCAUGGUUUGGGUGAUCUCGAGAUAGAAGGAUAUCACCUCGAAAGCAUGUCCUUGUGCGUCCAUCACAAUGCCGAAGUGGUAGGAAAUGUGGUGUAGAAGCGAGUCGUGGUCGAAUGUAUGAGGCUCGCUCUCAAGAGCUCGAAUGGUCAACUCACGUGAAGUGGAAGUCGACACGAAGUCCAAGUAUCCUACACAUGCACACAACAAAACAAAGAGCGUAUGAGCAUGGUAGAUAAACACAUCAUCCAUCAUGAUGGUUCUCUUCUCUUGCACAUAACCAUUAGAAGCACAAGUAAAUGAAUAAUAUGAUGCAACAAUGGCGAUAUUCAAGGCACUAGGUAUAUGGUGCAAAGAGGUAAGACAAGCAUGCUUCACAAGGAAUAUGUCAACAUCUCCAAACAUAUGUAAGAAUGCUAUGGGGGCAAUCUUAAGAGCAACACUAUAAGCAUUGUUGCACUCAAUACAUGGCAAAUCAUCUAGCAUGAGAGAGGCAACACAUGGAGAUAUAUGACACGAAGCAAUAUGAAUCAUGUGCAAAGCAUAUAGAUGGUUGUCAUCAACCGCGUGAGAUGAGCAAGUAUGACGCAAGAGACAAUGAUCAAGAUAUAGCAUGUGAGAGGCAUGAGUAUAUAUGUCAUCAACCCAAGAAAGCAAGUAAUAGUGGAACAUGGGUGAUGCAACAUAGCAAGCAAUCAUAGCAAUCAAGUCAAGUAAGCUAGUAGUGCGAAGAUGCAACAUACUAGAAGGAAUCAUGGCAAACAUGUCAUUGGUGCAAAUAGUGGGCAUGAAUAAUUCACAUGACAUAGCACAAGCAUGAAAGCAAGAUAUGAGGACAAUAGCAUGGGGCACAUGAUAAACAUGGCAAUAGCAACAAGGAUCUCUACCAAGCAUGCAAAUACACAUAGAAGUAGCAUAAUUAUGAAACAUGGGUAGAUGCAAGCAAGGGUCACAAUUGCAUGGCAAAGGCAUAGAAGCAAGCAUAGCAUGCAAAGUGAACACGGUAAAAUGAGCAUAAGGUGACAAGUGGUAAAUGGCCCAUAGCCGUGUGAGAGCCAAGUAGAGGAGUUGCACGUAGUCCUUGCGCGAAGGGAACGGUGGUAAGGAUAGUCCAUGGGAUCCCAAGUCAUCAUUGCUCUCUAGAGCUCGUUUGAAGUGGCAUAUGCAUAGUCACUAUGAAGAGAUUGUCAUCUAUGCCAGAAGUGCAAAUUGGGUUUAUUUUAAUGGCAUAUGCAUAGUCACUAUGAAGAGAUUGCAAAUAUGACAUAUGAUGGAUCUCAUGCAUAGCAUAUGACAAGUCAAGCGGAUUAUCAAACAUGAUGUGACCAAGAGAAUUAUGACAAGACAUCCUAUGUAACAUGGCAUCACAACUAAUAGACUCCUCAUGGCAAUCAUCAUAGUCAUCAUAAAUGGGCAAAUCAUCACAUGGGAAAUUCAUACUAGCGUGAAUCAUGGUACUAAGUGGAUCAACAUCAUGCAAGCAAUCAAUCUCAAGAAUGUCCACUAGUGGGACUAGAGCAUCACCUUCACCUUUGUUACCUUUGUCAUUCCACUCAAGUGGUGUAGGUGAGGUGGGAAAGACCAAAUGGUGGUCAUCUUCAUCUUGAUGGAACCAUGUGGGGGGUGCAUCAUAUUCCACCAUGGUCAUCGUCAUGUCCAAAGGGAGGAUGAAGUCGUCGAGGAUCGGCGCGUCAUCAUAAAUGGGACGUAGCACCAAAUGAGAAGACACAAUAGAGGUAGAGGUCAAGUUGUUAGAAAUGCAAAUGGCCUCAUGAGACCUAUCAACUAUCUCACUCUCUCUAUGUGGUGGUGAAGGAAAUAUGCCCUAGAGGCAAUAAUAAAGUUAUUAUCUAUUUCCUCAUAUAAUGAUAAAUGUUUAUUAUUCAUGCUAGAAUUGUAUUAACCGGAAACAUGAUACAUGUGUGAAUACAUAGACAAAACAAUAGUCACUAGUAUGCCUCUACUUGACUAGCUCAUUAAUCAAAGAUGGUUAUGUUUCCAAACCAUAGACAUGUGUUGUCAUUUGAUUAAUGGGAUCACAUCAUUAGGAGAAUGAUGUGAUUGACAUGACCCAUUCCGUUAGACUAGCACUUGAUCAUUUAGUAUACUACUAUUGCUUUCUUCAUGACUUAUACAAAGUUCCUGCAACUAUGAGAUUGUGCAACUCCCGUAUAUCGGAAGAACACUUUGUGUGCUACCAAACGUCACAACGUAACUGGGUGAUUAUAAAGGUGCUCUACAGGUGUUUCCGAAGGUACAUGUUGGGUUGGCAUAAUUCGAGAUUAGGUUUUGUCACUCCGAUUGUCGGAGAGGUAUCUCUGGGCCCUCUCGGUAAUACUCAUCACCUAAGCCUUGCAAGCAUGUAACUAAUGAGUUAGUUAUGAGAUGAUGUAUUACGGAACGAGUAAAGAGACUUGCCGGUAACGAGAUUGAACUAGGUAUAGGAUACCGACGAUCAAAUCUCGGGCAAGUAACAUACCGAUGACAAAGGGAACAAAGUAUGUUGUUAUGCGGUUUGACCGAUAAAGAUCUUCAUAGAAUAUGUAGGAACCAAUAUGGGCAUCCAGGUCCCGCUAUUGGCUAUUGACCGAGAAUGGUUCUAGGUCAUGUCUACAUAGUUCUCGAACCCGUAGGGUCCGCACGCUUAACGUUUCAAUGAUAGUUUUAUUAUGAGUUUAUAAGUUUUGAUGUACCGAAGUUUGUUCGGAGUCCCGGAUAUGAUCAAGGACAUGACGAGGAGUCUCGGAAUGGUCGAGACAUAAAGAUUGAUAUAUUGGAAGCCUAUAUUUGGAUAUCGGAAAGGUUCCGGGUGAAAUCAGCAUUUUACCGGAGUACCGGGAGGUUACCGGAACCCCCCGGGGGUUAAUGGGCCUACAUGGGCCAAGAGGGAGAAGAGGGAAGGAGCCAGGAGGGGGCCGCGCGCCCCUCCCCCUCCUAGUCUGAAUAGGACAAGGGAAGGGGGGCGGCGCCCCCCUUUCCUUCCCCUCUUCCUCAUCUUUCCCCCCUUCUUCUACUCCUACUUGGAAAAGGGGAGUCCUACUCCCGGUGGGAGUAGGACUCCCCCCCUUGGCGCGCCCUCUAGGCCAGCCGCCUCCUCCCCCCUGGCUUCUUUAUAUACGGGGGCGGGGGGCACCCGAAAGACACAAGUUGAUCUACGGAUCGUUCCUUAGCCGUGUGCGGUGCCCCCUUCCACCAUAUUCCACCUCGGUCAUAUCGUCGCGGAGUUUAGGCGAAGCCCUGCGCCGGUAGAACAUCAUCAUCGUCACCACGCCGUCGUGCCGACGGAACUCAUCUCCGGAGCUCGGCUGGAUCGGAGGUCGGAGAUUGUCAUCGAGCUGAACGUGUGCUGAACUCGGAGGCUCCGUACGUUCGGUGCUUGGAUCGGUCGGAUCGUGAAGACGUACGACUACAUCAACCGCGUUGUGCUAACGCUUCCGCUUAUGGUCUACAAGGGUACGUGGACGAAUACUCUCCCCUCUCGUUGCUAUGCCAUCACCAUGAUCUUGCAUGUGCGUAGGAAUUUUUUUGAAAUUACUACGUUCCCCAACAGUGGCAUCCGAGCCUAGGUUUUAUGCGUUGAUGUUAUAUGCACGAGUAGAACACAAGUGAGUUGUGGGCGAUACAAGUCAUACUGCUUACCAGCAUGUCAUACUUUGGUUCGGCGGUAUUGUGAGAUGAAGCGGCCUGGACCGACAUUACGCGUACGCUUACGCGAGACUGGUUUCACCAUUACAAGCACUCGUGCUUAAAGGUGGCUGGCGGGUGUCUGUCUCUCUCACUUUAGCUGAAUCGAGUGUGGCUACGCCCGGUCCUUGCGAAGGUUAAAACAGCACCAACUUGACGAACUAUCGUUGUGGUUUUUGAUGCGUAGGUAAGAACGGUUCUUGCUAAGCCCGUAGCAGCCACGUAAAAUUUGCAACAACAAAGUAGAGGACGUCUAACUUGUUUUUGCAGGGUAUGUUGUGAUGUGAUAUGGUCAAGACGUGAUGCUAUAUUUUAUUGUAUGAGAUGAUCAUGUUUUGUAACCGAAGUUAUCGGCAAUUGGCAGGAGCCAUAUGGUUGUUGCUUUAUUGUAUGAAAUGCAAACACCCUGUAAUUUCUUUACUUUAUCACUAAGCGGUAGCGAUAGUCGUAGAAGCAAUAGAUGGCGUAAACGACAAUGAUGCUACGAUGGAGAUCAAGGUGUCGCGCCGGUGACGAUGGUGAUCACGACGGUGCUUCGGAGAUGGAGAUCACAAGCACAAGAUGAUGAUGGCCAUAUCAUAUCACUUAUAUUGAUUGCAUGUGAUGUUUAUCCUUUAUGCAUCUUAUCUUGCUUUGAUUGAUGGUAGCAUUUUAAGAUGAUCUCUCACUAAAAUUAUCAAGAAGUGUUCUCCCUGAGUAUGCACCGUUGCGAAAGUUCGUCGUGCCGAGACACCACGUGAUGAUCGGGUGUGAUAAGCUCUACGUCCAUCUACAACGGGUGCAAGCCAGUUUUGCACACGCAGAAUACUCAGGUUAAACUUGACGAGCCUAGCAUAUGCAGAUAUGGCCUCGGAACACGGAGACCGAAAGGUCGAGCGUGAAUCAUAUAGUAGAUAUGAUCAACAUAGUGAUGUUCACCAUUGAAAACUACUGCAUCUCACGUGAUGAUCGGUUAUGGUUUAGUUGAUUUGGAUCACGUGAUCACUUAGAUGACUAGAGAUGUCUGUCUAAGUGGGAGUUCUUAAGUAAUAUGAUUAAUUGAACUUAAAUUUAUCAUGAACUUAGUACCUGAUAGUAUCUUGCUUGUCUAUGUUUGUUUGUAGAUAGAUGGCUCGUGCUGUUGUUCCGUUGAAUUUUAAUGCGUUCCUUGAGAAAGCAAAGUUGAAAGAUGAUGGUAGCAAUUACACGGACUGGGUCCGUAACCUGAGGAUUAUCCUCAUUGCUGCACAGAAAAGUUACGUCCUGGAAGCACCGCUGGGUGCCAGGCCUGCUGCUGAUGCAACUGACGAUGUUAAGAACGUCUAGCAGAGCAAAGCUGAUGACUACUCUAUAGUUCAGUGUUGCAUGCUAUACGGCUUAGAACCGGGUCUUCAACGACGUUUUGAACGUCAUGGAGCAUAUGAGAUGUUCCAAGAGUUGAAGUUAAUAUUUCAAGCAAAUGCCCAGAUGAAGUCUCCAAUAAGUUCCAUAGCUGCAAGAUGGAGGAGAAUAGUUCUGUCAGUGAACACAUACUCAGAAUGUCUGGGUAUAAUAAUCACUUGAUUCAACUGGGAGUUAAUCUUCCUGAUGAUAGUGUCAUUGACAGAAUUCUCCAAUCACUGCCACCAAGCUACAAGAGCUUUGUGAUGAACUAUAAUAUGCAAGGGAUGAACAAGACUAUUCCCGAGCUCUUCGCAAUGCUAAAAGCCGCGGAGGUAGAAAUCAAGAAGGAGCAUCAAGUGUUGAUGGUCAACAAGACCACUAGUUUCAAGAAAAAGGGCAAAGGGAAGAAGAAGGGGAACUUCAAAAAGAACGGCAAGCAAGUUGCUGCUCAAGAGAAGAAACCCAAGUCUGGACCUAAGCCUGAAAGUGAGUGCUUCUACUGCAAGCAGACUGGUCACUGGAAGCGGAACUGCCCCAAGUAUUUGGCGGAUAAGAAGGAUGGCAAAGUGAACAAAGGUAUAUGUGAUAUACAUGUUAUUGAUGUGUACCUAACUAGAGCUCGUAGUAGCACCUGGGUAUUUGAUACUGGUUCUGUUGCUAAUAUUUGCAACUCGAAACAGGGACUACGGAAUAAGCGAGCACUGGCCAAGGAUGAGGUGACGAUGCGCGUGGGAAACGGUUCCAAAGUCGAUGUAAUCGCGGUCGGCACGCUACCUUUACAUCUACCUUCGGGAUUAGUUUUAGACCUGAAUAAUUGUUAUUUGGUGCCAGCGUUGAGCAUGAACAUUAUAUCUGGAUCUUGUUUAAUGCGAGACGGUUAUUCAUUUAAAUCAGAGAAUAAUGGUUGUUCUAUUUAUAUGAGUAAUAUCUUUUAUGGUCAUGCACCCUUGAAGAAUGGUCUAUUUUUAUUGAAUCUCGAUAGUAGUGAUACACAUAUUCAUAAUGUUGAAACCAAAAGAUGCAGAGUUGUUAAUGAUAGUGCAACUUAUUUGUGACACUGCCGUUUAGGUCAUAUCGGUGUAAAACGCAUGAAGAAACUCCAUACAGAUGGACUUCUGGAAUCACUUGAUUAUGAAUCACUUGGUACUUGCGAACCGUGCCUCAUGGGCAAGAUGACUAAAACACCGUUCUCCGGAACUAUGGAGAGAGCAACAGAUUUGUUGGAAAUCAUACAUACAGAUGUAUGUGGUCCGAUGAAUAUUGAGGCUCGUGGAGGAUAUCGUUAUUUUCUCACCUUCUCAGAUGAUUUGAGCAGAUAUGGGUAUAUCUACUUAAUGAAGCACAAGUCUGAAACAUUUGAAAAGUUCAAAGAAUUUCAGAAUGAAGUGGAGAAUCAUCGUAACAAGAAAAUAAAGUUUCUAUGAUGUGAUCGUGGAGGAGAAUAUUUGAGUUACGAGUUUGGUUUACAUUUGAAACAAUGGGGAAUAGUUUCGCAACUCACACCACCCGGAACACCACAACGAAAUGGUGUGUCCGAACGUCGUAAUCGUACUUUACUUGAUAUUGUGCGAUCUAUGAUGUCUCUUACCGAUUUACCGCUAUCGUUUUGGGGUUAUGCUUUAGAGACGGCCGCAUUCACGUUAAAUAGGGCACCAUCAAAAUCCGUUGAGAUGACGCCUUAUGAACUAUGGUUUGGCAAGAAACCAAAGUUGUCGUUUCUUAAAGUUUGGGGCUGCGAUGCUUAUGUGAAGAAACUUCAACCAGAUAAGCUCGAACCCAAAUCGGAGAAAUGUGUCUUCAUAGGAUAUCCAAAAGAGACUGUUGGAUACACCUUCUAUCACAGAUCCGAAGGCAAUACAUUCGUUGCUAAGAAUGGAUCCUUUCUAGAGAAGGAGUUUCUCUCGAAAGAAGUAAGUGGGAGGAAAGUAGAACUUGAUGAGAUAACUGUAUCUACUCCCUUAUUGGAAAGUAGUUCAUCAUGAGAACCGGUUCCUGUGACGACUACACCAAUUAGUGAGGAAGCUAAUGAUAUUGAUCAUGAAACUUCAGAUCAAGUUUCUACUGAACCCCGUAGGUCUACCAGAGUAAUAUCCGCACCAGAGUGGUACGGUAAUCCUAUUCUGGAAGUCAUGUUACUUGACCAUGAUGAACCUACGAACUAUGAGGAAGCGAUGAUGAGCCCAGAUUCCGCAAAAUGGCUAGAGGCCAUGAAAUCUGAGAUGGGAUCCAUGUAUGAAAACAAAGUAUGGACUUUGGUUGACUUGCCCGAUGAUCGGCAAGCCAUUGAGAAUAAAUGGAUCUUUAAGAAGAAGACUGACGCUGAUGGUAAUGUAACUGUCUAUAAAGCUCGACUUGUUGCGAAAGGUUUUCGACAAGUUCAAGGGAUUGACUACGAUGAGACUUUCUCACCCGUAGCGAUGCUUAAGUCUGUCCGAAUCAUGUUAGCUAUUGCUGCAUUUCAUGAUUAUGAAAUUUGGCAAAUGGAUGUCAAGACUGCAUUCUUGAAUGGAUUUCUAGAAGAAGAGUUGUAUAUGAUGCAGCCGGAAGGUUUUGUUGAUCCAAAAGGUGCUAACAAAGUAUGCAAGCUCCAGCGUUCCAUUUAUGGACUGGUGCAAGCAUCUCGGAGUUGGAAUAAAUGCUUUGAUAGUGUGAUCAAAGCAUAUGGUUUUAUACAGACUUUUGGAGAAGCCUGUAUUUACAAGAAAGUGAGUGGGAGCUCUGUAGCAUUUCUAGUUUUAUAUGUAGAUGACAUAUUAUUAAUUGGAAAUGAUAUAGAAUUUCUGGAUAGCAUAAAGGGAUACUUGAAUAAAAGUUUUUCAAUGAAAGACCUCGGUGAAGCUGCUUACAUAUUGGGCAUCAAGAUCUAUAGAGAUAGAUCAAGACGCUUAAUAGGACUUUCACAAAGCACAUACCUUGACAAAAUUUUGAAAAAGUUCAAAAUGGAUCAGGCAAAGAAAGGAUUCUUGCAUGUGCUACAAGGUGUGAAGUUGAGUCAAACUCAAUGCCCGACCACAGCAGAAGAUAGAGAGAAAAUGAAAAAUGUUCGCUAUGCUUCAGCCAUCGGCUCUAUCAUGUAUGCAAUGCUGUGUACCAGACCUGACGUAUGCUUAGCAAUAAGCUUGACAGGAAGGUACCAAAGUAAUCCAGGAGUGGAUCACUGGACAGCGGUCAAGAACAUCCUGAAAUACCUGAAAAGGACUAAGGAUAUGUUUCUCGUAUAUGGAGGUGACAAAGAGCUAGUCAUAAAUGGUUACGUUGAUGCAAGCUUUGACACUGAUCCGGACGAUUCUAAAUCGCAAACCGGAUACGUGUUUUUAUUAAACGGUGGAGCUGUAAGUUGGUGCAGUUCUAAACAAAGCGUCGUGGCGGGAUCUACAUGUGAAGCGGAGUACAUAGCUGCUUCUGAAGCAGCGAAUGAAGGAGUCUGGAUGAAGGAGUUCAUUUCCUAUCUAGGUGUCAUACCUAGUGCAACGGGACCAAUGAAGAUCUUCUGUGACAAUACUGGUGCAAUUGCUUUGGCAAAGGAAUCCAGAUUUCACAAGAGGACCAAACACAUCAAUGGACGCUUCAAUUCCAUUCGGGAUCAAGUCCAAGUGGGAGACAUAGAGAUUUGCAAGAUACAUACGGAUCUGAAUGUUGCAGACCCAUUGACUAAGCCUCUCUCACGAGCAAAACAUGAUCAGCACCAAGACUCCAUGGGUGUUAGAAUCAUUACUAUGUAAUCUAGAUUAUUGACUCUAGUGCAAGUGGGAGACUGAAGGAAAUAUGCCCUAGAGGCAAUAAUAAAGUUAUUAUUUAUUUCCUCAUAUCAUGAUAAAUGUUUUAUUAUUCAUGCUAGAAUUGUAUUAACCGGAAACAUGAUACACGUGUGAAUACAUAGACAAAACAAUAGUCACUAGUAUGCCUCUACUUGACUAGCUCAUUAAUCAAAGAUGGUUAUGUUUCCAAACCAUAGACAUGUGUUGUCAUUUGAUUAAUGGGAUCACAUCAUUAGGAGAAUGAUGUGAUUGACAUGACCCAUUACGUUAGCCUAGCACUUGAUCGUUUAGUAUACUGCUAGUGCUUUCUUCAUGACUUAUACAAAGUUCCUGCAACUAUGAGAUUGUGCAACUCCCGUAUACCAGAAGAACACUUUGUGUGCUACCAAACGUCACAACAUAACUGGGUGAUUAUAAAGGUGCUCUACAGGUGUUUCCGAAGGUACAUGUUGGGUUGGCAUAAUUCGAGAUUAGGUUUUGUCACUCCGAUUGUCGGAGAGGUAUCUCUGGGCCCUCUCGGUAAUACUCAUCACCUAAGCCUUGCAAGCAUGUAACUAAUGAGUUAGUUAUGAGAUGAUGUAUUACGGAACGAGUAAAGAGACUUGCCGGUAACGAGAUUGAACUAGGUAUAGGAUACCGACGAUCAAAUCCCGGGCAAGUAACAUACCAAUGACAAAGGGAACAAAGUAUGUUGUUAUGCGGUUUGACCGAUAAAGCUCUUCGUAGAAUAUGUAGGAACCAAUAUGGGCAUCCAGGUCCCGCUAUUGGUUAUUGACCGAGAAUGGUUCUAGGUCAUGUCUACAUAGUUCUCGAACCCGUAGGGUCCGCACGCUUAACGUUUUGAUGACAGUUUUAUUAUGAGUUUAUAAGUUUUGAUGUACCGAAGUUUGUUCGGAGUCCCGGAUAUGAUCACGGACAUGACGAGGAGUCUCGGAAUGGUCGAGACAUAAAGAUUGAUAUAUUGGAAGCCUAUAUUUGGAUAUCGGCAAGGUUCCGGGUGAAAUCGGCAUUUUACCGGAGUACCGGGAGGUUACCGGAACCCCUCCCGGUGGUUAAUGGGCCUACAUGGGCCAAGAGGGAGAAGAGGGAUGGAGCCAGGAGGGGGCCGCGCGCCCCUCCCCCUCCUAGUCCGAAUAGGACAAGGGAAGGGGGCCGGCGCCCCCCCUUUCCUUCCCCUCUUCCUCCUCUUUCCCCCCUUCUCCUACUCCUACUUGGAAAAGGGGAGUCCUAUUCCCGGUGGGAGUAGGACUCCCCCCCUUGGCGCGCCCUCUAGGCUGGCCGCCUCCUCCCCCUGGCUCCUUUAUAUACGGGGGCGGGGGGCACCCCAAAGACACAAGUUGAUCUACGGAUCGUUCCUUAGCCAUGUGCGGUGCCCCCUUCCACCAUAUUCCACCUCGGUCAUAUCGUCGUGCAGUUUAGGCGAAGCCCUGCACCGGUAGAACAUCAUCAUCAUCACCACGCCGUCGUGCUGACGGAACUCAUCUCCGGAGCUCGGCUGGAUCGGAGGCCGGAGAUCAUCAUCGAGCUGAACGUGUGCUGAACUUGGAGGCUCCGUACGUUCGGUGCUUCGAUCGGUCGGGUCGUGAAGAUGUACGACUACAUCAACCGCGUUGUGCUAACGCUUCCUCUUACGUUCUACGAGGGUACGUGGACGAAUACUCUCCCCUCUCGUUGCUAUGCCAUCACCAUGAUCUUGCGUGUGCGUAGGAAAUUUUUUGAAAUUACUACGUUCCCCAACAGGUGGUUCACUCACUCCCUCAAAGUAGGUGCACUCAAAGUCACAUAUGGUGGAGUCACUCAUCUCACUCAAGUGGUGGGGGUUGUGGAUCUCCUCACAUGGAAAGUGUGGCAACUCAUUAUAUAUGGGGCUAGUGGUGAAGUCACUCUCACUCUCAAUAUGGUGGCAAAAGUCACUCAAGUCAUCAUACAUCGCCGUGGUCGAAGGGAAGAUCCCAUGCUCAACCAUCUCGUCGUGGUCGCCGUGGAUGAAGGCCGAAGAUGGCACAUCAUCACUCUCGUCGUGGAUGAAGGCCGAAGAUGGCUCAACAUCACUCUCGUCAUGGAUGAAGGCCGAAGAUGGCACAUCAUCACUCUCGCCUCCUAAGAUGGAAGCAUCAUCCUUGCUCGCCACCUUGUUGUUCGCCUCCAAAGCUUGGUCCUUGAAGGUCUCCGUAGUCGUACUCGUCGCUGCACCAUCGUGAAAAAGAUUCGAAGUAUACUCGGCAUCAUCAAUGCCACAAAGAGGGAUGGCGGUGAAGUCGCACUUGGGAGCAUCGUCUUGGAGCUUGUCGGCCUUGGACAUCGUGGUGGUACUAGCCUCAUGCUUGUCGUAGAUCUUGGUCGCCGCGAAGUGUGCUUGGGGUGGAGAAGCCUUGGCCUUCAUGAGUUCUUGUUCCGCCUUGAGAGCACCAAUGUAGUAGUCGUCGAUGGACUUGUAGUUCUCGAUGAAGAUGGUCUUGGAGAUGUCGUUGUGCAAUCCCAUCAUGAAGUGGAACUUCAUUGAUAUGGGGUCGUCCACGCCGGCUCGUCGCAAUGCAAUCGUCAUCUCCUUGAAGUACUUGUCGAUGGACUUGGAUCCUUGGGUGGUGUUCUCCAAUUGGCGUCGAAGUUGUUCCGUGUAGGUUGGAGGCACAAACUCUCGCCGUAAAGCUCUCUUCGUCUUGGGCCAACUCAUCUCGUAGCUCUCCGAAGGUGUGUGAAGCCACCAUGUCGAGGCGUAGUCGUGGAAGUUUCUUGUGGCGCACUUCACUUGAUCUUCGGGACGAACUUGAUGUAGCUUGAGGUAGUCGUCCAUCAAACGUUCCCACUCGAGGUACUCCUCGGGUUCUUGAGUCCCAUAGAAAGGAAUCUUGUGGUCGGUGUCGAGGUCGUAGUAGCUCGUGGAAGUCGCGGACUUGAGCUUGGGUAGCUUCUCUUGAGUGUAGUCUUGAGGUGCUUGUUGGCAAAGAUGCCCAAUAUCCGAAGGCGAAGAUGCCUUGUAGUCACUUGGCGAAGAUGCCAUCGGUGUUCAAGAAGCUGAAGUCUUGAGGUCGAUGUCGCGGCUCUAUAUAGCCCGUGUGCACGAGGGUACAGGAGGCCGUGUGCACGGGGUCCCGUGUGCACGGGGGUCGAAGGCCCGUGUGCACGGGGUUGGCAGAGAAGCCAACUCUCGUCCAGAAGCUCUCUCUUCAUGGUCAUGUCGAUGCCGAUGCUUGUGUGUACUUGCCGGAGAUGGUAGCACGGAAAUCUUUGCACUUGAGCGUCUUCUCGAAGAUGAGGAAGACCGCUUGCGGUUCUUGAUGAGGGCCUUGAUCUCCUCCAUGCGCUUUUCCAUCUUGGCGUCGGAGUUGUUGUUCAUGGCAUCGAACUCGUUGUUGUUGUAGACCGAAGGUGAAAUGCCUUGCCUAUCCAUCACAAGACUCGAGUAUAGGUGAGUAGGAAAUGAGAUAAACAAUACCAAGUUACCUUUUCCCAAAGUUGAGGAUGUAUCUUGUAUCACUCAAUGUGAAUUGAAAGAAUAGUGGAAUUGGUACCGGACUUGUUCACUCACACCUACAAGUAAAGGCUUAUGGUAGAGCUCGGUGAGGAUAGUGGCACAAAAAUUUGAUGCAAAAUGUUAGCAAGAGUCAAUAAUGUUGAAAAAGAUUCACAAAUUCGCAAGUGAAACAAGUAGACCAAUAGCAAAUGGUACACGGAAACACACACACGGAUAGAUAAAUGGGGUCGUGCAACCAAGGAAUGAGCACAAAAUGUGGAGUCCACGGAAAACGCUCGUGUUGCACAACUCAAGAGAGAUGCUAGCACGAUUGCUCAAUAGGCGGAUACGACACUUGUGCACAACCUAUAAGAUGCAAAAUGGAUAAACUUCUUUCCCAAGUAAGCUAUGUAUGUAUGGUUCCCGGUGUUUCUCUCAAGCAUGAUACCAUAUGAUGUAGAUUUUGGUAUGGCUCUUUUUGUGCAAUGGGGUAUGAUGCUAUGGCACUUGCUCACGAGCUCUUUGCUCUCUUUUUGCUUAAAAGCUUCUUCUCUUUUUUUUUCAAUGGCCACUUUUGCACAAUGCACAAACCAAGAUAGUUAUUGUGUAUAUGUGGGAACGAUAUUGUGACACAAAGGAUGAUAUGAUACCAAUAUGAUAUGGGAUGUAUGCAAUGGAAUGGUGGAUCACUAAUGUGCACAAGUAACGUUGCCGGCAAUACUCAAAUGGCUAGUCUCGAUAGGCAAGUAACGCAAAAUGGGUUAGGGGUUAACAAUGCAAUUGCAAGGGUAAUAUACAAUGGUGUCGUCGAGGUUACCAUCCUUUGCGAUGAUGAGUGGCGGUGUUCUUGAUGUAGAUACCAAGAUGAUGUAGACCCGUCCCUAAGUAGCCAAAACACCUUAGGAAACGGUAAAAACCGCAAACUCAAAAUCUCAAAUGACAAAUGUCAAAUGGUGGAAGUGGGAAUGGCAAUGUGGAAGUGGUGGUGGUUUGUGAAGAAGCAAAUGUCCCUAAGUAGCCGAAACACCUUAGGAGACUCAUGUCGCCACUCAAACAACCACAAAUGCUAAGGGGAUCAAGAUGGGUUAGGUUGCGAAAGUCUAUGGUUGUUUUGCGGAUGAUAUGGUGGAGGGCCUAGGCAAAGAUGCCAAAAUGUCAAAAUUUUGAUGGAGUAAAAUGGAGAUGGAACCUAUCUAGGUGGAUGGGGGAUGUCAAUAACUACUCAACGAGCUAAAGAACGCGAAAAUCGGACUCCGGAUGUGGAAGUUACGGGCAAAACUGUGAACUGCUUGCUGCUGGCCUGGGGGGCCGUUCGCACGGGGUCCAGGGCCCGUGGGCACGGGGUCCCGUGCGCACGGUACACGUAUCGAGGACACGGGGUCACCAGAGACUUCGCGGGGGCCCGUGGGCACGGGGUGGGGAGCCCGUGGGCACGGGGUAGGCGGAAAUUUUGCGAUUUUCUUGUCAAAUUCGAAAGGGGAAAGAAAAAUUGGGGUAUGGGGACACAAGAGGGGGUAGAUCUACUUGCAAUACAUCAAAUCCAUGGAUCAAAUCCAACAAAAUCAAUCUAAACCAACAAAUCACAAAAAAUUUUGGGGCUAUUUUUGGUGGGGAAUUUUCGGAUUUAGGACGAAAUCACACAAAACAAGGCUAGAAAACACGGGGCAGGGGCUCCAAAAACGUGAUCAACGUGGCUCAUGAUACCAUAUGAUGUUGGGUAGAACCCUAGGUGAGAGAUCUUUCACGAAUUGGAGGGGAAUCCCCUAUGAACAAGAUGAACAAAAGAGGGAAAACAAGAGGAACACUCAAGAACAAGUCCAAUCACACAUCCACUAGACAAUCAAACACAUAAGAUCCACAAGGUACAUGAACAACAAAGGGAAAUAAGAUACAUGGUAGAGUUCAUCCCAAAUCCUAUGAAGGAGAUGAGGGCUUGAUGAUCUAGAUAGAUCCUUCCCACAAAGGGGGUCUUCAUCCACUAGGGAUCUUCUCCAAUGGAGGCCUUGAACUCCAAUGGAGUGUCUCUCUCUCUCAAGAGGAAUCCCACAAGGGGAGGUACAUGAGCUAGGCUCUAGUGUUUAGAUCUAUCCUUAGCUAAGUCUAAAUGGAGGAGAUGAAGGAGUAUAUAUAGUCCUAGGCAAAGAGAGGGGUAAGUGGGGGCGAAAUGGUAAAACAAGGGCAAAGCCCGCAACAUCUCUCAGGGGGCCCCGUGUGCACGGGGUAAGUGGAGCCCGUGCGCACGGGGUAUCCAGGGACCGGACGCAAGGGCCCGUGCGCACGGGGUCCGUUAGGCCCGUGGACACGGGGGUCCCAUGGGCACGGUACACGACCGUGCGCACGGGGUCUUCAGGACCGCCAGCCUGGGAGGCCCGUGGGCAUGGGGUCAGAGGGGCCCGUGCGCACGGGGUCGCCUGGGAGUUGCUGCCUUCUUCUUGGCGCUUCCUUCUCCGCUUCCAGGCUUCCGUCUUGGAUGGUGUAGAUGUUCUCUUCCGCUUGGACUCCUCCGUGAUGAAUGUGUAGCUCCGCUCACACCUAAGUAUGCACACGAGAGAGGGGUCAAGUAGUAUACCAUCCUCGAAGGGUACAAGUGGACACGUGUAAAGGAGAUGGUUCACCUUUGUAUGCAUGAAGUAGAUGUGGCACGUGUCACUUGUCAAAUGGUCUCUUGACAUGGUGAUGUCCAUAGGAUGCUCCGCAUCAUCCCCUCCCCCUUGGGAAAGAUCCGACCUCGGAUCGAAAUCCAAAUCACCAUGGGAAAGAGAUGAUGUCGUCGUGUAGAAGUGGACGAUCACCAAGCAUUCGUCAUCUUGUAGUUCCAAAUGGGCACUCUCCGAUGUCGCACCGUCUUGUAAUUCCUUCAGAAGUAGCAAAGAUAACAAGCACUUGGAAAAACAAAUGUGGUUGUCGUAAGAGCAAAACCAAGCAUUCAAGAGGUGAUUCACCCAACAAGUGUUGUCAUCAAGCAUAGCAUAUGGUUUGACAAAGAAGUGUGUCAUGGCAUUUGAGCAUAUAAAUUGAGCACAAUCAAUUACAUCAUGGGAACAAGCAUGUAAAUGGGAGGUCAAGAUGCAAAUAUAUGUGAUAAGUGAACAAGCAUCAACCUCAAGGUCAUAGCAAGAAUGCAUAAAGUGCUCAACAAAUGGUCUAUGGUAUGCAUAUGAAUCGUUCACAACACCAAAUAUAGUGAAAUGUCUAAACACAUGGGGAAAGUGCAAGGCAAUCCAAGCAUAACGUGCAUAUGGUGUAGUGAAGAUAUCGUGGCACUCAACACAAUGGAAAGAGCAAUUGUUCAACAUGUGUGAGGCAAUCAAGUCAAGCAUGUGAUAAGCAAAGGGACAUGGCAUAUGUGAAGAACUAGAUGCAACACUCAAGGCAUAUAUGUCAUGAGGCAUAGCAAUGUGGUAAUGAGAAGUCGAAGCAAGAUCACUAGCAUGUGUGCAAAGUGUCGUGGAGCAAGAAACACAUGAAGUAUGAUCCACAAUAUGCAUGCUCAUGGUUUGGGUGAUCUUGAGAUAGAAGGAUAUCACCUCGAAAGCAUGUCCUUGUGCGUCCUUCACAAUGCCGAAGUGGUAGGAAAUAUGGUGUAGAAGCGAGUCGUGGUCGAAUGUAUGAGGCUCGCUCUCAAGAGCUCGAAUGGUCAACUCACGUGAAGUGGAAGUCGACACGAAGUCCAAGUAUCCUACACAUGCACACAACAAAACAAAGAGCGUAUGCGCAUGGUAGAUAAACACAUCAUCCAUCAUGAUGGUUCUCUUCUCUUGCACAUAACGAUUAGAAGCACAAGUGCAUGAAUAAUAUGAUGCAACAAUGGCGAUAUUCAAGGCACUAGGUAUAUGGUGCAAAGAGGUAAGACAAGCAUGCUUCACAAGGAAUAUGUCAACAUCUCCAAACAUAUGUAAGAAUGCUAUGGGGGCAAUCUUAAGAGCAAGACUAUAAGCAUUGUUGCACUCAAUACAUGGCAAAUCAUCUAGCAUGAGAGAGGCAACACAUGGAGAUAUAUGACACGAAGCAAUAUGAAUCAUGUGCAAAGCAUAUAGAUGGUUGUCAUCAACCGCGUGAGAUGAGCAAGUAUGACGCAAGAGACAAUGAUCAAGAUAUAGCAUGUGAGAGGCAUGAGCAUAUAUGUCAUCAACCCAAGAAAGCAAGUAAUAGUGGAACAUGGGUGAUGCAACAUAGCAAGCAAUCAUAGCAAUCAAGUCAAGUAAGCUAGUAGUGCGAAGAUGCAACAUACUAGAAGGAAUCAUGGCAAACAUGUCAUUGGUGCAAAUAGUGGGCAUGAAUAAUUCACAUGACAUAGCACAAGCAUGAAAGCAAGAUAUGAGGACAAUAGCAUGGGGCACAUGAUAAACAUGGCAAUAGCAACAAGGAUCUCUACCAAGCAUGCAAAUACACAUAGAAGUAGCAUAAUUAUGAAACAUGGGUAGAUGCAAGCAAGGGUCACAAUUGCAUGGCAAAGGCAUAGAAGCAAGCAUAGCAUGCAAAGUGAACACGGUAAAAUGAGCAUAAGGUGACAAGUGGUAAAUGGCCCAUAGUCGUGUGAGAGCCAAGUACAGGAGUUGCGCGUAGUCCUUGCGCGAAGGGAACGGUGGUAAGGAUAGUCCAUGGGAUCCCAAGUCAUCAUUGCUCUCUAGAGCUCGUUUGAAGUGGCAUAUGCAUAGUCACUAUGAAGAGAUUGUCAUCUAUGCCAGAAGUGCAAAUUGGGUUUAUUUUAAUGGCAUAUGCAUAGUCACUAUGAAGAGAUUGCAAAUAUGACAUAUGAUGGAUCUCAUGCAUAGCAUAUGACAAGUCAAGCGGAUUAUCAAACAUGGUGAGACCAAGAGAAUUAUCACAAGACAUCCUAUGUAACAUGGCAUCACAACUAAUAGACUCCUCAUGGCAAUAAUCAUACUCAUCAUAAAUGGGCAAAUCAUCACAUGGGAAAAUCAUACUAGCGUGAAUCAUGGUACUAAGUGGAUCAACAUCAUGCAAGCAAUCAAUCUCAAGAAUGUCCGCUAGUGGGACUAGAGCAUCACCUUCACCUUUGUUACCUUUGUCAUUCCACUCAAGUGGUGUAGGUGAGGUGGGAAAGACCAAAUGGUGGUCAUCUUCAUCUUGAUGGAACCAUGUGGGGGGUGCAUCAUAUUCCACCAUGGUCAUCGUCAUGUCCAAAGGGAGGACGAAGUCGUCGAGGAUCGGCGCGUCAUCAUAAAUGGGACCUAGCACCAAAUGAGAAGACACAAUAGAGGUAGAGGUCAAGUUGUUAGAAAUGCAAAUGGCCUCAUGAGACCUAUCAACUAUCUCACUCUCUCUAUGUGGUGGUGAAGGAAAUAUGGCCUAGAGGCAAUAAUAAAGUUAUUAUUUAUUUCCUCAUAUCAUGAUAAAUGUUUAUUAUUCAUGCUAGAAUUGUAUUAACCGGAAACAUGGUAAAUGUGUGAAUACAUAGACAAAACAAUAGUCACUAGUAUGCCUCUACUUGACUAGCUCAUUAAUCAAAGAUGGUUAUGUUUCCAAACCAUAGACAUGUGUUGUCAUUUGAUUAAUGGGAUCACAUCAUUAGGAGAAUGAUGUGAUUGAGAUGACCCAUUCCGUUAGCCUAGCACUUGCUCAUUUAGUAUACUGCUAUUGCUUUCUUCAUGACUUAUACAAAGUUCCUGCAACUAUGAGAUUGUGCAACUCCCGUAUACCGGAAGAACACUUUGUGUGCUACCAAACGUCACAACGUAACUGGGUGAUUAUAAAGGUGCUCUACAGGUGUUUCCGAAGGUACAUGUUGGGUUGGCAUAAUUCGAGAUUAGGUUUUGUCACUCCGAUUGUCGGAGAGGUAUCUCUGGGCCCUCUCGGUAAUACUCAUCACCUAAGCCUUGCAAGCAUGUAACUAAUGAGUUAGUUAUGAGAUGAUGUAUUACGGAACGAGUAAAGAGACUUGCCGGUAACGAGAUUGAACUAGGUAUAGGAUACCGACGAUCAAAUCCCGGGCAAGUAACAUACCGAUGACAAAGGGAACAAAGUAUGUUGUUAUGCGGUUUGACCGAUAAAGAUCUUCGUAGAAUAUGUAGGAACCAAUAUGGGCAUCCAGGUCCCGCUAUUGGUUAUUGACCGAGAAUGGUUCUAGGUCAUGUCUACAUAGUUCUCGAACCCGUAGGGUCCGCACGCUUAACGUUUCGAUGACAGUUUUAUUAAGAGUUUAUAAGUUUUGAUGUACCGAAGUUUGUUCGGAGUCCCGGAUAUGAUCACGGACAUGACGAGGAGUCUCGGAAUGGUUGAGACAUAAAGAUUGAUAUAUUGGAAGCCUAUAUUUGGAUAUCGGAAAGGUUCCGGGUGAAAUCGGCAUUUUACCGGAGUACCGGGAGGUUACCGGAACCCCCCGGGGGUUAAUGGGCCUACAUGGGCCAAGAGGGAGAAGAGGGAAGGAGCCAGGAGGGGGCCGCGUGCCCCUCCCCCUCCUAGUCCGAAUAGGACAAGGGAAGGGGGGGCGACGCCCCCCUUUCCUUCCCCUCUUCGUCCUCUUUCCCCCCUUCUCCUACUCCUACUUGGAAAAGGGGAGUCCUACUCCCGGUGGGAGUAGGACUCCCCCCCUUGGCGCGCCCUCUAGGCCGGCCGCCUCCUCCCCCCUGGCUCCUUUAUAUACGGGGGCGGGGGGCACCCCAAAGACACAAGUUGAUCUACGGAUCGUUCCUUAGCCGUGUGCGGUGCCCCCUUCCACCAUAUUCCACCUCGGUCAUAUCGUCGCGGAGUUUAGGCAAAGCCCUGCGCCGGUAGAACAUCAUCAUCGUCACCACGCCGUCAUGCUGACGGAACUCAUCUCCGGAGCUCGGUUGGAUCGGAGGCCGGAGAUCGUCAUCAAGCUGAACGUGUGCUGAACUCGGAGGCUCCGUACGUUCGGUGCUUGGAUCGGUCGGAUCGUGAAGACGUACGACUACAUCAACCGCGUUGUGCUAACGCUUCCGCUUAUGGUCUACGAGGGUACAUGGACGAAUACUCUCCCCUCUCGUUGCUAUGCCAUCACCAUGAUCUUGCGUGUGCAUAGGAAUUUUUUUAAAAUUACAACGUUCCCCAACAGUGGCAUCCGAGCCUAGGUUUUAUGCGUUGAUGUUAUAUGCACGAGUAGAACACAAGUGAGUUGUGGGCGAUACAAGUCAUACUGCUUACGACUACGGGAUUGGCCAACCACGCAGGAUGGAGCACUCCUCUGACAAGGCCUACUGCUUCCAACUUCUUGAUCUCUUCUGCAAUGAAUUCUUGGCGCUCCACUGCUUGUUUCCUUACUUUCUGCUUGACGGGCCGUGCGUGAGGACAGACGGCAAGAUGGUGCUCAAUUACUUCCCUGGGAACACCGGGGAUGUCAUACGGUUGCACAAAAAUUUGAUGCAAAAUGUUAGCAAGAGUCAAUAAUGUUGAAAAAGAUUCACAAAUUCGCAAGUGAAACAAGUAGACCAAUAGCAAAUGGUACACGGAAACACACACACACGGAUAGAUAAAUGGGGUCGUGCAACCAAGGAAUGAGCACAAAAUGUGGAGUCCACGGAAAACGCUCGUGUUGCACAACUCAAGAGAGACGCUAGCACGAUUGCUCAAUAGGCGGAUACGACACUUGUGCACAACCUAUAAGAUGCAAAAUGGAUAAACUUCUUUCCCAAGUAAGCUAUGUAUGUAUGGUUCCCGGUGUUUCUCUCAAGCAUGAUACCAUAUGAUGUAGAUUUUGGUAUGGCUCUUUUUGUGCAAUGGGGUAUGAUGCUAUGGCACUUGCUCACGAGCUCUUUGCUCUCUUUUUGCUUAAAAGUUUUUUCUCUUUUUUUUCAAUGGCCACUUUUGCACAAUGCACAAACCAAGAUAGUUAUUGUGUAUAUGCGGGAACGAUAUUGUGACACAAAGGAUGAUAUGAUACCAAUAUGAUAUGGGAUGUAUGCAAUGGAAUGGUGGAUCACUAAUGUGCACAAGUAACGUUGCCGGCAAUACUCAAAUGGCUAGUCUCGAUAGGCAAGUAACGCAAAAUGGGCUAGGGGUUAACAAUACAAUUGCAAGGGUAAUAUACAAUGGUGUCGUCGAGGUUACCGUCCUUUGCGAUGAUGAGUGGCGGUGUUCUUGAUGUAGAUACCAAGAUGAUGUAGACCCGUCCCUAAGUAGCCAAAACACCUUAGGAAACGGUAAAAACCGCAAACUCAAAAUCUCAAAUGACAAAUGUCAAAUGGUGGAAGUGGGAAUGGCAAUGUGGAAGUGGUGGUGGUUUGUGAAGAAGCAAAUGUCCCUAAGUAGCCGAAACACCUUAGGAGACUCACGUCGCCACUCAAACAACCACAAAUGCUAAGGGGAUCAAGAUGGGUUAGGUUGCGAAAGUCUAUGGUUGUUUUGCGGAUGAUAUGGUGGAGGGCCUAGGCAAAGAUGCCAAAAUGUCAAAAUUUUGAUGGAGUGGGGGAUGUCAAUAGCUACUCAAUGAGCUAAAGAACGCGAAAAUCGUACUCCGGAUGUGGAAGUUACGGGCAAAACAGUGAACUGCUCGCUGCUGGCCUGGGGGGGCCAUGCGCACGGGGUCCCAUGCGCACGGUACACGUAUCGAGGACACGGGGUCACCAGAGACUUCGCGGGGGCCCGUGGGCACGGGGUGGGGAGCCCGUGGGCACGGGGUAGGCGGAAAUUUUGCGAUUUUCUUGUCAAAUUCGAAGGGGAAAGAAAAAUUGGGGUAUGGGGACACAAGAGGGGGUAGAUCUACUUGCAAUACAUCAAAUCCAUGGAUCAAAUCCAACAAAAUCAAUCUAAACCAACAAAUCACAAAAACAUUUGGGGCUAUUUUUGGUGGGGAAUUUUCGGAUUUAGGACGAAAUCACACAAAACAACGCUAGAAAACACGGGGCAAGGGCUCCAAAAACAUGAUCAACGUGGCUCAUGAUACCAUAUGAUGUUGGGUAGAACCCUAGGUGAGAGAUCUUUCACGAAUUGGAGGGGAAUCCCCUAUGAACAAGAUGAACAAAAGAGGGAAAACAAGAGGAACACUCAAGAACAAGUCCAAUCACACAUCCACUAGACAAUCAAACACAUAAGAUCCACAAGGUACAUGAACAACAAAGGGAAAUAAGAUACAUGGUAGAGUUCAACCCAAAUCCUAUGAAGGAGAUGAGGGCUUGAUGAUCUAGAUAGAUCCUUCCCACAAAGGGGGUCUUCAUCCACUAGGGAUCUUCUCCAAUGGAGGCCUUGAACUCCAAUGGAGUGUCUCUCUGUCUCUCAAGAGGAAUCCCACAAGGGGAGGUACAUGAGCUAGGCUCUAGUGUUUAGAUCUAUCCUUAGCUAAGUCUAAAUGGAGGAGAUGAAGGAGUAUAUAUAGUCCUAGGCAAAGAGAGGGGUAAUUGGGGGCAAAAUGGUAAAACAAGGGCAAAGCCCGCAACAUCUCUCAGGGGGCCCCGUGUGCACGGGGUAAGUGGAGCCCGUGCGCACGGGGUAUCCAGGGACCGGACGCAAGGGCCCAUGCGCACGGGGUCCGUUAGGCCCGUGGACACGGGGGGUCCCGUGGGCACGGUACACGCCCGUGCGCACGGGGUCUUCAGGACCGCCAGCCUGGGAGGCCCGUGGGCAUGGGGUCGGAGGGGCCCGUGCGCACGGGGUCGCCUGGGAGUUGUUGCCUUCUUCUUGGCGCUUCCUUCUCCGCUUCCAGGCUUCUGUCUUGGAUGGUGUAGAUGUUCUCUUCCGCUUGGAUUCCUCCGUGAUGAAUGUGUAGCUCCGCUCACACCUAAGUAUGCACACGAGAGAGGGGUCAAGUAGUGUAGCAUCCUCGAAGGGUACAAGUGGACACGUGUAAAGGAGAUGGUUCACCUUUGUAUGCAUGAAGUAGAUGUGGCACGUGUCACUUGUCAAAUGGACUCUUGAGAUGGUGAUGUCCAUAGGAUGCUCCGCAUCAAAGCUAGGCCGGUCUCCACGUAGCACCCGGGGCCAAGUCAUUAGCCAGGGUUUUAAGGUCCAUUUCCAGAAUAACCUUGCCAUUAAAAAAAUUCACCAAGGUCUCCAGCCCCAUUUGAGCCGCAGCGGCUUCUGCCUCCUCAAUAAGCAUGCAAGGAUACAUUUUUAUAUACUGUUUGUCAGAGUGAACUUUGUCGGUUGUGUGCAUUUUAAUUAUGCAGAGACCGGGUGUAAUACUUAAAUUUUUUUAGUAAUAAAGCAGCCUUAUCAGGAAAAAAACCUGGCCAUCAUGGUUCCUGGCAACUUCCCCUCUAACAUGACCUAGUAGGGGCCAUCUCUGAAUUUGCACACAAUUUGGAAGAACACAAGAAAUUCGGUGGGAAAUUUGGGGAUUGAUACACUCAGAUCCGAAGCAGGAAGCUAGGGUUUUCGCCAGCCGGAACACGGCGGCUACAAGGGCCAAGCCUAGGAUAAUCCAGAGUGCCCCUCUCCACAAGCCGGAGGGGGUUAUAUAAAGCAAAAUCCAGGUAAAGUAGACAGCGACAGGUUCAACAGGUAAAAGGACAGCACGGUAACUUCUAAAAAGUAGAGCGAAACGAUUCCAGCCGUCCAGAUGAAGAUCAACGGUUGAGGACACACUUAAACGACGAAGCGGUAAGUACUUCACCUCGCCGUCCGAUCGCAGAUCAACGGUCCUAGCUCCUCCAAACAAAACUCACAGCACUGUGGAUCAUCAGAUGAACUUCAACAGUGGGCAGGCCUGACAAUUCCCCCCUGCUAACAACAGACUUGCCCUCAAGGAUGGAAUUCUGGGAAAAUCUUCUGUAUGAACGCCGCAUCCUCCCAGGUUGCAUUCUCCACUGGUAAAUUGAGCCACUUGAUGUGCCAUUGCACCACUGGAAUACUAAUAUCACCCUAAACCCGAGGGAUCAACCUUCUGUCCAGCAGAGUUUUAGGUUGAAUUAGAAUGUGACCCUGUUCAUCGAGGAGCGGUAAGGUUGGGUUUGGGACAGCUUCCGGCCCAAUGUGCUUUUUGAGUUGACUGACAUGGAAGGUGGGGUGGAGCUGACAGCCCUCAGGAAGAAGGAGGCGAUAAGCUACAGCUCCAAUUCUUUCCAUGACUCUGAAGGGACCAUAGUACUUGGAAUGGAGCUUCAGAUGUCUGUGUAUACUUAAGCUAGUGUGCAUGUAUGGUUGCAAUUUUACAUAGACCAUAUCUCCCACUGCAAGCUGUCUUUCAGAUCUCUUUUUGUCUGCAAAGAACUUCAUUCUUUCUUGUGCUUUGAGCAAGUUGUCCUUUAUCUGUUGAGCUAUUGUGUCCCUGUCCAACUGAGCAUGGUGACCUUCUCCUUCCACUGGUGGUAGCAUUAGUUCUGCAAUUAGGGGAGGAGGUCUUGCAUACAGAGCUUGGAAAGGGGUCAUUUUCAGAGAAGUGUGGAAGGUGGUGUUGUACCACCACUCAGCCAUGGAGAGCCAAGAGUGCCAUUUCUUGGGCCGAGCAAAGGCCAUGCAUCUUAAGUAAUUUUCAAGACACUGGUUCACCCUUUCAGUUUGACCAUCUGAUUGUGGGUGGUAGGAAGUACUCAUGUGCAGUUUGACUCCCAUUUUGGUGAACAGAUGUUGCCAAAUAUGACUAGUGAAAAUCCUAUCUCUGUCUGUUACUAUGACAGUGGGCAGUCCAUGCAAUCUGAAUAUAUUGUCAGUAAAAGCUUGAGCUAUUGUUUUGACAGUAAUUGGGUGCCUCAUAGCAACAAAAUGAGCAUAUUUGGUGAAACGAUCCACCACCACCAAGAUCAUGUCUUUGUGUUCAGAUUUUGGUAGGCCUUCCACAAAGUCCAUGCUUAUAUGAGUCCAAGCAAAAUCAGGGACUGGGAGGGGUUGCAGCAAGCCAGGAGGGUGCACAUGUUGGGCUUUGUUCAAUUGGUAGACAGGGCACUGUUGAACAAAGGUUUGCACAACUUUUCUCAUGCCAGGCCAAGUGAAAAGUAUUUUCAGUCUGUGAUAUGUAGCUCUUUCUCCAGAGUGGCCUCCUAGUUCAGACUUAUGGAAGGAAGUCAGCAGGGAGGUUUUGAGUUCACUGUUAUUGCCAACCAUGAUUUCGCCCUUGUACUUGAGCACUCCACUGGUAAGAGUGUAAGGAGGCUGAGCAGCUGGAUCAAUUGCAAGUUUAGUAAUGAGUUCAGAACAUUUAGUGUCCCCCUUGUAACUAUUCACAACUUCAGUAAUCCAGGAUGGAAUUGUUGUGCUAGAACCCAAAACAUUGAGAGCAUGUUUAACUCUGGAAAGAGCAUCUGCUACUCUGUUUUCUCUGCCUUUCUUGUAUUCCACUGUGAACUUGUAACCAUUAAUUUAAUGAGAAGUUUGUGCUGAAUCCCUUCAGUGACCUUUUGCUCUUGUAUGUAUUUCAAACUCUCCUAGUCAGUUCUGAUAAUCAGAGAAGAUGAAGCAAAGUAGUGCUUCCAUUUCUUAAUUGCUUUAAUGAUUGCCAAUGCUUCCUUAUCAUAAGUGGACCAUCCAACAGCUUUAGGCCCUAAGGCUUUGCUGAUGUAUGCAAUAGGCUGUCCUUUCUGCAUGAGGACUGCUCCAAUUCCAUAUCCAGAAGCAUCUGCUUCCAAUACAAAGGGCAAGGAGAAAUCAGGUAAGGCAAGAACUGGGGCAGAGGUCAUUCUGUUCUUAAGUUGCUGCAAAGUAGCUUGUUGUGUUUCAGUCCAAAUAAAUCCAUCCUUUUUCAAGGCAUCAAAUAGUGGCUUGCAGAUCAGACCAUAAUUCUGAACAAAACUCCUGUAGUACCCAGCUAAUCCCAAAAAGCUCCUCAAGUGUGUCACAUUCUGGGGUGUGGGCCAGUUUAAAAUUGCCUCUACUUUAGCAGGGUCUGUAGAAACUCCCUUGUCAGAGAUCACAUAGCCCAAGUAUUCCACUUUGUUUUGUGCAAAUGUGCACUUAGAGAGCUUUGCAUACAAUUGAUGUUUUCUGAGUGCUUCCAGAACCAAGGCUACAUGUUCCAAGUGCUCCUUGUAUGUGUUGCUAAAGAUGAGGAUAUCAUCAAAGAAAACUAGCACACAGUGUCUCAGAAGGGGUCCCAAGACUGUGUGCAUGAGUUCUGUAAAUGUAGGAGGGCUAUUGGUUACUCCAAAGGGCAUUACUAGGAACUCAAACAGGCCUAUGUGUGUGCUGAAGGUUGUUUUCUCUAUGUCCCCCUCCUUCAUUCUGAUUUGAUGAUAACCACUCCUCAGAUCCAGUUUGGUGAAUAUUUUAGCUCCAUUAAGUUCAUCCAAAAGAUCCUCAAUCAUGGGUAUAGGAUACUUGUUCUUGAUGGUGUGAGUAUUCAGUUUCCUGUAGUCAAUGCAGAGUCUCCAAGUCAUAUCCUUUUUCUUUACUAGAAUAGCAGGAGAGGAAUAUGGACUGUGACUUAGUCUGAUAAUCCCUUUAUUGAGAAGAUCUUUAAUGAUUUCCUCUAGAGCAUUUUUCUGGUGAUGUGGCAACCUGUAUCCUCUCUGGUUUAUAAUGGGGCUCCAGGCUCCAGGUUAAUUGCAUGGUCACAUUCUCUUUGAGGAGGUAGACCAGUAGGCUUUGCAAAAACAUCCUUGAAGUUCUCUAAAAGUGUAGUAAUUCCAGGUUUCUUUAUAGAGUCAUCUAUGGUUUCAAGUUGCACUGGUUCCAUCCACAUCAGGGCUCCAGUGAGCAAGUCAUCUAUUAUGUUCUCCAUAUCUUGCAGUAAAGGAGUACAGGGACUUGUGGGCAAGCUCUCAUCCAAGAAGGUUAUUUGUUUUCCAUUGAUAAGCAUAAUUCCAAGCUUCAUGUUAGGCAGAUCAAAAAUGACAGGACUGUGCUUAUACAUCCAGUCAGCUCCAAGUAUGAUAUCAUAUCCAGUAAGUUUCAACAUCCUGAAAUCAGACUCUAAUUCCACCCCUUGGACAGUGCAUUUGGUGUUGUAGAGAGAGAAGUCACUGUAUAGCUUGCCCCCAUUUGCAUCAGUUACUUGCACUUGUUUCACUGGUGUGGCUAGACAUCCAGAUUGUAAAGCUAGGGCAGGAGAAAUGUAGGUGGUAGUACUACCACUAUCCACUAAGGCCAGGCCUACUGUGUUUCCAAUUUGGACCUGCAGAGUGAAAGUGUAUUUCUUUUUGUCUUGAGGUACUCCUGUAGCAGCAUGCAUAGAAAUUUUGAGCUCUUGCUGAUCAGGAGGCUCUUCCUCCCCAUCUGACUGUACCUCCUCUGCAUCUACUAUGUAGAUGAUGUCAGGAUUUUCUGCGUGUUCUUGUAAUGCUUGAAUUUGAGCUUUCUGUGACAGUUUGCACACCUGCUUAUGUCCUGGAAACCAUGGCUCUCUGCAUUUAUAACAAAUGCCCUUUUCUCUGGCCUGUUGUAUAACAGUAGCAGGUGAUGUACUUGCAGGGAUCACAGGUUUAGAGAUUUCUCCCGGAGUUCCUCUUUUGUAGUUUGGCACAUAGGACUUUUGAGUUGUAGUUGUAGGACAUGAUUUCUCAAUUCUUCUAGCUAACCACAUAGCUUUGGUCAUGUCAGUAGGUUCUAAACAUUCCAAGUGACUUUGGAUAUAAGGAUUUAGACCUGCAAUGAAACUAUGCAUGUAAUAGUCAUCUGGUACUGCAGGGUUGUCCCUUCUCAUCAAGUUCAUGUGCUGCUCAAAAUCAGCUAUAUACUGGGCAACUGAAGUUUGCUGAGUUAACUUGUGGAAUGCUUUCACAUUUUCACGCAUAGAUGUUAUGGCAAAUCUUUGUGUAAUAGCAGAGCAGAACUUGUGCCAAGGGGUGUGAUGAGAAAUGAACCCAGUACCUCUCCACCAUUGUAUGGCCUCUCCCUUCAAAUAGGAAACAACUAUCUCAGUCCUGUGUUCAAUUGGUGUCCUUGCAGCUGAGAAGUAUUGUUCAAUGUUUUGUAUCCAUGAGUCAGCAUCCACUCCAUCAAAUUCACCAAUGUUUAAUUUUGCAGGUUUAACACUCAUAAGGUUUCUUCUGACUUCAGGAACAUAGGGCCUGUUUCUUUCUCUUCUCCCCUCUGCUUCAGGCAAUUCCUCUACUGUCAUAAAUUGUCUUAUGACUUGUCCUUGCUGUUGUGGAGGUGUGAUGAAUUUCUGCUUAUUAACAGCAUGGUUAGGAUGCCUAGAAGGUGCUUUAGGAGUGCCAUCCAUAUCUAGUUCUCUGCCUGUAGCUUUGUCCACCAGAACAGCAGAUCCGACAGUUGCAGGAUCAUGUUUAUCAGGAGGAAAAUGGUUGUUCGGCAGCUGUUUUGGUCUCCCUGGAGGAACCACUGUGCUUCCUUGGCCAGAUAAUGGAUCUGGUCUUUCUUCCUCCUCCUCUUCUUCUUCCCCUGUUUGUUCUGCAGUUAACUUCAGCAGGGUGGUCUGAAUUUUCUUGAAAUUCUUCUGUAUGCUAGCGAAAUUCUUGUUCACCGAAUCAGUGAAAUGAUAGAAUUCCUUUCUAUCUUCCUCUCUUUCUUGCCGGAGUGUUUUUAUGUCAAGCUGUAGCGAUUCAAGCUCCAAACACUCAGUGUCUUGCGUCUCACCAGCCAUGUCUUCAGGGUUUUUGUUGGUCAUUCCUUGCAGAUCUGGUCCAAGGGCGAAACUUGAGAAGAACAGAAGGAAUUUUACACCGGUGGCCCGGAAACCCACCACUCUGACUCGAUUUCACUCAUCAGAUCUGACAGAAUAGCGCCGCAAGAGCAACAGCCUGAAGGGAGGGUUGGGUGGGAUUUUGCACUGAAGAAAAGUUCUUCAGAAACCACGACUCCACCUUCUGCUGCCGAUCGAUCCUCCGCCGCCACUCGCCGUCGAUACUGCCGCCGCGCUGGUCGAGAGGCCAGAUCGGAUCUGGGCUCGGAUCCCGCCUCCAAGGACUACAACCUACGCUCUGUAUACCACUUGACAGGACCUAGUAGGGGCCGUCUCUGAAUUUGCACACAAUUUGGAAGAACACAAGAAAUUCGGUGGGAAAUUUGGGGAUUGAUUCACUCAGAUCCGAAAUAGGAAGCUAGGGUUUUCGCUAGCCGGAACACGGCGGCUACAAGGGCCAAGCCCAGGAUAAUCCAGAGUGCCCCUCUCCACAAGCCGGAGGGGGUUAUAUAAAGCAAAAUUCAGGUAAAGUAGACAGCGACAGGUUCGACAGGUAAAAGGACAGCGCGAUAACUUUUAAAAAGUAGAGCGAAACGAUUCCAGCCGUCCAGAUGAAGAUCAACAGCUGAGGACACACUUAAACAGCGAAGCGGUAAGUACUUCACCUCGCCGCCCGAUCGCAUAUCAACGGUCCUAGCUCCUCCAGACAAAACUCACAGCACUGUGGAUCAUCAGAUGAACUUCAACUGUGGGCAGGCCUGACACCCUCCCCAGGUUUGUCCCGUGUCCGCCACGUACCCGGCAUCGAUGUUUAAUUUUACAACAUCGGUUGGUGGGAGUGUCCACUUUCCGGUAGUGAUCGAUUCUCUAACUGUCCGUGCCUUCACCACUUGCUUCCCAUCUCUCAUCUGGAUUGCCAAGUUCUGCUGUAGUUUACCUGGAUCUCUUGGGAUCAGUGAGUUCUCCUUUUGCCCCCCGGGCUUUGCUGUGCCGUAGUUGAAUAGCUCCGACUCCAUUUUACUGAGAAACCCCACUGAUCUGCUCAUCGAUUCUUUGCCUGCCCCAUGGAUGCAAUCAUCUCCAAGCAACAGUAGUUUUCUCCGGCUUUUCUCAUGUGCCAUGCAGCGGGAAUACAAGUUGCAACGACUGGGGAGUACAUGUUACAUCUGCAAUGUAGUUGUGCUUCAUGUCUGGAGCACAUGCAACACACACGAAGCACAUAUUGUGUCACAUUGGGAGGACAAGCCAUAAUAUAGUACACUAGAAAGUUCGACUUUACUUUGAUUGAGAAUAGCAUGCUUACUUUAUUUCCUAAAAUUAAUUUGACGUUUCUUUUUUUAUUUUGGAUCGGAGUUGUAUAAAUGCUAGAAAUUUGAGUAUUUCAUUGUGUUAUUCUAAAAUAAACUAAGACCCUUUUAUAAGUACAUGUCAAUCUGCCAAUCUUGCGCUCCACGGGAGCACACUAAACAACCGUGUGAAGUACACAUAUGUUGUCUCGAGGAGCACAAGUUAGUUCUCAAUGGGGGUACAAGUUGCGCUCGAAGAAGUUCAUUGAAACCUCUAAAAAUGGAUCUAAUUUUGAAGAUUUUAACGCGAGGGAUGCAACAGUGUAAAUGGUCCGUAAUUUGGACACUCGGUUCAAUAGAUAUUCCAUUAUAAAAAUCUGAUACAUUAAAAACGACACAAAAGCACAAACCACCCUUCUCCUCCCGUGAGAAGAAACCCAACUAACUCUUCUGAUGGUGAUAAGAGAUGCACAUAAGUAUCGACAUUUAUUCCCAUUAAUGAUUUCGAUAGUCCAGAUGGCAGCCACUUAUAAUGGCUUCCGUAACAUAUAGAAAAGCUUCACAAGCACAUAAUGUUUCAAGCAAUGCAGAUAAACUUUUGAAUUCUUUCUCAUGACUUGACUGGAGCCUUAACAAACACACAAAACACGGAAGAUGGUAGCAUGGGUCGAAGCCUACGCCUUCCACAUCCAUACAUAAUGUUGCCCCUUUGGAAGGGAAAGACAACCAUGCCAUGGUGGCAGAGCUAACCUUAGACUUGAGUUGGCGGUGCAGGAGCAAAAGCGUUGCAACCGACUUUAGAUGUUGUUGGCACCAGAGGAAGAUUACUGCCAACGUAUUCUUAGUAGUGGUCCUUCUUCCGAACUAGGCGGUAUGAGGCAACCUCAAGAGCGGCAACUACAAGAAACAAAAACGUCGCGAUCACAAAAAUUGCGACACCUCCGACAGUCCUAGCAUUCCCAACAGUUUUCUUUGCAGAGCCUUCAAACCCUAACAUGGCGCCUGCCAGAAAUAGUAGCACUGCUAUGAUCGCAAGGACCCUGAAAGUAUAGACACAUGGUGUAGAGACCAUAUUAAUUAUACAAGUUAAAUCAACAAGCCACCAAGUAGAUAUAGAUUCUGUAUUAAGUUUAGUUUUCAAAUUCUAAGAGAAAUGAUAAAAGAACAAUGAAUUCUAAAGCUCUCGGGCCGCGCCACCACUUAGCACACAACGCACCACUAGACUAGCAAUAAUUUUAAUGACAAUAUUUUCCUUGAUUAGCGACAAAAAGGAGGCGGCAUAUCGAGUUGUGAAUAACCAAAUUAUUUAUGUACCAUGAGAUGAUGAAGAAGACCACCGCCGCGAUGCGCUUGGCCCCCUUUGUUAUCCGCCACGCCCCACAGCAGCAGAUGGCCAUGCUGGCAAGAAUCUGCGUCAUCAACGCCAACCCGGCCGCUACCACGCCACAUGUCAUUGCCGGCGAUCGCCGGUACGUAGAGAACUCGCCACGGUCAUCUUGAUGAUGUUUCUGCAUGAAUAAAUGCACGCCGUUAAGAAGAAUCAACAAUAUUAUUAUCAACUAGGUUAUGCUUGGCCGGAGUUUCUUAUUUUGAAAUCUUGGCCUAAGGUUAGAGUGAGAAAGAGAUAGCAUGUAGCAGGUUACAAUGACAAAGACAUAAUAUCUAGCGUGCGAUGUGUGCAUACCAGCGCCAAGAGAACCGCGCUGAUGACUCCGAACACGAUCGUCAUCACAGCGAGGAUGCUGGUCACCACCAUGAGACCUUUCCUCCCCAUCGAUGAUCUCACUACUAAUCGCAGCAGAUGAGUUAAAUAGUGCAUUGCCACACGCAAAUAGAUAGACAGAGAUGAACAAGUGCAUGAAUGCGAGUAUGCAAUGUUAGCUCGAAUAAGGUUACUCGAGGACGGGCUACCUCAUGCAUGAAGAUUGUCACCCGCAUUGCUCCAUUUCUUGAAAGCUAUAUAAAGUUGGUAAAUGUAUAUUUUAAUUAAUUAAACUACCUAAAAUAUAUGUCAUUCAGUUGCAUGUAACCAAAGAUCUGUGGAGGAUUCACACGACUCCGAGUGGAGCGGUGUCAAGAUUCCCACCCCACCAAGCAUGGCAAAAACUUUGAGAUCUGUGUGGUGUCUUUGUUGCCGGCUUAUAUGGGCAAAGACCGUACUGUCGUUUCUAUUGGUCAGAAAACAAGGAUUUCAAAGUGUAUUGCCUACUGAUCCUGUGUUUGUUGUAACCAUGGGUUGUGCUGCAGAAAAGAAGACUACAAGGCUUGCUUAGUGAGAUUUCUAAAAGACUCUGCCCUGUGGUGGGAGAAGUCUCCAAACACUCGCAUGGAUGUGGCCCUGCUGUCCGACGACUCUGUUGAUUUUGAAAGGAUAACAUUGUGUCAAGAUGAUAGAUGUCUUUGGUUGCUUCAUGCGGUAGUCUGGAUUAUGUGGUCAUUGACAUCCCAUCCUUUAGAUGUGGUCAAGUAUCUAGGGAAGUAUGAUCUCAAUGGGUACUUGUUGUGCUUGUACUGUGACUCGAUUGUCGUAAUGAAAAUGGAGCAGUGUAGCCCCUUCGAUAAAGGAAAAGGCAUGGCGCAGACAAGCAAGGUCGCAGCACGCAAAAAACAAAACUUAGAUCAGCAAAUAGACAUCAAGAUAGAGGCACCGCGAACUAUCACAUUGCGGGUAUAAAUAGAACUGAAACCUGUUUUUUUUUAGAAAAAGGAGGAUGACCCCCGGCCUCUGCAUCCGGGAGAUGCAUACGGCCACUUUAUUAAUUAUUCUCACAAGACCUUACAAAGUAAUACAACAGUAAGACUAAAGCCGCCGUCUAAGCAACAAACUGUCGCUACACCUAUCCAGUUGAUGAAGGGGCGCAGAUAGCCUGGGCCUAAUACCAAACAGACAUCGCAGCCAAACCUAACAUCUAAGACCUGAGGACCCAUCCAGGACGCCUGCCGGGCAUGGGUCUCGCCGGUCCGGCGUGCUCUCAGAGGCCGCCGCCGCCAACUGCCACCGCUCCAUCUUCAGAACUGUACUGAUGCAUCAACCUUGCUCGGUCUAGCUAUCGUCGACGCCACCACGGCGCCCAACGGUACCUCCUCCCUGCGCGCAAACAGUUGAGCACGUCGCGGUCGCCGCUGAUACACCUCAGCACCAUGCUGCCAAGUACCACCAGCCGACACAGCUUGAAGUCUUUGGAAGAUCUGUCGUGCGUAGCACCUGCCGACCAGGCAUGACUCAGCGUAGCACCUGUCGAUCAGGCAUGACUUGACAGCUCCACCGAAGCUCCGUGCAAGACGAAGCCGCUCCACCUCCCGCCUCUGUCUUCUAGCGCUGCUCCACAAACGAUGCUCCCAAGAGAGAGACGGCACCGUAGUACCGCCAUCGUCCGAUCUGGAAGGCCAGAUCCGAGGGUUUCCCCCGAAGCAGCACGAGUGGGUUGACAACAGUUACACGACGAUGCCUUCAUCAAGGUAACGACGCAAAACGCCGCCAUCGCCCGCCAACGGCUCAGUUUUCACCGGCAACUAUGUCUCCCCGACUCGUAGCCGGGACUAGCUGACGGAUCUCGAGAUCCGAUCACCCAGCCGCAGGCCGAUCACCUCUGACAGAAAAGAUGACCACCACCGUCGACUGCACCGGUCAGAACAGAUCUGACGAAGGUGCCGCCUACGCGACCACCAGGCCCUCCACGCCGCCGCCGCCGAUCCAAAGGCAGAUGGCGCGCCGCCGCCGUCGCCGACCGCAGUGCCGCCUCCGCCCGAACAUUGCUGGUCGCCGCGCCCGCAGCCCGCGCCAACUCCGACGCCGCCGCGCCGCAGCCAUCGCCGUUGCCGAUCGGAUCUGAGGCGCCUCCACACGAUUCGGGGAUCCGCACAACCCCAGAUCCACGGGAGAGAGGUGAUGUCCUCCGCCACCGCCGUCGGCCCCCGGGCUUAGACCGGCAGCGUCCCCCGGCGGCGGCGGAGGGUGGGGAGGAAGGAGUAUACGCCCCCGGCGGCUGGGUAGGGAGCCGCCCGAGCCGCCCUAGCGGGGACGACGCGAGGGCUGUUAUCAAAUCGACCUGUUAGGUUGAUCUCGUACCGAUCGAGCCCAACGGCUCGACGGACCCCUUGGCUUGCGCCCUGAUCGGGGGCGCCCAACCCUUUUAUGGGUGGUGGGCCCCUGUCGCAGCGCUAUAUAAAGAGGUGGGGGAGCCGGCUGCACGCGGUACGAGGUUCAUCGUGCGCCGCAACCCCCACCGAUAUCCCUACCGAUCUAGGAUUAGCGCACAAGCGACGGAAAGCUCCGCCACCAGCCACUUCACCCUCAUCAUUACUCUCUGCCAUCGCCGUCACCAUCCACCAUGGCGGCCGCCUCGAGCUCAUCCGGCCAGGCAGAAGGUAAAUCACCGGAUUGAUCUAACCCUACCCAAUCCAAGAGGUUUAAUAAAACCAAUCUCCUGGGGUACUAAACUACUCCCUCCAUUCCGAAUUACUUGUCACAUUCUAUUCAUUUAUGCGACAAGUAAUUCAUGAUGGAGUGAGUUUAUCCAUUUCUGUGACAAGUAACUUGGAAUGGAGGUAGUAGCUGAAAAAGACGAGGAGCAGAGGAAUCUUUACGUUAUACUCCCUCCGUUCUCAAAUAAUUGUCUUUCUAACCAUCUCAAAUGGACUACAACAUACGGAGGUAUGUAGACAUGUUUUAGAGUGUAGAUUCACUCAUUUUGAUCCGUAUGUAGUCGCUUGUUGAAAUCUCUAGAAAGAUAAUUAUUUAGGAACGGAGGGAGUAGCUCCAAAUCGAUGGGAACCAGCCGAAAUCUAGAAAGUGACCGCCGAACCCUACACAAUGAAGCCGAAAUGUAGAAAGUGACGGAAACCAAACCUUUUGGUGUGGGAAGCCAGAGCGAGAGGGGUGAUGAUAUGAGAGGAGUGGGAGGGCCUUGUCCGUGACAGAUUUUCAUGCAUGUGAUGCAGGAUCCAUACAACCAUAUGAACAUGCGUACAUAGUACCACAUGACAGAAUUUUGGCUGGCUUCGCCCCAUGUCCGGUUCAGCCAUCAACGUCCACGCGCGCGGUCGACAUGCCUUGAUGUGCCACACCACACCAAAAGUUGAUGUCGACGGAAACAUGAGAUUCACUUUUUCCCCCAAAUUAAAGGGCAGAAGCCGAGUUGGACACUCAUAGGAGAGUGCGAAAAAUAGAAAUCACGGACGUGCUCAAAGCGUGGUCGCUCUUGCCGCCCACACAACACAAACCACAGUCCGAGGGUGGCUGGGAAGUCAAAAAUAUCAUACGGAAACCAAUAUACGAAGCAAAUUUUUCUAAAGAAAUGCAUUUGAAAUUUUUCAAAAAAAAUACGGAUGUUAAGAGGAUAAUGUCCUAUUGUCAUGUGAAGUUUCAAGUAAGAACAUAUUACAGAAUGAGCCAUGAAAAAGACAAAUUGGGGGCAGUGAAUAGUGUCAUUACUGUUUGGCACUAUUCAGUAAUAAUUUUGUCUUUUUCAUAGCUGACAUCACGUAAUGUGAUUAAAUUUAAAAAUUUGCACGAGAGUAGAACAUCACCUAUGUUAACCUCUUAUAUAUUUUUUAGAUCUUUUUAAAACUUCAAAACAUCAUUUUCACGUGCUGAUUUUUAUUGGUUUUUCACUAAAUGUUGGUUUCUGUACUUUAUUUUCCCGGCCGGAAAGUGUCUCCUAAUCCCGCCGGGAGAACUAAACUAGCAGAAAAAGACGAGUCAAUGGAUGAGAGCAGAGGAAUCCUUACCUGGACGAAGCGCAGCAAUAUAAUGGCCAAGGGAUCGUUACUCGGGAGGAACCAAACCUCGCCGGAGAUUGGGACGGAAACCUCACCGGAGCAGUACGGUCUUGGGUUGGUUGUGGGUGAAGCAGCGUCCGCGAACGAAUGGAUUCCGAGUUCUAUUUGCCUUCGGAGUCCAUCCACUAUAUAUCCCCGGCCGACACAAAAAUAAGUGGAUAGCAACUUAUCUCGAUCUCGUGACUCAGAUACGUUUUCGAAGCGAGAGAAUCAGAAGCGGACACGUACGUACGUACGUGCGGCCUGUCGACCGCUUCCACUAGCCAGUAGAAAGUUCAAGGAUUGCAUGAGGUGCACGAUGCAUAUUUUAUGGUUGGUCGCAAUUUCUUUAUAGGAGCUUCGGUUUUGGUGUUUUUGAGCUUGUUGGACUGCUAGCAAAAGCCCGAUGAGUUUGUGGCCUUCGAUCAUCCUUUGGACAUUUUGAUAAAUAUCAAAUCAUCAAACUCUCUGAAGGGUCUUGAUUUGGUGCCCGGAACACCUCCGGUUUGACCCCUAGCUUGAUUCUUUUGAUGUCCCAAGUCCAUAAACACGUCAACACACCUACAAAGACCACAAAUGAAAGGAAAACUAAUAUAAACCAAAUAAAAAUAAAAAGUGUGCAAGAAAGUUGGUAAAACAAGUAAAUACCGAAAACUAUGCGUUGAAGACAUGAAUAAGUGCUAGAUGGGUAUGAUAUGAGGGAUUUUGGCACUAGAAUAUACUCUAAGAAGUAUGCAUAAAAUCCACUCACCAACUGCCACGCUAACCACUCAUCGCGGAUACUGUGACGGAAAGCCGGGAUCGCUUCUGCAUCCUGGCAAUCGACUAUCGAGUUCUUUUAAGUUAUGAACCGAUUACAGAACUUCCUGGCCGACUCGCCAGGCUACUGGAUGAUAUGGCUAAGGUCGUCGGCAUUCAGGGGAUGAACGUAUGUGCCCUGGAAGUUUGCCCUCAAGGCCUCUUCUAGCUCCUCCCAGCUUCCAAUAGAGUUCUUGUGCAUGCUGUUAAGCCAAUGCCUUGCCAGUCCUUUGAGCUUGAGCGGUGGCUAUUUACUUGAGCCAUGUGGAUGUGGAGAAAAAAAUCUUCGAUCCAGAUAGCCCGGUCAGUGGUUCCAUCGUAUGAUUCAAUAUUAACAGGUUUAAACCCCUCUGGGAACUUAUGCACCAAGACCUCAUUUGUAAAACAUAUCGGAUGUGUUGGCCCUCGAAAACGAGCGAUUUCAUGCCGGAGGUCGAAUGUCGUCCGUGCACGUGUUUGCUCCCGAGUCCUUGCAUAACUAUCGAACCAUGCUUCAUAGCCGUCCCGUCCAGUUGGAGCAUGUCCACUUGAUCCGCACAUGGAACUUGUUGGCAGGGACGAAUCCAAGGGGGGCGAGGGGGGGCUAGACCCCCCCUAACGAUCUCAUUUUACUCGGUAGCGAUNNNNNNNNNNNNNNNNNNNNNNNNNNNNNNNNNNNNNNNNNNNNNNNNNNNNNNNNNNNNNNNNNNNNNNNNNNNNNNNNNNNNNNNNNNNNNNNNNNNNNNNNNNNNNNNNNNNNNNNNNNNNNNNNNNNNNNNNNNNNNNNNNNNNNNNNNNNNNNNNNNNNNNNNNNNNNNNNNNNNNNNNNNNNNNNNNNNNNNNNNNNNNNNNNNNNNNNNNNNNNNNNNNNNNNNNNNNNNNNNNNNNNNNNNNNNNNNNNNNNNNNNNNNNNNNNNNNNNNNNCUUUUAACACCCCGCAGGAAAUAGCCCAGCGCGAAGGGAGACGGUCAUAUCGUUUGAUUUUCCAUCGUCCGAUGCCUGUCGCCAAGGUUAGCUGUCUAGGAUAGUUCCUGACCAGCGCCAUUUCAAUCUGAGUUCUACGGCAGUUCAUGACCAGCGCCGUUUCAAUCUGAGUUCUACGGCAGUUCAUGACCAGCGCCGUUUCAAUUUGAGCGGACAAUCCUUGCUUGGACGAGAUAGCGUCUAACGUGAACGAGGGCCAUCUUGCGUGGACGCGCGGCCGGCCGGCCGCGCAACCAGUGGAGAGAAGCGGCGACCAAGGAAAGGUUAGGUUAGUCUGUUUCUCACUCAUUGGUUUGUCCUUGCUUAUGUUUCUAAAUCAGAUUAAUGGAUGCCUUCAGAACUACACAAGUCGAAUGGUAGUAACUGUAUAAAAGUAAAAGAUUGGGGACAUAUCCCUGUACCCAUCGGACAAGCUUUUGCAUUGUUUAUCCCAUCCAAUAGUAGAAAGAUUUAGUUCAUUAACACGUGAAUUGCUUUGGCAUUUGCCUGAUAGUAACUUUUGAUAAAAAUUCAACUUGCUCACAGCGGAAUAUGUUUUGACGAAGAUUUAGUUCGUUAACAAGGCUGUCUCUUCUAUUUUUUUUACGAGUCUCUACACUACUAGAGGAAUUUUUUUUGCCCCCCUAUGUUCAAAUCCUGGCUCCGUCCCUGCUUGUUGGGACGGGAUUUACAUUUAAUUUUCUUCGCAAAUCGUAAGACUCAGCUAGUAGUGUUNNNNNNNNNNNNNNNNNNNNNNNNNNNNNNNNNNNNNNNNNNNNNNNNNNNNNNNNNNNNNNNNNNNNNNNNNNNNNNNNNNNNNNNNNNNNNNNNNNNNNNNNNNNNNNNNNNNNNNNNNNNNNNNNNNNNNNNNNNNNNNNNNNNNNNNNNNNNNNNNNNNNNNNNNNNNNNNNNNNNNNNNNNCCUCCAGUGGGCCUAUCUCGUCUGCGAGGAGGACGAUCAGGCUCGUCAGCCCAGUCAUGCUUGCUUUGAUAGCACGUUGUUGGCGACUUCGUUGUUGAACGCGGGAAGUAAGCGCCGACAUGGGUAGGUUUUGACUUUGUCCUCGCGCCGUAACUCAAAGUCUUGCUCGGCUGCGAGGACCUCGACCCACUUAUUAUUGAGCGUAUUAUGAUCAACUUGGAGUUGUUGUUGUUGUUUAUUUUUCAUACUUCGGGUGGUGGCAAGGAGCCACCGCCCAAAUCAUUCUUUCUCGUAUGGGUACUCGGGGAUGAUGAAAUCCUCGGGUCCGAACUGAUAUCGCCCUCGGAUUGGGGAGGUAAUUGUUAUCCUCCUCAUCCUCAAGGUCUUCGAGAUUCUCCUCGUCGGAUAUCCCUAUGGGGUCAUUGACCUGACCGGGCGUGGUGUGACCGCCAUUACCCUGGUCCUCAGCGUCUUCUUGUGUAGCGCCGUUAUCAGUGGCAUCUAUCAUGUUGUUUUGGCUUUCCCUGCCUCUACCGGCACUCUUGGACCGCUUCUAGCCAUGUCGGCACUUGGGAGGAUCUGGUUUCUCUUCUCCAUCCUUCUUAGGGGUGUCUACCAAGGUUUGUGGGUCACACCUACUCCAGGACACCGUCAGUACCCCCAUCAAGACUGUUGUCCGAAGAUCCAUGUAAUGACUUGAUUCGGGGAGAAGAUUUCGAUGCGUCCGAGGUGGCCGGUCAAGUCGGCAUGAAGCACGAUGCUGUCGAACGUGAAAGGCUGGCCGGGGACGAAGAUGUCACCGCAUCCGAUGUUGCUGUUAAUCUGGAGACAAGCCAUCGAUCAUUUAUGACCACAUAGCCGGAACUGUAUGGGCCUCCAAUGUCGGUACUAAAGCAGGCAAAUCUCGGGUAGGGGGUCCCGAGCUAUGGAUCUGGGAACGAUGGUGAAGAGAAGACAAGGGAGACAGUGUUUACCCAGGUUUGGACCCUCUCUAAGAGGUAAAACCCUACAUCAUGUUUGAUUAUAUUUAUGAUGGAGUAUCAAGUAUAGGUCGAUCUACCUCGAGACUAUGUGUUGUGUUCUAAACCCUAAGGCUAGUAAUUGUGAUUCUGUCUUCUACGGACUAAACCCUCUGGUUUAUGUAGGCACUAGGGGUAUUUAAGGUUACACAUUGUCGGUUGCUCACUAGGAAUAAACAUGCUGAUAUAUGGAACUAUCCUUGAAGUGUACGCCAAGUCUUCCGCAGUGUCCAUCUUAAUCACGAGUGGGUUCACCAGUAGAAAAAGGGUCAAACAUGAAGCACAUUAGUGUCGGUUUGAUUUUGGCCCGGUACUAAUGGUACCAUUAGUGCCGGUUCAAACGGAUUUGCAUUAAUGCCGGUUCGUGUUGAACCUUUAGUACCGGUUCGUGGCACGAACCGGUACUAAAGGGGUGGUGGCAGGCUGGCGUCAGGCCGGGGCCCCACGAUCACCUUUAGUACCGGUUUGUGACACAAAGCAGCACUACAGCGUAAUNNNNNNNNNNNNNNNNNNNNNNNNNNNNNNNNNNNNNNNNNNNNNNNNNNNNNNNNNNNNNNNNNNNNNNNNNNNNNNNNNNNNNNNNNNNNNNNNNNNNNNNNNNNNNNNNNNNNNNNNNNNNNNNNNNNNNNNNNNNNNNNNNNNNNNNNNNNNNNNNNNNNNNNNNNNNNNNNNNNNNNNNNNNNNNNNNNNNNNNNNNNNNNNNNNNNNNNNNNNNNNNNNNNNNNNNNNNNNNNNNNNNNNNNNNNNNNNNNNNNNNNNNNNNNNNNNNNNNNNNNNNNNNNNNNNNNNNNNNNNNNNNNNNAGUUCUGAAAAAAUCAAAAGAAAAUGAUAAAAACUUCAAAAAAUAAAAUCCUUCAAGAGGUAGUUAUAUUACUACAUUUACUAGUUAGGAAAAUUUGAAAACUACAAUUUGGACAUGUUUUGCAAAAAGUGUAGGGAAAAUGUAAAACGGCUAUAACUUUUGCAUACGAUGUCGGAAAAAAACGUAUAAUAUAUCAAAAAAUUCAACAAGAAAAUCGCAUCCGAUGGAGACCGCCUAUGGCCUGUUUGGAAUUUUUUAGAAUCCUCAAAUUCCAAAAGGAAAAAAGAUAUGGUUAAAUUUCAGUUUUUUUAAAAAAAAUUGUUUAAAUCUGGUCAAACUACUUAUUCAAGAAGUAUUAAUGUUACUACAUAAUUAUUCAAGAAUAUUAGUGUUACCAAAUAAUUAUUUCAAUUUUUUGAAUUAUGGUCAAAUCUGGUCAAACUGUGGUCAAACUGUGGUCAAACUAUGGUCAAACUUAUUUAAGAAAUAUUAGCGUUACUAAAUAAUUACUGUUUUUUUAGAAUAAUAGUUUCAAACUCAAACGGUGAAAUGUGUGACUUCAUGCUCAAGCUAAACUCCUGAGGGUUAAUAGGAUUGACAUCUUACUAUUAUCAGGAAAACAACAAGUGCAGACUCGGAAGCGAAGGAGAAUAGAACCCGAAAGUUAAGCGUGCUCGGGCUAGAGUAGUGAGAGGGAUGGGUGACCGGUCGGGAAGUUAGAUGAUUUGGAAUGAGUGAUCCACACUUGAGCAGUUAAGAGAGGUGAUUAGAGACUAAAUCAUCAAAUAAUUCAAAAAAAAUAAAAAUCGAAAAAAUGAAAAAAAAUCCAAAAUUUUCAAAAAAACCUUUAGUACCGGUUGGUAACACCAACCGCCCAUACUAGGGCGCGAGCUCACCCUUUAGCGCCGGUUCGUGCCGAAGCGGUACUAAAGGGGGGGCCCUUUAGUGCCCACCCUUUAGUGCCAGUUAUGGAACCGGCACUAAAGGCCCUUACAAACCGGCGCUAAAGCUCCGUUUUCUACUAGUGGUUCGAGGCCUUUGGAGUCCUCCCUAAGAUAGGUGGGGCCAUAGGUAUGGCCCAAGGAUUGUGGGUCACCUUGGUGGGGACCUGUUGGGGAACGUAGCAGAAAUUCAAAAUUUUCUACGCAUCACCAAGAUCAAUCUAUGGAGAUUCUAGCAACAAGAGAGAGGGGAGUGUAUCUUCAUACCCUUGAAGAUCGCGAAGCGGAAGCGUUACAAGAACGCGGUCUGUGGAGUCGUUCACGAAGCGAUUCAGAUCGCGAACGAAUCCGAUCUAAGCACCGAAUAACGGUGCCUCCGCGUUCAACACACGUACAGCCCGGGGACGUCUCCUCCUUCUUGAUCCAGCAAGGGGAGAGGAGAAGUUGAGGGAAAAAUCGGACAGCACGACGGCAUGGUGGUGAUGGAGCUCGUGGUUCUCCGGCAGGGCUUCGCCAAGCACUACGGAGGAGGAGGAGGUGUUUGAGGAGGGAGAGGGCCGCGCCAGGGGAAGGGUGCGGCUGCCCUCUCUCUCCCUCACUAUAUAUAGGGGGAAGGGAGGAGGGGGAUGCACCCUAGGGUUCCCUAGGGGAGGGGCGGCGGCCACAGGGAAACCCUAGAUGGGUUUUGGCGCCCCCACCCCCUAGGAAACUUGCCCCCCAAGCCGGGAGGGGCGGCUGCCCUAGGGGUGGCGCCCCCACCUCUCCUGGUUACAUGAGAUGGGGUGGGAGGGGCGCUCAGCCCCUUAGUGGGCUGAUGUGCCCUCUCCAGUUGGCCCAUAAGGCCCCCCAACGCUUGCCGGGGCCUCCGAAACCCCUUUCGGACACGCUGGUCAUCACCUGGUACCCCCGGAACAAUUCCGGACUCCAAUACCCUUCGUCCAAUAUACCGAUCUUCACCUCCGGACCAUUCCGGAGCUCCUCGUCAUGUCCGGGAUCUCAUCUGGGACUCCAAACAACCUUCGGUAACCACAUACUAUUUCCCAUAACAACUCUGGCGACACCGAACCUUAAGUGUGUAGACCCUACGGGUUCGGGAACAAUGUAGACAUGACCGAGACGUUCUCUGGUCAAUAACAAACAGCGGGAUCUGGAUACCCAUGUUGGCUCCCACAUGUUCCACGAUGAUCUCAUCGGAUGAAUCACGAUGUCAAGGAUUCAAGCAAUCCCAUAUGCAAUUCCCUUUGUCAAUCGGUAUGUUACUUGCCUGAGAUUCGACCGUCGGUAUCCCAAUACCUCGUUCAAUCUCGUUACCGGCAAGUCACUUUACUCGUUUUAUAAUGCAUGAUCCCGUGACUAACUACUUAGUCACAUUGAGCUCAUUAUGAUGAUGCAUUACCGAGUGGGCCCAGAGAUACCUCUCCGUCAUACGGAGUGACAAAUCCCAGUCUCGAUGCGUGCCAACCCAACAGACACUUUCGGAGAUACCCGUAGUGCACCUUUAUAGCCACCCAGUUACGUUGUGACGUUUGGCACACCCAAAGCAUUCCUACGGUAUCCAGGAGUUGCACAAUCUCAUGGUCUAAGGAAAUGAUACUUGACAUUAGAAAAGCUUUUAGCAAACGAACUACACGAUCUUGUGCUAUGCUUAGGAUUGGGUCUUGUCCAUCACAUCAUUCUCCUAAUGAUGUGAUCCCGUUAUCAAUGACAUCCAAUGUCCAUGGUCAGGAAACCAUAACCAUCUAUUGAUCAACGAGCUAGUCAACUAGAGGCUCACUAGGGAAAUGUUAUGGUCUAUGUAUUCACACAUGUAUUACGGUUUCCAGUUAAUACAAUUAUAGCAUGAACAAUAGACAAUUUUCAUGAACAAGGAAAUAUAAUAAUAACCAUUUUAUUAUUGCCUCUAGGGCAUAUUUCCAACAGUCUCCCACUUGCACUAGAGUCAAUAAUCUAGUUCACAUCACUAUGUGAUUGCAAUGAAUUCAACACCCAUUGGGUUUGAUCAUAUCUCGCUUGUGAGAGAGGUUAUUAGUUAACGGGUCUGAAUCUUUCAGAUCCGUGUGUGCUUAACAAAUCUAUAUGUCAUCUCCUAGAUGCAGCUACCACGUGCUAUUUGGAACUAUUCCAAAUAACUGCUCUACUAUACGAAUCCAGUUUACUACUCAGAGUCAUCCGGAUUAGUGUCAAAGUUUGCAUCGACGUAACCCUUUACGACGAACUCUUUUACCACCUCCAUAAUCGAGAAAAUUCCUUAGUCAACUAGUUACUAAGGAUAAGUUUGACCGCUAUGAUGUGAUCCAUUCCUGGAUCGCUCUUGUACCCCUUGAUGGACUUCAUGUCAAGGCACACUUCGGGUGCGGUACACAACACAGCAUACUAUAGAGCCUACGUCUAAAGCAUAGGGGACGACCUUUGUCCUUUCUCUCUCUUCUGCCGUGGUCAGAUCUUGAGUCUUACUCAAUGCUCACACCUUAUAACACAACCAAGAACUCCUUCUUUGCUGAUUUGUUUGAACUCCUUCAAAAUCUUGUCACGGUAUGUAUUCAUUUGAAAGUACUAUUAAGCACUUUUUGAUCUAUCCUUAUAGAUCUUGAUGCUCAACGUUCAAGCAGCUUAAUCCAGGUUUUCCAUUGAAAAACACCUUUUCAAAUACCCUAUAUGCUUUCUAGAAAUUCUAUAUCAUUUCUGAUUAACAAUACGUCAACAACAUAUAUAUACUCACCAGAAAUUCUAUAGUGCUCCCAUUCACUUCUUCGGAAAUAUAAGUUUCUCAUAAACUUUGUAUAAAUCAAAAAUCUUUGAUCAUCUCAUCAAAGCGUAUAUUCCAACUCCGAGAUGCUUACUCCAGUCCUUAGAAGGAUUGCUAGAGCUUUGCAUACUUGUUAGCAUCUUUUAGGAUUGUCAAAACCUUCUGGUUGUAUCAGAUACAACCUUUCCUCAAGAAAAUCAUCGAGGAAACUAUAUUUUGACAUCCUAUCUGCAAGAUUUCAUAAAUAAUGUAGUAGCUGCUAAUAUAAUUCUAACAGACUCUUAGCAUCGCUACGAGUGAGAAAGUAUCAUCGUAGUCAACUCCUUGAACUUGUCGGAAAACAUCUCAGCGACAAGUCGAGCUUUGUUAAUGGUGACACUUACCGUCAUUGUCCGUCUUCCCUUUAAAAUCCAUCUGUACCCAAUGCCUUACGACCAUCAAGUAGUUCUUCCAAAGUCUAUACUUUGUUUUCAUACAUGGAUCCUUUCUCGGAUUUUAUGGCCUCGAGCCAUUCGUCGGAAUCCGGGCCCACCAUCGCUUCUCCAUAGCUCGUAGGUUCAUGGUUGUCUAGCAACAUGACCUUCAAGACAGGAUUACUGUACCACUCUGAAGUAGUACGCAUCCUUGUCACCCUACGAAGUAUGGUAGUGACUUGAUCCGAAGCUUCAUGAUCACUAUCAUAAGCUUCUACUUCAAUUAGUGUAGGCGCCACAGGAACAACUUCAUGUGCCUUGCUACACACUAGUUGAAGUGACGGUUCAAUAACCUCAUCAAGUCUCCACCAUCCUCCCACUCAAUUCUUUCGAGAGAAACAUUUCCUCGAGAAAGGACCCGUUUCCAGAAACAAUCACUUUUGCUUCCAGAUCUGAAUUAGGAGGUAUACCCAACUGUUUUAGGUGUCCUAUGAAGAUGCAUUUAUCCGCUUUGGGUUCGAGCUUAUCAGGCAAAACUUUUCCACAUAAGCGUCGCAGCCCCAAACUUUUAAGAAACGACAGCUUACGUUUCUCUAAACCGGUGUCAUCUCAACGGAAUUACGUGGUGCCCUAUUAAAGUGAAUGCGGUUGUCUCUAAUGCCUAACCCAUAAACGAUAGUGGUAAUUCAAUAAGAGACAUCAUGGUAUGCACCAUAUCCAACAGGGUGCAGUUAUGAUGUUUGGACACACCAUCACACUAUGGUGUUCCAGGCAGUAUUAGUUGUGAAACAAUUUCCACAAGGUCUUAAUUGUGUACCAAACUCGUAACUCAGGUAUUCAUCUCUAUGAUCAUAUCAUAGACAUUUUAUCCUCUUUUCACGACGAUCUUCAACUUCACUAUGAAAUUACUUGAACCUUUCAAUAAUUUAGACUUGUGUUUCAUCAAGUAAAUAUACUCAGAAUCUACUCAAUCAUCUGUGAAGUAAGAACAUAACGAUAUUCACUGCGUGCCUCAGCACUCAUUGGAUUGCACACAUCAAAUGUAUUACUUCCAACAAUUUGCUCUCUAGUUUCAUCUCACUGAAAAACGAGGCCUUUCAGUCAUCUUGCCCAUGUGGUAUAAUUUGCAUGUCUCAAGUGAUUGAAAAUCAAGUGAGUCCAGACGAUCCAUCUGUAUGGAGUUUCUUCAUGCAUAUAUACCAAUAGACAUGGUUCGUAUGUCUCAAUCUGUUCAAAAAACAAGUGAGUCCAAAGAUCCAUCAACAUGGAGCUUCUUCAUGCGUUUUAUACCAAUAUGACUCAAGUGGCAGUGCCACAAGUAUGUGGUACUAUCAUUACUAUCUUAUAACUUUUGGCAUGAACAUGUGUAUCACUACGAUCGAGAUUCAAUAAACCAUUCAUAUUAGGUGCAAGACCGUUGAAGGUAUUAUUCAAAUAAACAGAGUAACCAUUAUUCUCCUUAAAUGAAUAACCGUAUUGCGAUAAACAUAAUCCAAUCAUUUCUAUGCUCAACACAAACACCAAAUAACAAUUAUUGAGGUUUAACACCAAUCUCGAUGGUAGAGGGAGCAUGCGAUGCUUGAUCACAUCAACCUUGGAAACACUUCCAACACAUAUCGUCAUCUCACCUUUAGCUAGUCUCGCUUAUUCCGUAGCUCUUUUAUUUCGAGUUACUAACACUUAGCAACCGAACCGGUAUCUUAAUACCCUGGUGCUACUAGGAGUACUAGUAAAGUACACAUUAAUAUAAUGUAUAUCCAAUAUACUUCUAUUGACCUUGCCAACCUUCUCAUCUACCAAGUAUCUAGGGUAGUUCCGCUUCAGUGACCGUUCCCCUUAUUUCAGAAGCACUUAGUCUCGGGUUUGGGUUCAACCUUGGGUUUCUUCACUAGAGAAGCAACUGAUUUGCCGUUUCAUGAAGUAUCCCUUCUUGCCCUUGCCCUUCUUGAAACUAGUGGUUUUACCAACCAUCAAUAAUUGAUGCUCCUAUUUGAUUUCUACUUUCGCGGUGUCAAACAUCGCGAAUUGCUCAAGGAUCAUCAUGUCUAUCACUUAUAUGUUAUGGUUCAUCACGAAGCUCUAAUAGCUUGGUGGCAGUGACUAUGCAGAACCAUCACUAUCUCAUCUGGAAGAUUAACUCCCACUCGAUUCAAGUGAUUGUAGUACUCAGACAAUCUGAGCACAUGCUCAAUGAUUGAGCUUUUCUCCCUUAGUUUGCAGGCUUAAGAAACUCGUCAGAGGUAUCAUACCUCUUGAUGCGGGCACGAGCCUGAAAUCCCAAUUUCAUCCCUUUGAACAUCUCAUAUGUUCCACGACGUUUUAGAAACGUCUUUGUCGCCUCAAUUCUAAACCGUUUAACAUUACCGAACUAUCACGUAGUUAUCAAAACGUGUAUGUCAGAUGUUCGCAACAUCCACAGACGACGUUCGAGGUUCAGCACACCGAGCGGUGCAAUAACGACAUAAGCCUUCUAUGCAGCAAUGAGGACAAUCCUCAGUUUACGGACCCAGUCCGCAUAAUUGCUACUAUCAACUUUCAACUAAAUUUUCUCUAGGAUCAUAUCUAAAACAAUAGAACUAAAGCGCAAGCUACGACAUAAUUUGCAAAAACCUUUUGACUAUGUUUAGGAUAAUUAAGUUCAUCUUAUGAACUCCCACUCAGAUAGACAUCCCUCUAGUCAUCUAAUUGAUACAUGAUCCGAGUCAACUAGGCCGUGUCCGAUCAUCACGUGAGACGGACUAGUCAUCAUCGGUGAACAUCUUCAUGUUGAUCGUAUCCACUAUAUGACUCAUGUUUGACCUUUCGUUCUCUUGUGUUCCGAGGCCAUGUCUGUACAUGCUAGGCUCGUCAAGUCAACCUAAGUGUUUCGCGUGUGUAAAUCUGGCUUACACCCGUUGUAGGUGAAUGUUAGAAUCUAUCACACCCGAUCAUCACGUGGUGCUUCGAAACAACGAACUUCCGCAACGGUGCACAGUUAGGGGGAACACUUUCUUGAAAUUAUUAUGAGGGAUCAUCGUAUUUACUACCGUCGUUCUAGGCAAAUAAGAUGCAUAAACAUGAUAAACAUCACAUGCAAUCAAAUAGUGACAUGAUAUGGCCAAUAUCAUUUUGCUCCUUUUGAUCUCCAUCUUCGGGGCUCCAUGAUCAUCAUCGUCACUGGCAUGACACCAUGAUCUCCAUCAUCAUGAUCUCCAUCAUCGUGUCUUCAUGAAGUUCUCUCGCCAAGUAUUACUUCUACUACUAUGGCUAACGGUUUAGCAAUGAAGUAAAGUAAUUACAUGGUGUUAUUCAGUGACACACAGGCCAUACAAUAAAUAAAGACAACUCCUAUGGCUCCUGCCGGUGGUCAUACUCAUCGACAUGCAAGUCGUGAUUCCUAUUACAAGAAUAUGAUCAAUCUCAUACAUCACAUAUAUUUCAUUCAUCACAUCCUUCUUGGCCAUAUCACAUCACACGGCAUAUGCUGCAAAAACAAGUUAGACGUCCUCUAAUUGUUGUUGCAAGUUUUUACGUGGUUGCUACGGGUUUCUAGCAAGAACGUUUCUUACCUACGCCAAAACCACAACAUGAUAUGCCAAUUGCUAUUUACCCUUCAUGAGGACCCUUUUCAUCGAAUCCGAUCCGGCUAAAGUGGGGGAGACUGGCACCCGCUAGCCACCUUAUGCAACAAGUGCAUGUCAGUCGGUGGAACCUGUCUCACAUAAGUGUAUGUGUAAGGUCGGUUCGGGCCGCUUCAUCCCACAAUACCAUCGAAACAAGAUAGGACUAGUAACGGUAAGCAUAUUGAACAAAAUCAAUGCCCACAACAACUUGUGUUCUACUCGUGCAUAGAAUCUACACAAUAGACCUAGCUCAUGAUGCCACUGUUGGGGAACGUAGCAGAAAUUCAAAAUUUUCUAUGCAUCACCAAGAUCAAUCUAUGGAGAUUCUAGCAACAAGAGAGAGGGGAGUGUAUCUUCAUACCCUUGAAGAUCGCAAAGCGGAAGCGUUACAAGAACGCGGUCGGUGGAGUCGUUCACAAAGCGAUUCAGAUCGCGGCCGAAUCCGAUCUAAGCACCGAACAACGGUGCCUCCGCGUUCAACACACGUACAGCCCGGGGACGUCUCCUCCUUGAUCCAGCAAGGGGAGAGUUGAAGUUGAGGGAAAACUCCGACAGCACGACGGCAUGGUGGUGAUGGAGCUCGUGGUUCUCCGGCAGGCCUUCGCCAAGCACUACGGAGGAGGAGGAGGUGUUGGAGGAGGGAGAGGGCUGCGCCAGGGGAAGGGUGCGUCUGCCCUCUCUCUCCCUCACUAUAUAUAGGGGGAAGGGAGGAGGGGGAGGCGCCCUAGGGUUCCCUAGGGGAGGGGCGGUGGCCACAGGGAAACCCUAGAUGGGUUUGGGCGCCCCCACCCCCUAGGAAACUUGCCCCCCAAGCCGGGAGGGGCGGCUGCCCUAGGGGUGGCGCCCCCACCUCUCCUGGUUAUGUGAGAUGGGGUGGGAGAGGCCUUCAGCCCCUUAGUGGGCUGAUGUGUCCUCUCCCCUUGGCCCAUAAGGCCCCCAACGCUUGCCAGGGCCUCCAAAACCCCUUUCGGACACGCUGGUCAUCACCUGGUACCCCCGGAACAAUUCCGGACUCCAAUACCCUUCGUCCAAUGUACUGAUCUUCACCUCCGGACCAUUCCAGAGCUCCUCGUCAUGUCCGGGAUCUCAUCUGGGACUCCGAACAACCUUCGUUAACCACAUACUAUUUCCCAUAACAACUCUAGCAUCACCGAACCUUAAGUGUGUAGACCCUACGGGUUCGGGAACCAUGCAGACAUGACCGAGACAUUCUUCGGUCAAUAACCAACAGCGGGAUCUGGAUACCCAUGUUGGCUCCCACAUGUUCCACGAUGAUCUCAUCGGAUGAACCCCAAUGUCAAGGAUUCAAGCAAUCCCGUAUGCAAUUCCCUUUGUCAAUCGGUAUGUUACUUGCCCGAGAUUCGAUCGUCGGUAUCCCAAUACCUCAUUCAAUCUCGUUACCGGCAUGUCACUUUACUCGUUCCAUAAUGCAUGAUCCCGUGACUAACUACUUAGUCACAUUGAGCUCAUUAUGAUGAUGCAUUACCGAGUGGGCCCAGAGAUACCUCUCCGUCAUACGGAGUGACAAAUCCCAGUCUCGAUGCGUGCCAACCCAACAGACACUUUCGGAGAUACCCGUAGUGCACCUUUAUAGCCACCUAGUUACGUUGUGACGUUUGGCACACUCAAAACAUUCGUACGGUAUCCGGGAGUUGCACAAUCUCAUGGUCUAAGGAAAUGAUACUUGACAUUAGAAAAGCUUUUAGCAAACGAACUACACGAUCUUGUGCUAUGCUUAGGAUUGGUUCUUGUCCAUCACAUCAUUUUCCUAAUGAUGUGAUCCCGUUAUCAAUGACAUCCAAUGUCCAUGGUCAGGAAACCAUAACCAUCUAUUGAUCAACGAGUUAGUCAACUAGAGGCUCACUAGGGAAAUGUUGUGGUCUAUGUAUUCAGACAUGUAUUACGGUUUCCAGUUAAUACAAUUAUAGCAUGAACAAUAGACAAUUAUCAUGAACAAGGAAAUAUAAUAAUAACCAUUUUAUUAUUGCCUCUAGGGCAUAUUUCCAACAGGACCUCCUAGUCCAGGACACCGUCAGUCGGGUAGCAAUACUAGGGAAAACCUUAUACAUAGAAUCUUAGCAGUAGCGCUGGGUAAAAUGAGGCGUUGCUGCUACUUAGUACUAGCGUGUGUCAGUAAGACGCGCUACUACUAUCCUUUUAGCAGCAGCGCGUUUUAGCGAAAUGCGCUGCAGCUAACUUUAACUAGGCACAUAUGGCUAGCCCCACUUAGCAGCAGCGCAUAUCCCGAUACCACGCAACUACUAUGCUCCAUAGUAGUAGCGCCUUUCUUAGACACACGCUACUACUAACCCUACCUUAUCGUCCCCGCACGACUGACGACCCCCCUUACUCUUCCUCUCACUCACUCUCUCCCCCGUGCCCCCGUCCUCCGCCACCGCUGUCGGUGUCAAAACCGGCGGAUCUCGGGUAGGGGGUCCCGAUCUGUGCGUCUUAAGCUAAUGGUAACAGGAGGCAAGGGACACAAUGUUUACCCAGGUUCGGGCCCUCUCGAUGGAGGUAAAACCCUACUUCCUGCUUGAUUGAUAUUGAUGAUAUGAGUAGUACAAGAGUUGAUCUACCACGAGAUCGUAGAGGCUAAACCCUAGAAGCUAGCCUAUGCUGAUUAUGAUUGUGAUCGCCCCUCUAAGGAUUAAACCCUCCGGUUUAUAUAGACACCGGAGGGGGCUAGGGUUUACCAGGAGUCGGUUACAAAUAAGGAAACAUAAUAUCCGAAUCGCCAAGCUUGUCUUCCACGCAAAGGAGAGUCCUAUCCGGACAUGGGACGCUGUCUGGAGUGUUGUAUCUUCACGGUCCUAUAGUCCGGCCAAAGUAUAUAGUCCGGCAGUCCGGAUACCCCCUAAUCCAGGACUCCCUCAGUAGCCCCUGAACCAGGCUUCAAUGACGAUGAGUCCGGCGCGCAGUUUUAUCUUCGACAUUGCAAGGCGGGUUCCAUCUCCGAAUACUCCAAAGUAAUUAUCGAACACUUAGACCGUAUCCGGAUCUGCAAGAUGAUCUUUGUGACGCCCGGAUACUUAAGCUACAGUGAUCCCCGCUAAUAAUGCCACGUCACCUCGGUUACUGUGGAUAAACUCACGUUAGUUCGAAACCUAGUUCGAAUUUCAAAUUUAAAACCGAGGCAAACAAUAAAAGUUUUAAAAUAUUGAACAAAAAUGUCCGGUGUGUGACCAAUAUUGCUAAAGUAAUUAUAUUGAAGAAAGCAUAAUUUUACAAAGUGCCUAAGUGCUUUAAACUAAAUAAAACAGAAAAGAAAAAGAAAUAAAAGAAAACAGAAAGCAAACUAACAAAAAAGGAGAAAGGCCCCACUGAGCUUCGGCCCAGCAGGCCGGCCCAUUCGGCCACACCGACCGGCCCAACCCCUCCCCUCGAUAACCCCACCAGGAGAAACCCUAACUUACCCACUCCCCAAUCCCCACUCCCCCCACUCUUCCCUCACUCCCCCGAUCUGGAUCGAGAUCGGGGUGACCACGCCACCGCCCCGGAUCGCUGUCGCCGUUGCCUUCUCGCCCCCCUCGCCUCGCGCAACCCCCACCUGAAGCCGACGCCACCCGUCUCCGACCCUGUCGCCCUCGCUUGCCGCGACGACCGCACGCGGGCGCCUCGGAGCUCGCCGACCCCGCCCCGCACCAAGACGCCACCUCGCCGGCCUGCCUCCUCUACGCCGUCGUCGCCAUCUUCCUCCUCAACCCCCGUUGCCUAGACCCCACGCUCCCAUGGUGAGCUUCUACGCCGAACGCGCCGUCCCUUGUCCCCCUUUCGACCUCGUCGGCCUAGUCGCCGCCGCCCCUGUAGUUCGUCCCGCGCCUCUAUGUUCCGCCCCUGCCCGCGUGUCCCCGCGGCCCGUGCGCGCCGUGGCCGCGCCAUGCCUCACUCCGGGGACGCGCUCGCCGUGCCCGCGACCUCCCGUGGCCGCGCCCGGAGUUCUGGUCCCCUGCGCUUGCUCCACUCCCUCCGCGCCCUGGCCGGACCCACCUGCACCCAGCCGCCCGUGCCUACUCCCGCCGCCACUCCCGCUGCUGCACGGCUCCGCCGCCCUACGCCACUUCGGUCGGCUGUGCCUCGCCGGCGCCAAACCCCGAGCCCCACCCCGUGGCUGGCCUUGCCCAAUGCCUAGUCGGGCUCACGCCCGCACCAGCACCGCCCUGUGCCCGCUAAGGCCUCCGUGCCUUUAACAUCUGGGGCCGCCCCAGAACGUUUAAAAAAAAGAAGAAUUAGAAAAAUAUUAAUUAAUUAAUUAAUUAAUUAGAUAAUUAAUUAACUUAAUUAGAUAUGCUAAUUAACCUGAUUAACUCUGAUUAGAUAACCUAAUGAUUAAUUAACUAGUUAAUUAGGUUUAGUUGAACUAUGACUAUGACAAGUGGGACCCACACAUAAGUUUGACUAAGUCAACAGGACUGUUGACUGCUGACUGGGCCUGUUGACCGGGCUGUUGACCCAGUCAAUGGCCCCAUCUGUCAGGUUGACCAGUCAACUCCGUUGACUGCUGACGUCAGCAUGACAUCAUGCUGAUGUCAUAAAUCCAUUUUCGAAUUAAAUUAAAUAGUUAAUUAAAUUCCAGAAAUUAAUAAAAUCUUUAGAAAAUCAUAUCUUUUAAACCGUAACUCGGAUUAAAUUAUUUUCAACAUGAAAUUUGCUCAGAACGACGAGAUGAAUCCAAAAACGCAGCCCGUUCGUCCGCCACGCAUCCCUAACCUAUCGAACUCGCAACUUUCCCCCUCCGGCUCCUCUGCCGAAAACACGAAACACCGGGGAUACUUUCCCGGAUGUUUCCCCCCUUCACCGGCAUCACCUCAUACCGCGUUAGGGCACGCCUAGCAUCACGCUUUGCUUCGUCAUGCAUCUGUUUGCAUUGUAUUCAUUGUUUCUUCCCCCUCUUCUUCCGCUAGACACCGAGACCAACGCUGCUGCUGCCCUGUUCGACUACGGAGUUGACGACCCCUCUCUCUUGCCAGAGCAACCAGGCAAGCCCCCCCCCUUGAUCACCAGAUAUCGCCUAUUCUCCUCUAUAAUGCUUGCAUUAGAAUAGUGUAGCAUGUUACUGCUUUCCGUUAAUCCUAUUCUGAUGCAUAGCCUGACAUUGUUGCUACAUCUGUUGAUACCUUACCUGCAAUCCUAAAUACUGAGUAUAGGAUGCUAGUUUAUCAUCAUUGGCCCUACAUUCUUGUCAGUCUGCCUUGCUAUACUAUUGGGCCGUGAUCACUCGGGAGGUGAUCACGGGUAUAUACUAUACAUACAUACAUACUGUACAGAUUGUGACUAAAGUUGGGUCAGCUCGAUGAGUACCCGCAAGUGAUUCUGAUGAGGGGGCUGAAAGGACAGGCGGCUCCUUCCCGGUAGAGGUGGGCCUGGGUUCCCGGCGGCCCCCGACUGUUACUUUGUGGCGGAGCGACAGGGCAGGUUGAGACCACCUAGGAGACAGGUGGGCCUGGCCCUGUUCGGCGUUCACGGAUACUUAACACGCUUAACGAGAUCUUGGUAUUUGAUCUGAGUCUGGCUACUGGCCUAUACGCACUAACCCACUACGCGGGAACAAUUAUGGGCACUCGACGUCGUGGUAUCAGCCGAAGCCUUCUUGACGUCAGCGACGGAGCGGCGCGCGCCGGAUUGGACUGGAAUGCCUACUCUUGUAUAAGAGAGGCUAGGUCUGCUUCCGGCCACCCUCGCAACGUGCAGGUGUGCAAUGGGCGAUGGGCCCAGACCCCUGCGCGCAUAGGAUUUAGACCGGCGUGUUGACCUAUCUGUUGUGCCUAGGUGGGGCUGCGACGUGUUGAUCUUCCGAGGCCGGGCAUGACCCAGGAAAGUGUGUCCGGCCAAAUGGGAUCGAGCGUGUUGGGUUAUCUGGUGCACCCCUGCUGGGAAGUUAAUCUAUUCGAAUAGCGUGUCCCUCGGUAAAAGGACGAACCGGAGUUGUACCUUGACCUUAUGACAACUAGAACCGAAUACUUAAUAAAACACACCCUUCCAAGUGCCAGAUACAACCCGGUGAUCGCUCUCUAAUAGGGCGACAAGGAGAGGAUCGCCGGGUAGGAUUAUGCUAUGCGAUGCUACUGGAGAUGCUACUUGGAGAUGCUACUUGGAGAUGCUACUUGGAGGACUUCAAUCUACUCUCUUCUACAUGCUGCAAGACGGUGGCUGCCAGAAGCGUAGUCUUCGAUAGGACUAGCUAUCCCCCUCUUAUUCUGGCAUUCUGCAGUUCAGUCCACUGAUAUGGCCUCCUUACACAUAUACCCAUGCAUAUGUAGUGUAGUUCCUUGCUUGCGAGUACUUUGGAUGAGUACUCACGGUUGCUUUCUCCCCCCUUUUCCCCCCUUUCCUUUCUUUCUGGUUGUCGCAACCAGAUGCUGGACUCCAGGAGCCAGACGCCACCGUCGACGACGACCCCUACUACACUGGAGGUGCCUACUACUACGUGCAGCCCGCUGACGACGACCAGCAGUAGUUGGGAGGAUCCCAGGCAGGAGGCCUGCGCCUCUUUCGAUCUGUAUCCCAGUUUGUGCUAGCCUUCUUAAGGCAAACUUGUUUAACUUAUGUCUGUACUCAGAUAUUGUUGCUUCCGCUGACUCGUCUAUGAUCGAGCACUUGUAUUCGAGCCCUCGAGGCUCCUGGCUUGUAUUACGAUGCUUGUAUGACUUAUUUAUGUUUUAGAGUUGUGUUGUGAUAUCUUCCCGUGAGUCCCUGAUCUUGAUCGUACACAUUUGCGUGCAUGAUUAGUGUACGAUUGAAUCGCGGGCGUCACAAGUUGGUAUCAUAGCCGACUGCCUGUAGGAAUCCCUCUUCCACACUCCUUGGCCGAAGUCGAGUCUAGUCACUACAAAACUUUUACUAACUUGGUUGUGUGCCUUACGGGCCCACGUCGCCAUUGGGUGGUAUUAGGAUCUUUUACUUCUCGACCUUUACUCUGGGGCUCUGAACUCUCUCCUACUCGGGUUAAAUGAAUUUUGCUAAAUCUAACAUUAGGAUCUCGUUAUCACUUUCACCCGGAGAGCCCCUUAUUACUGAUGAUCGUCUGCUGCACGUGAAGACCCUGAAGAUACUCUCCGCUGUUAACCCGAGAACUUGUGUUCAUCGCGUUUGCAAUUCCUCUUCCACCGUAAACCCUUAUGGAUAACUACUUGCAGUUGUUAUUCUUACCUUCAUCCCCAGUUGGUCUUGUUAUUACAAGAUACCCUGAAAAACUCGUCGUUGUUUCGAUAAUCCUUUGAGCUUACUGCCUUGUUGUUCUUUGUCACCUGAAUACCCCUAUGGUUAAUUCUCGCACUUAUCGAGUAUCCGCUCAUCCCCCAGUUGUUCAUGUGUUACACAAAAGUCUUCAAAAUGCUAUUUGAACUUCCGAAAAUCCUGAGUCGCCUAUUGCACUUGAAAUUCUUGCUUGCUGGCAUUAUGGUUAAUCCCAUAAGUCCCGUAGUCUUAUUGACAUUCCUUGUCAUUAUCAUUUUGAGUCUGUUGACUCAAUAUGUUUGCGAAUACACGCAAUCAUCAUUGAUAUAAAUUACCUUUCCGGCUGAGCUGCCAUUCUUUUAACUGGAAUUAGUUCUCGACCAAUCCAAUUGUCGUUGAUUGUACCCUAAGGCUAUUCAACUUAUCCAUCCCUAAUCAGAGCAUUGCUUCUGAUCCCUUGAUUUGGAAAUCAUAAUUCCUUUGCAUUUGACAAUUGAGUUAGUCAGUUGUUUCUAUAAUCUGAUCUCCUUGUAUUCUUAUUCCUCUAGUUGAGUACCGAUGCUCAUGUCAGAUCCCUUGUGGACCACCAGAUCCUUUGUUGGAUUUUAUCUGACAACGCCCUUCAUAUUCAAUAACCUUGUGAGCCUUUCCAUGGGUAUAUAAUGCCUUUGGUAAUUUGUAACCUCUACUUUGAUAACCAUACUCUAGUUUCGAGCUUGUAUUAUCUACUCCGAAGCUUGUGGUACAUUUUUCUAAGAAGCCCUUAUGGGUUGAACAUAUGCCUUCUCUAAACCGUGUGAACCCGAAAGUUUUCACGAGUCAUACCAUUCUGGUGUUUUUACCAGAUAAUUUUCUGCUCUACAACUUCUUCAAAAAACGAGAAGUAAAUGAUAGGUUAGGCAUUGAAGAAGUGGGAGUCGACCUUGAACUUUGUGUUCAUGCCCAUGGACACGAUGCAGAUCUUAUCAUGGAAGCUUCUCUUAAAUUAAUUAUCCCCUUGGUAUAAGUUCAUCUUAUAUCUGGGAUUUGAUCUUUUGCAAUCGUGGUUCCGGCCAUAUUGUUCUUCUUUGAUCCCGUUUCUCGGACAAGUUAAAUUGCUUGUCUUCUGCACAUCAUUUCACCUGUCAAGCUUCUAUUCUAGUCUACUUCGAGUAUUACCCCCUGGUGUCUCAAGGAUAUCAACCCAUUGCACUUCAUCUUAUGAAUUUCUGACGAAGUAAUACCUUUCCCGUCAUAGUCACUCCACGGGUUCUAGGUUGUCGUCAACCGAAAAUACCGGGUUGUGACUCGAAUCAACACUGAGAUUAGUACUCCCAGUACAUUGUUGUUGAGAAUUUUAAUACUCCAUCAAGUCAUUCUUAGCCUGAUCGGCUAUAUUGUUAUCAUGCUAAAUUUUAAUUGUGCUACCUGGUCCUUAUUCCCGGAGCACAACUUUCGACGAUAGCUAGCUUACGGCGAUCGUCCUCGGCAUAUCAUUUCGCCUUGAACAACAAUCUUUGAUUUCAAGUUUGUAUUGUACUAGUGGUUUCAAUAACCUUUCGCUUCAUCAUUCCCUUGACUUGUUGUCAUCGCCGAUCAAUUACACCUUCAUGAAAUCUCUCGACAAUUGUGUCGGAUCACCUUCAACACUUUGACUUCUUCCGAGAUGUUAACUGUGUUCAUGAUGAGAAAUACCCUCCUUGCCCUCGAUGAUUUUAUUAUCAUCGACAACACCCUUGACUUCCUUUCAUCGCGAGCUUGUCCACAUUAUGAAUACAACCUGCUCUCCAGCUAAUGUUGUGUUCUGCCUUGAAGUAUUACUGUCUUUUCUAUCAAGAACGUGGUGAGGAUUGCUCCACCUCUUAAGAAUUCUUGAAAUAGUGAUACUUCUCCCCAUCACCUUCUUUCUUGGUCCCCGUGUUGUUUCUAACCGGAAUACUAACAAUUGAACUAUGAUGUGUGAAUUCAAAAUUCCUAGCAACCCUAUUGCUUUGAAGUGAAUGGUCAAUAACUCCAUUCUAAGUCUUUUGGUUAUUGAAUCGCCAUUCUAACAUUGAUCAUGCUACCUAAGCCCGUAUUUCAGGGUGCACCUUUCAACUGUUGUUUACUUGGGUAUGUUUUCCUCGAGCAUAUCUCAUUAUAUCAUUUGAUCUGACAAAUGUUAUCUCCUUGUUCACAUAAUUGUGGAAAUCCAUCCUUUGAAAUUCUCAAUGAAUUGUUGCCGAGUCAAUCAGCCACCUCCUCACCUCUCCUUGAUUUAAUGAAGAACUCUUGUUUUGGAACUCACUUCCAUAGUUCAAUUCUCUAGAAUCUUACAAUGUCAUCUCGACAACUUGUGUUGCACCUUCCUUCUUCGGCGUCAUGAGUCUAAGGUAUCCUGACACCAAUCAGAACUGAAUCUCGGUCAGAUAUGAUGGUUGGAACAUAUUUCCAUGAGAUAUAACAUGGGCCUUUAUAUGACUCGGUAAUAUGAUGUCAUGCCUAGCACCCCCCCCCCUUAUUGGAGGACCUAUCAUUAUAAUUUCUUUCACAAGGAUAACCAUUCUUCCUGGAGGAAAUUAUAAGACUUAUUUUAUAAGUUGCUCCUAAUGGAUCAUUUGUGUAUCCAAAGUCCGACCCUUGAUUGAAACACCAUCUCAAUGCUACCUCGAAGCAUGACUAUGAUACCCCGCUCUUCAACAAGAACAUUGGAGGCGUGAUGCUAAAUAUUUCUUGGUCAGUUACCCAAACACCGUUGUAUGGGUAACAUCAUAAUUAAUCCUUGCCUCUUAUCUGAAUGUUGGGUACUUGCUCUCCUACCCUAUAUGCCAUGCUCUGCUUGUACAUGGGAAGGAUAUACUCCUUAUAAUUGUGUGUAAUCACAAUUUUCCUUUCCAUUCUUUCGUUUAUCCUUUCCUGAAUCUGACUUAACUAAGUAGAGAUAAUUCCCUGCUUAGGUAGGCACCUUGUUGUAACAUUCUGUCUGUAAGAUCCUGUUACUAUUGUUGAUGACAUUCCGGUAACCACCGAUGGGUGAUAACUUUGCCAAUUGGUUCACCUCGUUCAACAAGCAAGAAAAAUUGCUCUCUUAAUUCCCCGUCCUUGGUACCGACAUUGUUGCCGACAUAGCUGACAAGCUAUUCACUGGCAUGCCUCCUUGUCUCCACUUUGCAAGAUGUCACCACCCUUCCUACUUUCAACCCACAUGGUGGGCCCAUGACGCACAGGUCCACUGGAUCGAAACCUGACUCUCCUUUACAACCCGAAUUCUAAUGUAUCCUUUGCACCUAGCUUCGUAUGUGAUUCACGAGCUGAAUGCUAUACCAUUAUUCAUCCUGGAAUCAAACACCAUGUUAUUCUCGUUGUUCAAACCCCCAUUCUAGCUUCUGUCUAGUCAUGAAUGGUUGCCUACCCGUUUGGAACUUUGGUACCAUUGUAUAUUGCACUCAACGAAUUCUCUGAAAUACAACUCGUUGGGUACCUUGUGUAUUUCCCAUUCCGUUCACUGUCAGAUGCCUAGCCUUGUGGAGAUGCGUUCUUCCAGAGUUUUUCUCCUUGGUCGCGUUCGUAGGACGAUGGAGAUCCCGAAGAAAGGAUGACGAUUUGAUCAUGGUGCCUUGAAGCAGAGAAAUGAAGACAUCAACGAAAGAGAUCAACCUCUUCGAAAGGGGAGCCAAGACCAAGAAGACUCGUUAGGUUUUUCGCUACCAGCACCUUUCCCCCUUUCACUACCUCUUAAAUCUCGGGACGAGAUUUCUUGUAGUGGAGGAGACUUGUGACGCCCGGAUACUUAAGCUACAGUGAUCCCCGCUAAUGAUGCCACGUCACCUCGGUUACCGUGGAUAAACUCGCGUUAGUUCGAAACCUAGUUCGAAUUUCAAAUUUAAAACCGAGGCAAACAAUAAAAGUUUUAAAAUAUUAAACAAAAAUGUUCGGUGUGUGACCAAUAUUGCUAAAGUAAUUAUAUUGAAGAAAGCAUAAUUUUACAAAGUGCCUAAGUGCUUUAAACUAAAUAAAACAGAAAAGAAAAAGAAAUAAAAGAAAACAGAAAGCAAACUAACAAAAAAAAGAGAAAGGCCCCACUGAGCUUCGGCCCAGCAGGCCGGCCCAUUGGGCCACACCGACCGGCCCAACCCCUCCCCUCAAUAACCCCACCAGGAGAAACCCUAACUUACCCACUCCCCGAUCCCCACUCCCCCACUCUCCCCUCACUCCCCCGAUCUGGAUCGAGAUCGGGGCGACCACGCCACCGCCCAGGAUCGCUGUCACCGUUGCCUUCUCGCCCCCCCUCGCCUCGCGCGACCCCCACCUGAAGCCGGCGCCACCCGUCUCCGACCCUGUCGCCCUCGCUCGCCGCGACGACCGCACGCGGGCUCCUCAGAGCUCGCCGACCCCGCCCCGCACCAAGACGCCACCUCGCCAGCCUGCCUCCUCUACGCCGUCGUCGCCAUCUUCCUCCUCAACCCCCGUUGCCUAGACCCCACGCUCCCACGGUGAGCUUCUACGCCGAACGCGCCGUCCCUUGUCCCCCUUUCGACCUCGUCGGCCUAGUCGCCGCCGCCCCUAUAGUUCGUCCCGCACCUCUGUGUUCCGCCCUUGCCCGCGUGUCCCCGCGGCCCGUGCGCGCCGUGGCCGCGCCAUGCCUCACUCCGGGGACGCGCUCGCCGCGCCCGCGUCCUCCCGUGGCCGCGCCCGGAGUUCUGCUCCCCUGCGCCUGCUCCACUCCCUCCGCGCCCUGGCUGCACCCACCUGCACCCAGCCGCCCGUGCCUACUCCCGCCGCCACUCCCGCUGCUGCACGGCUCCGCCGCCCCGCGCCAAACCCCGAGCCCCACCCCGUGGCUGGCCUUGCCCAGUGCCCAGUCGGGCUCACGUCCACACCCGCACCGCCCUGUGCCCGCUAAGGCCUCCGUGCCUUUGACAUGUGGGGCCGCCCCCAGAACAUUUAAAAAAAAAGAAGAAUUAGAAAAAUAUUAAUUAAUUAAUUAGAUAAUUAAUUAACCUAAUUAGAUCUGCUAAUUAACUUGAUUAACUCUGAUUAGAUAACCUAAUGAUUAAUUAACUAGUUAAUUUGGUUUAGUUAAGCUGUGACUAUGACAAGUGGGACCCACGCAUAAGUUUGACUAAGUCAACAGGACUGUUGACUGUUGACUGGGCCUGCUGACCGUGCUGUUGACCCAGUCAAUGGCCCCAUCUGUCAGGUUGACCGGUCAACUCCGUUGACUGCUGACGUCAGCAUGACAUCAUGCUGAUGUCAUAAAUCCAUUUUCGAAUUAAAUUAAAUAGUUAAUUAAAUUCCAGAAAUUAAUAAAAUCUUUAGAAAAUCAUAUCUUUUAAAUCGUAACUCGGAUUAAAUUAUUUUCAACAAGAAAGUUGCUCAGAACGAUGAGACGAAUCCAGAAACGCAGCCCGUUCGUCUGCCACGCAUCCCUAACCUAUCGAACUCGCAACUUUCCCCCUCCGGCUCCUCUGCCCGAAAACACGAAACACCGGGGAUACUUUCUCGGAUGUUUCCCCCCUUCACCGGCAUCACCUCAUACCGCGUUAGGGCACGCCUAGCAUCACGCUUUGCUUUGUCAUGCAUCUGUUUGCAUUGUAUUCAUUGUUUCUUCCCCCUCUUCUUCCGCUAGACACCGAGACCAACGCUGCUGCUGCCCAGUUCGACUAAGGAGUUGACGACCCCUCUCUCUUGCCAGAGCAACCAGGCAAGCCCCCCUCCCCCUGAUCACCAGAUAUCGCCUACUCUCCUCUAUACUUCUUGCAUUAGAGUAGUGUAGCAUGUUACUGCUUUCCGUUACUCCUAUUCUGAUGCAUAGCCUGACAUUGUUGCUACAUCUGUUGAUACCUUACCUGCAAUCCUAAAUACUUAGUAUAGGAUGCUAGUUUAUCAUCAUUGGCCCUACAUUCUUGUCAGUCUGCCUUGCUAUACUAUUGGGACGUGAUCACUCGGGAGGUGAUCACGGGUAUAUACUAUACAUACAUACAUACUCUACAGAUUGUGACUAAUGUCGGGUCAGCUCGAUGAGUACCCGCAAGUGAUUCUGAUGAGGGGGCUGAAAGGACAGGUGGCUCCAUCCCGGUAGAGGUGGGCCUGGGUUCCCGACGGCCCCCGACUGUUACUUUGUGGCGGAGCGACAGGGCAGGUUGAGACCACCUAGGAGACAGGUGGGCCUGGCCCUGUUCGGCGUUCGCGGAUACUUAACACGCUUAACGAGAUCUUGGUAUUUGAUCUGAGUCUGGCUACUAGCCUAUACGCACUAACCAACUACGCGGGAACAGUUAUGGGCACUCGACAUCGUGGUAUCAGCCGAAGCCUUCUUGACGUCAGCGACGGAGCGGCGCGCGCCGGAUUGGACUGGAACGCCUACUCUUGUAUAAGAGAAGCUAGGUCUGCUUCUGGCCGCCCUCGCAACGUGCAGGUGUGCAAUGGGCGAUGGGCCCAGACCCCUGCGCGCAUAGGAUUUAGACCGGCGUGUUGACCUCUCUGUUGUGCCUAGGUGGGGCUGCGAUGUGUUGAUCUUCCGAGGCCGGGCAUGACCCAGGAAAGUGUGUCCGGCCAAAUGGGAUCGAGCGUGUUGGGUUAUGUGGUGCACCCCUGCAGGGAAGUUAAUCUAUUCGAAUAGCCGUGUCCCUCGGUAAAAGGACGACCCGACGUUGUACCUUGACCUUAUGACAACUAGAACCGGAUACUUAAUAAAACACACCCUUCCAAGUGCCAGAUACAACCCGGUGAUCGCUCUCUAACAGGGCGACGAGGAGAGGAUCGCCGAGUAGGAUUAUGCUAUGCGAUGCUACUGGAGAUGCUACUUGGAGAUGCUACUUGGAGGACUUCAAUCUACCCUCUUCUACAUGCUGCAAGACGGUGGCUGCAAGAAGCGUAGUCUUCGAUAGGACUAGCUAUCCCUGUUGGGUAACGUAGCAGAAAUUCAAAAUUUUCCUACGUGUCACCAAGAUCUAUCUAUGGAGAAACCAGCAACGAGGGGAAGGAGAGUGCAUCUACAUACCCUUGUAGAUCGCUAAGCGGAAGUGUUCAAGAGAACGGCGUUGAAGGAGUCGUACUCACCGUGAUCCAAAUCACCGGAGAUCCUAGUGCCGAACGGACGGCACCUCCGCGUUCAACACACGUACAGCCCGGUGACGUCUCCCACGCCUUGAUCCAGCAAGGAGAGAGGGAGAGGUUGAGGAAGACUCCAUCCAGCAGCAGCACAACGGCGUGGUGGUGAUGGAGGAGCGUGGUAGUCUACCAGGGCUUCGCCAAGCACCGCGAGAUAUGAGGAGAAGGGAGAGAGGUAGGGCUGCGCCAAGAGGAGAAGGGAGAGAUUCUCGUGUGUUGGGCAGCCCCUAGGCCUCAAGUAUUUAUAGGGGGAGGAGAGGGGGCUGCGCCCCCUCUAGGGUUCCCUCCCCAGGGGUGGCGGCAGCCCCCAGAUCCCAUCUGGGUGGCGGCAGCCCCCAGAUCCCAUCUGGGUGGCGGCCAGAAGGGGAGAGGGGGGAGGCGCACCCAGGGUGGGCCUUAGGGCCCAUUUGCCCUAGGGUUUGCCCCCCCUUCCCCACUUCCUGCACCUUGGGCCCUGUGGGGGGGCGCACCAGCCCACCUGGGGCUGGUCCCCUCCCACACUUGGCCCAUGCAGCCCUCCAAGGUUGGUGGCCCCACUUGUUGGACCCCCAGGACCCUCCCGGUGGUCCCGGUACGUUACCGGAAAAACUCGAAACUUUUCCGGUGACAAAAAUAGGACUUCCAAUAUAUAAAUCUUUACCUCCGGACCAUUCCGGAACUCCUCGUGAUGUCCGGGAUCUCAUCCGGGACUCCGAACAACAUUCGGUAACCACAUACAAACUUCCUUUAUAACCCUAGCAUCAUCGAACUUUAAGUGUGUAGACCCUACGGGUUCGGGAGACAUGUAGACAUGACCGAGACGUUCUCCAGUCAAUAACCAACAGCGGGAUCUGGAUACCCAUGUUGGCUCCCACAUGUUCCACAAUGAUCUCAUCGGAUGAACCACGAUGUCAAGGACUCAGUCGAUCCCGUAUACAAUUCCCUUUGUCUAACGGUAUUUUACUUGCCCGAGAUUCGAUCGUCGGUAUACCGAUACCUUGUUCAAUCUCGUUACCGGCAAGUCUCUUUACUCGUUACGUAACACAUCAUCCCGUGAUCAACCCCUUGGUCACAUUGUGCACAUUAUGAUGAUGUCCUACCGAGUGGGCCCAGAGAUACCUCUCCGUUUACACGGAGUGACAAAUCCCAGUCUCGAUCCGUGUCAACCCAACAGACACUUUCGGAGAUACCUGUAGUGCACCUUUAUAGUCACCCAGUUACGUUGUGACGUUUGAUACACCCAAAGCACUCCUACGGUAUCUGGGAGUUACACGAUCUCAUGAUCUAAGGAAGAGAUACUUGACAUUGGAAAAGCUCUAGCAAACGAACUACACGGUCUUUGUGCUAUGCUUAGGAUUGGGUCUUGUCCAUCACAUCAUUCUCCUAAUGAUGUGAUCCCAUUAUCAACGACAUCCAAUGUCCAUAGCCAGGAAACCAUGACUAUCUGUUGAUCACAACGAGCUAGUCAACUAGAGGCUCACUAAGGACAUAUUGUGGUCUAUGUAUUCACACGUGUAUUACGAUUUCCGGAUAAUACAGUUAUAGCAUGAAUAAAAGACAAUUAUCAUGAACAAGGAAAUAUAAUAAUAAUACUUUUAUUAUUGCCUCUAGGGCAUAUUUCCAACAGUCUCCCACUUGCACUAGAGUCAAUAAUCUAGUUCACAUCGCCAUGUGAUUAACACUCACAGGUCACAUCACCAUGUGACCAACAUCCAAAGAGUUUACUAGUGUCAUUAAACUAGUUCACAUCAUCAUGUGAUUAAGACUCAAUGAGUUCUGGGGUUUGAUCAUGUUUUGCUUGCAAGAGAGGUUUUUUGUCAAUGGGUCUGCAACUUUCAGAUCCGUAUGUACUUCGCAAAUUUCUGGGUCAUAUUGUAAAUGUUGCUUCCACGCUCCACUUGGAUCUAUUCCAAAUGGUUUCUCCACUAUACGUAUCCGGUUUGCUACUCAAAGUCACUCGGAUAGGUGUUAAAGCUUGCAUCGACGUAACCCUUUACGCCGAACUCUUUAUCACUUCCAUAAUCGAGAAACAUGUCCUUAUUUACUCCAAGGACAAUUUUGACCACUGUCCAAUGAUCCAUUCCUGGAUCAUUCUUGUACCCCUUGACUGACUCGUGGCAAGGCACACUUCCGGUGCGGUACACAGCAUAGCAUACUAUAGAGCCUAUGUCUGAAACAUAGGGGACGACCAUCGUCCUUUCUCUCUCUUCUGCCGUGGUCGAGCUUUAACUCUUAACUUCAUACCUUACAACUCAGGCAAGAACUCCUUCUUUAACUGAUCCAUCUUGAACACCUUCAAGAUCAUGUCAAGGUAUGUGCUCAUUUUGAAAGUACCAUUAAGCGUUUUUGAUCUAUCAUUAUAGAUCUUAAUGCUCAAUGCUCAAGUAGCUUCAUCCAGGUUUUCCAUUGAAAAACACUUUUCAAAUAACCCUAUAUGCUUUCUAGAAAUUCUACAUUGUUUCUGAUCAACAAUAUGUCAACAACAUAUACUCAUCAGAAAUUCUAUAGUGCUCCCUCUCACUUCUUUGGAAAUACAAGUUUCUCAUAAACAUUGUAUAAACAAAAAAUCUUUGAUCAUCUUAUCAAAGUACAUAUUCCAACUCCGAGAUGCUUACUCCAGUCCUUAGAAGGAUCGCUGGAGCUAGCAUACCUUUUAGCAUCCUUAGGAUAGACAAAACCUUUCUGAUUGUAUCACAUACAACCUUUCCUUACGAAAACCGGUAAGGAAGCUCGUUUUGACAUCCAUCUGCCAGAUUUUAUAAAUGCAGCUAAUGCUAACUUGAUUCCGACGGACUUAAGCAUCGCCACGGAUGAGAAAAUCUCAUCGUAGUCAACUCUUUGAACUUGUGAAAAAACUCUUCGCCACAAGUCGAGCUUCAUAGAUGGUGACAUUACCAUCCACGUCCAUCUUCUUCUUGAAGAUCCAUUUAUCUCAAUGGUUUGCCGAUCAUUGGGCAAGUCCACCAAAGUCCAUGCUUUGUUCUGAUACAUGGAUCCUAUCUCAGAUUUCAUGGCUUCUAACCAUUUGUCGGAAUUUGGGCCCACCAUCGCUUCUCCAUAUCUCGUAGGUUCAUUGUUGUCUAGCAACAUGACCUUCAAGACAGGAUUACUGUACCACUCCGAAGCAGUACACAUCCUUGUCACCCUACGAGGUACGGUAGUGACUUGAUCCGAAGUUUCAUGAUCACUAUCAUAAGCUUCUACUUCAAUUGGUGUAGGUGCCACAGGAACAACUUCCUGUGCCCUGCUACACACUAGUUGUAGUGACGGUUCAAUAACCACAUCAAGUCUCCACCAUCCUCCCACUCAACUUUUCGAGACAAACUUUUACUCGAGAAAGGACCCGAUUCAAGAAACAAUCCCUAUUGCUUUCGGAUCUGAAUUAGGAGGUAUACCCAACUUUUUUGGGUGUCCUAUGAAGAUGCAUUUUAUCCGCUUUGGGUUCGAGCUUAUCAACCUGAAACUUUUUCACAUAAGCGUCGCAGUCCCAAACCUUUAAGAAAUGACAGCUUAGGUUUCUCUAAACCAUAGUUCAUACGGUGUCAUCUCAACGGAAUUACGUGGUGCCCUAUUUAAAGUGAAUGUGGUUGUCUCUAAUGCCUAACCCAUAAACGAUAGUGGUAAUUCGAUAAGAGACAUCAUGGUACACACCAUGUCCAAUAGGGUGCAACUAUGAUGUUCGGACACACCAUCAAACUAUGGUGUUCCAGGCGGUAUUAAUUGUGAAACAAUUUCCACAAUGUCUUAAUUGCGUGCCAAAGCUCGUAACUCAGAUACUCAUCUCUAUGAUCAUAUCAUAGACAUUUCAUCCUCUUGUCACGAUGAUCUUCAACUUCACUCUGAAAUUACUUGAACCAUUCAAUAAUUCAGACUUGUGUUUCAUCAAGUAAAUAUACUCUACAUCUACUCGAAUCAUCUGUGAAGUAAGAACAUAACGAUAUUCACUGCAUGCCUCAGCACUCAUUGGACUGCACAUAUCAAAAUGUGUUACUUCCAACAAGUUGCUAUCUUGUUCCAUCUUACUGAAAACGAGGCUUUUCAGUCAUCUUGCCCAUGUGGUAUGAUUUGCAUAUCUCAAGUGAUUCAAAAUCAAGUGAGUCCAAACGAUCCAUCUGCAUGGAGUUUCUUCAUGCAUAUACAUCAAUAGACAUGGUUCGCAUGUCUCAAACAUUUCAAAAACGAGUGAGUCCAAAGAUCCAUCAACAUGGAGCUUCUUCAUGCGUUUUACUCCAAUAUGACUUACAUGGCAGUGCCACAAGUAAGUGGUACUAUCAUUACUAUCUUAUAUCCUUUUUGGCAUGAAAUUGUGUAUCACUACAAUCGAGAUUCAAUAAACCAUUCCUUUAGGUGCAAGACCAUUGAAGGUAUUAUUCAAAUAAAUAGAGUAACCAUUAUUCUCCUUAAAUGAAUAACCGUAUUGUGAUAGACAUAAUCCAAUCAUGUCUAUGCUCAACGCAAACACCAAGUCUCGAUGGUAGAGGGAGCGUGCGAUGCUUGAUCACAUCAACCUUGGAAACACUUCCAAUACAUAUCGUCAGCUCACCUUUAGCUAGUCUCCGUUUAUUCCGUAGCUUUUAUUUCGAGUUACUAACACUUAGCAACCGAACCGGUAUCUAAUACCCUGGUGCUACUAGGAGUACUAGUAAAGUACACAUUAACAUAAUGUAUAUCCAAUAUACUUCUAUCGACCUUGCCAGCCUUCUCAUCUACCAACUAUCUAGGGUAAUUCUGCUCCAGUGGUUGUUCCCCUUAUUACAGGAGCACUUAGUCUCGGGUUUGGGUUCAACCUUGGGUUUCUUCACUAGAGCAGCAGCUGAUUUGCCGUUUCAUGAAGUAUCCCUUCUUGCCCUUGCCCUUCUUGAAACUAGUGGUUUCAUCAACAAUUGAUGCUCCUUCUUGAUUUCUACUUUCGCAGUGUCAAACAUCGUGAAUACCUUAAGGAUCAUCAUAUCUAUCCCUGAUAUGUUAUAGUUCAUCACGAAGCUCUAGCAGCUUGGUGGUAAUGACUUUGGAGAAACAUCACUAUCUCAUCUGGAAGAUUAACUCCCACUCGAUUCAAGUGAUUGUUGCACUCAGACAAUCUGAGCACAAGCUCAAUGAUUGAGCUUUUCUCCGUUAGUUUGCAGGCUAAGAAAAUCGUCGGAGGUCUCAUACCUCUUGACGUGGGCACGAGCCUGAAAUCUCAAUUUCAGCCCUCGAAACAUCUCAUAUGUUCCGUGACAUUUCGAAAACGUCUUUGGUGUCUCAACUCUAAACCAUUUAACUGAACUAUCACGUAGUUAUCAAAACGUGUAUGUCUGAUGUUCGCAACAUCCACAAACGACGUUUGGGGUUCAGCACACUGAGCGGUGCAUUAAGGACAUAAGCUUUCUACUGUCCGCAUAAUCGCUAUUGUCAACUUUCAACUAUAUUUUCUCUAGGAACAUAUCUAAACAGUGGAACUAAAGCGCGAGCUUACGACAUAAUUUGCAAAGAUCUUUUGACUAUGUUCAGGAUAAUUAAGUUCAUCUUAUGAACUCCCACUCAGAUAGACAUCCCUCUAGUCAUCUAAGUGAUUACAUGAUCUGAGUCAACUAGGCCGUGUCCGAUCAUCACGUGAGACGGACUAGUCAUCAUCGGUGAACAUCUUCAUGUUGAUUGUAUCUACUAUACGACUCACGCUCGACCUUUCGGUCUCCGUGUUCCGAGGCCAUGUCUGUACAUGCUAGGCUCGUCAAGUUAACCCUAAGUGUUUUGCGUGUGUAAAUCUGUCUUACACCCGUUGUAUGUGAACGUAAGAAUCCAUCACACCCGAUCAUCACGUGGUGCUUAGAAGCGACGAACUUUAGCAACGGUGCACAGUUAGGGGAGAACACUUCUUGAAAUUUUGUAAGGGAUCAUCUUAUUUACUACCGUCGUUCUAAGUAAACAAGAUGCAUAAACAUGAUAAACAUCACAUACAAUCAAAUAGUGACAUGAUAUGGCCAAUAUCAUUUUGCUCCUUUUGAUCUCCAUCUUCGGGGCUCCAUGAUCAUCAUCGUCACCGGCAUGACACCAUGAUCUCCAUCAUCGUGUCUCCAUGAAGUUGUCUCGCCAACUUAUUACUUCUACUACUAUGGCUACCGGUUAGCAGUCAUACAAUAAAUAAAGACAACUCCUACGGCUCCUGCCGGUUGUCAUACUCAUCGACAUGCAAGUCGUGAUUCCUAUUACAAGAACAUGAUCAAUCUCAUACAUCACAUGUCAUUCAUCACAUUCUUCUCGGCCAUAUCACAUCACAUAGCAUACCCUGCAAAAACAAGUUAGACGUCCUCUAAUUGUUGUUGCAUGUUUUACGUGGUUGCUAUGGGUUUCUAGCAAGAACAUUUCUUACCUACGCAAAACCACAACGUGAUAUGCCAAUUGCUAUUUACCCUUCAUAAGGACCCUUUUCAUCGAAUCCGUUUCGACUAAAGUGGGAGAGACUGGCACCCGCUAGCCACCUUAUGCACGAAGUGCAUGUCAAUCGGUGGAACCUGUCUCACGUAAGAGUACGUGUAAGGUCGGUCCGGGCCGCUUCAUCCCACAAUACCGUCGAAACAAGAUUGGACUAGUAAAGGUAAGCAUAUUGAACAAAAUCAACGCCCACAACUACUUUGUGUUCUACUCGUGCAAAGAAUCUACGCAAUAGACCUAGCUCUGAUACCACUGUUGGGUAACGUAGCAGAAAUUCAAAAGUUAAAAACGUGUCACCAAGAUCUAUCUAUGGAGAAACCAGCAACGAGGGGAAGGAGAGUGCAUCUACAUACCCUUGUAGAUCGCUAAGCGGAAGCGUUCAAGAGAACGGGGUUGAAGGAGUCGUACUCGCCGUGAUCCAAAUCACCGGAGAUCCUAGUGCCGAACGGACGGCACCUCCGCGUUCAACACACGUACAGCCCGGUGACGUCUCCCACGCCUUGAUCCAGCAAGGAGAGAGGGAGAGGUUGAGGAAGACUCCAUCCAGCAGCAGCACAAUAGCGUGGUGGUGAUGGAGGAGCAUGGUAGUCUAGCAGGGCUUCGCCAAGCAUCGCGAGAUAUGAGGAGAAGGGAGAGAGGUAGGGCUGCGCCAAGAGGAGAAGGGAGAGAUUCUCGUGUGUUGGGCAGCCCCUAGGCCUCAAGUAUUUAUAGGGGGAGGGGAGGGGGCUGCGCCCCCUCUAGGGUUCCCUCCCCAGGGGUGGCGGCAGCCCCCAGAUCCCAUCUGGGUGGCGGCCAGAAGGGGAGAGGGGGGAGGCGCACCCAGGGUGGGCCUUAGGGCCCAUCUGCCCUAGGGUUUGCCCCCCUUCCCCACUUCUUGCGCCUUGGGCCCUGUGGGGGGCGCACCAGCCCACCUGGGGCUGGUCCCCUUCCACACUUGGCCCAUGCAGCCCUCCAAGGUUGGUGGCCCCACUUGGUGGACCCCCGGGACCCUCCCGGUGGUCCCGGUACGUUACCAGAAAAACCCAAAACUUUUCCGGUGACCAAAAUAGGACUUCCAAUAUAUAAAUCUUUACCUCCGGACCAUUCCGGAACUCCUCGUGAUGUCCGGGAUCUCAUCCGGGACUCCGAACAACAUUCGGUAACCACAUACAAACUUCCUUUAUAAUCCUAGUGUCAUCGAACCUUAAGUGUGUAGACCCUACGGGUUCGGGAGACAUGUAGACAUGACCGAGACGUUCUCCGGUCAAUAACCAACAGCUGGAUCUGGAUACCCAUGUUGGCUCCCACAUGUUCCACGAUGAUCUCAUCGGAUGAACCAUGAUGUCAAGGACUCAGUUGAUCCCGUAUACAAUUCCCUUUGUCUAACGGUAUUUUACUUGCCCGAGUUUCGAUCGUCGGUAUACCGAUACCUUGUUCAAUCUCGUUACCGGCAAGUCUCUUUACUCGUUCCGUAACACAUCAUCCCGUGAUCAACCCCUUGGUCACAUUGUGCACAUUAUGAUGAUGUCCUACCGAGUGGGCCCAGAGAUACCUCUCCGUUUACACGGAGUGUCAAAUCCCAGUCUCGAUCCGUGUCAACCCAACAGACACUUUCGGAGAUACCUGUAGUGCACCUUUAUAGUCACCCAGUUACGUUGUGACGUUUGAUACACCCAAAGCACUCCUACGGUAUCCGGGAGUUACACGAUCUCAUGGUCUAAGGAAGAGAUACUUGACAUUGGAAAAGCUCUAGCAAACGAACUACACGAUCUUUGUGCUAUGCUUAGGAUUGGGUCUUGUCCAUCACAUCAUUCUCCUAAUGAUGUGAUCCCGUUAUCAACGACAUCCAAUGUCCAUAGCCAGGAAACCAUGACUAUCUGUUGAUCACAAUGAGCUAGUCAACUAGAGGCUCACUAGGGACAUAUUGUGGUCUAUGUAUUCACACGUGUAUUACGAUUUCCGGAUAAUAUAGUUAUAGCAUGAAUAAAAGACAAUUAUCAUGAACAAGGAAAUAUAAUAAUAAUACUUUUAUUAUUGCCUCUAGGGCAUAUUUCCAACAAUCCCCCUCUUAUUCUGGCAUUCUGUAGUUCAGUCCACUGAUAUGGCCUCCUUACACAUAUACCCAUGCAUAUGUAUUGUAGUUCCUUGCUUGCGAGUACUUUGGAUGAGUACUCACGGUUGCUUUCUCCCCCCUUUUCCCCCCUUUCCUUUCUUUCUGGUUGUUGCAACCAUAUGCUGGAGUCCAGGAGCCAGACGCCACCGUCGACGACGACCCCUACUACACUGGAGGUGCCUACUACUACGUGCAGCCCGCUGAUGACGACCAGGAGUAGUUAGGAGGAUCCCAGGCAGGAGGCCUACGCCUCUUUCGAUCUGUAUCCCAGUUUGUGCUAGCCUUCUUAAGGCAAACUUGUUUAACUUAUGUCUGUACUCAGAUAUUGUUGCUUCCGCUGACUCGUCUAUGAUCGAGCACUUGUAUUCGAGCCCUCGAGGCCCCUGGCUUGUAUUAUGAUGCUUGUAUGACUUAUUUAUGUUUUAGAGUUGUGUUGUGUUAUCUUCCCGUGAGUCCCUGAUCUUGAUCGUACACAUUUGCGUGCAUGAUUAGUGUACGAUUGAAUCGGGGGCAUCACAAUCUUCACAUACCAUCGUAGGGAGCAUAGCAUAAAUCUGAUCUGCUGACAAUCUUUGUACGUCGUGCCCUUGCAUCGUGGCCCGGCCCAACAUGAACCGGUUCUUCUUAGCCCACCUCGAUACACGUUGCGAGGCAGUUUUAUUGGCACGCCCUGCCAAAGCAGAGAUCGUGUUCCCCUUAUUAUGGGAUCUUCCAUCAAUACGGGCCUGCGCAACCCCAUGACGACUGUUGGUAUGACUCCGUGUUUUUAGAUAAGUCUCAAGCGGUCACACUGAGGACUCUUGAUAUUCACCCCUUAUAAAGGGGUCGAGGCCUAUACCUCUUUUCCACCACCCUUGCGCCCUUUCGCAUCUCGAGUUCUAACACCCGAGACCCAAACUCAAACACCCCAGAUCCUCCAAUAUGUCCGGAUCCAACCCUCAAGGCCGGUGGGUGGCCUCCUUGGUCAAAGAGGAGGACAUUGCGAGGCUUAGGGAGGUCGGAUAUCUGACUGCCGACAUCCAGCACAGGCUUCUUGCUCCAGGGCAAGUCAUCCCUACUCCCGAGCCUAAUGAGAGCGUCGUAUUUGUUCCUCACUUCCUUCGUGGCUUGAGCCUCAUCCUUGAUCCCUUUGUGAGGGGGCUUAUGUUCUAUUACGGGUUAGAUUUUCACGGUCUAGCUCCGGACGCUAUCCUCCACAUCUCGUCGUUCAUCAUUGUGUGCGAGGCUUUUCUCGACGUCACUCGACACUUCGGCUUAUGGCUCAAGACCUUCAAUGUGAAGCCGAAGAUGAUCGAGGGGAGACAUGCGGAGUGCGGAGGUGCCAUAAUAAGCAGGAACGCCGAUGCCCCAUGGCCAGAGGGUUCUUUCCCAGAGGUACCCGAUUUAUGGCAGCGAAGGUGGUUUUACGUCAUGGCUCCUAGAGGCACAAAGUGGGUGGCUGCCCCCGACUUCCGCUCAGGCCCUCCGUCACAACUGGCGUCAUGGACCAAUGUAGGACGGGAUUGGGGGUCUGCUAGUGAUGUACAAACACUGCAGAGCCGUAUCCGGGAGCUUCUUGAGAGGGACUUUAAGCUUGUCAGCAUAAUUCAGGUAAUGCUAAUCCGACGGAUGUUGCCGUGCAAACACCGGCCUCUCCGGAUGUGGGAGUUCAAUCCAGAGGGUCCGCGGACUAUUCUGUACUUCUCGGCCUAACACUCGAAGGGAUGUGUCCGAACACCACCGAGGAUGCGGGCCUAAGCUGCAAUCGCCUAGAUACCCAAGUAAGUAACCCCGAAACCGGACACUUUGUUUAUAUUUGUCAUAAUCAUCAUUCUGAAAAUCCUCCGUGGCCAGGAAUGGCUCGACAAGGCGGAGAGAAUCAGGUCUCCGGUGCCACUUCCCGAAGGCUCGCCUAGUCCCACCGUAGCCAAGAUGCUUGGCCGGGUGCUUAGAAAAAUGCCCUCAGGGAAAGACGAAGGGAAGAACAGAGAAGCUGAACUUCACACACUGCGCAUCCAAACCGGGGGAAUUGCUACCUCCCCAAAGGAGGAUAGUCGGGGAGGGGAAUCUAAGGCCUCCUCCCUGCACGGGAAGAAGAGGGCCGCCUUCGAAGACUUGGAGACGGAGAUGCCCAAACAGGGGAAGAAAGCGUCACCAGGGGGCCCUGCCCUGAAGGGCGCCCUCACCGCGUCAUGCCCGCCAACGGUCCAGGCCUCAACCGAGCUGUAAGUUAACCGUAAAUUCAAAGGUACUGCUUUUCUCCGAGUACAAUAACCAGGAUCCAUUCUUUGCAGUCCGGCUAGCAGCUCUUCUCGACAGAGUUCGUCUUCGGGGGAUCUCCCUCCGGAGAUGAUGUAGAGUGAGACCCCACCAACCUCUCCGCCUCAUGAGGCGUGGGACCCCGAGGUGUCGUCACGGAGGAGUCCGGAUCUGCCGAAGCCAGAAGCUACUCCUUCGGCCGCCCUGAGCCUGGAGCGUUCGGCUCCCACGGGGGGCGAUGAGAAGGGUCCGACACAGGUUGGUGUCCGGGCGGACACACUGACAGGCCUUCUGGAGCGAGCUGCUCUCUUGGAAGAGCACCGCUCAUUAAUUAGCACGGUGCUCAAGAAGAUUUCAUCCGCCACAAGCGGUUUGAAUGAAGCAUUUACGAGCCUGCUCAGAGGCUUUGAGGUAUGUAAUGAAAAAUACAUGAUUUUUUGGCUGUGAGGCACGCGCUAGAUGUGCUCCAUAUGGAUAGUAGCCCCUGAGACUCUGGUUGCCCGCCCUAGGCGGCAAACGGAGGAUCAUAUUGUGUAAGUAAUGAUUGCGCUGUAUAUAUGCGCAGGUGUCUAAGGAUCCGGCAGCCGACCAGUCCGUUGAAGUUGCCGAACUAAGGAGGCAUAUUGGAGCUAUUGAUGCCAAUAUCACGCUGGUGAACGAGCGGCUGAACGAGUCACAAGGUAUGUGCUUUGCUUUCCUUAUUAUGUUGUAUAGCAAAAUUUGAGAGGGGCAUAAUAUUAAUGUGAUAUGCUUGGACUACAGAUGGUGCUGCUGCUGUGGAAGCCCUGAGGGCGGAACUUGCCCAGGCCAAGGAACAAGCUUGGGCUAGCAAUGCGGCUGCCCAAAAGGCGGCCGAAGAGUUGAGAGCCGAACAGGCUGCUCAUCGCCGAAGCGAAGACAAGAUAGCCGAAAUGGCUGUGGAGCUGAAAAAUGCCGCCGACCGGUAUGAGCUCCUUGAAAAGGAGAAUCAGGUUAAUUCGGCUGACCUGAACAAGGCACUUAAUGCCGCCAAGGAGAUGCGGACCGAAAUCAGGGAUGUGCGGGAGGAGCUUCGACAGGCCGGAAAAAUCGCGGCUGGAAACCCCUACUUAUUGUGGAUGAAGUUUUUGGAUCCGAAGUAUGCUCCCCUAGAUCGAUGCUGGAGUCCUGUAGACGUGUAUGCGGACUUGGCGAAGAGUACGGCUGAUGCGGCCAAGUUUUUCGAGGAUCAAGGUGAUAAAGAAGUGGAUAAGUUGUUCUGGUCACAAUUCAAUGCUCCCGCGCGCCCAUUACCGUUGAGUGAGAAGAUGGCUGCUGUUGCUAAGCUUCAUAGGUUGUCCGAUCUUGCGAUGCGGUCUGUAAUAGACCAUCUUUGGCUGAAGGAGCCGAAGCCAGACAGUUAUUUUGGUUUAGUGCAACAAUUCCUUGGUGCCGUAUCACGGAUCGAUGCCAUGAGAAGGUCAGCGUGUAUAGAGGGUGCACGAAUGGCCCUUGCCCGCGUUAAAGCAUAUUGGACAGAUAUGGAGGCCACCAUCGUUGUGACCCGAAUCCGACGGGAGGCCAGGAUCCGGCCAAGCACUACUUGGAGCAGGUAACAGAAGGUGCUUGUUUAAUAGAGGCGCGGUGCUCGAAGAAUGUCUUGUUCGAGUGACAAAUCAUGUCAUUGUAAAAACAAUGUUAUUUUGAUUACAAGGCUAUAUUUAUACUUUUUGCCCGAAAGUAUUAUUGUGCCUCCCGUCGGCCAUUUUUAUGUAUAUGUGUAAUCUGAAAGUUAGCAGUCGUUGGCUUCAGCCCCCACGCAUAAAAUGCGGGGGUGUUCGCGAAAAAUAUGCGUAAUCACACUUGAUCGAAUGUCUUGGUCUAUUAAGGAGGUGAUCGCACGUCGAACUAGGCAACCGGACUAUACAGCUGUAACACUUUCACUUAGCCAUAGGAGUUUGAUGGUGGGGCUACUAUGUAGCCCCUGGUACCUUCGCGUGCACCCGAAUACGGGCGCGUGUGUACAUGAGCAGGAAACAGUCCUUCAUUAAUGUGGAGGAAUCCUAAAGAUUCCGAUAGGUCUUCGAGUGGUUGAACAGUCUCUCGCUAUAUCAUGACAGUCAGUUUUCGGCUUUCUCUACUGAGGUGCUCAUCCGAAAUAACCAGGGCACAAUCGCAGUAGUUCUCCUUUGGCUACCUUAACCGAUAAGAACGGAACGUAAGGCGGCAAACCCAGGAGCCGGGAAACCCCAACAUUUGACCAAAGACAUGAUUCGGAGCUGAUGCCUAUAAGGCCAAACUCGCGACACCGAACACUCCCGAAGGUAUUCGGACUUUAUGACAUAUACUGGGCUGAGUAACGCCCUUUAUUAUGAACCGUGUAUUUCCAGGUACGUGCAUUAGUCUGUCGUGGCGAAAUGCCAAUAAUGGCAGUAUCCUCUGUGGGUGUAGUACCCAUGGGAUGUAUCAACAACAAGAGGCAAUAAAAAAGGUUUACACAUGGGCUUAAUCUAAAGAGAAACCUUUGAGCGGGGCCCUGCUGCACGUCUGUGCCUUUGUCUCCGUUGUGCCGUGUCCUGGAAGGGUAUCGCAUGAAUAGUGUCUGUAGAAAGAAAAACUCAUGUAGAAGAGCAUAACGUGAGCAUGUGAUGGAUAAUAAAAGUGUAAGACAUUGGCCUGUAAAUAAGGUCAAGCCAACAGUGGGGCUUUAUUAAAUAUUUAUAGCCCCUGGUGUCCUUUAUGGGAUUACAUAUAUGGCGCCCUAGCUCAGGUUUAUCCGGGCUGCCGGACUCGUCUAACCGUGUCCGUGGUCUUAACGACCAGCCAUGCUUUCUGGUGUUAGAGGCCGCUUAGAGUCCGGCUGCUAGAGCCGUCGCAUAUUCCACCGCGCGUGCGGGGCGCUCUAUGUUUCCGUUAACGGUGAUGACGCCUCGUGGACUAUGCAUCUUGAGUGUGAGGUAGGCGUAUUGCAGUACUGCGUUGAAGCGGGCGAAUGCCGUUAUCCUGAGCAAUGCGUGAUAGCCGCUUUGGAGGGGGGUGAUGGUGAAGAGUAGUUCUUCGCUUCUGGAGUUGUCGGGGGAACCGAAUGUUACCUCCAGUAUGAUGCAGCCCCUGCCGUGGGCUUCAACGCCUAGUAUCACCCCUUCAAAGGUGGUGUUGCUUUGGCUGAUUCUAGAUGGGUCUAUCCCCAUCCUGCGGACAGUGUCCUGGUAUAUUAAAUUGAGACUACUGCCACCGUCCAUGAGGACGUGAGUAAGAUGGUAUCCGUCGAUUAUUGGGUCGAGCACCAAGGCAUCUGAUCCUCUACGCUGAAUACUAGUCAGGCAGUCCAUGUGAUCGAAAGUGAUCGGACAAGCCGACCAGUGGUUAGGUUUGGGUAUGACGGGCUCUAUAGCGUAUGCGUCUCUGAGCACGCAUUCGUGCCUUCUCGUGGAUGUGUGAGUCGCGUGGAUCAUGUUUACUGUUUUUACCUCUGGUGGGAUUUUUUUCUGUCCCCCGGUGUUCGGCUGGCGAGGCUCAUCCUCGUCUUCACUUGGUGUUUCCCUUCCCUUGUGUUCGGCAUUUAAUUUUCUGGCCUUCUUGAAGACCCGUCAUUCUCUGUGAGUGUGGUUCGCAGGUUUGUCGGGGUGCCAUGAAUUUGGCACAGUCUGUCCAGGACUCUGUUCAGACCGGACAGUCCCUCUUUGUUGUCUUUACAUGGCUUCUUUUGCUGACCAGGUCGAGAGCCCCUGAAUCCGGCGUUGGCCGCUGUGUUGCCCGGGCUCUCUUCCUUGUUUUGACGUUUGUUUUUAUUGUGCCGUGGCUUCCCGUUGCCAUCCCUUAUUUCGGAUGUGCUUGGGUCACUGGUGCCUUUACGGGCCAACCAGCUAUCUUCACCCGCGCAAAAGUGUGUCAUAAGGCUUGUUAAGGCUGCCAUUGUCCUUGGCUUUUCUUGGCCGAGGUGUCUGGCGAGCCACUCGUCUCGGAUGCUGUGUUUGAAGGCCGCUAAGGCUUCGGCAUCCGGACAAUCAACAAUUUGAUUCUUCUUAGUGAGGAAUCUGUUCCAAAGCUUGCGGGCAGACUCUCCGGGCUGUUGGAUUAUGUGACUUAAAUCGUCCGCAUCCGGAGGCCGGACAUAAGUCCCUUGAAAAUUGGCCCUGAAAGCGUCCUCGAGUUCCUCCCAACUUCCAAUUGAAUUUUUGGGGAGGCUUUUCAACCAGUGUCAAGCUGGCCCCUUCAACUUGAGGGGAAGGUAUUUGAUGGCGUGGAGGUCGUCCCCACGAGCCAUGUGUAUAUGCAGGAUAAAAUCCUCGAUCCAGACCCCUGGGUCUGUUAUUCUGUUGUAUGCCUCUAUGUUCACAGGUUUAAAACCCUGUGGAAAUUCAUGGUCCAGUACUUCUUCGGUGAAGCACAGGGGGUGAGUAGCCCUCUGUAUCUGGACGUGAUGUGGCAUGCCGUCGGCUGUUGUUGUGUCCGGUGUUGAUUCCGAACUAGUAUCUGAUCGGUAUGAUCAUUUUGGUGACCAUAGUCCUGCGCCGGGGAGUGUCCUUUGGAUCCAUAGAUGGACCUAUCCGCGCCGGCUUUCUUAUCCAGGAGCUCAUGUAAAUCGUGUACGGCGUCGGUAGCUGCUCUGUUGCGGUUAUGAAGUGGUUUGUCCGGCCUACAGGCCAUGUUAUUCUUUGGUGGAACGGCCUCGUCAUUGAAUUCUGGCAGCAACUUGCGUUUUGGAUAGCUCUUUGUAUGGCGAUCAUCGCCGUACUUUUCUUCAGUGUCUAGCACUUUAUUCCAUCUACGAUUGAGCGUUUCCUGUGCGGCCUUUAGCCGUUGCUUCUGCUUCUUUAGACUUCUCGCAGCGGCCAUAAGCCUUCUGUGGAGGUUAUCUUGUUCCAAGCGUGUUUCCGGGAUGAUGAAUGCAUCGUCAUCCGGACUGUGUUCUUGUUCCGGGGCGGUUUGAUGAAUUCGUCCCUCGGGAUCAUUGAUAUUGGGUAUCUGCUCCGAGCUGUGUUCAGUGUGACCUGGCUCAUCCUGCUCCAUUGCUGGGUCCAUAUGGUCGUUGUUGUCUUCGGAGUUGACUGGGGUGUCGAUCUUUCUGGCGCUCUUAUCGCUAUUUUUACUGUUGCUGGACUUGGAGCGGCGUCUAUGUCGUCGUUUUGGCUUUUUCCCGAGAGUUUUAUCUUCCGGAUUGUCGCCGUCGUUCUCCUUAUGCGUAUCCACCAUGUAUAUAUCGUAUGACGAGGUGGCAGUCCAGCGCCUUAGUGAUUCUGAAUCGUCUCCUGCGCCGACGUCAUACCGUCGGUAUCAUCAGAGUCGAAGUCAAGCAUAUCUGAUACAUCGUCGAUAGUGGCUAUGAAGUGGGUGGUGGGUGGGAAACGAAUUCCUUCGUCGCCUGCUUCCCAUUCGAGCCGGAUGAUAACCCACAAGUGUAGGGGAUCGCAACAGCUUUCGAGGGUAAAGUAUUCUACCCAAAUUUAUUGAUUCGACACAAGGGGAGCCAAAGAAUAUUCUUGAGUAUUAGCAGUUGAGUUGUCAAUUCAACCACACCUGGAUAACUUAGUAUCUGUAGCAAAGUAUUUAGUAGCAAAAGUGGUAUGAUAAUAAAGGUAACGGUAGCAAAAGUAAAGAUAAAUGUUUUUGGGUUUUUGUAGUAGUUGUAAUAGUAGCAACGGAAAAGUAAAUAAGCGAAGAACAAUAUGUGAAAAGCUCGUAGGCAAUGGAUCAGUGAUGGAUAAUUAUGCCGGAUGCGAUUCCUCAUGCAAUAGUUAUAACAUAGGGUGAUGUCGUGGUUCUAAGCCUGACAGUAGAGUGGGGGUAGGUAUGGAGAGGCAAGGUCCUAGCUAUGGAGAGGUUGUAAACACAAGGGAUGUACGAGUUCAGGCCCUUCUCGGAAGAAGUAAUAGCCCUACGUCUCGGAGCCCGGAGGCGGUCGAGUGGAUUAUGAGUAUAUGAGUUACAAGGUGCCGAACCCCUCUGCCUGUGGAGGGGGGUGGCUUAUAUAGAGUGCGCCAGGACCCCAGCCAGCCCAUGUAGGAGAGGGUUUACGGUGAGUUAAGUCUGGGGCGUUACUGGUAACGCCCCACAUAAAGUGUCUUUACUAUCAUAAAGCCUACUUAAUUACAGACCGUUGCAGUGCAGAGUGCCUCUUGACCUCCCGGUGGUCGAGUGAGUCUUCGUGGUCGAGUCCUUCAAGUCAGUCAAGUGAAUCCCUCGUUGGUCGACUGGAAGGCGACCUCUUCUAAGGGUGUCCUAGGGUAAGUUCGUGACCCUACCCUAGGUACAUGACCCCAUCAUUAGCCCCCGAAUGGAUUGAGGCUUCGAGUGAGGAAGGAGUUGAUGUCGUUUCCGAUUAACCUUUGCGCUCUGGUCGUGCGUUGUUCUGGACCAAAGAAUCUCUUCGUCGAUGGUGAGCAACUUGUCUUCAGUCGACUCGAUUCAUUCUCUUCUUUCGUCGAGUGAUCUUUCGGGCUUCGACGAUCCCCGAGCGACGGAUCGCGGGAAACCCCGCGUCUGACAGACUGAUCUGCCGUUCGCAGAUUCCGCGGGAUGCGAAAUUUGGGGACGCGCGCGAAGCGGAGCGGACCGCGGCGUUCGGAUGGGACGGGACAUAGACGCCUCGAUCUCCGCGCCGCUUUCUUCGCCACGUAUCCCGUCUGCAUAACUGCUCCCGGAUAUGAUUAGAUCGACCGGGCCCACCUGUCAUCCACUCGGAAGGGACCUUAUAAAUGCGCCCGGCGAGGAUUUCUGUGCUGUGCCUCAGCAUUCUCUCUCUCUCUGCUCCCUUCGUCCCCGUCCAGCGCGCUCGCUCUCGCCCUCGCACAACUUCCCUUCGCGCAUCUCGCCGGCAACCAUGGCCAAGGAGAAGACGGCGGCGCUGGAACGUGCGAAGAAGGCGUCGGUGUCGGAGAAGGCAAAGGGGAGAUCUACCAGCCGCGGCGGGUCCUCGUCCAAAUCCCGCCUGCCUAAGGGCUGGGUCCAAGGAGACUGGAUCCAGUCGACCAUCACAGAGAAAGACCUCCUCGACAUGGCCAACGAGGGCUUGAUCCCUCAUGGAGCUGCGAGGCUUCCGGGGAAGGAGUGGCAGCCCCAGCCAGAAGAGGGUGAGUGUGUGCUCUUGGCCACCCAUGUUGAUCGUGGAUUUUCUUUGCCGCCGAGUAUUUUCUUCCGUGGCUUCUUGAACUUCUUUGGAGCGCAGCUCCACCACUUUACCCCAAAUUCUAUCGCCUAUCUUGCCGCAUUCGUGUCCAUGUGUGAGGGUUUCCUGGGUUGUCGACCGCACUGGGGUUUGUUCAAGCAUAUAUUCAUAUGUCGCUCUCAGACCGUGAAGAAGGCGAGCCCAGGCGAUGAAAGAACCCGAGUCGUCCAAAUGUGUGGGGGUCUGGGGAUCCAGGUGAGGAAUAAGAGCACCUUCCCGCCCAUGACCUUUCCCGAGUCAGUCAGAGGCUGGCAGUCGACUUGGUUCUACUGCCAGGACCAGUCGACGCCGGGGCAGUCGAGUGGACUCCCUCAGUUUACCAUGGACCGAGUGAACAAGCCCUCCUCUCUGAAGUUGAUUCCGGAGGAGAAAGCUGACGUGAAGAUGUUGAUGGAGCGCGUGGUGCAGUUGGUUCGGGAGGGAGUGACGGGCAUGGAUCUCCUGGAGGUCUUCCUUAGGCGUCGCAUCCAGCCCCUUCAGUUCCGGAGCCACUGCAUGUGGUUGUACUGUGGGACUGAAGACGAGACUAGAGUCCAUCCAGAAGCAGUCGACGACGUCACUCUGGAAAGAUGGAUGGUAGCCGUUACCGGAAACAAGUAUAACCCACGCGGAGCCAGAAGGAUCCCUCCACUCGACCACAACAGCGAUCCAAACAAGGUACGUUUGCUCUGCUCUCCACUGUGUUCUUGUUCACAUUCAUUUCGGUUUAUCCUGUCGACUGGUCGAUUGAUCCUUGUCUUGAUGUCUGCUAGGCCCUCACCGAGCUGUACUCGAUGCCCAAUGGGGCACAAGCUCCGACUGAGGAGGGUGAGGCGAGUGGGGGCGAGAGCCAGGAAGAGGAGGAAUGGGACUCGGACGUUGCAGAGGAUGAUGACGACGAUGAUGAUGAUGACGGUGAUGAAGAUGACGUUGAGGACGAGGAAGAAGAGGAGGAGGAGGUCGUACCACCGCGCUCGGAAAGGCGGUCGAAGCUUGUCCACGACCCUUCGACUGAACGUGGCAAGGGGGUUGCGACCGUUGUUCAGUCGACCAAGCGCCCUCGGACCACCUCUCCGGUGCCGACUGAAAAGGCGCCGAAGCAGCCCAGGGCGGCCCCGUCGAAGACGAUUAAGCUCCUACCGAAGAUGAAGGUGUCCAUCCCCACCAUAUCAGGGUAAUCGUGCUGCUUGAAUCUUCUUAUUUUGUGUGAACUUUGUCUCUGGUCGACGCUGAAGUUAGUCGACUGAUCCUUUGGAGUUGCAGUGCUGCUACUUCUGAAACCUCAGCCCGGGCUGAUGACCAUGAGAUGGAGGACGCAGCAACUUCAAAACUAGGUACUGUAUUCUUAACGCCGUUCUUAGUCGACUGACUCACGAUCUCUGAUCCUGAUUCUUCUCCGUAGCUCCACCCAAUGCUGUUAUCAAUCUCCCUGAUGAUGAUGAGGAUGAAGAACCACUGAAGCGCAGGAGGAGUAGGAAAGCGUCCGCCAGCAAGGUGCCCCGGGAUGUGACGGCGCCUGAGAUUCUGAUUGCGGAGGAAGAGAACACCACUCGACACACGGUGUCCUUCGCAGAUCCAUUGACAAGUGCUCAGCAGCCCUCCCUCUUCACGACGCACCACGUCCCAGAGGACCAAGCUGGCGCGGCGAAGGAAGCGAUACGCCAGGCGGGAAUCAUGAUGGAGCAGUUGAAGACCAUCCGGGAUGCGAGCCAGGCAGCUUAUGACGCCAGUUCUGCCCUUCAAAGCAAUGUUCAGGUCAGUCGACCACCGUUUGUUCUGUUGGAUAUGCUACCAAAAACUUUUCCUUUCCGGAAUUUAUAGUAGUCACCCAGUGGGUGUGUCGAUUAAACUCCGUGUUAGCGGGGGCACGCUGAGUGCACCCGCUGGGUGUAGUCCCCAAGGCUAAGGUCGACUGCUGGCAGUCGGCCUUAGGCUUUAUGAUGUCAAUCUUUCUGUCAGUCGACUAUGUCGACUGGAUUUCACAAACCGGUGGGGGCACGCUGAGUGCACCCACUGGGUGUAGUCCCCGAGACUGUGGUCGAUUGCUUGCAGUUGAUCACAGUCUUAAAGAAUACAUCUCUUUUUUUUGAGGUCGACUGGUCGACUUUAUCUUCAACAGGAUUAGUGGGGGCACGCUGAGUGCACCCACUGGGUGUAGUCCCCGAGACUACGGUCGAAUGCUUGUAUUCGGCUGUAGUCUUAGAAACGUGUGUUUUUUCCUUUUUCACUCGGAAGUGAAUUAUAUUUGACAUUUAGUCGAUUGGUUCUUCGCAGAACUCUUGUGAUCUUGUGGCUCGCUACUCUGAGCUGGAAAAGAAGCACACUCAACUCGAGCUGAGCCUGAAGCUGGUUCAGGAGAAGCUGACAAAGGCAAAGGAGGAGACCGAAGGUAUAUUUGGUGAGACUCUGACGACUGCUUUUCCCCUUGCUUGUUUCAAAAUCUAAUCUUGCUGUAACUUGCAGGUAAGGUAAGGGAGGCCCAACAGAAGAAAGACCUCGAACUAGCUGAGAAGAUCAAGCUUGCUGACGAGAAGUUAGCUUCAGUCACCAAGCUUGAACAAGACAAUACGAAUCUGAAAGCUGCUCUUGGGAUCGCCAACAAGGAGGUCAGUCGACUAAAAACUGAUAAAGCUCCCCUGACCGACCAAGUCAGUAAGUUGACUGGGAAGAAAAAUGAUCUGGAGGCCUUCCUGAGUGGUCUUGCCAAGAAGCUGUUUCUUAUGCUUGAAGGUAAACCUCUAUGCUCGGCGAACAUUUCCAAUUGUGGUUUUUCCAUUCGACCAUCCCCUUGACUUAGUGAUCAUCUUUGCAGAAUUUUGUCAAAACUUUGAAGAAGAAACUAGCCGGCUGGAGCCAAACCUCGACCCCGUCAAUUCUCCGGUGAACGACGAAGUUGCCAUGGAUGUUUUCUGACUGGAGUCUCGUGUUGCAGCUGUCAUGGACUAUCUCGCAAGGCUGAAGGCCGCCACAACUCGCAUCGACUCGACGUUCUGGCCUGAGGAGACACUUCAGAAUGACCUUGAGUCGCUGAUGGCCUGCUUGAACUCGAUCCCUGGUCGAGUGCAGGAAUGGAAGUAGUCCUCGGCUCGGUGUGGUGCAGAUGUUGCUCUGUGUCUGGCUCGAGUCCACUGUAAAGAUGCGUGAGAAGAGAAGCUGGCGGCCCUUCGGGUGGCCAACACCAAGAAACACGACUUCAGGUCCUUUAUGGAAACUUUCCUUGCAGCUGCCACUCGGAUCGCCGACGGAAUUGACCUUGAUGAAUUCGUUGCACCUUCCAGCCCUCCACAGGAGGGGUAAAAAACUUCUUCUGGCUCGACGCUUUAAAUUUGCCUCGGUAUGCCGAGUGGAAUUGUAACCGAUAAACCUUAACAGGCUUAACGCCUGAGCACUUUCGGUUCCUUUAGAUAUCGAUUCAAACUUGAAUUUGGUGCUUGAAUACGAUUGCCUUUGGCUCGAAAUGUCCUUUGCAGGUUCAAAGCAAGGCGCCUUUACUGCAAUCGACUUAUUCUUUAGUCCACUUAGGCGAGCACUGGGCUGCGGCUAAGCCUCCGAGUGAGAGGUUUACUCUUCACUCGGUAGGAUUUUGAUAACUUAGGCUAGCACUGGGCUGCAGCUAAGCCUCCGAGUGAGAGGUUUGCUCUUGACUUGGUAGGAUUUUUAUAACUUAGGCGAGCACUGGGCUGCAGCUAAGCCUCCGAGUGAGAGGUUUGCUCUUCACUUGGUAGGAUUUUUAUAACUUAGGCGAGUGCUUGGACUGCAGCUAAGCCUCCGAGUGAGAGGGUCGCUCUUCACUUGGUAGGAUUUUGAUAACUUAGGCUAGUGCUUGGACUGCAGCUAAGCCCCCGAGUGAGAGGUUUGCUCUCCACUCGGUAGGAUUUUGACAAACUUAGGCGANNNNNNNNNNNNNNNNNNNNNNNNNNNNNNNNNNNNNNNNNNNNNNNNNNNNNNNNNNNNNNNNNNNNNNNNNNNNNNNNNNNNNNNNNNNNNNNNNNNNNNNNNNNNNNNNNNNNNNNNNNNNNNNNNNNNNNNNNNNNNNNNNNNNNNNNNNNNNNNNNNNNNNNNUUUUAUAACUUAGGCGAGCACUGGGCUGCAGCUAAGCCUCCGAGUGAGAGGUUUGCUCUUCACUCGGUAGGAUUUUUGUAACUUAGGCGAGCACAGGGCUGCAGCUAAGCCUCCGAGUGAAAGUCUGGCUUACCACUCGGUAGGAUUUUGAUAACUUAGGCGAGUGCUUGGACUGCAGCUAAGCCCCCGAGUGAGAGGUUUGCUCUCCACUCGGUAGGAUUUUGACAAACUUAGGCGAGUGCUGGACUGCAGCUAAGCCCCCGAGUGAGAGGUUUGCUCUUCACUUGGUAGGAUUUUUAUAACUUAGGCGAGUCCUUGGACUGCAGCUAAGCCUCCGAGUGGAAGUCUCGCUUACCACUCGGUAGGAUUUUGAUAACUUAGGCAAAACGGAUUCGCAGCUAAGCCUCCGAGUGGGAGUCUGGCUCACCACUCGGUAGGAUUUUUACAAACUUAGGUGAAACGGAUUCGCAGCUAAGUCACCCACUGCGGGGGAAUUUUAUUGGACAAAAAUAAAAAGUGACAGAAAUUAUGGAGGAACUAUGACACUAUUAUUUUGAGGUCCAUGAACUACAGAAGUACUUUAUUGCAACUCAUCCGAGUGUUAAAACUUAAGUAUAAAAUGGGCGGAGUAGUUCCGCGUUCCAAGCUCGGGGCUCGUCGAUAUUAUGCUCGACGUUGUAAAGACGGUACGCCCCGUUGUGGAGAACCUUGGUGACGAUGAAGGGACCUUCCCAAGAAGGAGCAAGCUUGUGUGGUUUGUGCUGAUCCACUCGGAGAACUAAAUCUCCUUCCUGGAAGGCUCGACCUCUCACAUUUCUGGCGUGGAAACGACGCAAAUCUUGUUGGUAGAUGGUCGACCGGAUCAGAGCCAUCUCCCUUUCUUCCUCUAAAAGGUCGACUGCGUCCUGCCGCGCUUGUUCAGCCUCUGCUUCGUUGUAGAUUUCAACUCGAGGAGCAUUGUGGAGAAGAUCACUCGGCAAGACUGCUUCAUCUCCGUAGACCAAGAAGAAUGGAGUUCUUCCGGUCGACCGAUUAGGUGUGGUCCGCAGCCCCCAAAGCACUGAGGGAAGUUCGUAGACCCAAGCUCUAGCCGCGUGUUUGAGAUCACGCAUCAGUCGGGGCUUCAAUCCCUUAAGAAUCAGUCCAUUAGCUCGCUCUGCUUGUCCAUUCGACUGCGGAUGGGGGACUGAAGCGUAGUCGACCCGUGUGCCUUGGGAUUUGCAGAAAGCUCUGAAUUCCUCCGAGUCAAAGUUCGACCCAUUAUCCGUAAUGAUGCUGUGCGGGACUCCAUAUCUGAAUAUUAGUUCCCUGAUGAAGCUAACAGCAGUACCGGUGUCAAGGUUCUUGAUUGGUUUAGCCUCGAUCCACUUGGUGAACUUGUCGACUGCCACCAGUACAUGCGUGAAGCCACUUCGUCCUGUUCUCAAAGGACCGACCAUGUCCAGUCCCCAUACUGCGAAAGGCCAGACGAGUGGGAUGGUCUUCAGAGCCGACGCAGGCUUGUGCAACAUAUUCGAGUAGAACUGACAUCCCUCGCACUUAUCCACUAUCUCUUUUGCCAUCUCAUUCGCCUUUGGCCAGUAAAAUCCGGCUCGGUAUGCUUUGGCCACGAUGGUCCGAGAGGACGCAUGAUGACCACAGGUUCCCGAGUGGAUAUCAUUGAGGAUGAGUCGACCUUCUUCUGGUGUUAUGCACUUCUGACCGACUCCAGUCGCGCUUUCUCUGUAUAAUUGUCCUUUGAUUACGGUAAAGGCCUUAGAUCGUCGGACGAUCUGUUGAGCCUCUUCCUCAUCCUCCGGAAGCUCUUUUCUCAGGAUAUACACGACAUAUGGAACUGUCCAGUCGGGAAUGACCACCAAGACCUCCAUGAUCAAGUCGACCACCGCUGGGACUUCAACUUCAGUCGGAUCUGUGGCACUCUUGGGCUGUGGAGUUUCUUCGGUGAAAGGAUCUUCUUUGACUGACGGAGUGUGUAUAUGCUCCAAGAACACACCACUCGGAAUGGCUUCUCUCUUGGAACCUAUCUUUGCUAGAUCAUCAGCUGCUUGAUUUUUCAGUCGGGGUAUAUGAUGGAGCUCCAACCCCUCGAACUUCUUUUCCAGCUUCCUCACUGCACUGCAGUAUCCAGUCAUGGCUGGGCUUCUCACGUCCCACUCUUUCAUCACCUGGUUGACCACUAAAUCCGAGUCGCCAUAGACCAUCAGGCGACGGACGCCGAGUGAAAUGGCCAUGCGCAACCCAUAUAAGAGGGCCUCAUAUUCUGCCUCAUUGUUGGAGGAAUCAAAGUGAAUCUGGAGCACAUAUCUGAGCUUAUCUCCUCUGGGGGAAACCAGGACAACCCCAGCACCGGAACCAUUCAACAUCUUAGAGCCAUCAAAGAACAUGGUCCAAUGCUCCGAGUGAACUUCAGUCGGCUGCUGUUGUUCAAUCCACUCGGCGAGGAAAUAUGCUAUUGCCUGGGACUUAAUGGCUUUCUUUGCCUCAAACUUGAUAUCAAGGGGAAGAAGUUCAAUCGCCCAUUUGGCCACUCGACCAGUUGCAUCUCUGUUGUGUAAAAUCUCGGAUAGUGGAGCGUCGCUGACGACUGUGAUGGAAUGAUCAGAAAAAUAAUGAGCAACCUUCUUUGUGGUCAUGUAUAUUCCAUACACAAGCUUCUGAUAAUGAGGAUAUCUCUGCUUGGAUGGAGUCAAGACUUCAGACAAAUAAUACACUGGGCGCUGAACUUUGAGAGCUUUUCCUUCUUCUUCCCGCUCGACCGUAAGCAUAGUACUGACGACUUGUCCUGUGGCUGCGAUAUAGAGCAACAGAGGCUCUUUGCUGAUUGGAGCAGCAAGCACCGGCUGGGUGGAGAGCAGAGAUUUUAGCUCGGCAAAUGUUGCAUCAGCUUCUGGAGUCCACUCGAACUUGUCUGUCUUCUUCAUCAGUCGGUAAAGAGGCAAUGCCUUUUCACAGAGUCGUGAGAUGAAUCGACUUAAUGCGGCCAAGCAUCCAGUAAGCUUCUGGACAUCGUGCACUCGCGCAGGGCGUUUCAUUCGGAGAAUAGUGCCAAUCUUCUCUGGGUUAGUGUCGAUUCCCCGUUCGGAAACGAGAAAACCGAGUAACUUGCCACCAGGAACUCCAAAUGUGCACUUUGAUGGAUUGAGCUUGAUAUCAUAUCUUCUGAGGUUGGCAAAUGUUUCGGUGAGAUCAGCGAGCAGGUCGGAACCUUUUCGUGAUUUGACAACGAUAUCAUCCAUAUAUGCUUCCACAUUCCGACUGAUUUGAUUGAGUAGACACUUCUGAAUCAUUCGCAUAAAUGUGGCUCCGGCAUUCUUGAGGCCGAAUGGCAUGGUGAUAUAGCAGAAGCACCCGAAUGGAGUGAUGAAAGCUGUUUUUACCUCGUCGGGUCCGUACAGACGGAUCUGGUGGUACCCGGAGUAGGCAUCUAAAAAAGAUAGCCUCUCGCAUCCCGCGGUCGAGUCAACAAUUUGAUCUAUGCGAGGGAGAGGAAAAUGAUCUUUCGGGCAGGCCCGGUUGAUGUGCUUGAAAUCAAUGCACAUUCGGAGCGACUUGUCCUUCUUAGGAACCAUGACCACAUUAGCGAGCCACUCGGAGUGGUAUAUCUCUCGGAUAAAUCCUGCCGCCAACAGUCGAGCCACUUCUUCACCAAUGGCUUUUCUCUUCUGGACGGCGGACCGCCGAAGAUGCUCUUUGACUGGUUUUGCAGAUGAGUCGACUCUUAGGCGAUGCUCAGCCAGUCCCCUGGGAACACCUGGCAUGUCAGCGGGCUUCCAUGCAAAAAUGUCCCAGUUCUCACGGAGGAACUGGAUGAGCGCUUCUUCCUAUUUUGGGUCGAGUGUUGUGGAGAUGCGGGUCGGAGCUGCAUCGGGGUCGGUCGGGUGAAUGUGAACAGGCUUCGUCUCACCGGACGACUGGAAUGCAGACUAUGUGGCGGGUUUCUUUGAUCGCAGCAAGUCACUCGGAUCUGCGUUUUGCUUGUAUUCCUCGAACUCGACCGCUGUCACCUGGGAAUCGGCAAUCUUGGAGCCCUUCUGAAAGCACUCUUCUGCCUUUUUCCUAUCACCGGUGACAGUGAUCACUCCUUUGGGGCCGGGCAUCUUCAAUUUGAGGUACACGUAACAUGGUCGAGCCAUGAACCGUGCGUAAGCUGGUCUCCCCAAAAUGGCAUGAUAUGCACUCUGAAAAUCCACGACCUCAAACGUCAACUUUUCUUUGCGAAAAUGUUUCGAAUCACCAAACACCACGUCCAAAGCUAUUUGGCCGAGUGACUCGGCUUUCUUCCCUGGUAUAACUCCAUGAAAGCUCAUGUUACUAGUGCUCAGUCGGGACAUCGGAAUGCCCAUUCCUUUCAGUGUGUCUGCAUACAACAAAUUCAGCCCGCUUCCACCAUCCAUCAGCACCUUUGUCAGUCGAGUGCCUUCGACAACUGGAUCGACCACCAAAGCUUGCCUCCCAGGGGUGGCAAUAUGAGUCGGGUGAUCAGAUUGGUCGAAUGUGAUGGGUAUUUGAGACCAUUUCAGAUAAUUUGCUUUUGCUGGGGCAACCAUGUUCACCUCUCGGUUAAUGACUUUCAGUCGACUCCUGCUUUCCACAUAUGCAAAGAUCAUCAGAGUGGAGUUGAUAUGCGGAUAUCCUUCCUCACUGUCCUCCUUGUCUUCAGCCUUGUCCGACUCCUUCUCCUUGUCCUUAGACUGUUUUCCCUAAAACUGCUGGAUCAGGAGUCGACAUUGGCGAGUGGUGUGCUUCGGGUAGAUGAUAUUCCCCUCUUCGUCUUUCUUCGUGUGGAUGUGACAUGGCAUAUCCAUUACGUCGUUCCCUUCUUUAUCCUUUACCUUCUUGGGGUUCCAGGAUCCUUUUGGUUUCCCCUUAAACUUUCCCUGAGUCACGGCUAGAGCCUCUCCAGGAGCUGCCGGUUCAGCCUUGCGCUUCUGUUUCCGACUGGUGUUUCCUUUUUCCGACUGACUCGGCUUGUGCUUGCCGCUUCGGAGUCGGUCUUCUUCUUCGCCGUUGGCGUGCUUGGUAGCAAUCUCCAUCAUCCGACUCAAGGUCAUGUCACCAGUUCGACCAAACUUCAAACUCAGUUCUCUGUUCUUGACGCCAUCUUUGAAGGCGCAGACUGCUUGAUGAUCAGACACAUUCUCCACAGUGUGGUGCAAAGUGAUCCACCUCUGAAUAUACUCUCUGAGAGUCUCAUUAGCCUUCUGCACGCAGACUUGCAACUCUGUCAAUCCAGCUGGUCGCUUGCAAGUUCCUUCAAACGUUCUGAUGAACACUCGGGACAGAUCUUCCCAAGUGUAAAUGCUGCUAGGAGGUAAUUGAGUCAACCAUGCCCUGGCAGAACCUUCCAGCAUGAGGGGCAAAUGCUUCAUGGCCACCUCGUCGUUCCCACCACCAAUCUGAACUGCCACUCGGUAAUCUUCAAGCCAAGUUUCGGGCUUAGACUCACCAGUGAACUUGCUGACUCCUAUUGCCAACCUGAAAUUGGGAGGGAUAAAUGCGGCUCUGAUAGCUCUGCUGAAACAUUCAGGACCAGAAACAUGCACUCGACUGCUUGUGGGUGCAUCUCUGUCGAGUCCGCUUCGAUGGGCUCUAUUCCGGUCGACCAAACCUUGCACGAUAAUGGAUCGCGCGUCGAAGCCUGGUUCUCUGGGGUCGACUGGAACCCUUCGUCCUGUACUGUACUGACGCUUGUCAUCUUGCUGCCGAGGAGCGUAAGACCCACCCCUCGGAGGGGAAUUGGGCACUCGACGCCUAUCAUCUCGGUAGAGUCUGUCGCCAUAUUGAUCUCGCCGAUUCUCGCGCCCUUCACGCCGCGGAGGCGAUCUGGGGCUGUGAGCCGACUGAACCGUAUUCGCAGUGACGGAUCGACUGUGAAUUCUGUUGCGCGACUGAGACACGGCUGAAUUCUGAUCUCCUGCUGCCCGGAGCAGAUCCCUGAUCUGCAGCAAACCUCUGCCAGCUUCCGACUGCGAAGGCUGGAUGGACUCUGCUAUACGGGUCGCAGCUGCUAAAUUCUGGAUUGGGGUUCGAUAUACCUGAGUCGGCGGGAAGAGUUGACGUCGACUGGCGUCGGGAACUCGUUGCCGCGCGCGCUCGUCGAGUGCUCGCUGAAGAUUCUCCAGUCGAGUGCGUUCGGCCAAAUUGGCCAGACGUGCCUCCUCCAAGGCACGAGCCUCGGGGGUUUCUCCUGCGAUGGGAGUACGCAGAGCAUCCACGUUCCUGCGGCGAAGUUCCUCUCUUUGCAGAGAGUCGAGUGGCUCGGGCUGGUACUCUUCGUGGCCUCGUGCGGGGUCGCCUCCGUCACCUGCUCCACCAUCACGGGCGAAGCCAGGGGGACUGCGGGGCCCGUCGACCAUCAAGAUUUCCGCCGCUGGAUCACUGCUACCGCACUCGGAUGCUGUCUCUACGGAGCCAGUCGACAGAUCGAACAAGCCGUAGAGAGAUUCGUCGGGCUCGAUUGCCGCAACUUGGGUGGUGGCCGAUUGGCGAGCCACCGCGUGCCUCACCCAUCGCUGAAGCCUCGACCGGCCCGAGCGCUUGCGCUGGCGGGAGACCGGGAGGGUGGACGAUGGAGGAGCCGACCGAUACGGGGUCGACGGUUGCCGCAGCAGAACACCGCGGACACAUGCGCGAAAAUGCGUCGCACCGCGAACGGGGAGCGCAUCAACGUCGAGUGGAGCCUCCUGGAGCCACGCGGAGUCGUCGGCAAUGAAGGUGAGAGUGCCGAGACGGAUCUCUCGACCCUCGACCAAAACUCCAGCAGACACCAUGAUGAAAGUACUCGGAAGAAUCGCAACUUCUCCACAAAAUCGCUAAAACACCUGCCCCAAGGUGGGCGCCAACUGUCGGGGUUCUAAGCCUGACAGUAGAGUGGGGGGUAGGUAUGGAGAGGCAAGGUCCUAGCUAUGGAGAGGUUGUAAACACAAGGGAUGUACGAGUUCAGGCCCUUCUCGGAAGAAGUAAUAGCCCUACGUCUCGGAGCCCGGAGGCGGUCGAGUGGAUUAUGAGUAUAUGAGUUACAAGGUGCCGAACCCCUCUGCCUGUGGAGGGGGGUGCUUAUAUAGAGUGCGCCAGGACCCCAGCCAGCCCACGUAGGAGAGGGUUUAAGGUCAGUUAAGUCUGGGGCGUUACUGGUAACUCCCCACAUAAAGUGUCUUUACUAUCAUAAAGCCUACUUAAUUACAGGCCGUUGCAGUGCAGAGUGCCUCUUGACCUCCCGGUGGUCGAGUGAGUCUUCGUGGUCGAGUCCUUCAAGUCAGUCGAGUGAAUCCCUCGUUGGUCGACUGGAAGGCGACCUCUUCUAAGGGUGUCCUAGGGUAGGUUCGUGACCCUACCCUAGGUACAUGACACCAUCAGGUGAUAUAGAACUAGCUCCAAUUCAUCAAUGUAAUGUAGGCAUGUAUUCCGUAAAUAGUCAUACGUGCUUAUGGAAAAGAACUUGCAUGACAUCUUUUGUCCUACCCUCCCGUGGAAGCGGGGUCCUAGCGGAAACUAAGGGAUAUUAAGGCCUCCUUUUAAUAGAGAACCGGAACAAAGCAUUAGCACAUAGUGAAUACAUGAACUCCUCAAACUACGGUCAUCAUCGAGAAGUAUCCCGAUUAUUGUCACUUCGGGGUUGUCGGAUCAUAACACAUAAUAGGUGACUAUAGACUUGCAAGAUAGGAUCAAGAACACACAUAUAUUCAUGAAAACAUAAUAGGUUCAGAUCUGAAAUCAUGGCACUCGGGCCCUAGUGACAAGCAUUAAGCAUAGCAAAGUCAUAGCAACAUCAAUCUCAGAACAUAGUGGAUAGUAGGGAUCAAACCCUAACAAAACUAACUUGAUUACAUGAUAAAUCUCAUCCAACCCAUCACCGUCCAGCAAGCCUACGAUGGAAUUACUCACGCACGGCGGUGAGCAUCAUGAAAUUGGUGAUGGAGGAUGGUUGAUAAUGACGACGGCGAUGAAUCCCCCUCUUCGGACCCCCGAACGGACUCCAGAUCAUCCCUCCCGAGAGAGAUUAGGGCUUGGCGGCGGCUCCAUGUCGUAAAACGCGAUGAAACUUUCUCUCUUGAUUUUUUUCUCCCCGAGACGGAAUAUAUGGAGUUGGAGUUGAGGUCGGUGGAGGUCCAGGGGGCCCACGAGAUAGGAGGCCGCGCCCUAGGGGGGCGCCCCCUGUCUCGUGGACAGCCUGUGGGCCCCCUGGCAUUGAUUCUUUCGCCAAAAAUUCUUAAUAAUUCCAAAAAGUGCCUCCGUGGAUUUCCAUGACAUUCCGAGAACUUUUCUUUUCUACACAUAAAACAACAUCAUGGUAGUUCUGCUGAAAACAGCGUCUGUCCGGGUUAGUUUCAUUCAAAUCAUGCAAGUUAGAGUCCAAAACAAGGGCAAAAGUGUUUGCAAAAGUAGAUACGUUGGAGACGUAUCAACUCCCCCAAGCUUAAACCUUUGCUUGUCCUCAAGCAAUUCAGUUGAUAAUUUGAAAGUGAUAGAGAAAAACUUUUACAAACUCUGUUUGCUCUUGUUGUUGUAAACAUGACAAGUCAGCAUUCAAGUUUCAGCAAAUAUUAUGAACUAACCAUACUCAGAAUAACACUUAGGUCUCACAAUUACUCAUAUCAAUAACAUAAUCAGCUAGCGAGCCAUAAUAAUAAAAAUCGGAUGACAACACUUUCUCAAAAUAAUCAUAACAUGAUAUAACAAAAUGGUAUCUCGCUAGCCCUUCCUGAGACCGCAAAACAUAAAUGCAGAGCACCUUUAAAGAUCAAGGACUGACUAAACAUUGUAAUUCAUGGUAAAAGAGAUCCAGUCAAGUCAUACCCGAUAUAAACCAAUAAUAAUGAAUGCAAAUGACAGUGUGCUCUCGAGCGGGUGCUUUAAAUAAGAAGGGUGAUGACUCAACAUAAAAGUAAAUAGAUAGGCCCUUCGCAGAGGGAAGCAGGGAUUUGUAGAGGUGCCAGAGCUCGAUUUUAAAAUAGAGAUUGAAUAACAUUUUGAGCGGCAUACUUUCACUGUCCACGCAACAACUAUGAGAUGGUUGUAUCUUCCAUACUACAUGCAUUAUAGGUGGUUCCCAAACAGAAUGGUAAAGGUUUAUACUCCCCCAACCAGCAACAAGCAUCAAUCCAUGGCUUGCUCGAAACAACGAGUGCCUCCAACAUACAACAGCCCUGGGGGCGUUUUGUUUAAUUAUUUUGAUUUGCUUUGAUCUUUUUGGAUCAUGGGACUUGGCAUCCCGGUUACCGACCCUUUCUCGUGAAUGAGGAGCGGAGUCCACUCCUCUUGAGAAUAACCCACCUAGCAUGGAAGAUAUAGGCAUCCCUAGUUGUAACAUGAGCUGCUCGAGCAUACAAAACAGAAUUUAAUUUGAAGGUUUGGAGUUUGGCACAUACAAAUUUACUUGGAACGGCAGGUAAAUACCGCAUAUAGGAAGGUAUAGUGGACUCAUAUGGAACAACUUUGGGAUUUAAGGAGUUUGGAUGCACAAGCAGUAUUCCCGCUUAGUACAGGUGAAGGAUAGCAAAAGACUGGGAAGCGACCAACUGAGAGAGCGACAACAGUCAUAAACAUGCAUUAAAAUUAAUUCACACCGAAUACAAGCAUGAGUAGGAUAUAAUCCACCAUGAACAUAAACAUCAUGAAGGCUAUGUUGAUUUGAUUCAACUACAUGCGUGAACAUGUGCCAAGUCGAGUCACUCAAUUCAUUCAAAGGAGGAUACCAUCCCAUCAUAUCACAUCAUAAUCAUUCUCAUAGCAUGUUGGCACGCAAGGUAAACCAUUAUAACUCAUAGCUAAUCAAGCAUGGCACAAGCAACUAUAAUCUCUAAAUGUCAUUGCAAAUAUGUUUACUUCAUAAUAGCUGACCCAGGAACGAUGAAUCAUCAUAUUUACAAAAACAAGAGAGGUCGAGUUCAUACCAGCUUUUCUCAUCCCAAUAAGUCCAUCAUAUAUCGCCAUUAUUGCCUUUCACUUGCACGACCGAACGAUGUGUAUAAUAAUAAGAGUGCACGUGCAUUGGACUAAGCUGGAAUCUGCAAGCAUUCAACUCAAGAGACAAGACAAGUAAUAUGGGCUCUAAGUUAAAUAAACAAUUAUGCAUAUAAGAGCCACUAAGCAUUUUCAAUAUGGUCUUCUCGACCCCCAAAGGAAAGAAAAGAAAAUAAAACUAUUUACACGGGAAAGCUCCCAACAAGUAAGAAGAAGAAAAAGAAAUAUUUUUCGGUUUUCAUUUUAAAUUCUACUACAAACAUGGAAAUUAAACUAACUAAUUUUUUUGGUUUUUCAUAAAGUUUAUCAAACACACAAGAAGAAAACUAGAAAAAGAAAUUUAAACUAGCAUGGAUAAUACAAUGAAAGAGUAUGAGCACCGACGACUAGUGUGUGAAUAUGAAUGUAAAGUCGGUGAGAAAUACGUACUCCCCCAAGCUUAGGCUUUUGGCCUAAGUUGGUUUAAUACCAAGGACCGCCGCUACUCUCCCCGGUGUAGUGGGAGGUGUAAUCAGGAUACCACUGGCUGGUCAUCUGUGGAUCUCACUGGACAGAUGAUGCACGAUAAGGGUCCAGUUCAGGUUCCGGCUCAGGUUCGUUCUGGAGUAAAAGCUUGAGCUCGAUGGUUGUUCACCGCUUCCGGCGUGACAAGAUGAUUUUCUGCAACCAAAUCAAACAACAGAGGUGCAGGCAAGAUAAUAACCUCAAUGUGUUUCUUAUUAAAUCUAAGUUUAUACAAGAGCAUCUUCUCUUCAUUGUCAAUAAUAAACUUGUGUGCUACCAUGCUCUUGUAAUCUAAAAUGUGAGGAUGCAAUUUUAUCUCAUCCUCCUCAUGGUGCCUAAUGGGUAUCCGAAAAUGUUCAGCAAUACGUGCAGCAUAGAUACCUCCAAAUAUGGGGCCUUUUGUACGAUUCAGGGCUAGCCGUUUAGCAACGACGACACCCAUACUAAAAGUAUUGUCUCCUAGCAAAGCAUGUGGAAGAAUAAUAAUAUCUAGAAUGCUCAAAUUUCCACUAUUUCCACAACCAAUCAAGCAUCUACUAGCAAAUAUGGCAAAGUAGAGUAAAACAGGAAAGUGUAUGCUAGAGACUUUUGGCUCAGAGCCCUUCUUUGUCUCUUCCACGGCAAUAGUUUUAACGAAGCCACCCACAUCUUCACGAUGGGGUUCCUCUAAUUCUCCCUCAUAAGGUAUCCUACAUACCGCACAAAAAUGACGUAAAGACAUUUCUUUGAAUUCAUCAUAUAAAUGAAAUGAUACUGCAGGCGGUGACUUCUUAGGAUAAUAAUAAAAGUUUUGCACGAAAGUAUUGGUGAGUAAGAGAUACUGAUCGAUUCGGUCGUUGAUGAAACCGUUGAGGCCUGCAAUCUCGAUUAAAGCAUAAAAGUCUUCAUGAAUUCCGGCUUCUUUCAAGAAAUCCUCGCAUGGCCAUUCACACGACCAUACUUCCGCUACGCGAGCAAGAUUAUACUUGGCUUUUUCCUUCUCUUUGGCUUGUUUUUCCUGAGAGCUUCGGCUAGAAGAGCCUUUAAAGAUCCUCCUUAACAUUUUCAAGAAACAAUCUCCCAAAGCAGCUUUGUGAAUGGAGCUUUGAGCUAAGAGAUCGAAAAUCGCAGCAAAACGAGCUAGAACUCGUGCUUGAGCUGGAUGGGGAUUUUUUUUGGUAGAAGAUGAAGUGUGUGGGUGCUGGCAUAAGUGGAGGGGAGCCACUAGGGGCCCACGAGAUAGGGGGCGCGCCCUCCACUCUCGUGGCCUGGUGCUUGCCCCUCCUGCAGUGUUUUCAGUGCCUAAAAUCCUCAAAUAUUCCAGAAAAAAUCAUACUAAAUUUGCAGGGCAUUUGGAGCACUUUAUUUUCGGACUAUUUUCUUAAUGCAUGGAUAAUUCAGAAAACAGACAGAUAAUACUAUUUUUGCUUUAUUUAUUCUAAAUAACAGAAAGUAAAAAGAGGGUACAGAAGGUUGUGCCUUCUAGUUUCAUCCAUCUCGUGAUCAUCAAAAUGAAUCCACUAACAAGGUUGAUCAAGUCUUGUUAACAAACGCAUUCCGAAUAACACGGAACCGGAGAAAUUUCGAAUAACACUAAGUUACCUCAACGACGAUACGAAAAUCCCCAACAAUAAGAAUAUCAUACUUUUUCUUGACAGUAGGGAGAGGAAAUUCAAAACCUCCAAAAAUGAUAGUUGGAACUUUUUCAAUAGAAUUGAUGCUAUGAACUUGAGAUUGUUUCCUCGGAAAGUGUACAAUAUGCUCAAUACCAUUAACAUGAAAAGUGACAUUGCCUUUGUUGCAAUCAAUAACAGCCCCUGCAGUAUUAAGAAAAGGUCUACCAAGGAUAAUAUACAUACUAUCGUCCUCGGGAAUAUCAAGAAUAACAAUGUCCGUUAAGAUAGUGACAUUUGCAACCACAACAGGCACAUCCUCGCAAACACUGACAGGUAUAGCAGUUGAUUUAUCAGCCAUUUGCAAAGAUAUUUUAGUAGGUGUCAACUUAUUCAAUUCAAGUCUACGAUAUAAAGAGAGAGGCAUAACACUAACACCGGCUCCAAGAUCACAUAAAGCAGUUCUAACAUAAUUUCUUUUAAUGGAGCAUGGUAUAGUUGGAACACCCGGAUCUCCAAGUUUCUUUGGUAUUCCACCCUUAAAAGUGUAAUUAGCAAGCAUGGUGGAAAUUUCAGCUUCCGGUAUCUUUCUUUUGUUUGUGAUAAUAUCCUUCAUGUACUUAGCAUAAGGAUUUACUUUAAGCAUAUCAUUUAAGCGCAUACGUAAGUAAAUAGGUCUAAUCAUUUCAACAAAGCGCUCAAAAUCCUCAUCAUCCUUUGACUUGGAUGUUUUAGGAGGAAAGGGCAUGGGUUUCUGAACCCAUGGUUCUCUUUCUUUACCGUGCUUCCUAGCAACAAAAUCUCUCUUAUCAUAAUGUUGAUUCUUUGAUUGUGGGUUAUCAAGAUCAACAGCAGGUUCAAUCUCUACAUCAUUGUUUUUGCUAGGUUGAGCAUCAACAUGAACAUUAUCAUUAACAUUAUCACUAGGUUCAUGUUCAUCACCUGAUUGAGUUUUAGCAUCAGAAAUAGAAAUAUCAUUGGGAUUCUCAGGUGUGUCUACAGUAGGUUCACUAGAAGCAUGCAAAGUCCUAUCAUUUUUCUUCUUCUUCUUUUUAGAAGAACUAGGUGCCUCUAAAUUAUUUCUCUGAGAAUCUUGCUCGAUUCUCUUAGGGUGGCCUUCAGGAUACAAAGGUUCCUGAGUCAUUCUACCAGUUCUAGUAACCACUCUUACAACAAAGUCAUUCUUAUUAUUUAAUUCAUCAAGCAAAUCAUUUGGAGCUUUAAGUACUUGCUCAGCUUGAGUAGCAACCAUAGAAGCAUAUUUGCUAACGCAGUGAAGUUCAUCUUUAACUCUAGCCAGAUUAUCACUUACGCGUCCUAUCUCGAAAGCAUUAUUCUUUAACUCUCUACCAACAUAAGCAUUAAAACUUUCUUGUCUAGCCAUGAAGUCCUCAAAUUCAUCUAAGCAUGGGCUAUGAAAAAUUUAGUAGAGGGUAUUUCAACUUUAUCAUACCUAUAGAGAGAAUUUACCUUUACUACCUGUGUCGGGUUAUCAAGACAAUGUGGUUCUUCAAGCGGUAUAUUAAGACCAUGUAUUUCUUCAAUAGGAGGUAAAUUCUUAACAUAUUCAGCUUUAAUACCUUUUUUCUUUCAUUGAUUUCUUUGCCUCUUGCAUAUCUUCAGGACUGAGAAAUAAAACACCUCUCUUCUUCGGAGUGGGUUUAGGAAUAGGCUCUGGAGUUGGCUCAAUUGGUUCAGGAAUUACUUCAGGAACUGGCUAGGGAAGAGUCCAAUUAUUUUCAUUAGUCAACAUAUUAUUCAAUAAUAUUUCAGCUUCAUCGACUGUUCUUUCCCUGAAACACAACCAGCACAACUAUCCAAGUAGUCCUUGGAAGCAUCGAUUAGUCCAUUAUAAAAGAUAUCGAGUAUUUCAUUUUUCUUAAGAGGAUGAUCGGGCAAAGCCUUAAGUAACCGGAGAAGCCUCCCCCAAGCUUGUGGGAGACUCUCUUCUUUGAUUUGCACAAAAUUAUAUAUUUCCCGCAAGGCAGCCUGUUUCUUAUGAGCAGGGAAAUAUUUAGCAGAGAAGUAAUAAAUCAUAUCCUGGGGACUACGCACACAACCAGGAGCAAGAGAAUUAUACCAAGUCUUAGCAUCACCCUUUAAUGAGAAUAGAAAUAUCUUAAGGAUAUAUAAAUAUUGAGACUUCUCAUCAUUAGUAAACAGGGUGGCUAUAUCAUUCAACUUGGUGAGAUGUGCCACAACAGUUUCAGAUUCAAGGCCAUAAAAAGGAUCAGAUUCAACUAAAGUAAUAAUUUCAGGAUCAACAGAGAAUUCAUAAUCAUUAUCAGUAACACAGAUAGGUGAAGUAGCAAAAGCAGGGUCAGGUUUCAUUCUAGCAUUAAGAGACUGCUGCUUCCAUUUAGCUAAUAAUUUCUUAAGAUCAUUUCUAUCAUUGCAAGCAAGAAUUUCCCUAGCAGCUUCUUCAUUCAUAACAUAACCCUAAGGAACAACAGGUAAUACAUAAUCAUUGGGGGGACCUUCAUCAUAACUAUCAUCAGUAAUAGGAUCUUCAGUAAUCAUUCCCCCUAACUCUAGCAAGUUGUUCAUCAAGAAAUUCACCUAAUGGCAAAGUAGUAUCACGCACAGAAGUAGUUUCAUCAUGCAUAACAGAAGUGGCAUCAUCAAUAACAUGCGACAUAUCAGAAUUCAUAGCAGUAGUAGGUUUAGGUGUCGCAAGCCUACUAAUAACGGAAGGAGAAUCUAGUGUAGAGCUAGAUGGCAGUUCCUUACCUCCCCUCGUAGUUGAGGGCAAAAUCUUUGUCUUAGCGUCUUUCAAGUUCUUCAUAGUGAUCAACAGAUAUAAGUCCCAAGCGACUCAGAGAAUAGGGCUAUGCUCCUCGGCAACGGCGCCAGAAAUUAGUCUUGAUAACCCACAAGUGUAGGGGAUCGCAACAGCUUUCGAGGGUAAAGUAUUCAACCCAAAUUAUUGAUUCGACACAAGGGAAGCCAAAGAAUAUUCUUGAGUAUUAGUAGUUGAGUUGUCAAUUCAACCACACCUGGAUAAUUUAGUAUCUGUAGCAAAGUAUUUAGUAGCAAAAGUGGUAUGAUAAUAAAGGUAACGCUAGCAAAAGUAAAGAUAAAUGUUUUUGGGGUUUUGUAGUAGUUGUAACAGUAGCAACGGAAAAGUAAAUAAGCGAAGAACAAUAUGUGAAAAGCUCGUAGGCAAUGGAUCAGUGAUGGAUAAUUAUGCCAGAUGCGAUUCCUCAUGCAAUAGUUAUAACAUAGGGUGCUAUAGAACUAGCUCCAAUUCAUCAAUGUAAUGUAGGCAUGUAUUCCGUAAAUAGUCAUACGUGCUUAUGGAAAAGAACUUGCAUGACAUCUUUUGUCCUAUCCUCCCGUGGAAGCGGGGUCCUAGCGGUAACUAAGGGAUAUUAAGGCCUCCUUUUAAUAGAGAACCGGAACAAAGCAUUAGCACAUAGUGAAUACAUGAACUCCUCAAACUACGGUCAUCACCGAGAAGUAUCCCGAUUAUUGUCACUUCGGGGUUGUCGGAUCAUAACACAUAAUAGGUGACUAUAGACUUGCAAGAUAGGAUCAAGAACACACAUAUAUUCAUGAAAACAUAAUAGGUUCAGAUCUGAAAUCAUGGCACUCGGACCCUAGUGACAAGCAUUAAGCAUAGCAAAGUCAUCGCAACAUCAAUCUCAGAACAUAGUGGAUACUAGGGAUCAAACCCUAACAAAACAAACUUGAUUACAUGGUAAAUCUCAUCCAACCCAUCACCGUCCAACAAGCCUACGAUGGAAUUACUCACGCACGGCGGUGAGCAUCAUGAAAUUGGUGAUGGAGGAUGGUUGAUGAUGACGACGGCGACGAAUCCCCCUCUCUGGAGCCCCGAACGGACUCCGGAUCAGCCCUCCCGAGAGAGAUUAGGGCUUGGAGGCGGCUCCGUGUCGUAAAAUGCGAUGAAACUUCCUCUCUUGAUUUUUUCUCCCUGAGACGGAAUAUAUGGAGUUGGAGUUGAGGUCGGUGGAGGUCCAGGGGGGCCAGAAGAUAGGAGGCCGCGCCCUAGGGGGGCGCCCCCCCUAUCUCGUGGACAGCCUGUGGGCCCCCUGGCAUUGAUUCUUUCGCCAAAAAUUCUUAUUAAUUCCAAAAAGUGCCUCCGUGGAUUUCCAAGACAUUCCGAGAACUUUUCUUUUCUACACAUAAAACAACAUCAUGGUAGUUCUGCUCAAAACAGUGUCAAUCCGGGUUAGUUUAUUCAAAUCAUGCAAGUUAGAGUCCAAAACAAGGGCAAAAGUGUUUAGAAAAGUAGAUGCGUUGGAGACGUAUCACCGAACAUAGUUUGGCCGAGAGUCUCCUGACAAAGAGAGGGAUUUUAAGGAGUUCAGCACGUCGCCAAAGGGCGAGUGCUGGAAGAUAUUCGCGGCGGUGAACUCCAUUAUCGGAGCCCAACCAGAUUCGGCGGGCUUAGAGGCGCGCAGACUGGAACCUACAACCGGGUACGAGUCCGGUGGUCUGGUGUCACAGGCUUCCUUGAAGGUGAAGUCUGUGUUCGUCUCUACCGCCGAUGAGUGUGUGGCCUCUGGGGCGGGGUCCAUCCACCCGUCCUUGGGCAACGUAGUCUGCUCCAGAUUUAGGCCUGGGGCUACUGCAGGGGUGAUAUCCCGAGCAUUGUCCGACAGCAGGUCUAAGCCAUGCUCAUCGUGACUGUCUGGCGCUCCUGGCACAGGUCCGAAUCCGUUGAGGAUCAAGUCUCCACGGAUAUCUGCCGUGUAGUUCAAGUUUACGAACCUGUCCUGGUGGCCAGGGGCGCAUCUGCCGAUCUGCUCCACAUGGCCAAGCGAAUUAGCCCACAGUGCGAAGCCGCCGAACAUGAAGAUCUGUUCGGGGAGAAAAGUCUCACCCUGGACCGUGUCGUUGUUGAUGAUUGGAGGAGCCAUCGAGCCUUGCAGCGACGACACAGAGGAACUCUCGAUGAAAGAACCAAUGUCGGUGUCAAAACCGGCGGAUCUCGGGUAGGGGGUCCCGAUCUGUGUGUCUUAGGCUAAUGGUAACAGGAGGCAAGGGACACAAUGUUUACCCAGGUUCAGGCCCUCUCAAUGGAGGUAAAACCCUACUUCCUGCGUGAUUGAUAUUGAUGAUAUGAGUUGUACAAGAGUUGAUCUACCACGCGAUCGUAGAGGCUAAACCCUAGAAGCUAGCCUAUGCUGAUUAUGAUUGUGAUCGUCCCUCUAAGGACUAAACCCUCCGGUUUAUAUAGACACCGGAGGGGUCUAGGGUUUACCCGGAGUCGGUUACAAAGAAGAAAACAUAAUAUCCGAAUCGCCAAGCUUGUCUUCCACGCAAAGGAGAGUCCUAUCCGGACACGGGACGAAGUCUUGAGUCUUGUAUCUUCACGGUCCUACAGUCCGGCUAAAGUAUAUAGUCCGGCAGUCCGGAUACCACCUAAUCCAGGACUCCCUCAGCCGCCGCCAUUCCCCGAUGACCGUCGUCGCCCACCACUGCCGUUCCUCCUCCACUCAGGUAGUCCCUCCUCCCCUCCUCCCUCCUCCACCGGCCACCCCCUCCUGCCUCCCCACCGACCGCCCNNNNNNNNNNNNNNNNNNNNNNNNNNNNNNNNNNNNNNNNNNNNNNNNNNNNNNNNNNNNNNNNNNNNNNNNNNNNNNNNNNNNNNNNNNNNNNNNNNNNNNNNNNNNNNNNNNNNNNNNNNNNNNNNNNNNNNNNNNNNNNNNNNNNNNNNNNNNNNNNNNNNNNNNNNNNNNNNNNNNNNNNNNNNNNNNNNNNNNNNNNNNNNNNNNNNNNNNNNNNNNNNNNNNNNNNNNNNNNNNNNNNNNNNNNNUCUUGUAUAAUGUAAAAUUGUUUUGCUGUUUUUUAGUAAGUGUUUAAUAGAAUUAGUAAGAAAAUUAAUAAAACAAGUUGAACUAGUUUUUUAGUAAGAAUUAGUUUAUUUUUAUUUAUAGUAAGUGCUUAGUUGAACUCGUUGAAUUAGUAGAACUAUUUUAUUUUUAGUAAGAAAACUUAGGUAUAUGAGAUUUGAUGAUCUAAUUAAAAUGUUACUAUAGAACUAGUUUAUUUUUAGUAAGGACUAGUUUAUUUUUAGUAAGAACUAGUUUAUUUUUAUUUAUAGUAAGUGUUUAGUUGAAGUAGUUCAAUUAAUAGAACUAGUUUAUUUUUAGUAAGAAAAUUUAGGUUUGUGAGAUUUGAUGAUCUAAUCAAAAUUUUACUAUAGAAUUAGUUUAUUUUUAGUAAGAAAAUUAAUAGAACUAGUUUAUUUUUUUAGUUGAAGCAAUUAUUCCCGCAUCGAUGUCGACGAUGCCUAUCCCGCAUCCUCGUCGUCGACUGGAUGGAGGAGGCCUGCUUCAUCAGAGGGGCCAUGUCCGGGACUGGGCUCCGCCAGGCUGGUAGUGGGAUGUGCUACCUUCCGGGGGCGCGGCUUGGUGAGGAGCCAGCCUGUCGUUGACCCGAACCCUCUGUGGUGGCGGUCGCGUGAGCCAGUGACGGUGCGAAGGCUUGAGGACCCCGUGGAGGUGGUACGUCAUCGUGUCAGUGAGGAGGACAAGCACGUCCGUCGCUGCAUGGUUGCGUUGGAGGGCAGGUUCUCCAGUACCUGGUAGGUUCUUCAGGGGUCUCACUGAAGCUGUGAUCCUGUGAUGGUUCCUUCUCUUUGGGUGUCCACCGCCCGGGCCGAUACCCGUCGUUCGCUAGGGUUUUAGCUAUAUUAGUGAGGUUAUAUGUAUGAUACUAUUCGAGAUGUAUUAGUGAUAAUAUUCGACGAUGUACGGACACAAGAGAUGAUUUAGUGAAUGCAUGCUACUUUGAGUACUAAUUUAUUUUAUGAUUUAGUUUUGCUUAUUGAAUCCUCAAAUUGGAGAACUACUCCUAUUUUGAAUGCUCAAAUUGGAGAGCACUAUGCAAGGCGUAUGCAUUUGAUUGGUUGAUAGCUUAUAGGGUUUCACUAAGUCCUAAGAUGAGGAUAAUAAAGUUUUUAUUUAUAUUUUGUGUUUGCAGCCAAAUCUCCAUGUCGUCUUCGCUGUUGUCCCCUUCACGGACCCCCUCCGACCUCAAGGUGAGACCAGCCAAAUCUCCAUGUCAAUAUGAGUCCUAUAAGAUAUUUUGAAAUGUUUUUGUUCAUAUUUUCAACCAUUGAAAUGCAAUGACCAUCAAGUUUGAAUGCAAUGACCAUCAAGUUUGAAGGCAAAUAGGAUAUGUGCUUGCUCAAGUGGCCAUGUUUGCAGGUAAUACCUUCGAGUGGCCUAUGUUUCGCCGGAGUGUUGAUUAAUUUUUGUUCCGGCGAAUUUCAGGUGCUCGAUAUGUCCUUUUUUAGCAAAGUUCAUGCCGGAUUUUUCCAUGAAUUUUGGCAUGAAUUGUGCGAGAAUAUGUAGGAAAUAUCGAGUGGCCUGGAUUUUCUAGAAAGAUAGUUAAACGACAUUUUGGGUUGACUUUAAGUCUGUCGAGGCUCCAUACAUGACAAUCAAAAAAUGAGUGAGGGAGAAAGUAUGCACCAUAUAUGAGAGAGGAAGAAUCCCGACUGUUGUCGUGGCGGUCGUUUGUCCUUCUUCUCCUUGUCCUAUACCUUUGUUAUCCACUCGGGGAAGGAGGAGUAACGACCAUCACCGACGGUCGAAAAAUUAGUGGGGCAGUGUGUGUACACCAUAUAUGAGAGAGGAAGAAUGCCGACUGUUGUCAUGGGGGUCGCUUCUCCUUCGUUCCCUGUGCUAUACAUUUUGGUUUAAUGCACUCGGGGACAAAGGGAGGAGCGACCAUCACCAACGGUCGAAUAUAUACACCACGUGAGCUGAGAGUUUUCAAAAAAAGACUCGACGGACCGAUAGUCAACCCAUGCUGAAUAAUAAUUAUCUAAUUUAGUUUUUGUAGUACAUAUAUUGAAUUUUAGAAGUUUAAUCUUUGAAUUAUGAACAUCGGAAAUGUCGUCGGACGAUGAAAGUCUCGCGGAGUGCUCCUGGUGCGGCGACAACUAGGGUUUUUGCGACAUGCCUCACUUGGUAGAAGGUCGGUGCUUCAGCAUUAAACUCCAUGAGACAUCCGAUGUUGAAACGGUACGCAACGAUGCAAAGAGUUUUUUUCGUAAUUAAGCUCGACUUCUUCUUCUUCAACGUGUAAUUUUCGCCUUUUACAAUUCGACUAGCUUAUCCCAUGCCAUGCAAGACGCUAUGUCUUGGAGAGGAUGGAUUUUGAAGAUCAUGAAAAUAUGGAAACAAAGAUAGUUCACCUAAGGACCCAUCAUGGUUUUGAUUUCCUGUAAAUCUAUACAAUUAUAUGAGCGGAUCCCAUUUUGGAUGCCCAAAUUGGGACGCACUUUGCAAGGCAUAUGAUUUCCAUGAGGGUAUGCUUGUCACCAUGGAUCCUCAUGAGCCUGACAUCGAGGAAGACAAUAUGAACAUUUGGGUCCUUGUUGAAUACGCUUCCAAUUCUACCGCUAUGUGAGUUUCUCAAACAUAGUUAUUAAGUAAUUUAUAUUGUUUAUUUCAAAAUAGUUGACAGCUUAUUUCCAUUGAUAGCUUAUUUUCAUUCUUCAAAGAAUAUGCGAAAGAUGCUAGACAUAACCUACUACACCGAUGGCGCGGAAUUAACUUAUCAGGAGAAAAAUCAUCUAAUCUCGGUUAUUAAUGAUCUUGAGAUUUACAAUAUCUAUAAUCAAACUCCUGCGCAGUAUGGUCAAUACGUGCCACUAGUGCACGUGUUGAACUACGGUAACAUCCAUGGAGAUGGCAUGGUAAGAUUUUUUUACUAUUACGACAUCCGUGCAUCUUUUGCAUAAAUUCUUCUAAAACUAAACUACAUUGCUAACUACGAAGUUAUUACUAUGUUUUUCAACAGAAAAUCCUGAAGGAUUGUGUGCCUCAUCUAAUGUUUCCGAAAGGUCGCCUUGAUGUUAUGAGCUUACAGCCAGGUCAUCCUACGCAUCACAGUUGUUCAUACCAGAUUUCUAAAACUGAUGAAGACAUGACAAUCAAAGAUUGGAAACAAUGUAUGGUCAGUCGUAGGGAGGUACUUGGAAGCAACAUUGUGCGACGCGCAAGAGUUGGAGAUAGGAUAAUCUCGAUUCUCCAUAAUGGAGAGUCAGGGCCUAUCUUCUUUUAUCCUAUUUUACCUAAGAGAGUGUAGUAGGUCCUAUCAGAGAGGAGUAGGUCCGGUACAAUGUGUUAUUAUGUGGUACAAUGUGUUAGAGUUGAUGAGGAGGAGGAGGAGGACUUGUGAUUAUGACUAGUGACCAACUUGCUAUAUGAUGUCUCAUGAAAAUGAUGAUCAUGAGGAGGUGUUAUAUGAUGGUAAGUUGUUAAUGAUAUGAUGGUGAUGAUGAUAUUUAUUAUAUCAUUGGGUGAAAGAACCGCUGAUUAGUUUCAAGUGGAUGUCCAUCCACUUGAAACUAGUCCAUGAUUCUUUCACCCAGUGAUGUAAUAACUCAUUAUGACGUAAAAACAAUCUCUAAAUUGCUACUAUGAAAACUUGUAUAAAGGUGUAUGAAUACAACAUGAAAUAAAAAAUAAAUAGAAUACGGAAUAAUAGUAGUAGCGUGGGCUACGAGAAGCGCUACUAGUAAUUACCAGUAGCGUUGUCACCCACGCUGAUGGUAGGCCAAAAACCCGCUCUACUGCUAGACUUUCCCUAGUAGUGUAGACCUCGCUGUGAGCCCUUCGGAUGACGCCCCCUCGGGUCCGUCGCCCCUGCUUCGGCUUCACCGCUACUUGUGGCUGCUCCCGCGGGUCUUGACUCGGUGUCACCACCACCUACGGCUGGUUACACGGGUCCUCUCACCUGCGCACACGCUGGGGUCUUUCGUCCGAGCUUGCGGUAUGCUCCAGAUGAGUAUGUCUGCACAACAUCCACUUCCGCGCCUUCGCCCUUGCCGGCCUCUGCCCUGGUGGCACUUUGCAACCCUCUUUGGUUCGCUGCAAUGCAGGAGGAUUUUGAUGCAAUGCAGCGAAAUCGGACUUGGCAGCUUGUCCAACGACCUCGGCACACUAAGAUCAUCACCGGGAAGUAGGUCUUGAAGCACAAGCUCUGACUAGAUGAUACACUUGACUGCUAUAAUGCAUGUUGGGUGGUUUGUGGCUUCCGACAACAUGCAGGCAUCGACUUCAUUGACACUUUCACCCCAGUUGUCAAAUCAGGGACGAUUUGCACUGUUCUUCAGCUUGCGGUGUCAGCGGCCCAUGGGGUUCGUUCAUAUGGCACACCCGGAUCAUUCAUGCCUGCUUUCGUGCUCCUUAUAUGGGCUCAAGCAAGCUCCAUGCGCCUGGUAGCAGCGCAUCGCAACGUUUCUUCACUGACUCGGCUUCUGAUCUACACACUCUGAUGCUUUGUUGUUUAUCUAUCACUAGGGCCCUAACAGAGCUUAUCUGCUCCUCAACAUCGACGACAUCAUCCUGGCAGCAUGCACGACUGGUCUUCUUCAAUGGCUCACUGGUGAUCUUUGCGUUGGGUUUGCCAUCAAGGGCUUGGGUCAUUUGCCCUACUUCCUCGGGGUCAAGGUGGUGCGUCGUUCGGAUGGCUUCUUUCUUCACUAGUGGAAGUAUGCUCAUGAGAUCCUUUACCGUGCUGGGAUGCUUAAUUGCAAACUUGCGGCCACGCCUAUCGAUACGAAGGCCAAGCUCUCUACCACUAAUGUGUCCCCUGCUACGGAUGGUUCAUUUAAUCGGUCUAUUGUUGGUGCUCUUCAGUACCUUACACUUAGUUACACGACCGGUGCUGUAGUAUGUUGUUCAGCAUGUGUGUUUUCAUAUGCAUGUUCCACACGAUGCUCACUAGACUUUAGUGAAGCGGAUUAUUCAAUAUAUCUGUGGCACUGAUGUCUACUACACAACCAUCUUCUUGUAGACGGUGUUGGGCCUCCAAGUGCAGAGGUUUGUAGGAAAGUAGAAAAUUUCCCUCAAGUGGAUGACCUAAGGUUUAUCAAUAUGUGGGAGGCGUAGGAUGAAGAUGGUCUCUCUCAAGCAACCCUGCAACCAAAUAACAAAGAAACUCUUGUGUCCCCAACACACCUAAUACAAUGGUAAAUGGUAUAGGUGCACUAGUUCGGUGAAGAGAUGGUGAUACAAGUGCAAUCUGGAUGGUAGAUAUAGGUUUCCGUAAUCUGAAAAUAUAAAAACAGCAAGGUAACUAACGAUAAAAGUGAGCACAAAGGAUAUUACAAUGCAAGGAAACAAGGCCUAGGGUUCAUACUUUCACUAGUGCAAGUUCUCUCAACAAUAAUAACAUAACUGGAUCAUAUAACUAUCCCUCAACAUGCAACAAAGAGUCACUCCAAAGUCACUAAUGGCGGAGAACAAACGAAGAGAUUAUUGUAGGGUACGAAACCACCUGAAAGUUAUCCUUUCUGAUCGAUCUAUUCAAGAGUUCGUAGUAAAAUAACACGAAGCUAUUCUUUCCAUUCGAUCUAUCAUAGAGUUCGUGCUAGAAUAACACCAUAACACACAAAUCAACCAAAACCCUAAUGUCACCUAGAUACUCCAAUGUCACCUCAAGUAUAUGUGGGCAUGAUUAUACGAUAUGCAUCACACAAUCUCCGAUUCAUCUAUUAAACCAACACAAAGUACUUCAAAGAGUGCCCCAAAGUUUCUACCGGAGAAUUAAGACGACAACGUGUGCCAACCCCUAUGCAUAAGUUCACAAGGUCACUGAACCCGCAAGUUGAUCACCAAAACAUGGAUCAAGUGAAUCAUGUGAUAUCCCAUUGUCACCACAGAUAAGCACAUGCAAGACAUACAUAAGUGUUCUCAAAUCCUUAAAGACUCAAUCCGAUAAGAUAACUUCAAAGGGAAAACUCAAUCCAUUACAAGAGAGUAGAGGGGAGAAACAUCAUAAGAUCCAACUAUAAUAGCAAAGCUCGCGAUACGUCAAGAUCGUACCACCUCAAGAACAUGAGAGAGAGAGAGAGAUCAAACACAUAGCUACUGGUACAUACCCUCAGCCCCGAGGGUGAACUACCCCCUCCUCGUCAUGGAGAGCGCCAGGAUGAUGAAGAUGGCCACCGGGGAGGGAUCCCCCCUCCGGCAGGGUGCCGGAACAGGGUCCCGAUUGGUUUUUGGUGGCUACAGAGGCUUGCGGCGGCGGAACUCCCGAUCUAUGGUGCUCCUCGAUGUUUUCGGGGUAUAUGGACAUAUAUGUUGUGGAACAUAGCAGAAAUUCAAAAUUUUCUACGCAUCACCAAGAUCAAUCUAUGGAGAGACUAGCAACGAGAGAGAGGGGAGUGCCUCUUCAUACCCUUGAAGAUUGCGAUGUGGAAGCGUUACAAGAACGCGGAUGAGGGAGUCGUACUCGCGGCGAUUCAAAUCGCAGAAGAUCCGAUCUAACGCCGAACGGACGGCGCCUCCGCGUUCAACACACGUGCAGCCCGAUGACGUCUCUCGUGCCUUGAUCCAGCAAGGGGAGAGGGAGAGGUUGGGGAAGACUCCGUCCAGCAGCAGCACGACGGCGUGGUGGUGGUGGAGUAGCAUGGCACUCCAGUAGGGCUUCGCCAAGCACCGCAAGAGACGAGGAGGGAGAGGGGUAGGGCAGCGCCAAGAGGGAGAGAAUAACUCAUGUGUUGGGCAGCCCCUAGACCUCAACUAUAUAUAGGGGAGGGGAGGGGGCUGCGCCCCCUCUAGAGUUCCCACCCCAAGAGGUGCGGCAGCCCCAGAUCCCAUCUAGGGUGGCGGCCAAAAGGGGAGAGGGGGAGGCACACCUGGGGUGGGCCUUAGGGCUCAUCUGCCCUAGGGUUUUGUCCCCCCUCUUCUCUUGAGGCGCCUUGGGCCUUGGUGGGGGCACCCCAGCCCACCUAGGGGCUGGUCCCCUCCCACACUUGGCCCACGCAGCCCUCUGGGGCCGGUGGCCCCACCUGCUGGACCCCCGGGACCCUCCCGGUGGUCCUGGUACGUUACCGAUAGCACCCAAAACUUUUCCGGUGACCAAAACAGGACUUCCCAUAUAUAAAUCUUUACCUCCGGACCAUUCCGGAACUCCUCGUGACGUCCGGGAUCUCAUCCGGGACUCCGAACAACAUUCGGUAACCACGUACUACAUUCCCUUAUAACCCUAGCGUCAUCGAACCUUAAGUGUGGAGACCCUACGGGUUCGGGAACCAUGUAGACAUGACCGAGACAACUCUCCGGCCAAUAACCAACAGCGAGAUCUGGAUACCCAUGUUGGUUCCCACAUGUUCCACGAUGAUCUCAUCGGAUGAACCACGAUGUCAAGGAUUCAAUCAAUCCCGAAUACAAUUCCCUUUGUCUACCGGUAUAGUACUUGCCCGAGAUUCGAUCGUCGGUAUACCGAUACCUUGUUCAAUCUCGUUAUGGCAAGUCUCUUUACUCGUUCUGUAACACAUCAUCCCGUGAUCAACUCCUUUGAUCACAUUGUGCACAUUAUGAUGAUGUCCUACUGAGUGGGCCCAGAGAUACCUCUCCGUCACACGGAGUGACAAAUCCCAGUCUUGAUUCGUGCCAACCCAACAGACACUUUCGAAUAUACCUAUAGUGCACCUUUAUAGCCACCCAGUUACGUUGUGACGUUUGGUACACCCAAAGCACUACUACGGUAUCCGGGAGUUGCACAAUCUCAUGGUCUAAGGAAAUGAUACUUGACAUUUAGAAAAGCUUUAGCAAAACGAACUACACAAUCUUGUGCUAUGCUUAGGAUUGGGUCUUGUCCAUCACAUCAUUCUCCUAAUGAUGUGAUCCCGUUAUCAAUGACAUCCUAUGUCCAUGGUCAGGAAACCAUAACCAUCUAUUGAUCAACGAGCUAGUCAACUAGAGGCUCACUAGGGACAUGUUGUGGUCUAUGUAUUCACACAUGUAUUACGGUUUCCAGUUAAUACAAUUAUAGCAUGAACAAUAGACAAUUAUCAUGAACAAGGAAAUAUAAUAAUAACCAUUUUAUUAUUGCCUCUAGGGCAUAUUUCCAACAGUCUCCCACUUGCACUAGAGUCAAUAAUCUAGUUCACAUCAUUAUGUGAUUGCAUUGAAUCCAACACCCAUGAUGUUUGAUCAUAUCUCGCUUGUGAGAGAGGUUUAUUAGUCAACGGGUCUGAAUCUUUCUGAUCCGUGUGUGCUCUACAAAUCUCUAUGUCAUCUCCUAGAUGUAGCUACCAUGCUCUAUUUGGAGCUAUUCCAAAUAACUGUUCUACUAUACGAUCCCGGUUUACUACUCGGAGUCAUCCGGAUUAUUGUCAAAGUUUGCAUCGACACUAGUUACUAAGAUUAAGUUUGACCGCUGUCAUGUGAUCCAUUCUUGGAUCACUCUUGUACCCCUUGACUGACUCAAGGCACACUUCAGGUGCGGUACAUAGCACAGCAUACUGUAGAGCCUAUUUCUGAAGCAUAGGGGACGACUUUCGUCCAUUCUCUCUCUUCUGCCGUGGUCAGGUCUUGAGUCUUACUCAAUACUCACACCUUAUAACACAGCCAAGAACUCCUUCUUUGCCGAUCUAUUUUGAACUCCUUCAAAAACUUGUCAUGGUGCAUACUCAUUUGAAAGUACUAUCAAGCGAUUUUGAUCUAUCCUUAUAGAUCUUGAUGCUCAAUGUUCAAGUAGCUUAAUCUAGGUUUUCCAUUAAAAACACUUUUCAAAUAACCCUAUAUGCUUUCCAGAAAUUCUAUACCAUUUCUGAUCAACAAUAUGUCAACAACAUAUUCUCAUCAGAAAUUUUAUAGUGCUCCCACUCACUUCUUUGGAAAUACAAGUUUCUCAUAAACUUUGUAUAAACCCAAAAUCUUUGAUCAUCUCAUCAAAGCGUAUACUCCAACUCUGAGAUGCUUACUCCGGUCCUUAGAAGGAUUGCUGGAGCUUUGCAAACUUGUUAGCAUCUUUCAGGAUUGACAAAACCUUUUGGUUUUAUCACAUACAAACUUUCCUCAAGAAAAACGUCGAGGAAACAAUGUUUUUUGACAUCCUAUCUGCAAGAUUUCAUAAAUAAUGCAGUAACUGCUAAUAUAAUUCCAAUAUACUCUUAGCAUCGCUACGAUUGAGAAAGUCUCAUCGUAGUCAACUCCUUGAACUUGUCGAAAAACAUCUUAGCGACAAGUCGAGCUUUCUUAAUGGUGACACUUACCAUCAUUGUCUGUCUUCCUUUUAAAAUCCAUCUGUACUCAACAGCCUUACGAUCAUCGAGUAGUUCUUCCAAAGUCUAUACUUUGUUUACAUGGAUCCUCUCUCGGAUUUUAUGGCCUCGAGCCAUUCGUCGGAAUCCGGGUCCACCAUCGCUACUCCAUAGCUCGUAGGUUCAUUGUUGACUAGCAACAUGACCUCCAAGACAGGAUUAAGUACCUCUCUGAAGUAGUAUGCAUCCUCGUCGACCUACGAGGUUUGGUAGUGACUUGAUCUGAAGUUUCAUGAUCACUAUCAUUAGCUUCCACUUCAAUUGGUGUAGGCGCCAUAGGAACAACUUCCUGUGCCCUGCUACACACUAGUUGAAGUGAUGGUUCAAUAACCUCAUCAAGUCUCCACCAUCCUCCCACUCAAUUCUUUCAAGAGAAACUUUUCCUCGUGAAAGGACCCGAUUCUGGAAACAAUCCCUUUUGCUUUCGGAACUGAGACAGGAGGUAUACCCAACUGUUUUGGGUGUCCUAUGAAGAUGCAUUUAUCUGCUUUGGGUUCGAGCUUAUCAGGCUAACACCUUUCACAUAAGCGUCGCAGCCCCAAACUUUUAAGAAACGACAGCUUAGGUUUCUCUAAACAAUAGUUCAUACGGCGUCAUCUCAAUGGAAUUACGUGGUGCCCUAUUUAAAGUGAAUGUGGUUGUCUCUAAUGCCUAACCCAUAAAUGAUAGUGGUAAUUCGAUAAGAUACAUCAUGGUAUGCACCAUAUCCAAUAGGGUGCAGUUAUGAUGUUCGGGCACACCAUCACACUAUGGUGUUCCAGGCGGUAUUGGUUGUGAAACAAUUUCCACAAUGUCUUAAUUGUAUGCCAAACUCGUAACUCAGAUACUCAUCUCUAUGAUCAUAUCAUAGACAUUUUUAUCCUCCUAUCACGACGAUCUCCAACUUCACUCUGAAAUUACUUGAACCUUUCAAUAAUUCAGAUUUGUGUUUCAUCAAGUAAAUAUACUCAGUAUCUACUCAAAUCAUCUGUGAAGUAAGUACAUAACGAUAUCCACUGCGUGCCUCAGCACUCAUUGGACUGCACACAUCAAAAUGUAUUACUUCCAACAAGUUGCUUUCACGUUCCAUCUUACUGAAACCGAGGCUUUCAGUCAUCUUGCCCAUGUGUUAUGAUUUGCAUGUCUCAAGUGAUUCAAAAUCAAGUGAGUCCAAACGGUCCAUCGGCAUGGAGUUUCUUCAUGCGUAUAUACCAACAUACAUGGUUCACAAGUCUCAACCUUUUCAAAAACGAGUGAGUCCAAAAAUCCAUCAACAUGGAGCUUCUUCAUGCGUUUUAUACCAAUAUGACUCAAAUGGCAGUGCCACAAGUAGGUGGCACUAUAUCAUUACUAUCUUAUAUCUUUUGGCAUGAACAUGUGUAUCACUAUGAUCGAGAUUCAAUAAACCAUUCUUUUUAGGUGCAAGACCAUUGAAGGUAUUAUUCAAAUAAACAGAGUAACCAUUAUUCUCCUUAAAUGAAUAACCGUGUUGCGAUAAACAUAAUCCAAUCAUGUCUAUGCUCAACGCAAACACCAAAUGACAAUUAUUUAGGUUUAACACCAAUCUCGAUGGUAGAGGGAGCGUGCGAUGCUUGAUCACAUCAACCUUGGAAACACUUCCAACACAUAUCGUCAGCUCACCUUUAGCUAGUCUCCGUUUUUUCCGUAGCUUUUAUUUCGAGUUACUAACACUUAGCAACCGAACCGGUAUCUAAUACCCUGGUGCUACUAGGAGUACUAGUAAACUACACCUUAACAUAAUGUAUAUCCAAUAUACUUCUAUCGACCUUGCCAGCCUUCUCAUCUACCAAGUAUCUAGGGUAGUUCCACUUCAGUGACCGUCCCCCUUAUUUCAGAAGCACUUAGUCUCGGGUGGGUUCAAACUUUGGGUUUCUUCACUAGAGCAGCAACUGAUUUGCCCUUUCAUGAAGUAUCCCUUCUUGCCCUUGCCCUUCUUGAAACUAGUGGUUUCACUAACCAUCAACAAUUGAUGCUCCUUCUUGAUUUCUACUUUCGCGGUGUCAAACAUCGCGAAUAUUUCAAGGAUUAUCAUAUUUAUCCCUGAUAUGUUAUAGUUCAUCACGAAGCUCUAGUAGCUUCGUGGAAAUGACUUUGGAGAAACAUCACUAUCUCAUCUGGAAGAUUAACUCCCACUCGAUUCAAGUGAUUGUUGUACUCAGACAAUCUGAGCACAAGCUCAACGAUUGAGCUUUUCUCCCUCAGUUUUCAGGCUAAGAAACUCAUCAGAGGUCUUAUACCUCUUGACGUGGGCACGAGCCUGAAAUCCCAAUUUCAGCUCUUGGAACAUCUCAUAUGUUCCGUGACGUUUUAAAAUGUCUUCGGUGCCUCAAUUCUAAACCGUUUAACAUUACUGAACUAUCAUGUAGUUAUCAAAACGUGUAUGUCAAAUGUUCGCAACAUCCACAGGCGACGUUCAAGGUUCAGCACACCGAGCGGUGCAUUUAGAGCAUAAGUCUUCUACGAAGCUACGAGGACAAUCCUCAGUUUACGGACCUAGUCCGCGUAAUUGCUACUAUCAACUUUCAACUGAAUUUUCUCUAGGAACAUAUCUAAAACAGUAGAACUAAAGCGUGAGCUAUGACAUAAUUUGCAAAAACCUUUUGACUAUGUUCAGGAUAAUUAAGUUCAUCUUAUGAACUCCCACUCAGAUAGACAUCCCUCUAGUCAUCUAAGUGAUACAUGAUCCAAGUCAACUAGGCCGUGUCCGAUCAUCACGUGAGACGGACUAGUCAUCAUCGGUGAACAUCUUCAUGUUGAUCGUAUCCACUAUACGACUCAUGUUCGACCUUUCGGUCUCUUGUGUUCUGAGGCCAUGUCUGUACAUGCUAUGCUCGUCAAGUCAACCUAAGUGUUUUGCGUGUGUAAAUCUAGCUUACACUCGUUGUAUGUGAACGUUAGAAUCUAUCACACCCGAUCAUCACGUGGUGCUUUGAAACAACGAACUUUCGCAACGGUGCACAGUUAGGGGGAACACUUUCUUGAAAUUAUUAUGAGGGAUGAUCUUAUUUACUACCGUCGUUCUAAGAAAAUAAGAUGCAUAAACAUGAUAAACAUCACAUGCAAUCAAAUAGUGACAUGAUAUGGCCAAUAUCAUUUUGCUCCUUUUGAUCUCCAUCUUCAGAGCUCCAUGAUCAUCAUCGUCACUGGCAUGACACCAUGAUCUCCAUCAUCGUGUCUUCAUGAAGUUGUCUCGCCAACUAUUACUUCUACUACUAUGGCUAACGGUUAGCAAUAAAGUAAAGUAAUUACAUGGCGUUAUUAUUGAUACGCAGGUCAUACAAUAAAUAAGACAACUCCUAUGGCUCCUGUCGGUUGUCAUACUCAUCGACAUGCAAGUCGUGAUUCCUAUUACAAGAACAUGAUCAAUCUCAUACAUCACAUAUAUCAUUCAUCACAAUCUUUUGGCCAUAUCACAUCACAUAGCAUACCCUGCAAAAACAAGUUAGACGUCCUCUAAUUAAUGUUGCAUCUUUUACGUGGCUGCUAUGGGUUUCUAGCAAGAACGUUUCUUACCUACGCAAAGCCACAACGGUGAUAUGCCAAUUGCUAUUUACCCUUCAUAAGGACCCUUUUCAACGAAUCCGAUCUGACUAAAGUGGGAGAGACUGGCACCCGCUAGCCACCUUAUGCAACAAGUGCAUGUCAGUCGGUGGAACCUGUCUCACGUAAGCGUACGUGUAAGGUCGGUCUGGGCCGCUUCAUCCCACAAUGCCGCCGAAUCAAGAUAGGACUAGUAACGGUAAGCAAACUGUACAAACCAUCACCCACAACUACUUGUGUUCUACUCGUGCAAAGAAUCUACGCAAUAAACCUGGUCUGAUACCACUGUUGGGGAACGUAGCAGAAAUUCAAAAUUUUCUACGCAUCACCAAGAUCAAUCUAUGGAGAGACUAGCAACGAGAGAGAGGGGGGUGCAUCUUCAUACCCUUGAAGAUCGCGAUGCGGAAGCGUUACAAGAACGCGGAUGAGGGAGUCGUAUUCGCGGCGAUUCAAAUCACGGAAGAUCCGAUCUAACGCCGAACGGACGGCGCCUCCGCGUUCAACACACAUGCAGCCCGAUGACGUCUCCCGUGCCUUGAUCUAGCAAGGGGAGAGGGAGAGGUUCGGGAAGACUCCAUCCAGAAGUAGCACGACAGCGUGGUGGUGGUGGAGGAGCGUGGCACUCUAGCAGGGCUUCACCAAGCACCGCAAGAGACGAGGAGGAAGAGGGGUAGGGCUGCGCCAAGAGGGAGAGAAUAAGUCAUGUGUUGGGCAGCCCCUAGACCUCAACUAUAUAUAGGGGAGGGGAGGUGGCUGCGCCCCCUCUAGGGUUCCCACCCCAAGGGGUGCGGCAGCCCCAGAUCCCAUUUAGGGUGGCGGCCAAAAGGGGAGAGGGGGAGGCACACCUCGGGUGGGCCUUAGGGCUCAUCUGCCCUAGGGUUUUGUCCCCCCUCUUCUCUUGAGGCGCCUUGGGCCUUGGUGGGGGGCGCCCCAGCCCACCUAGGGGCUGGUCCCCUCCCACACUUGGCCCACGCAGCCCUUUGGGGCCGGUGGCCCCACCUGGUGGACCCCCGGGUCCCUCCCGGUGGUCCCGGUACGUUACCGAUAGCACCCGAAACUUUUCCGGUGACCAAAACAGGACUUUCCAUAUAUAAAUCUUUACCUCCGGACCAUUCCGGAACUCCUCGUGACGUCCGGGAUCUCAUCCGGGACUCCGAACAACAUUCGGUAACCACGUACUACAUUCCCUUAUAACCCUAGCAUCAUCGAACCUUAAGUGUGUAGACCCUACUGGUUCGGGAACCAUGUAGACAUGACUGAGACAACUCUCCGACCAAUAACCAACAGCGGGAUCUGGAUACCCAUGUUGGUUCCCACAUGUUCCACGAUGAUCUCAUCGGAUGAACCACGAUGUCAAGGAUUCAAUCAAUCCCAUAUACAAUUCCCUUUGUCUACCGGUAUAGUACUUGCCCGAGAUUCGAUCGUCGGUAUACCGAUACCUUGUUCAAUCUCGUUAUGGCAAGUCUCUUUACUCGUUCUGUAACACAUCAUCCCGUGAUCAACUCCUUUGAUCACAUUGUGCCUUUAUGAUGAUGUCCUACCGAGUGGGCCCAGAGAUACAUCUCCGUCACACAGAAUGACAAAUCCCAGUCUCGAUUCAUGCCAACCCAACAGACACUUUCGGAGAUACCUGUAGUGCACCUUUAUAGCCACCCAGUUACUUGUGACGUUUGGUACACCCAAAGCACUCCUACGGUAUCCGGGAGUUGCACAAUCUCAUGGUCUAAGGAAAUGAUACUUGACAUUUAGAAAAGCUUUAGCAAAACAAACUACACGAUCUUGUGCUAUGCUUAGGAUUGGGUCUUGUCCAUCACAUCAUUCUCCUAAUGAUGUGAUCCCGUUAUCAAUGACAUCCUAUGUCCGUGGUCAGGAAACCAUAACCAUCUAUUGAUCAACGAGCUAGUCAACUAGAGGCUCACAAGGGACAUGUUGUGGUCUAUGUAUUCACACAUGUAUUACGGUUUCCAGUUAAUACAAUUAUAGCAUGAACAAUAGAAAAUUAUCAUGAACAAGGAAAUAUAAUAAUAACCAUUUUAUUAUUGCCUCUAGGGCAUAUUUCCAACAAUAUAUAGGUGAAAGAAGUCGGUCAGGGGAGGCACGAGGGGCCCACGAGGGUGGGGGGCGCGCCCAGGGCGGUAGGGCGCAGCCUGGACCCUCAUGGCCACCUUGAAGCUUCCCUGACGUCUACUCCAAGUCUCCUGGAUUGAUUCAGUUCCAAAAAUAACUCUCCCGAAGGUUUCAUUCCAUUUGGACUCUGUUUGAUAUUCCUUUUCUUCGAAACACUGAAAUAGGCAAGAAAACAGCAAUUUGGGCUGGGCCUCCGGUUAAUAGGUUAGUCCCAAAAAUGAUAUAAAAGUGUAUAGUAAAGGCCAUAAACAUCCAAAACAGGUAAUAUAAUAGCAUGGAACAAUCAAAAAUUAUAGAUACGUUGGAGAUGUAUCAAGCAUCCCGAAGCUUAUUUCCUGCUCGUCCUCGAGUAGGUAAAUGAUAAAAACAGAAUUUUUGAUGUGGAAUGCUACCUAGCAUAUUUCCCAAUGUAAUUUUCUUUAGUGUGGCAUGAAUGUUCAGAUCCAAAUGAUUCAAGAUAAAAGUUUAUAUUGACAUAAGAGUAAUAAUAUUUCAAGCAUACUAACAAAGUAAUCAUGUCUUCUCAAAAUAACAUGGCCAAAGAAAGUUUCUCCCUACAAAAUCAUAUAGUUAGGCUAUGUUUCAUUUUCGUUACACAAAAUAAUCCCAUCAUGCACAAGUUCGGUUUCAGACAAGCAAUUGGUUCAUACUUUUUAACGCGCUUUAGCUUUUUCAACUCUCACGCAAUACAUGAGCGUAAGCCAUGGAUAUAGCACUAUGGGUGGAAUAGAAUAUGAUGAUGGAGGUUGUGUGGAGAAGACAAAAAAGAAGAAAGUCUCACGUUGACGAGGCUAAUCAAUGGGCUAUGGAGAUGCCCAUCAAUUGAUGUCAACAUGAGGAGUAGGGAUUGCCAUGUAAUGGAUGCACUCGAGCUAUAAAUGUAUGAAAGCUCAACAAAAGAAACUAAGUGGGUGUGCAUCCAACUUGCUUUCUCAUGAAGACCUAGGGCAUUUUGAGGAAGCCCAUUGUUGGAAUAUACAAGCCAAGUUCUAUAAUGAAAAAUUCCCACUAGUAUAUGAAAGUGACAACAUAAGAGACUCUCUAUCAUAGUGAGCACAAACGAUAUUGCAAUGCUAGGAAACAAGGCCUAGGGUUCAUACUUUCACUAGUGCAAGUUCUCUCAACAAUAAUAACAUAACUGGAUCAUAUAGCUAUCCCUGAACAUGCAACAAAGAGUCACUCCAAAGUCACUAAUGGCGGAGAACAAACGAAGAGAUUAUUGUAGGGUACGAAACCACCUCAAAGUUAUCCUUUCUGAUCGAUCUAUUCAAGAGUCCAUAGUAAAAUAACACGAAGCUAUUCUUUCCGUUCGAUCUAUCAUAGAGUUCGUACUAGAAUAAUACCUGAAGACACAAAUCAACCAAAACCCUAAUGUCACCUAGAUACUCCAAUGUCACCUCAAGUAUCCGUUGGCAUGAUUAUACGAUAUGCAUCACACAAUCUCAGAUUCAUCUAUUCAACAAACACAAAGUACUUCAAUGAGUACCCCAAAGUUUCUACCGGAGAGUCAAGACGAAAAUGUGUGCCAACCCCUAUGUAUAAGUUCACAAGGUCACUGAACCCGCAAGUUGAUCACAAAAACAUACAUCAAGUGAAUCACGUGAUAUCCCAUUGUCACCACAGAUAAGCACAUGCAAGACAUACAUAAGUGUUCUCAAAUCCUUAAAGACUCAAUCCGACAAGAUAACUUCAAAGGGAAAACUCAAUCCAUUACAAGAGAGUAGAGGGGGAGAAACAUCAUAAGAUCCAACUAUAAUAGCAAAGCUCGCGAUACAUCAAGAUCAUACCACCUCAAGAACACGAGAGAGAGAGAGAGAGAGAGAGAGAGAGAGAGAGAUCAAACACAUAGCUACGGGUACAUACCCUCAGCCCUGAGGGUGAACUACUCCCUACUCGUCAUGGAGAGCGCCUUCAUGGAGAGCGCCGGAAUAUAACUAGCACAUUUGAGUCUAACCCACUUCCUAUGCAUAGCGAUUUUGUGAGCAAACAACUUAUGGGAACAAUAAUCAACUAGCAUAGGAAGGCAAAACAAGCAAAUCUUCAAGAUCUUCAACACGUGGAGAGGAAACUUGAUAUUAUUACAAUAUGUAGAAGCAUAUGAUCCUCUCUCAUAAUAAUUUUCAGUAGCAUCAUGAAUGAAUUCAACCAUAUAAUCAGCACAUAAAGCAUUCUUUUCAUGAUCUACUUGCAUAGAAAAUUUACUACUCUCCACAUAAGCAAAUUUCUUCUCAUGAAUAGUAGUGGGAGCAAACUCAACAAAAUAAUUAUCAUGUGAGGCAUAAUCCAAUUGAUUAAUAAAAUCAUGAUGACAAGUUUCAUGGUUAUAUUUAUUCUUUAUAGCAUACAUGUCAUCACAAUAAUCAUCAUAAAUAGGAGGCAUGUUAUCAUCAUAAUAAAUAUUCUCAUCAAAACUUGGGAGACUAAACAUACCAUCUUCAUCAAACAUAGCAUCCCCAAGCUUGUGGCUUUGCAUAUCAUUAGCAUCAUGGGUAUUCAAAUAAUUCAUACUAACAACAUUGCAAUCAUGCUCAUCAUUCAAAAUUUUAGUGCCAAACUUUUUAAUGCAUUCUUGUUCUAACACUUGGGCCCAAUUUUUCUUUCCAUCAUUUUCACGAAAGACAUUAAAAAGAUGAAGCAUAUGAGGCAACCUUAAUUCCAUUAUUUUUUGUAGUUUUCUUUUAUAAACUAAACUAACUAGUGAUAAAACAAGAAACUAAAAGAUUCGAUUGCAAGAUCUAAAGAUAUACCUUCAAGCACUCACCUCCCCGGCAACGGCGCUAGAAAAGAACUUGAUGUCUACUACACAACCUUCUUCUUGUAGAUGUUGUUGGGCCUCCAAGUGCAGAGGUUUGUGGGACAGUAGCAAAUUUCCCUCAAGUGGAUGACCUAAGGUUUAUCAACCCUGGGAGGCGUAGGAUGAAUAUGGUCUCUCUCAAGCAACCCUGCAACCAAAUAACAAAGAGUCUCUUGUGUCCCCAACACACCCAAUAUAAUGGUAAAUUGUAGAGGUGCACUAGUUUAGCGAAGAAAUGGUGAUACAAGUGCAAUAUGGAUGGUAGAUAUAGGUUUUUGUAAUCUGAAAAUAUAAAAACAGCAAGGUAACUAAUGAUAAAAGUGAGCAUAAACGAUAUUGCAAUGCUAGGAAACAAGGCCUAGGGUUCAUACUUUCACUAGUGCAAGUUCUCUCAACAAUAAUAACAUAACUGGAUCAUAUAACUAUCCCUCAACAUGCAACAAAGAGUCACUCCAAAGUCAGUAAUGGCGGAGAACAAACGAAGAGAUUAUUGUAGGGUACGAAACCACCUCAAAGUUAUCCUUUCCGAUCGAUCUAUUCAAGAGUCCGUAGUAAAAUAACAUGAAGCUAUUCUUUCCGUUCGAUCUACCAUAGAGUCCGUACUAGAAUAAUACCUUAAGACACAAAUCAACCAAAACCCUAAUGUCACCUAGAUACUCCAAUGUCACCUCAAGUAUCCGUUGGCAUGAUUAUACGAUAUGCAUCACACAAUAUCAGAUUCAUCUAUUCAACCAACACAAAGUACUUCAAUGAGUGCCCCAAAGUUUCUACCAGAGAUUCAAGACGAAAAUGUGUGCCAACCCCUAUGCAUAAGUUCACAAGGUCACUGAACUCGCAAGUUGAUCACCAAAACAUACAUCAAGUGAAUCACGUGAUAUCCCAUUGUCACCACAGAUAAGCACAUGCAAGACAUACAUAAGUGUUCUCAAAUCCUUAAAGACUCAAUCCGAUAAGAUAACUUCAAAGGGAAAACUCAAUCCAUUACAAGAGAGUAGAGGGGGAGAAACGUCAUAAGAUCCAACUAUAAUAGCAAAGCUCGCGAUACGUCAAGAUCGUACCACCUCAAGAACACGAGAGAGAGAGAGAGAGAGAGAGAGAGAGAGAUCAAACACAUAGCUACGGGUACAUACCCUCAGCCCCGAGGGUGAACUACUCCCUCCUCGUCAUCGAGAGCGCUGGGAUGAUGAAGAUGGCCACCGGGGAGGGAUCCCCCCUUCGGCAGGGUGCCGGAACAAGGUCCCGAUUGGUUUUUGGUGGCUAUAGAGGCUUGCGGCGGCGGAACUCCCGAUCUAUGGUGCUCCUUGAUGUUUUCGGGGUAUAUGGACAUAUAUAGGUGAAAGAAGUCGGUCAGGGGAGCCACGAGGGGCCCACAAGGGUGGGGGCGCGCCCAGGGAGGUAGGGGCACCCUGGACCCUCGUGGCCACCUCGAAGCUUCCCUGACGUCUACUCCAAGUCUCCUAGAUUGCUUCCGUUCCAGAAAUUAAGUCUCCCGAAGGUUUCAUUCCGUUUGGACUCCGUUUGAUAUUCCUUUUCUUUGAAACACUGAUAUAGGCAAGAAAACAACAAUUUGGGCUGGGCCUCCGGUUAAUAGGUUAAUCCCAAAAAUGAUAUAAAAGUGUAUAGUAAAGCCCAUAAACAUCCAAAACAGGUAAUAUAAUAGCAUGAAACAAUCAAAAAUUAUAGAUAUGUUGGAGACGUAUCAGGCACCAUGGAUCUCGACAUCAUGUUACGCGCCUCCACCGCCACUGACAUCACUGCCUACUUCGACACUGACUGGGCGUCUGCCCUGAUACACGAUGUUCCACUUCUGGAUAUUGUGUCUUCCUUGGUCCAUCACUUAUUCCGUGGUUGUCCAAGUGGCAGUCCACGGUCUCCCAUUCCAGUGCUGAGGCCGAGUAUCAUGCAGUGGCUAAUGUCAUCGUUCAAUACUACUGGCUUCGCCGGCUUCUCCUUGAGCUCUCGUGCCCUGUCGACAAGGCCACUGUGUUAUAGUGCGAUAACGUCUAUGCCGUCUAACUCUCUGCCAACCCGGCCAUCAUCGUCGUACCAAGCACAUCGAGCUUGACAUUCAUUUUGUUCAAGAACAGGUUCUUGGCCAUAUACGUGUUCUACAUGUACCCACCUCCCAACAAUUUGCAGAUAUCAUGACCAAGGGCUUGCUUAUGGCGUCCUUCGAGGAGUCUCGGUUGUGGCUUGGAGGGACGUCCCUCUGUCGAGGAGUUACGGAUCCCGGCUGGGCAAAGCCCGUGCGGGGGGAUGAUGACAGCGACGGGACGUCCCUCCAUUGCAGCUUGGAGGCGUGGUUGUGACGGUGGAUCUUGAGCGGGCGCCUUGGGACGAUGUGUGUGGCCAUGACGCCGGUCACGCGGCGAUGUGACCUCCUCUACCUUUGGUUGUCUUCAUCGUCGGUGGGUUUGCCUUGCGGUGGCUUCCCCACGGCGGAUCAAGUGGAGGAGGAGAUGGUGGCCUAGCUGCUGAAGUGAGUGAGGAUGCCACCAUCGACGGCGGCGCCCGUGGGUGUCGUUUUCCUCGUGGGAGGCGUUGGUGGGGGCGUUGAUGGUGCCCUAGCUGCUGAAUUGGGUGAGAAGGCUACCAUUGACGGCGGCGCCUGUGGGCGUCAUAGCCCUCGUUGGAGGCAUUGAGGGACCUCUUGGAUCGAAUGAUGGCGAUGUCUUCGUCGUUACCCCCAUAGGGGUAUCAUCUUUGGAGACAUUCAUCGGUUGGAUGGACACGUGGAUGGCUUGGUGGUUGGGCAUCGGUAGGUGGUGGAGCGGUGAUUCAUCCUACACAUCGAUGGCGGUGGAUCUCGGCGGCAUGGCGCAGUGAAGACUCGGCGUCCGAUGGGUGGCGAUGGACUCAUGCAGGAGGACGACGCUGUCUGGCGUCGUGGUGGUGUCAAUGGAAGAGAGGCCUGGCAAGGUCGAUGCGUCAGUAUCUGAUCUGAGGAUGAAUCGAUGGAUGAAGGAGGUGAUGGCCCUUGCAGCUUGUGCAUGUGGUGCCCACUGAAAGUGCGUCGGACCGGUGUGUAACCCAGUCCAGGUAUUGUGGCUUGGGUGGGGUAUCCGGCAUUAGAUGUUAGGUGUUGGUGCGAUAUCUGUUUGGUAUUAGGCUCGGACAUUCGGCACUCCUUCAUCACGGGGAUAGGAGUAGCGACUGGUGUUGCCAAGAUCGUGGCUUCAGACUUACUAAUGUAUUACCUUGCAAGGGCUUUGUGAAUAAUUAAUAUAAUGGAUGCAUGCAUCACCCAAAUGCAGAGACCGCGGGUACAUUCUCCUUUAAAAAAAAGCACCCAAUAAAUAUUGAAAGUUGCAUCCUAAUUGUCUACACACUCCUUGCCAGUAUUAUUUACGUAGUUGGGUAUUUUGUGGCAAUACCCAAACUGACCGCAUAACCUCCCACAGUAUGCGUGCAUGAUCGCAUCUAACUAGGGCGUGAUAUGUAGUUUUGGCCUCCGUGUCGCAUAUAGGACAUGUAUCCCUAGUAGGAAUAUGUCCGGAGUUUUUGCACAAAUUGGUAGAUAAUACACUCGUUGUUGCCUUCCAUGCACAGAUUUUCAUUUUCUAAGGUACAUACGAAAUAAAAUGAGUGAAUCUACAUUCUAAAAUAUGUCUAUAUACGACAGUAUAUAGUUCGUAUUGAAAUCUCUAAAUAGACUUAUAUUUAGAAACUGAGGGAGUAGUAUUUAUAACAAAGAAUGAGAGAGUAAUCAAAAUGACCAAAAGGCUCGCACCCGGUUUAUCAAUAAAGCACCAACCAACAUCUAGUUCAACCCAUACAACUUGACACCACAAUACAGGCAGGGUCUCAUAACCCCAUACCACUCCAAGCAAUCUACUACACGUAGGAACCUAAGGCACCACUUGAAGUGUCCAGAGCCCUCAAUCGUGAACGAGUCGUCACGAAGGAAUAAAACUCUGUGCGCGAAGAACCGAGUAUUCCAAGACGGUGGGAAGGCAGAGCAAGCCAUAAUAUAAUAAACUAGAAAAUUUGACUUUACUUCGAUUUAGAAUAGCAUGCUUACUUUAAUUUCUAAAAAUAGUUUCAGGUUUCCUUAUUAUUUCGGAUCGGAGUAGUACAAUUGCUAGAAAAUUGAGUAUUUCAUUGCAGAAUUUUAAAAUAAACUAAGUCCCUUUUUUAAGUACACGUCAAUCUGCCAAUCUUGUGCUGCACGGGGGUACACCAAGCAACCGUGGAAGUACACAUAUGUUGUUUCGGAGGGUACAAGUUAGUUCUUGAUGGGAUACAAGUUACGCUCGAAAAAGUUCAUCGAAACCUACAAAAUAGAUCUAGUUUUGAAGAUUUUAACAAGACAGACGCAACGGUGUAAAUGGUCCGUAAUUUGGACACUCGGUUCAACAGAUAUUCCAUUUUAUAAUCGGAUACAUUAAGAGAUGCACAUGAGUGACAACAUUUAUUCCCAUAAAUGAUUUCAAUAGUCCAGAUGGCAGCCAUCUAUAAUGGCUUUCGUAACAUCUAUAUCUAUACUAAUAUAAAAAGACCAAAGGAAUAGAUUCAAUUAAUCUCGGCAACAAAUCAUGUCAAUCUAACGACCUAGAUUGUUUCAAUGAUGAACACUCAACACGUUUAGCGUACAGUUAAUUUCAUGCCAAAUAUAGUACUAAUCACAUAAUAAUACGCAAAUAAUACCCUACUUAAUAUCCGCAUGCACUUAAUAAACUUCCAAAUUAACGUACAUUGCACGUACACAUUGACUAAUGCCAGUCCAACGACCUAGACCGCUUCAAUGUCAAAGCGCUCAACACGUUUAGCGUGCAAUUAAUUUCAUGCCAAAAAUAAUGUUAAUCACAUAAUAACACGCAAAUAAUAUCCUACUUAAUGCCGUAUUGCACGUACACAUUGACUAGUAUAAAAAGCUUCACAAGCACAUAAUGUUUCAAGCAAUGCAGAUAAACUUCACAAGCACACUUGAGUGGAGCCGUAACAAACACACAAAACACGCAAGAUGGUAGCAUGGGUCCAAGCCUACGCCUUCCACCUACCGCAGUUCAUACAGCGCGCUCCUCCUUUGGAAGGGAAAGACAACCAUGCCAUGGUGGCAGAGCUAACCUUAGACUUGAUUUGGCGGUGGAGGAGCAGAACCGUAGGGAGCGUCUUUAGAUGGCACAAAAGGAGGAUUACUGCCAACAUAUGCUUGGUAGUGGUCCUUCUUCCGAACUAGGCGGUAUGAGGCAACAUCAAGGGCGGCGACUACAAGAAACAAAAAUGUCGCGAUCACGAAAAUUGCGACACCUCCGACAAUCCUAGCAUUCCCAACAGUUUUCUUUGCAGAGCCUUCAAAUCCUAACAUGGCCCCUGCCAGAAAUAGUAGCACUGCUAUGAUCGCGAGGACCCUGCAAGUAUAUACACAUGGCGUAGAGACUAUAUUAAUUAUACAACUUAAAUGAACAAGACACCAAGUAGAUAUAGAUUCUGUAUUAAAGUUCAGUUUUCAAAUUCUAUGAGAAAUGAUAAAAAAACAAUGAAUCAUAAAGUUCUCGGGCCCCGCCACCACUUAGCGGCUAGCGCACCACGCCACAUAGGCUGGCAUUAAUGUUAAUGAUGAUAUUUUUCUUGAUUAGCAACAGAAAUCAGGCCGGAUAUCGAGUUGUGAAUAACCAAAUUAUUUAUGUACCAUGAGGUGAUGAAGAAGACCACCGCGGCGAUGCGCUUGGCCCCCUUAGUUACCCGCCACGCCCCAAAGCAGCAGAUCGCCACGCCGGCAAGAAUCUGCGUCAUCGAUGCCAACACGGCCGCUACCACGCCACAUGGCAUCGCCGGCGAUCGUCGGUACGUAGAGAACUCGCCAUUGUCAUCUUGAUGAUGUUUCUGCAUGAAUGAAUGCACACCGUUAAGAAGAAUCAACAAUAUUAUUAUCAACUAGAUUAUGCUUGGCCGAAGUUUUUUUUUUCUUUUGAAAUCUUGGCCGAAGGUUAGAGUGAGAAAGAGAUGGCAUCUAGCAGGUUUUUUUAGAGAUAGCAUCUAGCAGGUUACAAUGAGAAAGAUAUAAUAUCUAGCGUGUGAUGCAUGCAUACCAUUGCCAAGAGAACCGCGCUGAUGAUUCCGAAAACGACCGUCAUCACGGCCAGGAUGCUGGUCACCACCAUGAGACAUUUGGUCCCCAUCGAUGAUGUCACUACUAAUCGAGUAGAUGAGUUAGGUAUUGCAUUGCCACAGCCAUAUAGAUAGACAGAUUUAUUGGAAAAGAUAUAGAUAGACCGAGAUGAACAAGUGCAGGAAUCCAACGUUAGCUUGAAUAAGGUUAUCGGAGGACGGGCUACCUCUUGCAUGAAGAUUGUCACCCGCAUUGCUCCAUUUCUUGUAAGAUAUAUUAAGUUGGUAAAUGUAUAAUUUUAUUAAUUGAACUUCCUAAAAUAUAUGUGAUUAAGUUGCAUAUAGCCAAAAAUCGGUCAAGGAUUCACGCGACUCCGAGUGGAGCGGUGUCAAGAAUUCCCACCCCACCAAGCAUGGCGAAAACUUUCUGUGGAGUGGUGUCUUUGUUGCCGGCCUAUACGGGCAAAAGACCGUGCUGUUGUUUCUAUUGGUCCUGCCACUUUACUUAGGAUUAUUUGAAAACAAGGAUUUCAAAGUGUAUUGCCUACUGAUCCUACUAAUGUGAUAUUUAUUUUGUGUUCAUUGUUGUAAUCAUGGGUCGUGCUGAUGAAAAAAAAAAGAGGACUACUAGGCUUGCUUGCUUAGUGAGAUUUUAAAAGUCUCUGCCCUGUGGAGGGGAGAAGCCUCUAACCGUUCACGUGGAUGUGUCCCUGUUGUCCGACGAUUCUGUUGAUUUUGAUAGGGUACCGUUGUGUCAAGAAUGGCGAAAACGGGCCGGGUCGUGGCUCGAAAAAAGCCACACUUAUAAAUCAGCAAAUAAUCAUCAAGAUAGAGGCACCGCAAAGUAACACAAUGCGUGGAUAAAUAGAACUGAAACCAAUCUCCGGGGCCGCUAAACUAGCAGAGGUCUCCUAAAAAACUAAACUAGCAGAAACAGAGGAGGAGCAGAGGAAUCAAGCAAGGGACCGCUGAACCCUACACCAUGAAUCGACCAGCAAAACCAGAGCAGGGAGAAACACGGCCGACAGUUACCGGGAGUGAAGGGAAGACGAACCAACGAAGCACGGCAAUGGCGAGGGAGAUUAGCUGGAGGAGGCAACCUCGCCGGGGUGGGGAGUGGAACGAAAACCAAACCUUUUGGUUGUGGGGAGGCAGAGCGAGAGGAGUAGUGGGUAGGAGAGGAGUGAGAGGCGAAGGCCUUACUUGUCCGUGACAGAUUUACAUCAAGUAGUACUAAUGCAGGAUCCAUACUAGCACGUGACAGAUUUUGGCUGGCUUCUGAGCCGACAACCGGAGACAAGCACGCGUGUAGGGACCGUCGGUUCAGCCAUCAACGUCGACGCGCGCGGUCGACAUGCGCUAAUGUGCCACACCACACCACACCAAAAAAGUUGAUGUCGACCGAAACACGAGAUUCAUUUUUUUUUCCCGAAAUCUAAGGGCAGAAGCCGAGUUGAACACCCAUAGGAGAGUACGAAAAAUAGAAAUUACGGACGUGCUGAAAGCGUCGGCGGGGUCGUCGCCCGACCCACACAGCACAAGCCGCAGCUCGAGGGUGGCCGGGAAGUGGAGAAUAUCAUACGGAAACCAAUGUUCAAAGAAAACAUCUGAGAAACCACAUUUGGAAAUUUCAAAAAAAUAUAAAAAAAUUGAGAUGUUAAGAAGAUGAUGUUCUAUUGUCAUGUGAAGUUUGAAGUAAAAACAUAUUGCGGGAUGCAAGCCAUGAAAAUAACAAAUUCAGCAAUUAAUGGUGACGCUACUGUUCGGCACUAUUCAAUGCUAACUUUUUUCUGAUUUUUCGAAAAUUGAAAGCAUCUUUUUUUCGUGUGGCUUUCAUCGGUUUUCACUAAAUAUUUGUUUUUGUAUGAUAUUCUCCCAGUCGGAGCAGGUGCAACCGGAGCGGUUGAACACACUACAUGAACAUUAUGUUGCUGCAAUGAGAACACACUAUACAUUUUAAUCUGCCCUUUCAAAUAUCGGGGCCUAAAUUUUGAUUCGCACACGGCCUCUGAUUUUUUAGGUACGGCCCGUCCGUCACAUAUGACGGGGAAGCAAGCACUGUACUCCCUCUGUCUCAAAAUGUAACGUUUUUAACACUACACUGGUGUCAAAAACGUUUUUAUAUUAUGGGACGGGGAUAGUGUCAAAAAUGUUCGGAGGGAGUAAUAAGCAAAGAAAACCCCCGAGCUCGCCAGUAACUGAUGAGCUGAAACCAGUCUCCGGGGGCAAUAAACUAGCUCUAGCAGAGAAAAGGGGAGUAGCUAGAUGGAGGAGCAGAGGAAUCCUUACCUGGACGAAGCGCAGCAAUAUAAUGGCUACUCGGGAGGAGCCAAACCUCGCCGGAGACCGGGACGGAAACCUCACCGGAGCAGCACGGCCUUGGAUUGGCUGUGGGGAAGGGAAGGGUCCGCGAGCGAGCGAGUGGAUUCCAAGUUUAAUUUGCCUCCGGAGUCCAUCCACUAUAUAUAUAUAUAUAUCCCCGGCCGACACGAAAAAGUUAUCUCGAUUUCGUGACUCACAUACGUUUUCGGAGAGAAAGAAUCAGGAUGAGCGGACACGUGGUACGUACGUGCGGCUCAGCGGCUGGUCGACCGCUUCCACUAGCCAGUAGCAGUAGUAGAAAGUUGAAGGAUUGCAUGCGAUGCGCGAUGCAUAUCUUCGGACGUCGGCAUAUACAACUUUAAUGAUUCAGAGGUUGGCAGGUGCCUCUCUUGUCUUGGCUCGAUGUUUCUGUCUGUCGUCUCACUCUCAGCCAACCUCCGGAGAAGCGCACAUACGUGGUGAUGCACGCGUGUACGUGUACGUGUCGGCCAGACAGCAUGAGAUAUUUGGAGCCUGGUAAAAAGUAGUAUACUAAAGCAGUCACGUACUCUUUUUUUUGAUUUGACGGCAACAUGAGAUUCAAAAACUUUCCCAAAGGGCCGUCGUCAUCGUCAGCCCGCACAAGCCGCACAUUUCCAUACCUGCUCAUAUACGUUUCCUUCUUUUUUAUAGUGCCUGAAAAUAUAUAAAUAAGCUUGGGUCGUUUCAAUGAAUAAGUACAGAAACAGGCGAGGCGGACACCGCGUGACCGCAAAGAGCUGCAGCCAGUAAGAAUUUUUGCUGAAACCAUGAACUAGGAGAAAACCUACGUAAUGACCAGUAAAGAGAUAGCAAAUCGGGGCAAUCUUGGUAAGAUGCCAGACACCCAUUUAUUAGUAUGAAAUUUCUACCAGUGCCAUAAUAUUUGGAUUGGACGUCAAAAAACACGAAGGUUUUCAUCAUAAAGAUCCACAAACCUUGCCAUGGCAAACUUCACAGCUUCUGUUGUUACCUCUUGAAAACAUCAUAACUACUUUAACAUUCACGAAGACCCUGUUUCUGUAAUGUCAGAGUAUACUUCUUUUCGCCAUGGGUUUUCAUCAUAAAGCUCACAACUAUCCCCUCCGUUACCUAGCUCGUGACAACUUAGUAUCAGAGCCAGGUUUUGAUCCUGGGACUUAUGGUUUUGGAUAUAGUUUGCAUUCGGAGGAAACUAUGUACCUAGUGGCUGUUAGAGGGCAAGGGGUUCAGGCUAGGGUGCCGUGACAUUUGGGGAUAGAUCUGUUCUGGAGCUUAACCACCGUACAUAAAGCGAUGCAAAGCCUGCUUAGAAGACCGAUUUAGAGAAUGAUAAGAAGCCACAUAAACUUAACGGUGCAAAUUGUACUGUUUACAAGAAUUUUGAUUGUAUGCAACAACUAAAAAAAUUACACCCAAAGCAAUUCAAGUGAUGUUUAUCUGAAACAUGAGAUUUUGUUUUUCUUCUCUGGCUAGCUAAGUACUAGUACAUGAGAAAACAGUUUGGCCACACUGACCAAUAACAAUUCCUCCAGAUUGGGUUACAGAAUGAUGCACCUAAAACCAAUCAUGGAUAACAAAGUACAGCACCUGCUAGAACUUGCAGUUGGUUUAACUGGCAGCUCAAAUGCAUUACUAAUGAGAAAUAUCAUGACAUUAGACUGGACAUAAGACAUUGAUCUUGUUCCUUACCGGGUUGCAGGUGAGGGAGCACGGAUCGAUGUCGAUUAGCAGCUGCAGGUGGAGGUGACCGGGCAGUCGGCCGCCGGCGUCGGAGUCAGCAGCGGCAGGUCAGCACGACGGCCAGGCGCAACGGGGGUCCGAGGCCGAGGGCGAGGUGUGACGGCGGCGGGAGUGCGACGAGGUGGGCGGCGCCGCGGAGGGCCCAGGAGCGCGCACGGGUUGGCAGGGAGUCGGGGAUUGGCGCGGCGGCUAGCGGGGGGUGGCGGCGGCGAUUCGCCGGCGAGGGUCACCGGUAGAAGAGGGAAUCGGGAGGGGACCUUUUUUUCUUCUCGUAAAUAGUUUUUUUUAUCACGGGAACCUUCUUCUUGGAAAAGGGGCAAAGAUCCGAAUUGGGCCAACCUCGUGGCUGCAGCCGGCCCGCGGCCCAGAUACGAAGAGAAUGUAAAAUUUGGGCAAUUUUCGAGAGCAACUAGUUAAUGAGCGCUCCUUCGGAAACUUGACAACGAUCAGCGCCACUUGGAAAGCUCUGAGCCAUUCGCCAUGUGUCGUGCUCUGGGCUCCCUCCAGAUUUUUUAUUCCACAUGCGUUUUCGGCUUUAUAAAUGGUUUUUUUGGGUUUUUUCGAUGUUUAGGUUUUCCACCAGUCUUCCUUAGCUUUCCGAUAAAAAAAUCGAAAACAAAGUUUUGCGCAAAAAGACACAUUUUUUUCUUUCGUGAAAGUCACGAUUUUUCUUCCGCGAGAGGCACGAUUUUGCUUUCGUGAGAGUCACGGCCAUGCCUCUCGAAAAUGAAAAAAACAUGUUUUCUUUUUCUUUUUCUUUCGCGAAGUCACGGUUUUGCUUUCGUGAGAGGCACGGUUGUGCUUUAGUGAGAGUCACGGCCGUGCCUCUCAGAAAUGAAAAAAAUGUGUUUUCUAUUUUUUUUCCUUUCGAGAGUCACGGUUUUGCUUUCGCGAGAGGCACGGACGUGCCUCUCAGAAACGAAAAAAACGUGUUUUCUGUUUUUUUUCCUUUCGUGAGAGUCACUGUUUUGCUUCUGCAAAAGGCACGGUUGUGCUUUCGCGAGAGUCACGACCGUGCCUCCUCGGAAACGAAAAAAAUGCGUUUUCUCUUUUUCUUUCCUUCCGCAAGAGUCACAGUUUUGCUUCCGCGAGAGGCACGGUUGUGAUUUCAUGAGAGGCGCGGCCGUGCCUCUUUCGAAAAGGAAAAAAAUCCGUGCUCCUGGUUCAGUUUUUCUGUUCUAUUUUUUCAUGAAAGAAAAGUUCAUCAAAAACUAUCAACAUGGGAUCUAGUUUUGAAGAUCUCGACGCGAUGAAUCCAAUGGUGAAAGCGGUUCGAGAUUUGGACAAGUGGUUUAAGAGAUAAAACAUUUUAAAUAAAUGGAUCUACGAAAAAAAGGGAAAACUCCCAGGUUGCGACAAGUGACGCACAUGUAGCGCGUCACUUGUCGCAACCUGAGGAGGUUGGAGUGAUCUUUGCAACGAGUACGACUCAACUAGUGAUUUUGCAAAUUUUCCAAACCUCGUGAUGGAUGGGGCAGUCCCUCUAUUGGGAGCUCCUAAUUACUGCAUUCUGCGGCAAAUAGACGCCUCUUCGCUCAUAGCACGCGGAACUGGCCGGCCAUUAGGGUAAAUCUCUUAGCGAUCAGUCGGGCGCAAAACUUUCGAAAAAGAAAAUAUGCUCAACCAACCAAGGAUUUGGUCUCCAGAACUUCUAUUGAGGCCGACACCUCGCCAGCCGGUCGAACUGACCAACGGCUCUUGAAAAUGUGCAGCGCCAAGUCUAAAGAACACACUGCAGCAGCGUAACUCAACAUUUAAAAAAUGCAAUCAAUUUAUUAUAUUCCAUUUCUUUUGAAAUUGAGAACAAUGUAUUGAAAACUCAAACAAUCUUCGAAAACUUGGAACACCUUUUGGAAUUAUGAAGAUAUAUUGAAAAAUGAGGACAAAUUUUUGAAAUUCCGAACAAUUUUUUAAAACACGAAUAAAGUUUAAGACUCCGAACUUCAUUGAAAACAAUAAAAAAAUUUAAAAAAUCUGAAGAAUUUUUUAGAAUUUGAAAUAUUUUUAGAAAUACGAACAAAAUUUUGAAGCUCUCAACUUUUUUGAAAUCAUGAACAAUUUUUGAAAUUCCAAACAUUUGUUUGAAACAGUGAUUUUUUUUAAACACAAGCAAAAAAUUCAAACUCCAUUUUUUAUGAAAACAUGAUCAAAUUUCGAACUACCGAACAAUUUUUAGAAACAAGAAAAAAUUAAAACUCCAAACUUGCUUGAACACACGAAAUUUUUUUUGAACAUUUUGGACAUUUUUUGAUAUUGCGAACAAUUUAGAAUACAGUAACAAAAAAUUAAAAUCCAAACAUUUUUUGAAAACAUGAACAAAUUUUAAAACUCAGAACAUUUUUGGACACCGACGCAACGAGCGCAAGAAACAGAAUUUCAAAAAUGACACUUAAAAAUAAAACAGAAAAAAUAUAAAGGAAACAAAGAAAAGAAAAAAAUAGAACAGAAAAUAAAACAAGAAAAACCAAAAAGCCGAGUAGAAGAAAAAAAACAGUUCUGGGAACCAUCUAGAAGGUUCCCAAAACCGCUUGGCUCCCACUGUGGCCAUGCUUUAAGUGGGUGGGCCCAAAUCCCUAGCUCUGGUGCGUGGCGCAACUAGCGCAACGAGUGAUUUGAACCAAGACCUUCUAGACAUCAGAAAGCUGCGCUAACCACACGAGCUACCUCACUUUUUGUGUUACUUAUAGCUAUUUAUUACUUUUCUUCUUUCUCCUUUCUUUUUUUUUUACCUUUUUAUUUUUGUUGGAACAGUUUUGUUCCAUUUUUCUCUCUAAAUUAGUGCAUUUUUUCUUCAAAUUGAUGUAUUUUUUUAAAACAGAUGAACAUUUUUUCCCAAAAUUGAUGAACUUUUUUGCUAAAAUCUGUGAACUUUUUUAGAAUUGGUGAACUUUUUUCAAAUUUGAUGAACGUUUUUCAAAUAUCAUAAACAUUUUUUAAUAUUUGAUGAACUUUUUCCAAAUCCGAUGAACUUUUUCAACUUCGAUGAUUUUUUUUUUCAAAUUUGAUGAACGUUUUUUUAAAUUGAUGAACCUUUCCCAUUUUUUGCUAUUUUUUUCAAUUGGUACGGUUUAUUUCAAUUCGUGAUUUUUGUGAAUGCGUAAUUUAUGUUUUUUUGUUCAAAUAAUUAUAGUGCGUAUAUAAUACUAGUAUAUUUUUAGUUUUUGUACUGAAUGAAUGGUCAAAAGUGCUUUAUUUCCUCUAGUAAUCAACAAUCUGAGUGUGUCCUUGUGGUGAACGUGUGUGCAUUUACAUUGAUUUUCGGAGUUCGAAUCCCAGAACUCCCUAUUAAAUGUGAACGAUUCCCUCUAAACAUUAUGAAAUGAAAAGCUUUACACCCCUUACAAAAAAGAGUUCGCCGUGCCUGAUGAACAUUGGAUUUCAGACCAAAUGGCGUAUAACUUAUUGCUAUGAUCAAUGGUGAUGCCAUCGAAGAUGUUAAGUUGAGUGAUCCACAUCCCCUCUCAAUAACCUCAUUAACUCUCUCUUUGAACUGUAGCUUCUGUUAUCAUCCAAACUGACAUUAUUCACCAAGAUUGCCCGGAUAUAUUAUGUUGGGAUCUAACCACUAAUGGUACUUGUUCUUCCAAAUCCAUUUAUUAAUUGUGUUUGCAGGAUAUUCAUGCAAAUCCAAGAAAUACUCCUUGCCAAGUUUCUUUGCAGGUCAAAAAUCUUCUCAAGUUGAUUUGGAAGCAAAAGUUGAUGAUCCCUAGAGUUCAAACUUUCGCUUGGAGACUCCUUCGGAAAGCGCUUCCCACAAGCUUGAGGGCUGGGUGCUUUUCCAUACAUAUUUCUCAAUGUUAUUGCAGAUGUGGUCAACAAGAGGAUGAGGUUCACCUGUUUUUUCUUUGUGACUUUGCUAGAGCUACUUGUUUUUCUCAUCCUUGGUUCAUUAGAACAGAUGUUUUAGUUCAAAACUAUCCCAAUAUUCAAAGUAUUAUUCUUGCUUCUGUUAUCAUCAUUCUAUAUUUUAUGGGGUGUAUUUGGAAAGCAAGGAAUGAUUAUCUUUUUUAUAGAAAGAAAGCUGCCCAUCACCAAGUUAAUACUGUUGUUGCUUCUCUAUGUGCUGAUUUUUGUGAUCUUCUUAAUAAUUCUUCACACCAUCAGUCUCGAAACUCCAGUUGUAUCUUAAUCCAUACUAAUCAACUUCCCUUGCAGGGACAAACGCUUAAAUCCGACCUUCUUAUCACAGGGCCGGAAGUAUAUACUGAUGUAGCUUUUAAGUGCAAAAGGAUUCCAGGUUUAUUGCAGGGAACAUCAGCCACUGGAGUUGGUAUCUACAUUUCUUUGUCGCAGGAUCAGAAGCAAGUCAAUGUUAAGAUUUAAGCUUUCACCUCAAAUACAAGUACACCUCUUGGCUGCAACUUUUGCUCUUCUCCUGGCUGCACUAGUGGCCAAACGUCUCAGCAUCAACCAGCCGACCUUCCUCACAAACUAUCUCUCUUUGGCUUCAUUUGCGGCUAGUAGGAAGAUUACUGAAACUACUACCCCUUGGACUAUCAGGAAAGUUUUAGCUGAUUUCUCAUGUUACUCUUUAGACCUUCAACCUAGGGUGUUCCAUAUUUUCCAAGGAAAUUAAUGGAAUUGCUCACAAUGUCGCUCAUCAGGUUCUUAGAUCAAAUGGAGAACCUGGUAUAUGUUAUUUUGCUUCAGCUCACAGGAACGUGACUUGCGCGGUAGUUUCUCUCCUCUCCAAUUUCCAGUUCAAGGGAUUUGUAAUUGAUGUUGUACGUUGCUAUUGAGCUGAGCUGAAUGGAAAGUUUGGUGCUUCGUGCGCCAUUUGUUGUUCAAAAAAAACAUCCCCUCUCAAUGCUUGUUGACCCACCAACUCUUCCUUUUAAAGAUUAUAAAGAUGUCUCAUGCAAUUUCCUUGGGGUGUUCUUCGUUGUCCGACGAAGAAUAGUGCCAAAAGUCAGUUUGCUUGCCACCCCCAAUGAUGAUUCUAGUGGCUUCACGUUCAUAUUAGACUUACGGAUUAUUUUUACCGGAACUAACGGACCAACUCUUCUCCCCUCACUAAGAGCAUGUGCAACAGUCUAGGAGGGUCAUGUCUAUACCCUCUCUUCAUGUCAGAUUACAGAUGCACACAACCCGACAAAAAAGGAAGGAGAAGAAAAAAAGAUCCCGCUACGGUGAUCAAAACCGUGUAGUUGCAACACAAGCCACUGCGAAGGCAGCACCCGGAGUCCAAAUUCUCCAAAAGCGAUGCCUCCAAGAAGAAAACAGUGCACAAGCGCCGUGCCACCCGACCAUAGACCUCAGGUUUUCAUCUGGAGAAAGUCCGCUCUCAAAACAAUGCCUUCAACAAGAUCAUUGCCAGGCACAACCACUUAAAGUCAGACCUUGGAUUUUCACCAUGGAACAUAAGACUAUGUACUUCUCCGGUGCUGCCGGCCCCGCUUGCCGAUGUCGCUUCUACAAGUCAGGAAACACCAAGCAAAGUCCUCAUCGCCUCGAGGACUCAGUUUGCUAUAACUAGACUUCAAACCUCAGCCGCCAUGACAUUCUCCGCCACUAUCUUCACCAUGGAAAUUUGAAGACCGACAUGUCCCAUGAUGGCAACACACAGCGAAGCUUAGCGUCACUCCCUCUUGAAGCCGCACGGCUAAAAAUACGGGUUCACACGACCGAAUCUCAUCCAAUCCAGCAAUCUAUAGGCGUCAGGCGCCGAAUGGAGAUCGCCGACGGAGCCUUCUAGAACUUGUCACCGGCCAGAUCGAUAAGGACAUGCGUCAAGUAGAACACCGUCUUGACGCGAGAAGAACACUAGGACCACCUCCUUUAUUAGGCAGAUCGGCAGGCCCCCACGCCGCUGCCCACUGGUUCCUGAUUAAUAGUCUGGAGAACUCAGCGGGCACCACCACCACCACCCGCAUCACGCGGAGAUGAGGGGCUGGGCCGCACCGAGACCCCUGAACCAGGCGCCAUGCCACCCACGUGGCCACAGCGGUCGCCCAAGAAGUUCGGGACCGCCGCCCCGGUGUCCAACUCCGUCAUACGAGCCGCGUCUGUUUCAGGGAAGGAGAUCGAACACACUGGUUCCAUUCAUCUGUGGAGAUACAUAUACAGGGGAGCAGCGGGUGCUUGAGCCACGAUGGUGAUCGUGGAGUGACCAUGCUCGAGAGGUGGAUGGACGUGUGUGCGUAAAGGAAAACUGCACACACGUACGCUAUACUAGCCUGAUGUAGAGACUACGUACAAUACUCACACACACACACACAUACAUGUAGCUUAACACCCCCCCUCCCCGCAGUCGGGACGGUGCGAGGAGCGACGCAGAGACUGGAGCGGAAAUCGUGGAAGACGUCGACGGGCAAUCCUUUGGUCAUCACAUCGGCGAAUUGCUGCCGCGUGGGAAUGUGAAGGACGCGAAACUUGCCCAGGGCCCCGCGCUCGCGGACGAAGUGAAUGUCGAGUUUGACAUGCUUGGUGCGCCGGUGAUGGACUGGAUUGCUGGACAGGUACACCGAAACCGAAGAGAUGUUGUCACAGUACAGUACACGAGCGUCGCCGUCUUGAUAGAGCACCGGAGUUCGCCCAGAAGUUGUCGGAGCCAGACGCAGUCAGCCACCGCAUUGGCAACACCGCGAUACUCAGUGUCAGCACUCGAUCUGGAGACGGUCAGCUGGCGUUUGGACGACCAGGACACAAGAGUGUCGCCAAGAUAGACGCAGUACCCCGAGAUGGAGCGCCGCGUAUCCGGGCAGCCAGCCCAGUGGGCGUCGGUGUAGGCGCGGAGAUCAAGUGUCGAGGACGCGCGCAGGUGUAACCCGAGAGAGGCAGUGCCGCGGAUGUACCGGAGAGCGCGCUUGAUCAGCGCACGAUGGCACUCACGCGGAUCAUGCAUGGGCAAACAUAUUUGCUGGACGGCGUAGGCGAGCUCUGGGCGCGUGACGGUGAGGUACUGCAGGGCACCGGCGAGGCUGCGGUACUCUGUGGAGUCAGCCACGCGGGGGCCUGUCGCCGCGGGCAGCUUGGCCUUGGUGUCCACCGGAGUAGGCACGGGCUUGCAGUUGUCCAUGGAAGGAUGCUCCAGCAUGUCCUCCGUGUACUGCUCUUGCGAGGGGAAGAAGCCAGCAUCGGAGCGCGUGACGCGGAUGCCCAAGAAGUAGUGCAGGGCGCCGAGGUCUUUCAUGGUGAACUUGGUGGUGAGCGCGGCGAUGAUGCGAUGAAGGAAGGCGUCGGAGGAGGCCGUGAGGACGAUAUCGUCCACGUAGAGCAACAGGUACGCGGCGUCAGCGCCGCGUGCGAGCGUGAACAGCAAACUGUCCGAGCGGGUCGCCGUGAACCCAAGGGUGGUGAUGAAGCCGGUGAAGCGAAGAAACCACGCGCGCGGCGCCUGCUUCAAGCCAUACAAAGACUUGGAAAGGCGACACACGUGGUCUGGCUUGCCAGUGUCGAUGAAGCCCGCAGGUUGAAGACAGUAAACCUCUUCCUGAAAGUGCCAUGCAAGAAAGCAUUCUUCACCUCGAGUUGAUGGACUGGCCACCGACGCGACGCGGUGAGAGUGAGGACGGUGCGGAUGGUCGCUAGUUUAACCACAGGGGAGAAAGUCUCCCCGUAGUCGACACCAGCACGUUGGUUGAAGCCACGUACGACCUGUUGGAAAUAUGCCCUAGAGGCAAUAAUAAAAGUAUUAUUAUAUUUCAUUGUUCAUGAUAAUUGUCUUUUAUUCAUGCUAUAACUGUAUUAUCCGGAAAUCGUAAUACACGUGUGAAUACUUAGACCACAAUAUGUCCCUGGUAAGCCUCUAGUUGACCAGCUUGUUGUGAUCAACAGAUAGUCAUGGUUUCCUGACUAUGGACAUUGGAUGUCGUUGAUAACGGGAUCACAUCAUUAGGAGAAUGAUGUGAUGGACAAGACCCAAUCCUAAGCAUAGCAUAAAAGAUCGUGUAGUUCGUAUUGCUAGAGCUUUGUCAAUGUCAAGUUCUCUUCCUUAGACCAUGAGAUCGUGUAACUCCCGGAUACCGUAGAAGUGCCUUGGGUGUAUCAAACGUCACAACGUAACUGGGUGACUAUAAAGGUGCAUUACAGGUAUCUCCGAAAGUAGCUGUUGGGUUGACACGGAUCGAGACUGGGAUUUGUCACUCCGUAUGACGGAGAGGUAUCUCUGGGCCCACUCGGUAAUGCAUCAUCGUAUUGAGCUCAAUGUGACCAAGGUGUUGGACACGGGAUCAUGCAUUACGGUACGAGUAAAGUGACUUGCCAGUAACGAGACUGAACAAGGUAUUGGGAUACCGACGAUCGAGUCUCGGGCAAGUAACGUACCGAUUGACAAAGGGAAUUGCAUACAGGGUUUGAUCGAAUCCUCGACAUAGUGGUUCAUCCGAUGACAACAUCGAGGAGCAUGUGGGAGCCAUCAUGGGUAUCCAGAUCCCGCUGUUGGUUAUUGACUGAGAGCGUCUCGGUCAUGUCUGCAUGUCUCCCGAACCCGUAGGGUCUACACACUUAAGGUUCGGUGACGCUAGGGUUAUGAAGAUAUGUAUAUGCAGAAACCCGAAUGUUGUUCGGAGUCCCGGAUGAGAUCCCGGACGUCACAAGGAGUUCCGGAAUGGUCCGGAGGUAAAGAAUUAUAUAUAGGAAGUGCUAUUUCGGGCAUCAGGACAAGUUUUGGGGUUAUCGGUAUUGUACCGGGACCACCGGAAGGGUCCCGGGGGUCCACCGGGUGGGGCCACCUGUCCCGGGGGGCCACAUGGGCUGUAGGGGGUGCGCCUUGGCCUUCAUGGGCCAAGGGCACCAGCCCCUAUAGGCCCAUGCGCCUAGGGUUUCCCCCUAGGAGGAGUCCUAGUGGUGGAAGGCACCCCUAGGUGCCUUGGGGGGGAGGGAAACCUCCCCUAGGCCGCCGCCCCCCCUAGUAGAUCUCAUCUACUAGGGCCGGCGCCCCCCUGGCACCCCUAUAUAUAGUGGGGGGGAGGAGGGACUUCAUACACCAGCCCCUGGCGCCUCCAUCUCCCCCCCCGUUACGUCUCUCCCUCGUAGUCUCGGCGAAGCCCUGCUGCUGUGACGCCCUGCAUCCACCACCACACCGUCGUGCUGCUGGAUCUUCAUCAACCUCUCCUUCCCCCUUGCUGGAUCAAGAAGGAGGAGACGUCUCCCGUCCCGUACGUGUGUUGAACGCGGAGGUGCCAUCCGUUCGGCGCUGGUCAUCGGUGAUUUGGAUCACGUCGAGUACGACUACAUCAUCACCUUGCAAGCUUCCGCACGCGAUCUACAAGUGGUAUGUAGAUGCAAACUCUCUCCCUUGACUCGUUGCUUAGACGAACUCAUAGAUGGAUCUUGGUGAAACCGUAGGAAAAAUUUUAAUUUUCUGCAACGUUCCCCAACAGUGGCAUCAUGAGCUAGGUCUAUGCGUAGUUCUCUUUGCACGAGUAGAACACAAUUUUGUUGUGGGCGUGGAUUUUGUCAUCUUACUUGCCUCUAAUAGUCUUUUCUUGCUCAACGGUAUUGUGGGAUGAAGCGGCCCGGACCAACCUUACACGUACGCUUACGUGAGACCGGUUCCACCGACUGACAUGCACUAGUUGCAUAAGGUGGCUGGCGGGUGUCUGUCUCUCCCACCUUAGUUGGAGCGGAAUCGAUGAACAGGGCCCUUAUGAAGGAUAAAUAGAAGUUGACAAAAUCACUUGUGGUAAUUCGUAGGUAAGAAAAUGUUCUUGCUAGAACCCAAUUGCAGCCACGUAAAAGAUGCAACAACAAUUAGAGGACGUCUAACUUGUUUUUGCAGCGAUUGAUCAUGUGAUGUGAUAUGGCCAGAAGUUGUGAUGAAUGAUGAAUUGUGAUGUAUGAGAUCAUGUUCUUUGUAAUAGGAUUCACGACUUGCAUGUCGAUGAGUAUGACAACCGGCAGGAGCCAUAGGAGUUGUCAUUAUUUUUUGUAUGACCUGCGUGUCAUUGAAUAACGUCAUGUAAACUACUUUACUUUAUUGCUAAACGUUAGUCAUAGAAGUAGAAGUAGUCGUUGGCGUGACAACUUCAUGAAGACACGAUGAUGGAGAUCAUGGUGUCAAGCCGGUGACAAGAUGAUCAUGGAGCCCCGAAGAUGAAGAUCAAUGGAGCUAUAUGAUAUUGGCCAUAUCAUGUCACAACUAUAUAAUUGCAUGUGAUGUUUAUUAUGUAUUAUGCAUCUUGUUUACUUAGGACGACGGUAGUAAAUAAGAUGAUCCCUUAUAGAAUUUCAAGAAGUGUUCUCCCCUAACUGUGCACCGUUGCUACAGUUCGUCGUUUCUAAGCACCACGUGAUGAUCGGGUGUGAUGGAUUCUUACGUUCACAUACAACGGGUGUAAGACAGUUUUACACAGCGAAAACACUUAGGGUUAACUUGACGAGCCUAGCAUGUGCAGACAUGGCCUCGGAACACGGAGACCGAAAGGUCGAACACGAGUCGUAUGGAAGAUACGAUCAACAUGAAAAUGUUCACCGACGAUGACUAGUCCGUCUCACGUGAUGAUCGGACACGGGCUAGUCGACUCGGAUCGUGUAACACUUAGAUGACUAAAGGGAUGUCUAAUCUAAGUGGGAGUUCAUAAUUUGAUUAGAACUUUAUUAUCAUGAACUUAGUCUAAAACCUUUGCAAAUAUGUCUUGUAGAUCAAUGGCCAACGCUAAUGUCAACAUGAACUUCAACGCAUUCCUAGAGAAAACCAAGCUGAAAGAUGAUGGCAGCAACUAUACGGACUGGGUCCGGAACCUGAGGAUCAUCCUCAUAGCUGCCAGGAAACAAUAUGUCCUAGAAGGACCGCUAGGUGACGCUCCCGUCCCAGAGAACCAAGACAUUAUGAAUGCUUGGCAGUCUCGUGCUGAUGAUUACUCCCUCGUUCAGUGCGGCAUGCUUUACAGCUUAGAACCGGGGCUCCAAAAGCAUUUUGAGCACCACGGAGCAUAUGAGAUGUUCGAAGAGCUGAAACUAGUUUUUCAAGCUCAUGCCCGGGUCGAGAGAUAUGAUGUCUCCGACAAGUUCUACAGUUGUAAGAUGGAGGAAAACAGUUCUGUCAGUGAGCACAUCCUGAAGAUGUCUGGGUUGCACAACCGUAUGACCCAGCUGAACAUUAACCUCCCAGAUGAGGCGGUCAUUGACAGAAUCCUCCAGUCGCUCCCACCAAGCUACAAGAGCUUUGUGAUGAACUACAACAUGCAGGGGAUGGAAAAGACCAUUCCUGAAGUGUUCUCGAUGCUGAAGUCAGCAGAGGCUGAAAUCAAGAAAGAACAUCAAGUGUUGAUGGUCAAUAAGACCACUAAGUUCAAGAAGGGCAAGGGUAAGAAGAACUUCAAGAAGGACGGCAAAGAUGUUGCCGCGCUUGGUAAGCCAGUUACCGGGAAGAAGUCAAAGAAUGGACCCAAGCCUGAGACUGAGUGCUUUUAUUGCAAGGGGAAGGGUCACUGGAAGCGGAACUGCCCCAAAUACUUAGCGGAUAAGAAGGCCGGCAACACCAAAGGUAUAUUUGAUAUACAUGUGAUUGAUGUGUACCUUACCAGUAACCGUAGUAACUCCUGGGUAUUUGAUACCGGUGCCGUUGCUCAUAUUUGUAACUCACAGCAGGAGCUGCGGAAUAAACGGAGAAUGGCAAAGGACGAGGUGACGAUGCGCGUCGGGAAUGGUUCCAGAGUCGAUGUGAUCGCCGUCGGCACGCUGCCUCUACAUUUACCCACGGGAUUAGUUUUGAACCUUAAUAAUUGUUAUUUAGCGCCAAGUUUGAGCAUGAACAUUGUAUCAGGAUCUCGUUUAAUACGAGAUGGCUACUCAUUUAAGUCUGAGAAUAAUGGUUGUUCGAUUUAUAUGAGAGAUAUGUUUUAUGGUCAUGCUCCGAUGGUCAAUGGUUUAUUCUUAAUGAAUAUCGAGCGUAAUAUUACACAUGUUCAUAGUGUAGAUGCCAAAAGAUUUAAAGUUGAUAACGAUAGUCCCACAUACUUGUGGCACUGCCGCCUUGGUCACAUUGGUGUCAAGCGCAUGAAGAAGCUCCAUGCUGAUGGACUUUUAGAGUCUCUUGAUUAUGAAUCGUUUGACACGUGCGAACCAUGCCUCUUGGGCAAAAUGACCAAGACUCCGUUCUCCGGAACAAUGGAGCGAGCAACCAACUUGUUGGAAAUCAUACAUACCGAUGUGUGCGGUCCAAUGAGCGUUGAGGCUCGCGGAGGAUAUCGUUAUGUUCUCACUCUCACAGAUGACUUGAGUAGAUAUGGGUAUGUCUACUUAAUGAAACACAAGUCUGAGACCUUUGAAAAGUUCAAGGAAUUUCAGAAUGAGGUGGAGAAUCAACGUGACCGAAAGAUAAAAUUCUUACGAUCAGAUCGUGGAGGAGAAUACUUAAGUCACGAAUUUGGUACACACUUAAAGAAAUGUGGAAUCGUUUCACAGCUCACGCCGCCUGGAACACCUCAGCGAAACGGUGUGUCCGAACGUCGUAAUCGCACUCUAUUGGAUAUGGUGCGGUCUAUGAUGUCUCUUACCGAUUUACCGCUAUCAUUUUGGGGAUACGCUCUAGAGACAGCUACAUUCACUUUAAAUAGGGCACCGUCUAAAUCCGUUGAGACGACACCGUAUGAAUUAUGGUUUGAAAAGAAACCUAAGCUGUCGUUUCUGAAAGUUUGGGGAUGCGAUGCUUAUGUCAAGAAACUUCAACCUGAAAAGCUCGAACCCAAGUCGGAAAAAUGCGUAUUCAUAGGAUACCCUAAGGAAACUGUAGGGUAUACCUUCUACUUAAGAUCCGAAGGCAAGAUCUUUGUAGCCAAGAAUGGAUGCUUUCUGGAAAAAGAGUUUCUCUCGAAAGAAGUAAGUGGGAGGAAAGUAUAACUCGAUGAAGUACUACCUCUUGAGCAGGAAAGUGGCGCAGCGCAGGAAAUCGUUCCUGUGAUGCCCACACCAACUGAAGAGGAAAACAAUGAUGAUGAUCAAGGUACUUCGGAUCAAGUUACUGCUGAACUUCGUAGGUCCACAAGGACACGUUCCGCACCAGAGUGGUACGGCAACCCUGUCCUGUUAAUCAUGUUGUUAGACAACAAUGAACCUUCGAACUAUGAAGAAGCAAUGGCGGGCCCGGAUUCCAACAAAUGGCUUGAAGCCAUGAAAUCCGAGAUAGAAUCCAUGUAUGAAAACAAAGUAUGGACUUUGACAGACUUGCCCGAUGAUCGGCGAGUGAUAGAAAACAAAUGGAUAUUUAAGAAGAAGACGGACGCGGAUGGUAAUAUUACCAUCUAUAAAGCUCGACUUGUCGCUAAGGGUUAUCGACAGGUUCAAGGGAUUGACUACGACGAGACAUUCUCUCCCGUAGCGAAGCUAAAGUCCGUCCGAAUCAUGUUAGCAAUUGCCGCAUACUAUGAUUAUGAGAUAUGGCAGAUGGACGUCAAAACAGCAUUCCUUAACGGGCAUCUUAAGGAAGAACUGUAUAUGAUGCAGCCGGAAGGUUUUGUCGAUCCUCGGAACGCUAACAAAGUAUGCAAGCUCCAGCGAUCCAUUUAUGGACUGGUGCAAGCAUCUCGGAGUUGGAACAUUCGCUUUGAUGAGAUGAUCAAAGCGUUUGGGUUUAUGCAGACUUAUGGAGAAGCCUGCGUUUACAAGAAAGUGAGUGGGAGCACUGUAGCAUUUCUCAUAUUAUAUGUAGAUGACAUACUCCUGAUGGGAAAUAAUAUAGAAUUUCUGGACAGCAUUAAGGCCUACUUGAAUAAGUGUUUUUCAAUGAAGGACCUUGGAGAAGCUGCUUAUAUAUUAGGCAUCAAGAUCUAUAGAGAUAGAUCGAGACGCCUCAUAGGUCUUUCACAAAGCACAUACCUUGAUAAGAUUUUGAAGAGAUUCAGAAUGGAUCAGUCCAAGAAGGGGUUCUUGCCUAUGUUACAAGGUAUGAGACUGAGCUCAGCUCAGUCACCGACCACGGCAAAAGAUAAAGAAGAGAUGAGUGUCAUCCCCUAUGCUUCAGCCAUAGGAUCUAUUAUGUAUGCCAUGCUAUGUACCAGACCCGAUGUAAACCUUGCCGUAAGUUUGGUAGCAAGAUACCAAAGUAAUCCCGGCAAGGAACACUGGACAGCGGUCAAGAAUAUCCUGAAGUACCUGAAAAGGACGAAGGACAUGUUUCUCGUUUAUGGAGGAGACGAAGAGCUCGUCGUAAAGGGUUACGUCGACGCUAGCUUCGACUCAGAUCUGGAUGACUCUAAGUCACAAACCGGAUACGUGUAUAUGUUGAAUGGUGGAGCAGUAAGCUGGUGCAGCUGCAAGCAGAGCAUCGUGGCGGGAUCUACGUGUGAAGCGGAGUACAUGGCAGCCUCGGAGGCAGCACAUGAAGCGAUUUGGGUGAAGGAGUUCAUCACCGACCUAGGAGUCAUACCCAAUGCGUCGGGGCCGAUCAAACUCUUCUGUGACAACACUGGAGCUAUUGCCCCCGCCAAGGAGCCCAGGUUUCACAAGAAGACCAGGCACAUCAAGCGUCGUUUCAACUCCAUCCGUGAAAAUGUUCAAGAUGGAGACAUAGAGAUUUGCAAAGUGCACACGGAUCUGAAUGUCGCAGAUCCGCUGACUAAACCUCUCUCGCGUGCAAAACAUGAUCAACACCAGAACUCUAUGGGUGUUCGAUUCAUCACAAUGUAACUAGAUUGGUGACUCUAGUGCAAGUGGGAGACUGUUGGAAAUAUGCCCUAGAGGCAAUAAUAAAAGUAUUAUUAUAUUUCAUUGUUCAUGAUAAUUGUCUUUUAUUCAUGCUAUAACUGUAUUAUCCGGAAAUCGUAAUACACGUGUGAAUACUUAGACCACAAUAUGUCCCUGGUAAGCCUCUAGUUGACCAGCUUGUUGUGAUCAACAGAUAGUCAUGGUUUCCUGACUAUGGACAUUGGAUAUCGUUGAUAACGGGAUCACAUCAUUAGGAGAAUGAUGUGAUGGACAAGACCCAAUCCUAAGCAUAGCAUAAAAGAUCGUGUAGUUCGUAUUGCUAGAGCUUUGUCAAUGUCAAGUAUCUCUUCCUUAGACCAUGAGAUCGUGUAACUCCCGGAUACCGUAGAAGUGCCUUGGGUGUAUCAAACGUCACAACGUAACUGGGUGACUAUAAAGGUGCAUUACAGGUAUCUCCGAAAGUAGCUGUUGGGUUGACACGGAUCGAGACUGGGAUUUGUCACUCCGUAUGACGGAGAGGUAUCUUUGGGCCCACUCGGUAAUGCAUCAUCGUAUUGAGCUCAAUGUGACCAAGGUGUUGGACAUGGGAUCAUGCAUUACGGUACGAGUAAAGUGACUUGCCAGUAACGAGACUGAACAAGGUAUUGGGAUACCGACGAUCGAGUCUCGGGCAAGUAACGUACCGAUUGACAAAGGGAAUUGCAUACAGGGUUUGAUCGAAUCCUCGACAUAGUGGUUCAUCCGAUGACAACAUCGAGGAGCAUGUGGGAGCCAUCAUGGGUAUCCAGAUCCCGCUGUUGGUUAUUGACUGAGAGCGUCUCGGUCAUGUCUGCAUGUCUCCCGAACCCGUAGGGUCUACACACUUAAGGUUCGGUGACGCUAGGGUUAUGAAGAUAUGUAUAUGCAGAAACCCGAAUGUUGUUCGGAGUCCCGGAUGAGAUCCCGGACGUCACAAGGAGCUCCGGAAUGGUCCGGAGGUAAAGAAUUAUAUAUAGGAAGUGCUAUUUCGGGCAUCGGGACAAGUUUCGGGGUUAUCGGUAUUGUACCGGGACCACCGGAAGGGUCCCGGGGGUCCACCGGGUGGGGCCACCUGUCCCGGGGGGCCACAUGGGCUGUAGGGGGUGCGCCUUGGCCUUCAUGGGCCAAGGGCACCAGCCCCUAUAGGCCCAUGCGCCUAGGGUUUCCCCCUAGGAGGAGUCCUAGUGGUGGAAGGCACCCCUAGGUGCCUUGGGGGGGAGGGAAACCUCCCCUAGGCCGCCGCCCCCCCUAGUAGAUCUCAUCUACUAGGGCCGGCGCCCCCCUGGCACCCCUAUAUAUAGUGGGGGAGAGGAGGGACUUCAUACACCAGCCCCUGGCGCCUCCAUCUCCCCCCCGUUACGUCUCUCCCUCGUAGUCUCGGCGAAGCCCUGCUGCUGUGACGCCCUGCAUCCACCACCACGCCGUCGUGCUGCUGGAUCUUCAUCAACCUCUCCUUUCCCCUUGCUGGAUCAAGAAGGAGGAGACGUCUCCCGUCCCGUACGUGUGUUGAACGCGGAGGUGCCGUCCGUUCGGCGCUGGUCAUCGGUGAUUUGGAUCACGUCGAGUACGACUACAUCAUCACCUUGCAAGCUUCCGCACGCGAUCUACAAGUGGUAUGUAGAUGCAAACUCUCUCCCUUGACUCGUUGCUUAGACGAACUCAUAGAUGGAUCUUGGUGAAACCGUAGGAAAAAUUUUAAUUUUCUGCAACGUUCCCCAACACGACCCACCUCGCUUUGUAUCAUUCAAGAGUGCCGUCCGCGCGCAGUUUUUGACAGAAAACCCAUUUUCCCGUGAUGAUAUUUGCGCGUGGAGGUUUAGGCACAAGCUCCCAGGUACGGUUUUCAGUGAGAGCGGCGAACUCCUCUCGCAUGGUGGCGACCCAGUUGGGAUCACGAAGAGCAAUGCGCACUGAGCGCGGAAGGGGGGAGAUCCUCGGUGAAGCGGCGACAGAGGCAACACAAACGUAGUCCGCGGCGUACUUCUUGUUUGGCCGGAACACGCCGGCGCGUGCACGAGUGACGAUCGCUGGCGCGGGAGGAGGUGGAGCAACGGAGCGGCCCGAUCCAUCGGAUGAGGAUCCAACGGAUGCAUGGGAGCCGGACGUGCAUGGGCUGGAGCAGGGAGUGGACGUAGCCCAAGACGCGGGGGAAGUGGGUGAGGGAGGGUUUGAAUGUGGGCCGCAGGAUGGGGAUCUGACGGCGCUGGUCAAUGCAGGUGUGUGCGCGCGAGAGAGAGAGCGGCAGGGCGUGGGCUGACUGAGGUGCGUGGUUAGGGAAGGAUGGGUGGGUACCGGCACGAGGCGUGGGUGAGAGAUCGUGGGAGCUGGUGGCAGUUGCGGUGUGGCAAAGGGGAAGGUGAGUUCGUCAAAACGAACAUGGCAAGAAGUGAGCACGCGAUGAGUGUUGGGGUCGUAGCAGCGAUAACCACGAUGAUCUGGGGGAUAGCCCAAGAAAACACAUGCCAUAGAGCGAGCAUCAAGCUUAUGACGCGCGGUCGAGGUGGUGUUGGGAUAACAUAGGCAGCCGAAAACGCGCAAGGCGGAGUAGUCGGGAGCUACGCCAAGGAGGAGUUCAUGCGGGGUACGCGGCGAGCUAGACGCACAGGGUUUGUAGUUGUGAAGGAGCGUGGCGGUGGCGAGCGCUUCAGCCCAGAAGCGAGGCGGGAGUGAGGUGUGAAAGAGAAGUGCGUGCAUGCUCUCGUUCAGAGUGCGGAGAGCACGCUCGGCAACCCCGUUUUGUUGGCUCGUGUAGGGGCAUGACAGGCAAAGGACUGUGCCGUGGCGAGAGAGGAGGGAGCGAACGGCGAGGUUGUCAAACUCGCGGCCAUUAUCGGUUUGCAAAGCCAGGAUAGGACGCUCAAAUUGAGUGUGAACAUAGGCGUAGAAAGCAGUGAGCACACAAAUCACACCAGACUUGUUUCGAAGAGGAAAGUCCAUACAUAGCGCGUACAACUAUCAAUGAUAACUAGGUAGUAUUCAAAACCAAAAACGCUAACAACUAGAGAAGUCCAAACAUCUAAGUGUAAUAGCUGAAAUGGGAAAUAGCUAGUAGACGUGGAGGCAGCGAACGGCAGGCGUGUGUUCUUGCCGAGGCGACACGCUGAGCAGGAGUGCGGAGUGGAAGGCGCGCAGGUGAACUCGAACUGACCCAGAGCACGACGGAGCACCUCCGUGCCGGGAUGCCCAAGACGGCUGUGCCACAACUCAGCAGACGCGACGCCGACGAAGUAGCUAGCGCACGGGACGGCAGGGUUGCAGCACACCUGGUACAGGUCGCCGAUCGAGUCACACCGAAGGAUCACCAGGCGGGUGCGGAUAUCCUUGACAGAAAACCCAAAGGCGUAAAAUUCCACGGAUACAGGAUUAUCGCGAGUAAGACGACGUACAGAAAGAAGAUUGGUGAUGAUGGAGGGAGAGAGGAGCACAUUGUGGAGCUCGAGAGAGGAGUUGUUGGCGAUGAGCGAGCCACGACCAGUGUGCGUAAUGGGCAUGCAGCCGCCAUUGCCAACAAUAAUAUCACGAGGAGGAAAGGAAGGACGAAGGGAGUGGAGAGUACCAGGGUUGGAGGUCAUGUGCGAUGAGGCGUCCGAAUCCAUGUACCAGUCAGAGGUGCUGGCCGGUGGCGGCGGCGAGGACGAGUGCGCGGCCUGAAGUGCAGUCUGGAGGCCACCCAUGUCCCAUGGCUGCUGCGGCGGGGGAGGCGCGCUGCUGGAGCUGGCCCCUGGCGACCCAUAGGUGAACCCGGGGAGGAGCGCAGGAUACCCGACGUAGGCGGCAGGCGCACCACCGACGAAGAGAGCUUGCUGCGUCGGGAAGCCCGGGCGGGGCCCGAGGACGCUGGCCCCUGGCGCACGCCAGGGCAUAGGCCACGCCUGGACCAUGCCAAUCCAGGAGUGGGCGCUCGAGGAGGAGCCUGGUAACGCAGCCGGACGUGGAACGGGCGGAGUCGAGGGUGGUGUAGUCGAGGACGAGCCCCCCGUUGCCCCGACCGCGGCGACGGUUGCGCCCACGCCCGCGACCAGCCCCGCCGUCGGAAGGAGGCAUCGGGGGCGCUGGGCUAACCGGCAGACGCGCCGCGAUGAGAGCAUGGGCGGAUUGCUGACGAGCCGCCUGCUCGGCGCGAUGUUCUUCGAGGAGGAGGAAGGAGUGGGCCUCAAGGAACAUGGGCAGCGGGACACGCGAGGUGAGGUGGGGGAUCGCGGUGUGGUACUGGAGCCCGAGCCCGCGCAGCAUGUUGAACAGUUGCUGCGGCUCGGAGACAGGCUGGCCGAGGUCACGAAGUUGAUCGGCGAAGGACUUGAGGCGAGUGCAGUACUGCAUCACCGUGAGGUCGCCCUGCACCACAGCGUGGUACUCGACAUCGAGAUACACUGCCCAGGAGAGGUUGUUGUCGCGGAAGAUGCCCUCGAUCGCAGCCCAGAGCACGUCGGCGGUGUCGUCGGGCUGCAUCACGGCGUCGAGCAUCUCGGGAGAGACAGUGGAGUAGAGCCAAUGAACGACGCAGUGGUCGACCAUGACCCAUUCGGGAUAGCGACGGCGAGGGGCGGCAGGAGCGACGAGGUGGUCGCGCACACCGAACAUGCCGACGAUGGUGCGGAAGAAGCGUCGCCACUGGGCGUAGUUUCCGGCAUGGAGGUCGAGGGUGACCGAAACGUGAUGCCAGAUGCAGCGGCGCCGGGGGCACGGUGGACAGAGGCGCGCUCGCGGGCUGGGCGGGCGCCAGAGCAGAGGGCGGAGGCGCGCUCGCGGCCAGAGCGGACGCAUCAUCGUCGGAGGUGUCAGGGGUGGCUAGGGGAUUGGUGUCCAUGGCAGCGGAAGGAGAGGACAGAUCGGGCGCAAACGGGUUGGUUGCGGCAGCGUCUGAUACCAUGUUUCAGGGAAGGAGAUCUAACACACUGGUUCCAAUCAUCUGUGGAGAUACAUAUACAGGGGAGCAGCGGGUGCUUGAGCCACGAUGGUGAUCAUGGAGUGACCAUGCUCGAGAGGUGGAGGGACGUGUGUGCGUAAGGGAAAACUGUACACACGUACGCUAUACUAGCCUGAUGUAGAGACUACGUACAAUACUCACACACACAUAUACAUGUAGCUUAACAGCGUCAUCUUGGCCCGCCACGAAACUCCAGCGAGAGAUCCCUCCACGCGAGAAGGAAGAGGCCCGGAUGCUGCCAGUUGCACUUGGGGAUGAGAGCCCGCCACCGCCGUCAGCAAGGCGGCCCUUGACCGGCGGCAUCCUUCAGCGGUAGUGAGGGGAACAAGGGCGGAGGAGAGGGAGGUGGCAGCUCUAGGGAUCCGCCCGAGCCACCCCGCGUGGGAGCGACGCGGGGGUCACACCCACACGAUGUAUAUAAUGGAAGGAAAGGAAAAAGAAUAUGACCAACCAUCUUCUCAAUGCCAGCUAGUUUUGCAUGUAAAGCCUCCAUGGCAAUAAAAUGGCGCAGGUUAACAAGCUUGUUGCCUUUCGGCAAAUUUGUACUUGUUAAAUUGUGAUCGAAAUUCUAACGUAUUGGACUAGACGUAGUACAUGCGGUGUAAGCCUUUUCGUUGGUACCGAUGCAUACGAGUACAACUCGUUUACUUGUCCUCAAGGACUCUUAUUUAUUGCUCUCAUAUAUACUCCAUGUAGUCUCACCUAAAGACUGUCUGUCGUCUCGUGCUUGUAAUACUCCUCCAUCAUAGUGAUGCUCUUGUCGUCUCGUGCGUCCGUGAUUUCUCCCGUAAGGGUUUUCAUGUAAAAAUCCGUGUGCUCUCGUGUCUCGUUUAUCUCGUUUUAUCUAACAAGUGGUAUACACGAAGUAGCACAUACGAGAUUUGAGACGAAAGAAUUAGGGUUGCGGUCUGGUCCGCCGCCGCCGACCUGCAAUUCGACAAAUCGCAGGUUUUGCCGAGAGUGCCGACAGGAGUUCAGUCGACCGGGUCAAGUUCGGAUAUUCCUCUGCGUAUCCGAGAUCGAUCGCUGCUAGCUGUACGAGCUGCAGCCGCAUGUCGCCGGGACCGACAGGGUUUCCAUCGCGCGCCGCUUCGAAAGCAUGGCCACGUCUUCCCGUCCAUAGCAGCCUUGCUUCAAGUCCCGACGAAUCGGCUCAAGUUCAACUGUACAUCACGUGAAGACAAGUACCGCACUAUCUCUUGGAUUUUUUACUACGUGAAGCUUAUCCUGAUUCACUAGUACUAGAGUACAAGUUCAGAUUCUGUUUUUCUGUCUUCGACUGCCACGUCCACCCGAAGCUACCAGGUGCUACUGUUUUUUGUUUCGUUUGAUCCCCAUAUUAAAUUAUGUCAAGAAUUUUCUACCGGCUUAUACUACUUGUGUACACAGAUUUAAUCAACUCAUGGCAUCGAUGAAGUAUGAUGUUCCGCUGCUGGAUCAUGACACAAGGUUUACCUUAUGGCAAGUCAAGAUGCGGGCGUUGUUGGCAUGUGCUGACUAUGAUGAAGCAUUGGACAGUUUUGGAAAGAAUCGGACUCAAGACUGGACUAUGCGGAGAAAAGAAUAGAUCGUAAGGCUUUGUCACAAAUUCAACUCCAUUUGCAUAACAUAAUAUUUCACAGAAAGUUUUGAGCAAAAAAACUGCCGCUGUUCUAUGGUUAAAGCUGGAAGGGAUUUGCAUGACUAAAGAUUUCACCAACAAGAUGCAUUUGAAGCAAAAAUUAUUCCUGCACAGGCUAUCCGAGGGGGGUAAUGUUUUGAAUCAUAUUUUAGAAUUUAAAGAGAUUAUAUCUGAUCUAUCUGCAAUGGAGGUUAAGUAUGAAGAGGAAGAUACUGCUUUAAUGUUACUCUUUUCACUGCCAAGUUCUUAUACCAAUUUUAGAGACACCAUAUUAUACAAUUGUAAUACUCUCACACUUAAUGAAGUUUAUGAAGCUUUGAACUCCAAGGAAAAGAUGAAAUUAAUGGUGCCUCAUGAUGGUUCAAGUUCAUCCCAAGCAGAGGGAUUAUCUGUUCGUGGCAGGACAAAGGAGAAGAACUCCAAUAAUGGAAAUAGAGGCAAAAGUAAAAAUGGCUACAGGGGCCGGUCGCAAUCCAGAGACAAGAAAUAUUGCAGAUAUUGCAAGAGAGACGGGCAUUACAUUUCAGAGUGUUACAAGUUGCAGAACAAAGAAAAGAAGAAAGGUAACAAACAAGGUGAAAAUUCUUCUAACGUUGCUCGUGAUGAUAGUUCCGAUGAUGCUCUUGUCGUUAUUGCUUGAUGUGCUGAGACCAAUGAUGAGUGGGUACUUGACACUACAUGCACUUUUCAUAUGUGCCCGCAUAGAGAUUGGUUUACUACUUUUGAUUCCACUUCUGCUGCUGGUUCUGUUUUGGAUUUUGGUAAUUCACCAUGCAAGAUUGAAGGCAUAGGUUCCGUUCGAAUCAAGAUGUUUGAUGGCACAAUCAAAACUUUGACAGAUGUUCGGUAUAUUUCGAAGAUGAAGAGAAAUCUUAUCUCUAUGAGUGCCCUUGAUACAAAAGGUUACAAGCAGGUGGAGAUAGUGUUUUGAAGGUCACCAAAGGUUCCCUUAUUGUGAUGAAAGGUGACUUAAGUUCGACCAAUGGUCUUUAUUACCUUCGAGGUUCUACCGUUUCAGGUAAUGCUACUCUAGUUAUUUCAAAGAAUUCUGAUUGUGAUGCUGCUAACCUUUGGCAUAUGCGUCUUGGACAUAUGAGUGAACUUGGUUUAGCAGAGUUAAAUAAGAGAGGUCUUCUUGAUGGAUAUGAACCUGGUAAAUUGAAAUUUUGUGAGCAUUGCGUCUUCGGCAAGCAUGAGAGGGUGAAGUUCAACACUUCGACUCAUACAACCAAAGGUAUUCUUGAUUAUGUUCAUUCUGAUUUAUGAGGAACAUCUCGCAGAAAGUCACUUGGUGGUGCUAGUUACAUGCUGACUAUUAUUGAUGAUUAUACGAGAAAAGUUUUGUCUUAUUUCUUGAAGCGUAAAUAUGAAGCAUUCUUGACAUAUAAGGAGUGAAAGAUUAUGAUUGAGAGACAAGCUGAAAACAAGGUAAAGAUACUUCGCACUGAUAAUGGUAUCGAAUUCUGUUGUAAGCAAUUUUAAAAUUAUUGCAAGUCUGAAGGCAUUCUCAGACACUGCAUCAUUCCUUAUACACUUCAACAAAAUGAGGUUGCUGAGCGUAUGAACAGGACCAUUAUUUUCAGAGCCUGUCGCAUGUUGUCCAAUGCAGGUUUGCAUAGGCAUUUUUGGGCUGAGGCCGCUUCCACUGCUUGUUAUCUCAUCAAUCGUUCACCAUCUAUUGCUCUUAAUAAGAAAAACUCCAAUUCAGGUAUGGUCUAGUUCACCUGCUGAUUAUUCACAGUUGAGAGUUUUUGGUUGCACUGCUUAUGCUCAUGUUGAUAAUGAAAAGUUGGAGCCUAGGGCUGUUAAGUGCAUCUUUCUUGGUUGUAAGUCUGGUGUUAAAGGUUUUAAGUUGUGGAAUCCUGAAACCCAGAAGGUUGUUAUUAGCAGAAAUGUUUGAUACGUCUCCAACGUAUCUAUAAUUUUUGAUUGUUCCAUGCUAUUAUAUUAUGUGUUUUGGAUGUUUAAUGGGCUUUACUAUACACUUUUAUAUUAUUUUUGGGACUAACCUAUUAACCGGAGGCCAGUCCAAAUUGCUGUUUUUUUGCCUACUUUAGUGUUUCGCAGAAAAGGAAUAUCAAACGGAGUCCAAACGGAAUGAAACCUCUGGGAGAGUUAUUUUUGGAACAAACGCAAUCCAGGAGAAUUGGAGUGGACGUCAAGAAAGAAACAAGGAAGCCAUGAGGUAGGGAGGCGCGCCCAGGGAGGGUAGGCGCGCCCCCCACCCUCAUGGGCCCCUCGUGGCUCCCCUGACCGACUUCCUUCGCCUAUAUAUACUCAUAUACCCUGAAAACAUCCAGGAGCACCACAAAACCCUAUUUCCACCACCGCAACCUUCUGUACCCAUGAGAUCCCAUCUUGGGGCCUUUUCCGGCGCUCCACCGGAGGGGGAAUCGAUCAUGGAGGGCUUCUACAUCAACACCAUAGCCUCUUCGAUGAAGUGUGAGUAGUUUACCACAGACCUUCGGGUCCAUAGUUAUUAGCUAGAUGACUUCUUCUCUCUCUUUGGAUCUCAAUACAAAGUUCUCCUUGAUCUUCUUGGAGAUCUAUUCGAUGUAAUUCUUUUUGCGGUGUGUUUGUCGAGAUCCGAUGAAUUGUGGGUUUAUGAUCAAGAUUAUCUAUGAACAAUAUUUGAAUCUCCUCUAAAUUCUUUUAUGUAUGAUUGGUUAUCUUUGCAAGUCUCUUCGAAUUAUCAGUUUGGUUUGGCCUACUAGAUUGAUCUUUCUUGCAAUGGGAGAAGUGCUUAGCUUUGGGUUCAAUCUUGCGGUGUCCUUUCCCAGUGACAGCAGGGGCAGCAAGGCACGUAUUGUAUUGUUGCCAUCGAGGAUAAAAAGAUGGGGUUUAUAUCAUAUUGCUUGAGUUUAUCCCUCUACAUCAUGUCAUCUUGCCUAAUGCGUUACUCUGUUCUUAUGAACUUAAUACUCUAGAUGCAUGCUGGAUAGCUGUCGAUGUGUGGAGUAAUAGUAGUAGAUGUAGAAUCGUUUCGGUCUACUUGUCACGGACAUGUUGCCUAUAUACAUGAUCAUGCCUAGAUAUUCUCAUAACUAUGUGAAAUCACAAGUGCUCCCUGGGUGAUUUUGGUAAUUAAUGUCAACAUAUCUCUUGUUGGACUAACACUUCUGAUGCGGAGCAUCCCUCGACCAUCCCCAUGGAUGUCACACCGCCACCACAAGCAUGGAGAGGACCUACGACGAGAGCUCAUGAACGCGACGUCGGAACCGAGGUGAACUCUUUCCUCUUUGAGUUUCAUUCGGAUUCCCACGAGAGUCGGGUUCUACCUCAAAUGGAUACAUCGUGCAUUCUUAGGUACUUGGGAGAUCGUCACGGGGAAGCACGGAGGCAACACCAAGUUCACCCGGAGACGCAAGAAGGAAGGAGAAGGAAGAUGGGCACGAAGGAGUGGAGCCACUAGACACCUCGGGUGCCCGCCCCUGCGUCCGCGGGUGCCCGGCCGCCGGCUGUGCUGGGCCUGGUUGCCCCGGGUGCCAGGCCAGGAGGCCCCGGGUGCCCGGCCGCCCCAGCCUGGGCGCUUCCCGCUGCCCCGGGUGCCCGGCCAACUGGCCCCGGGUGCCCGGUCCCUCCUGCUGGCGCUGCUGCCUUCCACCCCGGGUGCCUGGCCCAUGCCCCCAGCCGCCUAGCGCGCCCCCGGGUGCCCGGGCCAUCUGCAGCCGGCCCUGUCCAACCCGGGUGCCUGGCCCUUCGGCCCCGGGUGCCCGGCCACCUACAGCCGCACCACCUCCGGGUGCCCGGGCCUCUUUGCAUCGGGUGCCCGGACCACUCCGAGGGCCUUCCUGCCUUGUUGGGCUUUUGCCCAGUUACCCAUCUCCACCUCUUAUUUCACCCCUAGACUAUAAGUACCCCCCACCUAGCUCAUUUAGAGGGAUGGCAAAGUAUUUGAUAGACAUUUGUGAGCUUUUCUCCAUGGAUCCACUCCACUAGGAGAUCAAGACCUCCUCUUGGAGUGACCAAACAUCAAGACCUCCUCCUUGGGGAAGGAUCCCCAUCAUAGGAUCAUCAAGCCCUCAUCUCCUUCAUAGGAUUUGGGAUGAACUCUACCAUGUAUCUUAUUUCCCUUUGAUUGUUCAUGUACCUUGUGGAUCUUGUAUGUUUGUUAGUCUAGUGGAUGUGUGAUUUGGACUUGUUCUUGAGUGUUCCUCUUGUUUUCCCUCUUGUGUUCAUCUUGUUCUUUGGGAUUUCCCCUCCAAUUCGUGAAAGAUCUUCACCUAGGGUUCCACCCUACAACAUCUUGGUAUCAUGAGCCAUGGUUUCUCACAAAAUUGGAGCCCCCAUCUUGUUUUCUAGCCUAAUUUUGUGUGUUCUUCCCCAAUUUCAAAAAUUCCCCACCAAAAAUAGCCCCAAUUUUUUUGUGAUUUGUUGGUUUGAUGAGAUUUUGUUGGAUUUGAUCCGUGGAUUUGCUUGGUUUCAAGUGAAUCUAGCAUCCCCCCAUCCAUCUCCACCUUUCCCUCCACAAAAUCCACCAAUUUCUUGCAUCUUCCCACGAAUUUCCGUCCAAAUCCGACACCCCUGGGCACCCGGACCUCAAACCCCGGGCACCCGGACCUCCCCGCCCACCCCCCUGACCACCCCGGGUGCCUGCACCCCAAACCCCGGGCACCCGCACCCCCGGGCUGUUUGCCUNNNNNNNNNNNNNNNNNNNNNNNNNNNNNNNNNNNNNNNNNNNNNNNNNNNNNNNNNNNNNNNNNNNNNNNNNNNNNNNNNNNNNNNNNNNNNNNNNNNNNNNNNNNNNNNNNNNNNNNNNNNNNNNNNNNNNNNNNNNNNNNNNNNNNNNNNNNNNNNNNNNNNNNNNNNNNNNNNNNNNNNNNNNNNNNNNNNNNNNNNNNNNNNNNNNNNNNNNNNNNNNNNNNNNNNNNNNNNNNNNNNNNNNNNNNNNNNNNNNNNNNNNNNNNNNNNNNNNNNNNNNNNNNNNNNNNNNNNNNNNNNNNNNNNNNNNNNNNNNNNNNNNNNNNNNNNNNNNNNNNNNNNNNNNNNNNNNNNNNNNNNNNAACACCUUUAGGCCAUAACUUUCGCUCCCGGAGUCCGAUUUUGACGUUCUUUAGCUCGUUGAGUAGCUAUUGACAUCCCCCAGCCAUCUAGAUAGGUUCCAACAUCAUUUGAAUCCAUAAAUUGUUUGGCAUUUUGGCAUCUUUGCAUAGGCCAUCCACCAUAUCAUUCGCAAAACCACCAUCGCUUUCCGCCACCGAACCCAUUUUAGUCUCAUAUAGAAUUUGUGGUUGCUUGAGUGGUGACUUGAGUCUCCUAAGGUAUUUCGUCUACUUAGGGACGGUUGCUUUGUCAUCAACCACCACCACCACUUCCGCAUUGCUAACUCCGGAACCACCAACGCAUUUCGCUACCACCAUUUGACAUUUUCCUUGAGAUUUUGAGUUCACGGUUUUUUACCGUUUCCUAAGGUGUUUCGGCUACUUAGGGACGGGUCUACAUCAUCUUGGUAUCUACAUCAAGAACACCGCCACUCAUCAUCGCCACGAGGUCGUCAUCGACAUCGACCACUUCACCAUUUUGACAACCUAACCGUAAGCAAGAACGGUAACCUCCAUAUCACUUUGGUAUCGUGGUAUCCCUUCAUUGUACAUUCUUGCCAUUAAAUUGUUAACCCCUUAGCCCAUUUUGCGUCACUUGCCUAUCGAGACUUGCCAUUUGAGUAUUGCCGACAACGUUACUUGUGCACAUUAGUGAUCCAUACCUUCCAUUGCAUACAUAACAUAUCAUAUUGGUAUCAUCGUGGUAUCAUCAUAUCAUCCCUUGUGUCACAAGAUCGUUCCCGCAUAUACACAUUGCUACUUGGUUUGUGCAUUUCGCAUAAGUGGCCAUAUCAAAAAAAAAAAAGCUUUUAAGCAAAAAGAGAGCAAAGAGCUUGUAAGCAAGAGCCAUAGCAUCGCCACAUUGCAUACCAUACUACCAUAUUGAUCAUCUUGGAUCAUCGUGUGCGAAACACCGGGAACAUCAUACACAUAGCAUACUUGGGAUAGAAAGCUCAUACAUCUUGCAUCUUAUAGGUUGUGCACAAGUGCCAUAUCCGCCUAUUGAGCAAUCGUGCUAGAGUCUCUCUUGAGUUGUGCAACACGACCGUUUUCCGUGGAUUCCACAUUUUGUGCUCAUUCCUUGAUUGCAUGACCCCAUUUAUCUAUCCUUAUGUGUGUUUCUGUGUGCCACAUAUUGCUAUUGGUCUACUUGUUUCACUUGCAAAUUUGUGAAUCUUUUCCAACAUUAUUGACUCUUGCUAACAUUUUGCAUCAAAUUUUGUGCCACUAUCCUCACCGAGCUCCACUAUAAGCUUUACUUGAUAGGUGUGAGUGAACAAGUCCGGUACCAAUUCCACUAUUCUUUCAUCUCACAUUGAGUGAAACGGGAUACAUCCUCAACUUUGGGAAAAGGUAACUUGGUAUUGUUUAUCUCAUUUCCUACUCACCUCUACUCGAGUCUUGUGAUGGAUAGGCAAGGCAUUUCAUCUCCGGUCUUCCACGACAACGACGGCAUGAACAACUACAUCACCAAAAUGCCCAUCUUCGGACUACAACGAGUAACACGAGGCAUUGAGCGACUCACCGCCGACAUUCAUCAACUUGAAGCACGAACAAGAGACUACCUCGACACCAAGUUGGCCGAACAAAGGGAUCAAGUACGAGACAUGAUGGCCAACCACAAGUCUUCUUCCCCUUCGUCAUCUUCAAGGCAGCGGUGCUCAAGUUGCCAAUCUUCGGAACGUCAUCGAGCUCAAGCACUACAACACCAUCAAGAUGAAGAUGCUCGCGAUGCGUACACCUACAAGUCCCAGAAAGCUCUACAUCAAGCUACGGCCAAACGUCAUGAGCACAAGAGAAGACCGCGAGACAAGCACCACCAAGACGGAGCUACGACUACUACCACCACUUCGGCAUCUUCGCCAAGUGUUCUCAAGGCCAUCCACGACGACAAUGACGAGAUGAUCGAGCAUGGGAUUUUCCCUUCGGUCAUGGAGGAGAGUGAUGAUGUGCCAUCUUCGGCCUUCAUCCACGGCGACAAUGACGAGAUGGUUGAGCAUGGGAUUUUCCCUUCGACCACGGCGAUGUAUGAUGACUUGAGUGACUUGUGCCACCAUAUUGAGAGUGAGAGUGACUUCACCACUAGCCCCAUAUAUGACGAGUUGCCCCAAUUCCCAUGUGAGGAGAGCCACCAACACCACCACUUGAGUGAUUUGAGUGACUCCACCAUAUGUGACAUUGUGUGCACCUACCUUGAGGGAGUGAGUGAGCAACCACCACAUAGAGAGCGUGAGGUAGUUGAUAGGGCACGUGAGGCCAUUUCGAUUUCUAACAACUUAACCUCUACCUCUAUUGUGUCUUCUCAUUUGGUGCUAGGUCCCAUAUAUGAUGACGCGCCGAUUCAUGACGACUAUGUCCUCCCUUUGGACAAGACGAUGGCCAUGGUGAACUAUGAUGCACCUCCCACAUGGUUCCAUCACGAUGAUGACGUUGGCCACGCUUUGGUCUUUUGCACCUCACCUACACCACUUGAGUGGAACGAGAAAGGUAACAUAGGUGAAGGUGAUGCUCUUGUCCCACUAGUGGACAUUCUUGACAUUGAUUGCUUGCAUGAUGUUGAUCCACCUAUUUCCAUGCUUCAUGCUAGUGCGAUUACCCCAUACGAUGAUUUGCCCAUUUAUGAUGAGUAUGAUGAUUCUCAUGUGGACUCUAGUAGUUGUGAUGCCAUGUUACAUAGGAUUUCUUGUGACAAUUCUCUAGGUCACAUCAUGUUUGAAAAUCCUCUUGACUUGUCAUAUGCUAUGCAUGAGAACAAAAAUAUGUCAUAUUUGCAAUCUCAUCUUAGUGCCUAUGCAUUUGCCAUCAACAUAAACCCAAUUUGCACAUAUGGCAUAGACGACAAGCCCUUGGUUAUUGGCAUUUGUUUUUCUUGUGAUGAUAUUGGUAUGCUUCCUUUGCAUCAUUUAUCUCAUAUGCCAUGCCAUGACCACCUAGCUUUGGAUAUGCAUUGUUUUGGAUGUUCUCCAUUUUCUCCAUAUGAUGUUUCCACUAUUGCUCAUGAGGACACCCCCAUAGUUUCCUCAUACAUUUUAGGAGAUUUUGAUUCAUCCUAUCCAUUGCAUGAUCUCACUACGUGUGUGCACCAUAUGCUCCCCAUGAAUGAAAAUGCUAUUGUUGUGUCACACACUUGCUAUAAUUUGCGUCCAAAACAUGUUGAACACAAUAACUAUCAUUGCAUGAUGGAUGACAUAUUUCUCUACCAUGCCUCAAAUUUCUUUGAGCGAUGCUUAUCUUGUGCUAACUCACAUGUGCACAUACAUAUCAUGAUGGAUGAUGUGUACAUUUACCACGCGCACAAUUUUUUUGGUUUGUGUUUCUUUUGUGUAGGUACCCAUGAAUACUUGUCAACCUCACAAUCCCAUGAGUUGAAAAAACGAGCUCUAGAGAGCAACGAUGACUUGGGAUCACAUGGAUUGCCUUUCCCACCGCUCUCUUCGCGCACAGACUUCGUGCAUUUCUUCUACAUGGCUCUCACUUGGUUAUGGGUUAUUUACCACUUCUCACUUUAUGCCCAUAUUGCCAUGUUCACUUUGCGUGAUAUGCUCAUUCAUAUGCCUUUGCCAUGCAUUUGUGACCCAUGCUUUGCAUUACACAUGAUGAUUGAUUCUACUACUUGUAUGUGUAUUUGCAAGCUUGGUGGAGAUAUUGCUUGUUAUUGCCAUGUUUGCUAUGUGCCCCAUGCCUACAACGAUACUAUGAUCUUGCUUUGUGUUCGUGCUCGCGAUAUGUCAUGUGCAUUGUCUAUGCCUAUUAUUUGCUCACAUGACAUGAUUGCCAUGAUUUCCUCUAGUGUGUUGCAUCUUCGCUCCACUAGUUCACACGACUUGAUUUUUAUGCUUUCUCAUGUUGCAUCCACUUCUUGGAUUACUUGCUACUAUCACAUGUUUGGUUGCAACAAUGUCAUUCCUUCACAUAUGCCAUGUCCCAUUGAUUGCUACAUGCUUGCCUUGAUUGCCUCACACAUGAUGAACAAUUGCUCUUGCUAUCGUGUUGAGUGCCACUCGAUUUUCACUACACCCUAUGCACAUUAUGCUUGGAUUGUCUUACACUUGACCCAUGUGUUUAGACAUUGCCUUUCAUUUGGCGUUGUGAAUGAUUCUUAUGCUUACCAUAGACCGUUCAUUGAGAGUCUUAUGCAUGCUUGCUAUGACAUUGAGGUAGAUGCUUGUUCACUUGUCCCACAUAUUAGCACCUUUACCUCACCCUUGCAUGAUCGUUUCCAUGAUGCUUCUCCAUAUGAUAAAUUUAUGUGCUUACAUGCUAUGCCACACUCCCUUGUCAAACCAUAUGCUAUGCUUGAUGACAACACUUGUUGGGUGAAGCACCUCUUGAAUGCUUGAUUUUGCUUUAACGCCAACCAUAUUUGUUUUUCCAAGUGCUUGUUAUCUUUGCUCCUUUUGAAGGAAUUACAAGACGGUGCGACAUUGGAGAGUGACCAUUUCGAGCUUCAACGUGACAAGUGCUUGGUGGUUGUCCACUUCCACUCGGCAACGCCUUCUCUUCCCCAUGGUGAUGAAGAUCACGAUCCAUGGACGGAUCUCUCCCAAGGGGAGAGAUGAUGCGGAGCAUCCCUCGACCAUCCCCAUGGAUGUCACACCGCCACCGCAAGCAUGGAGAGGACCUACGACGAGAGCUCACGCACGCGACGUCGGAACCGAGGUGAACUCUUUCCUCUUUGAGUUUCAUUCGGAUUCCCACGAGAGUCGGGUUCUACCUCAAAUGGAUACAUUGUGCAUUCUUAGGUACUUGGGAGAUCGUCACGAGGAAGCACGGAGGGAAACACCAAGUUCACCCGGAGACGCACGGAGGAAGGAGAAGGAAGAUGGGCAGAAGGAGUGGAGCCACUGGACACCCCGGGUGCCCGGCCCCUGCGUCCCCGGGUGCCCGGCCGCAUGCUGUGCCGGGCCUCGCCGCCCCGGGUGCCCGGGCAGCAGGCCUCGGGUGCCCGGCCACCCCAGUCUGGGUGCUUCCCGCCGCCCCGGGUGCCCGGCCCCUCCUGUUGGCGCCGCUGCCUUCCACCCCGGGUGCCCGGGCCUUGCUCCCCCGGGUGCACGGCCCAUGCCCCCAGCUGCCUGGUGCGCCCCUGGGUGCCCGGGCCAUCUACAGCCGGCCCUGUCCAGCCCGGGUGCCCAGCCCUUCGGCUCCGGGUGCCCGGCCACCUACAGUCGCACCACCUCCGGGUGCCCGGGCCUCUUUGCACCGGGUGCCCGGACCACUCUGAGGGCCCGCGUGCCUUGUUGGGCUUUUGCCCAUGUACCCAUCUCCACCUCUUAUUUCACCCCUAGACUAUAAGUACCCCCCACCUAGCUCAUUUAGAGGGAUAGCAAAGUAUUUGAUAGACAUUUGUGAGCUUUGCUCCAUGGAUCCACUCCACUAGGAGAUCAAGACCUCCUCUUGGAGUGACCAAACAUCAAGACCUCCUCCUUGGGGGAAGGAUCCCCAUCAUAGGAUCAUCAAGCCCUCAUCUCCUUCAUAGGAUUUGGGAUGAACUCUACCAUGUAUCUUAUUUCCCUUUGAUUGUUCAUGUACCUUGUGGAUCUUGUGUGUUUGUUAGUCUAGUGGAUGUGUGAUUUGGACUUUUUCUUGAGUGUUCCUCUUGUUUUCCCUCUUGUGUUCAUCUUGUUCUUGGGGAUUCCCCCUCCAAUUCGUGAAAGAUCUUCACCUAGGGUUCCACCCUACAACAACUUCUACCUAGUAUGUUUCAAACAAGUUCAACAAUGGAGUGGCAUGGACUAAAGGAUGUGGAACCCCUUCAAGAUGCUAAGGACAAAGGAUUGGCUCAAGCUCCAAGAACAAGACUCUACAUUUUGUAUUUUAGUGAUCCAAGAUCACAUUGAGUCUAUAGGAAAAGCCAAUACAAUCAAGAGGGGAUGAGGUGUUGCUUAAUGGCCUGCUUGCUCAAAGUACUUAGUGAUAUUCUCCAAAGCCCUCAACUACUUUCUCACAUCCACAUAUUUCCUAAACCAAACGUCUAACUCGGUCCUACCGAUUCUUUCCAUCCGGCGCCACCGAGUUCAGAUGUCUUAGCCACUGCCACAAACCCUAGGCAAAUCGAUCUCACCGAUAGGGAUCUUGGUCUCACCAAGAUGGGAUUGUAAUCUCUCUGUGUAUGUCCAUUACCAAAAUCGGUCUCACCGAGUUUGAGUAAUUGGUACUACCGAGAUUACAAUGCAAACUCUCUGGUUAACUUAUUACCAAAAUCGGUCCCACCGAGUUUGUGUAAUCGGUCUCACCGAGUUUGUCUGACCAACUCUCUGGUCAGCUUAUUACCAAAAUCAGUCCCACCGAGUUUGUGUAAUCGGUAUCACCGAGAUUACAUUAACCCCUAACCCUAAUCAUAUCGGUCCUACCAAGUUGCAUGUCGGUCCCACCGAAAAUCCUAACGGUCACUAGAUUUGCUGAAUCGGUCUGACCGAGUUUAUCAAUUCGGUUCCACCGAGUUUGGCAAGUUGUGUGUAACGGUUAGAUUUUGUGUGGAGGCUAUAUAUACCCCUCCACCCACUCUUCAUUCGUGGAGAGAGCCAUCAGAACGAACCUACACUUCCAGCAUACAUUUUCUGAGAGAGAACCACCUACUCAUGUGUUGAGGCUAAGAUAUUCCAUUCCUACCAUAUGAAUCUUGAUCUCUAGCCUUCCCCAAGUUGCUUUCCACUCAAAUCCUCUUUCCACCAAAUCCAAAUCCUAUGAGAGAGAGUUGAGUGUUGGGGAGACUAUAAUUUGAAGAACAAGAGCAAGGAGUUCAUCAUCAACACACCAUUUGUUACUUCUUGGAGAGUGGUGUCUCCUAGAUUGGCUAGGUGUCACUUGGGAGCCUCCGACAAGAUUGUGGAGUUGAACCAAGGAGUUUGUAAGGGCAAGGAGAUCGCCUACUUUGUGAAGAUCUACCGCUAGUCAGGCAAGUCCUUCGUGGGUGACGACCAUGGUGGGAUAGACAAGGUUGCUUCUUCAUAGACCCUUCGUGGGUGGAGCCCUCCAUGGACUCGCGCAACCGUUACCCUUCGUGGGUUGAAGUCUCCAUCAACGUGGAUGUACGAUAGCACCACCUAUCGGAACCACGACAAAAACAUCCGUGUCUCCAAUUGCAUUUGAACUCUCCAAACCCUUCCCUUUAUAUUCUUGCAAGUUGCAUGCUUUACUUUCCGCUGCUCAUAUACUCUUUGCAUGCUUGCUUGAUAUGUAUUGUGAGUGUUAAACUUGUGCCAAAACUCCACCUAAACUUAAAGAAGUUAAAAACCGCAACUUUUGGUACUUAGUGUCUAAUCACCCCGCUCUAGACACCUCUUGUCGAUCCUUUCAAUUGGUAUCAGAGCUUUGGUCUCCAUUGCUUUGGUUUAAACACCAUUGGAGGAAGAUGGAUGAGUCUACAAUUGGGAGUCUUAGACAUAGAGUGCCUAUACUUGAUGGAGAGUACUUUCAUGAGUGAAAAAAUGAGAUGCUUGUGAUUUUCAAUCAAUAUCAUUUGAACAAGUACAUUGCUAGCCCUUGUGCACCUCAUGUUGAUCCUAUGCAUCCUACUCUUGAUGAGUCAAUUGACAUGAUUCACAAUCUUAGAACUAUUGAACUUAUCAUUAGAGGCUUGCCUAGAAACUUGGUUGGAUGUUUGCCUACUCUUAAGUGUGCCUACACCAUAUGGAAAUUUCUUGAGGAACGUUUUCCAAAUUAUUCCUUGAAAAACCUUGAUGAAAUUCUCCAUAAGUCUAUUGCAUUGAGUAAGAUGAAUUCUAGUGAUCCUAUGUUUGGUGAUUGUCUAUUUGAGCUUACAAACCUUAUGCGUGCCAAAGGAGAUGUUGGAAUUAUUAGUGAUAUUAUUUCCGAAGCUAUAAAACUACAUAAGCAAGAGCAUUGUCAAACUCACUCUAAUGAAUCACCCUCUCUAGGAUUUGAUCCACCACAUGACGAUGUUGAACAUGGAUACUAUGAUGAGGAUGAUGAUAGUGACUUCUAUCUUGGUGAUGCAAUGAGACACUUUGGUCUUAUGGCAAAUCUUCGGGGAUAUAUGGCAGGAGGAAAGGAAUGGGUUCUUGAUAGUGGAUGUACCGAUCACAUAACCGGAGAUAAAGAUAUGUUUCGUGAGCUUGCUGAAAACGAUGGUCCACGAAAGUAUGUCACUUUCGAUGACAACUCAAAGGGUAAGGUGGUUGGCCUCGGUAAGGUGGCCAUAUCACAUGAUAGCUCCAUACAAAAUGUCAUGCUCGUUGAAUCUUUUGGCUACAACUUACUUUCAGUAUCUAGACUUGCUGAUUUCGGUUUCAAUGUCCUAUUUGCUGAAGUAGAUUGCCAAGUGUUUCGUAGAGAUAAUCAUAAAAUGGUCUUUAUCAGUGUACGUAGAGGUGAUCUAUACAUUGUUGAUUUCACUAAAAAGGCUCAACCUAGAACUUGCUUUGUUGCUAAAUCCUCUAAAGGUUGGUUAUGGCAUAGACGAUUGGGUCAUGUUGGCAUGAGAAACCUUGACAAGCUUAUUAAAGGAAAUCAUAUCCUUGGAGUUAAUGCUGUCAUAUUUGAUAAGGAUAGACUUUGCAGCACUUGUCAGGCAGGUAAACAGGUUGGAGGGAGGCAUCCCGUGAAGAACAUCAUGACCACAAGGAGGCCACUCGAGCUACUUCACAUGGACCUUUUUGGUCCCAAUGCCUAAAAAGUCUCGGUGGAAAUUCUUUUGGUCUAGUUAUAGUUGAUGAUUUUUCAAGAUUUACGUGGGUGUUCUUUCUCGAUGAUAAAUCGUAGGUUCAAAAGAUCUUCAAAAACUUCGCUAGGAAGGCCCAAAAUCAAUUUAAAGUGAAGAUCAAGAAGGUUCGCAGCGACAACGGAACGGAGUUCAAGAACGCAAAUGUGGACACCUUUCUUGACGAAGAAGGUAUUUCACAUGAGUUCUCGGCUACGUACACACCUCAACAAAAUGGAGUUGUUGAGAGGAAGAACCGGACGCUCAUCGAAAUGGCAACAAUGAUGCUUGAUGAGUAUAAGACGCUGAAGCACUUUUGGGCGGAAGCAGUUGAGACAGCUUGUCAUGCAACAAAUCGCUUGUAUCUUCACAAGCUACUCGACAAGAUGGCAUACGAGCUUCUCACCGAUAACAAACCCCAAGUUGGAUACUUUCGAGUAUUUGGCUCAAAGUGCUACAUUCUUGAUAAGCAUUGUCGUUCUAAAUUUGCUCCUAAGUCUCACGAAGGUUUCCUACUUGGCAAACUCUCACACAUACCAUGUCUACAACAAUUUCACCCGAAAGGUUGAAGAAACGGUAGAUGUGAAGUUUGAUCAAUCUAACGGCUCGCAAGUAGAGCAAUUGCCAAUUGAUGUAGGAGACAAAGAUCCCUCGAAAGCAAUCCAAGACUUGUCUAUUGGCAAGAUUCGUCCAACGGAGGUGAAGGAGAGUACCUCGUCCGUCCAAGUGGAAGCUUCUACCUCACAACAAGGUGAACCAAGAGUUGAUACGGAAGCAUCCACAAGUGGGACACACCAAGAUGAAGAAAACGAGGAAGUGCACCAAGACGAAUGUCAAUGACCCCCUUCUCCACCACGACAAGAGAACGACAACGCCAACAAUGAAGAAGGCCAAGAAGAAGAACAAGAUGAACAAGAUGUUCAACCAAGACCCAAGAAAAGGCUUUCACGAGUUCGAGCAAGAAUUGCUAAAGACCAUCCCGUCGAGCAAAUCUACAAUGAUAUCCAAACCGGGAGAAUCACUCGCUCUAAAACUCGUUUAGCUAACUUUUGUGAACACUAUUCAUUCAUCUCUAGGAUUGAACCUAUGAAGGUUGAAGAAGCAUUGGAAGAUCCGGAUUGGAUAAACACCAUGCAUGAAGAACUACUAGAAAAAGGGCUAUAGAUCGGAUUGACACUAAUGGUGCACCAGACAAGUGGUGCGCCAUUAGUAUAUACUAAUGGCGCACCACCUUCUGAUGCGCCAUUAGAGUUGAAACUACUAAUGGCGCACCUUGCCCACGGUGCGCCAUUAGUAUCAAUUUUUUUUUGAACUAGUGCGCCUGUCCAAACAUACUAAUGGCGCAUCCACAGGAAGUGCGCCAUUACUAGUUGUAACUAGUAAUGGCGCACCAGCCAGAAAGUGCGCCACUAAUGUUAUUUUUUUUAUUAUUUUUUUAUUCCUUUUUUUGCAAAACUACUAAUGGCGCACUCACACGCGGUGCGCCAUUACUAGUUUAAACUAGUAAUGGCGCACCGUGGGGGAGUGCGCCAUUAGUAUGUUUUUUUUCAAAACUACUAAUGGCGCACCACCAGGGGGUGCGCCAUUAGUAACCUGGAUUACUAAUGGCACAUUUGUGGUUGGUGCGCCAUUAGUAAGUGGGCAGCAACAAGAUAUUUUGGACAACCUCUCCUCCCACACUCACUUUCUCCCCACUUCAUUCUCUCCACCGCCUCCUCCUUGUCUCGGGUGCCUCCUCUUUUUCACCUCAUUUCCACCAUAGAUUCAUUCAAAUUAAGUGGUUAAGUUACCUUUUUUUGCUAGGUAAGUAAGGGGGGAAGCUAUAUUUAUGUUGUUCUCCCUACAACAAUGUGCACAUGCACUUUUUAUGGCCUAGCUAGAUCUAUGUACGUUCGUGGUGUUGCAUAUGUUUGUGGUGUUGCAUAUGUGUUUGUGUUUGGAGGUGUACCGGUAUUUGAAAUGCGAUAGUUGCCAAUAUUUUGCCGGAAUGUUGAUUCAUUUCCGUUUUGGCGAGAAUUUUGGCAUUAAGCAUUCUUUUUGGUCCUAUUUUUAGGGAAAGUCAUGCCAAAUUUUUUCUUGGUUCUAAAAUAUCGUUUUGCUCUACCCCGCAGGCGACCAUGGUCCGCACGAUGACCGAAGGCAUCAUGAAUAGGUUUUUGAGGUCCGCGAAGGACGAGAUGCUUCAAAAGAACGAGACGGAGAUAAGAUGUCCGUGUCGAAGAUGCAAGCUGAAUAGCCUUAUUGCGGACCCGGAUUCCGGGCAGGUGCGGGACCACCUGCUCUUGCGUGGUUUCAUGGAUGGCUAUCGGUGGCAAGGUGAUGAAGAUGACUACGAAGUCGUCCAUGGGGGCCGGGCAAGAAAUGAGGAAGGGCAGCAAGACAACCACCGCGGCUCGGGUGGGCGAGAAGACGAAGAAUCCCCAGGAGAUGAUCACGAUGGUGAUGCUGUACACAGUCAUCAUGUAGAAGAUGCAGGACAUGAUGAUGAUGCCGGCGGAGCAGACGACGCUGGACCAUCGAUGGGCUGGGUGCAGGACCCUCAUAUUCAAGAGCUGCUUCUCAAGCAGACGGAUAACACAAGAGCUGCCGCCCGAGAGAAAGCCAAGAUGGAUCAACUUGAGUUAGACGCGGUUACUCCAUUGUAUGAAGGAUGCAGGCCCGAGGAUACCCGCCUGAAAGUAACGCUCAUGGCUCUGGAGAUGAAGGUAAAACACAAAAUGACCGAUGCAUGCUUCGACGAGAACAUGUCAUUCUGGCACGAACGUCUUCCCAAGGGGAACAAGUGCCCGACCAGUUUGGAGGAGGCAAAGAAAAUUGUGUGUCCUCUGGAUUUACCGCACGUGAAAUACCAUGUGUGCAUGAACAAUUGCAUCAUUUAUCGGGACGAGCAUGCGGAGUCUACCAUAUGUCCGGUGUGCGGUGUCACUCGAUACAAGAAGAGGAAGAAAGCUCCUCGAAAAGGGGUGUGGUACUUUCCGAUCACUCCUCGUCUGCAGCGGUAUUUCAGGGACCCUAAGGUAGCAAAGCUCCUGCGUUGGCACGUGGAUAGGGAGGAGAAGAAGCGAGAAGAUGACGCAAAUGAUCCAGAGAUAGAUAAAAAAGACAAGAUGCUGAGUCACCCUAAGGAUGCGAGCCAGUGGCAAGCGUUGAACUUCGAAUACCCAGAAUUUGGGAACGAUCCAAGGAACAUCGUGCUGGGCGCGAGCACCGAUGGAGUCAAUCCGUUUGGCAGCCAGAGAAGCACACAUAGCACCUGGCCUGUGUUUGUGUGGAUGUACAACCUUCCCCCCUAGUUGUGCAUGAAGAGGAAGUACAUUCACAUGAGUAUGCUAAUUGAAGGGCCGAAACAACCAGGGAACGACAUCAAUCUGUAUCUGGGGCUGCUGAAAGAGGAGCUUGACACGCUGUGGAAAACGCCAGCCAAUACGUGGGACGCCGCAGAGAAAGAAUAUUUCCCUAUGAGAGCCGCACUGCUCACGACGGUGCACGACUAUCUCGGUUACGGAUAUCUUGCGGGGCAGGUAGUCCACGGAUUUUCUGGAUGCGUAAGGUGCAUGGAUGACACAACGUAUCGCCAGCUAGAUAGAGAUCCCGGGUCUUCGAAAACCGUGUUCAUGGGACAUCGAAGGUGGCUUCGCGACGAUGACCCGUGGAGGAAACGCAAGGAUCUGUUCGAUGGUGAAACCGAACCCCGAAAACGCCCGUGUACGAGGAGCAGCGAGGAAACAAGCUGUUGAAAAAUUGGAAAGACUGCCCACUGCCGGGAAAGAAGCAAAAGGCGCCAGAGCCGGGAAAGAAGCGAAAGGCGCCAGAGCCGCUGCUGAAGGUAUGGAAAACGAGGUCUGUUUUCUGGGACUUGCCGUAUUGGAAGAUCCACCGUGUGCCUCACAGCCUUGAUGUCAUGCAUAUCACGAAGAACGUGUGCGAGAGUCUGCUUGGUACCCUGAUCAACAUGCCAGAGAGGACCAAAGAUGGGCCGAAAGCAAGGGCAGACUUGAAAUCAAUGGGCAUCAGGCAGGAGCUUCACGCUAUAUAUGAUGAUGAUGAUGAUGAUGAUGAUGAUGAUGAUGAUGAUGAUGAUGAUGAUGAGGCAAAGCAGGACACAGAAACUCGUCGCAAAGGCAAAAAGGCCAAGAAGACCGGAAAUGACUACCCUCCCGCGUGCUUCACUCUAAGUCAGGAGGAGAUCGAGCAGUUUUUCACUUGCCUCCUAGGAGUAAAACUUCCUUACGGUUACGCGGGGAAGAUAAGCAGAUACCUAGACCCAGCGAAGCAGAAGUUUAGCAGGAUGAAGUCUCACGACUGUCACGUGCUGAUGACGCAGAUACUUCCAGUUGCAAUCCGUGGGAUCAUGGACGCGCACGUCCGUGAAACGCUAUUUGGCCUAUGCAACUUCUUCGACGUCAUCUCUCGGAAGUCGAUUGGCGUGAGGCAACUCAGAAGGCUACAGGAAGAGAUCGUGGUGAUACUAUGCGAGCUUGAGAUGUACUUCCCGCCCGCAUUCUUCGACGUUAUGGUGCAUCUGCUGGUCCAUAUAGUGGAGGAUAUCAUCCAACUCGGGCCGACGUUCCUGCACAGCAUGAUGCUGUUCGAAAGGAUGAAUGGUGUCAUCAAACGAUACGUUCGCAACAUGUCACGUCCAGAAGGAAGCAUAGCCAGGGGCUUUCUGACCGAAGAGUGCAUCUCCUACUGCACGAAUUAUCUAGGCAUCGAGAACCCCGUUGGUCUGCCCGUCAAUAGGCACCUCGGCAGGCUCACUGGAUGGGGUCACCGUGAGGGUCGCCGCGAAAUGCAUGUCGACUUCGAGGGUCGACUCGCCGACUUUGAAAGAGCAAACCUAGUCGCGCUACAACACAUAGACAUGGUCGAUCCUUGGGUGGUAGAGCACAAAACCUUUAUUAAGAAGACGUACAAUGACCGAGGCCAACAGAGGACAGACGGAGAUAUACUCAAAGAGCACAACUCAUGUUUCAUGCGUUGGUUCAAGCAGAAGCUUCUGUCGUACCCUUUACAUGAGGAUUCUUCCGCGGAAGAACAACUCAUAUUCGCCUUGUCACAGGGCGCCGAGCACAACCUGAUGACCUAUGAGGCGUACGAUAUCAACGGCUACACAUUCUACAUCGAGGCCAAGGACAUGAAGAGCGAUGGUUAUCAGAACUCCGGGGUAACGAUGGAAUCCUACACCGGUAACAACAAGGACAGAUACUACAGAAGGAUCGAGGAGAUCUGGGAGCUGAGCUACGCUGGAGAGAAGGUCCCGAUGUUCCGUGUCAGAUGGGCCAAGAACGUCAUAAAAGAAGACCGGUAUUUCACCACCAUGGUUAUACCCGAAGCCAAAUCCAAGACCCCGGGCGCAAACGUCACCGCGAAAAAUGAGCCAUGGGUACUGGCUUCCCAAGUGGACCAAUGCUUCUUCAUUACCGACCCGCCAAAGCCCAGUCGUGUUGUCGUGAGGAGAGGCAAAAGGAAGAUCAUUGGAAUGGAUGGAGUAGCCAAUGAGCAAGACUUCGACAAGUACGGCGACCCGAGGAUCGAACAUGACGACGAUGAUGAAGUAGCAGCAUACACCACAAGAAGAAGCAGGACCACCCUACCUAAAGGACGUCCGUUCCAUAGAAGAACUCCAUUUGCGAAAAAGAAGGGCAAGAAGAUUGUGAACAGAUAGCUAGCUAAGAUCGAUUGUAUUUAAAUCGUAGACUUCAUUUCUCGAUUGUAUUUCAUGGGCACUUUUUGAACUAUCAUGAAUAUUUUUUAAUUUCNNNNNNNNNNNNNNNNNNNNNNNNNNNNNNNNNNNNNNNNNNNNNNNNNNNNNNNNNNNNNNNNNNNNNNNNNNNNNNNNNNNNNNNNNNNNNNNNNNNNNNNNNNNNNNNNNNNNNNNNNNNNNNNNNNNNNNNNNNNNNNNNNNNNNNNNNNNNNNNNNNNNNNNNNNNNNNNNNNNNNNNNNNNNNNNNNNNNNNNNNNNNNNNNNNNNNNNNNNNNNNNNNNNNNNNNNNNNNNNNNNNNNNNNNNNNNNNNNNNNNNNNNNNNNNNNNNNNNNNNNNNNNNNNNNNNNNNNNNNNNNNNNNNNNNNNNNNNNNNNNNNNNNNNNNNNNNNNNNNGCUCCACCGGCAUUACUGUUUGAUGAUAUUUUUUAAAAAAUUAUUACUGUCUUAUAAAAAAAUUAUUACUGUUAUGAUUUUAAAAAGUUUGAACAUAUUAAAACACAAAUAAGUAUCAAACAGCAUUUUAAAUGCAUAAAAAAAUUGUGGAGCCUGGGAAUCGAACCCAGGACCUCCUGGUGUGAGAACUAGCUGCUGACCAAUCGAGCUAGUAGAGAAGACUUGACAUGUAUCAGGUCAGGUGGUAGAUAACUGUUGGCUCGAGCAGAAAUAAAAAAAAUACUAAUGGCGCACCAGGGUGAGGUGCGCCAUUAGCAUGUAUGUACUUAUGGCGCACCGACGGGUGGUGCGCCAUUAGUAUUGUGCCACCCCUAGCUACUUCGUACCGAUCCCCUCUCUCUCCCUCGCCCUCGCCCGCGAUCCCCUUCCCCUAUCUCCUCUCCCGACGCCACCGUUGCCCCGCCCCGACACCACCGUCGCCCCGCCGCCCUCGACGCCACCGUCGCCCCGCCCCGACACCGUCCGUCGCCCCGCCGCCCUCAACGCCACCGUCGCCCCNNNNNNNNNNNNNNNNNNNNNNNNNNNNNNNNNNNNNNNNNNNNNNNNNNNNNNNNNNNNNNNNNNNNNNNNNNNNNNNNNNNNNNNNNNNNNNNNNNNNNNNNNNNNNNNNNNNNNNNNNNNNNNNNNNNNNNNNNNNNNNNNNNNNNNNNNNNNNNNNNNNNNNNNNNNNNNNNNNNNNNNNNNNNNNNNNNNNNNNNNNNNNNNNNNNNNNNNNNNNNNNNNNNNNNNNNNNNNNNNNNNNNNNCGCCCCGCCGCCCCGACACCACCGUCCGUCGCCCCGCCGCCCCGAAGCAAGGUAUGCGACUGGUUCGUCCCCUGUCAUGGCCAGAUUGAUUUUUUUUCGGUAAACUAGGCUAGGGUUCGAUGGAUUAUGGAGAUUCAUGGUGAUUCAUCAGUAAACUAGGCUAGUCCGGUUUCUGAAACUGAAUCCUGUUUGGUUCAUUCAAUAAGGAACGGUGCCAAUGUUUAUCUAUCAGCAUGAACAAGUUAGCUUUCUGUAAAAAUAAAUUGGCUGAGUGAAUAGCCUCCUUUCUACUACUACAGAAGAAGUAACCCAAGUCGCCGAUGCUGUAUGAUCUUGUGAAUGUUACACAACGCAGGUGCUGAACUGACUAAGUUUGGAAUUUGUUUAGUUCUUUCAUAGGUGUCAGGCCUCAGAGGUUUUUAUUAGGGGACUCAAGAGGUUUACUUCUGAUGUUAUUCUUUUGAGUAGUUGCAGCAUGCUCACCAAUAGCUGGUCCAAACAGGAUCUAUAGAGGUAGAUAGAGUUUACAAUCAUCCUGAUGAAGAUAGAAAAUGACAAAUAUGAAACACAUUGAAAAUGCUCAUAUAGUUGUCAAUUCCAUGAAAAAUGAAGUGUACCCAAAUUAUAGAAUCAAAUACAAUGUUACUUGUGAGAUAUUUGGUACUGAAAUCUUGCAUUGAUGUAGAAUAUGGUCUUCCCUGGUAUUGUAAAUGAUUUUAGAGGUCAUCUCUCUGAAUAUUCAUGGAAUUUUUGGUCCUGCCGUCUAAUUCUGUUAGGCCAGAGUUCCAGUGUCUCAAUACUCUAGAAUAUAGUGAUAUCUGAAAAUUGUGGUAUCUUAUAUCUUCAUGCUAAAAUACUGUAGUUUUUUAAUACUUUGGUUUUUUAGCACUUUACUAUCAAACACAGCCUUAAUGCUUUUAUUUGCUACAUAGAUCUCCUGAUUGGUAGAAAGUAGUGGUACAGUUUAAUUCUGAGAUAGGUCUAUAUAUGCUAGCUUCGUAUUUGUUUGCUAAUGGCUAGGUGCAGAUGCUUCGUAUUUGUUUCUGCUGCCUAGUAAAAUUGCAACAUGUAAACAACCUCUGGUGAUGUGCUCUGGAGUUGAUAAUAUUGCCAUCUUAGGUCACUGCUGAGCUUGUCAAUCCAAAAGUCUGCAAGUAGAAGGCAGCGUUUGAUUAACUUCCGUUCCGGCAUGUGGCUUCAUGUGGGUGUGGGAUCCAUGGGUGUGGGAUCCAUGUGACAUGUGACAUUGCAUCCAUGUCCACCUGGGAUAAUAUUUUGCAGGUACCCCGAGAGGCCCUUGAGUUUGCCGGAAUGUCGAUUAACUUCCGUUCCGGCAAAUUCGGGUACUCCAUAUGUCCUAUUUUCAGCAAAGGUCAUUCUGAAAUUUUCCGUGAAUUUUAGCAUGACUUUGCUAAAAAUAGGACAUAUGGGGUACUUGUGACUAAUGCAUGGGCCGGGGUAUCGUAGUAGUUAAUUAAGUAGGAUCAAGUGCCCCGGCGUACUUGUGACUAAUGCAUGGCUUUUAGGGUGCCUCGGUGUCGAUAAAAACCGAAAUGAUGAAAGCUUAGGCUUUUAGGGUGCCUCGGCGUCGAAAAACCCUCAAUGAUAAAAGCUUAGAUUUUAGGAUGCCUCGGUGUCGACAAACCCUAAAUGAUGAGACCAUGAUCUUGUUCCUUGACAAUAACCAACUUUUUGACCAAACUUUGUUUCUAUUUAGAGAGAAACAUGGCCCACAACGAUGAGGCCGGGGGUUCGGCAUUCUGGGAGCUGUCCCAGGAGAUGGAGGAACAACCUCACUUGUAUGAGGCCGCCGCCUUCCCCACCGAUCCUGAGACCACUGAUGAUGCCGCCGAGGAUGACCCCACUGAUGCCACCACUGAUGGUGCCGCCGAGGAUGCCACCACUGAUGAUGGCGGCGCACGCACAGAUGGCAGCCAACCGAAGAGGCAACGGAAGGACCGGCGCCCGAUCGUGCUCCUCACCCUCAAGGAGGAAGUUACUGAAGUGGACUCCAACGGGAAUCCAACGGCGCCUGAAUGAAUAGUCAAGGGGUACUCGCUUCAGCUCGCGUGCAUUGUCCGGAGCACCGUCUCGAUCAACACCGAGAACCUGAGGCAUCCUGACCGAGGGAAUUUGCGCCACCUCCUCUUCACGAAGCUGCACGAACGAUACAAGUUCCCCGCUGAAUUUGCAAACACAAGCCUCAAAGGGAAUAAAGUGAACAAUGCUGCCCUCACGAAGAUGAGCAAGGCCUUGUCUACUUGGAAAAGCAAUGUGAAGAAAAUGAUCGAGAAAGGUGAGAGUUAUCAGAAGAUCAAGGAGAAAAAAUCCUUCGAUCACCGAAGAUGACUACAACGACUUCAAGAUCAAUUGCUCGAGCCCCGCAAAAUCCCAAUCAAGUGAGUGGGGGAAACAAAUGCGGGAGCUGAACAUAGGGGAACACACACUCGGUCCCGGCGGUUACAGAGUGGCGGAGCCUAUAUGGGACAAGGAGGAGGCGGACCGUGCCGAGCAAGGCCUACCGCCCCUCUUCGAUAAAUACGGUGACAAGCAGACCAGGAACUUUGUCAGGGCCCGGUACAAGAAGGACCCGAAAACAAAGGAGCUUACCAUGGAUCCGAAGACCAGACAGCUUGAGCUUGUUCUGGUAAGGAAUACACCCCCGCGUAAUUAGCUCCAUAUGGUUGCAUUCUAAUUAAUGAAGCCAAAUUUCUAAAUGGUUCACAUUCCUUCCGCAGGCGACUGAAAGCAGUGGCGCGGGGUCGACUAAGAGCAACCCUUGGGACACCACUCUAAAUAGGGCGUUGAAUGUAAUGAAGAAGAAGGAUAAGCUCAGUAAGCCGACGUCAGCUGGUCGUGUGGCCGGCAAAGGCUUGUCGACAAAAUGGGGGUCAUACUAUACCGCUGGUGUGCGGAAGGAGAAAAAGACCAGCUCGGAAAGCCAAGCGCGAGAGGUUCAAGAACUCAAGGCACAGGUGGUGCGGAUUCUGGAGAUUGUCCAAGAGCAAGUGGAACAACGACUCAGAGCAACGAUCACCGCCAUUGUGCCUACCUUGAUCUCGGGGUUGAGUGCGUGGAUUGCGGGCGGCCAACAGGGGCCGCCCCCGAUUCCUAGCUUCACGGCCAGCAACUCGCAUAAUGCGAUGGCGGGGCCAUUGGUGCCUCCGGCGGAGGCGGCAUUGGUGUCUCUGAUGCCGGCACGGGAGCUUAAUGCACCCGGGUGUACGCCGGCCGGCACCUCUGCAGCAAGCGGCCCCUCCGUCAACUGCACGCCCGCCGUUGGCGGUGCGUCAACAUUAGCCGAGCUCGACGCCAUCAUCACAGUAACUAAUUAAGCCUCUCUCGGCCGAGGACUUCAUCUCCUUGCCUUUGACUGGGCAUCCCUGACGCCCUACAUGUUUUCGCAGGGCGCCGCCGACGUUCCGUGCACUCUCCUCCACUUCGUGAACAACGAGUUGGUCGAUCUCGCCAAGGGCAAAAUCGUUCAACCGGGCAACCCCUUGUUCCACGGUACCCAGAUGCCACCCAACUUGUUUAGGGUUCAACUGGUUCGGGUGCUGCCAGGCUGCGACGACUUGUUACCUCCGAUUCGACCCGUCGGGGCCGACGAUGAUGACGUGAUGACCCUCAGCGCCUGACUGAGCUGGCCCCUGCUUUGGCCGAAGAGCUAGAUUCGUUUGGGGGCGGGGGACACCACCCCAAAGACAACACCGCCAGUCAUGCCGGAGCCAAGUCAGCCCCAUGGCAAGACCGCCGCAACGGUGCCGGACAUCCUUAUGCCACUGGAUCCAAACAUGCAUAUGGCACAGGAUCAGAAGAACGACGACGACGACGAUGAUACAUUUGGCAACGUUGAUCAGUACUUUGCUGAUCAUGGGUACGAUGGCGACUUCAUGGGGCCUCCUUCUCAAGAACCAAACCCAACAAAAAGACGUGUGCGAUCUAGCUGGUACCGCGGAGAAGCCAAGUUGCAACAGGCGCCGUCUGGCGUUCAGCUCUCAGGAGACGCCUCCAGCUGCUGACUUCACCGAGCCUCAGAUAGGCGAGGUGCGAAAUAUUAUCAGCCCCAACACACUCAAGAAGGCGGUCUGUGAGCAGAACUCGGUCCCAUUACAGGAGAAGAAGAAGGCACGCAAAAGAAAGACUAAGAAGGGUGCGAGCCAGCCGGCACCGAGUACGAUCCGUGCUCAGGACGGGCCACCUUCACCGCAGGAUAUCUCGAGGAGGGUGCAUGUGGCGGGUAGGGCGAUGCUACCGACAAAUAUGCUCAAUGCUGCAACCGGUGCUAUGCGGAGUCUGCAUGACAGUGUUCUUUCUUUGGAGAAGCGGCGUCUCAGAGAGAAGGAUGUGGCAUACCCGGUUUUCGCGGCCAAGGUGCCAGAGGGCAAGGGCUUUGUGGAUAACUCCAUCGGGCGUACGAUCGUCCUGCGUUUUGAUGACAUCCACGCUAUGUUGAACCUUCAUCCGCUGCACUACACCUUCGUUCGGCUAUUUUCGCUGAGUAUGGAGAUGCGGAUCAUUCGCGACAAGACCCCGGACAUCGUGAUAGUCGACCCCUUCUACAUGCGUGCCAAGAUCUUUGGCAGCGCUGGGGACCGGCAAGUCGCGAGUUCUUACCUCGAAGGCGUCAUUCUGGCAAACCAAGAUAAGGAUAACUUCCUCGUGCCUUACUUUCCCGAGUAAGUCCUCCCCUCAACCGGCCCGUAACAUAUGAAUUCUUACAUUUCGAUCGUUUUUCUUUUAAGAUUCCGUGUUUUCUGCAGUGACACACGUUGCACGCUCAUCCUCCUAAGCCCCAAAUAUUCCAUGGCCACGUAUUUCGACCCGGACCGUCAGUCGAACGUAGACUACACAAAUGUCAAGAAGGUUCUUGAUGAUGUUCUCCCCGGCUACGCCAAAUCUGGAGGCACCUUCACCAAGCCUAUUCGUAAGUACGGCAAGCAUGUGUUCUCCCACAAUACGACGUUCUGCUGCGUCAAGCAGCCGCCUGGCGGUCAGAAGGGUGCCUACUAUGCCAUCCAUCACAUGCGGGCGAUCGUACGGGACCAUCAUCAACUUCUGCUACCGAGUAAACUCAAAGAUUGGGCAAAGAGCGUGUCGGCAAUCCAGGACGCGGACCUCCGACAAGAAUUCUUUCGCAUCCAGUCGGAGUUUGCGGAAAUCAUCCAUCAAGAUGUCCUUCGUACCUCGGGGCAGUUCUACCUCAACAAUCAACCGUCCAACAGUGACAUCGACACAAUGCUACAAAUGCAGGCUGACAACGACUGUUAUUUCAUGACUCCCACGAUAGACGGCGGCUUCAUCCAUGCUCCGGUCCCUUGAGUCGAGUCAAAAGCAGUGAUGCUGUGUCUAGUUCUGAAACAUCGAUUGGCUCAUGUUGUAAUUAAACUUUAAUGAACUUGUAGUAUGUCUCUUUGGUUUCGAGAGUCAUUCAACUUAGAUGUAAUCGAUGCUAUUAAUGUCUUGCUUUUCUCUUCCGAUCGUUCUGUUGCAUACUUAUAUAUUGCUUAUGUAUUGUCUGUGAAUUGGUACUAACGUUUCGUUUGGCUAGUGCAUAGCGAUGCCGACGUAUGUCGUGUACAAGGGUAAGGUUCCCGGAGUCUACGAUGACUGGGAGGAGUGUCGGAGACAGGUUCACCGAUUCAGCGGUAACAGUUACAAAGGGUACACCACUAGGGCCGAGGCCGAAUCUAGAUACGCCCGCUAUCUAGCGGGAGAGGGGAGGGAGCGUUGGAGGAACCGGAUGAAGACGAGUUUCAUCGUGAUGAUGCUCAUCGUGAUGACCGCAUCUCUCUUCUAUGUGAUGGUAGUUUAGAUGAUCGAUAUCGACUUGUAAUGUGAAGACAAACUCGCUACUCGCGGUCUCGGGACUUGUAAUAUAAUGUUCUAUCUUUGUUCGGUCUUUUCAAUUCGGAGACUAAUAUGAUGAAUUGUAUUCGGAGACUAAUAUGAUGAAUUGUAUUCAAAGACUAAUCUUCUAUUGUAUUCGAUGAAUCUGUUGUUGAUGUGUGCUGUCUAUAUUUUGUCAAAUUAUACAUUUUGUAACCUGUGCAAAAAACAGAAAAUAAAAAAUAAAAAAACCUAAUAUUCAUACUAAUGGCGCAUCACAUGACAGUGCGCCAUUAGUAUGACAAAGCAUACUAAUGGCGCAUCACUGGACAGUGCGCCAUUAGUAUGCCGCGGUUACUAAUGGUGCAUCCCGUUGUAGUGCGCCAUUAGUAUGCCAAAGCACCUGGGUAUACAUGGCCCCUGGGAGGCAUACUAAUGGCGCACCCUGGCCUAUACUAAUGGCGCACCAGUGGUGAGCCAUUAGUAUACCAGAUACUAAUGGCGCACCAGUGGUGCGCCAUUAGUAAAAAUUACUAAUGGCGUGCUAGUAAUGGCGCACCACUGAUGCGCCAUUAAUGGCCAAAUUAGGUGCGCCAUUAGUAGGGGUUUUUCUAGUAGUGACAACUUUGAGAGAAAUCAAGUUUGGACAUUGGUUGAGAAGCCCGACAACAACCACAACAUCAUUGGUACCAAAUGGGUGUUUCGCAACAAGCAAGAUGAAGAUGGACAAGUAGUUCGCAACAAAGCACGUCUCGUCGCCCAAGGCUACACAAAAGUCGAAGGUAUGGACUAUGGUGAGACUUAUGCUCCCGUUGCUAGACUUGAGUCCAUUCGCAUCUUACUUGCCUAUGCUAAUCACCAUGAUGUCACCUUAUACCAAAUGGACAUUAAAAGUGCAUCUCUAAAUGGUGAAAUAGAGGAGGAAGUUUAUGUUAAGCAACCUCCCGGCUUUGUUAAUCCUAAGAAACCUGAUCAUGUUUACAAACUUCACAAAGCUCUUUAUGGUCUUAAACAAGCUCCUAGAGCGUGGUAUAAAUGCUUGACCAAAUUCCUUAUUGAAAAAGGCUUUGAAAUUGGAAAAAUUGAUUGUACUAUUUUUACUAAAAGGGUUAAUGGAGAACUACUUGUAUGCCAAAUUUAUGUCGAUGAUAUUAUAUUUGGUUCUACUAACCCUCAUUUUAGUGAAAAGUUUGGGAAGCUAAUGUCGGAGAAGUUUGAGAUGUCUAUGAUGAGUGAACUCAAAUUCUUUCUUGGUUUGCAAAUCAAGCAAACUAAGGAAGGUACCUUUGUCUCUCAAACGAAUUACACCAAGGAAUUAUUCAACAAGUUCAAUAUGCAAGAAUGCAAAGGUAUGACUACACCCAUGCCUACUAGUGGACAUCUUGAUUUUACAAAAGACGGUGAACCGGUCGAUCAAAAAGUUUAUCGCUCUAUGAUUGGUUCAUUAUUAUAUCUAUGUGCUUCACGUCCCGAUAUCAUGCUAAGUGUGUGCAUGUGUGCACGAUAUCAAGCUGCUCCUAAAGAAUGUCAUCUUAAGGCCGUGAAAAGGAUAGUGAGAUAUUUAAUCCAUACACCAAAUUUUGGCAUUGGUAUCCUAAGAGGGCCUCUUUCGAUCUUGUUGGCUACUCCGACUCGGGUUAUGCCGGUGAAAAGGUUGAUAGAAAGUUCACUUCGGGUACUUGUCAAUUUCUUGGUAGAUCUCUUGUGUCUUGGUCUUCCAAGAAACAAAACUCGGUAUCCUUAUCCACCGCUGAAGCAGAAUACAUUGCCGUUGGUUCAUGUUGUGCUCAGUUACUAUGGAUGACCCAAACUCUUAAAGAUUAUGGGAUAUAUGUGAAACAUGUUCCAUUACUUUGUGACAAUGAGAGUGCAAUCAAGAUUGCUCAUAAUCCCGUGCAACACUCUCGAACUAAGCAUAUUGAAGUUCGUCAUCAUUUCAUUCGAGAUCAUGUUGCUAAGGGUGACAUUAAUCUUAAGCAUGUUCGCACCGAAAAGCAAUUAGCGGAUAUAUUCACUAAACCACUUGACGAGAGAGUGUUUUGCAGGUUAAGAGGUGAAUUGAACAUCAUUGAUGCUUCAAACUUGGAGUAGGAGCUCCAUUGGAUACAUGCAAGACAUGAGCUUAUGACUAAUCCUUGAUAUUUCUCUUAUGAUGAAAAUCUUAUGUCUUGGAUAUAUUUGCACCUUGCAUGUUAUCUAACCCUUGUAGGUACUCGGAUGAAUCCAAUUCUAUGAGAUAGCAACUCACUCACAUCUUGAGCAAUCUCUACAUCACCAAGUCCCUACACAAUGGUGGUUGAAGACAAUGAAGCACGGAACCACUCAAACAUAUCCUUUGACAAAUUCUAUGUUGAUCUUCAUGAUUGUCAUUUUGGAUACACAAGUGCUCUUCCUUGCAAAAACUAACCCAUGUAGGUAUAUGAACUCAAAUUCCAAGUGGUGCUCCCAACUCUUGAUGAGCUACAUCAACCUUGAGCAACCCACACAAGUUCAACUACAUGAUCACGAUCAUCACCACCACCCAAGGUAUGUUAUUCCAUCUUAGAGAAGCUUUACUCCAAGACACGAGUCAAAGCAACUCGACAAAGAUGUGAAUACAUCAAGAUGCUUAAACAAAAAAUGGUAACCGAGCUUAAAAGAUGAGUAUGACCUAUGAUCAAGUGAUCUCACUUGACUCCUAAGUCAAUAUACUCUAACACAGGUGACUUUGUCGCCGACCAAUUCUAGAUGAAGUUCUCUCGUGUUCUUUUCCGUGCUCUUGCAUUUGUCUCAUGCAUAUUUGUUUCCCCUUCCAAAAAAAAACCUCAUCUAGAUUUCUUUUCUUUUCCUCUCUUUUCUAUUUGUUCUGCAUUCCCUGCAUCCAAUUCAUUGCAAAUCUUUCUAUUAAUUCCUUGCAAAUCCUUGUGAGAUCUUACUUGACUAGUGAGCUGAGGUGACAAGUGUUUUCUCUGCGAUGAACUCGGUCUCACCGGGUUGACGCUUUCGGUCCAACCGAAUCCUUUUGCUGCAACCGAAGCAUACCACUCGGUGCCACCGAUUUCACCACAGGAAAAACAUUUUGCCACUUAUUCCUGCAUUACUCUUGAUCCAGCUCCACUCAAUGAAUCUUGUCCUCUACAAGCAUCACAUUUUUAUCAGUUCUUUGUGUUGUGACUCAAGGACCAAACCCAUUCACGACAAAUUCCAGAAGGCCCUUCUUGGAAAUUGAUGUCAAAGGGGGAGAGAGAGAUCACAUCAAAGCUUAUCACUUCAACAGGGGGAGAGAGAUAUCCCUAGGGGGAGAGAAUACUCAAGGAGAGAGUAAUCUUCAAGGAUCCCAGAUGCUUGGUGUUCAAGAGGAGAGAUGCCACAUGUCUUCUUGAGGGGAAAGACAUGUUCAUAUGUGCCUAUUUGCAUUAGCUCUGUUCAUUUGCUUCCUUGAGCUCUGAUUUUGCAUUUAGCUCUGGCUUUCUGUUCCCUAUCUUCUCCCAGUAUCCCAUGCUAGAUUCAGGGGGAGCAAGCCAUCUAAGGGAAAGAAAUUAUUUAAAUUCAUUACACAUCUUUACCUUUGGGGACAUGUCUAUGUUCAAUGUGGUACUUAGUACUCACUCUCUACAUGUCAUCCCAAUCUUGGUACUCUUGUGGUUUAUUCUGUUUGCUCUGGCUAGUAGGUGUAUAUGUGUUAUCUAACCUUGUUUCUGCAGGUUCAUUCCAUCCUAAGCCAACUCAAGACCACAAGGUAAGUAUAUGCAUCACAGUCAUGUGUAUGAGGAAUUCUUGCUGAUGUACAUAUUGUUUGCAAGAAGGACUCAUGAGCAUGAAGGUACAUUUCCCACAUACACAUCUGUUGCUAUCUUUUGCUCUGAUGCAUAUGGCCAAGAUACAUGUAACACAUUGCUUACUCUGUCAUGUUUAUGCAUUCAGAUGCUCCUAUAUUCCAUAUUCACAUGAUUGCAUGCAUGUAGGGGGAGCCUAUGCUUGUUACAUGUCUUUCCAAAGCUUUACUUGCUAUUCUCUAUAUCUUUAUCUAAAGCUUUGAUGUAUGUUGUCAUCAAUUACCAAAAAGGGGGAGAUUGAAAGCAUAAGUGCUCCCUGGGUGAUUUUGGUAAUUAAUGUCAACAUAUCUCUUGUUGGACUAACACUUCUACCUAGUAUGUUUCAGACAAGUUCAACAAUGGACUGGCAUGGACUAAAGGAUGUGGAACCCCUUCAACAUGCUAAGGACAAAGGAUUGGCUCAAGCUCCAAGAACAAGACUCUACAUUUUCUAUUUUAGUGAUCCAAGAUCACAUUGAGUCUAUAAGAAAAACCAAUACUAUCAAGAGGGGAUGAGGUGUUGCUUAAUGGCCUGCUUGCUCAAAGUACUUAGUGAUAUGCUCCAAAGCCCUCAACUACUUUCUCACAUCCACAUAUGUCCUAAACCAAAAGUCUAACUCGGCCCUACCGAUUCUUUCCAUCCGGCGCCACCGAGUUCAGAUGUCUUAGCCACUGCCACAGACCCUAGGCAAAUCGGUCUCACCGAUAGGGAUCUCGGUCUCACCGAGAUGGGAUUUUAAUCUCUCUGUGUAUGUCCAUUACCAAAAUCGGUCUCACCGAGUUUGAGUAAUCGGUACUACCAAGAUUACAAUGCAAACUCUCUGGUUAACUUAUUACCAAAAUCGGUCCCACCGAGUUUGUGUAAUCGGUCUCACCGAGUUUGCCUCACCAACUCUCUGGUUAGCUUAUUACCAAAAUCGGUCCCACCGAGUUUUUGUAAUCGGUCUCACCGAGAUUACGUUAAGCCCUAACCCUAAUCAUAUCGGUCCAACCGAAUUGCAUGUCGGUCCCACCGAAAAUCCUAACGGUCACUAGAUUUGCUGAAUCGGUCUGACCGAGUUUAUCAACUCGAUCCCACCGAGUUUGGCAAGUUUUGUGUAAGAGUUAGAUUUUGUGUGGAGGCUAUAUAUACCCCUCCACCCACUCUUCAUUCGUGGAGAGAGCCAUCAGAACAAACCUACACUUCCAGCAUACAUUUUCUGAGAGAGAACCACCUACUCAUGUGUUGAGGCCAAGAUAUUCCAUACCUACCAUAUGAAUCUUGAUCUCUAGCCUUCCCCAAGAUGAUUUCCACUCAAAUCCUCUUUCCACCAAAUCCAAAUCCCAUGAGAGAGAGUUGAGUGUUGGGAAGUCUAUCAUUUGAAGCACAAGAGCAAGGAGUUCAUCAUCAACACACCAUUUGUUACUUCUUGGAGAGUGGUGUCUCCUAGAUUGGCUAGGUGUCACUUGGGAGCCUCCGACAAGAUUGUGGAGUUAAACCAAGGAGUUUGUAAGGGCAAGAAGAUCGCCUACUUUGUGAAGAUCUACCGCUAGUGAGGCAAGUCCUUCGUGGGUGACGGCCAUGGUGGGAUAGACAAGGUUGCUUCUUCGUGGACCCUUCGUGGGUGGAUCCCUCCAUGGACUCGCGCAACCGUUACCCUUCAUGGGUUGAAGUCUCCAUCAACGUGGAUGUACGAUAGCACCACCUAUCGGAACCACGAAAAAAACAUCCGUGUCUCCAAUUGCGUUUGAACUCUCCAAACCCUUUCCUUUAAAUUCUUGCAAGUUGCAUGCUUUACUUUCCGCUGCUCAUAUACUCUUUGCAUGCUUGCUUGAUAUGUAUUGUGAGUGUUAAACGUGUGCCAAAACUCCACCCAAACUUAAAGAAGUUAAAAACCGCAACUUUUGGUACUUAGUGUCUAAUCACCCCCCUCUAGACACCUCUUCUCGAUCCUUUCACUAUGCACUUUUCUAUCAAUUGCUAGACAGUAAUUUGUUCACCCAUCGUAAUACUUACGCUAUCUUGAGAGAAGCCACUAGUGAAACCUAUGGCCCCCGGGUCUAUUUUCCAUCAUAUAAGUUUCUGAUCUAUUUUAUUUUGCAAUCUUUACUUUCCUAUCUAUAUCAUAAAAAUACCAAAAUUGUUUAUCUUAUUAUCUCUAUCAGAUCUCACUUUUGCAAGUGGUCGUGAAGGGAUUGACAACCCCUUUAUCGCGUUGGUUGCAAGGUUCUUAUUUGUUAGUGAAGGUACGAGGGAUUUGAGUGUAGCCUCCUACUGGAUUGAUACCUUGGUUCUCAAAAACUGAGGGAAAUACUUACGCUACUUUGUUGCAUCACCCUUUCCUCUUCAAGGGAAAACCAACGCAUGCUCAAGAGGUAGCAAGAAGGAUUUCUGACGCCGUUGCUGGGGAGUCUACGCACAAGUCAAGAAAUACCAAGUACCCAUCACAAACUCUUAUCCCUUGCAUUACAUUAUUUGCCAUUUUCCUCCCUUUUUCCUCUCCCCCACUUCACCCUUGCCAUUUUAUUCGCCCUUCUUCUGUUCGUCUUUUCGUUUGCUUUGAUGUCUUACUUGGCUCGUUUGCUCGUUUGGUUGGAAUAGUUGUUUAUUUAUUGCUAAACAGAGAACCUAGGAUCUAUGGAUCCUCAUCCGCUUGCCAAUCUUUUUAAGAGAUCCAAUUAUGAUGAACCAAAUUCUAGUGAUUUGAGUGCACUAGAUUAUCUUUAUGAGGUUUUGCUUGAAAUUCGUGAAUCUGAAAAUUGUGAUGAAGAAAUUUAUGAAGAGAUUCAUGAUAGCUCCUUGAAUAAAAAGCAUGAUUGCAAUGAUUUUAUUUUAAAUUCUCUUGAUGUCAAUUGUGCUAAUAAUAUCCAAAACCCUAAGCUUGGGGAUGCUAGUUUUGCUAUGUCUACUACUUGUUGGAAUGAUCAUGAUUGGGGUGACCCUUCUUAUGAUCUUGAAAAUUUAUUUAAGACCCAUGAUGAAUAUGAGAUUGAUAAUAGUGUUUGCAAUAAUAUUGAAAGUGGGUUUGGAAGAGUGUCAACUUUAGAUCCCACAUAUUUGGAGAAUGUUCAAUCUUAUGGUAUUUUUGAUAAAAGUGGGUUUGGAGAGGUCAUGACUUUAGUUAAUGAUAAUCCCACUAUUUUGGAAGUGUGUCAACUUCACAUGCAUGUGGAUCAUGUUGAGAAUAUGUUAUGUGAUAGCUAUUUUGUUGAAUUUGCCUAUGAUCCUACAUGUAAUUAUUAUGAGAGUGGAAAAUAUGGUCGUAGAAAUUUUUAUCUUACUAAAUUACCUCUCGUCAUGUUGAGAUUACUAUCGUCUCUUUCUUCUUCCUUGCAUGUGCUAGUUUUUUCUUGCCUUGCAAAUUUGUUUGCCUAUAAUAUGCCUAUGCAUAGGAAGUAUGUUAGACUUAGAUGUGUUUGUCACGUGUUUCAUGAUGCUCUCUUUGUGCUUCAAUUCUUGUCUUUCAUGUGAGCAUCAUUAAAAUUAUCAAUGCCUAGCUAAAAGGCUUUAAAGAAAAGCGCUUGUCGGGAGACAACCCAAUAUUUUUCCUUGCUGUUAUUCAAUAAAUAAUUCAUCUAGAUUCUGUUUAGAUGUGGUUUUAUGUUUUAAUUAGUGUUUGAUCUUGCUGAAAAACAGAAACUUUUGCAUGCACGAGAAUAAUUUUAAUAAAUCACAGAAACGUGCUUUUCAGUUGAUUCUUUUCGCAGAAAAUUAAAAGACAAAUUGCCUAGGACUUACUAUUUUGGUAGAAGCUUUGGGGUUCCAGAAGUAUUCGGAAGUUACAGAUUGCUACAGACUGUUCUGUUUUUUGACAGAUUCUGUUUUUCGUGUGUUGUUUGCUUAUUUUGAUGAAUCUAUGGCUAGUAUCGGGGGGUAUGAACCAUAUAGAAGUUGGAAUACAGUAGGUUUAACACCAAUAUAAAUAAAGAAUGAGUUCAUUACAGUACCUUAAAGUGGUGGUUUGUUUUCUUAUACUAACGGAGCUUACGAGUUUUCUGUUGAGUUUUGUGUUGUGAAGUUUUCAAGUUUUGGGUAAAGAUUUGAUGGAUUAUGGAAUAAGGAGUGUCAAGAGCCUAAGCUUGGGGAUGAACAAGGCACCCCAAGGUAAAAUUCAAGGACAACCAAAAGCCUAAGCUUGGGGAUGCCCCGGAAGGCAUCCCCUCUUUCGUCUUCGUCCAUCGGUAACUUUACUUGAUGCUAUAUUUUUAGUCACCACAUGAUACGUGUUUUGCUUGGAGCGUCUUGUAUGAUAUAAGUCUUUUCUUUUUAGUUACCACAAUCACUCUUGAUGUACACACCCUUUGGGAGAGACACAAAUGAAUUGGAAUUUAUUAGAAUAUUCUAUGUGCUUCACUUAUAUCUUUUGAGCUAGACAAUUUUGCUCUAGUACUUCACUUAUAUCUUUUUAGAGCACGGUGGUGGUUUUAUUGUUUAGAAAUUAUUGAUCUCUCAUGCUUCACUUAUAUUAUUUUUAGAGUCUUUUAGAACAGCAUGGUAUUUGCUUUGGUUAUAAAAUUAGUCCUAAUAUGAUGGGCAUCCAAGUUGGGUAUAAUAAAAACUAUCAUAUAGAGUGCAUUGAACACUAUGAUAAAUUUGAUACUUGAUAAUUGUUUUGAGAUAUAAGGGUGGUAAUGUUAGAGUCAUGCUAGUUGGGUAAUUAUGAAAUUGAGAAAUACUUGUAUUAUAGUUGGCAAGUCCCGUAGCAUGCACGUAUGGUGAACGUUGUGUGACAAAUUUGAAGCAUGGGGUGAUUUUUGGUUGUCUUCCUUAUGAGUGGAGGUCGGGAUCGCGUGAUGGUUAACUCGUACCAACCCUCCCCCUAAGAGCAUGUGUAGUAGUACUUUGCUUCAAGAGCUAAUAAACUUUUGCAAUAAGUAUAUGAGUUCUUUAUGACUAAUGUGAGUCCAUGGAUUAUACGCACUCUUACCUUUCCAUAAUUUGCUAGCCUCUACGGUACCGUGCAUUGCCCUUUCUCACCUUGAGAGUUGGUGCAAACUUUGCCGGUGCAUCCAAACCCCAUGAUACGAUAUGCUCUAUCACACAUAAACCUCCUUAUAUCUUCCUCAAAACAGCCGCCAUACCUAUCUAUUAUGGCAUUUCCAUAGCCAUUCCGAGAUAUAUUGCCAUGCAACUUUUGUUGGAAAUAUGCCCUAGAGGCAAUAAUAAAUAAGUUAUUAUUAUAUUUCUUUGUUCAUGAUAAUAGUCUUUUAUUCAUGCUAUAACUGUAUUGUCCGGAAAUCGUAAUACACGUGUGAAUACAUAGACCACAAUAUGUCCCUAGUGAGCCUCUAGUUGACUAGCUCGUUGUGAUCAACAGAUAGUCAUGGUUUCCUGGCUAUGGACAUUGGAUGUCGUUGAUAACGGGAUCACAUCAUUAGGAGAAUGAUGUGAUGGACAAGACCCAAUCCUAAGCAUAGCACAAAGAUCGUGUAGUUCGUUUGCUAGAGCUUUGCCAAUGUCAAGUAUCUCUUCCUUUGACCAUGAGAGCGUGUAACUCCUGGAUACCGUAGGAGUGCUUUGGGUGUAUCAAACGUCACAACGUAACUGGGUGACUAUAAAGGUGCACUACAGGUAUCUCCGAAAGUAUCUAUUGUUUUAUGCGGAUCGAGACUGGGAUUUGUCACUCCGUGUAAACGGAAAGGUAUCUCUGGGCCCACUCGGUAGGACAUCAUCAUAAUGUGCACAAUGUGACCAAGGGGUUGAUCACGGGAUGAUGUGUUACGGAACGAGUAAAGAGACUUGCCGGUAACGAGAUUGAACAAGGUAUCGGUAUAUCGACGAUCGAAUCUCGGGCAAGUAAAAUACCGCUAGACAAAGGGAAUUGUAUACGGGAUCGAUUGAGUCCUUGACAUCGUGGUUCAUCCGAUGAGAUCAUCGUGGAACAUGUGGGAGCCAACAUGGGUAUCCAGAUCCCGCUGUUGGUUAUUGACCGGAGAACGUCUCGGUCAUGUCUGCAUGUCUCCUGAACCCGUAGGGUCUACACACUUAAGGUUCGAUGACGCUAGGGUUAUAAAGGAAGUUUGUAUGUGGUUACCGAAUGUUGUUCGGAGUCCCGGAUGAGAUCUCGGACGUCACGAGGAGUUCCGGAAUGGUCCGGAGGUAAAGAUUUAUAUAUGGGAAGUCCUGUUUUGGUCACCGGAAAAGUUUCGGGCGAUAUCGAUAUUGUACCGGGACCACCGGGAGGGUCCCGGGGGUCCACCAAGUGGGGCCACCUGCCCCAGAAGGUUGCGUGGGCCAAGUGUGGGAGGGGACCAGCCCCUAGGAGGGCUGGUGCGCCCCCCACAAGGAGUCCAAGGCGCAAGAGAGAGUGGGAGGGGGCAAACCCUAGUCCAGAUGGGCCUUAAGGCCCAUAUUGGUGCGCCUCCCUCUCCUCUCCCCCCUUGGCCGCCUCCCCUUUGCCAUCUAGGGCUGGCCGCACCCCUUGGGGGUGGGAAACCCUAAAGGGGGCGCAGCCCCCCCCUUCCCCCUAUAUAUAGAUGAGGUUUGGGGCUGCCAUAACACAUGAGUUCUCUCCCUCUUGGUGCAGCCCUACCUCUCUCCCUACUCCUCCUCUCCCAUGGUGCUUGGCGAAGCCCUGCGGGAUUGCCACGCUCCUCCACCACCACCACGCCGUUGUGCUGCUGUUGGAUGGAGUCUUCCUCAACCUCUCCCUCUCUCCUUGCUGGAUCAAGGCGUGGGAGACGUCACCGGGCUGUACGUGUGUUGAACGCGGAGGUGUCGUGCGUUCGGCACUUGAUCAUCGGUGAUUUGAAUCACGACGAGUACGACUCCAUCAACCCCGUUCACUUGAACGCUUCCGCUUAGCGAUCUACAAGGGUAUGUAGAUGCACUCUCCUUCUACUCGUAGCUGGUUUCUCCAUAGAUAGAUCUUGGUGACACGUAGGAAAAUUUUGAAUUUCUGCUACGUUCCCCAACAGUGGCAUCAUGAGCUAGGUCUAUUGCGUAGAUUCUUUGCACGAGUAGAACACAAAGUAGUUGUGGGCGUCGAUAUUGUUCAAUAUGCUUGCCGUUACUAGUCUUAUCUUGAUUCGGCGGCAUCGUGGGAUGAAGCGGCCCGGACCAACCUUACACGUACGCUUACGUGAGACCGGUUCCACCGACAAACAUGCACUAGUUGCAUAAGGUGGCUGGCGGGUGUCUGUCUCUCCCACUUUAGUCGGAUCGGAUUCAAUGAAAAGGGUCCUUAUGAAGGGUAAAUAGCAAUUGGCAUAUCACGUUGUGGUUCAUGCGUAGGUAAGAAACGUUCUUGCUAGAAACCCAUAGCAGCCACGUAAAACAUGCAAACAACAAUUAGAGGACGUCUAACUUGUUUUUGCAGGGUAUGCUAUGUGAUGUGAUAUGGCCAAAGGAUGUGAUGAAUGAUAUAUGUGAUGUAUGAGAUUGAUCAUGUUCUUGUAAUAGGAUUCACGACUUGCAUGUCGAUGAGUAUGACAACCGGCAGGAGCCAUAGGAGUUGUCUUUAUUUUUUGUAUGACCUGCGUGUCAUUGAAGAACGCCAUGUAAACUACUUUACUUUAUUGCUAAACGCGUUAGUCAUAGAAGUAGAAGUAGUCGUUGGCGUGACAACUUCAUGAAGACACGAUGAUGGAGAUCAUGGUGUCAAGCCGGUGACAAGAUGAUCAUGGAGCCCCGAAGAUGAAGAUCAAAGGAGCUAUAUGAUAUUGGCCAUAUCAUGUCACUACUCUAUUUGAUUGCAUGUGAUGUUUAUCAUGUUUAUGCAUCUUGUUUACUUAGGACGACGGUAGUAAAUAAGAUGAUCCCUUACAAAAUUUCAAGAAGUGUUCUCCCCUAACUGUGCACCGUUGCUACAGUUCGUCGCUUCUAAGCACCACGUGAUGAUCGGGUGUGAUGGAUUCUUACGUUCACAUACAACGGGUGUAAGACAGUUUUACACAGCGAAAACACUUAGGGUUAACUUGACGAGCCUAGCAUGUGCAGACAUGGCCUCGGAACACGGAGACCGAAAGGUCGAGCAUGAGUCGUAUAGUAGAUACGAUCAACAUGAAGAUGUUCACCGAUGAUGACUAGUCCGUCUCACGUGAUGAUCGGACACGGCCUAGUUGACUCGGAUCAUGUAAUCACUUAGAUGACUAGAGGGAUGUCUAUCUGAGUGGGAGUUCAUAAGAUGAACUUAAUUAUCUGAACAUAGUCAAAAGGAUUUUGCAAAUUAUGUCAUAGCUCGCGCUUUACUUCUACUGUUUUAGAUAUGUUCCUAGAGAAAAUAUAGUUUGAAAGUUGAAAGUAGCAAUUAUGCGGACAGUAGAAAGCUUAUGUCCUUAAUGCAUUGCUCAGUGUGCCAAACCCCAAACGUCGUUUGUGGAUGUUGCGAACAUCGGACAUACACGUUUUGAUAACUACGUGAUAGUUCAGUUAAAUGGUUUAAGUAGAGGCACCAAAGACAUUUUCGAAACGUCGCGGAACAUAUGAGAUGUUUCGAGGGCUGAAAUUGGGAUUUCAGGCUUGUGCCCACGUCAAGAGGUAUGAGACCUCCGGCGAUUUUCUUAGCCUGCAAACUAAGGGAGAAAAGCUCAAUCGUUGAGCUUGUGCUCAGAUUGUCUGAGUGCAACAAUCACUUGAAUCAAGUGGGAGUUAAUCUUCCAGAUGAGAUAGUGAUGUUUCCCCAAAGUCAUUGCCACCAAGCUGCAAGAGCUUCAUGAUGAACUAUAACAUAUCAAGGAUAGAUAUGAUGAUCCUUGAGGUAUUCGCGAUGUUAGACACUGCGAAAAUAGAAAUCAAGAAGGAGCAUCAAUUGUUGAUGGUUGGUGAAACCACUAGUUUCAAGAAGGGCAAGGGAAAUAAGGGAUACUUCAUGAAACGGCAAAUCAGCUGCUGCACCAAUGAAGAAACCCAAGGUUGAACCCAAACCCGAGACUAAGUGCUUCUGUAAUAAGGGGAACAACCACUGGAGCAGCAUUACCCUAGAUACUUGGUAGAUGAGAAGGCUGGCAAGGUCGAUAGAAGUAUAUUGGAUAUACAUUAUGUUAAUGUGUACUUUACUAGUACUCCUAGUAGCACCAGGGUAUUGGAUACCGGUUCGGUUGCUAAGUGUUAGUAACUCGAAAUAAAAGCUACGGCAUAAACGAAGACUAGCUAAAGGUGAGAUGACGAUAUGUGUUGGAAGUGUUUCCAAUGUUGAUAUGAUCAAGCAUCGCACGCUCCCUCUACCAUCGAGAUUUGGUGUUUGCGUUGAGCAUAGACAUGAUUGGAUUAUGUCUAUAGCAAUACGGUUAUUCAUUUAAGGAGAAUAAUGGUUACUCUAUUUUUUGAAUAAUACCUUCAAUGGUCUUGCACCUAAAGGAAUGGUUUAUUGAAUCUCGGUCGUAGUGAUACACAUUUUCAUGCCAAAAGAUAUAAGAUAGUAAUGAUAGUACCACUUACUUGUGGCACUGCCAUGUAAGUCAUAAUGGUAUAAAACGCAUGAAGAAGCUCCAUGUUGAUGGAUCUUUGGACUCACUCGUUUUUGAAAAGUUUGAGACAUGCGAACCAUGUCUAUUGGUGUAUAUGCAUGAAGAAACUCCAUGCAAAUGGACCGUUCGGACUCACUUGAUUUUGAAUCACUUGAGAUAUGCAAAUCAUACCACAUAGGCAAGAUGACUGAAAAGCCUCGGUUUCAAUAAGAUGGAACAAGAUAGCAACUUGUUGGAAGUAACACAUUUUGAUGUGUGCAGUCCAAUAAAUGCUGAGGCAUGCAGUGAAUAUCGUUAUGUUCUUACUUCACAGAUGAUUCGAGUAGAUGUUGAGAAUAUUUACUUGAUGAAACACAACUCUGAAUUAUUGAAUGGUUCAUGUAAUUUCAGAGUGAAGUAGAAGAUCAUUGUGACAAAAGGAUAAAAUGUCUAUGAUACGAUCAUAGAGAUGAAUAUCUGAGUUACGAGUUUUGGCACACAAUUAAGACAUUAUGGAAAUUGUUUCAUAAUUAAUACCGGCUGGAACACCAUAGUGUGAUGGUGUGUCCGAACAUCAUAGUUGCACCCUAUUGGAUAUGGUGCGUACCAUGAUGUCUCUUAUCGAAUUACCACUGUCGUUCAUGGGUUAGGCAUUAGAGACAACCACAUUCACUUUAAAUAGGGCACCACGUAAUUCCGAUGAGAUGACACCGUAUGAAUUAUGGUUUAGAGAAACCUAAGUUGUCGUUUCUUAAAGGUUUGGGGCUGCGACGCUUAUGUGAAAAAGUUUCAGGAUUAAGCUCGAACCCAAAGCGGAUAAAAUACAUCUUCAUAGGACACCCAAAACAGUUGGGUAUACCUCCUAAUUCAGAUCCGAAAGCAAUAUGAAUUGUUUCUAGAAUCGGGUCCUUUCUCGAGGAAAGGUUUCUCUCGAAAGAGUUGAGUGGGAGGAUGGUGGAGACUUGAUGAGGUUAUUGAACCGUCUCUUCAACUAGUGUGUGGCAGGGCACAGGAAGUUGUUCCUGUGGCACCUACACCAAUUGAAGUGGAAGCUUAUGAUAUUGAUCAUGAAACUUCGGAUCAAGUCACUACCAAACCUCGUGGGAUGACAAGGAUGCGUACUACUUCAGAAUGGUACGUAAUCCUGUCUUGGAAGUCAUGUUGCUGGACAACAAUGAACCUACGAGCUAUGGAGAAGCGAUGGUGGGCCCGGAUUCCGAUAAAUGGCUCGAGGCCAUAAAAUCCGAGAACGGAUCCAUGGACUUUGGUGGACUUGCCCGAUGAUCGGCAAGCCAUUAAGAUAAAUGGAUCUUUAAGAAGAAGACGGACGUGGAUGGUAAUGUCACCGUCCAUGAAGCUCGACUUGUGGCGAAAAGUUUUUCACAAGUUCAAGGAGUUGACUACGAUGAGAUUUUCUCAUCCGUAGCGAUGCUUAAAGUCCGUCAGAUUCAUGUUAGCAUUAGCUGUAUUUAUGAAAUCUGGCAGAUGGAUAUCAAAACGAGUUUCCUUACCAGUUUUCGUGAGGAAAGAUUGUAGGUAAUACAAUCAGAAAGUUUUUGUCGAUCCUAAGGAUGCUAAAAGGUAUGCUAGCUCCAGCGAUCCUUCUAAGGACUGGAGUGAGCAUCUCGGAGUUGGAAUGUAUGCUUUGAUGAUGAUCAAAGAUUUUGGGUUUGUACAAAGUUUAUGAGAAACUUGUAUUUCCAAAGAAGUGAGUGGGAGCACUAUAGAAUUUCUGAUGAGUAUAUGUUGAUCAGAAAUGAUGUAGAAUUUCUAGAAAGCAUCUAGGGUUAUUUGAAAGGUGUUUUUCAAUAGAAAACCUGGAUUAAGCUACUUGAACAUUGAGCAUCGAGAUCUAUAAGGAUAGAUCAAAAUGCUUAAUAAUACUUUCAAAAUGAGCAUAUACCUUGACAUGAUCUUGAAGGUGUUCAACAUGGAUCAGUCAAAGAAGAAGUUCUUGCCUGAGUUGUAAGGUACGAAGUUAAGACUUAAAGCUCGACCACGGCAGAAUAGAGAGAAAGGACGAAGGUCAUCCCCUAUGCUUGAGACGUAGGCUCUUCAGUAUGCUAUGCUGUGUACCGCACCUGAAGUGUGCCUUGCCAUGAGUCAGUCAAGGGGUACAAGAGUGAUCCAUGAAUGGAUCACAGGACAGCGGUCAAAGUUAUCCUUAGUAACUAGUGGACUAAGGAAUUUUCUCAAUUAUGGAGGUGGUAAAAGAGUUCGUCGUAAAGGGUUACGUCGAUGCAAGCUUAACACCUAUCCGGAUAGCUCUGAGUAGAGAUACCGGAUACGUACAAUGGAGCAACAAUUUAGAAUAGCUCCAAGUAGAACAGUUAUUUGGAAUAGCUCCAAAUAGAACGUGGGAGCUGCAUCUAGGAGAUGACAUAGAGAUUUGUAAAGCACACACGGAUCUGAAAGGUUCAGACCCGUUGACUAAAACCUCUCUCACAAGCAGAACAUGACCAAACCCCAUAUCUCAUUGAGUCUUGAUCACAUGAUGAUGUGAACUAGUUUAGUGACACUAGUAAACUCUUUGGAUGUUGGUCACAUGGUGAUGUGACCUGUCAGUGUUAAUCACAUGGUGAUGCGAACUAGAUUAUUGACUCUAGUGCAAGUGGGAGACUGUUGGAAAUAUGCCCUAGAGGCAAUAAUAAAUAAGUUAUUAUUAUAUUUCUUUGUUCAUGAUAAUAGUCUUUUAUUCAUGCUAUAACUGUAUUAUCCGGAAAUCAUAAUACACGUGUGAAUACAUAGACCACAAUAUGUCCCUAGUGAGCCUCUAGUUGACUAGCUCGUUGUGAUCAACAGAUAGUCAUGGUUUCCUGGCUAUGGACAUUGGAUGUCGUUGAUAACGGGAUCACAUCAUUAGGAGAAUGAUGUGAUGGACAAGACCCAAUCCUAAGCAUAGCACAAAGAUCGUGUAGUUCGUUUGCUAGAGCUUUGCCAAUGUCAAGUAUCUCUUCCUUUGACCAUGAGAGCGUGUAACUCCUGGAUACCGUAGGAGUGCUUUGGGUGUAUCAAACGUCACAACGUAACUGGGUGACUAUAAAGGUGCACUACAGGUAUCUCCGAAAGUAUCUAUUGUUUUAUGUGGAUCGAGACUGGGAUUUGUCACUCCGUGUAAACGGAGAGGUAUCUCUGGGCCCACUCGGUAGGACAUCAUCAUAUGCGCAAUGUGACCAAGGAGUUGAUCACGGGAUGAUGUGUUACGGAACAAGUAAAGUGACUUGCCGGUAACGAGAUUGAACAAGGUAUUGGAUACCGACGAUCGAAUCUCGGGCAAGUAACAUACCGAUAGACAAAGGGAAUUGAAUACGGGAUUGAUUAAGUCCUUGACAUCGUGGUUCAUCCGAUGAGAUCAUCGUGGAACAUGUGGGAGCCAUCAUGGGUAUCCAGAUCCCGCUGUUGGUUAUUGACCGAAGAACGUCUCGGUCAUGUCUGCAUGUCUCCCGAACCCGUAGGGUCUACACACUUAAGGUUCGAUGACGCUAGGGUUAUAAAGGAAGUUUGUAUGUGGUUACCGAAUGUUGUUCGGAGUCCCGGAUGAGAUCCCGGACGUCACGAGGAGUUCCGGAAUGGUCCGGAGGUAAAGAUUUAUAUAUGGGAAGUCCUGUUUUGGUCACCGGAAAAGUUUCGGGCGAUAUCGGUAUUGUACCGGGACCACCGGGAGGGUCCCGGGGGUCCACCAAGUGGGGCCACCUGCCCCAGAAGGUUGCGUGGGCCAAGUGUGGGAGGGGACCAGCCCCUAGGAGGGCUGGUGCGCCCCCCACAAGGAGUCCAAGGCGCAAGAGAGAGUGGGAGGGGGCAAACCCUAGUCCAGAUGGGCCUUAAGGCCCAUAUUGGUGCGCCUCCCUCUCCUCUCCCCCCUUGGCCGCCUCCCCUUUGCCAUCUAGGGCUGGCCGCACCCCUUGGGGGUGGGAAACCCUAAAGGGGGCGCAGCCCCCCCUUCCCCCUAUAUAUAGAUGAGGUUUGGGGCUGCCAUAACACAUGAGUUCUCUCCCUCUUGGUGCAGCCCUACCUCUCUCCCUACUCCUCCUCUCCCAUGAUGCUUGGCGAAGCCCUGCGGGAUUGCCACGCUCCUCCACCACCACCACGCCGUUGUGCUGCUGUUGGAUGGAGUCUUCCUCAACCUCUCCCUCUCUCCUUGCUGGAUCAAGGCGUGGGAGACGUCACCGGGCUGUACGUGUGUUGAACGCGGAGGUGUCGUGCGUUCGGCACUUGAUCAUCGGUGAUUUGAAUCACGACGAGUACGACUCCAUCAACCCCGUUCACUUGAACGCUUCCGCUUAGCGAUCUACAAGGGUAUGUAGAUGCACUCUCCUUCUACUCGUAGCUGGUUUCUCCAUAGAUAGAUCUUGGUGACACGUAGGAAAAUUUUGAAUUUCUGCUACGUUCCCCAACAACUUUUCACCGAUCCAUUUAUUAUGACACGCUCCAUCGUUGUCAUAUUGCUUUUGCAUGAUCAUGUAGUUGACAUCGUAUUUGUGGCAAAGCCACCUUUAUAAUUCUUUCAUAUGUGUCGCUCUUGAUUCAUUGCAUAUCCUGGUACACCGCCGGAGGCAUUCACAUAGAGUCAUAUGUUGUUCUUAGUAUCGAGUUGUAAUUCUUGAGUUGUAAAUAAAUAAAAGUGUGAUGAUCUUCAUUAUUAGAGCAUUGUCUCAAGUGCGGAAAGAAUGAUGGAGACUAUGAUUCCCCCACAAGUCGGGAUGAGACUCCAGACUUUAUGAAAAAUAGAAGAGGCCAAAGAAGCCCAAAUAAAAAAAGAGGCCAAAGAAGCCCAAAUAAAAAAAGGAGAAAAAAAUGAGAGAAAAAGAGAGAAGGGACAAUGUUACUAUCCUUUGUCCACAAUUGUGCUUCAAAGUAGCACCAUGAUCUUCAUGAUAGAGUCUCCUAUGUCGUCACUUUCAUAUACUAGUGGGAAUUUUUCAUUAUAGAACCUGGCUUGUAUAUUCCAAUGAUGAGCUUCCUCAAAAUGCCCUAGGUCUUCGUGAGCAAGCAAGUUGGAUGCAUACCCACUUAGUUCUUUUUGAGCUUUCAUACAUUUAUAGCUCUAGUGCAUUCGUUACAUGGCAAUCCCUACUCCUCGUAUUAACAUCAAUUGAUGGGCAUCUGCAUAGCCCGUUGAUUAGCCGCGUCAAUAUGAGACGUUCUCCUUUUUUGUUCUCUCACAUAAUCCCUAUCAUCAUACUCUACUCCACCCAUAGUGCUAUAUCCAUGGCUUACGCUGAUGUAUUGUGUGAGGGUUGAAAAGGCUGAAACGCGUUAAAAAGUAUGAACCAAUUGCUUGGCUGAAACCGGGGUUGUGCAUGAUGGGAGUAUUUUGUGGGACGAAAUGAAGCAUGGCCAAACUAUAUGAUUUUGUAGGGAUAAGCUUUCUUUGACUAUGUUAUUUUGAUAAGACAUGAUUACUUUGUUAGUAUGCUUGAAGUAUUACUAUUUUGAUGUCAAUAUUAAAAUUUUAUCUUGAAUCUUUUGGAUCGGAACAUUCAUGCCACAAUAAAGAAAAUUACAUUGAGAAAUAUGCUAGGUAGCAUUCCACAUCAAAAAUUCUGUUUUUAUCAUUUACCUACUCGAGGACGAGCAGGAAUUAAGCUUGGGGGUGCUUGAUACGUCUCCAACGUAUCUAUAAUUUUUGAUUGUUCCAUGCUAUUAUAUUAUCUGUUUUGGGUAUUUAAUGGUCUUUACUAUACACUUCUAUAUUAUUUUUGGGACUAACCUAUUAACUGGAGGCCUAGUCCAAAUUGUUGUUUUUUUGCCUAUUUCAGUAUUUCGCAGAAAAGAAAUAUCAAACAGAGUCCAAACGGAAUGAAACUUUCAGGAGAGUUAUUUUUGGAACAAACGCGAUCCAGGAGACUUGGAGUGGACAUCAAGAAAGAAACGAGGAAGCCACGAGGCAGGGAGGCGCCCAGGGGGGUAGGCGCCCCCACCCUCGUGGGCCCAUCGUGGCUCCCCUAACCGACUUCCUUCGCCUAUAUAUACUCAUAUACCCUGAAAAUAUCUAGGAGCAACACGAAACCCUAUUUCCACCGCCGCAACCUUCUGUACCCGUGGGAUCCCAUCUUGGGGCCUUUUCCGGCGCUCCGCCGAAGGGGGAAUCGAUCACGGAGGGCUUCUACAUCAACACCAUAACCUCUCCGAUGAAGUGCGAGUAGUUUACCAUAGACCUUCGGGUCCAUAGUUAUUAGCUAGAUGGCUUCUUCUCUCUCUUUGGAUCUCAAUGCAAAGUUCUCCUUGAUCUUCUUGGAGAUCUAUUCGAUGUAAUUCUUUUUGCGGUGUGUUUGUCGAGAUCCGAUGAAUUGUGGGUUUAUGAUCAAGAUUAUCUAUGAACAAUAUUUGAAUCUCCUCUGAAUUCUUUUAUGUAUGAGUGGUUAUCUUUGCAAGUCUAUUUGAAUUAUCAGUUUGGUUUGGCCUACUAGAUUGAUCUUUCUUGCAAUGGGAGAAGUGCUUAGCUUUGGGUUCAAUCUUGCGGUGUCCUUUCCCAGUGACAGUAGGGAAAGCAAGGCACGUAUUGUAUUGUUGCCAUCGAGGAUAAAAAGAUGGGGUUUAUAUCAUAUUGCUUGCAUUUAUCCCUCUACAUUAUGUCAUCUUGCCUAAUGUGUUACUCUGUUCUUAUGAACUUAAUACUCUAGAUGCAUGCUAGAUAGCGGUCGAUGUGUGGAGUAAUAGUAGUAGAUGCAGAAUCGUUUCGGUCUACUUGUCAUGGACGUGAUGCCUAUAUACAUGAUCAUGCCUAGAUAUUCUCAUAACUAUGCACUUUUCUAUCAAUUGCUAGACAGUAAUUUGUUCACCCACCAUAAUACAUAUGCUAUCUUGAGAGAAGCCACUAGUGAAACCUAUGGCCCCCGGGUCUAUUUUCCAUCAUAUAAGUUUCUGAUCUAUUUUAUUUUGCAAUCUUUACUUUCCAAUCUAUAUCAUAAAAAUACCAAAAUUAUUUAUCUUAUUAUCUCUAUCAGAUCUCACUUUUGCAAGUGGCCGUGAAGGGAUUGACAACCCCUUUAUCGCGUUGGUUGCAAGGUUCUUAUUUGUUUGUGCAGGUACGAGGGAUUUGAGUGUAGCCUCCUACUGGAUUGAUACCUUGGUUCUCAAAAAUUGAGGAAAAUACUUAUGCUACUUUGCUGCAUCAUCCUUUCCUCUUCAAGGAAAAACCAACACAUGCUCAAGAGGUAGCAAUGUUAUCUUCAAUGAAUUUGAUAUGUUACAUAAUGUUCCAUCUACUAAUGUUCAUGUUGAGAGUGAACAUCAGCCUAUUGUUCAGUAGCCUGUUGUUCCAGUGUAGCAUGUUAUUGAUUUAGGUGAUACAUCUGGUAAGGAAAAUGUUGAUGCAGAUGAUGAUCCCGUUAUUGAUGAUGAACAUGUCACUCCCACUUCAAAUCAGCCUAUUGUUCCACCCAGUUGGAAUCUCACAGGUGACAGAGUUAGGCGCGGUAUUAAUAAAGCCGACAGAUUAAUUGAAGAGUGCAACAUUGUUUCUUUUGCUUUAUCUGUUGUAGAAGAAAUUGAAGGUAAUGCUGAGCCUUCUUCAUAUUCUGAGGCUAUUAUUUCUGGUGAUAGUAAUAAGUGGAUGACCACUAUGCAUGAUGAUAUGGAAUCACUUGAAAAGAAUGAUACUUGGGAUUUAGUAAAAUUACCUAGAGAGAAGAAACCUAUUCGUUGCAAGUGGGUUUUCAAAAGGAAAGAAAGUGUUUCUCCCAAUGAUGAGACAAGAUAUAAUGCAAUGUUAGUUGCUAAAGGUUACAGUCAGAUUCCAAGUAUUGACUAUAACGAAGUCUUUUCUCCUGUUGUGAAGCAUAGCUCUAUUCGCACUUUACUCAGUAUUGUUGUCAUGCAUGAUUUUGAGCUUGAACAAUUGGAUGUUAAAACUGCAAUUUAAAUGGAGAAAUAGAAGAGGAUAUUUAUAUGAAACAACCUGAAGGAUUUGUUAUUCCUGGAUAAGUUAAAGAAAUCUCUUUAUGAAUUCAAGCAAUCAUCUAGAGAGUGGGACAAGAGAUUUGACACCUUUAUGCUCUCUCAAGGUUUCAAAAGGUCUAACUAUGAGUUGUGUUUAUUUGAAAACCGUCAAUGAUCCAUGAUGGUGUUGACAUCAUCAACGGUGAGCUUCGGCCCUCCUGGCUUUAGAAAGGGGGCGGUGGUGAGGAGCCGUUGACGGGGGCAAGGGUGACGCUUGGAGCCGCACGAGGACGUCAGGCGCGGAGUGCCACACGUGGAUCACGGCACACCUGAGCGCGACCUGAGUCCUCUCGGAGGCAGGGUCGGGGAGCAUGAGCUCCGCAGUGUACAGAUCGUGCUCGACGAGCAGGACGGCGCGAGCGAGGUCGGCGCCUACCCAGUGAAGGUAGCGGGUGGCCUGUUCUUGGGUGAUGCAUCCGAAGUAGCUCAUCAUGAACCUGACGAGAGCCUGGCAGGACGCCUGAGCAAUUCUGUGCCAGGUAACCCUGCGGCAGGACGACCCAAUGGUACUACCGGACGACCAGGUAUCCCUUUGCUGUGCCGUGCCGGCCAGGUUAUUGGACCUUCUGGUCCUCUUGGCGGGCGGUUCCUCCUUUGCCCGAAAGUGGUCGCGCGGGAGGAGGGCCAUGGUGCUGAGGAUGACGUUUGAGACUGGGUCCAAAAGGCCGAGGGAGAGGCCGCCGUCACGCAUGGUUUCGUAUAGCUUGUCGGCGACGGCGUCCGGCAUGUCUUGGACGGGCAGCCGGUCGAACGCCUCCCCGUACAAGUCCGGGAUGAGGUCGAGGAGGUCGGCCUUGAAGUUGAAGUUAGGGGGGCCGUCGCGCUCGCCGCGCUUGAAGUUGAAGUUUGGGGGGACUGUCGCGCUCACAGCUGUACAGGCAGGAGAAGAGCCCCAUGCGGCCGGGACCCGCGGGUGGGUGGACCUUGUUGGGCGGCAUUACAUCAGCUGCGAUCCAUUGAUGUGGCGGUUCGAUCGGCGGCAGGAUAUAUGUAAGGCGGACGACGAGCUAGUUUUCUGACCGGACUCAGAUGACAAGAGAACACACACGGUGCGUCUGAUAUGGGCAGAACACACACGGAACAAGUCGAGUCAGUUUGGAGGCCGUAGGAAGAAAAUCCUAAACGACCCUUCCGGUCUGGUAGUAGGGAUGAAGAAGAUGAUCGUAUGCAUGAGCAGACGAUGACACACGACGCGCGCGUCUGAUAUGGGUCAAAAGUCCCUGGCCCGUUCCACCUUUCUAUCCGGUGUGGCUAAUGAGAGGGAUACUUUCUUAUUUAGUACCAAUUUUUUCUGAAUACAUAUAAACCGGUUUAUUCUUUAUCUAUAUCUAUAUAGUUUGCAUGAAUAACGUUGAGUGUGCAUCAUUUUUUUUAUGAAAAGGCCAAAGGCCAUAUAUUAAGUAGUAAAACCCCUUUAAAAACAUUCUUAUAGAAAUUGAGAAAUACAUCCAAAUCUUUGAGAGUAGUCGAAGUUUUCUUCCUCCUGCAUCCAUCGCUGGUCCCCGGUGAGCAAAGCUUGCUGCUGUCUCUCGACUCCGACUCAGCGGAGCAAACUUGUUUACACCCGGUAACUUAUAGAGGUAGCCACUGGAAAGUCGUCAAUGUAGACCGACGACUAAGAAGAAGGGCAAGGCCAAAAGCACGGCUAGAGUUUGUUAGAGCUUGUUGAGCCCGAACCGCCUGGCGAAGAAGGCGUCACGUGCCCAGGCCGGUGACAUGGCAAGCACGGCGAACAACGCCGUCAUGCUCCCAUACACGAUCUCCCGCGGUGGCCUCGGCCGCAUGACCCGCACCGCCACGUGCCUCACCAACACCGACACCUCGGUCGCCCCCGGCCCCUGUGAUGCCCGCACCCUCUCCUCGAUCGCCGUUGUGAACUCACGGUACAUCCCUUUGGUGUUGGCAUGUCAGGAUAUCAUGCUUGAUGCGGUCACUGGGUAUAUGAUCAAACCAGUUCAAAGUAUUGGAAAUGCAUCAAGGAAUGGCAAAUAUCUCACAAACCAAUGGGAUAGAAUCCUAGAAAGUUGCAACCGUCAGGAGGUCCUGAUUCCCUUGUAGCUGUAACCUUGUAGAGGGGCUUGGCUGCUGUUUUCCUUUUCCCUCGGAGCCUUUGCUCUGUUGGUUUUCAGCUCUAGACACCUAGACUGUUAACCCUUUGUACUGACUCUCCUUUUGUCUAAUAAAAUUUCGGUCAAUGGCCCUUCGAGAGAUGGAGAUUAACUGCACGGUUCACGUAAAUGGUGCAGUAAUUCACUACCAGAAUCUGAAAUUUUACUGUGAGCCCAAAACCGACAGGAAAAUCGGGUUUACCGUCAGGAAAAGUAUUUCCUGUCGGCCACCCGUCAGGGAUAGCUUGACAGGGAAAAUAAAUUAUGCCUGUCGGUUGACCGACAGGGACUAUAUUCCUGUCGGGUUUUCACAUUUCCCUGAUGGGUUUGGCCCUACAGGAUUAUAUAGGCGUCAGAUUUGGCAAACAAGGGAAAUACUAUAUCCCUGUCAUACAUUACCGUCAGGAAAAAAAGAAACCCAAUGAACAAAAAAAUAUAGACAGUUUUAUAAAUAGCUAUUCCAGAAUAGAAACAUCACUAUCAAUUGUUUCCUUCAACCAGAGAUACAAAUUCACAUGUCUUCGGAUACAAUUGCAUAGAAUUUACAUAAUGAAUGGAAGGUCAACGAAAACAGAGGUUCAACAUCUAAAAACACACAAGUGCAUCAACUAAAUAUACACAAUAGACUUCAUUUUCUAUAAUCUUUAGUUGCCAGCUUAAGUUGCAAGCUUCUCUUCAAGGUUGCCCUGCAGUGGACAUAUAAUUGAACUUGUAAAAAAUUGUGCAAAUGUCAACAGUUUGCUACAAAAAGGUAACUAGAAACAGGAACAAUACCUAUAAGAAAUAAUAAGCAUAAUCUAUUUGGUAUCUCAGUUUCUCGCAAUAACAUUGGCAGCUUGCUUUUGUCACAGCAAAGUUACCCACUUCUACAGCUUAUAGACUAAUAAUGGAGGAAUUAUUCUAGAAUCAUAUCUCAAAUCUGAUACAAAUUAUGCAACUGACAAAAUCCAUUUAAAUGAUAACCUGGGCACAUGCUUUUGGAUUAGCUUGACAAAAUUAUCAGCUAACUUCCUGAGAAGAUGAGUCAUUAGAGACUUCUUGCAAGAAAUUACACUACCAAUGUCAAUACCCUUAAGUCUAUCCAUUUCAAAUGUUGAAGAAAAAUAGUCAGAGUCAUCAUCAUCUCCGUAAGAAUAAAAAAAGCCAAAACAUUAUGCAAUUAUUCGAUAAUGUAACAACAUGGGAACUGAACAUCAUGGUGAGACAAUAAAAGACCCCAAAGAAAUAGAAAGAGGCUGUGUUCAGACUAAACCAACAUAGCAACUACUGGAUCAAUAAUGUUGAUCUCAUGAUCUUGGGCACACUGGACAUAGCAUGAUACGAUUUUAAUACACACGAGAAAACUUGACUGGCAAUUAUUCCUGAUAAAACUUUGGGGAUGAUGGUGAAUGCAAAAGUAAAAAUACCUUGAUUAGAAGCUCUUGAAUCUCUCAUAGACCCCGAAUCUUGAAUUUUUCUACGAAUAAUAAGUUACAAAUUCACAUAUCUUCUGAUAUAACUGCAUAGAAUUUACAUACAUGAAUCAAAAGUCAACAAAAACAGAGGUACAACUUCUCAAAAAUGCACACGUGCAUCAACUAAAUAUUCACAAUUUGAGACCAUUUUCUACAAUGUUUUGCUGGAGCUUAGGUUGCAAGAUGCUCUUCUUAACCUGCACUGGACAUAACUGAACUUGUAAAAUGUGCAAGUGUGAACAGUUUGCUACAAUAAGGUAACAAGAAACAAGAAUAGUAUCCAUAGGAUAUGAUCAGCAUAAUCUAUAUGGUAUCUCAUAUUCUCACAUUAACAUAGGUAUAUAUAGGCAACUUGUUUUUGUCACAGCAAAGUUAAACAAAUUGACAGCUAUAUAGACAUGAUAACUGAGUGGUUUCUUCUAAAAUCUUGUGACAAAUUUGAUACCAACACAACAAUUGACAAAAUCCAUUCAUCUAUCGGAACUAUCAGUUAUUAGAGGCUUCUUCAAGUUAAGCUCAAGCCAUAAUAUCGCCAGUAAGUGCAACUUCUCAAUGAUGCAUAACCAGAAGAAUGUACUCUCUGUUUCAAAAUGCAAGACGUUUUUUGACACUAUCUCAUUUGGAGACAGGUAGUACAAUAAGAAAAUCAGGGGAGUACCUUUGAGGAAAUAGUAGUAUACAAUCUCAAGAGGAUGUGUGUCCCGACAUAGAAUAGUUUCAACUAAACAGUGAAGUGGCAAUAUGGCAAGCAGUUUCAUCCAAGUUGAUUCUGUGAUAGAAUGCACAAACAGAAGUAUAUGGUUUUGCAUCAGAUAGUAGUAAGAAACCAAAGCAUCAUUUGAUUUUUCCUAGAGUAGGGAAUGGUACCUGCAUUUGGAAGGAUAUGAUGCAACUUUUUGCCAUCGAGUGACAACCUUAACUUAAUUAUUGUCGCAGCCUCUGUUGCAUUGAUGAUGCUCCGUAUACUUGUAGUGCAACUUGCUCAAUGCUUCCUAAAUCCUAAGAUAAUGAUAGAACAAACAGUAUGUACAGAAAAAUUAGAGAAUAAAAUUAUCAAGAAGGAAACAGAAAUGUAGUAACAUUCAUACUGAACAAAAAUAGCAGCUAGGGGCUCAACACAGAUAAGAUGAUCUUGGUCAUACUGGACAAAGAAUGGUAUACAAACAGUAUGAUAAGAUUAAAGUAUACAAACAACAUAAUUAAUUGCCUGAUAAUACUCCCUCCGUUCCGAAAUAAUUGUCUUUCUAGCCAUCUCAAAUAGACUACAACAUACGGAUGUAUGUAGACAUGUUUUAGAGUGUAGAUUCACUCAUUUUGCUCCGUAUGUAGUCACUUGUUGAAAUCUCUAGAAAGACAAUUAUUUCGGAACGGAGGGAGUAGAAGUUAAGCCUUCUUCCAAUUACAUUUUAUUGCUCUGCGUCAGAGUUGAAAUUAGGUGAUCCAUGUGCCUUCAUGUACACAAGGUCAGAACAAAAGCCAAGAUCUGUCAUGAAAAAAAAUCAAGUUUACUUGCAUGCAUACAUGUCACUGCAUAAAAAAAGCAUGGGAUUGCACUUGAUAAAUACACAAGCAAGAAUAAAGAUGCAACAGUAGGAUCUAAGAAAAAUUAUACCGGUGAGCGCCCUGGAGAGUUCGUCAACCCGAUGCAUAGUACUCCAUGUCCAUGGAGCCACCACUCACCUGGUCUCUCAUUGUUCAGGAUGCGUCUCUCAACAGAAAGUAGCCGCCGGCUUCUUGGUGUGGAGGAUCUGUGAGGCGGAUCUGUGAGGGGACGGUGCUUGAUCUGCUAGGGGAUAGGGGAGGGGAGGAGCCAGCGUUGUCCUCGCUGCUUACCGACGGUGGUGACGAUGUGAGGAAGGCGCGCUCGGGCUCGUGGUGAGGCUGCGCGUAGGCGCGAGGAGGACAAGGUGUGGUUCGCUUGACCGGCGAGAGGAUAGAGAAGGUACAAGAAACGAGGGGAUGUGCAGUCUCAAGGGUGGAUGCGCCGGCCUGGAGCAGCGGAGUGGGACGACAAAGGCGGCGACCGCUGCUGCGGCGGCAGCGGUGGCGGCGAGGGUUAGGUCUGGCGGCGGAGGCGAGGGUUAGGUCUGGCAGCGGCGAGAUGGGGUGGAGACGAGGGCUGGGGCUUCUGAUUUGGGGAUCGAGGGUUUCUAUCUAUUUCAUUUUCUACGGGCCUUUUCCUUUGAGCCCACAGGUGGCGGGACGCGAAAACAAAGCGCGCCCAACAAAAAUUGUUCACCGCGGGAAGGCCUUUUUAGCUGGGCGUUGGAGCGCGAAACACUAAAUUGUUCCCUGUGGGCCAAGACUCACAGGAAUAUGGCCUUUCACAAACUGACAGGAAUAUAUUUAUCCUGUGAGUUCUACCCCAGCCCAUAGGAGUAUACAUGGUAUUCCUGUGAUCCACCGCGGGCCCGACAGGAAUAUAGUCCGGCCCACAGAAAUAUUCACGUUUCUGGUAGUACGGUUACACACCUAAUACCCCCUCCGUUCCUAAAUAUUUGUCUUUCUAGACAUUCAAAUGGAUUAUCACAUACCGAUGUAUGUAGAUAUAUUUUAGAAUGUAGAUUCUUUCAUUUUGCUCGGUAUGUAGUCACUUGUUAAAAUAUCUAGAAAGACAAAUAUUUAAGAACGGAGGAAGUAAAUUAAUCAUUCACUGAGGAGGACGCUCCCUACAGUACUAGUACAACGUAGUACUACUACUAUUUAUAGUUCAGCUUCCAUCUCCAGUACUAGUACGAUAGUACUACUAUUCCUAUUUAUAGUUCAGCUUCCACCUCCUCAUCACCAACCACCCAGAUGUGGACAAGUAUCUAUAACCAACCACCCAGAUGUGGACAAGUAUCUAUAAUAGUACAUGGUCUAACACGUUAUUGAAGAAAUUUCACUCCGGACGAGACCCGAACAAAUGAUAUUUCACAAGUCAUGGCAGAAGAAAACGAUAUCCCCACGGCACCAUUCUCAGAAGAGAAGGUGAGAGUUGCGGUGUUUCAAAUGGAACAUAACAAAGCUCCAGGCCUUGAUGGUUUCGCCGCAAAUUUCUAUCAAUUUUUUUUGGGAGAUCAUCAAGUCUGGCCUUCUGGAGUUGUUGAAUUGUCUUCAUGCCGACCGACUUAAUUUUGAAGGCCGAACGGAUUCAACAGUUCAGACCCAUAUGCCUCCUUAAUGUCAGCUCCAAGAUUUUCAUCAAAGUGACGACGAAUUGGUACGGUUCAACUCGGUAGCCGAGCAUGUUGUCCAACCAUCUCAAACGGCUUUAAUGUAAGGAUUGAAUAUACUCGAUAGCGUAGUAAUCCUACAGCAGACCAUCCACGAGAUGCACCGGAAAAACAUGAGUGCAGUAGUAUUCAAAAUUGGCUUUGAAAAAGCCUAUGACAAGGUCAGAUAGUCUUUCCUCCAACAGGCCCUAAGGAUGAAAGGUUUCUCCGAUAAAUGACGCCAGUGGAUCAAAAAAAAAUUAACUGGAGGUAGCGCGCGUGUGGCCAUUAAAGUCAAUGAUGAUGCCGGCCAUUACUUUCAGACAAAAAAGGACUACGACAUGGUGACCCCAUGUCCGCAAUGUUAUUUAACAUUGUGGCUGACAUUGUGACCCCAUGCUCACCUGCUUGGUUGCGCACAUGGCCAAAUCCCGAUUCAAUAUCUGGGAAUACUGAUUCAUGAUCGACGUCUCAUCAUUGCGAAGUGGAAGCAUGUAGAGGAGCGGCUAGAGAAACGGUUGAGCAGCUAGAAAGGCAAGUUGCUCUCAGUUGCAGGACUACUGGUUUUGAUAAACUCUGUCCUCACAAUAUGGUUCUCCAUGCUUUAUUUCUUCUAGCUCCCAAAAGGGUUCUUGCAAAGACUGGACUAUUUUAGGUCGAGGUUCUUUUUUAAAUGAGACGAUGAAAAGAAAUAUAUAGGCUGCCGAAAUAGAGCAUGGUUUGUAGGCCGAAAGAUCAAGGUGGCCUUGGUAUUCAUGACCCGCGGGUCAAGAAUGAGGCCCUACUUUGUAAAUGGUUGUUCAAACUUCUUUCCAAGGAUUGUCUUUGGCAAACCAUGCUACGCAACAAGUACAUAGACCAAAGGCGGUGUCUCAUGUAUGUUGAAAACCUGGAGACUCACACUUUUGGACCGGCCUAAUGGCGGCAGAGAAACAUCUCUUUCGCAUUGGGUAUUUCGAGAUAAAGGACGGGUCAGAGAUUAGUUUUUGGGAAGACAUCUAGCUAGACAAUGCUAGUCUCUGAGAACAAUACCCAACCUUAUACAUCAUUGCACGCGACAAGAAUAAUACUACUGCGCAGGUACUCAGCUCAUCCCCGCCAAAUAUUUCGUUUAGGUGGGAUUAGAUUUGCACCCGACAUAUGUCAUGGCAUAAUAUCUUGUCCCGUCUGGAUUCGAUUAACCUGACACAAGGCCGAGAUAUAUUUUGCUGAAACCUUACUACAUCAGGGUCUUUCACAGUAGACUCUUUGUAUCGUGCGCUCACGCAUUCUAUGGUACCGAUGAGUAAUAACAAAAAAAGGAAAGCAAAGAUACCACUUAAGUUAAAAUCUUCAUGUGGUUUUGAGAAACCUUUCCAUAAAUUGAGCUUCUCCUGAAAUUUGUAAGUUGUUUACAUAAUUAAAAUUUUCACAGAAGAAAAGAACUAGUAUGAAUCAUGUGUACAUAAACAGUACUUGAAUUGCAAUUGCACAGUCCUAAUGUAAAACUUACUUGACAUUGUGCGCUGCUUCCUGCUGUCCCAGACAAUUGCAAUAUUUGUUCUCCAGUCAGCAGACAACUAUUUCAAAGAGUACAAUCAUUCAGUACAAUCAAAAUCUCUAGUCUAAUCCAGUACCCCUAAUUCCGUAGGGUUAGAGAAACAAAGCUAUAAUUAGAACAAGAUUUGCAAUGGAGGCAGAGGCACACCGCAUUGGGGGUCUGAUGCAGCGUACUUGUUCCUUCUUUCUCCACAGAAUCAGCGACUUGCGGCGAUCUGGUGUUGGUGGGCGAGUACGGUGUAGGUAUGGGAAUACGAACGAAGCCGAAGGGUCGAGGGCACGAAGCGUAGCGUUUACAAGGACGAAAUCAAGGUCUUCGGGUUGUCCUAACCAAACAUGGCGACCAACCCCCAACUUGAGUACAUGCUUGGUGAGAUUAUGCGCCUCAACAUUUGAGGUCUUAAACUCGUGUUUAAAAAUAGAAGAAACAAAAUACGACGACCACUCUAUGAUUUCAUGUAUCACAGCUCCAAAGCUUUGCCGAACUUCCACUUUUUAUAUAGCUUCAAUAAUGACUUUACUAGAUGCCACCACCGUCCUAUGCAUGUACAGAUCCGAGCCCAGGGCAAAUCAAUGCAAGCGCUACUUCAAAAAAUCUAAUGUCAUCGUGUAAAGCUUGCCGAACUUCCACUUUUUAUAAAGCUUCAAUUCAAUCUGAGGCCAGGGUAAAUCAAAUCAAUGCAGAUUUCCUAUGAAAUUCCUCCAAACAGAAGAGGCCUAAAACUUAUAAACUACUAGAAGUAACUUGUUUAGACCUUUUUUUAAAAUAGUACAAUGGUAGAUGCUUGCAUAGACGCAGAUCAUUGAAAUUACCACAAGCGGCUCACAAUCGACGGGAAUGUCACAUCCCACUGAACAAAGAUUGUCGGAAAGUCUGAAAUUAAUCUAGAAAAAUGUGAGUAUGAGUGCCAAAUCUAAUACUUGAACCCUGGUGGGCUUUUUGCACCACAAUACGCUCAGUAAGUUUAACCAUUUGAGAUGCGCUCAGUUUUUUUCUUGUUUGCAAGAACACAUAGAUUCGCCACCAGUUACAUGAUGUCGGCGAGAUUAGCUAGUGAUGCGAUGAGUGGCAUCUUGAGGUUGUGAACUGUAGUGGAGUGGCAGCGACGAACAGCCACCACUGGACGUGGCCAUUGUUGCAGUAUGGGAGCGGAGCUAGGUCUUUGAGGUACUCCAUCGAGGAAGCCACCACAGUAUGGGAGCGGACGCCUCAUGACCGACCUCAUCGAGGAGGAGAGCGCUGACUUCAUGGCUCGGCUGCAUGAGCGCUCCGGGAUCGGCGAGGAGACGAGCGUGCCCAAUUCUUACCGCUAUAUGCCCCCCAAGCGCGGCGUGGAGGCUUCCCGGGAGGAAGCCGAGCUGGUCAUCUUCUCCGCCGUCGACAAGGUGCUGGCAAGGACGACGGUGAAUCCCGAGGACAUCGACACACUCAUCAUCGCCUGUAGCUUCACCACGCUGACACCGGUGUUCGCCGACGUGGUCGUCAACAAGUACAAGCUCCGCGCGGACGUGCAGAGCGUGAACCUGUCCGGGAUGGGGUGCAGCGGGGCGCUCAUCUGCGUCGGCCUCGCCGAGAAACUCCUGCAGGCUGCACCACCAGGGAAGCACAAGCACGUGCUGAUCAUAGCCACCGAGAUCCUGUCGUCGAUGAUGUACCACGGCACCAAGCGCGAGAUGCUUGUGCCCAAUGUGCUCUUCCGCAUGGGCGCCGCCGCCAUGAUCAUGACCAACUCACCGGAACGCGCGCGGUUCCGGCUCGGUCCGAUCGUGCGCACGCUGACCGCUGCCCGGGACAGCGACUACCGAUGCGCAUUCCAGGAGGAGGACGACAAGGGGAUCACGGGCAUCAACCUCUCCAAGGAACUUCCCGUCGUUGCUGCGAACGCGCUCAAGAGUCACAUUGUCACCUUCUGUCCCCGGGCCCUGCCUGCCUCGGAGCUUCUCCGGGUCGCCUUCUCCCUCGUCAAGCAGUACGUGUUCCCGCUCCCGGGCGCGCGUGGGCGUGCGGAGAAGGGCGCGCGGCCGGCCUUCAACAAGGUGUUCCAGCACUUCUGCAUCCACCCGGGCGGGCGCAGGGUGCUCCAGGAGGUGCAGCAUGGCCUCGGCCUCUCUGACCGUGACAUGGAGGCGUCGCACAUGACGCUGCACCGGUUCGGGAACAUGGCCAGCAGCUCGUUGCUGUACGAGCUGGCCUACAUCGAGGCCAAGGGCCGGAUGACCGAGGGUGACCGGGUGUGCAUGAUCUCCUUCAGCCCCGGCAUAGACUGCAGCAGCGUCGUAUGGGAGUGCAUCAACCCGGCGGCGGCAGAUCCCAACGGACCCUGGGCCGCCUGUAUCCACCGCUACCCUGUGCAGGUCAAGACGACCUAAGGCCAGGUUCGCUUCUUUUUAGAGCCUUGGCUUAUGCAUAAUUAAGCUGCAGUGUGCAGUGAAAAUAAGCUCAUGAGAAUAAAGCAUCCACUUCUUUUCUGCUCCUAUCUACUACCUUCGUCUGGAAAUACUUGUCAUCAAAAUGAAUAAAAAAGAUGUAUCUAGACGUAUUUUAAUUCUAGAUACAUCUAUUUUUAUCCAUUUUGAUGACGAGUAUUUUUGGACGGAGGGAGUAUUAGGUGUAAAGUCAGUAGUACUAAUAUCGGUGCACUGUAAUUCUGUUCUCAUUGAAAUAAAUUAUAUUUCCGAAUUUCGUGAAAUGUUACGAUUUUCUUUUUUUGCGGAGAUGAAAUAUUACAAGUUGAACCGAUGAAAGAUCAUUGUCACACAUACGAACGCCAUAACGAACGUGAAUUGCUCCUUACAGUUUAGCAGCCGUAUGGAGGCAAAUCAAUCAAGAGGACAAGAAUUCUGGUGUGGCUAUACGUCAGUCAGCUGAAAGAAAGUUUGGGGUCAGUCGAUUUUUCUCAACCGUCGGAUGCGAAAUCAACGGCCUGCACCUUACUUCAACCUCCAACCUUUGUUCCUCCUAUCGCCAGCCUAACCGCCAUCCCCCGCGGCCCGUGGCGCUCCUGCGACCGCCUUGCCACCCCGCUCUACCUUGAACCGCCCUCCACCGCGGGGCUUGUUGUCGCCCCCGGCAAUCCCCUAGCCCCGCCUGCGGCCCGUGUCCAGUUUUUGGGGUUUCUAUAUUCAUUUUCGCUUCUGCAAAAAAAUAAUAUGAAAACAAAUAUGGUAGCAUCAGUUCCGUCCGUUUCCGCUCCGAUUUCAUCCGUAGUGUCUUGAAACUUUUGUUUGUCGGGGUCAGCCAACAAAACUAUAUUAUGGCGAGGUGCCUCGACUUAGGCAUGUGAGUUUGAACUUCAUGCAAAUUGGAGAUAACGGCAGAAUUACUAGCUUCAGCUCGAGCAGGUAAGAAAUGUAAAGUUGACUCACGAUACCAGGUUUAGAGAUUAUAGUCUUAUAAGAAAUGAAUUUAGAUAUUGAAACUUCAUCAAGUUUACCUGACUUGUAAGGGUUAUAAAGAAUAUUAUCGUAUAUGAAUUUAUUGAUAAUUCUAAUUGGGGGUCUCAUAUCCUGAAUGAUUUAAUUAUUACAAGUUUUACGGUGAUUGGGCUUUUUUGGAGCCCUUCGUUUGUCUCAAUCUAACGGCACACACAUACGUAGUACUGGCUAGUACUCGGAUGAAGUAUUUCAAAGUACUAAAACUUGUGGGGAUGGUACUAAUGACAAUGUGGGGACACCUUUUAAUCUAGGAGCAUUUUAGUCAUUGGAAAAAUGUGCACGUGCCGCCCCUCUCGUCCAAUGCAAAACCGCCGCCAUGGUCCUCUCCUCUUCCAUUACGGAACUGCAGCCAUCUCCUCCCUCUCUUGCAUUCCAAAUCCACCGCAGCCAUCUCCUCCUUCUCGCCGCCGCAACUUUGCUCUUCUCNNNNNNNNNNNNNNNNNNNNNNNNNNNNNNNNNNNNNNNNNNNNNNNNNNNNNNNNNNNNNNNNNNNNNNNNNNNNNNNNNNNNNNNNNNNNNNNNNNNNNNNNNNNNNNNNNNNNNNNNNNNNNNNNNNNNNNNNNNNNNNNNNNNNNNNNNNNNNNNNNNNNNNNNNNNNNNNNNNNNNNNNNNNNNNNNNNNNNNNNNNNNNNNNNNNNNNNNNNNNNNNNNNNNNNNNNNNNNNNNNNNNNNNNNNNNNNNNNNNNNNNNNNNNNNNNNNNNNNNNNNNNNNNNNNNNNNNNNNNNNNNNNNNNNNNNNNNNNNNNNNNNNNNNNNNNNNNNNNNNNNNNNNNNNNNNNNNNNNNNNNNNNNNNNNNNNNNNNNNNNNNNNNNNNNNNNNNNNCAGUAGAUCGAGCAGAUCGCCGGCGGCGACCAGGUCAAGACGGCCAGGUUGAGGGAGAUCCGUUCUUGGUUUGACAACACAAGGCAGAUGAACUGGGCGGCAAGGUACAUUUAUAUGUUGUAGGAUUGGAUAGAUCAAGGUACAAGAAAAAGCCCAAGAAGGGUAAAAGAAAAAGCCCAAGGAGAAGGGAAAAGCAUGUGUCCUCCUGUAUUGUUGGAAAUUCUUCGAGACUAAUGAGAAGUAGAACAUGACAAAUAGGGAGGCUCCUCCAUACCACUUCUUUCUCUCUUGAGUUUGAUGAUGGUGCCGGCGGUGGUGGUGGUGGUGAUGAUGAUGAUGAGUGGAUGCAUAGGAGUCCUACACCCGGAUCAAGUAUGGGGUGCCGGACAAAGAGAUCGACGAAGAUGCUCAAGAUAUAAAGAGAUGUGGGGGCUGAUAAGUACAAGAUUGCAGAGAUGAAAAGUCAAGGAAGGAAUUGGUGGAGAAGAGCAAACAAGAGAAGCUGGAGUUCGGGAAGAGGAGGAUACAAGAGAAGAUGGAACGAUGGGAACAAAUUAAUGGAAGUAAAAUGCGAGAUGGAUGCACAUAGGCUUCAACUUAUUGAAUACAAUCAAUUGAUGCAGGAGAAGAUGGCUGAAAAGAACUGGCUCAUGAUGUUAGAAAUUCCAUGUAUGAAACAUCAAGAAGAUUUGGGGAGAUGAGUCUAGCAGAGAUCGUGACUUCUAGGAUGCCAUGGAGUUGCUAGUGCACCGGAGGAGGGGGCGAUGCACAAAUGGGAGGAUGCCGUGCUCUUGACGACAUGUGAUUUUUACAUAUCAGCUGAAUGUGUGCAUUAUGAUUCAUCUUUUGUUUAUGCAUUUGAAGCCUACGAGCAUUGCUUUUGCCUUAAGUUUAUAUUAUGUCUAAAUUUGAAUUUGAAUCUUGAACCUGUCGAUUUGGUUUGAACUGCUGGUCAAGUGUGUGUGAUGUUUAACAACGACAAGCUCGGCUUAUAUAUGUGUGAAAACUCGGGAUUGAUUAGAGUGCACAGAUAUAGGAAAGAUAAAUUUUUCAAGGUUGCAUGUUUGCAACUUUGAGUUUACACACAGCCUCUACGUUUGGCGAGUUUGAGUUUGCGCACAACCUCUGCAACCUUAAAUAUUUUUUGGAGGGUCCCCAAAACUGUUUUGGAGGCCGUGAAUACGGCUGAUCUGCUAGAGUUGUUCUAAGACUUUCAACUUCACACCUGAGAACUGUGAUGUUGUGUACUUGCAUGUCUACUCUUACAGAUAUGGGAACAAAUAAACUGAACCUCCACCGAACAAGAGAAAAAUAAAGGUUAUUUGUGCCCGUGAUUAAAUACAAGAUGGAAUACAGAAGUAUUUACAAGCAUAAUAAUAUUAUUUCUAUGUCAGGCUUAAUAAGGUUCAAGACCUAAUACUAAGUACUCCUGCAGUUGAAAUUAAUACUCAUCACACUCCGGCAACUUCUGUUGUUCACCGUACAUUCUCAGAUCAUCUGCAAACUGCACGUCUCUCCUAAAAUCGAAGAUGAAAUCUGUGUCUAGCAUUCCAUCUGUGUUCAUUGUUCCACCGUGAGUAAUAUCACCAUCACACUCAAAAUAGUCUGUUGAAUCUGGAUAAACAAUCUUCCUCGCGGAUCCCUUUCCAUAGAAGCAACGGCCUGUCACCAAAACCAGAAUUGAUUAUGUAUCAGUCACAAGAAAACAGCUCCGACAGUAAUUCUUCCAAGUGAAAUGUUUGGCAAACCAUGUCUAUUUUGCAUUGGUUCCACUGACCACACCAUAAAACAGUGGCAGUUUUAAGCAACCAUGCUUGACACAAUAAAGGUUACUAGACAAAGUGUAUCCGUAAAACAUCUUAAGAUGCUGAAAUUUUCUGCACGCGAUCAGCAGCAAAGCUGCAAGAACACACAAAUGUUUUAAUUUAUUUCGGAAUUGCUACAUAUAUUCAAGUUAUAUUGAUCGAUAACAUGGCCUAAAUGUUGUAUAGCAAGAUUCAGAGGUGUACACAAGACAUGAAACCGAAUUAGGUAAGCCAGAUAACAUGAUCUCAGCUGCGGGCACAAGCCAUUUUAUUAACUGAAGAAUAAGACUUUUCGACAAGAGAGUUAACAUGAUUGCAGCAAGCAUAAGGCUUUUCGACAAAGCAUAAGGCCUUUCCUAUGUUUGGACGAAACAAGCAAGCAUCAUUGGUUGCAGAAAAAUAAGAAUAAGCAUCGUAGGAUCAAAAGACGAAAAGGUCGUAGAAGAAAUCAUAAGGCUUUUCGACAAAUCAGGGUGGAAAUUCUCCUCUUUAAUUUUCAAAACCUGCAUUUUUUUAAACUGAGGCAAAACUUUUGCCUGGUUGAUAAAUUAAGGAGAAGAGAAUUGCCCAGUUAAUUUAUGGAAAACCGGACGAAAACCAAAAACCUGCGUAUAUAGCUGCUCAAGGAACGGGGACUUACUGGUGUGUGUGAAGAGUAGAGGGCAGCAGAAAUUUGGUUCUGUCUUCUGAUAGGGAAACGAACAAUUGACUUGGGCGAAGAAAAACUAGUUAUGGGCCCCUGAUUUGGGAGCAGCCACAAAGUUAAUGUGGUAGCAUUCCCUGCCCAAGGAUUCCGAAGCGGACUCCACGCCACAGGUAACACUCGUUGCAUACUUUGGUUCCUAAAACAAGCAGCAACAAAGGUCAAUUAAUACAGAAAUGUAUGGAAUAUAUAUGUACUACGUAUGUACCAACUAAAUAACAAUGAACACAAAUAAAUUAAAGCCAGGUUGAUGUACCCGAGGAUGCUCCGAUGCAUAUUUUUGCAGUGCUUGUGCGACCCGAGAGCGAAUGUGUUGGGGAUAUAACUAUUAGGUAUGACCCGCCCACGAGGGGCCGGGCUAUACCUAUGGCGAUUCAUCAUAUGAAGCCCACGAGGAUAUUGAAGAUGGCGGUUUAGUUAAGGGCCCAAGGCCCAAAGGCGACUUAAAGCCCGUAGGGGUAAACCGCCAUAUAUGUAAAGACUUGCAUUGUAAAGCACGUAAAAGUAGUCACCGAGCCGGACACUUAUCUAUGAGCCGGCCGGGACUCCGUGAGCCGCUGGGCGUCAACCUGUGUAUAUAAAGGGAAGACCUGGCGGCGGUUCAAGACAAGAAAGACAACAGAUCGAAAGCUAGGUCAAGCGGAUUCACUCCCUGGUAAUCGAGACAUAAGCAAUACCACCUCAAACUGGAUUAGACCUUUACCUUCACUGCAAGGGGCCGAACCAGUAUAAACUCCCGUGUCCUUUGUCCCGUUUACCCCUUUAAACUACCUACUUGCGAUGGCUCCACGACUAAGUCCUUUUGCUAGGACAUCUGUCGUGACCUUUCCACGACAGUUGGCGCCCACCGUGGGGACAACGCAUGGUGGUUUCGAGUUCUUAAAGGGCAGCUUUGCAGGGCUCAAGGGAUACGCUGUAGGCCGGAUGACCAAGAGUCGUCGCGGCAAGCUCUACAUCGACGAUGCAGGCUGGGGCCCGAGGCCGGCUCAAUUGAGAACGGGUAUAGGGUCCCCUUCGGUGGAAUCCACGUCUUCAUCGGCAAAAUCGGCGAGCCGGGCCCUGAGCCGGACACCUGCACCGACAUCAUCGAGAUGGCUCAGUGUGCGAGACCCGCCCGAGCUCAGCCUGUCAUGAAGCGUGCCUUCGUGGGAUGCAUCCAUGGAGCGGAAUUUGAUAAAGGAUCUAUGUCUGGCGGUGAGACGGCCAUCUACUCUGAUGGUGAGUCUUCCACGGGUGAGACUACUUCAUUGUAUUAGCUGCAAGAUGGCGGGUUUGGGGGCUAUUCCAAUGGCGAUAGUAUUCUGGACCCCUAUGAGCCGCCAAACAGAGUCGGGAUCUUCAUGGCUGGUACCCAGCCUGGGUAAAAUUCUUCAACUGCAGCGGCGAUGACUUACGGGUCAGCGCGGUAACGGCAGCCGAGGCAGGAGGCCCUGCUUUGGAUGCUCAGGCCCAACGGAUUCAGUCGGAGGCUUUCCAGCUUACGAUGGAUCAAAACGCUUCAAAUGAAAUCAUGAGGAGGAGGCACCGGUCCCGUCUACCUCCGGUUUACGAGGCUAGAAACCUCUUCCGCACGCCUGGUGCAGGGCCCAGUAACCCGCCAGAGUUAAACCGGGCUGCGGCACCCGGGGUUGGGACGCCGGUUCAACCACGCAUGACGGAACCCCAUCGUCUGAAUACCGCUCCGCCUCAGCAUGUACCGACACCACCGGGUCAUUAUUCUAAUCCUUUGGAGAACAUGAUUGUUGCGGCGGCACGAUUGGCGGCUCUCCCGGUGGAUGGCGACUCUCCAACAGUGAUUGAAACACGAAGGGUCAGAGAACUUCUUCAAACAACCUUGGCGCAGCAGGAGGCAUAUUCUUACAGUCAAGAUAGGAUUCAUUCGACUCCUCGCCCAAGCCGGAGUUACAGAAGGCACAUGGACUCACCAGCCGUUUCAAGCAAUGCCCAGCGCCGUGUCCAGCCGCAUGGGCAUGACCCGGCGCAUGAUGGAGCUCUUAACUUGGUUGAUCAAGAUAGAGUGCGUCAACAAGCCGAGCAGGCGGCUCAGCAGGCGGCUCACCAGCCCCUUCCAGUUUAUCCAACGACUUCGGUUGAGGCAGUCGUGACCUCUAGAUCUACAGGUGUACCCUGUUUGGUGCCAGCUCUGCAUAAUGAGCGUUUGCCCAAAGAUUUCAAAGGACCUCAAAAGGUGCCUAAUUACACAGCCGACUUACCCCCUGAGGCGUGGAUUGAAAGUUAUGAGAUGGCCAUGGAAUUAUUGAAAGUCAGUGACGCUGCGUGUGCCAAGUACUUCACCAUGAUGCUGGAUGGAACGGCCCGCACUUGGUUAAAGGGUCUGCCGGCUAAUUCCAUCGGGUCAUGGGCUGAGCUAAAGGCCCAGUUUAUUCAGAACUUUAAAGACACAUGCAAGAAGCCCAUGUCGAUCGUGGACUUAGCGACUUGCGCCCAAGAGGAGGAUGAAUCAAUGACUCAUUGGGUGCGCCGGGUCAAAGCUAUCAUACAUUCAUCUGAUAACAUGAAUGUCGGCUCUGCGGUCUUAAUGUUGGAGAAAAAUUGCCUUUUUUGCCUCUUAAACAGAAGCUGGGGCGGCUCAAGCGCAAUUGUAAUGAUAUGGGGCAGCUGAUGGUGGCUCUAAUCAAAUAUGUUGACUUUGAUAGUACCAAGGACCCCCGAGUCUGACGAUGAGAAGGCAGGGAAGGGAAAGAAGAGCGGUAACGCCAAGGGUCAGCAGCAUAACCUGGCGAAUCAGGGGGGCAACAGUAAACGCAAGGCGGAUGGUAGCCCGGAGUUUGUGGCUAACACCAACGUACUGGGCAAUAAUCAGUGUUGUAAGGGGUACAUAUCUACACAUAUGACUACAUAAGAUAUUAGUGGAGAAUUCAGAUUCAGAUUCUCUGAGAACGCGUUUAGCCUUAUUGCUGAUAAUGCAGCGUGAUCUUUUUUUUAGAAAAGGAGGAUGACCCCCGGCCUCUGCAUCUGGGCAAUGCAUACGGCCACUUUAUUAAUUAUUCUCACAAGACCUUACAAAGUCAUACAACAGUAAGACUAAAGCCGCCGUCUAAGCAACAAACUGUCGCUACACCUGUCCAGUUGAUGAAGGGGCGCAGAUAGUCUGGGCCUAAUACCAAACAGACAUCGCAGCCAAGCCUAACAUCUAAGACCUGAGACCCCAACCUAGCCACUUGCCAGGUAUGGGGCACACACUGGUCCGGCGUGCUCUCAGAGGCCGCCGCCACCAACUGCCACCGCUCCAUCUUCAGAACUGUACUGAUGCAUGAAUCUUUCUCGGUCUAGCUAUCGUCGACGCCACCAUGGCGCCCAACGGAACCUCCUCCCUGUGCACAAACAGCUGAGCACGUCGCGGUCGCCACUGAUACACCUCAGCGCCAUUGCUGCCAAGUACCACCAGCCAACACAGCUUGAAGUUCUUGGAAAGUCUGUCGUGCGUAGCACCUGCCGACCAGGCAUGACAAAGCGUAGCACCUGUCGGUCAGGCAUGACUUGACAUCUCCACCGAAGCUCCGUGCAAGACGAAGCCGCUCCACCUGCUGCCUCUGACUUCCAGCGCUACUCUGCAAACGAUGCUCCCAAGAGAGAAACGACACCGCAGUGACGCCAUCGUCCGAUCUGGAACACCAGAUCCUAGGGUUUCCCCCAGAGCAGCACGAGUGGGUCUACAGUAGUUACACGACAAUGCCUUCAUCAAGGUAACGGCGAGAACGCUGCCAUCUCCUGCCGUCGGCUCGGUUUUCACCAGCAACCAUGUCUCCCCUACUCGCAGCUGGGACAAGAUGAUGGAUCUCGAGAUCCGAUCACCAAGCCUCUGGCCGGCCAUCUCUGGAAGAAGACGACCACCACAUCCACCAGCGUCACCACGCCGGGCACGCGUCGCCGCCGGCACCCCCAUGGUUCCUAGAGGCCGACAAGCCCCGACGAACACCAUGCCUUGCCAGCCGCCAUGGCCUAGACCCAAGCACCACCAGAUCCAGAUCGGAUCGGGGUCAAGGGCCCCAAGCCGCAGCAGCCGCGGAGGCUGUUGGAAAUAUGCCCUAGAGGCAAUAAUAAAAUGGUUAUUAUUAUAUUUCUUUGUUGAUGAUAAUUUUCUAUUAUUUAUGCUAUAAUUUUAUUAUCCGGAAAUUGUAAUACAAGUCCCUAGUGAGCCUCUAGUUGACUAGCUCGUUGAUCAACAGAUAGUCAUGGUUUCCUGACUAUGGACAUUGGAUGUCAUUGAUAACGGGAUCACAUCAUUAGGAGAAUGAUGUGAUGGACAAGACCCAAUCCUAAGCAUAGCACAAAGAUCGUGUAGUUCGUUUCGCUAGAGCUUUUCCAAAUGUCAAGUAUCUUUUCCUCAGACCACGAGAUUGUGCAACUCCCGGAUACCGUAUGAGUGCUUUGGGUGUGCCAAACGUCACAACGUAACUGGGUGACUAUAAAGGUGCACUACAGGUAUCUCCGAAAGUAUCUGUUGGGUUGGCACGAAUCGAGACUGGGAUUUGUCACUUCGUAUGACGGAGAGGUAUCUCUGGGCCCACUCGGUAAUGCAUCAUCAUAAUGAGCUCAAUGUGACCAAGUGUCUGGUGACGGGAUCAUGCAUUACGGUAUGAGUAAGUGACUUGCUGGUAACGAGAUUGAACGAGGUAUUGGGAUACCGACGAUCGAGUCUCGGGCAAGUAACGUACCGAUUGACAAAGGGAAUUGUAUUCGAGAUUGAUUGAAUCCUCGACAUCGUGGUUCAUCCGAUGAGAUCAUCGAUGAGCAUGUGGGAGCCAACAUGGGUAUCCAGAUCCCGCUGUUGGUUAUUGACCGGAGAGGCGUCUCGGUCAUGUCUGCAUGUCUCCCGAACCCAUAGGGUCUACACACUUAAGGUUCGGUGACGCUAGGGUUGAAGAGAUAUUAGUAUGCAGUAACCCGAAAGUUGUUUGGAGUCCCGGAUGAGAUCCCGGAUGUCACAAGGAGUUCCGGAAUGGUCCGGAGGUGAAGAAUUAUAUAUAGGAAGUGCAGUUUCGGUCACCGGGAAAGUUUCUGGGGUCACCGGUAUUGUACCGGGACCACCGGAAGGGUCCCGGGGGUCCACCGGGUGGGGCCACCUAUCUCGGAGGGUCCCGUGGGCUGAAGUGGGGAGGGGAACCAGCCCCUGGUGGACUGGUGCGCCCCCCCUUGGGCCCGCCCUGCGCCUAGGGUUGGAAACCCUAGGGGUGGGGGGCGCCUCCACUUGCCUUGGGGGCAAGCCACCCCCUUGGCCGCCGCCCCCCCUUGGAGAUCCCAUCUCCUAGGGCCGGCGCCCCCCUAGGGGGCCUAUAUAAAGGGGGGGAGGGAGGGCAGCCGCACCCAAGUCCCUGGCUCCUCCCUCUCCCUGCAACACCUCUCCCUCUCGUAGAAGCUUGGUGAAGCCCUGCCGUGAUCGCUGCUGCAUCCACCACCACGCCGUCGUGCUACUGGAUCUUCAUCAACCUCUCCUUCCCCCUUGCUGGAUCAAGAAGGAGGAGACGUCUUCCCAACCGUACGUGUGUUGAACGCGGAGGUGCCGUUCGUUCGGCGCUAGGAUCUCCGGUGAUUUGGAUCACGACGAGUACGACUCCCUCAACCCCGUUCCCUUGAACGCUUCCGCAUGCGAUCUACAAGGGUAUGUAGAUGCAGUCCCCUCUCGUUGCUAGAUGACUCCAUAGAUUGAUCUUGGUGAAGCGUAGAAAUUUUUUAUUUUCUGCAACGUUCCCCAACAGAGGCAGCACCACUGGACGGUGCCCUGCCCUCCACCCCGCCAUAGGACCGAGUCAUCGCCGGAGCUCCGCCGCGCCACGCCGCCAAGCCGCAGCCGGAAGAACUCAUGCCGCCGCCAGGGGAGAGAGAGAGACACGCCAGGGAGAGGCCCCGCCGCCGCCGGCACUGCCUGGGCUCUGUCCGGCUAUGUCCCUUGGCGACGGCGAGGGGGGAGGGAGGGUGUUUGAGGGCCGGCGGCGAAGGGAGCUAGGGUUCCCCCGAGUCGCCUCAGAGAGGGACGCGGGGGACGUGGCUGUCCGGCUGGGUUGUUGCUCUGACCGUGGACUGCUGCAACGUUGUUGUUGCCUCCCUCUGUUGGGUUGGUCAGCGGUGGUGUGGUGGUUCACGACGAUUAUAUUAGGCAGUUCCGACUGCGGUGAUGAUUCGACUCUGUUUCGAAGUCGGCUCAUUUGCAGGCGGCUCGUGUUGGCCUCCGCUCCAAUCCCUAGUUGCGCUUAUGCGGGAUGAGACAGAGGGAUGGCCCUCUCCGAGAUGAUUUCCAUCUCUAAGGGAUGGAUUCGUCAUCAGGAGGGCCACAAGGUCAGCCUUGACUCCCAUCUGGUGGAGGUGCGCACCGGGGAGCUCGUCCUCUAGGCGGGGAAGGUGGGGCGGUGGAUGUCAGAUCUGGUUGGCCCAGAGGGCUUCGACCUCGGGGCUGUCCAGGGAUGUAGCAGGAAGUGCAUUCGCGCCGGUCUCUUUGGUCAUCGUAGUUGCAAGCCUGGGUUGAGGCUGGAGUUGGGUCCAUGGAUGUCGGGGCGGCCACCUUGGUGGGGGGAGGAACAAUGUUCAUACCAAAGCUCGUGGGUCAGGUGUUGGGUGGUUUCCAUGGCCAUGUGGGCGGCGUGGUGGCCAAUGUGCGAAGGUCAGUGGUUGUGGUACGACAGUCGGUGGUUGUGGUACAACGGUCGGUAGCUUGUGGUACAAGGUCUGGGGAUGAAGAGGGCUUGCCGGGCCGGGUGAACACCCUCUCUGGCUCUACCUGUCCGAAGAUGGCGCCUAUUGGCUUCGUCUCCUUCUUGAAGGCAUCGUCACAGUUACUUCUUCAUCCUCUUUGUUGUUAUGGGGAAAGACUUGAUCCCUAAAUCGGGUAGUGCCAGCGCUCCGCGAUCGUGCUCUUUCAGAAGUCCCGACUUCGAGUACUCGGUUCCUUCGCAGUGACUCGUUCGCGGUUGAGGGCUCAUGGGACUUCAAGCGGUGCCUUAGGUUCCUACUUGUAGAUUGCUUGGAGUGGUAUGAGGUUAUGUAGUUAUUCCUAAACAUCCCCGUAUCUUGCCAUGCAUGUGUUGUGGUGUCGAGUUGUAUUGGUUGGAUUGUAUGUUGGUUGGUGCUUUAUCUGUAAAGCGGGUCGUGGGCCUUUUUUUGUCAUUUUCAUUACUCUCUCAUUCUUUGUUGUAAAUAGUACUCGCUUCGUAAAGAAAUAUAAGAGCGUUUAGAUCACUAAAGUUGUGCAACGAGUGCUUGUAGCAUAGUGAGGGUCCUAUUAUCGUCCAGUCGUCCAGGGCAUAUCUUUACGAUGGAGUUGAAGAGGUGUGGAAGGAGGUGCAUUCGCGCCAUAAUAGAUCACUAAAGAAAUAUAAGAGUCUAUAUAGAGGGAGUACAUAUUUUAGUACCUAAGAAAAUCUCUGCAUGGAAGGUAGCAACGAGUGCAUUAGCUACCAAUUUGUGCAAAAAAAAUUCAGACAUAUUCCCACUAGGGAUACAUGUCAUGUAUGCAGCACGGAGGCUGUGUUUGUUUCAGCUUUUGUAGACAGUUUCCUGCGAGAAAAAGCUAAAGCUGUACCAAACAGCUAAAAUAGAGCAGUUUUGUGUGCAAAGCCCAUAUCAGUUUCGGCCAGUUUUACGUGGUAUAGCCCAAAGCACCUCGCCGCGUACUUUCGCUGCGAAGCUGCUCGUAAUAGGCAGUUUUCCCAGCGCUAACCCUGCCCUUUGUCCAGAUUUACAACAAAAUUGCCAUCCGUCCUAUGCCCUGCGAGAGCUCCGGUUCCGCCAGAUUUGUACGAACAUCUAAUUAUAUGUACGGAUUAUGAAUUAUAAUGGACGGUCUAAUCCUUUAGCUCUCUUUUGUAUGGAUUAUUAGUUAUAUGGACUAUCUUUUGUAUUGUACGGGCAAUUGUGACUUGCAUGGACUAGCGAUGUGACAACAUAAUUAUUUUGCUCACUAUUAUUCUAUGUAUAUAUGAGCAAGAAAGUGAGAAAAAUAUUAUUAUGAAAGAUUUUAUGCAUUAUCAUAGAACAAAUCAUUUCCUGUCAGUCAAAAUACCAUUUAAACAAUCUAUUAACACUGAAUCAACAAGUUACACUGACCUUAGUACUCUAAGGGCAUUUUGGGCUUUUCAUCAGCUCAAAGUCGUUUCCACAACUGGUUGCCAAAUAGCUAACCUUCACUACAGCUGUUUCCUCAGCACAACAGUUUUGCCAGCACAGCAAGUCCACAGCUGAAACUGUUGAAACUGAAGCCCAAACAAACACAGCCAGAGGCAAAAACUACAUAUCACGUCCUUGUUAGAUGCGAUCAUGCACACAUACUAUGGGAGCUUAUGCGGUCAGUUUAGGUCUUGCCACAAAAUACCCAACUAGUUAAUGCUGGCAAGGACUGGUUGUUGGAUGUGCUGGCGAAUUCGAACGAGGAUAAGAGGGAUCGGGUUAUCAUGUUGGUGUGGUGAAUCUGGUCAUUGAGAUCAGACAUGGCCCAUGGCAAGGAAGUACCUUUUCCUCGUAUUUCGGUCGAGUACCUUCAAAGCUACAUGUCAUCCCUAAGAGUGCCAAGGCGGUUCAGUGCAGAAGAAAUCAUAAUAGGGAAAAUGACAGUCGACAUGGGGCCUCCUUCUACCACGAAAACAGCUAUGAUGGUGCUGCCUUGGCCUCCUCCCUCGGCAGACCAGGUUGCUCGAUCGGUGGAUGGUGCCUUUUCAUGUGUCGAUGGUUCUCCGGCAGCAGGUACGAUCCUUCGACAUGAUGGCAAUGUGAUCUUUGUGGCAUACAGAUACCUUUUCAACUCCAAUGACGCGCUUGAAGCGGGAAUUCAUGCAUUAACACAAGAUAUGGCAUUGGCAUUGUAGCAUAGUGAGGGUCCUAUUAUCGUCCAGUCGAACUCUUCAUAGGCCUUGGCAUCUGUAACUGAAAAAAGUCUGGAUCGUUCAACAUACGGGCAAUUGGUAGCUGAGAUUAAGUUUCUUAUGCUUGAUAGAGAAUUUAUUCCAACAAAAAUUAGACGUGAAAAUAAUAUGGUAGCAUAUCAAUUGGCUACAUAUAGUCGUGCAGAAUGUACCACUGCAAUAUGGGUAAGCCAAGGUUCACCUUGCAUGGAGGAACUUCUGCCUUGCAACUCUAACCCUCUAUUGACUUAAUAAAACUCUAUUACCCCUGUUAGAAUAAAUUCGAGGUAUACCGUCGAUCAUCCGAGGACUAAGCAAUCACACGAGCACGACACCGAGAUUUGUUAACGAUGUUCACCGAUAUGGCUACAUCCCCGGGGCCUGACUACGGGCGCUCCUCCCCGUGACACCGUCACAAUACCGCACACCGGCCACUUGGGCGUCGGCACACGUCGCCGGCUCCCCCUUGCGCGCCUGUGCUAUUAUGUUGGCAUAGAUUAUAUCGUGUGUCUACCCCCGCUAUAUAUGAGAGGCAUAGGAUACAAGUGUUCUACUAGGACACGACUCCAUAUCCUAUCUAAAUACAAUACAACUACAAGUCCAACUGCAACCUACCUUGUACACUUUAUUCGACACAACUCUAACAAACUCCACCUUGGCGAAUAUUCUCCAGCACCUUGAAUUCGUUAAUGCGUCAAACUUCCAUGUACAUUGGACUUGAGCUUAUCCCAUGUGUAUCGCUGCUACUCCAAAGACUCCACGUGACUCCACCUGCAACUUGUAGUACCUUCUUUUCUUGACCACAGUCAACACUCGAGCAAAAUUAAGUUCCUUGUUACUCUAGUUUGUGCUUCCAACUUCCAGAGUAUCCGUCCAACGCCAUCACACACUGAUUACUGACCUGCGUAAAAGUGAACAACUCACAUAUUGGAUGCCACAUAUAAGAGUUACCUGAACUCAACAUCACCGCUCCUUUCUUGACUGUCGGUCUGAAACAUGAAGAGAUUUCACCAUUGCUUGUAGUCAUCCCGAGUUAACUUCGCAGUUGUCUCACCACAUGUAUGACCACUAGAGCCCUGGCCCGUCUCCAUGUCCCGUGCAUACCGCACGCCUCGCCGCUAUUUCCGCGUUGAGCCUCCACUGUCCCGGUCGAGUCUCAAGGGUCGCAAACCCACACCACUCAACCCCCACUGCAGAGUACCACCGAUCAUCACCGACCGAUGACGAGUUUCACACUUCCAUCAGAUCGCUGGGCUCCAGUCCGAACUACGUGUCCCUUGCUUUUUCCCACUGAAUAGGCUUCGACUCUCUGUGCACUUAUGCUGUAGCCCCUCAAUCAGCACCGAGUGAAGUCCUCCAGACUCUAGCUCCACCUUCAACAUGACUCCAUGGUAGAUGAUCAGUCCACCCACGCGCUCCGUCGACUACAAGAUCACAUGUGCACCGUCUUGAAUCAACCCCGCGCCAUAGCCUCACUAGUAGAAAAAUGGCCUAUUGUCCCGGUUCGUAAGGGCCAUUUGUCCCGGUUGUUGAACCGGGACUAAAGUGUCGUUACUAAUGCCCUAGGCCUUUAGUUCUGGUUCUUAUACAAACCGGGACAGAUGGGCCUCCACGUGGCCGGUGCGGCAAGCCCAGGCAGGAGCCCUUUGGUCCCGGUUGGUGGCACCAACCGGGACCAAUAGGCAUCCACGCAUCAGUAUUUCAAGGGAUGGGGUUUUUUUUGAAGGGGGGGGGUUGGNNNNNNNNNNNNNNNNNNNNNNNNNNNNNNNNNNNNNNNNNNNNNNNNNNNNNNNNNNNNNNNNNNNNNNNNNNNNNNNNNNNNNNNNNNNNNNNNNNNNNNNNNNNNNNNNNNNNNNNNNNNNNNNNNNNNNNNNNNNNNNNNNNNNNNNNNNNNNNNNNNNNNNNNNNNNNNNNNNNNNNNNNNNNNNNNNNNNNNNNNNNNNNNNNNNNNNNNNNNNNNNNNNNNNNNNNNNNNNNNNNNNNNNNNNNNNNNNNNNNNNNNNNNNNNNNNNNNNNNNNNNNNNNNNNNNNNNNNNNNNNNNNNNNNNNNNNNNNNNNNNNNNNNNNNNNNNNNNNNNNNNNNNNNNNNNNNNNNNNNNNNNNNNNNNNNNNNNNNNNNNNNNNNNNNNNNNGGGGUUGGUGGUUUUGGGGGGUUAAUUUAGGUGUUUCAUAUAUUGUGUUAGCUAGCUAAUUAAUAGAGAGAAGUGUCCUCUCUUAUCUCCGUGCUUGGUCGACGCUAUGUACUAUACGUAUAGAGAGGACUAGACACGCUAGCUAGUAAGCAAAUGAAGGAAACAGAAGAUCGUCAUGAACAUAUGCAUACAGAGAGAAGCGAUAUCGACCAUCUCUCCUUCUCUGAGAGAUUGGUCGAAUAACAAGUUCUCGUAUAUCUAUCCGACGCUACUGGCUACAUAUAUACAAUAUAAUUAUCUCUUACAAUAUAAUCUCCUAAUUAUAUAUGAACUCAGGGUCCACAUGGUAUUCUUCGUCUUUAUCGAUCACGUGGUCAAGAAAGAAUGCUGCCAAUUCUCUUGAAUUGCUUGCAUACGAUCUGGUGGUAGGAGUUCAUCCCGCAUCCGAAAUAUCUAAUUUGAAGAAGGGGGUCAAUACAAUAUAUGAAUAAAUGAAACUCAACACAAAUGAUGGUAAUAAAAUAAAAUUGUGAAUAUUAUUAUUUACGCACUUCAUAUUGUUUGUUAGAGUAGCCCCGCUCACAGGUCGUGUGGCGGAUGGACUCACAAAUGUAGUAUCCACAGUAAUCAUUCCCUUGUUCCUGCCACAACCACUUUACAAGAAAUAGAGGUCAAUCAAACUGAUAAGCAAUCAUGCUAAAUGGUAUUGAUGAAACUAGCGCUUGAAUCACUAGGAGAUGCGCGGAACAUGCUACUAUAGUACUUACUUUCGGGUGUUUAAAUUGCAGCUUCUUCGGCAGUCUCGGAGUUUUUGAGGUGAAUUUUUUCCAAACCCUGCCAGACAAAGAAAACAAUUACUUGAUAUCAGGAAAUGAACAAAGUUGCUGAUAUGGUGCAAUAAUGAUCGAUUUAACUUACUUCUCUAGAAUUUCAGUCAUGUCCGCAUACUCCUUGGGAUCUUUUCGUCUCGAGUCUAAGACGGUUACUAGUCCCUGCGCAAGCUUAAUCUCUAGAAGAAUAUAGUGGAAGCUGUGCACGCAUGCAUAACUCAUCAAUUACAUUACUAUAACCUCGACUAAUAAGGGAAACCGAAUAUGCACAAGACAGUAACACUCACUUGAAGUUGUAAGGAAAGAGUAUUAUAGCUUUGUUUUGAUUUAAUAUAAACGAUUGUAGCAACUUGGCGUCGGUAUCUCUGGCCUGAAAUUCAACAAUAUAUGCAUCUACGAGAUUUGUGUUAAUGAACCCAAUAUCACCGAUUUGUCUUUUCUUCAAUUCGUCGAUCUUUGAUCUGCAUAAUAUAGUAAGGAUAAUUAAAAAUACAUGCAAUGAAAGAGCUGACCUAUAUAUAGAGACUCAAUGGCAGAAGUAGUACUACUUACAGGCAGUAGCAAGUGACCGUUAAUUUCUCGAGGGCCUUUUGAUUGAAAAACAUGAAGAACUCCUCAAAUGGAACAUUCAACAGUUCAAUUCCAAUGAGGUCAUGCUCCUCUCUAACUCUCAGCGUCAAAGUAUUCCUCCCCCAGACUCUCUGCAGGUUUUCAUGUACCAAUCAUGGAAUCUUCGCAUCAUCAUUGUUAGAGAUUUUUCAUCUUUGACGAGAGGCUUCCCGUACUCGUAUUUGUGUUCUUCCACCUCCAAGAAAUCAUAAUGUACAUCGUCGGGCAGGUAAUCUCCAAGGUUGUUAUAACCGGGCACCAUCCCCGGAUCAUUAGCGACGAUAUCGCUAGACACCUGGAGCGGGGGGAACGAUUGGUUCGCUUGUUCGCCGAGCUGGGCAAUUUUUUUCCCAGCUCGUCGUUCUGCUAACCUUUGACCACUGACAGUACUUCCCGGCCGCUCCGCUUUGAUAAAUGACUUUUCAAUAAUGCGCUCAUAGUUGCCGGAGACUUUGGUGGUUUCUUCAGGGCAGCCAGAGUACGCUUCGCUUUCACCGAAUCUAUCUUCUCCGCCGGAGGUGCAUGUUUCUUUGCUUUCACCCCUUCAAAGAAGUUCUUCACUUCGGCUCGCACGAUCUUCGCAUUUUCCUCCAGGCUCCUCUCGUAUGGUAACUUCUCUGGAGUCUUCAGAGAAGGGCCGAAUCUGUAUUGCCUCCCGCAUGUGGCUGUAUAGCUAGACGCCGGAGCAGACGGAGCGGCUGUGGCUGUCUUUCCUUUCUUACGAGGCGGAGGAGAAGGACUAUGACGCGCAGGAGCGGCGACGGGUCUCUUCCGGCCUUGUUGACGAGGCAGAGAAGGAAGAGGCUAGCUGCUCGGGCACGCCGGCGCAGGCGGAGAAGGAGGCGGAGUGCCGCCACGUGCUGGAGAAGGAGGCUGAGUGCCCUGAUCACUCGCUGGAGGAGGAGGCGGAAGAGGAGGCGGAGUGCCCUGACUCGCCAGAGGAGGAGGAGGAGGCGGAGGCAUCCAGUUCGGAAGGAUGAUGAGCUCCUUCCGCCAUAGGCAUGGAGUCUUCAGAGAAGAACCCAGCCGAAUCUCCCCUUCACCCGUAGGGUGGUCAAGCUCGAGGUCCUCAAAUCCGUCCGUUAUUUCAUCCACCAUCACCCUAGCAUAUCCUUCUGGAAUAGACCAGCAGUGGUAGGUUGCGCCAGGUUCAGUAGGUAAAACAGAGCCAACAGCCGCCUUGACUUUGAAUUUCAUCCAUUGCGUCAUAAGGUGGCAAUGUUGAGACUCCGUGAUAGCAUCCACGGGGUAGCUAGCAGGAGCCGUGAAGACAGGCUCCAGCUGAAGCUGCUCAGUGGAAGCCACGCUGCUUCUCCGCUGAGAUGGCGGGGUAGCUUCAGGAGAAGCUUCGGCAGGUCGUUUGCUGCGAUUUGCUUAUCAUUCCUCUAUCGCUUGUACCCUUGCGUGCAGCGCUUGCAGUUGGCUAUGCUCCACUUUCUUCCUCCUCUCCUGGCAUUUGUAAACCCCUGCGUCCGGAAACCCAGCCUUCCACCGAAUGGAGCCUGGCAUGCCUCGUGUCCGUCCAGGGUGCUCAGGAUUCCCGAGGGCCAUUAUGAGCUCGUCCUUCUCUCUGUCUGGAACGAACUUCCCUUGCUGUGCUGCCUCGAUAUACACCUGAAGCCUCGUGACGGGUAUUCGCAGUUGCUCGUCCGUCCAAAUGCACUUCCCUGAUACAGGGUCCAAGGUUCCGCCAACCCCGAAGAACUAAGUCCAGCAACGGUCUGGCCAGUUCAAUGUCUCUGGUUGACCCAUUUAUCAAUCAGGUCAUUCUCAGCCUUGGCCCACAACGGUCGGGCUUUGAGGUAGCCUCCUGACCCCGUGCGAUGGUGAUGCUUCUUCUUCGCAACAUUUUUCUUGUUUGUCACUGACAUCUUAUUACACUUGUCCGAUGUCUUGUGGGACACAAAUGCGGGCCAGUGAUCUUUGAUCUUCUCAUACUGGCCGGUGAACUCUGGUGUCUUUUCUUCGUCGACAAACGAUGUUUUCAGCUUAUUCUUCCACCUCCUGAAUAGUUCUGCCAUCUUCUUAAGAGCAUGAGACUUGAUCAAUUCCUCUUUAACUGGCUUCUCCGGAUCCUCCUGAGGCCGUAGGGUGAAAUUUUCCUUAAGCGUUGUCCAAAGAUCAUCUUUCUGCAUAUCGGAGACAUAAGACACCUCAGGGUCUUCAUUCUUAGGCUCUAACCAUUGGUGGAUACUGAUCGGGAUCUUGUCCCUAACAAGAACCCCACACUGAGCAACAAAUGCUUCCUUUGUCCGGAUGGGUUCAAUCGGCUUGCCAUCGCGCAUGAUUGCUGUGAUCUCAAACCUUUCAUCCGAGCGCAACUUUUUCUUCGGGCCUCUUCUCUUUACCGAAGUUGUGCUCGCUCCGGUGGGCUAGAAAAAAGAAGAAAGGCGAGACUUGAUUAAUAUGUGUACAUACGAAAACAAUGAACGCAUCAAUUAGCUAGUCAGCACAGGCUUAACUAAUAUAUAUACCUGGCCGGACUCGGUUCGAUCACCGGAGCCGUCUGAAGGAAAUAUGCCCUAGAGGCAAUAAUAAAGUUAUUAUUUAUUUCCUUAUAAUCAUGAUAAAUGUUUAUUAUUCAUGCUAGAAUUGUAUUUACCGGAAACAUAAUACAUGUGUGAAUACAUAGACAAACAAAGUGUCACUAAUAUGCCUCUACUUGACUAGCUCGUUAAUCAAAGAUGGUUAUGUUUCCUAACCAUGAACAAUGAGUUGUUAUUUGAUUAACGAGGUCACAUCAUUAGCAGAAUGAUCUGAUUGACAUGACCCAUUCCAUUAGCCUAGCACCCGAUCGUUUAGUAUGUUGCUAUUGCUUUCUUCAUGACUUAUACAUGUUCCUAUGACUAUAAGAUUAUGCAACUCCCGUUUACCGGAGGAACACUUUGGGUACUACCAAACGUCACAACGUAACUGGGUGAUUAUAAAGGAGUACUACAGGUGUCUCCAAUGGUCGAUGUUGGGUUGGCGUAUUUUGAGAUUAGGAUUUGUCACUCCGAUUGUCGGAGAGGUAUCUCUGGGCCCUCUCGGUAAUACACAUCACAUAAGCCUUGCAAGCAUUACAACUAAUAUGUUAGUUGUGAGAUGAUGUAUUACGGAACGAGUAAAGAGACAUGCCGGUAACGAGAUUGAACUAGGUAUUGGAUACCGACGAUCGAAUCUCGGGCAAGUAACAUACCGAUGACAAAGGGAACAACGUAUGUUGUUAUGCGGUCUGACCGAUAAAGAUCUUCGUAGAAUAUGUAGGAGCCAAUAUGGGCAUCCAGGUCCCGCCAUUGGUUAUUGACCAGAGACGUGUCUCGGUCAUGUCUACAUUGUUCUCGAACCCGUAGGGUCCGCACGCUUAAGGUUACGAUGACAGUUAUAUUAUGAGUUUAUGCAUUUUGAUGUACCGAAGGUUGUUCGGAGUCCCGGAUGUGAUCACGGACAUGACGAGGAGUCUCGAAAUGGUCGAGACAUAAAGAUUGAUAUAUUGGAAGCCUAUGUUUGGACAUCGGAAGUGUUCCGGGUGAAAUCGGGAUUUUACCGGGUUACCGGGAGGUUACUGGAACCCCCCGGGAGCCAUAUGGGCCUACAUGGGGCUUAGUGGAAAGGAGAAAGGGGAAGCCCAAGGGGGCUGCGCGCCUCCCCCCUUCCCCUAGUCCUAUUAGGACUAGGAGAGGUGGCCGGCCACCCCUCUCCCUCUUUCCCCCUUGGGAAUCCUAGUUGGAAUAGGAUUGGGGGGGGAGUCCUACUCCCGGUAGGAGUAGGACUCCUCCUGCGCCUCUCUCUCAUGGCCGGCGCCCCCUUCCCCCUUGGCUCCUUUAUAUACUGAGGUAGAGGCACCCCAUAGACACACAAGUUGACACAAGUUGAUCCACGUGAUCUAUUCCUUAGCCGUGUGCGGUGCCCCCUGCCACCAUAUUCCUCGAUAAUACUGUAGCGGAGUUUAGGCGAAGCCCUGCUGCUGUAGUUCAUCAAGAUCGUCACCACGCCGUCGUGCUGACGAAACUCUUCCCCGACACUUUGCUGGAUCGGAGUCCGGGGAUCGUCAUAGAGCUGAAUGUGUGCACGAACUCGGAGGUGCCGUAGUUUCGGUGCUUGAUCGGUUGGAUCGAGAAGACGUACGACUACUUCCUCUAUGUUGUGUCAUCGCUUCCGCAGUCGGUCUGCGUUGGGUACAUAGACAAUACUCUCCCCUCAUUGCUAUGCAUCACAUGAUCUUGCGUGUGCGUAGGAAAUUUUUUGAAAUGACUACGAAACCCAACAGUGGCAUCCGAGCCUAGGUUAUUUAUGUUGAUGUUAUAUGCACGAGUAGAACACAAGUGAGUUGUGGACGAUACAAGUCAUACUGCCUACCAGCAUGUCAUACUUUGUUUCGGCGGUAUUGUUGGACGAGACGACCCGGACCAACCUUACGCGUACGCUUACGCGAGACCGGUUCCCUCGACGUGCUUUGCACAGAGAUGGCUUGUGGGCGACUGUCUCUCCAACUUUAGUUGAACCAAGUAUGGCUACGCCCGGUCCUUGCGAAGGUUAAAACGGAGUCUAUUUGACAAACUAUCGUUGUGGUUUUGAUGCGUAGGUGAGAUUGGUUCUUACUUAAGCCCGUAGCAGCCACGUAAAACAUGCAACAACAAAGUAGAGGACGUCUAACUUGUUUUUGCAGGGCAUGUUGUGAUGUGAUAUGGUCAAGGCAUGAUGCUGAAUUUUAUUGUAUGAGAUGAUCAUGUUUUGUAACCGAGUUAUCGGCAACUGGCAGGAGCCAUAUGGUUGUCGCUUUAUUGUAUGCAAUGCAAUCGCGAUGUAAUGCUUUACUUUAUUACUAAACGGUAGUGAUAGUCGUGGAAGCAUAAGAUUGGCGAGACGACAACGAUGCUACGAUGGAGAUCAAGGUGUCGCGCCGGUGUCGAUGGUGAUCAUGACGGUGCUUCGGAGAUGGAGAUCACAAGCACAAGAUGAUGAUGACCAUAUCAUAUCACUUAUAUUGAUUGCAUGUGAUGUUUAUCUUUUUAUGCAUCUUAUCUUGCUUUGAUUGACGGUAGCAUUAUAAGAUGAUCUCUCACUAAAUUAUCAAGAAGUGUUCUCCCUGAUAUGCACCGUUGCCAAAGUUCGUCGUGCCCAGACACCACGUGAUGAUCGGGUGUGAUAAGCUCUACGUCCAUCUACAACGGGUGCAAGCCAGUUUUGCACACGCAGAAUACUCAGGUUAAACUUGACGAGCCUAGCAUAUGCAGAUAUGGCCUCGGAACACGGAGACCGAAAGGUCGAGCAUGAAUCAUAUAGUAGAUAUGAUCAACAUAACGAUGUUCACCAUUGAAAACUACUCCAUCUCACGUGAUGAUCGGUCAUGGUUUAGUUGAUUUGGAUCACGUAAUCACUUAGAGGAUUAGAGGGAUGUCUAUCUAAGUGGGAGUUCUUAAGUAAUAUGAUUAAUUGAACUUAAAUUUAUCAUGAACUUAGUCCUGGUAGUAUUUUGCAAAUUAUGUUGUAGAUCAAUAGCUCGCGUUGUUGCUUCCCUGUGUUUAUUUUGAUAUGUUCCUAGAGAAAAUCAUGUUGAAAGAUGUUAGUAGCAAUGAUGCGGAUUGGAUCCGUGAUCCGAGGUUUAUCCUCAUUGCUGCACAGAAGAAUUAUGUCCUUAAUGCACCGCUAGGUGACGGACCUAUUGCAGGAGCAGAUGCAGAUGUUAUGAACGUUUGGCUAGCUCAAUAUGAUGACUACUUGAUAGUUUAGUGCACCAUGCUUAAUGGCUUAGAACCGGGACUUCAAAGACGUUUUGAACGUCAUGGAGCAUAUGAGAUGUUCCAGGAGUUGAAGUUAAUAUUUCAAGCAAAUACCCGAGUUGAGAAAUAUGAAGUCUCCAACAAGUUCUAUAGCUAAAAGAUGGAGGAGAAUCGCUCAACUAGUGAGCAUGUACUUAGAUUGUCUGGGUACUUCAAUCGCUUGAAUCAAGUGGGAGAUUAUCUUCCAGAUAAGAUAGUGAUUGACAGAAUUCUCUAGUCACCACCACCAAGUUAGUAGAACUUCGUGAUGAACUAUAAUGCAAGGGAUGACGUAAACAAUUCCCGAGCACUUCGUGAUGCUAAAAUCAACGAAGGUAGAAAUCAAGAAAAACAUCAAGUGUUGAUGGUAGACAAGACCACUAGUUUCAAGAAAAGGGCAAAGGGAAGAAGGGGAACUUCAAGAAGAACGGCAAGCGAGUUGCUGCUCAAGUGAAGAAGCCCAAGUCUGGUCCUAAGCCUGAGACUAAGUGCUUCUACUACAAAGGGAUUGGUCACUGGAAGCGGAACUACCCCAAGUAAUUGGCGGAUAAGAAGGAUGGCAAAGUGAACAUAAGUAUAUUUGAUAUACAUGUUAUUGAUGUGUACUUUACUAGUGUUUAUAGCAAACCCCUUAGUAUUAGGUACUAGUUCAGUUGCUAAGAUUAGUAACUCGAAACGGGAGUUGCAGAAUAAACAAAGACUAGUUGAAGGGGAAGUGACGAUGAGUGUUGGAAGUAGUUCGAAGAUUAAUAUGAUCAUCAUCGCACACUCCCUAUACUUUCGGGAUUAGUGUUGAAACUAAAUAAGUGUUAUUUGGUGUUGGCGUUGAGCAUGAAUAUGAUUUGAUCAUGUUUAUUGCAAUACAGUUAUUCAUUUAAGUAAGAGAAUAAACUGUUGUUCUGUUUACAUGAAUAAAACCUUAUAUGGUUACACACCCAAUGAAAAAUGGUUCAUUGGAUCUCGAUCGUAGUGAUACACAUAUUCAUAAUAUUGAAACCAAAAGAUGCAAAGUUAAUAAUGAUAGUGCAACUUAUUUGUGGCACUGCCGUUUGGGUCAUAUCGGUGUAAAGCGCAUGAAGAUACUCCAUAAAGAUGGAUUUUCGGAAUCACUUGGUUAUGAAUCAUUUGAUGCUUGCGAACCGUGCCUUUUGGGCAAGAUGACUAAAACUCCGUUCUCCAGAACAAUGGAACGUGCUACUGACUUAUUGGAAAUAAUACAUACCGAUGUAUGCAAUCCAAUGAGUGUUGAUGCUCGUGGCAAGUAUCAUUAUUUUUUGAUCUUCACAGAUGAUUUGAGCAGAUAUGAGUAUAUCUACUUAAUGAAACAUAAGUCUGAAACAUUUGAAAAGUUCAAAGAAUUUCAGAGUGAAGUUGAAAAUCAUCGUAACAAGAAAAUAAAGUUUCUACGAUCUGAUCGUGGAGGAGAAUAUUUGAGUUAUGAGUUUGGUGUACAUUUGAAAAACUGUGGAAUAGUUUCACAACUCACGCCACCCGGAACACCACACCACAAUGGUGUGUCCGAACGUCAUAAUUGUACUUUAUUGGAUAUAGUGCAACCUAUGAUGUUUCUUACCGAUCUACCACUAUUGUUUUGGGGUUAUGCAUUAAAGACAGCUGCAUUCACGUUAAAUAGGGCACCAUCAAAAUCCGUUGAGACGACGCCUUAUGAACUGUGGUUUGGCAAGAAACCAAAGUUGUCGUUUCUUAAAGUUUGGGGCUGCGAUGCUUAUGUGAAAAACCUUCAACCUGAUAAGCUCGAACCCAAAUCGGAGAAAUGUGUCUUCAUAGGAUACCCAAAGGAAACUGUUGGGUACACCUUCUAUCACAGAUCCGAAGGCAAGAAAUUCGUUGCUAAGAAUGGAUCAUUUCUAGAGAAGGAGUUUCUCUCGAAAGAAGUGAGUGGGAGGAAAGUAGAACUUGAUGAGGUAACUGUACCUUCUCCCUUAUUGGAAAGUAGUUCAUCACAGAAAUCUGUUCCUGUGACUACUACACCAAUUAGUGAGGAAGCUAAUGAUGAUGAUCAUGUAACUUCAGAUCAAGUUACUACCAAAUCUCGUAGGUAAGCCAGAGUGAGAUCCGCACCAGAGUGGUACCGUAAUCCUGUUCUGGAAGUCAUGUUACUAGACCAUGACAAACUUGCGAACUAUGAGGAAGCGAUGAUGAGCCCAGAUUCCGCGAAAUGGUUUGAGGCCAUGAAAUCUGAGAUAUGAUCCAUGUAUGAGAACAAAGUAUGGACUUUGGUUGACUUGCCCGAUGAUCGGCAAGCCAUAGAAAAUAAAUGGAUCUUCAAGAGGAAGACGGACGCUGAUAGUAGUGUUACUAUCUACAAAGCUAGAAUUGUCGCAAAAAGGUUUUCGACAAGUUCAAGGUGUUGAGUAUGAUGAGAUUUUCUCACUCGUAUCUAUGCUUAAGUCUGUUCGAAUCAUGGUUAGCAAUUGCCGCAUUUUAUGAAAUCUGGCAAAUGGAUAAACAAAACUGCAUUCCUUAAUGGAUUUAUUAAAGAAGAGUUGUAUAUGAUGCAACCAGAAGGUUUUGUCAAUCCUAAAGGUGCUAACAAAAUGUGCAAGCUCCAGCGAUCCAUCUAUGGACUGGUGCAAGCCUCUCGGAGUUGGAAUAUACGCUUUGAUGAGUUGAUCAAAGUAUAUGGUUUUAUACAGACUUUUUGAGAAGCCUGUAUUUACAAUAAAGUGAGUGGGAGCACUACAGCCUUUCUGACUAGUAUAUGUGAGUGACAUAUUGUUGAUCAGAAAUAAUGUAGAAUUUUUCUGCAAAGCAUAAAGGAGUGUUUUAAAGGAGUUCUUUAAAAGGAAGAAAAACCUCAGUAAAAGCUACUUACAUAUUGAGCUUCAAGAUCUAUAGAGAUAGAUCAAGACGCUUGAUAAGUUUUUUCAAUGAGUACAUACCUUGACAAGAUUUUGAAGUAGUUCAAAAUGGAGCAGUGAAAGAAAGAGUUCUUGCCUGUAUUACAAGGUAUGAAAUUGAGUAAGACUCAAAUCCCGACCACAGCAGAAAAUAGGAAAAAAAUGAAUGAAAAGUCAUUCCCUAUGCCUCAGUCAUAGGUUCUAUAGAGUAUGCUAUGUUAUGUACCAGAACUAUUGUAUACCUUGCUCAGUAUUUGACAAGGGAGUACAAUAGUGAUCUAGGAGUAGAUCACUGGACAUUGGUCAAGAAUAUCCUUAGUGAGGACUAAGGAAAUAUUUCUCGAUUAUGGAGGUGAUAAAAGAGCCCGUCGUAAAAGUUACCUCGGUGCAAGUUUUCACACCGAUCCAGAUGACUCUAAGUCUCAAUCUGGAUACAUAUUGAAAGUGGGAGCAAUUAGCUAGAGUAGCACCGUGCAGAGCAUUGUAGACAUAGAAUAUUUGCAAAAUGCAUACGGCUCUGAAUGUGACAGACCCGUUGACUAAGCUUCUUUCACGAGCAAAACAUGAUCACACCUUAGUACUUUUUGGGUGUUAAUCACAUAGCGAUGUGAACUAGAUUAUUUACUCUAGUAAACCCUUUGGGUGUUGGUCACAUGAUGAUGUGAACUAUGGGUGUUAAUCAUAUACAGAUAUGAAUAUUAGUGUUAAAUCACAUGACAAUGUGAACUAGAUUAUUGACUCUAGUGCAAGUGGGAGACUGAAGGAGAUAUGCCCUAGAGGCAAUAAUAAAGUUAUUAUUUAUUUCCUUAUAAUCAUGAUAAAUGUUUAUUAUUCAUGCUAGAAUUGUAUUUACCGGAAACAUAAUACAUGUGUGAAUACAUAGACAAACAAAGUGUCACUAGUAUGCCUCUACUUGACUAGCUCGUUAAUCAAAGAUGGUUAUGUUUCCUAACCAUGAACAAUGAGUUGUUAUUUGAUUAACGAGGUCACAUCAUUAGCAGAAUGAUCUGAUUGACAUGACCCAUUCCAUUAGCCUAGCACCCGAUCGUUUAGUAUGUUGCUAUUGCUUUCUUCAUGACUUAUACAUGUUCCUAUGACUAUAAGAUUAUGCAACUCCCGUUUACCGGAGGAACACUUUGGGUACUACCAAACGUCACAACGUAACUGGGUGAUUAUAAAGGAGUACUACAGGUGUCUCCAAUUGUCGAUGUUGGGUUGGCGUAUUUCGAGAUUAGGACUUGUCACUCCGAUUGUCAGAGAGGUAUCUCUGGGCCCUCUCGGUAAUACACAUCACAUAAGCCUUGCAAGCAUUACAACUAAUAUGUUAGUUGUGAGAUGAUGUAUUACGGAACGAGUAAAGAGACUUGCCGGUAACGAGAUUGAACUAGGUAUUGGAUACCGACGAUCGAAUCUCGGGCAAGUAACAUACCGAUGACAAAGGGAACAACGUAUGUUGUUAUGCGGUCUGACCGAUAAAGAUCUUUGUAGAAUAUGUAGGAGCCAAUAUGGGCAUCCAGGUCCCGCUAUUGGUUAUUGACCAGAGACGUGUCUCGGUCAUGUCUACAUUGUUCUCGAACCCGUAGGGUCCGCACGCUUAAGGUUACGAUGACAGUUAUAUUAUGAGUUUAUGCAUUUUGAUGUACCGAAGGUUGUUCGGAGUCCCGGAUGUGAUCACGGACAUGACGAGGAGUCUCGAAAUGGUCGAGACAUAAAGAUUGAUAUAUUGGAAGCCUAUGUUUGGACAUCGGAAGUGUUCCGGGUGAAAUCGGGAUUUUACCGGGUUACCGGGAGGUUACCGGAACCCCCCGGGAGCCAUAUGGGCCUACAUGGGCCUUAGUGGAAAGGAGAAAGGGGCAGCCCAAGGGGUCUGCGCGCCUCCCCCCUUCCCCUAGUUCUAUUAGGACUAGGAGAGGUGGCCGGCCACCCCUCUCCCUCUUUCCCCCUUGGGAAUCCUAGUUGGAAUAGGAUUGGGGGGGGGAGUCCUACUCCCGGUAGGAGUAGGAUUCCUCCUGCGCCUCUCUCUCAUGGCCGGCGCCCCCUCCCCCCUUGGCUCCUUUAUAUACUGAGGUAGAGGCACCCCAUAGACACACAAGUUGACACAAGUUGAUCCACGUGAUCUAUUCCUUAGCCGUGUGCGGUGCCCCCUGCCACCAUAUUCCUCGAUAAUACUGUAGCGGAGUUUAGGCGAAGCCCUGCUGCUGUAGUUCAUCAAGAUUGUCACCACGCCGUCGUGCUGACGAAACUCUUCCCCGACACUUUGCUGGAUCGGAGUCCGGGGAUCGUCAUCGAGCUGAACGUGUGCACGAACUCGGAGGUGCCGUAGUUUCGGUGCUUGAUCGGUUGGAUCGAGAAGACGUACGACUACUUCCUCUACGUUGUGUCAUCGCUUCCGCAGUCGGUCUGCGUUGGGUACAUAGACAAUACUCUCCCCUCGUUGCUAUGCAUCACAUGAUCUUGCGUGUGCGUAGGAAUUUUUUUGAAAUUACUACGAAACCCAACACCGUCAUCACGGUCUCCUUCUUGUACCGGCCUUGGGUCACCGGAGCCAUCAUAAUCAUAGCCUUCUUCUUCACCCUGUCCUUCCAGACCAUCGGUGUCGUUGAGAAACGACAAGACGGCAUCACUUCCUUUUGCGAUUAUGUCCCCCAUCAUCGCUUCUGUUGCUUCGUCUCAGGGUGCUCCAUCGUUUCUGCAAAUAUUUACAACAUGGCAAUUAUUAUUCAAACAUGACAGAUGGAUAUAUUAGUGGCAAACGUAGAACUAGCUAGCUAAUCACAAUAAGGAAUCAUAUUAGUGGCCUCGACGCUGCUUCUCUAGGGUUUGGGGUGGCCUCGACAACACUUCAAGGGUUUCGGGUGCCCUCGACGACAACGCUCUUUUAACUUGGUAAAUUUGGGUGGCCUUGAGAGAGUUUGUCGGGUAGGGGCGCGGCGGGAGGGGGUAGGAGACCGACAUCGUUUUUUUCUAGGGUUUGGGGUCCUCGAGAGUUUUGGCCGAGCGAGAGGGCCGGGGAGGUGCUCCCGUGGUAUAAGUUAUCAUGGUCGAGAGGGUGACCCUCGACCCUCGACCCUCUGCCCUAGUUCGCGAUAAAAAAGAAGAAAAAAAAGAGGAGAAUAAGAAGGAAUACAUGAGUAGAAGAAUUCUUCUACUCCUCUAUUCCUUCUUCUUCUCCUCUUUUUUUCUUCUUCUUUCUCUUCUUAUUUUUUCUGACGUCCCCCCUCAUGUAAAUGCGGUGGAAACACUUUAUGAAAAUGCGGUGGUGGCCGAGCCGGGCGGUUUUCUUUUCCUUCUUCAUUUUUUCCUUUGUUUUUUCUUAUAUGUUUGUUUUCGUUUUCGCUCUACAUUUUUGUACAUAUGAAAAAAAUAAAGUUUCUAUGCAAAAGGGCACAAUUUUUAUGAACAAAUUACAACAUCUAAAUUAACUACACAUCUAAAUAAAUAUAACUACACAUCUGAAAUUUUCCUAAUCUUAAAACUAAACUAAGCAUAAACUAAAAUAAUCUAAAAAACAUGUAAAAACAUCUAAAAAUAGCAUCUAAAAACAUCUAAAAAUCUAAUAGUAGCUCGACGCAGGGGCGGAGGGGCACGACGGAGGGGCCGGCGCCGGCGCUGGCGUGGUAGGGCUGGGACGCAGGGGCGCGGGACAGGGGAGGGGCGCGGGAGCAGGCUGGUGGUCAUAGGGGGCGGCAGGGCACGGUGGUCGGCGCGUCGGGGCCGACAGGGGCGAGAGGGUCGACACCGUCGUCGGGGCAGAGGGCGUCAGCGGCGGUGGCGGCGACGUUGUGUAGCCUGACAGCGUCGGGGCGGCGACGUCGAGCAGCCUGACGGUGUCGGUGGCGGCGGCGACGGCAAGGUGGAGCAGGGGCGUCGGGCGGCGACGGCGAGGAGGAGCAGGGGCGUCGGGGGAGAAGAAGUGAUGGAUUUGGUCGAAACUGCUAAGUGUUUUAUUAUAUACCCAGGGCAUUGGUACCGGUUCGUGGCACCAACCGGGACCAAGUCCCGGUUGGUGCCACCAACCGGGACCAAAGGUCUCUUUUCAGCAGCCCAAAGGGCAGGAAGUAGAGGCCUUUGGUCCCGGUUGGUGGCACCAACCGGGAAUAAGGGGGGCAUUUGUCUCGGUUGGUGCCACGAACCGGUACCAAUGCACCGCUUUAGUCCUAGUUCGUACCACCAACCGGGACCAAAGGCCUUGCACAACGGCGUGGUGGUGGGAGUUUAGUCCCACCUCGCUAGUUGAGAGCGUUCGACACAUGUUUAUAAGCUCGGUUGCCUCUUCCCUUUCGAACUCCUCUGAAUUGCAGGCCUGUGGGCCAAAUCUAACACUUCUAUGCCUGUGGGCCUACUGGGCCUUCUGCGGGCCUAAAUCCUGGCCCAUGGAUGGGUUUCUAGUCGUAUUCACGCUGUGGUGGCCCUGCAGGUGGCAAUUUUUUUAUUUUUUCCCAGUUUUUUUCUUUUUUUCUUUCUUUAUUUUGUUUUGUUUCUACUUACAACAAAAUAUUAUUUAUUUUAUUUUAUUUUGUUUCAAGUUACUUAUUUAUUUUAUUUUAAGAUAAUUCUUUUUGCUAUUAAAGUUUCUAACAAAAAAAGUUCAUAGUUUUUGCUAGUUGAAAAGCAUUUGAAAUGAACUCUGAAAAAGUUGACAGUUGGCAUGGUAUCAUCAUUUCGCCCACAUAGCAUGUGCAAGAAAGUAGAGAGAGUUUCGGCAAAAGCAGGAUGCACUUCGUGUACAAAACGGACAAUCUCUUUCAAAGUAUCAGGGUUUCAUACGGAAACUCGUCUGUUACAAAGGGAAUUUAUUUUUUUUGAACUUAUUUGAACUCCAUAGUUUUUCUGCGUUCAAAAUGCACCAUUCAAAGCCACAUCAUCAAUUUUGAACCCUUUCUGACUUCAUUUGUUAUUUGUCAUGCAUUUACUGAUUAUUUUGAGCUAUAAGACCAUGAAAUUGAAAAGCAUUUGAAAUGAAAUUUGAAAAGGUUGAAAGUUGGCAUGGUAUCAUCAUUUCGCCCACAUAUCAUGUGCAAGACAGUAGAGAGGGUUACGGCAAAAACUGGAUGCACUUCGUGUACAAAACGGACAAUCUCUUUCGAAGUGUCAGGGUUUCAUACGGAAACUCUUCUGCUACAAGGGGAUUUCAUUUUUUUGAACUUGUUUGAAAUGCAUAGUUUUUUGUGUUCAAAAUGCACCAUUCAAAGCCAUAUCAUCAAUUUUGAACCCUUUCUUACUUCAUUUAUUAUUUUUCAUGCAUUUAUUGAUUAUUUUGACCUAUAAGACCAUGAAAUUGAAAAGCAUUUAAAAUUAACUCUGAAAAUGUUGAAAGUUGGCAUGGUAUCAUCAUUUCACCCACAUAGCAUGUGCAAGAAAGUAGAGAGGGUUACGUCAAAAAUUAGAUGCACUUCGUGUACAAAACGGACAAUCUCUUUCGAAGUAUCAGGGUUUCAUACAGAAACUCGUCUGUUACAAAGGGAUUUCAUUUUUUUGAACUUAUUUGAACUCCAUAGUUUUUCUAUGUUCAAAAUGCACCAUUCAAAGCCACAUCAUAAAUUUUGAACCCUUUCUGACUUCAUUUGUUAUUUUUCAUGCAUUUACUGAUUAUUUUGAGCUAUAAGACCAUGUAAUUGAAAAGCAUUUGAAAUGAACUCUCAAAAGGAUGAAAGUUGGCAUGGUAUCAUCAUUUCACCCACAUAGCAUGUGCAAGAAAGUAGAGAGGGUUACGGCAAAAACUGGAUGCACUUCGUGUACAACAUGGACAAUCUCUUUCGAAGUAUCAGGGUUUCAUACGGAAACUCGUCUGUUAUAAAGGGAUUUCAUUUUUUUUGAACUUAUUUGAACUNNNNNNNNNNNNNNNNNNNNNNNNNNNNNNNNNNNNNNNNNNNNNNNNNNNNNNNNNNNNNNNNNNNNNNNNNNNNNNNNNNNNNNNNNNNNNNNNNNNNNNNNNNNNNNNNNNNNNNNNNNNNNNNNNNNNNNNNNNNNNNNNNNNNNNNNNNNNNNNNNNNNNNNNNNNAACUCCAUAGUUUUUCUAUGUUCAAAAUGCACCAUUAAAAGCCACAUCAUCAAUUUUGAACCCUUUCUGACUUCAUUUGUUAUUUUUCAUGCAUUUACUGAUUAUUUUGAGCUAUAAGACCAUGAAAUUGAAAAGCAUUUGAAAUGAACUUUGAAAAGGUUGAAAGUUGGCAUGGUAUCAUCAUUUCACCCACAUAGCAUGUGCAAGAAAGUAGAGAGGGUUACGACAAAAACUGGAUGCACUUCGUGUACAAAACGGACAAUCUCUUUCGAAGUAUCACGGUUUCAUACAGAAACUCGUCUGUUACAAAGGGAUUUCAUUUUUUUGAACUUAUUUGAACUCCAUAGUUUUUCUGUGUUCAAAAUGCACCAUUCAAAGCCACAUCAUCAAUUUUCAACCCUCUCAUGAAUAGAUAAGUGACCAAAUUAAUAGAAGUUCAUAAUCACAUUAAAACCAAAGUACAUACAUAGUUCUCAUUGAACAACAUAUAGCUCUCCAGAGCAUCUAAUUAAACCUUACAUUGAAAUUAUGUAAAACAUUUCAAUGCAACAACAAAUGUGAUCAUAAUUGCAACCAAGGUAACAACUGAUCCAAGUGCAUAAUGAUACCAAGCCUCUUUAUGAAUGGCAUAUUUUCUAAUCUUUCUAAUCUUCAACCGCAUUGCAUCCAUCUGGAUCUUGUGAUCAUCGACGACAUCCGCAACAUGCAACUCCAAUAUCAUCUUCUCCUCCUCAAUUUUUUUAUUUUUUCCUUCAAGUAAUUGUUUUAUUCUUCAACUAAAUUUAACCUCUCGACAAUAGGGUCGGUUGGAAUUUCCGGUUCAACCACCUCCUAGAUAAAUAAAAUUGAUGUCACAUUGGUCGGCAUAAUUGUCAUAAACAAUAAAUGAACCAAAUAGUUAUCAAAAGAUAAUAUAUACCACAUCUGAAUCAUAGAUAGGAUGAGGGACGACGGGGGCGGAUACCAAAACCAUCGCACUAUAUAAUAACAAGGAAUAAUAAAAGUAAGAAAAUUAGACAAGUAUCUAUCUGAAGUAAGAAUUUUUUUUCUUUCAGAAAGAAGAUAAGAACAAGAGGCUCACCACGGUGGUGCCGGCGACGAGAUCGGCGCGGGCGAUCGACGGCGGUGAAGACGGGGACGGGACGUGACGGACCGCUAAACCUAGAAAAAUCUCGGGGAAAAUGGAGCUCGGAGGUCGAGUUUCGAGAGGAGAAAGAUUAACUAGUGUGGCUUGGACAUUUCAUCGAACACCUCAUGUGCAUAGGAGGUGAGCUAGAGCACCCAAAUGCCCUCCCCUCGCCGGCCAGAAAAAACAGAGCACUGUGGAGUGCUCUGCUGUUGCGAUGGGGUAUAUAGGCAACUCAUUUGUCCCGGUUCGUGGUAGAAACCGGGACUAAAGCCAAGAAAUAUGUCCUGGUUCAAGCCACAAACCGGGACCAGUGGUUGUGGGCCAGGAGAGAGGACCAUUGGUCUUGGUUCGUGCCUGGAACCGGGACAAAUGGGUCCAUACGAACCGGGACCAAUGCCCAUGAGGCCCCGGCCGACCCCCUGGGCUCACGAACCGGGACGAAUUCCCCCAUGGGUCCCGGUUCAUGACUGAACCGGGACUAAUGGGCUGGCCAGGCCCGAAUGAAAGCCCUGUUUUCUACUAGUGCCUUGUCGAAGCCACACAAGCACUUAGGCCCGUGCCAUGUGUUUCCACGCCCAUAAGUCGGUCACUAUCAGCAUCACGCUCCUACGUCGUCGUCGCCGAUCCCACCACCGUCUUCUGUACCAACCGACUUACGUCGAUCCCGUCAGACUGCCUAGUCUGACCCAGCCGAACUCGUUCGACUGUAUGACACGCUCAAGGCUCCCAAAUCGUCUUCCACGAAAUUUCCAUCCGUCACAAGAUAAUUCCAUCUCAGCUGACAUGACUUCAUGCAACGCCUUCACGCAUCCUUGUUGUGCCAACAAAUUUUUCACUCAUGUCUUCCAUGACCCAAGGUUUUUAGUUCCGCAAACUUCUCCACCUCAAACCUAGUACCCGUUUGCGCCAUGGUUCUUUGUACGACUGACCCUGCAAAAAAUUAUCCAAGCUUUCUUCUCACACAAUGCCCAAGUACACGAUGUUGUACUACUAGCAAAUUCCAACCAAAACUUAUGGACACCGAUAACUGCCACACAUGUGGUGUAUCAGGUGGUUGUGCCGCACGCCUCGUGUGGCAUGGAGAAGAACCCGCCCGCACGACCGUCUCCAGGCGCGCGCAGCCACAGCCCGCAUGUCCGGUGUGUGGCAAAACCACCCACACGUCCGGGCCAAACGACCGCGCUGCCCGCACGACCGUCUCCAGGCGCGCGCAGCCACAGCCCGCAUGUCUGGUGUGUGGCAAAACCACCCACACGUCCGGGACAAACGACCGCGCUGCCCGCACGACCCAGCCGUCCCGGCCUCCUUUCGAUCCCCAGUCCGAACUGCCGCCAUCGUCUCCCACCUCUCGAUCCCCUACCUCCAUCGCCGCCCUUCUCUAGUUGCCAUGGCAACCAGAGCAAAUCCAUAACACCACACGGAUUUGUGUGUAUUCGCAUUUGCCAACCAACAUACGCCAGAUCUGCCAUGUACUAUGCUAGAGUUGAGCUAAGGUUCUCGGCUGGCUUGGUGCAAGUAGUUGGUAAUGAAGGACGCGUAGGAAUCCCUAAAAAAGGAAGAGAAAGGAGAAAUUUGGCAUAAGGGGGUAGGAAAAAUAGUUGCCACUUGUGUCUAACAUCAGUUGCCACCUAUCAUUGUCGUUAAGUGCCACCAUGUUAACCUGUUGCUUGCCAUCCUAUUUUAGUGGCUUUUGCCAUCGCUUCAAAAUGAUAGCUGGCACCCAAAUUUCAGAAAAGAUAGUGGAUGUGCAUGUCCUACUUGCCAUGAUGUGUUGGUUGCCUAUGCAGGAAAUGUGAUAAGAUUGCCGUGUUAUCUUCUACGUGCAAACAGCAAAAAAUGCAUUUUUUGUGGAUUGUUGAUGUGUUCUUGUUCAUGCAGUGACUGAGAACACAUUGGCAGAAACAAAACACAGAAGAAUGAAUCACGAAGACGGCACUGAUCCUUGGGUUUCUCAAAGGCCAGAAACACCCCCUUGGGAUGCAACAGAGUACAGUCAACUCAUUUCGGCAGGGCCGUUGCUGCCACUACUAGAGCAGUACGCAGGCAUCGGUAUGAUGCAUGAUAAAAAAAGAACAUUUGCCAUGUUCGCGACGAUGAAGAUGACAUUCUACUUAUGUCCUACAAUGUCAUUUUUCGUAGGUUCUUAUGACCAAAACACAUUCAGGGGGGCACCAUAGCAAGUUCAGUCACAGGGCCUAACACUGACAAAUGUACAGGCAACCAACUUUAAGUAGCUAAUGUGGCAAAUCAAGGUAACGCAUACGAAAAAAAUGUAGGACCUUCAUGCAGCACGUGCCAUCAGGCGGCAACCAUGUACCUGCCAUCAACGUCAUACACAGGUGAGACCAUAAAAGUGAAGUUGCGGACAGUGAACUAGCAGAAGGAACAUAGCUGACAACUGUAGUUGCCAUGCCUGGACAACUGCAGUUGCCAUGCCUGUACAGAUUUAGUUGCCAUGCCUGGACAACUGCAGUUGCCAUGCCUGGACAACUACAGUUGCCAUGCAUGAUCAAAUGUGAUUGCAAUGUCUAAACAACCAUGGAUGACAAGUGUGAACAAAUCUGUGCGGCAUGAUUGGACCACUACAUAUGCCAUGUUGAACAAACUACAGUUGCCAUGCAAUGACCAAUUGCUACCAUGAUCACAGGUUGUUACGGUGGGACUACAUCGGCAAACGUCUCAUGGCAAGCUUCACAGUUGCAGGACAACGCUACUGCAGAUAGAGCACAUCAAAUUGGAAUGACAGACCACACAAGAUCGGCACAUGCGGCACAACAAGGUAAAACAAAUUUGACCCAGAAAACAAUACUGCAUUUGUUUUUGUGGGAAUAGCAUGUGAGGAAAAUAAGAUUUGUAACAGUGGUGGUGGAAAAAACAAACAGAAAAUGCUACCAAGUGGUCGUGUGCAGAAAAGUCAUAUAUUGUCUUCAGGAUUUGCCAAUUGCUAAAAGAGUGUGUGCAACACUAAUGAUUGGUCGCAUUUGCCUAGUGAGCUCAAGCCUAGAAUACAAGUUUUGAUGAUAUAAUAUACUGGUUGCCAUGUAUUGGCAGCAGUAGUUGCCAUGUAUGUUGGACUGCAGCUGCCAUGGAUAUAGAAUCCAAGUUUUGGUACAGAAAGAAGAUGGUUGCCAUGCAUUGGCAAUAGUAGUUGCCAUGUUUGUUGGACUAUAGCUGCCAUGACUGGAGAACUACAGUUGCCAUGCAUGUCCAUAUGCAGACUCAUGGCUUGCUGUGUGAAUGAUGUCAUGCCAAAUCACAUGCAGUUGAUGUACUCCGUUACGAUAAACAUGCCAUUCAAGCAAAAUCUUACGCUCAUACUAUUUUUUUAUUGCAGGACCUUCAAAUACAAUCAACAGCGGUGCGGGGACAUCUACUGCGGGGAGCUCUGAGCGCACGGAAGACGCGUUCCACCAGCCAGCCAACAAUCAUGCCACAAACAAUGCCGAGUCAGUGUCGGAAAUGGCAAUCGUUCCAACAAUGCCUACAAGCACACCUUUGAACACCAGCACAAGCAACACUCGAGUAGAUGAAACAGCCGCCGAUACUGAAGUGAAUGAUGAAACUGAUGACAAAGCACAAGGGGAUGAAGAUGGUGGGCAAUCAGAAAUCAUGGUACCUCAGCCACCGUACGUUGGACAGAGAUUUGAUUCGUUCGCAGAAGCAAAGGAAUUCUACAAGACCUAUGCAAAGUUCCAUGGGUUUGCGGUCAACACCAAAUACCAUAGGAAAAUUAAAAAAACUAACGAGUACAAUAGAGGUGAGAUGAGGUGCUAUAAGGUACGAAAGAACAAGAAGGGUAAAGGUGUUGCGCCUGUCGUUCCAGAACGAAAGAGAGGUAUCAUUCUCAAGACGGAAUGCCCUGUCCGGUGUAAGCUGAACAUAGAUGGAGCACGGUGGGUGGUCACUGAAUAUUUUGACGAGCACAACCACGAACUCACAAAGAAGUUCGACCUGGUAAAAUUUCUGACCGCCCAUAGAGGAUUCACCCCCCUCGAGAAGAAAUUCAUAAAGCUGCUACAUGAUUGUAACGUCAGUCCAUCAAGAAUGGUCCAGAUACUAUCCCUCAUCCACAGCAAAAAUGGGACUCUGAGUAGCAUGCCCUAUAUACCAGCUGAUGUCACAAACCUAAAGGCAAAGUACCAUAGAGAGAGCAAGUUGGCUGACAUAGAAGCUACGAUGGCCUACUUCGAUGAGAAAGCGAAGGAAGAUCCAGAUUUCUUCCACAUGAUAAGAUUGGACGAUGAGAACCGUGUCAGGAACAUGUAUUGGGUGGAUGGUGCUGCAAGAAGAGCCUACAAACAUUUCCGAGAUUGCAUUUCAUUCAACGCGACAUAUCUCACUAAUAUGUACAAGAUGCCAUGCGCUCCAUUCAUGGGAAUAAAUAACCACAAUCAGUCAUUGUAGUUCGGAUGCGGGCUCGUUCGGAACAAAGACACGGAUGGGUACACUUGGCGGUUCAAGACCUUCUUGGAGUGCAUGGAUUGACUUGCUCCGAUGAACAUAAUAAUAGACCAGGAUUUUAGCAUGCGUGCAGGCAUGGAGGAGGUCUUUCCGUUGGCGGUGCACAGGCACUGCAGGUGGCACAUUAUAAAGAAGGCUGAGGAGACGCUAGGACCAUUCUUUGCAGACCGUCCAGAGCUGCACAAGGCAUUCGAGCUGUGUGUGGACCACAGCUUGACGGUGGAGGAGUUUGAAAGGAGCUGGAUGGGCAUGAUUGAAACAUAUCAAGUCCAAGACAACGAGGCGCUUGCUAGCCUGUGGGAGAAGCGAAUGUACUGGGUGUCGGCCUACUUCAUGUAGUGCUUCUUCUCGUUUCUGCAGACUACGCAGCGCAGCGAGGGGUUCAAUGCUGUUUUGAAGCGGUAGGUGAGCCCUGGCAACUCAUUGCUACAGUUUGCCAAGCAAUACACCGCUUUGCAACAAAAAAUACUGGGAUCUGAGCUACAACAAGAAGCGAACACCGUGCUAAAGCAGCCAAAAUUGCUAAUGUACUUACCGAUGGAGAGGCAGAUGAGCAAGAUAUACACCAACAAGAUCUUUAACAAGUAAGUCAGUUGUGUUACAAUCUUAUUUGCACAAGCAUGAAGGUAGUAGGUGCCAUGUAGAAUGCAAUGCAGUUGAAAAGCUUAUUUGAAAAUGAUGAUUUUUUGAAAGGUAGCCAUUGAGUACAGAGUAACCAUGAUAUGUAGUUGCCAUGUUUAAUGAACUACAGUUUGCCAUGUUUAAUGAAGUACAGUUGUCAUGUUUACUCAAAUGCAGUUGCCAUGUUUGAUGAACUGUAGUUGCCAUGUUUAAUGCACUGUACUUCCAUUGGGCAUGAUGGUAUGGAAAUGCAAAUGCCGAUUAAAGAUGUUAUGCAAGUUGCCAUGUUUAAUGAAUUGCAGUUGCCAUGUUUAAUGAAUUGUAGUUGCCAUGUUUAAUGAACUGCAGUUGCCAUGUUUAAUGAACUGCAGUUGCCAUGUUUACUCGACUGCAGUUGCCAAGUUUAAUGAAAUGUAGUUGCCAUGUUCAAACGAAAUGUACUUAUAUUGGCCACAACAACAUAAGGUGCUACAAAAAACAUCACACAAGAGUUUAACAAAACCACACAAAACUUGCAGAUUUCAGGAAGAGAUAAAGUGUGCCAGCAUGUACAUGGCUUUCCAGUUGGACGAACAUACGUUCAAGGUGUGUUCUAUCUUGGGCAUGUCGGAUUCAGAACCUGAGACCCGGACAAGGGAAGGAACUACUUCGUGAAGGCCUCGAUAUGCAAAGGCAAAUACUACUGCCAAUGCUGCAAAUUCAAACGGGAUGGCAUUGUGUGUUGUCACAUACUAAAAGUAAUGGACAUGAACGCAGUGACACGAAUGCCCCGCCAUUUAAUAAGGCGGCGAUGGACUUGGGACGUUGACGACGCAUUGGCGCCGCAAACAUCAAACACAGUCAACCAUGACGAGAGACCGGAGUCAACCAUAGAAGCCAUGAGGCAUGUUGUGUUGACAAAGAACUAUGCUGAACUAACUAAUGAAGCCUGCAAGAGUGAUGAGACAGCGAGGGUCGCAGAAAAACACAGGAAGGCCCUGAAAAGAGAGCUUGAUGAAAUCAAUAAGAGGAAAGCGGAGGAAGCCUUACACAGGUUCACCAGCACAUCAAGUGUGCCUUCGUCCAUGGGGCCAUCAUCUGGAAACUCGGAGAUAGGAUCUGGAACAGCAAGCACACAAACCCAGGUCUGGAACCCGCCCCGUUCCAUCACAAAGGGGCGUCCAAAAGAGAUAAGAUACAAAUCGGGAUUGGAGAUUUAAGCAAAACACAAGAAAACAAAGAAAGGGACGGGCAAUCCGUAAGCAACAUUGGAGCACUGUGACAUGGUCCUUGGUGAGAUGUUCUAAAAAAUUUAAAAAUGGGAGAAUGACUCUUGAGGGGCAUCAGAAUUUGAAGGAAAGUGCCAUGAAUGGAUAAAUACAGUUGCCAUGUGUAUGGUACUUAAUUUGCCAUGUCUUUUAUACUGAAUCUGCCAUGUUAUUUAUACUGAAUCUGCCAUGUUAUUUUCUACGGAAUCUGCCAUGUUAUUUUCUACUAAAUCUUCCAUGUUAUGUAUACUGAAUCUGCCAUGUUAUGUAUACUGAAUCAGCCAUGUUAUUUAUAUUGAAUCUGCCAUGUUAUUUAUACUGAAUCUGCCAUGUUAGUUCUACUGAAUAUGCCAUGUUAUUUGUAAUGACUCUGCAUCACGUAGAUUUUCGUGUUCAGUCAACGCAUUUUAGUCACACAUAUUGUAUUAUGUGCAAACUAUGGGAAACAAGUUGAAAGGGUCACGUGCAGCAACUGCAAAAAGGUUACAGUUAGCAAUGAAAAAAAGAACCAAACAGACAAAUGAAAAAGGAUGAUAACUUUCACUAACCAUGUCUGAUGAACUACAUUUGCCAUGUUUUCAAACAUCGUAGACGCAUUCGAAACACCAAACUGGAGCUACCAACGAUGAAAGCAUAAUAUUAAUGAAAAACAUAAACGUAUCUACUGUCACACCUAAAUAGAUUCACAUCCACACAUAUAUUACAGAAAAUAUUCAAAUGUCGCUCACACACCACCACUACAUACUAGGCUACACGGAGAUGCAGUCAUAACAUAGUACAUGGACAUAGUUUUGAAAGGAACAAAGGUAAUACCUUACAUUCCUAGGCAACAGAAUGUAAGUUAGGCAUUUGAUAUGGAGCACCACGUGAUCACUUGUACUUCUUGGUGACUUUCUUGACAGCUUCCUCUAUGAACUCACGUGCAUUGGACCGCGUGUUAAAAUCUUCAUUUGUCAACCAGUUCCAUGUGUAAAUUUUGCGGAGCUCAAUGAACAUUGCAGCUGUGACGACAGGAACUAGUCUACCUUCCCACUUUGCAAGGUAUUCCAACGUGUGAAAGCCACAGUCCUGCCUGUACAAGAAAAGAAUCAGGUGAACUCACAAGAACAGAGAUAAAAAUAAUAAACUUCAAUUCAGAGGUGACAAGAGGGUUAGCAUUGGUGUAGAGGACACAUGAAGAAAGAGAUGGGAAAAUACCAAUUUCCUUGCUUCAAAGUCACCACGUACUCAAUUGGAAAAUGUCUGAUUUAGACUUUUGGGUGUUCGUUGUGACGGUUCCAUGUCUCUUUGAGGUUGUUGAUGAAUUAUUCAGCAUGCGUAGUAAGGUAUGCAUCAGCUGCCGAACGCAUUGAAUCAAGCACCUCAAAAUGUUGGUUAUUCAGGUCAAGGCAGAUCGCGUAGUGGUGACCACACUUGUCAUGUAGGUCGUGUGGUGCAAGCUCCUGGAACAUGGGGAAAGAAGAAGGACAGUUCACAUGAAGAACAGAAAUGGUGUAAUUGGGAAAAUGACGUGUAAGGAUGUCACCGAUUGCAGUAAGAGGCACAUGAGUGACAUACAGCAGCAAGGGGCCAAAAAGUAGACCCACAUAGAAUGUUUAAUUAUAGUGGGUAAUUAAAAUAAGUUGCCAUCCAUGUAUAAACAGAGUUGUCCUGUAUUUUAGUUUGAAGUUGCCACAUAGUUUGUACGGGGAUACAAAUCAAAAGUCAGUUUACAUGGCAGUUGUUGCCACGUGAAACAGUUGUCACAUAAAUAGGGUGUAGCCCACAUGUGAAGCAUAUCUACUGGCAAAAACAUACCAUGGGAGGAAAAAUAUGCAAAAAAGGAUGGAGUACUCACACAUUUUUUCAUUGUGAGCUUGAAAUCACCAUGCGCAGCAAAAUGCUUCCUCAGGAUUUUGUGGUGGAAGUCACCAUCCCAUAUUUUGCAGGUCACACUGUAAUGCAUGCUUAUUUUAUCGGGAGACAUAUCCAUAUGCUUGUUGAUGAAGUCAAUCCCACAUGCAACUACACUCGUCGACAUUUUACCGACUGGCCUCACACACUCGGCAAGAUCACCCAGGUCGACGUACGUCGGUUCGCAUUGUAUGAUCUUGAUUCUGUCCAAACAUGAGUUGUAUGAAAAUGAUAUAACAUGAAAGAAUCAUGUCUACUAAGUAAAAAAAACGUAAACGGAUCAUAUCUAGAAAUAGCAAAAAGAGGAAUGGUAAAAAGAGCAAAGCAAAAUGAGAGGUUAUGUGGUGUGGUCAUUACGCUUUCAGCUCCUUCAUGUGCUUGCUGCUGGCCCUCGCGUUUCCAAAGCACUUGACAAUAUCGUACAGCUGGUUCUGCUCCUUUGUGGCCUUGACUUCGGGCUCGUAGUCAUCCACGGGAGGUGCGUGAACUACCCUAUGCUGCCUCACAGAACCAGGGGUUGCACUUCUAAUGGUAUCCUCAGAUACCGUCUCAGCAGGCACGUUGGAACUUGAUUGCCCCUAACCUCGUGAGGACCUCCUCUGCAAUGCUGCCUCCUCAAUCCUGCGGUAAGCUUCAUCAGGUGACGGCGAAAUCUCCUCAGGGGUGCCUGCAAGGAUCAAAAAGGGGGUUAGGAUACCUGGAAAACAAAACAAAUGUAGUGUGAAAGAAAGGGUGCAGGAUAUGAAAUGUAGGUACAAAAAGUAGGGAGUUGCCAUGUGGAGGAAACUCCAGUUGCCAUGUGUAGUGCAUUGUAGUUGCCAUGUGACAACAACUACAAUUGCCAUGUUGUAUCAACUCCAGUUGCCAUGUGGUUGCCGAAUGGAAAAUGCAGCAUGGCAACAAAAAUGUAGGUGACAUUGUGCAGCAAAUCCAGUUGCCAUGUCAUCAGAUAACAGUUGACAUCACAAGUGAGAACCAAAAAAUGCUUGGGACAAAUGUUAGACUAAAAAGAUGUAUACAAGAAAAUGAUAAACGCAGAAGAAAUGUACCUUGCACGAUCGGCUCUGCGAACUUGACAGCCUUUCUGCCCUCGACCAUUGUCUGCGCCAUCAUUGUGGCCAUGCCUGCCGGGAAAGCAAAAGCAACUGGCGUAGUACUUGCACCACUGGUUGAUCUUGACUGAUGUCAAGGCUAAAGCUCGGUGGGGUGAAGGCAAUUGGGUGCCUCUCCUGCCUACUGGCCGGACCGCGAACAACUUGCUGGGCAGAAUCCAAGGGUGAAAGAUCAACAAACAUUUCUGAAUCGGCCGCUCCAGAAUCAUCGGGCUUAUUCGUAGGGUGUGGCGUGUUGUCAGCGGUAUCAGUCGCAGCUUUCUUGACAAUCUUCUUGUUUGGGCUGUAGGGGACACCAACGUUGACUGGGAGCUUAGAAGUGCACAAAUUUAAGCUGGAGUUAUCCACUCCGGGUAAAGACACAGUUUGCUCCAGACGUUCACCUCCGCCAGUCGUGCCUGGCUUGCCACCUGUAUCAGUUGUACUCCGGUCUUCCGAUUUCUCCAUAACAUUGCUUUUGGCAGGCGGUGGGAAUAGUGUGGAUGCAGGAACAUAACUAGAGUCAUCUCUGCUGCUCCUAGAUACAGCCAGUGCGUUGGGUAUGUCUGUUGAUUUCUUGCGGGGGCUACGACGCCUAGGUGGAAGGCCAGAUUGCGAAACGGUUGCCUUAGCAACCUCUGCACCACCAGGAGCUGGAGCUGUUGUGCCAAGACUCUCACCUGUGGAUGGCAUAUCAUUAUGAAUUGUCGCCUCAGCUACUUCUGUCGUGGACAUAGAAUUGCCACCACCCACGCGCUUGGAAUCCGUGUCAAAUGAGCGGGAAUCUUCCUUGCUUAGGUUGGUCUCGGGGGCGUCCACUUCAACACUUGCUGAUGGGGUGGCAUGGCUCACAGCAGCAUCCUUCAUUGCCAGCAGAGUGGGCAAUAUUUCAGCAGUCCUGGCAGAUACCGACUCAUCACUCCCAGAUGUACGGGUGCCUAUUCUUGUAGCCUGCACAUCUGCAACCGGCAGAGAUGGUCGGCCGCUUGCGUCAGAGCUAGUGGGAAUAGUUGAUGGUGCAUCAGCGGUUUUGUUGACUGGCGCCUCAUGAACAUCUGAGUUGCCACCUGUCAACAACUUUGAAUGAAGGCGUUCGAGUGGGUCCCUAAUGAUCUGCUUGGUCACGCGUGUAGUAGUCUUCUUCACCCUGCAAAGAAAAAGCACAUGAAAAUUAUUAAAAAUGAACAAAAAAUAUUUGCCAUGGUAGCCAUCUUAAAAAAUGGAAAAAAUGUGUGAUGUGCCAGGGCUGCCAUUCCAAAACUAGGUAUGGAUGAGCACACAAGCCAAUGGAAAGCUGGUAGUUGCCAUGCAGGUGGAAUAAGAGUUUCCAUGUGGCAUAGUUAGUAGUUGCCAUGCAGAACAAGCAGGAGUUGCCAUGGUAGCCAUCUUGAAAAAUUAAAAAAAUGUCUGAUCUGCCAGGAAUGCAAUUUCAAAACUAGGUAUGGAUGAGCACACAAGCCAAUGGAAAAGAUGGUAGUUGCCAUGUAGGUGCAAUAAGAGUUGCCAUUUGGCCUAGAUAGCAGUUGCCAUGCAAAAACAAGCAGGAGUUGCCAUGCAGUUAAAAGAAAGAGAUCAUUGGAAAAACAGCAGUUGCCAUGUGGGACUGAUGGCAGUAGCCCAUGUGGCAAGCUGAACAGCUGCAUUGAAAAGCAAAAAUAUAGCACUAUGGCAAUGAAAGAACAGGGAUAACCUACUUCUUGACUGGCUUCCUCAUGUCUGGCAACACGACAGGAUCCCCGGUGUUGGACGUCGUCGUACGAGGAGAUGACCUGGUGGAAGGGGUGUCACCAGCAAUGGGGGCACCUUUGUUCAAUCGAGCAGAAACACAGGUUGGCGUUGGUGCUUGUUUCUUCGUAACUGCUCGUCCACCAGCUGUCGCCUCACUGCAUGUAUAAGAAAGUGGCAAAAAAAGGUGCCAAGUGUCAGACACGAAAAUCAUUGCCACGCUUAGCAAAACGAAUGCAAAAAAGGGUCACUCUGUUCAAAAAGAUAGACAAAACAAAAAACUAAAAUAGAAGUCGAACCUCCCCCUAGCAGCUACGGGAUCGGUCCUAGACCUCUUGCCAGGAGAGCCCUGCCCAACAUCCUUUGGAGCCCUCCCCCUCUUUGAGGGCGACACCCCCUUGCCUCUCGCAGCUGUAUGUUCUUUGACUUUCUCCGGUGAGGGGACAUCUGGUGCAGCCUUGCCCUUCUUACCACCUGCACGAACUUCAACAUGUUCAUCAUCGUCAGUGUCGUGCUGCAUGUUCUCCAUGUCAUCGUCAUCGUCCUUGUUGAGAGCAGCAUCUCCAUCUAGUUCAUCUUGUGUGUCAGGAAGCUCCUGGGAAUUGUUGUAGUUGUACCGGCCACGGCAACCAGUUGGCCGAUGUGUCCGUUCUGCAACAAAUGUAGUGAACUGCCUCACAACCGCGUCUCUGUCAGAGCCAUUAAGGGACAUCCAACCCUCAACCAACUUCCCGAGCAAGCUGGUCAUUCCGGAUGCAAACUGCCCAAUUAGAUGCUCAACAGGUGCCCUCGCCUGUGCAUGAAACAAGAAGCAGCAGUAACCAACCAUAUUAGAGUCACGUGCACAAGAUCAAAAUAAACCAAAGCAACCAUAUAUAUAUAUCCUUGAUUACCUCAGUAGGACAAGACGGAGCUGAGUGCAUGUCCAUCCACUUUCCAAAGUUUUGGGGCCCCCCAAACAUGCUGUAGUCUAUAGCAUGCUUGGCCAUCAGCUGGAAAUAACCAAAAAACAGCUAGGAUGUAAGAGAGAAACUAACUAACAGUUCAUGUAUUGCAAAAAAAAGAGGAAGAGAAUAGAAGUUUCAGCAUGGAUGACAGAUUUGCCAUGUGGCGUGGGACAUGGAUACCAUGCGCAGACAGCCAUGGCUAACAAGGUAGUCAUCUCUUGUUAGCCACAAACGGUUGCCAUAUGAGGAUUUUUUUUUUCAUAUGUUAUGCAGCAACAAAAUUGAAAGAAUGCUGUGUAAAGAAAGAAACCAGAACUAACCUGUAGUUUCCCAUAUUUCGUAUCAGUUACCCUGUCUGCAGCAAGCACAGCCUUGACAGCAUCGUAAGUCCACGCAGAAACAGCAAACUUGUGUGUAGGCGGCGGGCCUCCUGUCCCAGUGAAGUCCACGGUGGAUAGGUCAAGACAAUCGACGUACAUGAGCUGAUGUACAACAAUUUAAAAAGGAAAAGAUAUCAGUUGCCAUCAUGGUAUUUUGCAAAAACAAGCUAAUGUAUGUUCCUUCAAUCAUCAAGUCGAAGGGGAUGAAAAGAAAGAAAAAGUUGCCAUCUAUCUGUGUUAGUUGCCAUCAUGGUGUGCUGGCAGUUGCCAUCUUGUUAUGAUGUUAGUUGCCACAAUGUCACCAUCAUGGUUGCCAUGCAUAAUCAAGGUGUGAAGAGUGUUUGCAAAGGACUAGUAAAAAAUACCAUUAAAUGGAGUCGACAACCCUUCUGGUACUUGUUUGAGAAUGCAUCAUGUAGGAAGUCCGCAAUGAACUUACACCAAUUCAUGGUCUUCACAUCUUUCAGUUUCGCCUGCAUGGCACAAAUUUCAGGACAAGAAGUUGCCGCAUCAGAAAUAAAAUGAAAAAACAUCAAAAUAGCUGCCAGUGACUAGCUUACACAUGACAUCGGAGCCAAAAGAUUGAAGGAAAUAAAGGAGUAGAGAUAGAUCAUUCACCAAGAUGGGGAAGCAUUAGUUGCUUGGGCGAAGAGAAGUGGUCGGUGCAAAAACAGCUGAGAUUAGGUACAUGAGUAGCUUCACCUUAAGAACCUCGCCAUGGCUUGUCAUGGCCUCCAGCGAAUUUGCCAGGAAAGUCGUGUUCGACAUGGAUGCCAUCCCAGGAAACAAACGGGCAAACAACGUUUCUUCGAUCUUAUUAUUGACCUCAUAUGGGACUUUGAUUUCUCCACGGGGCACACCCAAAGUGCAGAACACGGAUUCCUCGUCCAACGGCAGUCUUCCAUGUCUCGGAAUCACAAAUUCCCUGGAGGCAGGGUCGUAAAUAUCACCAAGCCAGUCGCAUACAGGGUUCACUAGAUUCUUGCACCGGACAUCCAUCAGAGCCUGCAUACCCAUCUCAGCAGCAGCUCCCUUCUGAUCGUCGGUAAAUCUCUCGGUCAAUGAAGUCAGGCGUUCCUGUGAAGCCCUAUUGCGAUUACGUUUCUUCUUCUGCAAAACAGACAAAUGAUCAUUUAUUGCCAUGUUUUCACUAUCAUGAAAAUUUAGUUCCUAAUAGAUGAUUGCAAACUCAAUGUGACAUUCAAAACAUAUGGGGGAGGAGGGGUGGACAGUUACCUCAUCACUGUCUUUUGUCCGUCCAGUUGCCCGAUUCUGCUGCGGUACAUCCAUGAAAUCAUCAUCAUCGUCUUGAUGAUCGCCGCGAGCCAUUCUGCUGAGGUAAGAACAAACCAAAAUGUCAGGGUGAAAAUUAAAAGUAUGAAGUAAGCAGUUGCCACCUAACAGAAUGUACUUGCCACAUGGGCUCAAUUGAAAGUGGCAAAUAGUGAAGGCAAUAUCAUAUGAACACACACACACCCUAUGAUUGUCAAACCAUAAAUGUGGCAACUAAAUACAUUGGCUUCAUUUGAAAAAUGUACAAAUCAUAAUGCACUUAAAACAAAAUGUUGAAGUUGCCAUGUUAGCACAAGAUAGUACGAAGAAAGGCACAAAUCUUCCACUGCACAAACAUAUAAUGUGGCAACUCACACCCUGUCCUCAUACAAAAAUGAGUUGCCAUGUGUUCAAAGGCAAAAUGUGCUAGGUUGAAAUUGCCAUGUUAAAAUGCAGAACAAUUGAAAAAGAGUUGAAAACAUCUUCUGAACAACCUGUAAUGGCAAUUCACACACUGACCUCAUAUUAAAAAUGAGUUGCCAUUUAAUACGGCCAAAUAUGUUCAGAUAUCACAAGUCAGCGUGGCAAAACACAAAAUUGGGUCUAUAAUACAGUGCAUUUGCCACAUUAUCAUGCCUACAUCAUGGCAACAGCCAUAGUUCACAGAAAUACUUGCCACAUGGAAAGCAUAUUUGUGGCAACUGACACAGUUGAUCAGGAAAUUAGUUGCCAUCCAGUGCACGUAGUUGCUGAAACUGCCAUGACUACCUAUUUAAUACACUUUAUCAUGCCUACAGCAUGGCAACAGCCAUAGCAUGUGCACAAAAUUAGUUGCCACAUGGAAAAUAUAUUUGUGGCAACUGUCAAAGUUGAUCAGGAAAUUAGUUGCCAUACAGUGCAGAUAGUUACUGAAACUACCAUGUCUACCUUCAUACUGCACUUUGAAAAACAACAACCUAGAUCUAGGGUUCAUUGGCAACUAUCAUAACCUAAAAUUCAUCAACAAAAAUCUUCCUGCACUGAUCGCAAAUAGAAUUUCGAGACAAUACAUAACUAACGCUAGAAAAACGCCGGCCCAAUCCCAAGGCAGAACCAGGAUGUGGCUGCGCACAGGCCGAACCACAACGGCAUGACCGCCGCUGCGGCGGCGACGAAACUGCUCGAUGCCAUCGAAAACGGCAAGCACAAGACUCCGCCGCCAGCGGGAACGCCGGCGCAUCGCGAACCGCCUGCAUCUCGAUGAAUCUCGAGCGGAACAUCGACCACGGAGGAGAGGGGAGAAAUGCAGGCAAGGACUUUGAGCGUGGGAAGGAGCAUUACCUUCAAUCUGCAGGCGCUCCGGCGAAGAUGCUCCGGUCCGGCGAGUCCCACCGACGGUCGUGAAUGUCGUCGACUCUUCCGCCUCCGCCGUCGCCUUCUCCUCUCGCCUUCUCUUCCAAUCAACUGAACUGCGGGGUGGGUUGUGCGAGUAAUGAAGUGGAGAGUAAAUGGAACCGUGAGGGGAGGGGGGGCGAAGUGCGCGACGUGGUUGACGGCAACUGCAGUCGGGCGUGGUAUGCGGGCGCAAAGCAGUUCCACCGAACACCCCCGAGUGGCAACCGUUGACCGCGGGGAGGCAACCGGCGUGUGGGCGAACUCUCUCACACAUCACACAUGCGACUUGUCCUACGUGGCACACAAAAUCAGCCAAAACGUGCCAAGAUUCGUGCAAAAACUGCUGAACGGUGAUGGAGGCGUGUGGUUGAGUUGGCUAACGCCCACGCGUGUGGGUGUUAGUGUUUCCGAAACUUAUUUGGCCUUCACGUGAUCGCUCGGCUCCUUGCACAUAACUCCGAUGCUAGCUUUCCUUUGCUUUGCCCUAAGCCUUCCCAAUGGAUUCGUAUCAUGUAUCAAUGGAUUUCAUCUUUCCGGUGAUUGAUGCUUGCCCAUCUCUGUGUCACGUGGAGACUCAGUCUCCCUUUUGGUCCAAACAAAUCUCCUACCCUGUACGCCAGCGCCUCCACAUCGCUAGCGGCCACCUUGGCCUGCCACCGCUAACCCAUAUGAUCCAGCCCACUGACCACGCUGGCCCCGCUUGGGCUUCAGCCCACCUGCACGCACGGCUGCACAGGGCAUAUACCCAACCGAUCUCGAUAACGAUCGAUCUACUCCAUUGCCUGCACGUUCCGCCGCCGCCGCUACGCCAACGACUUAUCUCGCCGAACCGAUCACUCCUGUUUCGGACCAGAUCGUCUUGCUGCUCCUUGCUGUCAUGUCCCACACGAUUGCUGAGACAAGAUUCCGCCGACUAGGCCAUCGACCAGCUUCCGCAACCACGAUCUCUUCAAAACCUCUCCUUUAGAUCAACAAUCCACAACCUCCAGAUAACCUAGCUCUGAUACCACUUGUUAGAAUAAAUUUGAGGUAUACUGUCGAUCAUCCGAGGACCAAACAAUCACACGAGCACGACACCGAGAUUUGUUAACGAGGUUCACCGACAUGGCUACAUCUCCGGGGCCUGACUACGGGCGCUCCUCCUCGUGACACCAUCACAAUACCACACAACGGCCACCCGGGCACCGGCACACGUCGCCGGCUCCCCCUUGCGCGCAUGUGCUAUUAUGUUGGCAUAGGUUACAUCGUGUGUCUAUCCCCGCUAUAUAUGAUAGGCCUAGGAUACAAGUGUCCUACUAGGACACGACUCCAUAUCCUAUCUAAACACAAUACAACUACAAGUCCAACUGUAACCUACUUUGUACACAUUAUUCGACACAACUCUAACAACCCCGCAAAAAACGGUAAAUAAAAAUUGAAUUAAUCGCUGUUUAGUAUAGAUUUGUGAGGUGGCUAACUACACUCACAAAUAUAAUUUCUUCAUCUUCUCCACUUUAUACCAGUUAGCCCAAAUAAACUAGAAGAUGAUAGUCUAGACACAUGAUCAUAAGAUAGACAAUUUAAGCUCCCAUGGUAAACAAAAGAAAAGGAUUAACACUAAACCUAGUAUAUUUGCAAAAAAACAUAAAAGUACGGAAAUGGCUCUCCUUUCCAACCGGUGGCACAUACAGAAAGUGACUUGGGGCCCUUUUUUUCACUCUAUUCUCUGGAGAAUCAGAGUCUAGAGAAUCAGAAGCUCAAUAGAACUUGAUCUGAUUCUAUAGAAUCCGGAGAAUCAAUCCACAAUCAGCAGCGCAACACAGAAGAAAAUAUUUGAAUUUUAGGAGCAUAACUCUGUUUCAGCUUGAAACUAUAGAAGAAAUGCCCUCCCGUAGCCGAGCCGUCCGCCCCCUCGAGAAAAUGAUUGGCCUGGGCUCUCUCGUGUUUCCUCACUCUAUUCCCCUGCCACCUGAUCCUCUCCUCCUCCCUCAGAAUAUCCCCUCAUGCCACCCCUUGCAGCAGCCAAUGAGCAUGACCUCGAUGCACCCAUGCCGCUAGCCCCUGCUUUCCUCCGUCGGCCCCGAUGCGCCCGACCUCUACUGGCUCGACGCACCUAUCCCGACGGCCUCCUCCUAUCCCUGCAGCAGUCGGCGAGCAAGGCCCCGAUACGCCAUCUUGCUGACCCUUGCCGUACUCCGCUCGGGAUCCUCCGACCCGGUCACUCUAGCAACAGCCAACAAAUGAAGGACGUUGUCGUGAUCCUCCUCGCCACCUCCCGCCAUCUCUUCCUGUCCGUGUCCAAUGCUCUUCUUCGACAAUUGCCUUGUUCCCCUGUUGUUAGUUACUAGUUACAUGGAUCAAUGGAUGUUUGAUAUAUGGACGGAUGUUGAUGUUUGGUAGAUGAUUUGCUUGAUGGAUGGGUGAAUGGUGAUACUUUCUUCCUAGAUGGAUGGAUGAAUGGUGCAAGCAUGUAAAAAAAUUGCUACCGUGAAUGCUCAAUGCUAUGGUGAAUGGUAGUAAUUUUUUGGGGGUGAAUGGUAGUAAUUGGUUCCCUUCUGCUGCUGCUUGUGCUAAUUUGCUACUUUGAAGGGUAGUGAUUGGUUCCAUUUCGCUACUGCUAUGUGCUAAUUUGCUUCAAUAGAUGCAUGUAUGUACGUGCUAAUUGAUAGGCUCUAUAGAUACGAAAAAUUGUUUUCGUGCCCAUAUUCGACAAGAAACUGUUCGAAACAACUUAGUGUUUGCAAACCAACACACAAUUAAAGUUCAGGGACAUUACAAACAUUUAAGCACACAACUCAUCCCACAAACUCAUGCUGCAAUCUCAGAAAAGAAAUGGACACCAGAUUCUAUGGGCAGCUAAUUCUGUGGUUGGUUUCUCAGAAACUGAUUCUGGAGAAAUGAAAGCUGAAAAGAACUGACCCUUGAGAGCGAGGCAAAAGAACUGCAAUGUCAAUCCUAGAAACGAAAUCUGACCCAAAAUAAAUUCAACAUAUCUUUUGUUGGCUUGCUAUUUUUUCAAUUUUUUUCAUUGACGAAAAAUUGUUCACUUGGUUUGACUACCAUUCAGUUUGUUGAGAUUCCUGCUCAUUCCUUUACACAACUAUUAGAGAAAAUACCUAACGAAGGAUAUGAGAGGGGAAGGAUGUCAUUGUUGAUAUAGUGACUAGAGAAGGUUAUAUGAUCUAGAUCCAUCUAUAAGCAAUUUUGCACAAUAUAUAGACAUGACAUUAUUUCCAGUCUAUGAUCAAAAGUGGGCUUUCAUACUCUGUUGUUGAUUCCAAAGAAUGCUCUCUGAGUGUUCUUCCAAAUAAGAAAAUAUGUCAUCCUCAAUUCCUUUCCAGUAGAUAUCCUCAGGUAGCGAUGGUUGUAAUAUCGUGUUACCCUGCCAUAUACUCAGGUAGUGAUGUUAAUAAGUAGCAAUAUACAUUAACAAGCACUUUGUGUUAGAUAUUUGUCCUUUGUACAAGUUAAGCUUUGAAGUUUCAUCUUAUUCUCCCAAUUUCAGAAAUUUCAGUUUUAUUUCACAUAAUUAGGCCAAAUCAUCUCUAUCAUAGGAUUUGUUCAUCUACAAGUUUAUACUGUACAUGUUAGAGCACAAAAACUUGAGUUGUAUCUUCAUAAAUUGGAAUAUGCAUGCCCCGACAGACGUAUCUGUAAUUACAUUUUAUUUCUAUGUAUGACUUCCGAUUUUUUAUUCUAACUACUUUCAUGACUAUGUAUUGGGUUACCAUGUGUUAUUUUUGGUGUUGCUUACAUCCAAUUUCCUAUUGCAAAUCGUUUUUUCAGUUGAGUACAACAAAUCUGUACUCCUAAUAGGGGAGUUAGUAGUCUGUUACGCAUGGUUUAUUUUCGUCUCCAUGGUUUAUUUUCACCUCCGCCUCCCACCACCACCCUGCACGCUGGUGUUUUCAACCUCCCACUAAAAAUCGAAUCGAUUAGUCCGACACUUCUUUUGGUUUUUUGUGCUCGCUUUGAUAGGUGUCAAUUCAAUUCAAUCAUGUAAAUAUUACGUAAUUAAGAAAUUUAGCAAUUACACCAUAUAUGUGAGAUAACCUUCCUAAAAGACAGACAGAAGGACAUCAAUUAGAGAGCAAAUUAAUUCCAUGCUUACAUUAGAUAGAACAUCAAUUACACUGCAACUCUGUGAUUGCAUUGACGCUAUAUAUGGUAUGAUAUUAAUUUUAGGCUAAACAUGUUGAGCGCUUAUGGAUCAAUCUAGGUCGUUGGAUUGAUACUAUUCGAUGACCGAGAUUAAAUGGAUAUGCCUUUUGAGUCUUUUUAUAUCGCGAGAGGAAAUUAAUUCCAUGCUUGUAUGUGCAUUUUCUUUGUUAGCCGUGGCAACGCACGGAAAUUUAGCAAGUUCUCAUAGGUUAACUCUAAAAUAUUGAUUUUAAUGAUAGUUCUUUGGAUUUGAUAUAGUCAAGUAAACCAAAUUCUAAUGGGUUCCCUUAAAAUAUAGCUUUUACCAAUAGUUUUCUAUAUUUCACUCUCUUUUCUCUCUUGUGCUUUGUAUUGCCAAAUUUACUCAAUAUAUGUUGAGUUCAAUAAAAAUUCUGCAACGGUUUGACUAUUACCAGAUGAACCAGUGAGGCGCGGUGGCAUGCCUCGCACUACCUGCUAGAUAAGCAAAGCACUCAUCUUUAUUUAGUUGCCAUGGAAGCGAUUAAAUGGAAACGAAUAAAGAAUUUUUUAGAAACCGAAACAAGAAGGUUCACUUGAGGAAGCAAAUUAAAAUUUUGGAUUCAAGACGGCCGUUUACACAGCCAUUCCAUUUCGAAAGUACGGACUCUCACGCUUGAAAUCUUUGUAGCAACUCCGCCAUAUGUACGACAGAUCUCAUGACAGGCGUAUGAUAUGCGUUGAUUUGAGGAAGGGGUUGUUUGAAAACAAAUUAAUCAUAACUAAUGCAAAAUCCUGCGCGCAGGCUGUCUCACAAACUGCACAUUUGACUGGAGCAUUGCACGCUCCUGGUGAAAGCAAUCGUAUAUUAUUUUUACCCGCAAAAAAAAGCAAUCAUAUUUUUGGCCUAGAUGUUUUUUGAAGGGAAAGCCUCAUGACACUUCAUUCAUCUCGUGACAAGGUUACAUCAUAGAGUCGCCCUAUGCCAUCAGCGUUAACUACCCCAAAUCUUUAUCAAUUAAUACCAAUAAGAGGAAGGUUACUAUUAAUUAGUAUUAUCAGCUCUAUCUUCUCUAAAAUACAAGUGAUAUAUGCGGUAAGCCAUAAACACAAACCAAAAUGGUAGACAUCAAAAUAUUUCCUAAAUUGCAUAUCCAGGAUAUAUUUCCAUACUACUGAUAACACUUGUGCUUCUCUAUAAAUCCACACUCUGAACUUGUAGACCGUGCAUUGCUUUCUCUCAUACAACCUAGCUAGACCAGAUAUUAAGCCCAAAGCUAGUGUUCUGCACUUCCACUUCUUGGCCGAUCAUGGCUUUCAAGAUCACCGUCCUGGUAUUUGCAUUGGCGCUGCUCCUUACGUCUUUCGGUAUGAUUCUAAAAGAUUUAAUUUGUAGUUUCUGUAAGUACAAUACCUCUUAUCUUAUAAGAAAACCUCCUUUUUCCCCUACGCAUAUAGAUGUUGGUGCAAGCAGGGAUUUGCAUUGGGGCGGCCCCCCAGCCAGAGUUCCUGCCUGCGCCGCCCAGGCCUGUGCCGAGACAUGCGUCGAUAAUGGCUAUUGUGGCGGGAUUUGUGACGAAUCUGUCUGCAAGUGCGUCCUCUGCAGAUCACUCGACGCUGUCGCUGAAAACAUACAGUUCUAAUCUAUCUAAGGGGUGGAUCAAUAAACAAAUAAUCGAUCCUCUCUAUCUCUUUUUGUCCGGGACAAUAUUGUUCUUUGUCUCUUUUUAGCAGAUUAUUAUUCGAGAAGAUCUGAUGUUUUUGUUGUCGUGAGAUUACAUUGUCUCGGUGGAUUAAUCAUGAUUGUUGAUUGUGUGAAUCGGAGUUUGUGUGUAUCAGACUUGUACGAGUAUGAAGCUGGUGGUACAUAUGUUUACGCUAACAUAAAAUACACACUAAUAAUUAAUAUCAGGUAACCAGAUUUUGAACUAAUGAUCAAACAAAUAAUCAGAUCUAUAUUAUUACCUUCUCCUUUCCAAUGUAUCUUCCAACGAAUAAGGGGCACACGCAUCCCAAAACUAACUUUGACCAAAAACUACACUGACCAAAUGUAUCUUCUGUCAUAAAAGUUAUACCGCUGAAUUCAAAUCCAAAGGAUCGAUGUAAUUUACGGUCAAAGUUGCAUUUUGGAAAGCGUAUACGCCUUACUCAUCGGGAUGGAGGGAGUAUAUAUAUGUCAGGGACUCCUUGUUCUGGAUCCAGCCCGUUAUUCCAUUUUCUUCUUGCAAGUAAUCACUAUUACCUUUCAAAUAUUUUGCUUUCCAUUUUCUGCUUGCAUGCACUAGUACCUCCACAGCCAUUCAUUUCAGAUUAGUUUCCAGAAAAUUGCAUACUACUCCCUCCGUUCCGAAUUACUUGUCGCAGAAAUAGUUGUAUCUAGACAUAUUUUUAGUUUUACAUACAUUCAUUUCUAUACAUUUCUACGGUAAAUAAUUCAGGACGGAGGAAGUAUUGAUUACUCAUGCACUAGUACCUCCACCACCGCGAACCAACCCGUGGGCCCACCAGGGUUCAAAUCCUGGUGCUCGCAUUUAUUCCUGGAUUUAUUUCAGGAUUUUCAGCGAUGCGCAUUCAGUGAAGGAGACGUUCCCGUCGUCGACGAGAUGCCUACGGUGACUUCAUAAAUUUCAAGAUGAUAUGUCGGCUCAGUCUUUCGAAGGUGCUCAUAGGAGGAGGGUGUGCGUGUGUGCGUUUAUAGGGGUGAGUGUAUGCGCGUGUACAUGAGCGCUUGCGUCCAUACUGUGUUAAAAAAAAGUACCUCCACGACCAUUAUUUGGAGAAUAGUUUCCAAAAAAAGAUGCAUGCUAUUCAUUCUUUCAUAUAAACAAUUUCUUUCCUUAAACAAUUCUACAAGUCUCGUUAAAAAUAGUCCGAACACUUGUACCUGUGUACAUAUAUGCCCAAUGAUUUGUUUUAGGUUUUAUAAGAUACCUACAUAGUCCAAGAUACUUUUAAGUGCAUACCCAAAUCCCCGUGAAAAACAGUACAUAAUCAAGAUAUUUCACUGUAUGUACAAACUUUGAUGUGAAAUUCAUUGGUAUUUACCCAUAAAUGUCACUACCUUUUAAUAAGUCGACACAUGUACGAUCUAUGGACAUCUAUACACCGUCCGGGACGCGCACGCCGGAAUCAGAAACGCACGCCGCCCGCUGCGAGAGGUGGCGGGCAAGACACAGGGACGCGACUGAGCAGUCCAUGCCACUGCCGCGGGAUGCAGGCGGAGCCCGACAAGGACGAGCGGCUCCUCGCUUGGGUCUACAGCUGGUCGCUUACGACGGUGGAGAUGGACGCUUGGGGGCUCCGCCGGAAGAACACCAAGGCGCUCUGGAUUGCCAUUGAGCAGUUCGAGCGCGAGCCGGCGGAAGCGGCUCGGCUGGCGAAGCUCAAGCGGCAACAGAACAGGGCCGUCCUGCGGCUCAAAGGGCUCAUCAUCCUCUCCAACGAUGACAAUGACGGCGAUGACCAUAGUGCCUCGUCGACUCGGACGAUCCUCCACUAGCCGCCGAUUCCUACAGCUACGUGGGCAACCGGAAGAGGAAAGGGUCGGUGAGGAAGUGGUGAUGAUCCGCCUUCUCCACUUUAAAUUCAAGUUUUUAGAUGUAGUUUAAACUUGCCCGUCGUAUUAUGUGCAUUAUGUGAACUGUGGCGAUCUUUUGAAGAUCCGACUGUGAUUUUUUGGUGAAUGGAUUGUGCAUUUGUAUGUCCGUCGCUCAUGAUCUACGUUGUUUUUAUCGACGUUGCAUGGUUUAAAAUAGAUAUAGGGAAUCGGAUAUGAGAUACGUGGAUGUGGACGGCGCAAUUUGAGGACUGAUGAUCAGUUCCCGUGGAUGUUUGAGGGGCCGAGUUUGCCAUGUCCGGCUGUAGAUGCUAGUCCACCUAGCAAAACUUUCCUUGGUUGAUUCUCAACCCUAGAUCCAUUUGUGAAUGCAGUUAUUAAUGCUAAUUACAACUUGCAUCAUUUUCAUCUUUGCCACUUGGUUCAUAUGGUAGCUUACAAGUUACAAACAGGAAACUGCGCCCAACACGACACCAAAAUUAGCUAGUCGAGACAUGCACGCACUGCACUGCACUGCGCCGGGCUGAGAACCCAAAGUUAUUCUGUCUUCUGAGAUCGAUCCACAGGUUCCAUGCAACUUCAUCAUAUGUUUUUUAGCUAGGCAGAGGUUAAGCUAAUUAUAUAGUACCAUCACUUUAUAGCUUAUAACGAAAUGCGGCGAUGCGAUUAAAAGACAAUCUUCAUGCAUCAGUUAGACCGUCGUCGAGCAAUGAGAUUGGCUUAUAUAUGAAGAUUGAUCCAACCCAGCUAGCUGUCAGUUAGAAGAUCAGUAAAGAUAAAAGGUAAUCAAGAGUAGUGAUGAGCUCGAAGAUGGCGAAGAACAAGAAUGGUCUGGUGGUGGCGGCCGGCGUCCUCGCUGUGCUGACGGUCUUGUUCGGAGUCAUCGGCGCGAUCUUGGUCGCCGUGGUAUGCACCACACGCCUAGAUCUCUUUCUCGAUCAGCGAUCCCUGUGUGUGCCGGCUCUUCUUAACCGUGUGUGCGUCCGUUCAUCAGACGGUGGCUCCGCGAAGCAACCGUGAUGACUGCAGCUACAGGCCGCGGGCGAUGCCCUGUGGCCUCGUGGCGGCGGUGUUGGCGCUGACGACGCAGAUUGUCGCCAGCACGGCCAUCGGCUGCUGCGGCUGCUGCUGUGAGAAGUGGCCGACUCCCAAAAGCAAGGGCAAGCGCGUCCUCACCGUCCUCUUGUUCAUCCUCUCCUGAUACGUGGCAGCUAACCAGAAACCAAAUACGCCUACUUUUCUGUGUUUAUUCCAAUUUACUUCCUAGUGUCAAAAACCCUUUAUUAUAUUAUUUUUGCAAAAAUAUUUGUAAAAUUUGAAAACACAAGUUCAAUAGGGAACCGAUAUAUGGUUGCAGGUUUGUUCAUUUAAGUAUCAUUAAUUUUCAAGUAUCAAUUAAUUACUUUGGUCUCUCCGUGCAUACUCUUGCAGGGUCUUUGCGAUUGCAGCGGUGAUAACAUUUUUGCUGGCUGCAACAUUGGUCGGGUCUAGAGGCUAUUUUAGUAUUUAUAUGGGUAACGACAAUUGUAUCACACCGGAUGUUCUAAUUUUCGUGGUUGCGACGAUCUUAGUCAAAAUAGUUGUUGGCCUCGACAUCGCCUGGUACGUCCUUCUUUAGAAGGCAGGCCACAACCAAGAAGCUGUCGGGACUGAUCCACGAUCGGUGCCAACUGCGGCAUCUAAGACGGCUCAUGCCCUUCUCCUGCAUCAUGCCACUAUAUAUGGCAUAUGGUUGUCGUGCAUGUGGGUGUGGGUGUGGGUGUGGCAGGGGGGCCUAUGGCUGGUAUUCGACAAUACUUAUAUUAUGUUUUUUAUUUUCUGGUUGCCAGUACAGUUAAUUGGAUGCCUUCCCGGCAAUUUGUUUGUUAGUAUUAUCUUAUAAUCCCUUUUGACUUGUUUGUUUUAUUCACUCAUUCUGAUUCACUGAAUGGAAAACCCAUACUCCUCGUAGGCACACACACCCACUAGAACAUUUCUGAGAAGAGAAGAACGGAUAGGUGCCCCAACAUGAUAGGGAAAUGGACUUCCCUUGCCCCCUGAAAGAAAAUAGACAUCAUAGACCUUCGGAAUCUUCUACACAAAAUCCCAGCCACAUAUCUUUAAACCAGUAGAACUAAUCGGGCCACCCACGUAUAUCAUAGGAAAGUUCUCCACUUGGCAGUGAAAGACAUCAACAUAAGUUUGCACAGUAUUAUUAUCACCUCCGAUAGACAAAACUUCACUUCUCAACAAGCUAAUCUUAAGUCCAGGCAUCAUUUCAAACAAUUAUAGUAGAAGUUUCAGAUUGAUUGCUUUCUCGACACUAUGAGAUAUGCACAAUAUCGAGUCAUCUGCAUAUUGCAGAGUGGCCACAUCGUUAGGGAUCAAAUCAUCAGCUAAGAAUCUAGUCAACUUAGUGGGUCACUCUGCCUCACCCGUUUUGAACUUUGAAAGUAGGGGACAGUUUCAUCAUUCAAUUUAACACUACUAGUACCAUUAAAAACCACUUGUUUGACCCAGCUAACCCAUUUAUCACCAAAUACUCUCAUAACAUGGUAAACAAUAAGAAUUUCCAGCCCACCUUGUCAUAUGCUUUCCCAGAAUCUAAUUGCACCACAAUACCGGGGUUUUUUUCCAUCAAGCGUGUGAUGCAACACCUCAUGCCGAGUCAUAAUACCAUCCAUGAAGUUUCUCUUUUAAUAAAAUCUUUUUGAUGACAACUAAUCAAUUUGCUACUAACAAACUCCAAUCUCAUAGUCGUGACUUUAGUGACAGUUUUGUAAAUGCACCGAAGUAAACAUAUAGGCCAAGCAAGGCAUUUUGGAGACUGAGGGCCAUGGAGGUUCAAUUUAUAAAAAAAAAAUCAAAAUACAAUCUAUUAAGCUUAAAAAAUUUCUAAAAAAUAUGCAUGUAUACAAGCAAGUAAUGUUUAUGUCUGUAAAAUUUCAGGAUGAAAUAGUUUGAAUUGCAAUAUGGACAAAAUAAAAUGAAAUCAUGAACUUUGAGGAUGAAUGCUACAUAUGCUAAAAGGCCAUAGAUUUGUUUUUUUUUGUUCUCAAUUUUACAUAUUUCGACCUGAAAAUUUACACAUAUGUACAUUAUGUCUCUUGGUAUAUGUGUAUUUGUUUCAAAAAAAAUUAAACUAAAAUGUUUGAAUUUUUGAUGUUUCCAAAUUCAGCAUGCAUGGAGCUCGGCUUCCAUUGACAUUUUCAUAAAUUUUUGAAUCAAAUUAGCAUUAGAAAUUUUAAGUAGUAAAGUUGUAAUAACAUAGUUUAAACCGUUUCACAUCCAAGGUUUCAGCAUAAAAGCUAUCAAACAAGUUUACAGUAGGAACAUUGUCAGGACCAGGGGCCCUAUUUAUAUCCAUGGAGAAAACAACAUCUUUUUUACUUCUUCCACAGUGAAUCGUUUGGUAAGAUAUGUGUUAUCCGCAACAUUCAGCUUAAUAUCAUCAGUAAUAAACACUACUAGGAAAAACACUAGUAAUAGUGUGGGGCUUUUGCCUAGCGCUACUGCUAGGGCGCUACAGGUAACUUUUGAUGGCGAGAUUUUUUUUGCUUAGCGCCUGUCUAACCCCCGCUACUGCUAAUACGGUUAUCAAUAGCACUUGUUCAGACCUGCGCUACUACUAAGUAGUAGCAGCGCAUGUUGUAGCCCGCGCUACUACUAUUCGUCCAUAUUUCAUUUCUUCUUUUUAUACUGUAUUUAUACUUCAUUAUAUAAAUUUUGAUGCAGUGGCAAUUAAGAUAUUGUUAUAUCAUUGUGAUCAUUAUGAGUUUUUAUAUCAGUGGGUGGAAGAAACACGGAUUAGAUUCAAAUGCAUGCAUUUUUUAGCGAAAAGGGGCGCUUUAUUACUUAAAAGGUUUAAGCAUUACAACCGGUCUCCGCAUAACUAAGAUGCACACAGCCAACAAGGUUCUUUCACACAAACAAAAAAGGUGAAAUGUAAAGAGACAUGUAGAGUCUGUAUAAUGCCCAAAUCGGAGGGGGGCCAAUCCUAAGAUCAUGCUAGCACCCAUGUUGGGUAUAAGAAGGAAUACUAUUGACUCUUGAAUAAAAGUAAAUACAUGAAAAUAAAAAAAUAUGUCCUUCGCAGUGGGAAGCAGAGGUUGUCAUGCGCUUUUUAAUUUUGGAUGCGCAAACCCUUAAUGCAAAGGAACGUCACGUUGUAUUGCCCUUUGUGAUAGCAACUUUAAUUAUGCAGUUUGUCGCUUUUAUUUCUUUACUGCCACAAGUUCGUACAACGCUUAUGUUCCAUUACAAUAAAAGAUCAUACAUAUUUAGGAGCAAUUUUUAUUGCUUUUUGCACCGAUGAUAACUUACUUGAAGAAUCUUAUUCAAUCCAUAGGUAGAUAUGAUGGACACUCAUGGCAAGAAAUAGGGUUUAAGGGUUUUUGGAUGCAUAAGUAAUAUCUCUACUUAUUAUAAAUUUUGGCUAGCAAAAGAUCCUAGGCAAGCACCACAUGUGGGAGGAUCCAUAACAAUAUAAUUUCUAUAAAAAUAUAGCCAAACAUAACUCAUUACGUUGUCUUCCUUGUCCAACUUCAACUAAUUUGCUCAAGUUUAAAAGUAAUUAAUGCGGCUCACAAUCAUAAAAGAUGUUCAAGAUAGUAUAUUUAUAUGUGAAAUCUCUCUUCCUUCAAUAUUAUUUGAUGAAUUAUUCAUGUGACCAAUGCGAUGUUUGCUAACUUUCAAUAAAUUUUACCACAUAUACUUCUUAUAUGUGAAGUCAUUACUCCCCAUCAAAUAAGCAUAUAAAACAUAUAUAAUUUCUGAUUUAUGUUAUUCAAUUCAUUCAACAUUUACUCAUAGGAUAUAAGUAAAGUAUGAGAGUAAAUGACAAAAUUACUUCAAAAAGCUAUAAGUGACGAUCAAUGCAUAGUCAACUAGUUAAAUAGCCAUGUGAGGACUCUCGCUCAUUAAAGAUUUCAGAUCCAAGUAUUUUAUUAAAACAGCAAGCAAAACAAAAUAAAAUGACAUUUCAAGAAUAGCACACAUCAUGUGAAGAAGAAAAAAAACUUACGUUCAACCGAUACUAACCGAUAAUUGUUCAUAAAGAAAGAUGGGAUGCCUACCGGGGCAUCCCAAGCUUAGAUGAUUGAGACUUUUUGGAAUAUUAUUUUGGGAUGCCUAGCUUGAGUUUUUGUGUCUCCUUACUUCCUUUUAUAUCACGGUUUUCCUAAAUCUCAAAAACUUCAUGCACACAAAACUCAACUGGAACUCGUGAGAUGAGUUAGUAUAAAUCAAUGUAAAAACCUUAUCAUUCACUAUUGUAGCAAAUCACUAAAAUUAUUAUUCAACAUCGCAUUCUAAAUGCAUCUGUAUAUUUAAUACUUCCAUCCUCAAACAGAAUCAUUAAACAAGCAAAUAUAUGCAAAUAAUGCAAACAUAACAGCAAUUUGUCUAAAUAGGACAGUUUAUAAAAAGUGCAAUUAUACUCAUACUUCCCAAACUCCAGAAAUUCUAAAAUGUUAGCAUGUUGUAGAAAAUUUGUUGCUUCUUACUUGCAAAAUAAGCAUGGUAAAGGUUAUCCUUGACAUUUUUAUUGAAACAACAACAUGUAGACUUGCAAAAUAAGCAUGGUAAAGGUUAUCCUUGACAUUUUUAUUGAAAUAAAAGAUGCAAAAUAUUAUUCUAAACAACAGUAAGCAAAUACUAAACAAAUUUAAUGACGCUUCAAGCAAAACUCAUAUCAUGUGACGAAUAAAAAUAUAGGGUCAGUCAAAAAACAAGCCCAACCCAACAAACAACCCAUGACAGGAAAAACAACACGAAUCUUAGAGCAAAAAUCAAUGGGCAGAAAAUUGACUGGCCCAAAUUCAAAAUUCAGGCAACUUACAAGUAGCCAAAGUGACAAUAAAAGGUCCACCUAGCAAAACUCGUUCCUUGUCUCAAAAAAAGCAAAACUCGUUCCAUCGUUGAUUCUCAACCCUAGAUUCAUUCGUCAAUGCAGUUAUUAGUGCUAAUUACAACUUGCAUCAUUUUCAUCUUUGCCCCUUGGUUCAUAUGGUAGUUUACAAGUUACAAACAAGAAACUGCAUGCGCCCAACACAACACUAAAAUUAGCUAGUCGAGGCAUGCAUGCACUGCACUGCACCGGGCUGAGAACCCAAAGUUAUUUUGUUGUCUUCCCUAUAUAUGCACGCACACAGCGACUAGAAUCUGGAAGGUUUCCCUAUAUAACGAGUUCUGAAGUCGAUCGGCGGGUUCCAUGCAACUUCAUCAUAUGUAUUAAUUUAGCUACACAGAUGUUAACUAAUCAUAUAUGUACCAGAGCACUUCAUAGCUUAUAACGAAAUGCAGCGAUGCAAUUAAAAGACAAUCUUCGUGCAUGAGUUAGACCGUCAUCGAGCAAUGUGUUUACCACACCACCAUCUUGCAUAUAUAUGAAGAUCGAUCCAAUCCAGGUAGCUGUUAAUUACAAGAGAAAUAAACAUCAAAACUAAUCAAGAGUAGUGAUGGGCUCGAAGAUGGGGAAGAACAAGAACGGUCUGGUGGUGUCAGCCAGCGUCCUUGGCGUGCUGACGAUCUUCUUCUGAGUGAUCGGGGCGAUCCUCGUGGUGGCAGUAUGCACAGCAAGCUAGAUCUCUUCCUCGAUCGGUGCUCCUUGUGUGCGGGAUUUUUUGACCGUGUGUGUGUACGUUCAUGCAGACAGCUCCGCAUAGCAACCGCGAUGACUGUAACUACAGGUCGUCGGCGAUGCCCUACGACAUCGUGGCGGCGGUGCUGGCGCUGACGACUCAGAUUGUCGCCAGUGCGGCCAUCGGCGGCUGCUUCGGGAGGCGUCCCACUCCGAAAAGCAAGGGCAAGCGCGUCCUCGCCAUCCUCUUGUUCAUCCUCUCAUGGUAUGUAGCCAGCUAUCGAGGAACCAAAUACGCAAAUGUUUCCGCAUCUAUUCGAAUCUACUGCUUCUCUCAUGUGUUAUACUCCCUCCAUUCCAAAAUAAGUGUUUCAACUUUGUACUAACUUUAGUAUAAAGAGAUACUAAAGUGGAGACACUUAUUUUGGGACAAAAUGAGUAUGCUCUGGAAUCGACAUGUUAUAGGUUUGUUCAUUUAUAUAUUAAAUUAAUGAAAAAACUAACGCCCACACGUGUGGUAUCUUACACAUCGCUCACACGCCUCCAUCACCACUCAUUUUGCCACGUAUGAAUAGAUGACAUCAGCAGGAAUCUUUUUGGUUUUCGGCUUAAAUUUUUUUAUCUCCUAAUUAAAAAAUCAAAUUAAAAAUCCACUUUCAUCAUUAAAUCUGUCUCAACGAGAUCUUCAAAACUAGACCCCAUGUUGAUAUGUUUCGAUGAAAUUUGUUUUUGCCCAAAAGUUGCCAUGAUGUUUACACUAUAGUUGCUAUAGUGCUUAAACUAAAGUUGCCAUGUGGCAAUUUUAGUUUGUAGAGCAUUGCAAUUUUAGUUUUUUGAUGAUGACAAUUCCAGUACUUUGAUCAUGAAAAUUAUUUUUUGUAUGAACCAUAGCAAUUUUAAGUGCAUGUAUCAUGGCAAUUUUAGUUUAUGGUUCAUGACAAGUCUAGUUUCUUAAUUCCCCAUUUUAUAAUAUGUCAAAAUUUACUUUUAAAUGUAGAAGAAAAUAGUUGAAACAUAUCAUGGCAACUUCAGUGUAAACAUCAUGGCAAUUCAUCUGCAAUAGACAUGGCAACUUUUAACCCAAAAAAAUUCAUCGAAAUAAAUUGAUAUAAGAUCUAGUUUCAAAGAUCUUGUCGCGAGGGAUUUAAUGGUGAAAAUGGAUCUUCAAUCGGAUUUGUCAUUUAAGAGAUAAAACAUUUUAAAAACUCAAAAUCCAAAAAAAUUCUCACAUGCAUGCAUGCGGUGACGUGGCGCAGUGUGUGUGUUAUAGGGCGUGUGAGCGGGUUUGGCUCCCACAACACAUGUGGGCGUUAUUGUGAUCUCUUCGUGCAUACUUGCAGGACCCUCGCGGUUGCAACGGUGAUAAUAUUUUUGCUGGUCGCCGUGACGGUUGGGUCUAGAGGCUAUUUUCAAUUUUACUUGGACGAUGCCAAUUGUAACACACCAGGUGUUUUAAUUUUCGUGGUGGCGACGGUCUUAUUUAAACUAGUUGUCGGUCUUGACAUAGUCUCGUAUAUCCUCUUUUAGAAGGUUGGCCUCCUUCGGUGCCGACCGUGGUGUCUAAAGUUGGUGCCGGGCCUUCUCAUUCUGCAUGUUGAAAUCAAGUGUGAGGUUAGCUCAUGCCGCAAUGGCAUGGUUGUCUUGUGUAUGCCAAUGAAAUAUCCCUCAUUUGGCCUUUUUUAGUUUAUUGACUGGUUCUAAUCUUUCAUUAAGAACACUGCUCAGCAACGGUUGACUGAUCAGUGCUGAGAACGCUAACCAUGCUAGUUGUCAGAUGCCUCCAUGCCUGGCCCUUGGAUCAGGUCUCCUCGCCCUUUGGUUCUCUCAUGCAUGCGUCUUCGUUUCCCUGCAUCACUCGUGUAUCAUUUUUUUAUAAAAGAAGGGCUUGCCCCUUCCGAUUUUCAUUACUGAAAACCACCACGAUUCACAGAAGGUUCAGAACAACUCCAACCUAACACGAAGAACUAAAAGCUACCAGAUUCAACCGAGACAACACAAAAGGCCAACACAGGCCAAACAUCCACGCUAGAACCCAACAUCGCAUCCUAAGACAUAACCACCAGUCUAAACCAACCAUUACAUCAAAAGAAAACCAGGAACUAAAAGAAGCCCAGCCGCAACUAGGAUUAACAGCAACGCCAGGGUCACCACAGCAAGAGUUUCUUCAUUCCAGUCUAGUGACGUUGAUCCUCCACCCCUGCCUGGCUGUGAACACCUCACUUGCUGCCCGUUCUAGCACUCUUACUCCCAGCUCCAGCAUUUUUUUGACGGCUCCUUUAUCUGCAGAAUAGACCAGUCAGUUAACCAUCCGCAUAUCAUUUUGAUAGUAUAGAAAGGAUCAUUUAUCCUUUUCUUUUCAAAUAUAAUCGCAUUUCUACUUUACCAAAUUGCCCAAAAUAGGGCUGAAACCCUAACCAUAACCAUUUUCUUAUCCUCUUUAUUGAAUUUUCUGAUCCAAUCUCCAAAACAAUCUUUCACAUUUAGUGGAACGGUUUUUAAACCACGCACACAUCUAACCAAACUCCACAGCAGCGAAGUUGCAGGGCAAGAAAAUAAAAGGUGAUCAAUUGAUUCAUCUUUCUCACAAAGAACACACUCCUUCCCUCCUUUCCAGCCUUUUUUUAAUAAUACAUCCCUAGUCAGGAUACUUUUUUUGUUAACUAACCAUAAGAAAACUUUUAGCUUUGCAGGUACCUUAAUUUUCCAUAAGUACUUCUGUGGGAAUUUCACCCCUACGGUAAUCAUUUUCCUAUAGAGGGACCCCGCAGAAAACUUACGGUCAUCAGUGAGGGUCCAGGAAACUUUAUCUGCCCCUUCUUGCAAAGGUAUUUCUUCACAUCUUUUUUUAAGGCAAUUCCAUAACCCAAGAGUCUCCCCAUAUAGGGUUCUUCUAAAUUUGAACCCAUGCCACCCUUUUUGAAUGGCCUCAUCCACAGUUAUAUUGUGGUCAAAACAUAUGUCAUACAAUCUAGGGUAGGCAUCUCUGAAAGGUUUAUCAUCUACCCAGGUGUCUUCCCAGAACCUAGUGUUCUUCCCAUUCCCCACCUCUUUUUUAACAAAUUUGUAGAAGAUCUCUUUGAUCUUUAACAAACUAGCCCAGAAUUGGGAAUCUCCAGGUUUCUUACUAACUGAUGCCAGACAGCCACCUUUUUUGUACUUUUCAUCCAGUACAUCCUGCCAGAGACCUUCUUCUGUCUCCAUUUUCCAGAACCACUUAGCAAGCAACGCAAUAUUCAUUACUUCCAAAUUGAGUAUCCCUAAAGCACCUAUCUCUUUAGGCAGACAACAUUCUUCCCAUUUUACUAGGUGAUAUUUUUUAAUAUUUUCAUCUUCCUGCCAAACCAACCUAGCCCUGAAGAAAUCUUCUUUUUUGAUAAUCCCUUUGGGAACAGUAUAGAAGGACAUCAUGAAUAAGGGGAUAUUAGUCGGGCAUGCUUGCGCCAGAGUAAUUCUGCCAGCAAUGGAACCCAACAGCUUCCCUUGCCAGCACCCACAUCUCUUUUCAAUUUUAUCAGUCACACAAUCCCAAUGUGUGUUUCUAAUUCUAGUUUCUGACACAUGCAUUCCCAGGUAGCUAAUAGGUAGUUCCCCCAUUUUACAUGUUAGAAUUUCUUGAUAUAUCAUUUGUUUCUCUUUGGCCUUGCCAAGCAGCAGCAAUUCACUUUUGUGAAAAUUAAUUUUGAGCCCAGACAUUUGUUCAAAAGCUCCUAAAAUGAAUUUGAGGUUUUUCACACUUUCCACCUCAUCUUUGAUUAGGAAGAUGGUGUCAUCAGCAUACUGUAACAUAUUUAUCCCUUUAUCCUCUCCUUUUUUCAAUCCCCCUUUGACAAUAUCAUGUUUCAGAGCAUUAUUCAUUAGAAUGGCCAAGGCAUCAGCAGCCAAAUCAAAAAGUAGAGGUGACAUAGCAUCUCCUUGUCUCAGACCUUUAAAAGUUUUAAAAUAUGGACCAAUUUCAUCAUUCACUCUGACUCCAACAUGUCCCCCUCUCAUAGUCUCCAUUACCCAGUCACACCAUUUAUCUGGAAAUCCCUUCAAAUUCAACAUUUGAAUCACAAAGGGUCAUUUGAUUUUAUCACACGCCUUCUCAAAAUCUACUUUGAAAAUCAAAGCAUCUUCUUUAUUUUUGUGGAAAGAGUUCAAAGCUUCAUGUAGUAUAACCACCCCUUCCAUUAUAUAUCUACCCUUAAUAAAGGUAGUCUGGGUUCUGGAGAUCACAGGAGCCACACAUCUGGCCAACCUAUUCAUCAGCACUUUAGUGAUGAUCUUAAAGCUAACAUUUAAUAGACAUAUGGGUCUAAAUUUUUGAAUUUGUUUAGCAUCACUGGUUUUAGGGACCAAUGUAAUUAUAACAUAAUUAGGUCUGGCAAUAUUAAUUUCCCCCUUUGCAAAGCUAUCAACCAGAGCUUUCAGAUCCCACUUGACCAACUCCCUAAAAUCUUGAUAAAAGUCAGCAGGGAACCCAUCAGGGCCUGGACUUUUAUUUCUUUUCAUCCCAAAAACUACUUGAUGAAUUUCAGUUAGAGAGAAAGGGGCUAAUAGCUCCUCUUUAUCUUGUGUACUAAUUUUGGUCAUUUCCAUCUCCCUCAGAGAGAUAUUAGACUCUUCAGGGUGUCCAAAUAAUUCUUUGUAAAAUUUGGUUAUAUACUCCAUUAGCAUGUCAUCUUCUUAUAUAAUCCCUUCAUCCUGUUCUAGAGAGACAAUUCUACUUUUUCUUCUUUUCCCAUUCACCUUAGCGUGAUAGUAUCUAGUGUUCCCAUCCCCAUAUUUAAUUUCUGUAUCUUUAUAUCUCUGCAACCAUUUCAUCUCCUCUUGUAACAUCACUCUUUUCAGUUGAGCUCUAAGCUCUUUCUGUUCAGUUCUGUCCACAGCAGUUAAUCCCAUUGUCUCAACUCUCUUAUCUAGUGCAUCUACUUCCCUAAUAAUUUCUAGUUUGAUUUUCUUAUACCAAGCAUCCAUGUUCUUAUUCAAUCCCUUGGCUUUCUUUCUCAGUUUUCUGAAUCUUAGUUGCCAUCUUUCCAAGAUAUCUCCUAUAUAUAUCUCUCAUUCCAAGUUUUAUAUACCAGCUCUUUGAACCCCUCUCUCAAGAUCCAACCAUUUUCAUAUCUGAAUGUAUAUUUAUGUUUGUAUGUCUCCCCUGUAUCUAAGAACAAAGGGGUGUGAUCAGAAAUUUCUCUAGCAAAUGCUUGUAGUAUGGUUAGUGGAUAUUUCUCCUCCCAAACUGGGCACAGGAAAACCCUGUCUAGCUUCUCAAAAGUAGGAUCUUCCUGGUUAUUGGCCCAGGUGUAUUUCCUCCCAUUCAAAGGCAACUCUCUCAACCCUGCUUGUUCAAUGAUAGCAUUAAACAUAAAGGGCCACUAAUCAUUUAGCAUAGGUUUGUUUUUUUUCUUUCCCAUUUCUAAUGAUGUUAACCCCCCCCCCCUCCCCCCACCAAGCAAGGCAGAGGGUUGUCAUGAUAUAGUCUUGCAAGCUCAGCAAGAAAGCUAGCUUUUCCUUCCUUCUGCGCAUCUCCAUACACAGUCACCAAAUUCCAGUGCAUUUUAAUAUUUUUAUCAAAAACUAGCACUCUCAAAAAAUAUUGUCCUUUUUCAAUAGACUCAACAUCAAACAUAUCAUUGUUAAUCCCAACUAAAAUCCCUCCAGACAUCCCUCUAGGGUUCCAAUACCAUUGGUAGUUUUUCCCUCCACACAAAUCACUACAAGAGGACAGACCUUUUGUAACACCCUCUUGUGUUACUACAGGUCCAAAAGUGUGUUACUGGGCCAUAUAGUAACACAGUUUGAAAUGUGUUCCAUUAGACCAUGUUACUAAGUGGUGUCAACUGUCACACAUAAUAAUUGUUACCAUAUGUUAAAAAAAUGUGUUACAGUUGCAUUAUAGUAACAUGUGUGUUAUGUGUUACCGAACACACUGGUAACACACUUUUGUAAUUAUAGUAACACCGAUAGUAACAUAUUUUGAUAGACGUAGAACAUCGGUGGUAACAUGUUUAUGUAACUAUCGUAACACAACUGGUAACACAUUUUUUAGCACCGGAACCCAACUAGUAACAUAAUAUCCAUGUAUCGUAACACUAUAAUUAUAGUUGUCAACUACUCUAGUAACAAAUUUUGUAGCUAUAGUAACACCAUCAGUAACACUACUAUGUCAAUAUGGUAACAUAAUUAAUGUAUUUGUUUUUUAUUAGUAACCACAAAAUUGGAUACCCAUUCUAUGGAAUAUAAAUUUAUUUAAUAAAAUAAAUGCAAUUGCAUAAAUUGUUAAUCAUUUUAUUAUUAUGCUUGGCAGCAUAUCAAAAUGAUAUUUAAACUGAAGCAGUACACAUACAGAAAUUCGGACGAAGAUAUUUAUUACGAAUAUAGAAGAGUGUAUGAUACAUAUGCAUUACAAUAAAGAUACCAGUCAUAUAAUUUUGAGGAUAAAAAACACAACUAUGGGGAAUAUUACACUGUCGCAUUUGCAUCAAUUCGAUGAAAGAGAAAGAUCUUCUGGAUGAUAUUACACUUUUAAAUCUAUCAAUGUAAACUACAACUAUUGGUAGCUAAAAUCUUCAGAUUUUAUUUGCUUCUUGAUCCAAGAAUUCAACUGCAAAUCAACCAUCCUUCUCUCGAAUCUGUAGAAGAAAAUUGCACCUUAGAUAUGUGUGAUUAAAUGUACACAAAUAUGAUUUCAGAAUGUGGAAGGGAAGAUUGUAACUUACAAAAGCUGAAGGCCAGGCAAUUAAGUAUCCUGAAGUGAAAGCCUCGCCAGUUGUCUUGCAAUCAGAAACUUCCCUUACCAACUCCUCAUUAUCAAGAAUAGGUUCGUCUAUGCGCACAAGAGCAAAUUCAGCACCUAACUCAAUACCACCAGCCUUAGUUCUUGGAUCAGUACUCCGAAUAGUACCAUACGCAACAUUCCGCUUGUUGGGAUAUGUUGAAGUCUUUAAGACUACUUCGGAAGCAGCCUAUAUUAUGAUCAAUAUUAGAAUUCUAUGACAUGAUAAUAUAACUUGCAUGAAUAAUAUGAGAUCUUUUUAAUGUCAACCCACUAAGGUGCCCUAAGAAACUAAAUAAACUGGACCCGGCAACGAAGUCUAAUGCCCAAGGUCACCUCGCAAGCUCAUGCUUGGUUAAAUUUAUCGUUUACUUGCAUAUAGCAGAUUGAGCAAAAAUUGUAAUAAAAUCCAUUUUUCAAGCAGACAUGAUAAUGAGGGUUUGGGUUGGUAAUUUGGGUGCAGUAAACCAUGCUACUUGGUGAAUCUCUACCUUGAUGGAAGAAGAACGCCCUCUUUUUGAGCGGUGUGGGUGUUCAGUUCUAGUCCUUUGCUGGUUCGGUCUUGAAACAGAUUCACCCGUAAUAUUCCUCAUUUCCCUCACCUACCAAGAUACAACAAUAUUAGAUGGAAUGAUAUUCAUACCUUGAAGCUACAGAAAGCUACAACUUCAAAAAUCAAAAGGCACGAAAAUUACCUCUAGCACAGAAUCAAUAACAAGGUCUUGUGGUGAUGAUGAAUUUUGUUGAAUUUGUAAUUGGUUGACAUCAUGGUCGCCAACCUAGUUCCAUGACACAACAAUGGUAAGCAAGCAAUUAUUUUAUAUUCUAUCUUUGUGACAUGAGUAAGAGUAACUACAGGCAUAACCUUUUCAUGCGAACGUGAUAAAGUAUUAUCCUCAGGAAUGUCAUGUUGCAUAGACGAGCGUGCCUCAACGGGUCCAUUGCAUUGGAUUCUCUGCAAACUGAAAUAUUAAUAUGAAGGUUUCGAGUGACAAGCAAUGAUGUAGGCAUUUAUUAACAUUACCUUUGUUUUACCAAGCAGUACUGGUGACCGAGAAAUACCAUUAUCAUUUGAUUGGAGGUUUUCCUACAGAACUAACAAAUCUGAGUAAACUAUUGAUAGAAAUGCAUGCAAAGGGUGGGAUAAAGAAGUCCUUUACCUCUUCUAUGCCAUUAUUGACAUAGCCUUCUUUGUUAUUCAUAUCUUUAAUAAUCUGGUCUUGCUUUUUUAUAUGCUCCUUCAUCUUUGCUAUUACCUCCCAAACGUCAUGUUCAACUUCAUAUGGUGAUCCAUCAGUUGUAGUCAUAUUGAUGUUCUUUAGAUACCGUGGCGUCCGACCGUAGACUUGCUUAGGAGUUGGAAGCAAACCCAUGCCAUGCACUUGUCCAAUCUUUUCUUUCCCUAACACUUCCUGCAGGGCAUCACCUUCCCAUGCGACUCUUCCAUUCAAAUUUUGUGCCAACUCUGGUCGUUCGGUUAUUAGAUUCUCCAAUCGAUCCUAUAAGAAAAGAAUCAUGUAUACACUACUUAGAUUGAACCAUAACUUGAUCCGGAGAACAAUUAGACAAUUUCUAUAUUAAUUGCCUACCAGGCGCUUAUUUCUAUCUUUAUUUUUAGCAUCAGCAUCGUCCUUCUUCUUGUGAGUUGCUAAAUAAACCUUUGAUCUGUGUGGUCGUUUCUUUUCAGGAUCAGCUUGCCUCUACAAAACAGAAACAACACCCAUAUGACAAAAGAGACACAGGACAACACUUCAGGAAUCAAGAUUACUCACCAUGUCUUCGCCCCAACAAGCAUAACUCUUUGUGCCAGCAUUAUGUGAAUCCUUCACGAGGGAACGACUAAUUAUGUUCUUCUCGGCAAGGGCCUGUUAUGAUGUAAUCAUAUCGUAAAUGCAACUUUUAAGAUAAGCCCGAGAACUCACAUUUAAAUGUCAAAACAGGAAAGUACAGUAUCUCAUUCAUUACCCUUCCUUUUUUGGACUUCCAAUAUUUAACAAGCCCACGCCAUUGAUCGCUGUCCACAUCUUCUGGACAGAGCUUAUACAAAGCCUUUCGCUUGAUGUUUGGAUUUUUUUUCAAUGGCGGGUUUGAAGAAAACAUCUUUCAAACUAGACUUAAAUUUCCUCCAGUCUCUUCCAAUUGAUUUGAGUGUCCAUUUUUCACAUGAUCGAGGAUACACGAACUUUGUCUGAAAGUACAAAAUAAUGAAUGGAUGUAAAUAGACAUGCAGACCACACUACAUCUCAUGUAGACAAAUUAGAUAUAAAUAGAAGGGCAGCAAAUAACAUAUUUUGUUUUCUUGUUAAUUGCGAAAUACCUGUACGCACUGCAAUCAUUUAUGUUUAGUGGGCAAAAUCCUCCAUUUCUAGCAACCGUGCCCAGAAACUUCCCCAAGAUUGCACCUUCAUCUCCUAUAGGCUGGCUAUCUUCAUUGCAUUUCACAACUAUUCUCUGCCCCUUUGGCAUGUUCCAGAAAAUUGGCAAGCUCGUUCUCUUGUGCUUGCGUACUUCCUUGUCUACUACAAGAUUAAUUAAGAAAAGUACUAAUGAAAUGACGCCCGCCGAUUAUUCUUUCGAUACUAAGCAUAUACAAGUUAAUUAAUAGAAGCACAAAAUGUAAUAGGUUGUUACCUUGAUUGUGAACUUGACCCUCUUCAUCGACCAAUGCUUGUGAUUCAUGACCUUGUGGGAAUUGCUCACCAUUGUUGCAGUCUCCAUCUUCAUCGUCACGUUGGUCCGUAACCUGAAUCACAUUCAACCUUUUUGACCUACGUGGUGGUCCUGCAGAACAACCACACAUCUUUUAUUCCAAUAAUUACAACAGUACAUACAGAUAUGUAAUAAGCAUGGUUCAAGAGGGAUACUUUGCGGCCCUUGCGUAGUAAGUUGCCCUGCCCCUUCAGCAGAGACACCACCGUCCUGUAAGAGAACACUCUCAUUUGGAUGGUUAGAUGGAGCAACAUCAAUUUGCUUGCUAGGCGGAGCAAUAUGAUCGUCAGCCUUCUCCUUAGACACAUACAGAUGGACAGCUUUCACAAUCUCAGGGUCGGACAACAUUUUCAUCACAAGACCUUCAUCAUAAAUGUGAACUAAGUAGGAGCUGCCUAGACGGGUUUUUUCGCAUAGUACAGAAAGUCAAUUGCCUGAAAGCCAACUUCUUCGAUCAUCAAGAUUAAGUCGUAAUACGAGACAACACGUCUCAUCAUGGAUCUUUGUAAAAUUUUGGCUUCCUGAUUUGUAUCUUCAUAGUGCAGGUAUAUGGUCAACAUGUCCGUCGCCAUCCUAAGUUAUAUAUAAAAAUGUCAAUUAAAUCAUUACAAGUAAAGCCAAAUUAACUAAUGACAUAACAGGGACAAUUUAAUUUGCCAAUAGACAUGUGAAUGGAGAGGGCAGAGAAGUACACAGUAGCACGUCAAUACACUAUCAGCUUAUCAUAACUUAAAACAGAGAGAUGAGGUACAAGACCAUGGGUCCAGCCACACCCACACUAAGAUAUAACGCUGUCGACAUAUGGAUUCAGGACAGGUUUAAGUUGAAAAGUGUACAGGGCUUGAUGAUGUUCAUUGCUUCCCUAAACAGAAGGGAAAUUGAAAGUACAUAGGAUCAUCAGGUGAUGGUGCAAAUCUUAAGCAUUUUCUCUGUUCGUAAUUUCAGUCAUUUUUUAUCCUAAUGGUUCAAUUUACCCAGGCGAAACUGUUACAGUAGAUCGGCUGCAUCGAAUUGAAGAGCAGAGUUGGGUUUGAUCAUGAUAGUCUUAGGGCAUCAAAGAAAAUGACAAAGGAGCCGAAUGAGCCCAGAUUUGUUUCGUGUGCCCAGAUUGCAAACUAGACAUGUUAAAAAGAUUGGAGCGGGCGCAGCAAAGCGCGCCGUUUGCUUCUAGUUUCUCAAAAAGUCUGAUCAAAUUUAAACAAUAGUCAAUGGAUCGAUCUAGCAGAAGUGUAGAACACGCACGUAUAUCAAUGGAUCGACCUGAUUAGUGGAUUAGGCAUUGGCACAUCACAAAACUAUAGUCAGACACAACCUUAUAUGGUUUAUGGGCUUUUCAACAUAUGUGAUUGCUUAAUUAUUUGUCUACGUAUGGGCUAAUUAUGCAAUUAGCCACGGCCAUUAGGCAUCUACAGUACACACAGUGCUACGAAUUGUUGAGGGAGGGAGCGACUGGCAGGGGAAUCCCUGCUGGCCGCUCCCUAUCCCCGCCCCUGCAUCACUACAGUGGUGUUUCACCUAGCAUACCUCAGAGAAUUCGUAGCAAUCAGAUCAGGGAAGGGUGGCGUUCAGAUCCAUACCAGCCACGAGAUCGUACUCCUUCAGGAUGUAGGUGGCGGAGCUGAAGACCGACGAAGCCGUCGCCGCAGCAAUCCAAACGGCGCCGGGACAGAUCGAGGUAGCGGCGCCGAUGCAGGUCGAGGAAGCGGCAGAUCCUACGGGGGUUGAGAGAUGGNNNNNNNNNNNNNNNNNNNNNNNNNNNNNNNNNNNNNNNNNNNNNNNNNNNNNNNNNNNNNNNNNNNNNNNNNNNNNNNNNNNNNNNNNNNNNNNNNNNNNNNNNNNNNNNNNNNNNNNNNNNNNNNNNNNNNNNNNNNNNNNNNNNNNNNNNNNNNNNNNNNNNNNNNNNNNNNNNNNNNNNNNNNNNNNNNNNNNNNNNNNNNNNNNNNNNNNNNNNNNNNNNNNNNNNNNNNNNNNNNNNNNNNNNNNNNNNNNNNNNNNNNNNNNNNNNNNNNNNNNNNNNNNNNNNNNNNNNNNNNNNNNNNNNNNNNNNNNNNNNNNNNNNNNNNNNNNNNNNNNNNNNNNNNNNNNNNNNNNNNNNNNNNNNNNNNNNNNNNNNNNNNNNNNNNNNNNNNNNNNNNNNNNNNNNNNNNNNNNNNNNNNNNNNNNNNNNNNNNNNNNNNNUGUUCACAGCACAUAUUAAGAUAACCCUAAAAAUUUCAGAUCAAAAUUCGAAACAUACAUCGAGAAACAAAAAAGAGAAAUCUGUCAUGAAUAGUUCCUGAACAGUUCUCUGUAGACUAUUCACAUCUGAGUUUCUCUUUUUUAUUUCUCGAUGUAUGUUUCGAAUUUUGAUCUGAAAUUUUUAGGGGUUAUCUUAGUAUGUGCUGUGAACAUGCAUGAUUUUUUUCAGAUUUUUUUGCAAUGUUUAAAUUUGAAUUUGAGCCGCAUGUCACCGUGCAUGUCACCGUAGCGCAUGUCACCUGAUCCCAGUCCGCGGCGAGGUAGCCGCCGAACGGUGGGCGGCUGGGCUGGAUGUGGAUGGGUUUGAGACCCAAUUUAUCUAGCCUUUUUUAGUUAGUUGGAGGGAAAAGUAAGCGCGAAAGUAAUUGGAGGGAAAAGUAAGCGUCAUGGUCGAGAACUGGAGGGAAAUUUGGAUAUAUUUUUUUUAUCAAGGAGAACAGGAGGGAAAUUGUUUUGGAAGAACCGGGACAUUGUUACAUAUAUUAAUUUGUUUGGAAUAUAAAUUUUCCAAAAAGUGUUUUUGGCAUGGAAAAAUAGAGUAUACUGUAUUUAUUUUCCAAAAAGUAUUAAUAAUGAUAUUAGAUGGCUAGCACGCGGCCCAGUAGAUGCAGCAAAAAGGUACCGCGCUUACAACUUCAGAGGAUAUCGGUUUAGGCCUAAACGGUUAGACAGGGUGAGUCAAAAUAGUGGAGUGGUGGUACAUGCCAGAACAUCUACAUAUGCUGCACCAGGUGAUGCGACCCCUGUUUUAGGUGAUGUGACUUACUAUGGCAGGAUAAUUGAUAUUAUUCAGUUGAACUACUCUGGACAAUUUUCGGUGGAUUUAUUUAAGUGUGAAUGGGUUGAUAUUUCUGAAAAAGGAAUUAAGAAGGACAAGUAUGGCUACACACUUGUUAACUUCUCACAUUUGAUGCACAAAGGAGACAAGAUUGAGCAUGAGCCUUUUAUUUUGCCUAACCAAGCCGAUCAAGUGUUUUACCUAGAAGACGAACUGAACCCAGGUUGGUCAGUGGUGAUGCAGAAUAAACUACCUAGAGAUAGAUGUGACACUGGAAAUGAUGAAUGCACACGAGACGUAGAAGCUGAGCCAUUCCAUGUUUCUCACCUCACGGAUAUGUUUAAAGCGAAAAGGAAAGAUCAACAUUGGGUAAGGUCUGAUAUUGAGGGAACAAUUGUGGAUGCUAAUGAUAAUUCUUUGAUCGACGAAGAACGGUGAUGGUACAUCAUAUAAAGGUAUUUCUUUGUUCAAGCAACAUUUUCUUGAUUAUAUAUACAUUGUAGUUUUAGCUAAAAUCAAAGCUGAGUUUGCAGGACAUUAAUAACCAUUGUAUGUUCUUGCAGAUCGUUGGCUGAGCUUACACCCUUCAAAAAAUUCGAAGGAAUGAGGUCUUUCACUCAACAUAUAAACCCAAUUUUUCUUUUUCUUUAUUGCUUUUCAUUUUCUCAUCCUAUUUUCCAUAGAUGCUGCCAUUGUGGAUCCCUAUAUGCAUUGAAUUUAACUUGACUCUUUUUGAUUUGUUAUGAACUUUUUCUCAUGCGCUUCAGUGAAUCUUCUUUUUCAGAAAAAAUUGCAAGUCAAGAUUACAAGGAUUGUUCUAAACUUCUGGAUGAAGCAAUGUGUUCUUUUAGCGGGCUUUUAUAUGUUUGCAUAGUUUUUGCUCUUCAAACAUGAAGCUUGGAAAAAUUCAGAAAAUUGUUACUAAAGUUAAGCUUUAUGUACGACAUGUUGUCAUUGGAAAUAGAUACACUUUUGUCGAAGAAGUAUUAUGUCAGAUUUACCAUCUUGUAAACUUAGUUUACGUCUGUUUGAAAUUGGCGUUUUAAUUUAUGUGGGAUGCUUGUUUGCUGUCAAAACCUGAUUCAAUAUUUUCUUUGUUGUUGUGAACCAACCAUUGCACGUGUUACUUCUGUUGCUUGCACUUGCAGCUAGGUGCAGGUAGGUGCUAGCUGUUGUGCCUGUUGCUUACACUUGCAGCUGGUUGCUAGCCAUCUUGCCGCUCAGAUCGGGUGCCUAACUAUUGAUGAUAUGCAUUUGAACUGCUGAUGCAAUGGCCAGUAGUAGAGGAGCCAUGGGGACGCACUACAGCAGAGGAGCCAUGGGGACGCACUACAGCAGAGGCGCUCAAAGAAGAGCAGCAGAGGUUGAGGUGUUCAAAAAAGACAGUAGCAAAGUAGCCUUGGUCGCGUGACAUUCCCUUCCUUCUCGCUUUUGCCCUUAUCUCUCUCUCUGUGAAAGCGUGGCUCCCCUUGAUCUUUUUUUCGUGAGAAACUGUCAAAUCUAUUCAACUUCAAUCAUGGCAGUACAACGGACACUAGAAAUAAUAAAAAUUACACCUAGAUUCAUAGACCACCUAGCGAUGAUUACAAGCACUAAAGCGAGCCCAAGGCGUGCCGCUGUCAUCGCUCCUCCCUUGCCAAAGUCGGGCACAACUUGUUGUAGUAGACAGUCGGGAAUUUGUCGUGCUAAAGACCUAUAGGACCGAUGCACCUUAACCGAACGAGGCCUUGGUUCCCUUUUCUCCACUCGAACCACCGGUCCGGUUCUUAAAACUAUCUUCAAAUUUAAGCUCUCGUUCGCUGUUGGUCUUCCACUCCUUUGUGAGUAUUCACAUCAAAUACUUAAUUUCAUAUGAUCAUUUUAAAGUUUGCAUUUCACAUUUAUGGUUGUUGAGUUAUCCUAAAAUUCGUGUAAAAAUAUAGUUAAUAUUAUAUUCACUACAACCAGACCGAAAAUAGUUUGGUAUUGACCAAUCAAACUGUAUUCUUUUUCAUACCAUAUUACCAAAGAAUGAAAACACUAUUUACCAAAACAAGAACGUAUUAUCAUGUUGACACAUGGGCCCUAUGUGUCAAGGUAUUUGUGAUCUAUGCAUGCAGUUGAUUUUAGUUUUUCUAGUCCCCCUAUAAUAUAGCUUGUAACACUAUGUAUCAACCAUGAUUAUGUGUUACUGCCAUUGUUGAACUACGUAACACAUUUCGGUAACACAUAUUCAUAUGUUACCACGUCAAGAUCUAUGUAACACACUUGACCAACACAUAUUUACAUGUUACUAUUACAAUAUCCCGGUAACACAUUUUGAGGCCUUAUAUAGUAUGUGUUACUGCUGUCGUUCGACACAAAAUGUUGUGUUACAGUAAUUUCCCUUGUCACACAUUUUUCAAUCUGUUACAUAAUUGUGUUACUUAAAGUCUGUUUUGUUGUAGUGAAUUGUGCAGCUCAUUUUUAGUAAAGUCUUGCUUUAUGGUCUCAGAGAUCCCAAUAAAGUCCAGCUUCUGAUCUAUUAUCAUUACUCUAAUAUAUCUCUUUUUGUGGUCUUGUCCAAUACCUCUGACAUUCCAAAAAAAAACCCUCUCAUUUUAUUAUAUUUAAUUUUUAUAUACUAAUAAGAAACUACUUAGUCUUUCUUCCUUUUUUUCUUCUUUGUAAGACCCCAAUCCCAACAGUUUGCUUCACACAGUCUAAUGCUGGUGAGCCUUUUUAACCACUUUUUUUCCCUGAGAGCAUUCCUUUCAGUUUCUUAAUUUGUUGUUCCUUAAUAUCAGCAUCAGAGUGUUCAAAAUCAGAACAUAAUCCCUCCACAUCUAUAUCUCCAGUAUUUAUAUAUACUGGGAUAUCCUUUUCUUUCUCUCCUUUCCCCUCAAAAUCCUCUCUUCCCCUGUCACUGUAUUCUUUUUUUAUAUUUUGGAAAUAUAAUUCUCUUCUGGCUAUCUCCAUCUUAUUGAUUAUCUCUAGGUUUUUGUCAAUCAUCUCAAUAGAACAUCCCAGGUCAAUCCCCACCAAGGAACUAAUAUGUAAUAAAGAAGCAUCGGCAAACACUAAAUCAGGAUUCUUACCAUAGUUAUCUCUUUCCUCAGCUCUAAUCUUUGUCAUCUCUUCAAUUUUUUGGUCUUCAUUUCCUUUGUUCCUGGGACUUCUUUUUAUCCCCACUUCUCUUUCCUCCCCAUCUUUCUCCAAGACCUCACUCCCAUGUAACUCAACCAUUUUCCCCCAAGGUCCCUAUCGACUCUUGGCUAGCAUUAUAAUCAGUAGGCUCAUUAUAUUUCCCAGAAUCGGUUUCCUCCUUUUUCUGCUGAUUUUCUUUCUCAUAAUCCUCUAGAUCCAUAUUGGCUAACUCCAUUUCAUAUUGCUCUCUGUUGGCAGCCUCUUGUAUUAGCCUCUGAAUUUCUUCUUAUUGUUUUCUGCUCAACUCUUGCAAGUCCAAUUGGUUAUUUUCCAGCUCCUUAAUCCUUUUCACUUUUAACCCAUAGUGCACUAUUUCUGACUUUGUCUUCCUCUAGAUUUUUUAUUUUGAUGAACAUGAUUUCACUCUCUUUUUGCCAUUUCCUUCUUUUUGUAACCAUCUCAUUUUGCCACUGCAUCAUGCUCUCUUCCAUUUGUGAUCUCAUUUUCUCAAUUCUCCCAUCUAUCUCCUCACUUUGUUUCAGAGAUAAGCACCCCAAAGAAACCCCUUUAUAUUAUAUAUCUUCCAGCUUUGUUCUCUCCUAUUUUCCAUCUCUUCCUCUCCAACUUCUAGGAUAUUGUUAUUGUCAUUCUUUCUUUUCUCUUCCUCGUACCAGCUAAUUUCCACCACCUUCUCACCUUCUGCCCCAAUUCUGAACAUAAGAAGAUCAGGGGAAGUGAUUUCCACUUGAGAGGGGAUUUUUUCCACAUCCCUAAUGCCACACAUAACCCUGAUCUUCUCUUCAUUAAUAGUGUCCAUGUCAAUUUCAAGCACAGGCCCUACUGCAGCAGCAACCUCACAAAUGCCUAAGAAAUGUCUAAACAAUCAGGGACCUUGGUCAACUUGAUCCAAAUUGUGUGCAUUUUUUCAAUAGCCUGAUGAUCCAGAGACCAGGGUUGGACUUUGAUCACCACCCCUGUCCCCAGCAAGUUGAAAUCAUUGAACUUUGCUAACUCCACUAGUUUUGCCUUGUUGGGAAAUCUCAUCAUGUAGCCAUUUUUUCCAAACUCUUUCACUCUCCAUUGCCAUCCCCAAUCAAACAUUUCUCCCAAAGCUUUAACAAGCUCAGUCUCAUUAAUCUGUCCUUCUCUUAUGACCACCACACCCAAGGGAUUAGUGUGUUCAGCUACCAAAACAUCCUUAUAGCUCUGCACCAAAAGUAUUCCUAAGCCUUUAGCAGCAUAUCCCACAUAUUUAGUUACUGGCUUUAUUUGUUUCAGCAGAUUGCACUCUCCAGUUAUGUGAUUGUCCCUGCCACAGAUCAAACAGUGUCCCACCCUGCAUUCCUUGGUGGUAUGUCUGGGGUCCUUGCACUUGCCACAAGCCUGCUUACUGAACCUAUCAAAACCUUUCUUGUUAUCUUCAAAGUUUUGUUGCCAACUGUUUCUUCCUCCCUGUGUCUUAAGUUGCAUGCCAGAAAUCUGUUCAAAUCCUUUGUCAGCUCUAUGUUGUCCUUCUCCACCUCUUUAUUCUUUCCUUUAACUGUCUUUCCCAGACAGAUUUCCAGAAUGUUUCCCAAACAUCUCCUCAAUCUGAUUUUUCUCACUGUUCUUCAUCCCCUGCACUAACUGAGAGAGCAGAGAGGUCAGCAGUAUCUAUUGUUGAUUCUAAUCUAGCUGAAUCAGUUGCUCCUUAUUUCUGUCCUUUUCAAGCCCAGCAACUCCUGCAUCUCCAUUGGCUUUUCUUGUGAUCUCUUCCCCUGCAUCUUUCUUCCCUGUCUUGGCUUGCCAGACCAAAUUUUCUCCAUUUCUCUCAGCCACAGAGUCCUCUUCUUCUUCAUCUCUGCCAAUUCCAUUUCCUAAACCAAGUCGGCCAUCCCUUCUUCCAAAACCACCAGAUCUCCCUGGGAAGGCGUGUCUGCCCCCAUUCCAUCCUCCCCCCUGUCAGCAUAGUUGAAUCUUCCUCCUGUGUGUCCACUCCCACCUCCUCGAUUGAAUCUGGGAGCUCCAAACCCUCUCCCAAAGUUUCCUGACAUCUCUUCUUCUUGCGGCGGCGAGGGGAGGGGAGGGGGAAACCCUAUGUGGUGGGAUUGCUUCCCUCCCACCUCUGCUCCCUCUUUUAUACCUGCCAGGACCCCAUCAUCUUUUUGGGUUGGGCUGGACUUCAGCCCACAAGGCCUCCACCAACGCAGGCCCGCAUCCAUAUCAAUACUUAAAUCUUUCCCAACUGAGCCCCCAAAAAUGAUUAGGGGUCUCAACUUUUUCUCAGAAUUGGUGUUCAAACUCUCCCUCUUUUGGAGCCAAAUAUGCUGCAAUUGGGGUCUUUUGUAAUUCUAUUUCACCAAAAUCCAAAUCCUCACCCCCAAACCAAGGUGUGAUAGGAUGCACAUUAUUUUUCCCCAUAUGUUUUUGCACAAUAUGAGCAUCAAUGCCAGUAAGCUUAAAGUUAUCUCCCAACCUGUCCCUUCUCUCAUCCCAACCCUCUUUUUCAUUAUCUAAACUAUCAAAAACAGAGGGAAUCCUAUAACACCCAUCAUACUUCCGAGAUCUAGGCCCUUUUUGCACUCUGUUUUCAUUACAGAGCCUUUUUCCCAAAUUUGCCUCUAAUUCUAGUAUCAUCUACCUCAAUCGAAGUAGUAGAUACUAAAUAUUUAGCGGAUUUUGUCAUACCUGCAUCGUAGAUGAGGACCUCCCCCUCCCCCUCCUCCUCAGAGCCCUCUCCGGCCAGCAACCAGAAGCGAUUGCCAGCCGGGGAGUGCCCUACUGCCGGCGGGAGAGAGCAAGGAGGCGAGGCGAACGCAUCUGGAAACGCGGGGAGCGGCGGGGAAGUGAGGUCGGGGUCGGAGGCACCCUGGCCCUCCUCCAUGGCGGCACAUCCACCUCCUCCUUCAGCUCUUCGACCACUUUCGCAUCCUCCUCGAUCUCGAUCAGAAGCCAUCUAGAUCCGGGAGCAGGGAUCCCCAUCACCACCACCUGCGGCGGCGCCUGCGGCACCGGUGGCGGUGCCCUCGGCUGGAUCAGACAGUAGCGGAGGGAGCGGAACAACUUUCACUUCUCCCUCUACUCCAGAAUCAGCGAUUCUGCCUCGAGCAUCACCCAGAGGAUCACCCCCAUCGCCGGCUGGCGGUCGUAGUUGGGGAAGCACCUGAGGAUCUCCUCGCCUCGCAGCUUGUCCCUCACCAUCUCCGACGCAUCGUUGAGGGCCUUCGCCAUUGGAAACCACCGAUCUAUCUCCUUCAAUCUCCCCAUCAGCACCUUGUCGCCGGCGGACAGCGCCCACAUCUGCUGCUCGCGCGUCGUCAUGGAACCCUAACUCUCGCAGCGGCAGCGCGCGGUGGUUUUCGUGGAUGAGAUUUGUGCGCGGGGGGGGGGAGUGGUGGAGAGCCGAGGCGACGGCCUAAUAACCUCUCUCCCCUCCCCCAACUCGCCAUUACUCACCUCGGAAACCACCCCAAUGUCGCCCCACCGGUCAGCCGCCGCAAGUCUCGCGACGUGGCACGGGAACGCCACCCUCUGGCCCACCCGCCACUCCGCGCCGACAACCCAUCUACACGCAUCCACCACCACCCCCUCGUCGUCGAGGAGCUCCACCCGCUGCUCUCGCCGGCGAACAUGGCCGGGCCGGGGCUCCGGCAGCGCCGUGCAGAAGUCCGGUGCGAAAUCGCAGGGGAGGCGUGUAUCGCACGGAAACAUCCCAAGGUUCUAAUCCUUCCCCGGGCAAAUGAUGCUCCUGCCUGUCUUGUGUCAGAGGAGAAAUGUUGAGGACCAGAGAAUCAGAAUUCAGAACUGCAUCUCACUCGUGUAUCAUUGCAUAUAUAGGAGAGUAAAAAUAGGUGUACAUGGUAUGGUCAUUGCUAACAUGUGCUCAUCGAUGAUGGCGUAAAUGUGAGUGACCGGAGCAGACACAUGGGAUGCUCGGCCCAACAUGACCAAAGCCUAUCUCUUGGGCAACAAACUUCUAAGCCGGAGGCCCCUGCCUUGGCCCAAUGGCGCGCCUCGUCUUGGAUUUGUUGUCCGUCGAAGAUGCACUUAUUCCGGUGCUUCCAUACCCACCAAGCAGUGAGGAUGAUGAUGAAGGCGUGGGCCCACCACUCGGCAAAGACCAACCUUGGCGUCGGGAUGGCGAUUGUGGAGGUGGAGCGGCACCAAGAGAGCACUUCACGUUUUGUAAAGUGGAUGGCGAUUGUGGAGGUGGAGCGGCAUCAGGAGAGCACUUCACGUUCCGUAAAGUUGUGGUUUUUCGGUAAUGACGACGUUGUAUUGUGGGUUCUAUGCAUUCUACUCCGGCCGCGACGUUGAUAUGGGUCCCUAGUGCCUGAUCUUCGACAUCUCCGGCUGCCCGGCCGACACGUACACGCGUGCAUCACCGCGCAUGUACGCACGCGUAUGUGUGUCCUCGGAGGCCGGCUGCCUGCCUGGACAGAAACAGCUAGCAAGAGAGGCACUCGCCAACCUCUGAGUAAUGUUUGAUGCAGACCCUGCCGGCAUCAUGCAUCGGUCGCAUGCAAUCCUUGAAUAUUCCGCUCCUUCUCAUCCUUUCUUCCGGCCUGAAACGUACUUGAGUCAUGAGCUCUAGGUAAGUUUCCAUCCUAUCCACUUUUUUGUAGGAAGCUAUCCACGCUAGUACUCCCUCUGUAAACAAAUAUAAGAGUGUUUAGAUCACUAUUUUAGUGAUCUAAACACUUUUUACGGAGGGAGUAUUUAUUAGUGAUAGUAUUGGUUGGAUUUUUGUGUCGAGGAUCCAUUCCAUUCACACCUCUCGACCAAAAGCGUACUCCGGCCGGCGAGGUUCCCGUUCCAGUCUCCGGCGAGGGAAGCCGCGGCCUGCUCCUGGUGGCCGUCCUCUUAUUUUGCUGGUCGCUUCGUGUUCGUGGUGUAGGGCUCUGUAGGCGGCAGUCGCUUGCUUCAUUUGGGCCGUCGACUUGGAGCUAACGUAAGGAUUCCUCUGCUCCUCCUUCUGUCCUCCUUUUUUUCAGCUAUAGUUUGGUGCUCCGGCAGAUUUGCUUUCAGGGCAUGAUUCCCACUCUCUAUUUAUCCACGUAUUAUUUUCAUCCGUUCACCGGCUUGGAGUCUUCUUUGCUCACGGUGUAUACUUCCUCCGUCUCAAAAUAAGUGUCUCAAACUUAGUAUAUAAUUUUAUAAUAAAAUUAGUACAAAGUUGAGACGCUUAUUUUGAGACGGGGGAGUAUGUGCUUUUGUUGAGUUAGUUUGUGGGGCCUCUUUUGAGGUUUAGUUGCCGAUUUAAGUGAGGCUUUUUUUGAGCCGCGAGCCGGCGACCCUCUUGUUUUCGCCAUGCUUGGUGAGGCGGGAAUUCUUGACACUACUCCACUCGGAUUGCGUGAAUCCUCGACAAAUCUCUUGGCUAGGCACGACUUAAUCAAAUAUACUUUCGGGAAGUUGUAUUAGAGUUGCGACAAUUAAUUUGAAUGGAAGGGAGUAGUGUAUAUAUAUAUAGCUCAUCACAAAAAAAUGGAGCAAUUAAUGCGAUUGAUAAUCCUUAUGCAUGAGUUAGCCCGUCGUCGAGUAAUCAUAUUGGAGCUACCAUUGUAUUCCUGCACUUGUUCAUCUAUUUAUAUGUUUGCGCCUAAUGCACUAUCCAACUCAUCUCCCCCGAUUAGGAGUGUAGUGUGAUCAUCCAUGGGGAAGAAAGGUAUAGUUGUGGCGACCACCAUCGUCGCCGUGAUGACUGUCAUCUUUGGAGUCAUCGGCGCGGUUUUCUUGGGACUGGUAUGCACGCGAUAUUACCUCUUCCUCGGUUGCAACCUCCGGUCAACCAAUAAUGUACAAUCACUGUGUACAAUUAUUCAUGCAGAGACGCUAUGAGGAUGACCGCGAUGACCGCAGCGUGUGUAAGUACGCGCGAUCGCCGGCGACGGCUUGCGGCGUCGUGGCGGCCGUGCUGGCGCUAACGACACAGAUUCUCGCCAGCGUGGCCAUCGGCUGCUGUGGGGCAUGGCAGAAUCCCAAGAGGGCCAAUCGCAUCGCCGCCGUCGUUUUCUACGUCAUCUCAUGGUAUGUAAAUAAUUUUGUCGCUGAAACCUCCAUAUCUCAACUACUUUCUGUCAGUAGUCAAGGAACAUAUCAUCUUCGGGCAAAAAAAUACUGUCACUAAAGUUAAUAUUAAAUGUUUUUUUAGAAAAGGGAGGAAAUUCCACCAUGGGCGCUAAACUUGAAACCUAGGAACACAACAGUCCAGUAGAUAGAAAAUCACGCUAUGUUAGAAGUGUCACAUAUGAUAAAUAUUGAGGUGAAUGGGAGAGAAACGGGAGAAAAGGUCUUCUUUCUCCUAAUUACGAGAUGAUUUCUUAGCAACAAUAUCUCUCAUUACAUAUUUAUGCAUAACCUGUUGUACACCAUUUUAUUGUCAUAUCAAGACUACUUGAUGAAUUUAAGAUAAGAUUACUUUAUCAACCACUCUACAUGCCCUUAGGCAUGCAACUCACAAUUCAAAUCGCUACAUGUCAACCUAAUUUGCCACGGUGAAUGUUGAGGUUGUCGUGUCGAUGUCAUGUAUGCAUCAUGAUCAUAUGGCUGCCACGGCCGUGAGUCAAAAUUAUGUGGUGCAGGCUCUGUCGUGCUGGAAGGCAACAGGGAACCAGGAGAAAGUUCGUUCGCUACGGUUUUCAAAAAAAUGCACCUCUGUUUAAAAUUUGCAGACUAAAGUUCAACAAGAUUUAUGUACACUUGGUGGAUUGUUUGUUUAAGUAGUAUUUAUUCAUGUGGUCUCUAUGCCAUUCAUGUAUACUUGCAGGAUCCUAGUGAUCAUAGCGGUGCUGGUGUUUCUGGGAGGCGCCCUAUUAGGGAUUGAAGGAUAUACAGAGAAAGUUAUUGGGAAAACUAUUGAGAACGGUAGCUGUGUUGGAGGUGUCGGAGGUGAAGGAGUUUUCGUGGACGCGACAUUCCUGUUUCUUGUAGUUGUCGCCCUUGAGGUCUCCUCGUAUCUUCUUAUUCAGAAAGAUGAGCACCACCAAGCAGCCGCAAGCGAUAAUCCUCCUUCGAUACCAACCGCUACAUCUCCUUUGGCAACAACAGCUUCUUCUAAAGAUGAUGCCCACGCCUCCGCUCCCGCACCAGCAAAUCAAGUCUGACGUUAGCUCGCAACUAUGGAACAGUUGUCUUUGCCUUCCAAAAGGAGGAACAUGCUUUCUGGACCGUUGUAAGUGGAAGGCACUCGUUGCGGUCUUUCGAUCCAAAAUACUUUGUGGUUUUAGUCCAAAUUCAAACCAAAACCAGAAGAAAUAUUUUGAAAGGAGGGAGUACAUGUUUAUCAUAUUUAAGUACAUAAUGAAAUUGUCUUCUUAAUAUGUGUUUUGAGGGCUAUUUUAUGUCAUAUGGAUUGUGCAAUUUCAUAUACAAUAGAAAUUAUUUUCUAUACUCGUUUAACACUUCUCAAAUACAUGAUAAAUAUUGUUUUAGCUUAUGUUUGAUGUGUCCUUUUUCGGUAUAGACUUUACAUUUUUCGUAUACAUAAGAAUUUUUUCUGAUAUACUAUAACAUUUUUCAAAUAGUCCCUUCGUCUCAUAUUAAUUGAUGCUAAAACAGAUAUAUCUAGAAGCACUUGAAUGCUAGAUACAUAAUUAACAUUUUUCAGAUAUAUGUUUUGAUGUCUAAUUUUUUUUAUACAUAGUGUACAUGUUUUUUAUACAUAAGAAACAUUCUUGAAGUAAUUCGUUGUGAAAUAUAUGUAUUUUUAUGUUUCAAAUGUGAAAAAAUAGGAAAAAAAUGCAAGAAAGUAGACUAAGUUAACGAACGGAAAAAGAAUAGAACCAAUUGUGUUGUUGGGACGGUACAUGACCACGCCACUUCAGGCAACGCGAUGGUCUAUCUCACUAUAAGGGAGUUAUAGAUGCGCGCCUACCCUGGAGGGAGGGACUAUAUCCCGCUUAGUUUGAGACCUAAGGCAUUUCCUAUUCGACGCCUUCAGAACCCGUUAAAGUGCAUGUCGUUAACUGGUGCAAAAGACGCUCUUACCUGGCCAGUUGAUCUAUGUCUGGAACGAGAGAGAACUCUUGCCUUCGUUUUUCUUUCUUCAAUUAUGGUUUUUUCUUUCUUCGCAUUUUUUCCCCUUUUCUUUGUUCUGUACUCUUUUCCUUUUUAUUUGGUUCUACUUUUCGUUUUACUUUUUCCUUUUUUCUUGAGAAAUGCACGAAUGUUAAAUGUGAUGAACUUUAAAAAAAAUCAAUGAACUUUGUUUUCAAGUUCAUGAUUUUUUUCAAAAUUUGUCAACGUUUUUAACAAACCAAUGACCUUUUUCCAAAAUCAGAAACUUUUAUUCCAACUGCAUACACUUUUUGAAUUCGUGAACUUUUUUCGUAUUUUUAAUAUAUUUUUUAAUUACGCAACGAGUAUGUAUGUAAAAUAGAGGAUGGAGCACGAGAGCAAAAAGUAGUGUCCAUUCGUCUGAGUGGAGUUUCCAGCCAACCAAACGAGAAGGGCAGAGAAAGAGAGAACAAAACGUAAACGAUUGUAUAUAGCCAGCCAAACUAGCUGAAUAUGCAUGGUGAACGUAGCCAUACGUGGAUCUACUAGAGCACGUCGACGUUGAUGGGUGAGCCGGGCCGUCGCUCUCGUUGGUGACCUCGUCUUGCCUGAGCCUCCAGCGGGCGGCUCAUCUGCUGAAGAGGAAAAAUCCAUCACAAAUGGGCUGGAUGGGUGGAUAAUUACCAGCUUAGUUAGUCUUAAAGCGAGGAGACCCGUGGAGGCUCUCGUGUUUUUACGGAGAGGCACAAACUCAUCUUCGUCACAGAACGUGGGACACAAUGAAAAAUCUGUCUGCCCUUCAAAAUAUGCCAUGAUUGUGCAUCGGGGACUUCAACGAGGUUCUCCGCUAUGAUGAACACAAGGGGAUUGGACAGAGAAGUCAAACUCAGAUUCAAGGUUUUCGCGACGCGGUAGAUGUGUGUGGCCUGAUUGAUCUUGGCUACCAGGGUCGUAAGUGGAUUUUCGAAAAGAAGGUCACCGGUGGAUCAUAUACCAGAGUCAGGCUAGACAGGGCCUUAGGCACGCCCGAGUGGUGUGCUCGCUUUCCACUAGCAGUGGUCGAUCACUUAACAGCAGCGACAUUUGACCACUCUCCUAUCAAUCUCACUUUGGCUCCAGUGGAUAGAAGGAAGCAGGGAGACAAACCGUUUCGGUAUGAAUGUAUGUGGGACACGCAUCCCGAGUUGAUCCCUACAGUCCAGCAUGCAUGGUAGGCGAAUGGCCCAAAUCUAACGGCGACAGAAGUUCGAGCAAAUUUGCAAUCCCUGUCCAAUAACUUGGGGGAGUGGAGCAAGUCAACUUUUGGGAGUGUCAAGUCAGAGAUAAGGAGGUUGAAGAAAGAUUUGGAGCGGCUCAGGAGCGAUCCAGCGAGGACUGCACCUAGUCAUGUUGAGAUCAAAACAAAUGAUCGUUUGAUUGAGCUGUAUCUUCGGGAAGAAAUAAUGUGGCGCCAACGUUCACGGGUGGCCUGGUUGUCGGAGGGGGAUAGAAACACGCAUUUUUUUCACCUCCGAGCUUCAAAUAGAAGGUGCAAGAACCUGAUAAAAUCACUGCAGAAGCAAGAUGGGCAGCUUACGGAGGAGUUAUUGGAGAUGCAGCAAAUGGCACUGGACUUUUAUAAAGCCUUAUACACUUCGGAAGGGGUGGAAGGGCUGGAUGAUGUGCUUCAACAUGUCCCCUCGAGGGUAACAGAUGCGAUGAAUGAGGCUUUGUUGGCGCCGUACAAGGAGGAAGAAGUCAAGAACGCACUCUUCCAGAUGUUUCCUACAAAGGCUCUGGGGCCGGAUGGGUUUCCUGCGCACUUCUUUCAGCGGCAUUGGGAUAUUUGUGGUGCGGCGGUGACACGGGCUGUUCUGAGUAUAGUUCGAGGAGAAGAGAGCCCUGAGUGCGUGAAUGACACUGUUUUGGUAUUAAUCCCCAAGGUAUCAAAACCAACUCUUUUGUCUCAAUUUCGACCUAUCAGUCUAUGCAAUGUCUUUUACAAGAUAGCUUCAAAGGUUCUAGCUAAUCGGCUGAAGUUAAUACUUCCUGAUGUUAUUUCUGAAGAGCAAUCAGCCUUUGUGCCUGGCCGGCUUAUUUCUGAUAAUAUUAUCUCAGCAUAUGAGUGUUUGCACUUUAUGAAAAGGAAUAAGUCAAAGAACAAUAACUAUUGUGCUCUCAAGCUUGACAUGAUGAAGGCGUAUGAUCGAGUGGAGUGGAACUACCUGGAAUCUAUAAUGAGGAAACUCGGCUUUGCAGCAUCAUGGGUUACCACUGUCAUGACCAUGGUGAGAACAGUUUCUUUUUCGGUAAUGUUUAACGGAUGCAAAUCACAAGAGUUUUUACCAUCCAGAGGUAUUCGUCAGGGAGACCCUAUCUCUCCAUACCUAUUCUUGUUGGCAGCAGAGGGCCUUUUGUGCCUGUUAAAAUCUCAGAAUGGAUCAUCCCAGCUCAGCGGCAUCAAGGUGGCUCUAUCGGCUCCGCCGGUGAACCAUCUUUUAUUCGAGGAUGAUAGCCUGCUGUUCUUCAGGGCUACUGUUGAUGGAGCAGAAAAAGUGUCACACCUUUUGGAUACUUAUUGUUUGUCCUCGGGCCAGAGGAUCAACAAGGAAAAAUCUUCGAUUUUCUUCAGCAAAGGAUGCCCACAGAUUGUUAGAGAUGCAGUGAAGGGAAGUCUCCAGGUUCCUAACGAGUCUUUAAGUGACAGAUAUCUUGGCAUGCCCACGGAUGUUGGACAUGCAAAAAAGGGCACCUUCAAGCACUUGAGCGACAGGUGUGGGACAAGGUGAAAGGCUGGAUGGGCAAGUGCCUGUCUACAGGGGGUAAGGAGGUGCUGAUCAAGUCGGUUGCACAGGCUAUUCCGGUUUACUCUAUGUCAUGUUUCAAGCUCCCCAGAGGCUUAUGUGAACAUAUAAAUUCUAUCAUCCGCAAGUUCUAGUGGGGCUGCAAGGAAGGGCAACGAAAGCCGGCUUGGGUAUCAUGGGAAGUAAUGACGAGGCCAAAGUAUUUGGGAGGAAUGGGUUUCAGAGACCUUGAGCUUUUUAAUCUAGCAUUGUUAGCUAGACAGGCGUGGAGGGUGCUGCACGAUCCUUCAUCACUGAGCGCUAGGAUCCUCAAGGCGUCUUAUUUCCCAAAUGUGGAGUUUCUUAUGGCGGAGUUGGGUUCACGUCCUUCGCAGAUUUGGCGAGCCAUCCUAGAGGGGCGAGACAUUCUAAAACGGGGCAUAAUCAGGAGGAUUGGCAAUGGUCACACGACGAACAUAUGGGAUCAUAACUGGAUACCGAAGGAGGGAUCACUGCGGCCAAUUGUAUCUCGGGUCCUAGACCCACCACAGUUAGUGUCGGAGCUACUCCAACCAGCAACGGGAUCAUGGAAUGAGAACCUUGUUCGUGAAGUAUUCUUGCCUACAGACGCCGAGGCAAUCCUGCGGAUUCCUGUUUGCACGACUAAUGUUGAGGAUUUUUGGGCAUGGCAUCCGGAGAAGAAGGGUCGUUUUACAGUGAGCUCGGCUUAUAAGUUCAUGAUCGAGACGAAAAUUUCUCGGGAAAACUGGCUUGAAGGGAGGAGUGGAUCCUCAAGCAACGAUAGAGAAGAGCGGGACUGGACCUCGCUUUGGUCGUUGAAGGUGCCAUCAAAGGUCAGAAUCUUCCUAUGGUGACUUGCCCGCCACUCACUCCCAACGAUGGAUGUUUUGAACAAGAGAAACAUGGCAACACGCGAUGCUUGUCCGUUGUGUGGCUCUCCAGACUCAUGGCGGCACGCCCUAGUGUCGUGCACGUCGGCACGCUGUACGUGGGCGCUAUCGGACGCGGCCCUGGUGGCACAUAUGGCGGAGAUCGAGGAACCCAGCGCCAAGAACCCCAUAUGGCGGAGAACGUACGGAGCAAAAUGGGUGAAUCUACAUUGUAAACUACGUCUAUAUACAUCCGUAUGUACUCCCAAUUGAGAUUUCUAGAAAGACUUAUUUUUAGGAACAGAGGGAGUACUAAGCAGAGGCAAUGGAAACCUGACUUCAUCGUCCCAGUGAAAUGGCAAGAAUCUACACAACAACACGCCUUUUUUUUGGAUGGGCAACUCAAGGCGCUUUCAAAAAAUAUUAUUGAUAAUGUUUGUGCGGGUGAAAGAGUGAUAACAUCGUUGCUCCGGUCCAAUUGCAGCCUCUUUACCGAAGUCUUUGGAGUAUUUCUUCGAGCAGAGAUUGACGCUGUGAAGAAGGUGUUUUCAAGAGAUUUCAUUGUAAUUCUUAGUCAUAGGAGUUAUUUUGUAUUUUCUUGGAUGUUAGGUCCAAAUUAAUGUACCUGUAAUUGUUAUGAGUAUGAAUAAAAUUACAUGUGUUUCUCAAAAAAGAAGCAAAGUAGUUGUCUGCCUCAACCAAAAAUGCGCAAAACUGUUGUUGCACGAUCCGCCACUUUCUUUUUUUGCUAAUGAAUAACUUGUAGUUGAAGAUAGCUCAACUGCAUUGAGAGGGCCAGAGUCAAACCAAGUCAUGGUUCUACCUUCUGACCUAGUAAAAUUUGCUAAGCUAUUGCUAACCUGAUACGUCUCCAACAUAUCUACUUUUCCAAACACUUUUGCCCUUGUUUUGGACUCUAACUUGCAUGAUUUGAAUGAAACUAACCUGGACUGACGCUGUUUUCAGCAGAACUGCCAUAGUGUUGUUUACACGAGGCGUCGCGCCGGGUUUGCCAAUUCCGGGGAUACGUCGUAGAGGAAGGCACAUGUUAGUGUUGCCAGCACCGGGCAUGCGUAGAGGAAGGCACAUGUCAGUGUUGCCAGCACCGGUCAUGCGUAGAUUGCUAUGGAUAUUUUAAUUAUGGGUUGCUACUUGCUAGAACGUGUGGAUGCAGCGCAAUGAUAAAAUCUUCAAGAAUGAAACCCUCAAGGAUUAACUCUUGGCGACUCAGACUGAAGCAAGAUCUUAUUCUUAUUGCAUUAAAAAAUGAUAGUGGCUGUAAAGUCUGAAAUCAGCUAAAGAUAUUGUAGAUGACAGCUCAAGAGCUGCCACCAAAUACAAAAAUGAUUGCGCAUGCUUCUUCAUAAAUACAGAUUAAGUUCAUCAAACAGAGUUGCACGCCCUCAGCCGGGCAUAAAACCCAAAAUUCUUCAAUAUUAUGAUACAAUAUACAGAGCAUCAAAUGAGAAGAAUUCCUAAGAAAUUGAUCAUAUCCACGAUUUCGUAUCAAGAUUUCACAACUGAACAUAUCAAGUGAUAAUGUGAUACUAAUGUAUGAUAUUAUGCAAUGUGGAUGCAGUAACUAAAGUAGUAUCAUGCGUUAUUUUGAUACUAGCCCAUGAUACUAUGCAUUGUGGGUGGCCUUACUUCCUGUUUGUCCAAACUUGGAACGCUGCCCUAAACAAAAAUUGCACCCCAAUAACUAUGAUGAUGCUUCACUUGGAUUUUCUAACUAAUGCGUGAUGUAUACUAUACUUGUAUGUAUGACCUAUACUGACGUACAUUUACACAAGCUGACGGACAGAUAAACGGGUUAGUUAGUGGUUAGUUCAUCAAUGCGCUAUCGCCGGACCUCUUCUUUGCAGUCCAGAGGAAAGCGAUGGAUCUCACGGAAUCCCGCAGACGGCUAACAGGGAGUCCCUCCAGAGUAGGGUGACACAGAUCCCUUCCGGGCUCUUGUUCCUUGCAGGUUUGUUCUCCGUUGGGCUCGCUCGAGCUACGACCUUCAUCUUGGUCCUCGUCAUUCCGGACGGUCAGGAUUUUCUCCAGCUUUAUAUCUUCAUCAGGGAACUGGCGAUACGCGGAACGGAGUCCAUGGUGAAUAUGUUCCAUUCUUCCUGACCUUUCGUCUUCCCUGUCCAAGUCGAUUAAGUCCUGCGCGGUCGGAACGGAACACACCCGAUCAGUGGAACAGGAUAACAAAACUCACCAGUCACCACAACAAUAAUUACCCCUCCUGGGUUAUUAUUCCCCACUAGUUUGGAGUAUUAUGGAAAUAAUAAUACGAACCUGUGUGGGAAAAGUUUUGAAUAGAGGAAGAAACCGGGUUCUGCAGUACUGAUUGAAUGAAAGAAUAAAGAAUAUAGGAGGUAUGGUGAAGCCUGCAGCUACUGGUGAUUUUUUUAGGCCAAAUACGCCGAAGCAGAUGAUCUGGGUGAGCACGAGAGAGAACAUCACCGUGUUGUGUGCAAUUGGCCAAUACAAACCACCACUGUCAUAUCUCAUCCGGUAAACGUUGAGUAGCUAAAAACAAAUAAAAAAAUGGCAGAUCAUUAGCAUACAGAGCCAAUAGGGUUCAAAUAACAAAAUUAGUUUUUUUUCAAGUAUUUGCCAUCAAGAGCAUGUGCUUAAUUUUUCCUAUUUUAUAUCCGCAGAUAGCACUUUAAGCUGCUAAACAAUGUUCACCUGUAACUGUAAUGGCAACAUAGUUCUAAGAAAAUAGAAUGCAACAUAGCAACCGUCCUGGAAUUAUUAGUACUGUAGAAGCCAUCUCCAGUUUCUCUCUCACCUGAUUGCGGUAUACGACAUAACCCAGGAAGAAGUAGACUAGCAGAAAAGGUAGGAUCAAGGGUGCCAGUACAGAGCAUGAGAAGCCCAACAGGCCAAACAACAUAACUUUUGGUACUUCUGUGUGAUACGGAAACGUGGGGACGAACGCUGUAUCUUCUUUCAUUCUCAGAACAUACUUUAUUAUAAAGUUAUAGAUCAGACCAAAGAGUUGCAUAAGUUCAGACGAUAAACUGGCCCAUCCUGAAGUCAGAACAUAGGUGAUGAAGAAUGUAGUCUGAAAUCACAUAUUUACAGAAUUACUGUAUUUGUUUAAGAAAUUUAAAGGAAGGACAAAUAUAUUAUUACUAUUGACCUUCGAUAAACAGCAUGAAAGACAAGUUAGGACUAACCUGCCCAGGUAUGACACCAGCUAGCUGGACAGCGAUGUCCUUUGUGGUUGAAGAAGAAUUCAAUUGGCUUAUGACAGCACCAGAUGCUAAAUUAACAAAGAACACAUUCCAAAUGAAGAAGUACAGCACUUUAGAGCAAGCACUCCUCUUCCUUUCACUGUGAGAUGUAGGCCCCUCCAAUGUCGAAAACAAUAUCAUUAUUGGCGAAACGGUGUACAGGAAUAGUAGCAGUAUGACACUUGGAAGGUAUCCAGUUAUUAUUUGGCUUAUGUAUGGCCUGCACAUGAAAGGGUGGUCACUAGAGGCCAACUACAAAUGAAGAACAAGCCAUGUGUUCAAGAUACAUCAGAGGGUAGAAUGUGUUAAUCAGUCUAAAUACCAACGAUUUUGCAUGGUGUUUCAAGUUCCAACUUUAAAAUGAGACCUGAUGCAUACUGGAGUCUACGAGUCAGCGGGUAUGAAGAUGAGCUUAGAGAGGUCAGUUCCAGUACAACAUGGGUACUUACUGCUUUAAUAACCCAUUAAGAAAAGGAAGCUUCCGAUGCACCUGAUCAAGCUGGGACAGACCUUGUAUAAAUGUCACUGGUAGCAAAAAUAAGACCGAAAAAACAAGAGAACCUAGAAGCGUAGCUAUCCGUCGAAUCCAAAGCUGCUUAUAGGGAAGCCAAAUGUUUGACCAAUACACAUCAUCUGGCUCUGGAGCUAGAUCGGUAACCCACUUCGUAGGGUUCGAAGUCUGAAGUGCUUGUGAAGCAAGAAGUGCGCCAUACCGAGUUUUGAAAAAUACAAAAGCAGCCGCACAUUCCUGUAAAUAGUUCCAGGACCGACGUUACUGAUUUUAUACUUACUGAUGAACUCAGUGACACAAUCAAUAUUUGCAAAAUUGCAAAGCAAACCUCGUUAUCUAUGUUCUUUGCAACUUCGUCAGUCGGUAACAACUGGAAAGAAUUUGAAGAAGCUCCACAAACACAACACGGGUAUGUAAUUGCUUUGCGGCUCUGAUCUAGAGUUGUGUCUGUGGAAGUGGAAUGGUCCAACUUUCCACAUGCCUUCUUCGCACCAGUCUGCAGCAUAUUAAACAGUUUUACUCCAAAAGCAGAAAGCAAAAUACUAAUAUGCAGAUAAAAGGUACAGAUCCAAAUCAAACGAUUUGAGAUCAACUCACUAAUUCACAGAGCAAGCAAAUAUAUCACAUGGAAAGGAAUCAGCAAAUAUUGCAGUUACCUUUGCAGAUAAAAAGUAUAAAUCAAACACGAAUGAUUUCAGAUCAUUUCACUAAUUCAUGGAAAAGACAGAAAAAUAUCAUAUGAAAGGAAUGUGCAGCAUCAUAAAUAGCUAUCCCUUAUACGCCAUAGUGAUUAUAAAACCACAAGAAAAGUAAGCCUAAGACUAACAACAUUAAAUCAUAAAAAUACUAUGGUAGCAAUUAUUUUGCAUUCUCACUCAUCCCCCACCUUCCAAACAAAUAGAAAUGUUGUAUGAGAAAUGCUUACCAUUAUCUUCUGAACUUUCCCAGCCUUGUAAACAACUUGAUGGAAUAGGUAACUUGAUGCAUGAUACUUGGUGAAGAAAUCAUCAACGUCACUACUGCACGAUUCGUUUGCUGUCUUUGGUAUUCCGCGAACAAGCACAGUAAAUUGGCCUGGAUUUAGUGUUGUGCGUUUAAGGUGAAGGAGCCUCAGCCUAGCAAUGUGCUUAUACUCCUGAAAGAUUGGGUAGAGAAACAACAUUACAUGUGAUCCUCAAUAUGAGGAUACAGAAUACUCUGUACUUUUUAUGAGCAAAAAACUUACAAUAUGUAGGAGAAAGCAAGCUACUCCAGAUAUUAUGUAGAGGACUAAAGAAUGAACCCAAAGCCUGCAAUACAACCAGCACACGUAUGAAUGUUGCGCCACCAUACAAUUUCAGCCUUGAUAAAACCACCUUAUGAUAAACUCAGAACAAAUUGUUCAGCUCACCAUCUUGAUUGCACUUCCACAUUCUGAACUGUGAACAUAUGCAAUUGUUCUGAAGGAAUCUCAAGGUGAUGCGUCUUUCGUCCGAAAUAAUGCACUGGAAGAAUUCCAAAAAGGCACAGGAUGGCAGCUAGGGAAAAGAUGCGUAUGCUGCAGAAAAAAAAAUGAAUGUAUCAUCAGUUUGCGAAUUUGGAAUCUGACGUCCGUUAAACAGAUAGAAAAAGGAUGUCAAGACGAGAACUCGGAGUACCUGAACACUAGUAUUCUGUUGAAAGCAAUAGCAUCCAGCCCAGCAGCUGCCAAGAGAUCUUCCUCGGUACACUGCAGGGCCUUGACGAUCCAGCCGGUGGAUGGAACAAACCUCUCCAAGAUGAAGGCCUCUCGGAGCAGUCUAUUCUCCUCGGCGAUCCUCCGGCCGAAGUAGACCCUGACAAAUGCUGGCUGCUUUCUGAGAACGGAAUAGAGGGACCACAGGAGCACGCAGAUCCCAAUGUUGAUGCCCGCAGAGGUCAUGAGCGCGCUGAUCUUCAUGGCUUCCUAUCCUAUCAGACCAGCCACGGACAAGAAACAGGGCACAUGUCAUCUAAGCAUCAUCCUUGAUGUCCUCGGGACCUACAGGUACAGGAAGAUGAAGAUAUUGCUUAACAGUAGUAGACACUGAAGUAGUCUAAAGCCUAAACUGCACAAGUUCCAGAUGAAGCAAAAAGCUGCUCAACGUGGUAGUGUGACAAGACCAUAGUUAACAAGGCGUGCCUGGGCGAUACCAGCGCGUAUUACGCGCAUAAUUACGGUUAAGCGUGUGCUUUUGUCAGAAAAGCACAAUUAACUCCUAGUGAUGUUUUCUUUUUUUCAAACUUUGGAUGUAUCAGUUAACUGAGAUUACCAAAGAUCCCCCUCUAAGUGGCUACAGAAUCCGAGCACCGCCCCCCUGGCUCGAUCAAAGCACAAAUUCCAUCAGAUAUGAACUGGAGGAAUCCAAGCUGUCCCGCUGACUCAUGUCAUGUAAGCAUAUACAGAAGCAUCAUUCUUGAUGUCCUCAGCACCUACAGAUACAGAAAGAUGAGGAUAUUGCUUAACAGUACUAGAGACAGAUGUAGUCUAAAGUCUAAACUUCACAAGUUCCAGAUGAAAAGUGUUUAGUGUGACAAGACAAUAGUUAAAAAGGUGUAGCAAACCCCCUAGCGCUUAAUUGCGGUUAAGCCUGCGCCUUUUGUAAAAAAGCGCAAGGCGGUGGGAAAAGCACAAUCAACUCCUAGUGCUGUUUUUUCAGCUUUGGAUGUAUCAGUUGGCUGAGAUUACCAAAGAUUCACCUCUAAGUGUCUACCGAAUCCGAGCACCGUCCCCCCUGGAUCGAUCAAAGCACACAUUAUCUAGCACAACAUGGUAAUAUCGCAUACUCGGAGCACAAAUUCCAUGAGAUAAUAUUUUUUGCGGCAAAUUCUGAGCAAAAAUUCCAUGGGAUGAUUUUUCUGAGCACAGAUUCCAUGAGAUAUGAACGGGAGGAAUCCGAGGUGUCCGGCUGAGUUUAACAGCUAGUGGGCUAUAUAUUGGACCAAAAGUAGUGAACAGGAACGCUUCAAAAUCAGAUUCGACCAACUUGGAGGCUAACAAUUUUACUACUAGAAACAAGAUGGAAACUUCCAACAUCUGAACAAAAUGCCGAGAACACUUGAGACGAAUUCAAUCUGCCGCUCUGAUGGAAGUAGCAGAAGAACAGGAGCAGAAAAAAGGGGGGAGGAGGAGGAGUAAUCCGCUACCUCCAAGCGGAAUGGACUGGACAGGAGCAACCGCCGGAGCCAAGAAGUCGUCCGCCCGCCGCCGCAGAGGCAGGAGGAACCCUACGCCACCCUCAGGCGACCGGCAAAAUCAGAAGGGAAACGCGGCGGGCAUCGCAUUGACUGGCGGGGAGAGUAGAGGUGCGGCGCCGACCUCGACGGAGCGCGGUAAUGGCGAGGGGCCGAGGUCGCCGGCGAUUGGUUGGUGGGAGGGAGGCGGGAGGGAGCGACAGGUCAGAGGAGUUGAUGCGUCUCUGCAGAGCAGAGAGAGCAGGCAGAGCCCAUCCACUCCUCCGAAGACCAACCAAUUCCAAUGCGGGGCCCGCCCCGAGUGUAUUAAAGAAAAUUAUGACAUGUCUAAAAAUUGGACACUUGUAUACAUUUAGAAAACUUCAUGCGUUUGAGAAAAGCUGUUCAUACGUGUUAAGAGUAUAUGUUUAUGUGAAUUCUUAAUUAAGUUCGUGCAUUCCUCCUCAAAACAAUGGGAAAAAAAGGAAAAAAAGGAAAAAAUGAUAAAAUAAUAAACAUGAAAACACGUAAAAGCAUGAUUUUUUUUCUUCAAAGGCAGGAAAAAAUGAUAAACGAAAAAAAUUUAACAAGAAAGCUCAUGAAAGGAACAGAAGAAACAAAAAAAAAGAAAGAAAAACACUUGACGCUUGCCAUGUCGGCUCAACAGUGGAGACGCUUCGGACGUCGACUCCUUGACGCCCGCAACGAGCGGUGUACAUAGAAACUGCGGACCCUCCCAAAUUGCCAGGAUUAUUAUUAAUUAUUAGCCACCUGAUAAUUGCUCUCCAAUCAACAUCAUUUCAUUUCAUCAUCAUUUAACCUCGGUUACUAUUUUUGGACCGACCAUAUCACGUCCUAGCCGCCAAUAAUACUUUACAAGAUACACGUGGACAGCAGAAAUGGCAUCUCCCCCAUGAUUUUUUUUAUCCUGUGACAAUAAUGGCUGAUGUGGAGUUCACAGUCGACCAAAUAUAUCGUGCCUGACCAAUGCUAGAUGCCAAGAGCCAGUAAAAAAAAUGAUUGCACAUAUGCUUCUCGACAAAAAUUGGAUGUUUACAGGACAGAGCCAAUCAGACAAGCAUGACGACCAAAACCUUGGAUGUUUACAGGUAUAUAACAAGACUUUACAGGUAACCAUGAUGAUCAUGACACCCCACGACACCGAUCACUUUCACGUCCGUCGAAACAUCCGGACGCUGCCCUAGGACCAAAAUUGCAACCCCCAAUUAACCACCAUGAUGAUGCUUUGUGUGUAUACUUCACUUGGACUACUGGUAUUUCUUAACCUAUUCUUCUCUAAUGUGUCUUGUGUACUUUGUAUAUGUAUGAUCUAUAACCCGCUCUUUUUUUUCAAAAAAGAAAAAGGAAAAAAAAACUUGUACGGCCUGUAUAUAUCGCUCUGUACAGUUGCAUGAGCGGCCACAUGAUGAACGGGUUGGGUUAGCGGUUCGGUUAGUUGUCCGACGCUGGCUGGCUGCAUCAUGACCACAGGCCUCUUUUCUGCAGCCUGAUGAGGAAAGUGACGCAUCUCACCGCAUUCUGCAGACGGCUGACGGGGAGCCCUUUGAGCGUCGGGUGAGACAGGUCCCUCCUGGGCUGCUGCUGUUCCUCGAGGGUCUCUUUGCCGUUGGGCUCGCCCGGGCUACCUUUGCCGUUGGACCCGCCCGAGCUACAACCUCCGCCGUCCUCAUCGUUCCCGACGGUCCGAAUCUCCUCCAGUUGUACAUCUUCUUCGGGGUCAGGGAACUGGCAAUACGCGGUGUGGAGCCCGUGGUGAAUAUGUUCCAUUCUUCCCGACACCUCGUCCUCCCUGUCCAUGUCGAUUAAAUUCUGCACGGUCAUAACAACUCACCCGUCAGCAAAUGGCAAUAAAGUUCUGCCCCUGGGCGGCUAUUAUUCCAUAGUUUGUGGUGCACCUAGGUUCAUGUUCAUCAACACGUUAUGUCCUACUACUAGCUUGGAGUAUUAUUGAGGCAAUACAAACCUGUGCUGGGAAAGUGCUGAACAGUGGAAGAAGCCGGGUUCUGCAGUACUGAUUGAACAGAAGAGUGAAGAUGAUGAGAGGUAUGGUGAAGCCUGCAGCUACUGGUGAUACUUUCAGCCCAAAUAUGCCGAGGCAGAUGAUCUGGGUGAGCACGAGAGAAAAUAUCACUGUGUUGUGUAUAAUCGGCCAAUACAAACCACCGGUGUCGUAUCUCGUGCGGUACACAUUGAGCAGCUGAAAACAUAAUACAAAUGGCAGAUCAUUAGCAUAUGCCGAACAAGAUGUGUAUCAAGUAUUUAAUCGUCGGCAAUAACAUCUCAAAUUUUCCUACUUUAUAUCUGAGGAUAGCACUGUAAGCUACUUCCUCCGUCCCAAAACAACAAAAUUCACCAUUAAGGGCAACAUAGUUGUGCUACAAAAACAGAAUACUGCCAUGGACUUCUCAGUAUCCAUCUAGAGUUUCUCACCUGAUUGCGGUAUACGACAUAGCCCAGGAAGAAGUAGACUAGCAGAAAAGGUAAGAUCAAGGGCGCCAGUACAGAGCAUGUGAAUCCCAAUAGUCCAAACAACAGAACUUUUGGUACUUCAGUGUGAUAUGGGAACGAGGGGACAAACUCUGUAUCUUCUUUCAUUCUCAGAACAUACUUCCUUAUGAAGUUAUAGAUCAGACCAAAGAGUUGCAUAAGUUCAGAUGAUAAACUGGCCCAUCCUGAAGUCAGAACAUAGGUGAUGAAGAAGGAAGCCUGAAAUCAAAAUGGAUUUACAGAAUUGCAGUCAGAAUAUAUUGACCUUCCAUAAACAAACUGAUCUUCUGGAGUUAUCAAAAAGAAAAAAGAUCCUUCUACAGCGUGACAACAAGAUAGAACUAACCUGCCCAGGUAUAACCUUAGCGAGCUGGACAGGAAUGUCCUUCGGGCUUGAGAAAAAAUCCAAUUGUUUUAAGACAGUGCCAGAUACCACAUUAACAAAGAAUACAUUCCAAAUCAAGAAGUACAGCACUUUACAGCACGCACUCCUCUUCCUUUCGCUGUGAGAUAUAGGCCCUUCUAGUGUUGAAAACAGCAUCAUUAUUGGCGCAACGGUGUACAGAAAUAUUUGCAGUAUGACACUCGGAAGGUAUCCAGUUAUUAGUUGGACCAGGUGGUGUGGCCUGCACAUGGAAGAGGAGUCGAUAGAAGCCAAAUACAAAUACAUGCCAUAUGUCUAAGCUGAACAGUAGUACCACAAUAAUCCCAAAGCACUCAACUAAAAUGCGUUAAUAAUCGGUCUAGAUAUACAUGAUUUUGCAUGCUGUUAGCUCUACAUGUUAGUGGAUAAGAAGAUGAAGUUCAAUAGUAGUAGAUGUCAGUUCCAGUGCAACAUAGGUACUUACUGCUUCAAUAUCCCGUUAAGGAAAGGAAGCCUCUUCUGCAACUGAUCAAGCUGAGAUAGACCAUUUAUAAACGUCACCGGUGCCAGAAAUAAGAGCAUAAAAACAACAGAACCAAGUAGCGUCGCUAUCCGUCGAAUCCAAAGCUGCUUAUAGGGAAGCCAAAUGUUUGACCAAUACACAUCAUUUGGUUCUGGAGCUAGAUCAGUAACCCACUUCGUAGGGUUUGAUGUCUGAAGUACGUCUGACGCGACAAGUGCUCCAUACCGAGUUUUGAAAAAUACAAAAGCAGCUGCACAUUCCUGUAAAUAGUUCAAGAACUGAAGUUACUGAUUCUAUACAGACUUGUUGAUGAACUUAGCAGAAAAAUCAAUGUUUGCAAGAUUGCGAAGAAAACCUCAUUAUCUAUGUUCAAGCUAGAAUCGUCCAGGUCAACUUUUCCUUUGCUCGGUACAACUUCAUCAGUGGGCAACAAUUGGAAAGAAUUUGAAGAGGCACCACAAAGACAACACCGGUAUGUAAUUGCUUUGCAGCUCUGAUCUACAGUGGUGUCCGUGAAAUUUUUCAACUUUCUACAUGCCUUCUUCGCACCAGUCUGCAGUAUAUGAAACAGUUUUACUCCAAAAGCAGAAAGCAAAAUACUAACAUUCAGAUAAAAGGUACAAAUCCAAAUCAAGCGAUCUGAGAUCAAUUCACUAGUUCAGGGAGAAAACAAAAUAUAUCAUAUCAAAAAGAAUGUGCAAUAUCACAAAUACCUUUGCAGAAGUAUAAAUCUAACUUUAAUGAUAUGAGAUCAUUUCACAAAUUCAUGGAGAAGACAAAAAUUAUCAUAAUGAAUGUGCGGUACAUGAAUUAUCACUUGCAUGACAUAGUGGUUACCGAACCACAAGGAAAGUACUCCCUCCGUAAGCUAAUAUAAGAGCGUUUAGAUCACUACUUUAGUAAUCUAAACGCUCUUAUAUUAGUUUACAGAGGGAGUAAGUCUUAAGACUGACAGCAUUAAAUCACAAAAACACUACCUUAGCGAUUGUGUCGCAUUCUCCCCCACCCCCACCCUCCAAACAAAUAGAAACGUUGUAUGAGAAUUCUUACCAUUAUCUUCUGAACUUUCCCAGUUUUGUAAACAAUUUGGUGGAAUAGGUAACUUGACGCAUGAUACUUGGUGAAGAAAUCAUCAACGGCACUACUGCACGAUUCUUUCUUGGUCUUUGGUAUUCCGCGAACAAGCACAGUAAAUUGGCCUGGAUUGGGUGUUGCACGUUUAAGGUGAAGGAGCCUCAGUCUAGCAAUGUGCCUAAACUCCUGAAAGAUUGGGUACAGAAACAACAUUACAUGCGUUCCAAAAUAUGACGAUGUAGAAUACUCCGUAGUUUCUAAAAAUACUUACAAGAUAUAGGAGAAUGCAAGCUACUCCAGAUAUUAUGUAGAGAACUAGACAAUGAACCCAAAGCCUGCAAUGCAACCAGCAAAUAAAAUGAAUACAGAAGUAUGUAUGCUGCGCUCCCAUAUGCAUAUUCUUUUCUCAUGUUUUGAAGAGUAGAGAUGUGCACGGAACUAAAUCAAGUCCAGUUAGAGGCAAAACAAAUAACAUUAUAAAUACCAAUAAAAAAUGCCGUAUACCACAAACAAAUAUACAAUUUCAGCCUUGAUAAAACACCUUAUGAUAACAUUAAAAUAAAUUGGUCAGCUCACCAUCUUGAUCGCUUUUCCACAUUUCCAAUUGUGAAGAUAUCCAAAUCUUCAUAAGGAAUCCGAAGAUGCUGUAUAUUUUGUCCAUGAUAAUGCAGUGGAAGAAUUCCAAACACACACAGCAGGGCAGCUAGGGAAAAGAUACGUGUGCUGCAGAAAACGAAUGUAUUCAGUGUGCAAAAUUGGAAUCUGAGGUUAAACUGAUAUAACAGAAAAUAGCCAAAAAAGAAGAGAGAGGGAACUACGUUUUUGCAUAACAGCAUUAUAAGAAGUUCUAUUUUAUAUGCGGCUGCCAGAUUUACAAGUUUUCGGCUCCUUGUGAUUCAGGUCACACGUGGAUGCUAAAAAGCUCAUCAAUCAGAUGUUGAUGCCUUCUAACCAAACAUAAUGAUAGCACAAAGGGAUACGUGGAUAUCAAAGACGAAAUUUGGUGUACCUGAAGACUAGCAUUCUAUUGAAAGCGACAGCAUCCAGCCCAGCAGCUGCCAAGAGCUCUUCCUCGGUAUACCUCAGGGCCUUGACGAUCCAGCCAGUUGAUGGAACAAACCUCUCCAAAAUAAAAGCCUCUCGGAGCCGACUAUGCUCCUCGGAAAUCCUGCGGCCGAAGUAGACCCUGACAUUGGCUGGCUGCUUCCUCAGAACAGAAUAGAGCGACAGAAAGAGCACGGAGAGCCCGAUAUUGAUGCCCGCAGAGGUCAGGAGUGCGCUGAUCUUCAUGGCUUCCUGCCGGGUCAGUCACGGAAAACAGAGCAUAUGUCAUCUAAAUAUGCACAGAGGCAUCAUCCGUGAUGCCCUCGGCACCUGCAGUAUCAGUUAGGCUGAAGUCAUGUUUUGUUGAUGACAAUGUCAGAAAAACCAUACUGAAAUUACCAAAGAUUACCCGCAAAUUAGCCCCCUCCCCCCUCUUAGUCGAUCAAAGCACAUAUUCAGUACCACUCCAAGGUCAUAGUUUAUAUAACCAAAUUAAAUUCGAUGAUUGGGCAGCAGCACCGCCAGCAAGCAGUGCAUUGCAUUGCAAACUGGAAGUGGGCGAGUCGGAGCUGUCCGGUUGAGUAGAACAGGUAGGCCAGAUUCGGUGGCUCAACUGUGGGGUUGGUUCGCGUGCAACGCAACGCUAGGCUAGGCUAAGGCUACCCCGCAAUCCUCAAGUGUAAGUAGUACAAGACUAAAUAAAGCUAGCACGGGACGGAACAAUACAAAAUCAGAGCAGAACAACUGCUGGAAAAAAACACACCAACCAACGCAACACUGGGCUAGCUAAUACACCAACCAUCGCUGAAGAAAAAAAAAAGAGAGGAAAACUCCGGUGGUGAAGGGAAUGCGUCGCAAUCGUCGGCAGGAACUCGCCAGAACCGAAACCAAUCUGCCCAACUAAAGUAGUAGUAGUAGUAGCAGCAGCAGCAGCAGCAAAAUAAGCGCGGAAACGGAGGAGGAAUCCGUUACCCUCUCCUAGUCGAGUCGACGGGGAGGGAAACCCGCCGGAACCAAGGUCGUCCUCGAGUGAGUCUCGUGCCGCCGCCGCAGGACCCUGCACCAUGAAGCGGGGUCAGAAGGGGAGGAAUAAGGCGGCCGACGGUUACCAGGAGCGCGCCAGCGCGGGCGGGCGGGGGGAGGGGAGGAGCGAAGCGGCUGCCGCCCACCUGGGAAUCGGGAAUCGGGCGCGGCAAUGGCGAGGGAGCAGCCUCGCCGGAGAUUGGAGCGGAAGGCUCGGCCGCCGGGCGUGGAGCGUUUGGUCGCGGGGAGGCGGCCGGGAGCGAGAGCGAGAGGAGUUGAUGGAGGGAUUCCUUCCGAUUUUUAUUUCCCUUCUCCUCCGUAAGCAACGCGAAAAAACCAACCAAUGGCAUUUAUUUAUUUCUGGCAAAUAAAUCAAUCAAUCAAUCUAUAGGCGAACAAUAAAUAAAUACUAAAUGGAGGGGCUUGCGGCUCUCGGGGCACGUGGUGGGAGCCGGAUGGGCCGCGGGGCCCAUUUGCGGCGGCGGGUGUCAUGCGGAGAGCCACGUAGGAGGACCGGGUCCGGCCGUGGUCGUGUCGUCAUGACGGCCGCGCGCGCUCCUGGGCCGUCGGAUCGGAGGCCAGCGGCCGCGAUCUGGUCCGCCUCGAGCGAGCAAGGGAUUGCCGGACUGGUCCGCGGAUCACGCGCGUGCUGUCUGUUCAGUCGACCACGAGGGGAAAACGCGUGCCAAAUUUCAGGUAGAUCACGUCGCCUUUUGCUUUUAAGAACGGGGCACUUGGCCGGUAAUUGUUUCGUACUGUAUUAAAAUAAUACCCUUCCUGCUUGCUCUUACAUCCUCUUUAGAAAACUUGAAUCUACUGGGACCGAUUUUGCGCCCAGUCGUCGGCCCCAGCUCGCCACCAGGGCGUCGAUGUUGGCCCACUUUUUAGCCCCAUUUCGGCGAAUAAAGCCCAUAUGGGCGAGAAUAGGCCCAUAUUCGGCGUGGUUCGCCGUGGCUCGGCGUUCAAUUGUCAACAUAAAUAUAUUUUUUAUCACAUAUUUCAUCACAGAAAAAUCAAAUACUUCAACGAGAUAGUACAACAACAAAUAGUUCAAUACAAAUUAUAUAGUUCAGCAAAUAAAAACUCAUAUUUCAUCACACGUCGCGCCCGGCGUCACCCUUGAUCCUCCAUAGGUGCUCUAUCAGAUCUUGCUGCAGUUGAUGAUGCACCUGUGGGUCUCGGAUCUCCUGACGCAUACUAAGGUAGGCAGUUCAGGUUGCUGGUAGCUGGUGAUCAACUUGGGCAAGAGGACCCUGCCUGUGAUAUGGUUCAGUGUCAAAUACUGGCUCUUCCUGCUCGCUCUCAAUGAUCAUGUUGUGCAAGAUGACACAGCAGGUCAUGAUCUCCCACAUUUGAUCUUUCGACCAGGUCUGAGCGGGGUACCGGACAACAGUAAAUCAAGAUUGAAGCACACCAAAUGCCCGUUCGACAUCCUUCCUGCAAGCCUCCUGAAUCUUCGCAAACCAGGCGUUCUUGCCUCCUGGCACAUGAUUUUUGAUGGUCUUCACAAAUGUCGACCAUCUCGGGUAGAUGCCAUCAGCUAGAUAGUACCCCUUGUUGUAAUGCCUUCCAUUGAUCUCGAAGUUCAUCGGAGGAGAAUGACCUUCAACAAGCUUGGCAAAGACAGGAGAGCACUGCAGCACGUUGAUGUCAUUGUGAGUUCCUGGCAUACCAAAGAAGGAGUGCCAAAUCCAGAGAUCCUGUGUGACCACGGCCUCAAGUACCACACUGCAACCGCCUUUGUACAUCCCCUGCCGAGCAAAUGGGCAAUUCUUCCAUUUCCAAUGCAUACAGUCGACACUUUCAAGCAUCCCAGGAAAUCCUCUUGCUGCAUUCUAUGCUAGGAUCCGAGUAGUGUCUUCCGCAUUGGGUGUUCUCAAGUAUUGCGGUGCAAACACUGCCACCACUGCCCGACAGAACUUGUAGAAACACUCUAUGCUGGUGGACUCGGCCAUGCGCUCAUAGUCGUCCUGUGAGUCACCGGGAGCUCCUUAUGCAAGCAUCCUCAUUGUUGUCGUGCAUUUCUGGAUCGAGGUGAAUCCAAGUUUGCCGGUGCAAUCCAUCUUGCAUUUGAAGUAGUUGUCGAACUCCCCGAUGGAAUUUACAAUCCUGAGGAAAAGUUUUCUGCUCAUCCGAUAACGCGCGUCGAAAUGUUCUGUCGCCGUGAAGUGGAGCAUCGGCGAAGUAGUCGGCGUAGAGCAUGCAGUAGCCUUCGAGACAAUGCCGGUUCUUUGCUUUCACCCGCCCCGGCGCCGAGCCACCUCGCCGCGGCUUUUCAUUGCUCGCCAGCAGCUGGGCGAGGGCGGCGAGCACCAUGAGAUGCUCUUCUUCCUGGACGUCGGCCUCGGCUUCCUCCUCCAGCAGUGCGGCGAGCACUUCCUCGUCAUCCGAGUCCAUCACCGGGGCAGGCAAAUCGCCUAGCACCUUGCGCCCGAUGGGCGUCCACCCGCCGGUAAAUUGCCCCUCCGCGGCCGAAAACGGCGGCCAGAAACGCCCAACUGUUGUCGGAGGGGCUGCUGCGGCGAACCUCUGCUAUUUUUUCGGCGGGGAAUGGCUAUCUAACGGUGAAGGGCGGCGGGCGGCGCCGAGAUAUAGCUAGUGGCGGCCGAGAGCGCGGGGGGUGGGAGGCAGGUCGGGGAAGAAAAUCUUGACUUUUCACCUGACGGGUGGGCCAGCCGCGCUUUUCCCUUGCACCGGAGCCCCCAGGCGCCCCCCGCGCGCCGGGUUCGGCCUGCGGCCGCCGGGCGGAAAAACGGGCCGAACCGGCGUUUUCCGUCGUCCUGGGGCGUGACUGGGUCGUUUUUUUUAUGCCGGCGCCGAAAAAGUCGCCUGGGGGCCCUGUUGGAGGCGUAGCUGAAGAUGCUCUAAGGUGUAUUGUUUUUUCAAAAAGUCAAACUUGUCUAACUUUGACCAAAUUUAUAUACAAAAAUAUCAAUGUCUAGAAUACCAAGUCGCGGAAGCACCUACCUUACCUAGUCAAUGACCGCUGAAAAGUCUUCAUGCACUUACAAUUAAAAGACAAGUGCCUCGGAGCUGCAACAAUCAUCCUUGACCCCUCGAAUCGAUCUAAAGAGACAUGACAUCAAAUCUUAGCAUCGCGUCCGCACUAUGAGAAAAUUAUAUGCUAUCCCAACGAGGUAGUGCGAAUCUACAUUUGCUGAAGCUACGUCUAAUCCGUUUUGAAAGACGGACUCAAAAAGAAGUGUUGUCAUCCGCCUUACAAGGACAAAACACUAGCCUACGUUCUAACGAGAGCCCAUGCAUCAGGAUUUUCAUACCAGCCAAUGUAGCGAGAAAAAGAAAGGAGGAAGGCGAAUCCACAGGCUUAUCGUCGAAGAUCGAGGGGAGGAGGGUUUGGCCUAAUCGCCUUGCAAAAAAGGAAGGGUUGGAGUAAAACGUUAUCUUCUCGUUUCGUUUACUCUUAAGCGCUCUGUGUUGUCGCCAAAUGCUAGACUUGCAGGAGCUGGUGAGCUAAUUCCACGCCGGCCACACAAGUCACAAAGGACAGCGACGUAUGGCUUUAUUUGACCAGCCAAAAAAAAAGCUUAUUCCGAUUUCCAUGACGUGCGUAUUGGAAGGGAAGAAUCAGAACGAGUGGCCACGUCCGCGCGGCUGGUUCUGAUUCACACGAUGAUUUGUUCGUCCAAGUUCGACCAGCCAGCCAGCUUUUUUUUUUGAUGGGAUGACUAGACAGAUCUUAUUUGUCUCACUUCACAGCCACACCCCCAACUUAUUUGUCCUCCUCAAAUCCAUACAAAAUUGUGCAAACUACAUAAAUAAACUACCUAGAUUAGUCAGUGGGGAGAGAUGAGUAAAACUAUCAAUAGCACUCAACUGAGCCAGGGGAAUGAUCAGGUUUACUGGGGCUUAAUAGUAAUGGCAAAUUCUCCACUAGAUCUUUGUAUAAGUGGUUAGAAAGUCCUCUUAGUCGAUGCCACUAUAGGUGGAUCUGGAAAGCUAAAAUCUCACUCAAAAUCAAGAUUUUCUUGUGGCAGUUGUCCCGGGACGCGGUUCUUACUAGACAGGUUAAACAACCAGUCAGCUUUUGAAUGUCAUGCACUCGCACGGGGCGUUUCAUUCGGAGGAUGGUAUCAACUUUUUCUGGAUUGGCGUCGACCCCUCGUUCGGAAACGAGAAAACCGAGUAACUUUCUUCCUGAAACUCCGAAUGUGCACUUUAACGGAUUAAGCUUGAUAUCGUACCUCCCACUACUGGAAUCAGCUACUUUGCGAUCUGCCAGUUCUUUGCCGUCCGCUAGCGGACGGCAAGGAAGCUCUUUGCCAUCAGCUUCCAGAAAGCGGACGGCAAAGAACAGGCUGAUGGCAAAGACCAAGUUUGCCAUCAGUCAGUUCUUUGCCGCCUGCUAGCGGACGGCAAAGAUUCUUUGCCGUCGGCUAGCAGACGGCAAAGAGAGAGGGGCCCCACUGACGAGCUNNNNNNNNNNNNNNNNNNNNNNNNNNNNNNNNNNNNNNNNNNNNNNNNNNNNNNNNNNNNNNNNNNNNNNNNNNNNNNNNNNNNNNNNNNNNNNNNNNNNNNNNNNNNNNNNNNNNNNNNNNNNNNNNNNNNNNNNNNNNNNNNNNNNNNNNNNNNNNNNNNNNNNNNNNNNNNNNNNNNNNNNNNNNNNNNNNNNNNNNNNNNNNNNNNNNNNNNNNNNNNNNNNNNNNNNNNNNNNNNNNNNNNNNNNNNNNNNNNNNNNNNNNNNNNNNNNNNNNNNNNNNNNNNNNNNNNNNNNNNNNNNNNNNNNNNNNNNNNNNNNNNNNNNNNNNNNNNNNNNNNNNNNNNNNNNNNNNNNNNNNNNNNNNNNNNNNNNNNNNNNNNNNNNNNNNNNNNNNNNNNNNNNNNNNNNNNNNNNNNNNNNNNNNNNNNNNNNNNNNNNNNNNNNNNNNNNNNNNNNNNNNNNNNNNNNNNNNNNNNNNNNNNNNNNNNNNNNNNNNNNNNNNNNNNNNNNNNNNNNNNNNNNNNNNNNNNNNNNNNNNNNNNNNNNNNNNNNNNNNNNNNNNNNNNNNNNNNNNNNNNNNNNNNNNNNNNNNNNNNNNNNNNNNNNNNNNNNNNNNNNNNNNNNNNNNNNNNNNNNNNNNNNNNNNNNNNNNNNNNNNNNNNNNNNNNNNNNNNNNNNNNNNNNNNNNNNNNNNNNNNNNNNNNNNNNNNNNNNNNNNNNNNNNNNNNNNNNNNNNNNNNNNNNNNNNNNNNNNNNNNNNNNNNNNNNNNNNNNNNNNNNNNNNNNNNNNNNNNNNNNNNNNNNNNNNNNNNNNNNNNNNNNNNNNNNNNNNNNNNNNNNNNNNNNNNNNNNNNNNNNNNNNNNNNNNNNNNNNNNNNNNNNNNNNNNNNNNNNNNNNNNNNNNNNNNNNNNNNNNNNNNNNNNNNNNNNNNNNNNNNNNNNNNNNNNNNNNNNNNNNNNNNNNNNNNNNNNNNNNNNNNNNNNNNNNNNNNNNNNNNNNNNNNNNNNNNNNNNNNNNNNNNNNNNNNNNNNNNNNNNNNNNNNNNNNNNNNNNNNNNNNNNNNNNNNNNNNNNNNNNNNNNNNNNNNNNNNNNNNNNNNNNNNNNNNNNNNNNNNNNNNNNNNNNNNNNNNNNNNNNNNNNNNNNNNNNNNNNNNNNNNNNNNNNNNNNNNNNNNNNNNNNNNNNNNNNNNNNNNNNNNNNNNNNNNNNNNNNNNNNNNNNNNNNNNNNNNNNNNNNNNNNNNNNNNNNNNNNNNNNNNNNNNNNNNNNNNNNNNNNNNNNNNNNNNNNNNNNNNNNNNNNNNNNNNNNNNNNNNNNNNNNNNNNNNNNNNNNNNNNNNNNNNNNNNNNNNNNNNNNNNNNNNNNNNNNNNNNNNNNNNNNNNNNNNNNNNNNNNNNNNNNNNNNNNNNNNNNNNAUCGACACGACACCCCGACCCCCCGACCCCGAAACAGCACCCCGACCCCGACACGGCACCCUGACACCGACAGGACACCCCGACCACCGACACCUCCCGAAAAGGUGUUCUUUGGCCUUCCAGAGGCCGACGGGGUCAUAUAUUUGUGAAUUAUUAGUUAGGUCAUAUAUUUUUCGAUUUUGUUAUGAAAAACAUCAUAUAUAAUUGUGUUGAUCGUGUAGUUUGAAAUGUGCAGUUGUUUCAUCGCUGCGAGGUUUGGUGUUCGACGACCUCGCUGUGCGUUUGACGAGCUCUGCCCCUUCGUUCGUGGGUGAGCACAAAUGACAAGUCCUCCUCCCCCAUUAAUUAUUUGAUCUAUUCCGAUGAAACUUGAUAGCUAGCUAUAUAUGUGUCUUGAAUCAUCAGUAUGCGUAACCAAUAUGUGUCUCUCGUUCGAAAGCGUCAUAGUUAUAAAUAUGCAUGCAUUUGCAUAUUUAUAAUCUUGAUUCUUUCGAAUUGUCCAACGCUAUCCAUGGACAGCCCGAGUAUGUGUAGAUUGGGUUUGUUUUCCCAUAUGCUUUGCUCCGGAUCCGACGCAUAUAUUUCGUCAGUGCCUGGCCGGAUCAGCCCGAGGAUCCGAGUGGCCAUGCUGAUGAUGGCGGGGAGCCGACUGAUCUUGAGGAGGAGGGGGGCACCGUCUACCAGCCUGGUGCUACACGGCUCCCGUCCGUGCUGGUGACCCGCGAGCAGAGGUGGUUGAUUUUCCCUGAUGGGGAGAGGUACGUAAGUGCAUUUAAUAUUUUUGUACCUUGUGCAUUCAUGUUUUUUCAAAUAACUAAUGCGUUGGCCUUGUCAUGCUGCAGGGGUUGGGACCACCAUCAUAGUGUCCGCCGGCCCAACUCCGUCCUUGGAGUUCUUUGCCGGCAAAACUUCCCGGGGUUUGUCACGUUGCCUGGUGAGGGUCGGCUUCCAGAGCUUGGAUUGAGCUGGGAGCACUACGUGGCUGCCCCGGCCCUGCCGGAUGAGAUUAUCGACGGUGUCGUGUGCGACACGAGGGCAGACAUGGUGAUCAGAAAGUUCUGGGUAAUUUCUCCUUUACACAUUUAAAAAUCUUCAACUAGCUAGUUAUUAAUUGUACUAAUCAAUAUUGUCUCAUUUGAUUGCAGACAUUCUACAGGUGUGAGGAGGGAUACGAGGAGGACGCGGCACAUGUUAUCGAGAACGUCUGCAAGCGCCUACUCCAGAACUUACGGCACGAGGCUCGGGUGCAGGCUGUUCGAGACUACUACGCCUUGCGUAGUAUCAAGAAGACCAAGCCGGCGUGCCGCGAUAAGUUCCUGAGUAAGGAGCAGUACAUGAAGGUAAUUCUUAAGGCCUUCUCUAUUUAAGUUCCUUCAUUUAGUAAUUCUUAGCCGUAGCGCUCAAGUUUCUAUUUGCUAACUUAGGCGCCUCCGAGAUGGUGUGCGGAUCGGAUGGAUUGUUGGGAGGUGUUGGUCGAUGAGUGGUGCUCAAAACAAUGGCUAGCCCUCCACAACGAUCUGUACUUAGCUUACUUAUGUCAAAAAUUGCAUAAUUAGCUUAGUUAGCUCAUAGACGAUCCAUUUUACCUAAGUUAGCUCUAAAAUGACCCAUUUUACCUAGGUUAGCUUAUAAAUGAUCCAGUUCAUCCAAGUUAGCUCAAAAAUGACCCAUUUUACCUAGAUUAGCUCCUAAAUGAUCCAUUUUACCUACGUUAGCUUUAAAAUGACCCAUUUCACCUAGGUUAACUCCAAAAUGACCCAUCUUACCUAGGUUAUCUCAUAAACGAUCCAUUUCAACUAAUUUAGCUCAUAAACGAUCCAUUUCACCAAGUUAGCUAAAAAACGAUCCAUUUCACCUAAAUUAGCUCUUAAAUGAUCCAUUUCACCUAAGUUAGCUCAAAAACGAUCUAUUUCAACUAAAUUAGCUCAUAAAUGAUCCAUUUCACCUAAGUUAGCUCAAAAACGAUCCAUUUCAAUUAAGUUAGCUCAUAAAUGAUCCAUUUCACCUAAGUUAGCUAAAAAACGAUCCAUUUCACCUUAGUUACCUCAAAAACGAUCCAUUUGACCUUAGUUAGCUCAUAAACGACCCAUUUCAACUAAGUUAGCUCAUAAAUGAUCCAUUUCACCUUAGCUAGCUCAUAAACGACCCAUUUCAACUUAGUUAGCUCAUAUAUGAUCCAUUUCACGUAAGUUAGCUCAUAAAUGAUAUACUCUUCUUGUUCUAGUCUUCUUCUUGUUCUACUCUUCUUGUUCUAGUCUUCUUCUUGUUCUACUCUUCUUCUUGUUCUACUCUUCUUGUUCUAACUUUCUUAUUUUUCAUUUUGCAGAUUUCAUUCACUUGACGAAAGCUUGCAUAGAUGGAGUGCUCUUUAUCCCUUUCUCUGUUUCUUUUGUAUCGUUGAACUAUGCAUAUAUCGUUGGAUGAAACUGUUGUAAUAUAUAUGGUUGGAUGCCUCUUUGUUGAACUUGUUAUGUAUGAUGGAACUAUGCAUGUAAUAUAUAUGGUUGGAUGAUGAAGUUAUGUGUUGGAUAUCUUAUAUGUUUGGUCUGUAAUGGCCUUCUGAAAUAUAUCUAUAUAUGUCAUAUAUAUUUGUGAUGAAAAUUGUUGGAUUUAAUAAAAAACAGAUAAAAGAGCCAAUAUGCAGGCUCUUUGCCGUCUGCGGCGGACGGCAAAGAAGACACGUGGCAUCUAGCUGUGCUUCCUGGGAGCUGACCCAUUUGAUCAGUUUGCCUAUAGUGGCAGACGGCAAAGACUUUGCCAUCAGUGGCGGACGGCAAAGAACCUGCACUUUGCCAUCAGUGGCCGACGGCAAAGAACCUGCCAUGUAGUGACGUGUAGAUGACAUCAUACGGCGGACGGCAAAGACACUAGAAAUUUUGCCGUCAGCGGCGGACGGCAAAGGCCUGCCGUUAGCCACUUAACGGACUGACAGCGCAAUUAUUACCGUCCGCUCUCUUUGCCGUCCGCCGCAGACGGCAAAGGGCCUUUGCCGUCAGCCGCCAGGAAGCAGACGGCAAAGUAGCUGUUUACCGUAGCCUACUUUGCCGGAGCCUUUUGCCGUCCGCGGCUGACGGCAAAGGCCUUUGCCGUCCGCGGCUGACGGCAAAGGCCUUUGCCGUCCGCCGUUCAUGCCUUUGUCGUCCGCCUUGGCAGACGGCAAAGUAGCUGAUUCCUGUAGUGUCCUAAGGUUGACAAAGGUUUCUGCAAGGUCAGUCCGUAGGUCGGAACCUUUGCGAGACUUGACCACAAUGUCAUCCAUGUACGCUUCCACAUUCCGACUGAUUUGAGUGAGCUGACACUUCUGAAUCAUUCUCAUGAAUGUGGCUCCGGUAUUUUUCAAACCAAAAGGCAUGGUGACAUAGCAAAAGCACCCGAAUGGGAUGAUGAAGGCUGGUUUUAUUUCAUCGGGACCAUACAGUCAGAUCUGAUGAUAUCCGGAAUAUGCAUCUAAGAAAGACAAGCGCUCGCACCCCGCAGUCGAGUCAACAAUCUGAUCGAUGCGAGGGAGAGGGAAGUGAUCUUUCGGGCAGGCCCGAUUGAUAUGCUGGAAAUCAAUGCACAUACGAAGUGAAUCAUCCUUCUUAGGAACCACGACUACAAUGGCUAACCACUCGGAGUGGUAGAUUUUACAGAUGAACUAUGUUGCCAACAGUCGAGCCACUUCUUCGCCAAUUGCUUUCCUCUUCUGCACGGCGGACCGCCGAAGGUGCUCUUUGACGGGUUUUACCUUGGGGUCGACACGCAAGCGGUGCUCGGCCAGUCCCCUGGAUACACCUACCAUGUCAGAAGGUUUCCAUGCAAAGAUGUUCCAGUUCUCACGGAGGAGCUGGACGAGCGCUUCUUCCUAUUUGCUGUUGAGUGUUGUUGAUAUAUGAGUCGGUGUAGCAUUGGGAUCUGUCAGGUGAAUAUGAAUUGGCUUCGUCUCACCAGUCGACUAAAAUGGAGAAUAUGUGGCAGGCUUCUUGGCUCGGAGCAAGUCACUCGGAUUUGCAUUCUUCUGAUACUCUUGGAAUUCAACCGUUGCCAUCUGUGCAUCGGCGAUUUUGGAACCUUUCUGGAAACAUUUCUCAGCCUUCUGCCGAUUGCCAGUAACUGUGAUCACACCUUUGGGACCAGGCAUCUUCAGUUUGAGAUACACAUAAUAUGGUCGAGCCAUAAAACGUGCAUAGGCUGGCCUACCCAGAAUGGCAUGAUAGGCACUCUAGAAAUCCAUAACUUCAAAUGUCAACUUCUCCUUAAGGUAAUGUUUAGAAUCACCGAAAACCACGUCGAGGGCGAUCUGGCCGAGUGAUUCGGCUUUCUUUCCAGGGAUAACACCAUGAAAACGCAUGUUGCUCUCGCUAAGUUUGGACAUCGGAAUGCCCAUCCCCUUCAAGGUUUCAGCGUAAAGGAUGUUCAGACCACUGCCACCGUCCAUCAGUACUUUGGUCAGUCGAGUGCCCCCAACCACGGGGUCGACCACCAGUGUUUGCCUCCCAGGGGUGGCCACACAAGCAGGAUGGUCAGACUGGUCGAACGUGAUGGCUGUCUGAGACCAUCUCAGGUAGGUGGUCGUCGCCGCAGGAGCGACCAUAUUCACUUCUCUGUUGAUGACCUUCAAUCGACUCUUGCUUUCAACAUCAGCAAAAAUCAUCAGAGUAGAAUUGACUUUGGGAUAACCAUCGUCUUCCUCUUCAUCUUCAUCUUUGUCCGACUCUUUCUCCUUCUCAUUGGGUUGUUUCUCUCGGAACUGCUAGAUUAGGAGUCAACAUUGUCAGGUGGUAUGCUUCGGGUAAAUCAGAUUACCUUCUUCGUCUUUCUUCGUGUGGAUGUGACAUGGCAAAUCCAGCAUGUCAUUCCCUGCUUAAUCUUUUACCUUCUUAGGGAGCUAGGGCCCAUUAGGUUUUCCCUUAAACUUUCCUUGAAUAACUGCCGCAAUCUCUCCAGGUGCCGCUGGUUCGGCCUUACGCUUCUGCUUCCGAAUGGAGUUACCUCCACUGGCCUCUUGGCCGACUGGUUUACUCUUCCCGCUACAGAGUCGAUCCUCUUCUUCUCCGUUAGCGUACCGGGUUUCUAUCUCCAUCAUCCGAGUCAGAGUCAUAUCUCUAGUUCGACCGAAUUUCAAGACCAACUCUAUAUUUGAUGCCUUCCUUGAAAGCGCAUGCGCUUGAUACUCUGAUACAUUCUCGACGGUGUGAUGCAAAGUGGUCCAUCUCUGAAUGAAUUCCCUCAAAAUCUCAUUCGGCUUCUGCACACAAUGCUGCUACUCGGGCAACCCUGUUGGUCGCUUGCACGUGCCCUCAAAAAGUUCUUACAAACACUCGAGAUAGCUCCUCCCAACUGUGUAUACUGCCCGGAGUCAACUGAGUCAACCACGCACGGGCCGACCCUUCCAACAUAAGAGGGAGAUGCUUCAUCGCUAUCUCAUCGUUUUCGCCUCCAAUCUGCACAGCCACUCGGUAAUCUUCAAGCCAGGUUUCAGGCUUGGAUUCACCGUUGAACUUACUGACCCCGGACGCCAACCUGAAUUUGGAAGGAAUCACCGCUGCCCUGAUGGCCCUGCUAAAACAGUCGGGACCAGAAACAUGCAUUGUGCUGCCACUUGGACGAUCUCUGCCAGGGUCUUCUCUGUGUGCUCUGUUUUGGUCGACCAGGCCUUGAAUGAGGAUAGACCUCGCGUCGAAGCCCAGUUCCCUUGGGUCAACUGAGGCUCUGCGCUCGCCACCGUGACGGCGCCUGUCAUCGUCCGCCGAGGCACAUAUGACGCACUCCUUGGAGGAGGCGUGGGUCCUCGACGGCGAUUGUCACGGUCGAGUGGAUGAUCAUACUGCCCACGGCCUUCACGCCGCAGAGGCGAUCUUGGGCUGUGAGUCGACUGAACCGUGUUCGCUGCAACGGAUCUGCUAUGAAUCUUAUUCCGUGACUGAGAUACUGCUGUGUUUUGCUCUCGUGCUGCCCGGAGCAAGGCCCGGUUCUGCAUCAACCCUCUGCCAGCUUCUGACUGGGAAGGUUGGAUCGACUCCGCUAUUCGGGCCGCAGCUGUGAGAUUCUGAAUCGGAGUGCGGUAUACCUUAGAUGGAGGCGGAAAAAGUUGUCGUCGACUGGACUCAUGGAUCCGCUCUUGAGAGCCCUCGUCGAGGGCCCGCUAAAGGUUAUCCAGUCGAGUGCGCUCAGCCAAGUUAGCUAGGCGCACCUCCUUCAAGGCCCGAGCCUCGGGGGUUUCUCCAACGAUAGGCGUGUGGAGUGCAUCCAUGUUGCGGCAACGAAGUUCUUCCCUCUGCUGUGAAGAGAGGGGUUCGGGUCGGUAUUCCUCGUGGCCGCGCGACGAAUCGCCGCCCCCGUCUCCACCGCCUUCACGGCGGAAAUCGAGCGGGCUGUGAGGUCCGUCGACCAUCAAGACUUCAGCCUCAGGGUCGCUGCUAUCGCACUCGGAUGCGGUCUUCGCGGAGCCAGUCGACAGGUAGAACAGGCCGUGGAGAGUUUCGUCGGGUUCGAUUGCCGCGACUUGAUGGGUGGUCGAACGUCGAGCCACCACGUGCUUCAUCCACCGCUGAAGCCGCGAUCGACCGAAUCACUUGCGGCGACGAACGGUGGGGAGUGAAAACACCGUCGGGGUCGACUGAUACUGAGUCGACGGCUGCCGAAGGAGAACGCCGCAAACGCACGCUCGGAAGUGCGUUGCCCUCGGACGGGGAGCGCCUCAACGUCUAGGGGAGCUUCUUGAAGCCACGCGGAGUCGUUGGCGACGAACACGAGCGCGCUGAGACGGAUCUCGCAGCCCUCAGCCAAUCCGCCGCCGGAAACCAUGACGAUGAUGAUCGGAAAAACUUGCAACUUCACCAGGAAGUCGCUAAGAUACCGGCCCCAAGGUGGGCGCCAACUGUCGUGGUCCUAAGACUGACAGUAGAAAGGGAGGUAGGUAUGGAGAGGCAAGAUCCUAGCUAUGGUGAAGGUGUACACACGAGGUUUACGAGUUCAGGCCCUUCUUGGUGGAAGUAACAACCCUACAUCUCGGUGCCUGGAGGCGGUCGAUUGGAUUAUGUGUGUUGUAUUACAGGGAGUGCGAACCCUUGUGCCAGAGGAGGAGGGUGGCUUAUAUAGAGUGCGCCAGGACCCUCGCCCACCUCCAUUACAAGGAACUUAAUGUACAUAAAGUAUGGGCGUUACUGGUAACGUCGGCCUUAAGUGCUAUUAAUGAUCUUAAAGACUAUGGAGUGAAUCCCUGACUGUUACAUCGUUGAGUGACUCCUGGCCUUCGGCAUGGUCGAGUGACUCUCCAUAUGGUCGAGUGACGGUAGGGAGGAAGACCUUCGAGUGAUGUGGCCGUCGAGUGGAUUGCACUCGACGUGUACAACCGGGGUCUCCUGUUGUCUCUUGGUCUUUUUAUCUUUCAGGGUAGUGACCUUGGGUAUGACGUAUAGGUGAGGCCUAUGACCCUACCCCAGGCCUGUAUCCUCGUCAGCUGCUAUUCUCUCUAGUCUGACCGUCCGCGACGCUCCUAUUGUUCGCAAAGCUACCGCUAUGAUUGCGGGGGAUGUUAGAUAUAUAUUUGGGAUAAAUGCAUUUGGUAGUUUAGGAUUUGUAAUCCUUCUCCCACUUAUCUCUAGGAAAGGUGUCUUGCCCUUCAAGUCUUGUACUCAAUAUAUACUCGCCCUCGAGACUCAAUAAUAUAUCCAUCAUAUUCCGCAACAAUCCCUCUCUCUCCCUUCUAACAGAAAUGCAUCCUCCUGCUGAAAACCUAAGAUUUAGGAUCGAGUGAUGACGAUGCUUGUGCACUAUUUCCGAGGCGUCACUUUUGAAGAUUUUGGAUUUUGGAUGUUGUCUAGUUGGUGGUUCAUGCUGCACCUAUAAGGAAUUGAUCGCUGUAGCAAGAUAUUUUUUUCUGUUUGUUACAAUGGUUGGUUAUAAUAGAUAUCUCCGCAAUAUUAAUAUUUUCUGCUUGUCGAAAAAAGCACAUAUUGUCGCUAUUUUGACUUGUUAGUAUGCAAGCGGGUGGGCUAACACGCACGGACAAGGUCGUCGAUUGCCCGGUCACAAUGACAACGGCAUUUCAUUUGACAAAAUCACUUCAACUUCAUGGCGUACGUAUGAUUUUGGAAAAAGGAAGAAUCAGAGCGAGUGGACGCAUGCGUGCCGUUGGUCCAUCGCUUCCACAAGAAAACACACAAAAUAUUGGACGCACAUCAACAACAAUGUAUAUAUAUUUCCCCCGCAAAAAAAAAAAACAAAAAAAAAACAACGUAUAUAUAUUCAGAGAUUUCGGCAGAGAGCGCGGAGGGAGUACGCCUGGCAUUUGGCAAAAUCAAGUGCUUCAGUUCUUGUGUUUCUUUCUUCUUUCUGUCGAGGCAGAAACGCUUCCAAUGUGUACGUGUCGGCUUGCCGGCCGGUGAGAGAGAUCCAAUUAUUCGAUUCGGACCCAGGCAGUAGGCACCGCCCGGUUCAUCCAUCAGCGUCGCACCCGGUCUGCAUGCGCUAGCUAGCUAUAGUAGAAAACACUCUCUACGAGCUGUAAAAAACUAGAAAUAUAUUUAAAAAAAUUGGGAAUUGAAAAUAUAUAAUUUUGCACGGAUAGAUAUAUGUUUGCCACGUCACAGAUUUCAUAUUCAAAUGAGCUAAAUGUACAACUCUAGAAACAAAAUGAUCACAUGUAGUUAUGACUAGCAGUUAUUUGGGAUUGGGCCGCAAUUCUGGUCCGUUAACACUAUCAAUGCUAAAUUUGUACUCCCUUUGUAAAGAAAUAUAAGAGCGUUUAGAUCACUAAAGUAAUGACUUAAACAUCCAUAUAUAUCUUUAACAAGGGAGUCUUUAAUCGGGCUCUUUUCAGACUUGGUAGUUUUUAGUCAAGAAUUAAUGAGGAAAUGGUAGUUUUCGGCACAAAUUUGUAGAGUGAUAGUUUGUAAGCACGGUUCCAUGAAUUGUGGUAGGUUCUUUUUUAAAUACUCCUCUACGAGCUGUCAAAAAACUGAAAAUAUAUUUACAAAAAAAUUGGGAAUUGAAAAUAUAUAAUUUAGUACAAAUAGAUAGUACAAUAUAUGUUUGCCAUGUCACAGAUUUCAGAUUCAAAUUAGCCUUAUAAAAGCGGACGUGCUUGCGGUGCUCUUGUGCCCAAUAAACUCGAACGGAGUAAUUAAUACAAAAUGAUUGUGUAAAUAUUUUUGACAAUCAUGAUUAUGUUCAUCUUUUUUUUGCGGGAAAAGUAACUUGCAUUACUCAAUCAAAAUGUCUUUACAAUCAAGAGAAGCAAUCUCCAUCAACUCAACCGGCCCACCUCCCAGCCAGGUCAUGGUUCUACCUUGUGUUCUAGCAAAUCCUGCUAAUAUACCACUAGCUUUAUUCUGAGAUCUAGCAAUAUGAGAGAUACGAGUCUGUCUAAGGGAUAGUAAGUGCUUAAUCUCCUUCACGAUGGAAGCGUAGACGGAUAGUAAGUGAUUAUGUUCAUCUUGAUGCAGAGGCCCGGUUUCAACCCCCUUUUCUUCGAAGAAAAAUAAAAUCUUGCGUGCACAUGUGGUUUGGCAUGGGAUCGGUAACGCGUGGUGCUGCCGACGAGUGAAAGCGUACCGGAUUUUUUUGUCCCGUGACAAAGCCGGUUGAGCGAAACGUAAAACAAAGCUACACGUUAUCUUUGCUUUAAAACUAGCUAAGCUGGUAAUUAUCCACCCAUCCAACCCAUUUGUGCUGGUUUUUUCCUCUUUCCGGGAGCAGAUGAGCUGCUCAUUGGAGGCUCAAGCAAAACAAGGUCACCCACGAGAGCGACGGCCGGUUUCAUCUCACCAAUUUCCACGGCCACGGAAGCAAGAAGAAACGAGUGGGCACCGAAGUUGCAUGCAUGCAUGUGAUCGAUGGACAAUAUUCAACGAAUUUUAUCCAAAAGGGGAGAGGGAAAUAGUAUAAAGCGUGCGUACGUGCUUGAGAGGAAUUGGAUUGGGAGGCAGGCAGUAGGCACCGCCCGGCUCACCCAUCAACGUCGACGCGCUCUAGUAAGAGCCUCUACACCUGGACCUCUCAAAGCCGCCUCAUACACUUGGACGAGCUGCCGGUCACUGUCCGGUCACGUUUUUUUACCCAGAUCGACGGGUUUCUUAAACGGGUCUCAAACGCUCGGACUAACCGACACCCCCAUAUCUAGCCUAAUAUGAUACGGAUAUGAGGACGUCCGGGCCUGCCCGGGCACGCCUGCCACAUCCGACCCGACCCAUGCUGCCCAUCCACCCCACAUACAUUCGUUCCCAUCCACUCGUCGGAGCAAACCCUAGUCACUUCACUCCACUCCCCUCCCUCUCCGCCACCCUAGCUCGUGUCCGGAAGUUCCGGCCGUCUCCGGCAUGGCAACCAGCGGAUCGGACUCCAACCACUCCGGAUCCGUCGACUGGGUGUUAGCCCGUGCGGUUUGGAGCUCCCGGGAGACAGCGGCCGACCGAUGGCCGGAUCCAUCCGCCGCGACUCCGUAGCGUCGGCUCACCGGGCACUCGGGUCAAAACAGUUUGUGAAUAAUAAACAUUUUACAGACCCCUAUUUUGUCUUCUUUGCCGAGAGAUGCUCAAAUGUCCAAACAAGUUGAAAUUUUCAGCAAACCUCACGCAUCAAAUUAUCUACCACACAAAAAAUUAAAAUUUUAAAAAAAUUUCUAGUAUUUAUUUCGAUUUUGUUCGUCGGCGCGGGAGCCAAAAUUGGCCUUCUCGUUAUCUUAGGGGCUAUGUGAUCUGGCCAAAUGCUAGGCUUGCAGGAGCAGGUGAGCUAAUUCCACGCCACACAAGCUAGUCACAAAGGACAGCGACGUACGGCUUUAUCUCACCAGCCAGCUUACUACAGUAAUUUCAAUUUUCUUGACGUACUUAGAGCAUCUCCAGCCGCGCUCCCAACAGGCCCUCCCCAAGCGUUUUUGCCGCGCCGGCGCCGAAAAAACGGCCUAGUCGCCCUCCAGAAGCCCGUUUUUUGCCGGCUCGGGCCGAAACUGGUGCCGACGGACCUAGGCGGAACCCGGCGCCCUGGGCGCCUGGGGCGUCGGCACAAGCGAAAAGGGCGCGUGGGUCCGCCCUGUUGGCGAGUCGAGCGUCUCUUCCCGCCGUUUCUUCCCGCUUCCCCCCACUUCCCUCCAUUUCCUCCUUUCCUCCCGCCAAUCUCCCUCCCGCUCGCCUCCCAGCCGGCCGUCAUGGCACCGAAGAAGUACGUCAUCCCCCGCGCCGCGGCAACCGCGCCCGCCUUCGUCGCCCAGCCGAAGCAGAGGAAGCCAAGGGCGCCGCCGUCCAAGCCGGCGGGCUUGACAAACGCCGAUUGAAGGGUAGAAGUGCAGCGACGGGAGGCCGUCACCGCCGACCGGCGGAAUAGGGCCCUCGCCAAGAAGGCCCGCGACAACGCGGCACGCACGGAUGCGGCUGCCGCUGCCGCUGCCAUUUCGGCGGACCAGGUCGAGGCCGAGGCGACUCGCGCGGGGAUGAUGAGUCCCCCCGACAACCACGCGCCCUGGGGCCAGCAAGGCGUCGGGUCUCCGUCGCCGCAGCCGUGGGGAUCGCUGGGCUACGCCGACGGGGACACGCACGGUGGGUUCAACCCAAACGUCACUUUCCCCCAUGGACACCCGGCCCAGCGCACGCCCUCGUCCGCCUUCGCCGGCGUGCAGUACCCUCCAUACAACUACUCGCCGCCCGCGUACGCGUCCUCCCCGACGCCCCCUCUCCGCCAUUGCGCACUGUCCUUCUCGCACCUCGGCGACGCCGACGAGACCGAGGCCGACAUGGACGACAUCAUUGCGGAAGGUUCGGCUGCGGCCGCCGCGUCUCUCGGCUUCAUCGCGGAUGAGACGGUGGAUCUCAGCGGCGGCAUGGACGGCAAGCUCGGCUACGUCUACGGCGACGAGGAACAGGAGGAGCAGGAGGAGAAGGACGAGGAGGAGGAGGAGGAGGAGGAGCCGGCGAGGAGGCGCAAGAAGAAGAAGCGGACGGCCAGGUCAGGCGAGCCGCGCAUCAAGUGGGCGUCCAAGAAGGAGGAAUGCCUCGCCGAAGCAUGGAAAAUCGUCUGCCUCGACCCGACCACCGGCGCGAACCAGAGCAUCGAGACGUAGUGGACGCGCAUCAAGGCCGAGUUCGACGAGCGCAAGCUCGUCGACCCCUACUUCAAACGUGUCUACAUGCAGCGCGGCUCGAAGGCGAUGGCGAACCAUUGGGAACGUAUCCAGGGGGCGUGCAACAAAUGGCAUGGGGUCGUCGAGGAGGUCGCCGCUCGCCCGGAGAGCGGCGCCAGCAUUGAGGAUCAGGUAUGCCACGCCGGUCUCCCGCCUCUGUUCGUCGUGUGCGCCCGCCAACUGUUUGUUCGUCCCCCCGCAGCUGUUGUGCAUGUUCGGCCUGUAUCGGCAGAGCAACAGCGACGCCGAGUUCAAGUACCUCCACGUUUACAAGCACAUUGACAAGUGCGAUAAGUGGGCGGAAGUCCGGCGCACCCUCGAGAAGGCCAAGGAGACCUACAAGCCAGACGCGCCGACUUCGGGCGCGUCAGAUGGGCGGUCGGACGGUAACAAAGGUGCCAAGAAGGGGAAACACGCCGACGCGGCCACCGCUCGCGUGGAGGAGUCCAUCCAGCACUACCUCACAGACGCACAGGUCCGGGCCGCCCUUCGUGUGGAGAAGACCGAGGCGCGGUGGUCGGCGUUGAUGUCGACUAGCGCAGUCAAGCUCGACCUACUCCGGACCAACGUUGCCGCGAAGAAGAGGAACACCGACCCGGCGUUCCUGUUGGGCGGGGCGGACAUGCUCCAGAGCACCGACGAGGCGGUCAAGGCGUGGUACAGGGCGCAUGUUGGCCUCAUCCUGGACCAGCUUCCCUCGACGACGCCGCCCACGCCCACGACGACGCCGCCCACACACACGCCGACGCCGCCGGCAAGCCCGACCGAUGAUGCCGCCGAGACUGCCCGCAGCACAGAAGCCACGCCGCCAAGCACAGAGACCCCGUCAAGCCCGCGCACGCCAACUCCGCCGACACCGGAGGCCGACCUCGCCGCCUGAUGCUUUGCCAUCCGUCCUUUCUGCUUUUUAUACGCUGAACUUUUCAUCCGAUCGCCAAUCUACUGGACGAUUGAUCACCGGAUUGUAGCGUCUAUUUUAGGCGCGGGAAUGACUACAUUUGAAUUUGCCGUUGCUGGGGGACGGCGCCUGGGAGCGUGGCUGGGAGUUAGGCCGGUCCAAGAGGCCGAACUAACGCCGGCUCGUCCCCAGGCCGCAGUUUUCGGCGCCCUGGAGGCCGAACGGCUGAAGAUGCUCUUACGUGUUUUUGAAGCGGGAGAACCGGAACGUGGCCAGGUUACGACCGCUUCCGCUACAAAGUUCAACUAUUUCAUGCGAUGCGAUGGUACAUGCCGGUUUCGGAGGGGAGCGCUGCGAAGAAACAGUGAUAGGUUGGGCUGGUUGGCAGAUGCUUCUGAGCCUGCCGUUUCCGUGGAGGCAGCAGCGCCUGAGCGGCGCGCCGGAGACAAGCACGCAGGAUGCCUGCCUGCGACGUCCAUCCACAGACCACACACACAUACAUAUGCGUGGUGAUGCUGCCUGCGUGGGCGUGUCGGCCGGAGAUAUUCGUUCGGGGCCAGGCAGUAGGCACCGUCCGGGGGAUCCAUCCACGUCGAUCGCCGUCUAGACGCGCCACACCACCACCAAUUACAUCACUAUCGCUACGCUAGCUGCUUCCGGUUAAACAGCCACGCGCCUUUUUUUUUAAAAAAAAAGUUGACGACGACAACACCAUUAUUCAAGGUUUUUUUCCCCUUACAUACAACACAAAAAGGGCAGAAGCCAUUCAUUAGCCAAGCCAGGGUUUUUUUUGAUACAGUACAGACGCAAGGGCUCAUACAUACGCGCAUGCACUCACUCCUAUGAAUGCACACACGCACGCCUUGCCCCUAUGAGCACCUUCGAGAGGCUGAACCGGCGUAUUAUCUUGAGGAGAUUUACAAAGUCGUCAUAGGCUUCUCGUUGUCGACGGAAACAUCUCCUUUCACUAAAAGCGUAACACCGGAAAUCCUAAAAUAAAUAAAUUCAGAAAUGAUGCGAGCAACAGGACUUAAACCCUGAUAGGUUGGGAUACCACUGUCCCUCUAACCAUCCAAGUAUAGGCUGUUCGCGCCAACUAGAGCCUUGCAAGACACUCUCGGCGAAAAUAAGAUGUUACGGACGGGCACCACCACAUAUCGUCACUAUUCUUUGACUUUUUAGAGUGCAAGCGAAGCGGGUGAGCUAAUAAUAACUUUUUUUUUUGCGAAGAGAGCUAAUAAUAACUCGAUGCCACACACACAAGGACAAGCUCGUCGGUCGCAGUGGCAGCGGCAUUUUACCAGACGAAAUUACUUCAACUUCAUGGCGCACGUACGGUUUUGGAAGUGGGCGUGUGCGUGCCGUUGGUCCAUUGCUUUCCACUAGAAAAUACACAAAAUAAUGGACGCACAUACACACGCACAGGUCGUGGGCACAGAUUUCGGCACAAAGCAGCGUUAAGGGAAUACGCCGGGCGUUCCCGUGAUGGAUCGCCUGGCAUUUGGCAAAAUCAGGUGCCGCUUCUUUCUUCUAUCUGUCAAGGCAGGAACACGCUUCAACCGCGCAGCAACGCGUACGGUGUGCUCGUUCGUGUCGGCUUGCCGGCCGGCCGGAGAGAUCCAGUUAUUCGGCACCAUCCGGUUCAUCCAUCAGCGUCGCACCCGGUCUGCAUGCGCCAAUUUUUUUUUAAAAAAUACAUAUGAAAAAAUGAGAAUUAAAAAUAUAUAAUUUUGUAUGCUACAUAGAUAGUACAUACUAUGUUUUGCCAUCUCACAGAUUUCAUAUCCAAAUUAGCUAAAUGUACAACUCUAGAAACAAAAUGAUCUCAUGUAGUUAUGGCUAGCAGUUAUUUCGGAUUGGGCCACGAUUCUGGUCCAUUGACACGAUCAACGCUAAAUUUGUACAUAGUUUUAUUCUUGCUUCUCUGGACGUGUUUCAAAUUUAUUGCAUGGUGGAUGUAUUGUCAGCGCCCCCACUGCGGUCAUCGACACCGACAAGCAGGACCCACAGGCCAGCGGCUCGCGAGGCUGGCCGACUAACAAGCUGCUACCACGGUCUCGGAGGCCCAACCCACGCAACAUUGGGCCGGAGUGGACCCGGUGAGGCCCAAGGCCAGCUACUCCUACUUAAGCCACCACCAGCGCUUGGCGGACCAUCCAGAGGAUCAACAAACCGACGGUGUUGCUAGCACCGGGCAUGCGUAGACUGGGAUCUGCACGAGCUAUACGCCAUGUCGAAGAAGUCGGAGAGGCCAGCAGAGAAGGACUCGAUGAUGGUUGCGGCGCCAAUCGGCGCAGGGCCAAUGUCGCCCGCGGUUGUCGAAGUACAUGAAGAUGACGACGACGCUGGUGACAGGCUGGUGCUGGACGAAGACGAAGGGGGUGGACGGGCAGCUGCGGCGGCUACGGGGGUAGCUACGGCGGCGGCCGAAGAAGAGCGGCGGCGACUAGAUUAGGAGCGCGGCGGUGAUGCUCGAAGUAGGCGAAGAACCCUGACAGCAUGACAAAGACCGGUGCGGACGGUGGCGUGCCCGCGCCAAGGGACACGGCGCGACGCAUACCACAGGAAGUCGACGCGCGGGGACGGCGAAGUGGACCACGGGCCGCGGCACUAUGGCCCGAAGGGGCGACGCAGCGGCGGCGGGCAGGUCGGGGCGACGACAGGAAGACCUGGGGCGGCGACAGGGACCGCGGACCGCGGCGCUACGACCCGAAGGGGCGGUGCAGUGGCGGAGCGCGGGUCGGUGCAACCGCAGGAACGGCCUCGGGGCGGCGGCUGGGACCGCGUAUCGCGGCACUACGGCCCGUAGGGGCGACGCAGCGGCGACGCACGAGUCGAUGCAGCCGCAAGGAGAACCAUGGGGCGGUGGAGCUGCGGCCCAACGGGGCGACGCAACGGCAGCCCGUUGCUCGAUCGAUGGAGGGGCGCGCUGAACUCGGGGACGAUCUUCACGGGGUCUGCGGAGGCGCGCGUAACCGACGGGCCAGGUCGGUCGCGCGACGUGGAUGAGGCGGAUUGCGGCGGCGAGCGGGUGAUCAAGCCGAUCGCGCGCGAGGCCGGGGACGCCGCUCGAUGGAGGCGAGGUGGUGGCGAAGUCUAAGAUGAGGCCGGCGACGACGGACGGCGUGGGACGUUAUGUAGACGAGCUUGUCAGCACCGGCACCCGGGCUGCCAAAGCAGCAUCGGCACCCGGGCUGCCAAAGCAGCGCCGGCGCCCAGGCAGCGAGGCCCGAGCGACCAAUGGAGCAGCGGCGCCCGAGUUGAGGCAGCCGACGAGCCUGAUACAGCCGUACCGAUGCAGCCGAGGACGAGGCCGACGAGGUAGACCGCCGGGCCGCCGUGUUGACGCGGCGGAGGCGGGUGGCGUGGAUUGAUUAGUGGGCCGGCACGCGAACGGUGGCUAUGAUUGGCCACCGCAUGGCGCGAGGCCACCAGGUGUAGGCGAUGCAAGUGUCUCGAUCGGAGCAGGGCGAUGACGGCCGGCGCAGGGCGAUGGGCGGGCCAGCAUGUGGACGGCGGCCUUGAGGACUGCCUGUCGCGCGAGGCCGCCGGGUCGGUGAAGUAACCGGCUGAUAACCCACAAGUAUAGGGGAUCAAUUGUAGCCUCUUUCGAUAAGUAAGAGUGUCGAACCCAACAAGGAGCUAAAGGUAGAACAAAUAUUCCCUCAAGUUCCAUCGACCACCGAUACAACUCUACGCACGCUUAACGUUCGCUUUAUCUAGAACAAGUAUGAAACUAGAAGUACUUUAUAGGUGUGAUAGGAUAGGUUUGCAAUAAUAUAAAGAGGACGUAAAUAUAAAGUAGGGGAUGUUUUAGAUAAAAAAAGCAAUAAAGUUAGUAUAGCGAGUGUGGAAAAGUGGUGGUAGGAGUUGUGAAAUUGUCCCUAAGCAAUUGACUACUUUACUAGAUCGAUAGUAAGUUUUAUGUGGGAGAGGCCACUGCUAGCAUGUCAUCCCUGACUUGGAAUUCUAUGCACUUAUAAUUGGAACUAUUAGCAAGCAUCCGCAACUAGUAACGUUCAUUAAGAUAAAACCCAACCAUAGCAUUAAGAUAUAUUGGUCCCCCUUCAAUCCCGUAUGCAUUAUUUCUAUGCUAGGUUAAAGCUUCUGUCACUCUUGCCCUCCAAUACAUAGUCCUGUCAAUAUACAACUAACCCUAUGGUGUGAUCCACGCGCGCACUCAUAUGAUGGGCACCAAAGGACAUCAACAUAACCACAAGCAAAUUAAACCAAUCAUAGCAAUUCAUGAAUUAUCGAUAGGACAACGAAAAUUUACUCAGACAUCAUAGGAUGGCAACACAUCAUUGGAUAAUAAUAUGAAGCAUAAAGCACCAUGUUCAAGUAGAGGGUACAGCGAGUUGCGGGAGAGUGGACCGCUGAAUAUAGAUGGAGGAAGGUGAUGGAGAUGUUGGUGAAGAUGACGGAGGUGUUGGUGUAGAUCACAGUGAUGAUGACACUAGUAGAAAAGGGGGCAUCAGUCCCGGUUCGUGAGGGCCAUUAGUCCCGGUUCUUGAACCGGGACUAAAGGGUCGUGACUAAUGCCUCCCCCCUUUUGUCCCGGUUCUAACACGAACUGAGACAGAUGUGCCUCCACUUGGCCGGUGCGCCGAGCCCAUGCAGGAGGGCCUUCAGUCCUGGUUGGUGGCACCAACCGGGACCAAAAGGCAUCCACGCGUCAGCNNNNNNNNNNNNNNNNNNNNNNNNNNNNNNNNNNNNNNNNNNNNNNNNNNNNNNNNNNNNNNNNNNNNNNNNNNNNNNNNNNNNNNNNNNNNNNNNNNNNNNNNNNNNNNNNNNNNNNNNNNNNNNNNNNNNNNNNNNNNNNNNNNNNNNNNNNNNNNNNNNNNNNNNNNNNNNNNNNNNNNNNNNNNNNNNNNNNNNNNNNNNNNNNNNNNNNNNNNNNNNNNNNNNNNNNNNNNNNNNNNNNNNNNNNNNNNNNNNNNNNNNNNNNNNNNNNNNNNNNNNNNNNNNNNNNNNNNNNNNNNNNNNNNGCGUCAGCAUUUCAGUGGCCGUGGUUUUUGUUUUUUUUAAAGAGGGGGGGGGGGUUGGGAGUUUUGGGGGGUUAAUUUAGGUGUUUAAUAUAUUGUGUUAGCUAGCUAAUUAAUAGAGAGAAGUGUCCUCUCUUAUGUCUGUGUUUGAUCGACGCUACGUAUUGUACAUAGAGAGGCCCUCAACACGCUAGCUAGUAAGAAAAUGAAGGGAACCAUUAAGUACAGAAGUUCGUCAUGCAUACCGAGAGAAGUGAUCGAUCAACCUCUCCUUCUCCGAGAGAUUGGUCGAACAACAAGUUUUCGUAUUAUCUAUCCGAUGCUACUGGCUACAUACAUAUACAAUAUGUAAAAUCUCUUACAAUCCCCUAGCAAUUGAAAUCAAUUUCCACAUGAUAUUCUCCGGCUUUAUUGAUGACGUGGUCAAGAAAGAAUCCUGCCAAUUCCUCUUGAAUUGCUUUCAUGCGAUCUUGUUCUAGGAGUUCAUCCUGCAUCUGCCACGUCUAAUUUGAAGAAGGGGGUUAAUACAUAUAUGAAUGAAACUCAACAGAAAUGAUGGUUUAAUAAAUUGAAAUUGUGAAUAUUAUUGCUUACGCACUUCAUAUUGUCUUUUAGAGUAGCCCCGCUUAUGUUUCAAAGUCGCGUUGUAGAUGAACUCGCACACGUAGUAUCCACAUAAAUCAUUCCCUUGUUCCUGCCACAAGCACUUUACGAGAAAUAGAGGUCAACCAAAUUGAUAAUGAAGCAUUAUAAAUGGCAUUGAUGAAAGUACAACUAUAGAAUCAACGGGAGAUGCGCGCAACUAGCUAGCUAGUAGUACUUACUUUCGGGUAUGUAUAUCGCAGCUCCUUCGGCAGUCCCGGAACUUUUGCGGUGAACUAUUUCCAAACCCUGUAAGACAAAGAAAAUAAAUAUUAUUACUUGAGAUAUCAGGAAAUGAACAAAAAGUUGCCGAUAUGGUGCGAUAAAUGAUCGACUGAACUUACUUGUUGAGUAUUUUAGUCAUGUCCGCAUAGGUUUGGGGAUCUUUUCUUCUCGAGUCUAAGACGUUUACUACUCCCCACUCAAGCUUAAUCUCCAGAAGAACAUAGUGAAAUCUGCGCACACAUGCAUAACUCAUCAAUUACAUUACUAUAACCUCGCUCGAGUAAUAAGGGAAACCGAAUAUGCACACGACAGUAACACUCACUGGGAGUUGUAAGGAAAGAGUAUUAAAUCUUUGUUUUGAUUUUUGAUCAACGAUUGUAGCAAGUUCUCCUCGGCCUCUGCGGGGUGCUUUUUAACCAGAAAUUCAUCUUUGAUAUUUGUGUUAACGAACCUAAUAUCAUACAUUUCUUGUUUUUUUGCACUCGACGAUCUUCAAUCUGCAUAAUAUAGUGAGGAUAAUUAAUUAUAAAUACAUGCAAUGAAAGAGCCGAGCUAUAUAUAGAGACUUAAUGACAGAAAUAGUACUUACAGACAGUAGCAAAAGAUCAUUAGUUUAUCGAGGGCCUUUUGAUUGAAGAACGCGAAAAACUCAUCAAAUGGAACAGUCAACAGAUCAGUUGCAACGAGGUCGUGCUCCUCUUUAAUAUUCAGAUACAAAGCAUUCGUCCCCCCAGACUCUCUGCAGGUUUUCAUGUACCAAUUAUGGAAUCUUCGCAUCAUAGUUGUCAGAAAUUUUUCAUCUUUGACGAGAGGCUUCCCGUACUCGUAUUUGUGUUCGUCCACCUCCAAGAAAUCAGGAAGUUGAUCGUCAGGUAGGUAAUCUGCAAGAUUGCCAUAACCGGCCACCGUCCCCGGAGCAUUAGACACAUUGAGCGGAGGGGGGGCAUGAUUGUUGUGCUUGUUCGCCUAGCUGGGCAAUUUUUUUCCCAGCUGCUCGUUCUUUUAACCUUUUAUCACUGACAGUACUUUCUGACCGCUGGGCUUCGAGAUAUGUCUGUUCAGUAAUGCGCUGAUAGUUGGUUCUCGGCGGAGACUUUGGUGGUUUCCUUAGGGCAUCGAUAGUGCGCUUUGCUUUCACCGGAUCUACCUUCUCCUCCGGAGGUGGAUGUCUCUUUGCUUUCACCCCUUCAAAAAAGUCCUUCACAUGGGCCCGCACGAUCGUCUCGUUUUCCUCCUCGGUCCUCUCCUACGGUAACUUCUCUAGAGGCUUGAGAGGUGGACCGUAUCUGUAUUGCCUCUCACCUCUGCUGGCUGCUGUACUGCUAGACGCCGAAGCAGACGGAGCGGCUGUGGCGCCUGUCUUCUUUCAUGGUUGCUUAUGAGGCGGAGGAGAAGGACUACGACGCGCCGGAGCAGCCGGGGCGGCGGCGGGUCUCUUCCGCCCUUGCUGGCGAGGCGGAGAAGGAGGAAGGUGCUGGCUUCUCGGGCGCGCCGGCGCAGGCGGAGAAGGAGGCGGAGUGCCAUCACGCGCCGGAGAAGGAGGAGGCUGCUGGUUGCUCGGGCACGCCGGCGUAGGCGGAGAAGGAGGCGGAGUGCCACCAUGCGCCGGAGAAGGAGGAGGCUGCUGGCUGCUCGGGCGCGCCGGCGCAAGCGGAGAAGGAGGCGGAGUGCCGCCACGCGCCGGAGAAGGAGGCCCAGUGCCCUGAUCGACACUCGCGGGAGGAGGAGGCGGCGGAGGAGGCGGAGUGCCCUGACUCUCCGGAGGAGGAGGAGGCGGAGGCGUCCAGUUCGUAAGGUUGAUGAGCUCCUUCCGCCAUAGGCAUGGAGUCUUCAGAGCAGCACCCAGCCUAGUCUCCCCUUCACCGGUAUAGGGUAGUCAAGCUGGAGGUCCUCAAGUCCCUCCGUUAUUUCGUCCACCAUCACCCUGGCAUAUCCUUCUGGAAUUGGCCGGCAGUGAAAAGUUGCGCCUUUUUCAGUAGGAUAAACAGAGCCAACAGCCGCCUUGACCUUCAAAUUCAUCCAUCGCGUCAUUAUGUGGCAAUUUUGAGUCCCCGUGAUAGCAUCCACGGGAUAGCUGGUAGGAACCGUCAAGACAUGCUCCGGUUGAAGCAGCUCCGUGGAAGCCACGCUGCUUCUCCGCUGAGAUGGCGGGGUAGCUUCGGGGGAAGCUUCGACAGGUCGUUUGUCGCGAUCUGCUUCUCAUUCCUCUAGCCCCAUUACCCUUUCGUGCAGCACCUGCAGUUGGCUCUGCUCCAGUUUCUUCCUCCUCUCGUGGGUUUUGUAACCCCCUGCGUCUGGGAAACCAACCUUCCACGGAAUGGAGCCUGGCGUGCCUCGUGUCCGUCCAGGGUGCUCAGGAUUCCCGAGGGCCAUUGUGAGCUCAUCCUUCUCCUUGUCUGGAACGAACGCCCCUUGCUGCGCUGCACGGAUAUACUGCCGAAGCCUUGUGACUAGUGUUUUCAGUUGCUCGUCCGUCCAACGGCACUCCCCUAUUACAUGGUCCAAGGUUCCGCCAGCCCCGAAGAACCAAGUCCGGCAACGGUCUGGCCAUCUCAUUGUCUCUGGUUCGAUCCCUUUAUCAAGCAGAUCAUUCUCAGCCUUGGACCACUUAGGCCAGGCUUGCAGGUAGCCACCUGACCCCGUGCGAUGGUGAAACUUCUUCUUCGCAGCAUUUUUCUUGUUUGCCGCCGACAUCUUCUUACUCUUUUCCGAUGUCGUGUAGGCCACAAAUGCGGGCCAGUGAUCUCUGAUCUUCUCAUAUUUGCCGAUGAAUUCUGGUGUCUCUUCUUUGGCGACAAACUUUUUCAGCUCUUUCCUCCACCUCCUGAAUAGGUCCGCCAUCUUCUUAAGGGCACAAGACUUGAUUAAUUGCUCUUUAACUGGCUUCUCCGGAUCCUCCUCUGGCGGUAGGGUGAAAUUUGCCUUCAGCUCAGUCCAAAGAUAAUCUUUCUGCAUAUCAUUGACAUAAGACACCUGAGGGUCUUCCUCCUUAGGCUUAUACCAUUGAUGGAUGCUAAUCGGGAUCUUGUCCCUAACAAGAACCCCGCACUGAGCAACAAAUGCGUUCUUUGUCCGGAUGUGUUCAAUCGGUUCGCUGUCGCGCGCGAUUGCUGUGAUCUCAAACUUUUCAUCCGAGCUCAACUUUUUCUUUGGGCCUCGUCUCCUUACCGAAGUGUGCUCGAUCCGGAGGGAUAGAAAAAGGAAGAAAGACGAGAGUUAAUUAAUAUGUGUACAUAUACCAAAACAAUGAAUGCAUCAAUUAAUUAGUCAGCACGGGCUUAACUAAUAUAUAUAUAUACCUAGCCGGACUCGGUUCGGUCACCAGAGCAGUCAGCACGGUCUCCUUCUUGUACCUCCAUUGGGUUAUCACCGGAGCCAUCAUGAACAUAGCCCUCUUCUUGUACCGGCAUUAAUGGGCCGGAGCCAUCAUGAACAUAGCUCUCUUCUUCACCCAAUCCUUCCUGACCAACGACGUCGAUGAAAAAUGACGCAACGACAUCAGUUCCUUCUGCGAUUAUCUCCCCCAACAUCGCUUCUGUUGCUUUGUCUCGGUAGUGCUCCAUAGUUUCUGCAAAUAUUUACAACAUGUCAAUUAUUAUUCAAACAUGCAUGGUACAGAUGGAUAUAUAUUAGUGGCAAACGUAGAACUAGCUAGCUAAUCACAAUAAGGAAUCAUGUUAAUUAGUGGCCUCGAUGCUGCUUCUCUAGGGUUUGGGGUGGCCUAGACAAUGCUUCAAGAGUUUGGGGUGGCCUUGACACAACACUUCAAGGGUUUGGGGUGGCCUCGACGACAACGCUCUUUUAACUUGGUAAAUUUGGGUGGCCUCAAGAGUUGUCGGGUAGGGGCACAGCGGGAGGGGGUAGGAGACCAACAUCGUUUUUUCUCUAGGGUUUGGGUGUCCUCGAGAGUUUUGGUCGAGCGAGAGGGCCGAGGGGGGGUAUAUCGACGACGACAGAGGAGAAGAUCAAAGAAAAAAAGAAGAAAAAAAGAGGAGAAGAAGAAAGGAAUAGAGGAGAAGAAGAAAAAAUAGAAUUUCUUCUUUUUUCCUCUUCUUAUUUUACUUUUUCCUCUACACUAAACUAAAAUGCACUAACCUAAAACCUAAUACUAACAACCUAAAUAAAAAAUUAAUACAUAUAUUAAAAAACAUAUAUAAAUAAAAAAUGCUAUGAACAUUAUUUUCAUACAUAGAUAGCCACAUCCAUUCAUCAUAUAGCUACCACAUACAUAUAUACAUUAUAUAUAUGAAAAAUGCAUAUAUACACAUAUACACAAAAAAUACACAUAUAUACACAUACAAACACAUAUAUACACAUAUACACAAAAAAUGCAUAUAUACACAUAUACAAAAAAAAUGCAGGGCAGGGGCGGCGGCCGCGCAGGUGCGCGGGACGGGAGGGGCGCGGGACUGCUCACAGGGGGCGGCGGCGACGACGAAGGCGAGCAGCCUGACGGCGUCGGUGGCGGCGGCGACGACAAGGUGGAGCAGGGGCAUCGGGCGGCGACGGUGACGGCAACGAGGAGGAGCAGGGGGCAUCGGGGGAGAAGUGGGGGAUUUGGUCGAAAACUGCUAAGUGCUGUAUAUAUAUCAAGAGCAUUGGUCCCGGUUCCUGGCACCAACCGGGACUAAUACACCCUUUAGUUCCGGUUCGUGCCACCAACCGGGACCAAAGGCCUCUUUUCAGCAGCCCAAAGGGCGGGAAGCGGUAGCCUUUGGUCCCGGUUGGUGCCACCAACCGGGACAAAAUGGUGGGCAUUGGUACCGGUUGGUGCCACGAACCGGUACCAAUGCCCCCCUUUAGUCCCGGUUGGUGGCACCAACCGGGACCAAAGGUCGUGUGCUGGCAUGGUGCGGCACGAAAGUUUAGUCCCACCUCGCUAGCUGAGAGGGGCGCGCAGUGGUUUAUAAGCCCCACUGCCGCACCCCUCUCGAGCUCUUCUCCACUGCAGGCUUACGGGCCUACUUACUACUGCUUUGCCUGAUGGGCUUACUGGGCCUCCUGCGGGCCUGAAUCCUGGCCCAUGGUGGGUUUCUAGUCCUAUUCAGGCCGUGGGGGCCCAGUAGGAGGCACUUUUUUUCUUUACUUAUUGUUGCUAUUUUUAUUUUUUCCCCAGUUUUUUUGUUACGUUUUCUGCAUUAUUUAUUUUCUUUUAUUAUUUACUUUAUUUUUUAAUUCUUUUUGCUUUUAGUUUUAAAAAAUUAUAAACUUUCUGUUAGUGCCAUUAGUUCUCAAAUUUGAAAACACUUUUUUUGUUUUUUUGUUUUGUUUCUUGCUUUAUUUAUAUUAUUUUGUUUCUACUUACAACAAAAUACUUNNNNNNNNNNNNNNNNNNNNNNNNNNNNNNNNNNNNNNNNNNNNNNNNNNNNNNNNNNNNNNNNNNNNNNNNNNNNNNNNNNNNNNNNNNNNNNNNNNNNNNNNNNNNNNNNNNNNNNNNNNNNNNNNNNNNNNNNNNNNNNNNNNNNNNNNNNNNNNNNNNNNNNNNNNNNNNNNNNNNNNNNNNNNNNNNNNNNNNNNNNNNNNNNNNNNNNNNNNNNNNNNNNNNNNNNNNNNNNNNNNNNNNNNNNNNNNNNNNNNNNNNNNNNNNNNNNNNNNNNNNNNNNNNNNNNNNNNNNNNNNNNNNNNNNNNNNNNNNNNNNNNNNNNNNNNNNNNNNNNNNNNNNNNNNNNNNNNNNNNNNNNNNNNNNNNNNNNNNNNNNNNNNNNNNNNNNNNNNNNNNNNNNNNNNNNNNNNNNNNNNNNNNNNNNNNNNNNNNNNNNNNNNNNNNNNNNUAAACUUUUUGUUAGUGCCAUUAGUUCUCAAAUUUGAAAACGCUUUUUUUGUUUUUUUUGUUUCUUGCUUUAUUUAUUUUAUUUUGUUUCUACUUACAACAAAAUACUUAUUGUUGCUAUUUUUAUUUUUAUUUUCCAGUUUUUUUGUUUUGCUUUCUGCAUUAUUUAUUUUCUUUUGUUUUUUGCUUUAUUUUUUAAUUCUUUUUUGCUUUUAGUUUUAGAAAAGGAGUGAACCGGGAUUAAUGGUAUUACGAGGGCCGAACCAUAAGACAUUAAAGCAUUUCAAAUGAACUCUGAAAAAGUUGAAAGUUGAAACUUGGCAUGGUAUCAUAAUUUCGUGUGCUACAAAGUUGGCAUGGUAUCAUCAUAAUAGUUGCGGGAGAAAGUCUUCACUUUUUCUUCGCUUGUGUCAUUUGCUUAUUGCGCCAUAACCAUGGAUAAUCUUCAUCGUUUAUCAGGAUGCUGGGGUCAUCCUUGACUUUGAAGGGAGGAAUUUCAUGAAACUUUUCAUAAUCUUCAGACAUGUCUGUCUUGCCCUCCACUCCCACGAUGUCCCUUUUUCCUGAAAGAACUAUGUGGCGCUUUGGCUCAUCGUAUGAUGUAUUCGCUUCCUUAUCUUUUCUUUUUCUCGGUCUGGUAGACAUGUCCUUCACAUAGAUAAUCUGUGCCACAUCAUUGGCUAGGACGAACGGUUCGUCAGUGUACCCAAAAUUUUUCAGAUUCACUGUUGUCAUUCCGUACUGUGGGUCUACCUGUACCCCGCCUCCUGACAGAUUGACCCAUUUGCACUUAAACAAAGGAACCUUAAAAUCAUGUCCGUUGUCAAGUUCCCAUAUGUCCACUAUGUAACCAUAAUACGUGUCCUUUACCCUCUCGGUUGUUGCAUCAAAGCGGACACCGCUGUUUUGGUUGGUGCUCUUUUUAUUUUGGUCAAUCGUGUAAAAUGUAUUCCCAUUUAUCUCGUAUCCUAUCCAAAUCGUAACAGUCGAAGAUGGUCCCCUGGACAACAAGUACAUUUCAUCACAAACAGUGUUGUCACCUCUGAGACGUGUUUCCAACCAACUGCUGAAAGUCCUGAUGUGUUCACAUGUAAUCCAGUCGUCGCACUGCUCCGGGUGUUUGGAGCGCAGACUGUUCUUGUGUUCAUCGACAUACGGGGUCACCAAGGUAGAGUUCUGUAGAACCGUGUAGCGUGCUUGAGACCAAGAAUAUUCGUCCCUGCAUAUUAUUGAGUCCCUUCCAAGCGUGCCUUUUCCAGUCAGUCUCUCCUCAUACCGCGAUUUAGGGAGACCUAUCUUCUUAAGGCCAGGAAUGAAGUCAACACAAAACCCGAUGACAUCCUCUGUUUGAUGGCCCAUGGAGAUGCUUCCUUCUGGUCUAGCACGGUUACUGACAUAUUUCUUUAGGACUCCCAUGAACCUCUGAAAGGGGUACAUAUUGUGUAGAAAUACGGGGCCCAGAAUGACAAUCUCGUCGACUAGAUGAACUAGGACGUGCGUCAUGAUAUUGAAGAAGGAUGGUGGGAACACCAGCUCGAAACUGACAAGACAUUGCACCACAUCACUCCUUAGCCUUGGUAUGAUUUCUGGAUCGAUCACCUUCUGAGAGAUUGCAUUGAGGAAUGCACAUAGCUUCACAAUGGCUAAUCGGAUAUUUUUCGGUAGAAGCCCCCUCAAUGCAACCGGAAGCGGUUGCGUCAUAAUCACGUGGCAAUCAUGAGACUUUAGGUUCUGGAACCUUUUCUUUGCCAUGUUUAUUAUUCCCUUUACAUUCGAUGAGAAGCCAGUCGGGACCUUCAUACUAAGCAGGCAUUCAAAGAAGAUUUCCUUCUCUUCUUUGGUAAGAGCAUAGCUGGCAGGACCUUCAUACUGCUUUGGAGGCAUGCCGGCUUUUUCGUGCAAACGUUGCAGGUCCUCCCGUGCCUCAGCUGUAUCUUUUGUCUUUCAUACAUGCCCAAGAAGCCUAGCAGGUUCACACAAAGGUUCUUCGUCACGUGCAUCACGUCAAUUGAAGAGCGGACCUCUAGGUCUUUCCAGUAGGGUAGGUCCCAAAAUAUAGAUUUCUUCUUCCACAUGGGUGCGUGUCCCCCAGCGUCAUUUGGAACAGCUAGUGCACCGGGACCCUUUCCAAAGAUUACGUGUAAAUCAUUGACCAUAGCAAGUACGUGAUCACCGGUAUGCAUGGCGGGCUUCUUCCGGUGAUCUGCCUCGCCUUUGAAAUGCUUUCCUUUCUUUCGACAUUGAUGGUUGGUCGGAAGAAAUCGACGAUGGCCCAGGUACACAUUCUCCCUGCAGCUUCCCAGGUAUAUACUUUCGGUGUCAAGUAAACAGUGCAUGCAUGUGUGGCAUCCCUUGUUUGUCUGUCCUGAAAGGUUACUGAGAGCGGGCCAAUCGUUGAUGGUCACGAAUAGCAACGCCUUUAGGUCAAAUUCCUCCUGUUUGUGCUCAUCCCACAUACAUACAUCGUUUCCAUUCCACAGCUAUAAAAGUUCUUCAACUAAUGGCCUUAGGUACACAUCAAUGUUGUUGCCGGGUUGCUUAGGGCCUUGGAUGAGAACUGGCAUCAUAAUGAACUUCCGCUUCAUGCACAUCCAAGGAGGAAGGUUAUACAUACAUAGAGUCACGGGCCAGGUGCUGUGAUUGCUGCUCUGCUCCCCGAAAGGAUUAAUGCCAUCCGCGCUUAAAGCAAACCAUACGUUCCUUGGGUCACGUGCAAACUCAGCCCAGUAUUUUCUCUCGAUUUUUCUCCAUUGCGACGCGUCAGCGGGUGCUCUCAACUUCCCGUCUUUCUUACGGUCCUCACUGUGCCAUCGCAUCAACUUGGCAUGCUCUCCGUUUUUGAACAGACGUUUCAACCGUGGUAUUAUAUUAACAUACCACAUCACCUUCGCAGGAACCCUCUUCCUGGGGGGUCGCUGUUAACAUCACCAGGGUCAUCUCGUCUGAUCUUAUACCGUAAUGCACCGCAUACCGGGCAUGUGUUCAGAUCCUUGUACGCACCGCGACAGAGGAUGCAGUCAUUAGGGCAUGCAUGUGUGUUCUGCACCUCCAAUCCUAGAGGGCAUACGACCUUCUUUGCUGUGUAUGUACUGUCGGGCAAUUCUUUAUCCUUUGGAAGCUUCUUCUUCAAUAUUUUCAGUAGCUUCUCAAAUCCUUUGUCUAGCACAGCAUUCUCUGCCUUCCACUGCAGCAAUUCCAGUACGGUACCGAGCUUUGUGUUGCCAUCUUCACAAUUGGGGUACAACCCUUUUUUGUGAUCCUCUUACAUGCGAUCGAACUUCAGCUUCUACUUUUGACUUUCGCAUUACGUCCUUGCAUUGACAAUGACCUGGCGGAGAUUAUCAUCAUCGGGCACAUCGUUUGAUUCCUCUUGAUCUUCAGCAGCUUCGCCCGUUGCAGCAUCAUCGUGCACAUCGUCUGGUUCCUCUUGAUGUUCAAUAGCAUCACCAUAUUCAGGGGGCACAUAGUUGUCAUUGUACUCUUCUUCUUCGCCGUCUUCCAUCAUAACCCCUAUUUCUCCGUGCCUCGUCCAAACAUUAUAGUGUGGCAUGAAACCCUUGUAAAGCAGGUGGGUGUGAAGGAUUUUCCGGUCAGAGUAAGACUUCGUAUUCCCACAUAUAGGGCAUGGACAACACAUAAAACCAUUCUGCUUGUUUGCCUCAGCCACUUCGAGAAAAUCAUGCACGCCCUUAAUGUACUUGGAGGUGCGUCUGUUACCGUACAUCCAUUGCCGGUUCAUCUGCGUGCAUUAUAUAUAAUUAAGUGUGUCAAAAAUCAUUAUAGAACAUCAUGAAUAGAUAACUAAGUGACCAAAUUAAUAGAAGUUCAUCAUCACAUUAAAACCAAAGUACAUAUAUAGUUCUCAUCUUCAAGCGAAAAUCAUUACAGAACAACAUAAAGCUCUGCAGAGCAUCUAAAUUAAUUAAACCAUACAUUGAAACUAUGUAAAACAUUUCAAUGCGAAAACAAAUGCGAUCAUAAUCACAACCAAGGUAAGAACUGAUCCAACGGCAUAAUGAUACCAAGCCUCGGUAUGAAUGGCAUAUUUUCUAAUCUUUCUAAUCUUCAAGCGCAUUGCAUCCAUCUUGAUCUUGUGAUCAUCGACGACAUCCGCAACAUGCAACUCCAAUAUCAUCUUCUCCUCCUCAAUUUUUCUUAUUUUUUCCUUCAAGAAAUUAUUUUCUUCUUCAACUAAAUUUAACCUCUCGACAAUAGGGUCGGUUGGAAUUUCUGGUUCAACAACCUCCUAGAUAAAUAAAAUCUAUGUCAUGUUGGUCGGCAUAAUUUUCAUAAACAAUAAAUGAACCAAUAGUUAUGAAAAGAUAAUAUAUACCACAUCCGAAUCAUAGACAGGACGAGGGCCGACGGGGGCGGAUACCAAAACCAUCGCACUAUAUAAGAUGCAAUAAUAAAAGUAAGAAAAUAAUACAAGUAUCUAUCUAAACAUACAAGUAAGAAUAUUUUUCCUUUCAGAAAGAAGAUAAGAACAAGAGGCUCACCAUGGUGGUGCCGGCGAUGAGAUCGGCGCGGGUGAUCGACGGCGGUGAAGACGGGUACGAGGCGUGACAGAACACUAAACCUAGACAAAUAUUGAGGAAAAUGGAGCUUGGAGGUCGAGCUUGGAGAGGAGAAAGCUUAAGUAGUGUGACUCGGGUAUUCCAUCGAACACCUUGUGUGCAUAGAAGGUGAGCUAGAGCACCACCAAGCCCUCUUCCCCUCGCGGCUGCCAGAAAAAACAAAGCAGUGUGCUCUGCUCUUACGCAAGGGGGUAUAUAUAGGCACCUCAUUGGUCCCGGUUGGUGGCUUGAACCGGGACUAAAGGGCAGCCUUUGGUCCCAGUUCGUGGCACCAACCGUGACCAAUGGUGGUGGGCCAGGAGAGAGGCCCAUUGGUCCCGGUUCGUCCCACCAACCGGGACCAAAAGGUCCAGACGAACCGGGACCAAUGGCCCACGUGGCCCGGCCGGCCCCCGGGGCUCAUGAACCGGGUCCAAUGCCACCAUUGGUCCCGGUUCUGGAUUGAACCGGGAGUAAUGGGCUAACCCUGCCUGGACCAAUGCCCCCUUUUCUACUAGUGUGAUGGCCCCCGGCGGCGUUCUGACGCCAUCGGAAGCGAGGGGGAGAGAGCCCCCCUUCUUCUUCUUCUUCCUUGACCUUCUCCCUAGAUGGGAGAAGGGUUUCUCCUCUGGUCCAUGGUCUCCAUGGCGUGGGAGGGGCGAGAGCCCCUCCGAGAUUGGAUUUGUCUCUCUGUCUCUCUCUGUUUCUGCGUUUUCAGAUUCUGCCCUUUCACCAUUUCUUAUAUUCCCGGAGAUCCGUAACUCCGAUUGGGUUGUCCUUUGCACACGAUUUCUAUCCGGAUAUUGGCUUUCUUGCGGCGAAAGAAGAGCACCAACCGCCUUACAGGGUGGCCAUGAGGGCUCAGGGCACGCCUGACCCCCUGGGGCGCCCCCCUGCCUCGUGGCCCCCUCGGGCAUUGUCUCACGUUGAUUCUUCUUCCCAAAAUUCAUAAAUAUUCAAAAAAAAUCUCCAUCCAUUUUUAUUCCGUUUGGACUCCGUUUGAUAUGGGUUUUUUGCGAAACAUAAAACAUGCAACAGAUAGAAACUAGCACUGGGCACUAGAUCAAUAUGUUAGUCCCAAAAAUAGUAUAAAAAGUUGCCAAAAGUAUAUGAAAGUUGAAUAAUAUUGGCAUGGAACAAUCAAAAACUAUAGAUACGACGGAGACGUAUCAGCAUCGCCAAGCUUAAUUCCUGCUCGUCCUCGAGUAGGUAAAUGAUAAAAAAGAUAAUUUUUGAUGUGGAAUGCUACCUAGCAUAAUCUUGAUCAUGUAAUCUAAUCAUGGCAUGAAUAUUAAGAAACGAGUGAUUCAAGGCAAUAGUCUAUCAUUUGACAUAAAAUAAUUUAAUACUCGGGCAUCCCAACAAACAAUCAUGUCUUUCAAAAUAUCAAUGCUAAAGAAAGUUAUCCCUACAAAAUCAUAUAGUCUUUUAUGCUCCCUUUUCUUAACACAAGGUACCCCUCAUGCUCAUCUCGGUGUCAGCCAAGCAAAUGGUUCAUACUUUUUAACGCGCUUCACCUUUUUCAACCCUCACACAAUACAUGAGCGCAAGCCAUGGAUAUAGCACUACAGGUGGAAUAGAGUAUGAUGGUGGAGGUUGUGUGGAGAAGACAAAAAGGGAGAAAGUCUCACUUUGACGUGGCUAAUCAACGGGCUAUGGAGAUGCCCAUCAAUUGAUGUCAAUGCGAGGAGUAGGGAUUGCCAUGCAACAGAUGCACUAGAGCUAUAAGUAUAUGAAAGCUCAAACUGAAACUAAGUGGGUGUGCAUCCAACUUGCUUGCUCAUGAAGACCUCAGGCAUUUGCGGAAGCCCAUCAUCGGAAUAUACACGCCAAGUUCUAUAAUGAAAAAUUCCCACUAGUAUAUGAAAGUGAUAACUCAAGAGACUCUCUAUAUGAAGAACAUGGUUCUACUUUGAAGCACAAAUGUGGUAAAAGGAUAGUAACAUUGCUCCUUAUCUCUUUUUCUCUCAUUUUAUUUAUUUAUUUUAUUUUUUAAUUUUUUGGUGGGCUUCUUUGGCCUCUUUUAUUUUUCAUAAAGUCCGGAGGCUCAUCCCGACUUGUGAGGGAAUCAUAGUCUCCAUCAUCCUUUUCUCACUGGGGAAAUGCUCUAAUAAUGAUGAUCAUCACACUUUAUUUACUUACAACUCAAUAUUACAACUUGAUACUAGAACAAAAAUAUGACUAUAUGAAUGCCUCUGGCAGUGUACCAGGAUGUGCAAUGAUCUAGCAUAGCAAUGGCAUAAAAAAACGGACAAGCCAUGAAAACAUCAUGCUAGCUAUCUUACGAUCAUGCAAAGCAAUAUGACAAUGAAUGCUCAAGUCAUGUAUAUGAUGAUGAUGGAAGUUGCAUGACAAUAAUAUCUCGGAAUGGCUAUGGAAAUGCCAUGAUAGGUAAGUAUGGUGGCUGUUUUGAGGAAGAUAUAAGGAGGCUUAUGUGUGACAGAGCGUAUCAUAUCAUGAGGUUUGGAUGCACCGACGAAGUUUGCACCGACUCUCAAGAUGAGAAAGGGCAAUGCACGGUACCGUAGAGGCUAGCAAAUUGCGAAAGGUAAGAGUGCGUAUAAUCCAUAGACUCACAUUAGUCAUAAAGAGAUCAUAUACUUAUUGCAAAAGUUUAUUAGCUCUCGAAGCAAAGUACUACUACGCAUGCUCCUAGGGGGGAUGUUGGUAUAGGAGUUAACCAUCGCGCGCCCCCGACCUUCACGCAAAGAUAAACAAUCAAAAUACAAUGCACGCCAAUUUGGUUACAUAGUUAGGAGACCAUACGUGCAUGCUUCGGGAAUCACAAACACUUACACCAAUAUUCUUACUAAACACAACCAUUUACUAGAACCUCCCACAUAUUAUCAUCUCUAUAUCGCAAAACUAUUGCAAGGAAUCAAACAUAUCAUAUUCAGUGAUCUUCAAGUUUUAUGUAGGAUUUUAUGACUAACCAUGUGAAUGACCAAUUCCUGUCAUCUCUCUAAAUAGAUAUAAGUGAAGCAAGAGAGUUUAAUUAUUUCUACAAAAGAUAUGCCCACGCUCUGACAAAUAUAAGUGAAGCAAAAGAGCAUUCUACAAAUGGCGGUUUUCUAUGUGAAGAGAAACCGGCAAUACAAACUUUAAAUGAUAUAAGUGAAGCACAUGAAGCAUUCUAUAAAGCCAUACUCAAAAGAUUUAAGUGAAGUGCAAUGAGCAUUCUAUAAAUCAACCAUGGACUAUAUCAUACCAGCAUGGUGCAUAAAAGAAAAGUGAAUACUAAUUGCAAAAUACGCUCCAAGAUUUGCACAUAUCGCAUGAAUGAAACGAAUCCUAAAACAUACCGAUACUUGUUGAAGAAAGAUGGGUGCCUUCCGGGGCAUCCCCAAGCUUAGACGCUUGAGUCUCCUUGAAUAUUUACUUGGGGUGCCUUGGGCAUCCCCAAGCUUGAGCUUUUGCCUCUCCUCCUUCUCCUCAUAUCGAGACCUCCUCGAUCUUCGAACACUUCAUCCACACAAAACUCCAACAGAAAACUCGGUAAGAUCCGUUAGUAUAACAAAGCAAAUCACUACUCUAAGUACUGUUGCAAACCAAUUCAUAUUAUGUUUUUUCAUUGUAGCUACUGUAAUAUAACUCUUCCAUGGCUUAAUCCACUGAUAGAAAUUGAUUGUUUCAUCAAAACAAGCAAACUAUGCAUCAAAAACAGAAUCUGUCUUAAACAGGACAGUCUGUAGUAAUCUGAACAUUCACCAUAUUUCUGUUACCCCAAAAAUUCUGCCAAAAUUAGGAAAAAUAAACAAUUUGUAUAGAAAGACAGCGCAAAAAGUUUCAGAACCUUUGACGUUCCAGUAAAAAAAGUAAAAUCACGCAUUACAGCCAAAGUUUUUGUCCUGCACCGCACAAACCAACAAGCAUUGUAAACAUCCUAAAGGCAAACCUUGUCACAUUAUUUUUAUAAUACAACGGAAUUGUACAAGGGGAUAAUUAUUUUUGUUGAAAAGUUUCUGUAAUUAUGAUUCACAAGGUUUCCGUGAGCAUUAACAAAGUUCAAGGCUAGCCCCCACUUUAACAAUGCUUAUCUCUCUCACUUUCACUUUCCUUUUAGAAAAGUUUUGGGUUCCCCUAUUUAUUUAUUUUGUUUUUAAACUUUAUGAAAGCACUCAACAGAAAUAAAUGACUCUCUAAAACUUCCGGGUUGUCUCCCUGGUAGCGCUUUCUUUAAAGCCAUUAAGCUAGGCAUAUAGUGUUCAAGUAAUGCAUCCACCCGGAUCCGAAGGUAUAUCAAAGCCAAUUUUAAUUAACAAUGAUUUGUAAUUUGGUAGUGAGCACAAAGUAACAUAUAUCACGCAAUAACGAAGUCUAACUCUCUUCCUAUGCAUCGGCAUGUCAUAAAAGAACAAUCCAUGCACACCAAGUAAAGGCCAGUGCAUAGUAUAUACAGUUUCUUGCAAUUUUAUCAUAUUGGAAACAUGGAGAGGCGGAGAUGUAGUUCCUCUCUCAUAAUAAUUGCAAGUAGGAGCAGCAAGCACAUGCAUAUUAUAUUCAUCAAAAUCAUCAUGUGCAACGGUAAAAGGCAACCCAUCAAUAUAAUCCUUAAUAAGCACAAACUUCUCCGAUAUAGUGUAGUUUGGAGAAUUCAAAAAGAUAAUAUGUCUAUUAUGUGUGGGUGCAAUAGCAAAAAUUUCAUGUUUAACAUAAGGAACUAUAGCAAGUUCAUCUUCAUAAGCAUAAUUCAUAUUGGCAUCUUGGCCACAAGCAUAGCAAGCAUCAUCAAAAAGGGGUAUUUCAAGAGAAUCAACGGGAUCAUAACAAUCAUCAUAGCAAUCAUCCUUCGGUAAGCACGAAGGGAAAUUAAACAAUGUAUGAGUUGAAGAGUUACUCUCAUUAGAAGGUGGGCACGGAUGAUCAAUCCGCUCUUCCUUCUUUUGUUCUCCGCUCUCCUCCUCAUCUUUUUCAUCCAAUGAGCUCACAGUUUCAUCAAUUUCUUCUUCCAUAGAUUCCUGCAAAAUACUAGUCUCUUCUUGGACAGCGGAGACUCUCUCAAUAAAUUCAUCAAUAUUGGAAUUGAAUUCAUAAUUCUCAUAGCAAUAUUUAAGUAUAGCAAAAUUUUCAGGUCUGUAAACAGCAUCAUCAAGAUUUUCACACUCUUUAAACAAAGAUUCAAUUUCAUAAGCACCCAUAAAAGCAAAAAAUUAUUUUAUUUGUUCCACAUCAUAGUAAUCAUAUAUACCAUUAGCAUAAGAAGGCAAGGUUUAAUCAUCAUUGAAUUUGCAUGAAAAGGGAAGGUGUGGAGCCUUCAUCCUAGAGCAACAAGUAUAAUCAUAUCUCAAGCAUAAUUGACGAGCAUACCAAUGCAACAUAUGAAUUUGAUCCCAUAACAAUUUUCCUUUUUGAGUCAAGCGAUAAUCUAAAGUAUUCACGUUGAUCCAACAUGUCCCCAUUACAUAAUUGAAUGGGGUUUUCUCAGGAUUAUUAAAGUAGUACAUAAUAUUUUUCACACUAGUAAGCGUGCACGUGCGACACGUCUCAAUCAAACAAUAUCAAACUCAUUCGGGUAUAUAAAAUUUUGAAUUCAUACUCUAAGCUGACCCCUUCUUUAUAAACAGAAGUACAAACACAUCAAUUAUCUUUUGAUGAUGCCAUGUGAAGUUCAAGCAGACCACAAAAAAAAUCAUAACUGUACGGAAAAUGUCACAAAUCAAUGGUAAACAACUGGUUGAAGAACUUAUCCACAGAGAAUGUAGGGGCCUAGACAAUUUAGUCUAUGGUAUAGUGAAAAUGAAAUCAAAUAUCCUACAAAGAUUUACAAAUGUUUAUUUUCUUGGGUGAAAAAUCAAAGAUACAUAUAAACAUUCUGCAAGUGGACAUGGUGUUAGGAAUAAAGAUACUCAAAAAGAUAGGAGUCUUUGCUGAAAUUGAAUUAGUUUCCUGCUUCUUGGAUUCGGGCUGCUUGUUAUAUUCAGAAUUUGAAGGCUUGACGGCAGCAGUAAAGCCACCCAAGGGAGUCAUAGCGGGCACCACCUGCGAGCAGGAAGAGUCAGACAAUUAUUUUUCUCCAUUCUCAGUUUAUCUCAGCUUCUCAUGGAGUGGAACUACAAUUCAGACAGAAAAUAUCUAUUGUGUAUAUAGUUGCAGAAUAUUUGGAAGCUAAAAACAAAUCAAUAAAGCAUUAGAUUCAUGGUAAGGAAAUGGAGAGAGGGAAUUUAAUAUUUUCUCUAUGACAUGGAUGUCAUGCAAGCAACCCUUUCUCUAGCCUAGACUUAGUUCUGACAAUAUUAAACAUGAGUUAGACAUGUCGUCGUGCUUCAACAUCUUAGCAGUGCAGAAAACCUUCUAUUCUAGAAUGGCAAACUGUGCAAUAUAAGGAAAUUGGGCAUGAGCAGAUCAAGGGCUAAAAUAAUUAUUGUUUCGAAAAGCUAACCAGACUGGAAAAAGAAUCCAGGCAAAAUUUAGGAUGACCAAACCACUCAAAGGCCUUCCUAACUAAGAUGAAUAUACACUCAGGAGAAGAAAUCAUACUAAGUCGUCGGAUACAUAAGUAGUUUAAUGGCUAAAAUGAAGGAAAUGUGUAAUGUCAUGGCACUUUUAGUUAUUCAUGUGCAUAUCCAACAGUAAGCAUGAUAUCAUGAAAGAAGCAAAGAUCCAAAGUUAUCAGUUGAUACAAAAUGUGUUGAAUGUAUAGUGCAUGAUGCACCUUAUUAGAGGAAAAACAACUACAUAAAAUACCGAUAAAUUUAAGAAGAAAGAUGACACUAAGAUCUGUAGAAAGAUCUUACCAGUGCUUGGAAAGGAGUCAAUUGUAGUAGCGGUUGCGUAAGAUACGAUGGACCGAUCUCUUCGGAAGCUUUCUUGCCUAUUCACACUUAUUGAGUUUAGCAUACAACACAUCAGGAUUUAACACUUUGGUUGGUUGUAGCCGAUUUUCCAUGUGAUGUUUUACCAAAAUGUUGAAGCUCAGCAAAGUUGGUUCCUGGAUCAGUGUAAAAUAAUUAUGUGGCCGUCAAGUCUCUAUCCCAUAUUAUUUACAAUCUCAAACGACGGAAGCUUGCUUUCUGCAGUUCACCAAAGGUCUUAAUUUACCUUUUAUUCAAGGAUCUGUUGUGUGCUGAUCUCUACAAAUCUUAUGGUUGACAUUAACAUAAUUGCAGAAAGCAACAUCGACUUAAUUUUUACUCUGCAUUGAAAACCACCAAAGGUAAAUCUAUACAGGUAAAUCUAUACAGCAAGAUACUUUUUGAAAACCAGAGGAAGUAUAUGACUUCCAUUUGUCUAGGAAUUAAUAAUGCAGGUAAAUCUAUACAAAGAGCACACAUGUAUGCAUCCGUACCUGGUAAUUUCUAACUGCUCAUGACUUGAAACCAGCGACAGUAUAUACGAGGUAGAAUUCCUAUAUAUGGAUGAACUUCUCGAUAAGAAACUGAGGAACCAAUUGCAACAUAUAUGCAUAUACUCGUCACUAGCAGUAUUCUCCUUGUAGUGAAUGACAAGUGAUACUUAUUUUUACUCCCACAUGCACCUGCUUCUCGUUGUUGCUCGUCCACCAUGGCCAUGCAGCCGCAGCCGUUGUGCGCUACACAUGUGUUGAUGUCCGCCGAUGUGCUGCUGCCCCCGGUCGACCCUACAACCAUUCAUACCCCCUUUUCACAUUAGUUACCCCUGAUGUUGUUCUACAAAUAUGACCAGAAAUUGUCAAUAUCCCUUCCCCCAGCACAGAAAUUCAGCGCAGAUCAAUUGUUUCUUCACAUAGCCUAUCAGGAAAACACCAAAUCAGAUAUGGCUGAAUAUUGAAUGAAUAGAAAUCACCAUGAGAAGCCAUGAACGGCAAGGUCAUGUGAUGUAACCUUUCACCCGACAGAGAAGCCAGGCGUGUGGCAAGGGCAACACUGCCGCCCCUGCUAGAGGGCGCAGAGGGCUCCCGAGUGGCGCAUGGGAACAUGGCGGUGAGGUGGAGGAUGAGCUAGAAGAGGGCGGUGACAUUACUAGAAAAAAAGCUGUUAGUGGCGCAUCUGUUUUUGCCAUUAAUGGCGCACUACAGGUGCGCCACUAUUAACACGUCACUAAUAACAAAUAGUAAUGGCGCAUCUCUGGUGCGCCACUAGUAUCCUAGAUAAUAGUGGCGCACCACAUAGUGCGCCAUUACUAUGUCCACUAGUGCGCCAUUACUAUGCCUCCCAGGGGGCCAUAUUUAUCGUGUGCUCUGGGUUACUAAUGGCGCACUUUUAGAUAAUGCGCCACCGGUGUGUUUAUCUCAGUGCGCCACUAAAGUGCAAUAUGAUGCACCACUACUAUAAAUAUUAGGAUUUUUUUCUUUUCUGAUAUUUGCGCAAGUUACAGAAUACAUUACUGCACAGAAUAUAAACAACACGACAUAUAAACAGCAGAUUUAUCGAAUACAAUAGAAGAUUAGUCUUCGAAUAUAAUUCAUCAUAUUAGUCUCUGAAUUCAAAAUACCAAACAAAGUUAGAACAUUACAAGUCUCGAGACCGCGAGUAGCGAGUUUGUCGUCACAUUAAAAAGUCGAUAUCGAUCAUCUAAACUACCAUCAUAUAGAAGAGAGCUGCGGUCACGAUGAGCAUCAUCGCGAUGAAACUGGUUUUCAUCCGGUUCCUCCUUCGCUCCAUCCUCUCUCCCGCUAGAUAGCGCGCGUAUCUAGCUUCCGCCUCCGCCCUAGUGGUGUACCCUUUGUAACUGUUACCGCUGAAACGAUGAACCUGUCUCCGACACUGCUCCCAGUCGUCGUAGACUUCGGGAACCUUACCCUUGUACACGACAUACGACGACAUCUCUAGGGUACACCACAGACAAUACAUAAGCAAUAUAUAAGUAUGCAACAAAAGGAUCGGAAGAGAAAAACAACACAUUAAUAAGCAAUAUAUAAGUAUGCAACAAAAGGAUGCUCAACAUGCCAGAGAGGACCCUGCUCAACAUAUAAGUUGAACGACUGUCCAAACUAAAGAGACAUACAAGUUCAUUAAAGCUUAAUUACAACAUGAGCUAAUCGAUAUUCCAGAACUACAUAGCAUCACUACUUUCGACUCGACUCAUACCGGAGCGUGGAUGAAGCCGCCGUCUAUCGCGAUGGUCAUGAAUGUGCGGUCGUUGUCGGCCUGCAUUUGUAGCAUUGUAUCUAUUUCACUGUUGGACGAUUGAUAUCUGAGGUAGAAAUGCCCCGAGGUACGAAGGACAUCUUGAUGGAUGAUUUCCGCAAACUCCGACUGGAUGCGAAAGAAUUCUUGUCUAAUGUCCGCGUCCUGGAUUGCCGACAAGCGUGCGGCCCAAUCUUUGAGAUUAAUUGGUAGCAGAAGGUGAUUACGAUCCAGUACAAUCGCCCGCAUGUGAUGGAGGGCGUAGUAGGCAUCGUUCUGACCGCCAAGAAGCUUCUGAACACAGGGGAACGUCGUUAUGUGGGUGAACACGUGCUUGCCGUACCUACAAAUUUGCCUCUUGAAGGUGCCUCCAGAUUUGGUGUAGUCGGGGAGAGCAUCAUCAAGAACUUUCUUGAUAUUUGUGUAGUCUUUCUUGGACUGACGGUCCGAGCCGAAAUACGUGGCCAUGGAAUAUUUCGGGCUUAAGAGGAUGAGUGUGCAAUGUGUGUCACUGCACAACAUACGGAAUUUUAGAAAAAAAAAGAACGAUCGAAAUCUAAGAAAUUAUAUGUUACGGGGCGGUGAGGGGAUGACUUACUCGGGAAAGUAAGGCACGAGGAAGUUAUCCUUAUCCGUGUUCGCCAGAAUGACGCCUUCGAGGUAUGAACUCGCAACUUGCCGGUCCCCAGCGCUGCCCAAGAUCUUGGCACACAUGUAGAAGGGGUCGACUAUCACGAUGUCCGGGGUCUUGUCUCUAAUGAUCCGCAUCUCCAUACCAAGCAAAAAUAGUCGAAUGAAGGUGUAGUGUAGCGGAUGAAGGUUAAACAUAGCGAAGAUGCCAUCAAACCGCAUGACGAUCAUACCCCUGAUGGUGCUAUCGACAAAGCCCUUGCCCUCUGGCACCUUGGCCACGAAAACCAGGUAUGCCACAUCAUUCUCGGAGAGACGCCGCUUCUCCAAAGAAAGAACACUGUCAUGCAGACUCCGCAUAGCACCGGUUGCAGCAUUGAGCAGAUUAGUCGGUAGCAUCGGCCUACCCACCACAUGCACCCUCCUUGAGAUAUCCUUAGGUGAAGGUGGCCCGUCCUGAGCACGGAUCAUACUCGGUGCCGACUGGCUCACACCCUUGUUAGUCUUUCUUUUCCGUUCCUUCUUCUUCUGCUGCUGUAAUGGGAUCGAGUUCUGCUCAAAGACCACCUUCUUGAGUGUGUUGGGGCUGAUAAUAUUUCGCACCUCGGCUAUCUGAGGCUCGGUGAAGGCGGAAGCUGGAGGCGUAUCCUGAGAACUGAACGCCAUACAACGCCUAUUGCAAUUGGGUUUCUCCGUGGUACCAGCUAGAUCGCGAUCGUCUUUUGCAGGGUUGGGUUCUUGAGAAGGAGGCCCCAAGAAUUCGUCACCGUACCCAUGUUCGUUGAAGUACUUAUCGACGUUGGUAAAUGUACCAUCAUCGUCGUCCGGAUCCUGUGCCAUAUGCAUGUCCGGAUCAGCUGACAGCGGUAGCGUUGCGGCGGUCUUGCCAUGGCUUGGCGCCGGCACGACUGGCGGUGUUGUCUGUGGGGUGGUGUCCCCCGCCCCCAAAUGAAUCUGGCUCUUCGGCCAAAGCAUGUUCCAGCUUAUGCAGGCGCUGAGGGUCAUCACAUCAUCUUCGUCGGCCCCAGGGGGUCGAUACGGAGGUAACAAGUCGUCGCAGCCCCGCAGCCCCCGAACCAGUUGAACCCUAUACAUGGUGGGUGGCAUCGGAGUACCGUGGAACACGCUACUGCCCGGUUGAACGAUUCUGCCUUGGCGACAUCGAUCAACUCGCCAUCCACGAAGUGCAGGAGAGUGCAUGGAACAUCGACGGCGCCCUGCAAAAACAUGUAGGGCGUCAGGGAUGCCCAGUCAAAGACAAGGAGAUGAAGUUAUCGGCCGAGGCUUAGUUACCGUGAUGGCGUCGAGCUCGGCUAAUGUCGAGGCACCGCCAAUGACAGGCGUGCAAGUGACGGAGGGGCCGCUUGCUGCCGAGGUUCCGGCCAGCGUAUUCUUCCCACACCCGGGUGCAUUAAGCUCCAAUGCCGUCACCGGUGCAAGAGACACCAACACUACUAGGAAAAAGCUUAUAGACAGAGCAAUAGCAGCAGCGUGGGAAUGAAAGCCGCGCUACUACUAUUUAGUAGUAGCGCGGGUAAAAGCAGUGCGCUACUACUAAAAAAUAGUAGUAGCGCGGGUCUACUGUUUCCACACUACUACUAAAUAUCCCCAUGACAGCUUAUAGUAGCAGCGAGGGGUAUAAAAGCCGCGCUACUACUAUUUUCUAGUAGUAGCGCGUGCUGCUAUUCCCACGCUACUACUAUAAACUGACCGAAUCAGCUAAUGUACCCCACUUUAGCAGCAGCGAAGCACCCAUGGCCCGCGCUACAACUAGUGGCACCGCACCGCAACCCUAUCUCCUCCUCCAUCGCCCCUCCCCCUCCAUCGCUCCUCCCCCAACCAAUCUUGCCCACACCGCAGAUGCCUCCUCUGCCCCCAAACGACGGCGACAAGGACGCCGGCAACCCGCGUCUCCUUCCACCUCCCCCAGCUCGUCUUCUCGCCGGCCACUUUGGAGGAGCCUCCUUUUGUGCGCCACCGUGGUCGGGCUGCGGCGACCACCAGAGGUCCGCCGCCGGCAGGAUCUCCCUCCUUCUCCACUACGAGGAACCAGCAGAGGGGGACGACUCCUUCCAUCCCUAGCCGCGCCGUCCAACCUCUAACGCUGCUUGAAACCCUAUCCCGAAUCCGGCAGGGGUGCAGCAGCACGUGAUCCCCUACAAAAGUAGCAUCUUCUUCUUCCUCUGGUUCUUCUUCUUCUUCCCUGGGUCUGAUGCGUGCGUGUGUUCGCGUGGUUGUGUGCAGGCAGUUGAAGGAAGGGGCGGGCCAUGGAGAAGCUGCUAGGUGUGGGCCUGAAGCCAUGGAUGGGUAGCGGACGGCGAGGAGGCACUGAAUAGAGCGGCGGGCAAGGACGAAGUGAAGCUGCGUGCACCGUCGUCAUAUCCUUCCUCCACCUGCUGUUACUGGAAGCAAGCGCAGUACCAUCUUAUCUCAUCCACGAGGUGAGCUCCUGUCCGCGUGCCCGCGAGCUGCUUGUGUUUAUGCCCAUAUCGUUUUUCUGUUCACGACACCCCCAUGGCUGCCUACAGCCUCUGCCCACCUACAACCCUCAUUGUUUGUUUAGUGCUCAUUAACCCACAUUGAACGAUCCCAGUCGAUGAAUGAAUGCAUCUGGUCCAGCAAGAGGGGAGGGCAGAGCAGAGCAGGGCAUACAAUGUGUUUCUUUCCCAUAUACUUUUGCCUGCUUCAAGUACUAGUAUACGUAUGAUCAUCAUUAGAGGCUAAUCUCCUUUUUGCCGGGUCAUUGGAUGCUAAUCAUAGUUUAAGACGUUGGUCGGUCAAGUCAAGCAAAACUAGUACGUAUGUAGUGACAUGUGAUUCAUCGGUCAAGUCAAGCAAGACACAACUACACUCACUCUAAGUGACUCUGCUCUCCCCGUCCGGCCCUCGCAUCCGCCACUUGCUGCUCAGCCUUGCCGGCCGGCAACACAGAGUUUCGUCCUGCACUAUAUUUCUUGCUCAAUUGUUGUUAGUGCUUAGGUUGUACUAGUAGCAGCAGCAGAAGUACAAGAAGGGUUUCAGAUUUCUCACUUGUGCAAAGAAUAAGUUUAGUCAAUCUAAUAUUCAUACUUACACUGUAAAUCCCUAUGUACUUCUAGUGAAUUCCCUUUGUAAUGGUAGUGUUUGCAAUGUAAAAUUGCAUUGUAAGAUAGACUAAUAAAAGACUGAAACUACAGUACAAAUCAUUGUUACUAAACUGAAAAUAUUUAGACUGAAAAUAUGCACUGUAAUUUAAUGUGCAUUUUUGCCCAGUAAUGUGUAUUCCUUCUCUUUUUGGUUGCCUGAAUUUAAUGUGGUUUUGGACUGUAAUUUUCAGUAAUGUGUCACUUCUAGUUUACCUGAAUAUUUUUGUAUUCUUAUCAGUUUUGUGCCCCAUUCUAAAGAAGUUCAGUAAAUGUGUACGUCCCAUUCUGUAAAUACAAUAUUUUACAAACCAUUUAGAUACGACAACCUGAUCUUUGUUUCCUUUUUCACAAGAGCUAUUUUUGGCUUACAUGAAGGGAUGCAUGCUCUUCAUCUUGCAUGUAUGACUCAUCCUCGCAUUCUUACUUCGCCUUUGUUUCCUUCAGCUUCUUGAUUCUGAAAUUUUAAGAUAAAUUGUAAGUACUCAGUAUCAUGUUCUUAAGCAAAGCUACUGUUUUUUGCUUGAAUUACAGUGUUUUGUCUGACCUAUGUAUAGUGUCAAUGAAAUCUAAAUUUCAAGAUGGAGAUACAUUUUCUGGUGGCAUCUUACAUCACAGUAAUUUACAACCAAGAUAGGUUUACAAUGUCUUUUUGAUAGCAACUAUAAUGCAUAGCUUCAGAUUUUGUCGAACACACAUGUAUUUGUAUGCAUGACAAAUACUGGGGUCAAACAGAAUAACAAGUAAAACAUUCAUUUUGUCUUCAUACUUACUUGAAGGACUGCAUGUUCUUCAUCUUUGUAUGCCCCAUGUAUUUGCUUGUAAGCUUCAGUAGUGUUAUCUAUCUAGUCUGAUUUAUAUACUCCAUUCCUAAGCUGAAAUAUUUUUUGUAACUGAAAUAUAUAGUCUGAGUUUAUUUUACUGCCUUUUGUAGUAAAAGAAAAUGGAAAUCACAAAAAAAUGUUUGUUUCUCUGCCUUUUGUACUAAUGGAGAGGGAAAGUCACAAAAAAAUGUUUGUUUUUAGGGUCGAGCAGUCAGUUGGUUUGUUGCUCACUCAGAAAUGUUUUUGGUUUUUGGGGGUUCGAUGUGUACAUUGUGCAUCAGCAUACACUGCUAGUUGCCCGUGGAGAUCAGCACUGAAGAAUAAACAAAUCCUGGUAAUUCUUUCAUCUAGGAUGCUUAUGUCGUCUCGAAACUGUCAACCUGACUCAUAGAAUGAUCUUUUUAUUUAGGAUUCAUGGUUAUUUUUUCUUUUUCUUGUUAUUAUGCAUUACUAUAAGUUCAUUGUAUUAAGAUUCCUUACAACUUUAGGCACCUGAGCAAUUUACACAAGGAGGGGACCCAGCCUUCUUCACGGCUCGCGGCAGUGUCUCCCAUUGAUUCUUUCGUGCAACAAGGAGGGGACUCGCCCUUCUUCACGUCUCGUGCAACAAGUAAGGACCAGCCUCUGGCUAUACUAUUGAUUCGUGUGCAUGUGCUAAAAAGUAAGAAAAUACCCUACUGGAUUUGGACGCUGACGAGCACUAACAAGUUUUUACUUUCCCGACAUGGCCACAGGGGUGAUCGACGCGGACUACCGCUGCCUGGUGGGCGUCGUGCUCUUCAACCACUCGGAGGUGGACUUCACCGUGAAGCCCAGCAACUGCAUCGCACAGAUGAUCGUCCAGGUGAUCGUGACGCCAGAGGUCGCCGAGGUGGAGGACCUCGAUACCAUCGUUUGGGGGGAGGGAGGAUUGGGGUCCACCAGCAUCUGAACUCCGAGCCUUGGUAGAUACAUCUGAAGUGGUAUGUUUAGGCUGCUGGUGGAACACUAGGAAAGGUACCCACCUUUGGUUGUGUGCGUUUAUUGUUAAAUGGAAUCACGUGAUCUCUUGCAGUUGAGAUGUUCAAUGUUGCAUCUAUGAAUGGUGCAAGUGUUAAGAUGGUCCUCUGACCUUAAUUUAUUUUGCACUGGAUGUGUCUCUUAUCUUCAUCCAUGAAUGCUGCAUCUAAUUUUUAUUUUUUUAAUUCUUAAUUUGUUAGUAGUAGCGUGGGGGAAAAUGUGUGCUACUAGUAUUUAAGAUACUAGUAGCGUGUGGUAUAACAGAUGCGCUACUACUAUUCUGUUAUUAAUAGCGCGGGUUUCAGAUAGUAGUAGCAUGGGUGGCAUCCGUGCUACUACUAACUUUUUAGUAGUAGCGCGGGUUGCACCCAUGCUACUACUAACUUUUAGCUGUAGCGCGAUAUUAGUAGCGCGUGUACCCGCGCUACUAGUAGCCAAUUUACCCGCGCUGCAAGUAGCCUUUUCGCUAGUAGUGCAAUGCCGCCUCCACCGGAGACACCAGUGGCGCUGACGCGUUAUGCGAGUUGCUGCCCGUGAAGCUGGGAAUCGGGGGCGGCCCCUAUUGGCCGCCCGCAAUCCAUGCCUGCAGCCCCUGAACCAAUGUAGGCAUAAUGGUGGUGAUCAUCGCUCCCAGUUGGUCUCGCACUUGCUCUUGGACCAUCUCCGGAAUCUGCGCCACUUGUGCCUUGAGUUCUUGAACCUCGCGCUCCUGGCUUUCCGAGCUGGUCUUUCUCUCCUUUCGCCCAGCCGUAUAGUAUUCUGACCAUUUCGUGGACAAGCCUUUGCCGGCCACACGAGCAGCUAACGAUGGCUUACUGAACUUAUCCUUGUUUUUCGAUAUGUUCAACUCCGUAUUUAAAGUGGUGUCCCAAGGGGUAUUCGGGGACCCCGCGCUACUUCUUUCAGUUUCCUGCGGAAGGAACAUGAACCAUUUAGAAAUUUGGCUUCAUUAAUUAGAAUGGAACCAUAUGGAGCUAAUUACGCGGGGGUGUAUUCCUCACCAGAACAAGCUCAAGCGCCUUGGUCUUCGGAUCCGUGGUAAGCUCCUUUGUGACUGGGUCCAUCUUGUACCGGGCCCUGACAUAGUUCCUGGUGUGCUUGUCAUGGUAUUUAUCGAAGAGGGGCGGUAGGCCUUGCUUGGCACGCCCCGCGUCCUCCUUGUCCCAUAUAGGUUCCGCCACUCUGUAACCGUCGGGACCGAGUUUGUGGACCCCUAAGUUCAAGUCCCGCAUUUCUUUCCCCCACUGACUUGAUUCCGCGGAUGCGUUGCUCUUGCACUUGAUCUUGAACUUCCGGUAGUCAGCUUCGCUGAUCGAAGGAUUUUUCUCCUUGAUCUUUUCAUAACAAUCACCAUGUAGAAUCCUAUGCCUCACCGCGCCUCUCCAAGUAGACAGGGCCGUGCUCAUCUUCGUGAGGGCAGCAUUGUUCACUUUACUCCCUGAGAGGCGUGUGUUUGCAAAGUCAUCGGGGAACUUGUAUCGUUCAUGCAACUUCGUGAAGAGGAGGUUGCACAAAUUCCCUCGGUCACGAUGCCUUAGGUUCUCGGUGUUGAUCGAGACGGUGCUCCGGAGAAUGCACCCGAGUUGUUCCGGGUACCCACUGACUAAUUCUUUAGGCGCAGUUGGAUAACCACUGGAGGACACUUCAGUAAAUUCCUCCUUGACGGUGCCGAGCACGUUCGGGCGCCGGUCCUUCCAUUGCCUCUUCGGUUGGCUGCCAUCUGUGCGUGCACUGCCAUCAUCAGUGUUGGCAACCUCGGCGGCACCAUAAGUGGUGUCAUCCCCGACGCCACUAGGGGUUGUGUAGUCGAGAUCAGUGUCUUCCGCGGCGUCCUCAUAGCGGUGAGGUUCUUCCUCCAUCUCCUGGGACAGCUCCCAGAAUGCUUGCUCGAACCGCCGACCUCAUCAUUGUGGGCCAUGUUCGCUCUAAAUAGGAAAAAAGUUUGGUCAAAAAGUUGGUUAUUGUCAAGGAACAAGAUCUCUAAGUUGACCAAAUAACCUAAUUCUCGAGGAAUGUCGCCAAAAAGUUGGUUAUUAUCAAGGAACAAUUGAGAGAUGUUUGUGAUAUUGCCUAGGUGUUUUGGGAUGGAACCUGUUAGUGUGUUGUUGCUAAGGUCCAAGUCCCUUCCUAACCCCCUUCUUCUUGUCUCCUCUCACUAUCUCUCUCACACACAUGGAAAGCAAGGGUGUCUGAGUAUGUGAAAAAAUACUAAACUAAUCCAAGGGCUGAAAAUUGAUCAUCUGUUUCAGAUUGCAGUUUUCUUUCUUGGGGCUUCGGUGUGUGAUACAAAACUGAAUUUUGGAAAUCUACAGAAAUUGUUAGGAAUUGUCUUAGUCAAGAGGUGCUAGCAAAUGGCUUAAAUGUAUCAGGUCCUACUCUAGUUUACUCCAGUUUAGGUUGCAGUAGAAAUGCACCACUAUGGAGUAUCAGGUCCCUAGCAAAAAUGCACUAGAGAGCAAGCAAUACUGGUACUCCAAUUUUCACAGAUUAAAGCAAUACUGACUGCAAGCAAUAUUGCAAAAUUACAGAGAACCAAAAUUGCAAAAUUCAGUACUCCAUAACAUUACUGAAACUUUACUGUGCUUCAAACUAUACUGAAACUUUACUCCAUAUAUAUAUGAUCAUUUUUGUUUGAAAAGUUUCAUUUAAUUUUGUGUGGAGUAGUUUUAAUUAAAUAAAGUUUUUAACUGCUUGAGAUGAGAGAAAUGAGAAGAAGAGAGAAGGUCUACUGCUUGCAAGCAUAGCUGCUUGCAAGUCCUACAGUAAAUGGUUUCAGUUAAACAUCUAUUAUUUAUUCCAUAAGAAUAGCAAAUCAACUGCAUCUGUCCUACAUUGAGCCUGAUUUCCCUUGGCACGGUGAGACAAUUUCAUUUAUUUGCAUCUUCUUUGAAAAAAUACAGUUGGAAUAUCACCCAUUGUGUUGCCUAAAAAAUGUCAUGCUAAAUACACAUACAUGUAGUUUAUCGAGUGAUGGACAAAAAAAAUUGUUGAUCCUACUUAAUUAAGUACUAAGAUGCAUUAGUCGCAAGUACCGCAUAUGUCCUAUUUUUAGCAAAGUCAUGCUAAAAUUCACGGAAAAUUUCACUAUGACCUUUGCUGAAAAUAGGACACAUGGAGUACCCGAAUUUGCCGGAACGGAAGUUAAUCGACAUUCCGGCAAACUCAAGGGCCUCUCGGGGUACCUGCAAAAUCAUUAUCCCACCCCCGCCCCGCUGCAACCCCACAACACCCCAUAAUAUCAUCACGACAUGAUGGUCGGAGAAAAAACCUCCCAAUAUCAUCUAGACAAAACCCAGCAAUAUAUCUUCUAGCCAUGAAACCCUACCCUGAUUCUCCUUUUCUUCCUCUUUUUUCACUUAAACCCGCAAACAUGUAGGGAAAACAAUUAAUACAAGGCACAGAAAUGGCAUGCUAUGUAGCCUUAAUGCUACAGAACAUAUGAAAUACAUGCCAGCAAUAUAUAUGAUAUAAACUCCAAUAAUUUUUGAAUAAAAAUAGGAGCUAAAAACAGUAGCAAGCAAGCAAUUCAUUUGACUAACUAUUUAAAACAGUAGCAAGCAAGUUGUUUUCAUGGCUGUGCAUGGCUCACUUGAUACCAUGCAUGGUUUAUUAAUUCAAGGGAAACUAGAAGAGACCAGAUUAAUUCAUGGGAAACUAGAAGAGACCUGGUCUUUGUCUCUACCAUUUGGUGGCAUGAAUUAGUUAACACCGUAAACAAAGGUACUAUUUUUGCUAGCAAGCAAGCAAGUAUAUAAACAGCUCAAGCAAGCUUCCUGAAGAAUAUUAACAAAAUUUAUCUGUACCAAUGAACUAAAUCUAUCUGCUACCACCUCUCGGCCUCUUGCGAAAGAAGAUCAGAGGAAGCAUAUCAAUGAACUAAAUCUAUCAGUUUUGCUGAAAUAAUAAAGCUCUAACAAAAGUGAUUUUUAGCACCCAGAUACAAGCAUAUGAAGCAAAUUUUAUGACAGUAUAUACAACAACUUAUCCUCUUAAGCCAAAACAACUUUGUAAAAGCCAGAUGCAACUUGUUGAGCUAAUUUUGAGCAGAACUCCUUGAGGAACUAGCAGCAAGGAGUGGCUAGAACUACAAACAGUGGCUAGAACUGCAUAUUUACACAUUAAAGGACACAAACUCAAGCAAGCUUUCUGAACAAUACCCUGACAGAAAACAUAGGACAAGCAAUGAAUUUCUAUAACUAGCAGAGAUCAUGUGCAGCUGCAGUGAAUCAUUUGUAUUCUUGUUGCUAAAACUUGCCAAGUUUGUGUCUAGGUAAGGAGCAGAAAGAAGAGGAGCCAAGCAAUUUCUAAUUGAUUUCUAGCACUGGUUUAGUAGUGGAAAGAUCAAUUAAUUUAUAUGCUAAUUGGUCCGUGAAGUGCAUGUUUCUAACACAACUAAAAAAAUAGGUUAAUUGAUUGUUGAAGUUCUGACCCAGAAAUGCAAAAUGGUGAUGGAGCUCAUGUGCUCCUGAAUCACAGCCGCACAACUUAUUACUUGGGAUAGGUGACCUGCACUGUAUUUGGCAAUGUAUUCUGAUUGUAUUUCGAUUUUUGGUGUUUGCCAUGUGAAAACAUUGAUAAUAGUGGAGCCAGUAGAAUAAGCCAUCACCUCUAUGCUGCCUGACCACAUUUAUUAGAAAUCUGGAACAGCACUGGACAGAUGCAAACUUUCAGAACCUCAAAAAUAUAUGGACAUUUCAAUUGAAUCAAUAAAAUGUACCCUUAUAAGAGAAGCGGUAAAACGCAAGUCCAAAAGUAUGUUUAGGGCCUAUGUUAACAAUAAGCAAUUAACUGAAGUCAAUCACACCUUUUGUGUGUGUAUGAGGUUGAAUAAGUAUCAAAAUAAUGAUACACUGAUGCUCCUGUUUAAGACAUGUAUAAUGAGCAUUUUGAAACAGAUCAUUUUCGUAUUAGCUCUCCAAAUAUGUGACGGACAAAAGCUAUACCAUGAUGGCUCAACAAUGACAAUCAACUUACAUAGUUAAGCAAAAUUGAUGUAUACUGUCACUGUUAGGUGAAACACAAAAAAUCAAGGCAAGGGUUGCUACUUUUACCAACUGUUAGACUAAGUUAUAUAUCAACGAAGAGUUUACACAGGUUUUAGACUGAUUGAUUAUACUUCAGACACAUGUAAGUAUAUCCAUGCAUAAAUAUAAUAUUUCUAACCUUCUAAGAACAUGGGAACUAACAUCCAUCUACAUAAAUGAAAUAUGACAUAGUGAUAUCCAUCUUUCAUGCAAUUUUUAGUGCAGUUUGCAUAUGGCACAAAUCAUUUCUCGCUAGCUCUGCAUAGAUCCCAAAUUGCAUGCAAACGACCCCUAGUUCUUCACCAAACCUAGCCAGGAGGGCGGGGGUGGGGCUCCUCUCAUGACCUAAACCUAGCAAAAGAGAGAAGAAGAGGGCAUGACCGGGAGGGAGGAGAGGAGGAAGAGAGGAGAAGAGAGGCAGAGGGAGAAGGGCAAUGAAGAUUACCUGACCACGAUGAGGUGGUGGCCGGAGCGGAGACGACAAAGGGCGGAGACGGCGAGCUUGGGGGAGGCGGGGAUAUACGGCGGGGAGGUCGCGAGGUGCUCGGGCCUCCUCUCCUGGUGGACGCGGGCCUCCUCCUCCUAGUGCUCCGGCGGCGCAGUGGGUCGGGGUAGCGGCGUGCAAUGGGUCGUGGCUGAGAGAGAUGUGAGAUGGGGAUCNNNNNNNNNNNNNNNNNNNNNNNNNNNNNNNNNNNNNNNNNNNNNNNNNNNNNNNNNNNNNNNNNNNNNNNNNNNNNNNNNNNNNNNNNNNNNNNNNNNNNNNNNNNNNNNNNNNNNNNNNNNNNNNNNNNNNNNNNNNNNNNNNNNNNNNNNNNNNNNNNNNNNNNNNNNNNNNNNNNNNNNNNNNNNNNNNNNNNNNNNNNNNNNNNNNNNNNNNNNNNNNNNNNNNNNNNNNNNNNNNNNNNNNNNNNNNNNNNNNNNNNNNNNNNNNNNNNGGGGAUCGGGGAUUUGGGAUUUUAGUGGGGGGAGGGGGGGGGGGUUAGCAAUGGUGCACCUCCUAGCGGUGCGCCAUUAGUAACUUUUUUUUGGAUAGCAAUGGCGCACCUCCUAGCGGUGCGCCAUUAGUAACUUUUUUUGGAUUUUUGGUUGUAUUCAUUUGUGAAUUGGUAAAACAUUUAUGAAUAUGAAAAAAUAUCAUCAAAUUUGAAAAAGUAUUCAUGAAUUCAAAAAGUGCCCAUGAAAUUUAAGCAGGAAAAGGAACACUCAAAAAUAAGAUACAAGAAUAAAUAUAAAUAAAAAUUUGUAUAUCAAUGGCGCACCUCCUUUGGGUGCGCCAUAAAUACCUUCAUAGCAAUGGCGCACCCUCCCCUAGUGCGCCAUUACUAACUAUUUUUUUGGAUUUUUAGUUGCAUCUAAUAAUUAUUUAGAAAAUGACGAUCAAAUUUGAAAACAUUUAUGAAUGUGUAAAAAUAUCAUCAGAUUUCAAAACAUUUAUGAAAAAAAUAUGAAUAUGAAAACAUUUAUGAAUAUGAAAAAAUAUCAUCAAAUUUGUUAUUUGAUUUUUUUUGGAUUUUUAGUUGCACCUAGUAAUUUUUUAGAAAACAUUUAUGAAUAUGAAAAAAUAUCAUCAGAUUUCAAAAUAUUCACGAAUUCAAAAAGUGCCGCCCAUUUCCAUAUGUCGAAAUACAAUUGAGAAAUGAAGGCUACAAUUUAAAUACAAUCGAUCUUAGCUAGCUAUCUUUUCACAAUCUUCUUGCCCUUAUUUUUCGCAAAUGGAGUUCUUCUCUUGAACGGACGUCCUUUAGGUUGGGUGGUCCUGCUUCUUCUUGUGGUGUAUGCUAGUAUUUCAUCAUCGUCGUCAUGUUCCAUCUUCGGGUCGCCGUACUUGUCGAAGUCUUGCUCAUUGGCGACUCCAUCCAUUCCGAUGAUCUUCCUUUUGCCUCUGCUUACGACAACACGACUGGGCUUUGACGGGUCGGUAAUGAAGAAGCAUUGGUCCACUUGGGAAGCCAGUACCCAUGGCUCAUUUUUCGCGGUGACGUUUGCGCCCGCGGUCUUGGAUUUGGCUUCGGGUAUAACCAUGGUGGUGAAAUACCGGUCUUCUUUUAGGACGCUCUUGGCCCAUCUGACACAAAACAUCGGGACCUUCUCUCCAGCGUAGCACAGCUCCCAGAUCUCCUCGAUCCUUCCGUAGUAUCUGUCCUUGUCGUUACCGGUGUAGGAUUCCAUCGUUACCCUAGAGUUCUGAUAACCAUCGCUCUUCAUGUCCUUUUCCUCGGUGUAGAAUGUAUAGCCGUUGAUAUCAUAUGCCUCAUAGGUCAUCAGGUUGUGCUCGGCGCCCUGUGACAAGGCAAAUAUGAGUUUUUCUUCCGCGGAAGAAUCCUCAUGUAAAGGGUACGACAGAAGCUUAUCCUUGAACCAACGCGUGAAACAUGAGUUGUGCUCUUUGAUUAUAUCUCCGUCCAUCCUCUGUUGGCCUUGGUCAUUGUAUGUCUUCUCAAUAAAGGUUUUGUGCUCUACCACCCAAGGAUCGACCACGUCUAUGUGUUGUAGCGCGACUAGGUUUGCUCUUUCAAAGUCAGCGAGUCGACCCUCGAAGUCGACAUGCAUUUCACGGCGACCCUCGCGGUGACCCCAUCCGGCGAGCCUGCCAAGGUGCCUGUUGACGAGCAGACCAAUGGGAUUCUCGAUGCCUAGAUAAUUCAUGUAGUAGGAGAUGCACUCUUUGGUCAGAAAGCCCCUGGCUAUGCUUCCUUCUAUACGUGACAUGUUGCGAACAUAUCCUUUGAUGACACCAUUCAUCCUUUCGAAUGGCAUCAUGCUGUGCAGGAACGUCGGCCCAAGUUGGAUGAUAUCCUCCACGAUAUGGACCAGCAGAUGCACCAUAACGUCGAAGAAUGCGGGCGGGAAGUACAUCUCAAGCUCGCAUAGUAUCACCACAAUCUCUUCCUGUAGCCUUCUGAGUUGCCUCAUGCCAACCGACUUCCGAGAGAUGAUGUCGAAAAAGUUGCAUAGGCCAAAAAGCGUUUCAUGGACGUGCGCAUCCAUGAUCCCACGGAUUGCAACUGGAAGUAUCUGCAUCAUCAGCACGUGACAGUCGUGAGACUUCAUCCCGCUGAACUUCUGCUUCACUGAGUCUAGGUAUAUGCUUAUCUUCCCCGCGUAACCGUAAGGAAGUUUUACUCCUAUGAGGCAGGUGAAAAACAACUCGAUCUCGUCCUGACUUAGAGUGAAGCACGCGGGAGGGAAGUCAUUUCCGAUCUUCUCGGCCUUUUUGCCUUUGCGAUGACUUUCCGUGUCCUUCGCCUCAUCCUCAUCCUCAUCAUCAUCAUCAUCAUCAUCAUCAUCAUCAUUAGCAUGAAGCUCCUCCCUGAUGCCCAUUGAUUUCGAGUCUGCCCUUGCUAUUGGCCCAUCUUUGGUCCUCUCUAGCAUGUUGAGCAGGGUACCAAGCAGACUCUCGCACACGUUCUUCGUGAUAUGCAUGACAUCAAGGCUGUGAGGCACACGGAGGAUCUUCUAGUACGGCAAGUCCCAUAAAAUAGACCUCAUUUUCCAUACCUUCAGCAGCGGCUCUGGUGCCUUUCACUUCUUUCCCAGCUCCGGCGUCUUUCCCGGCGGUGGGCACCCUUUCCAAUUUUUCAACAACUCGUCUAUUUCCUCGCCGCUCCUCGUACGCGGGCUUCUUCGGGGUUCGGUUUCACCAUCAAACAGAUCCUUGCGUUUUCUCCAUGAGUCAUCAUCGUGAAGCCACGUUCGAUGUCCCAUGAACACGGUUUUCGAAGACCCGGGAUCUCUAUCUAGCUGGCGAUAUGUUGUGUCAUCCAUGCACCUGACAUAUCCAGAACAUCCGUGGACCACCUGCCCCGCGACAUAUCCGUAACCGAGAUAGUCGUGCACCGUCGUGAGCAGUGCGGCUCUCAUAGGGAAAUAUUCUUUCUCUGCGGCGUCCCACGUAUUGGCUGGCGUUUUCCACAGCGUGUCUAGCUCCUCUUUCAGCAGCACCAGAUACAGAUUGAUGUUGUUCCCUAGUUGUUUCGGCCCUUCAAUUAGCAUACUCAUGUGAAUGUACUUCCUCUUCAUGCACAACCAGGGGGAAGGUUGUACAUCCACACAAACACAUGACAGGUGCUAUGUGUGCUUCUCUGGCUGCCAAAUGGAUUGACUCCAUCGGUGCUCGUGCCCAGCACGAUGUUCCUUGGAUCGUUCCCAAAUUCAGGGUGUUCGAAGUUCAAUGCUUGCCACUGGCUCGCAUCCUUAGGGUGACUCAGCAUCUUGUCUUUUUUAUUUAUCUCCGAAUCAUUUUCGUCAUCAUCUCACUUCUUCUCCUCCCUAUCCGCGUGCCAACGCAUGAGCUUUGCUACCUUAGGGUCCACGAAAUACCGCUGCAGACGAGGAGUGAUCGGAAAGUACCACACCACUUUUCGAGGAGCUUUCUUCCUCUUCUUGUAUCGAGUGAUGCCGCACAUCGGACAUAAUGGUAGACUCCGCAUGCUCGUUCCGAUAAAUGAUGCAAUUGUUCAUGCACACAUGAUAUUUCACAUGCGGAAAGUUCAAAGGACACACGAUUUUCUUCGCCUCCUCGAAAAUGGUCGGGCACUUGUUCCCCUUGGGAAGACGUUCGUGCCAGAAUGACAUGUUCUCGUCGAAGCAUGCGUCGAUCAUUUUGUGUUUUACCUUCAUCUCCAGAGCCAUGAGCGUUACUUUCAGGCAGGUAUCCUCGGGCCCGCAUCCUUCAUACAAUGGAGUAACUGCGUCUAUCUUCAGUUGAUCCAGCUUGGCUUUCUCUCGGGCGGCAGCUCUUGUGUUAUCCGUCUGCUUGAGAAGCAGCUCUUGAAUAUGAGGGUCCUGCACCCAGCCCAUCGAUGGUCCAUCGUCGUCUGCUCCGGCAUCUUCAUCUUCAUGAUCAUGCAUUUCGUCUUGAUCUUCCUCAUCAUCUUGUUUGGCAUCUUCUACAUGAUGACUGUGUACUGCAUCUCCUUCGUGAUCAUGUCCUAGAGAUUCUUUGUCUUCUCGCCCGCCCUCAUCGCGGUUGUCUUGCUGCCCUUCCUCAUUUCUUGCCAGGCCCCCAUGGACGACUUCAUAAUCAUCUUCAUCACCUUGCCACCGAUAUCCAUCCAUGAAACCAUGCAAGAGCAGGUGGUCCCGCACCUUUACGGAAUCCGGGUCCAUAAGGCUCUUCAGCUUGCAUCUUCGACACAGACAUUUUGUCUCCGUCUCGUUCUUUUGAAGCAUCUCGGCCUUCGUGAAGCUCAAAAACCUAUUCACGAUGCCUUCGGUCAUCGUGCAGACCAUGGUCGCCUGCGGGGUAGAGCAAAAUGAUAUUUUACAACCAAAAAAAAUUUGGCAUGACUUUGCCUAAAAAUAGGACCAAAAAGAAUGCACAGUGCCAAAUUCUCGCCGAAACGGAAAUGAAUCAACAUUCCAGCAAAAUAGUGGCAACUAUCAUAUUUCAAAUACCGGUACCUCCAAACACAAACAUAUGCAACACCACGAACAUAUGCAACACCACAAACAUACGUAGAUCUAGGCCAUAAAAAGUGCAUGUGCACGUUGUUGGAGGGAGAAAAAGUAGAUCUAGAACAUAAAGAAAGCUUUCCCCUUAUUUAACUAUCAAAAAAAGGAAAUUUAACCACUUAAUUUGGGUGAAUCUAUGGUGCAAAUGAGGUGAGGAGCAGGAGGCAGCCGAGACAAGCUUGGAGGAGGAGGUGGAGAGAAUGAAGUGGGGAAAGUGAGUGUGGUAGGUGGCUGUCCAAAAUAUCUAGCUAGUCCCAGGUUACCAAUGGUGCACCACCUAAGAAUGCGCCAUUAGUAAGGGUUACUAAUGGUGCAUCUGGUGUGUGAUGCGCCAUUAAUAGUUUUGCAAAAAAAUAAAAAAAUAAUUGUUAGUAGUGGCGCACCGCGGUUGUGGUGCACCAUUACUAGUUUUGAAAAAAAAGUAAAAAAAAUUGUUAGUAGUGGCGCACAGUGUGUGUGGUGUGCCAUUACUAGUUAAAACUAAUAAUGGUGCAUUGUAAGCUGGUGCAUCAUUACUAGUUUUGGAAAAAAAAUGUUAGUAGUGGCGCACCGUGGGUGUGGUGCGCCACUGUUAUAUAGCAGUGGCGCACUAGCAGUGGCGCACCACAUACCUGGUGCGCGAUUAAUGUUCAUACUAUUUAUAACCCUUUUCCUAGUAGUGUGAGGAAGAUGGGCCAAAUUAGGAGCGCGUGGAUGAAGACGUUUACCAGGUUGUUGUGGUACGCGCCGGCGCCGUAGAAGGCGAAGUGCCGGUCCAAGUCGAGGAAGCCGCCGCCGCGAGCCAUUGAGAGAUUCGUCGACCAGGCGCUGCCACUUCCAAACAAAUGAGUUGCGAUGGAGGAGGUAGAUUAGAGGAGGUCGUGGAACAUGGGCCGAGGGGCGGAGCGGCAAUGGGAGGAACGGAUUGGGGGACGGCGGCGCCUACAUCUCAAACCCAAAGAGAUAAUGCGAGGAGGCUCCCGUGCUGGAUGGGUUGCAUGUUGCGUGAUUGUAGGGGUUGCGGGGGAGAGAUGUAGGGGACGCGGGACCGGUAGUUACAAGUUUUUUCGCUGGUGGAGGUGAAGGUGGAGUACGGUCAGUCAUUGGAAAUUUCUAAGUGCACAUCACAGAUUUAUUGGAUCAAUGAUGGCUGUUAGACUAAGAUUUGUGGGAUUAAUCUUGUGGUGCUGAUCGGUUCAGGAGGGGUUGUGGGUCUAAUUGCUGGGUAUACGUAAGAAAGUUCUUGUUUGAUUGUUUAAUAGUAGUGUAGAUAACCAGCAUCGAGGGUUUUAGGAGGUUCCCUAUCUCCAUGAGUAGCAAGUACACCUAUUUUUUUUUAAUAUUUCGUGUUCCAUAUGCACAACUAAAGAUAGAGAACAACAAAUAAAAUCUACUUUAGUGAUAAAGCAAACAAGCACACACGAGAAUAUUCAUCCUACGCGAUGACUCCCCGGCAACGGCGCCAGAAAAAGGUCUUGAUAACCCACAAGUAUAGGGGAUCAAUUGUAGCCUCUUUCAAUAAGUAAGAGUGUCGAACCCAAUGAGGAGCUAAAGGUAGAACAAAUGUUCCCUCAAGUUCUAUCUACCAUCAAUACAACUCUACGCACGCUUAACGUUCGCUUUACCUAAAACAAGUAUGAAACUAGAAGUACUUUAUAGGUGUGAUAGGAUAGGUUUGCAAUAAUAUAAAGAGCACGUAAAUAUAAAGUAGGGGCUGUUUUAGAUAAAGAAGCAAUAAAGUUAGUAUAGCGAGUGUGGAAAAGUGGUGAUAGGAGUUGUGAAAUUGUCCCUAAGCAAUUAACUACUUUACUAGACCGAUAGCAAGUUUUAUGUAGGAGAGGCCACUGCUAGCAUGUCAUCCCUGACUUGAAAUUCUAUGCACUUAUGAUUGGAACUAUUAGCAAGCAUCCGCAACUACUAACAUUCAUUAAGGUAAAACCCAACCAUAGCAUUAAGAUAUAUUGGUCCCCUUCAAUCCCCUAUGCAUCAAUUUCUAUGCUAGGUUGAAGCUUCUGUCACUCUUGCCCUCCAAUACAUAGUCCUAUCAACAUACAACUAACCCUAUGGUGUGAUCCACGCGCGCGCUCAUAUGAUGGGCACCAAAGGACAUCAACAUAACCACAAGCAAAUUAAACCAAUCAUAACAAUUCAUCAAUUACCGAUAGGACAACGAAAAUCUACUCACACAUCAUAGGAUGGCAACACAUCAUUGGAUAAUAAUAUGAAGUAUAAAGCACCAUGUUCAAGUAGAGGGUACAGCGGGUUGCGGGAGAGUGGAGCGCUGAAUAUAAAUGGGGGAAGGUGAUGGAGAUGUUGGUGGAGAUGACGGAGGUGUUGGUGUAGAUCGCGGUGAUGAUGAUGGCCCCCGACGGCAUUCUGACACCACCAGAAGCGAGGGGGAGAGAGCCCCCCCUUCUUCUUCUUCCUUGACCUUCUCCCUAGAUGGGAGAAGGUUUUCCCCUCUGGUCCAUUAUCUCCAUGGCGUGGGAAGGGAGAGAGCCUCUCCGAGAUUGGGUCUGUCUCUCUGUCUCUCUUUGUUUCUGCGUUUUCAGAUUCUGCCCUUUCACCGUUUCUUAUAUUCUCGGAGAUCUGUAACCCCGAUUGGGUUGUCCUUUGGACACGAUUUCUAUUUGGAUAUUGGCUUUCUUGCGAUGAAAGAAGGGCACCAACCGCCUUACGGGGUGGCCACGAGGGCCCAGGGCACGCCUGACCCCCUGGGGCGCGCCCCUGCCUCAUGGCCCCCUCGGGCAUCGUCUCGUGUUGAUUCUUCUUCUCAAAAUUCAUAAAUAUUCCAAAAAAAAUCUCUGUCCGUUUUUAUUCCGUUUAAUUUGGACUCCGUCUGAUAUGGGUUUCUACAAAACAUACAACAGACAGGAACUGGCACUGGGCAUUGGAUCAAUAUGUUAGUCCCAAAAAUAAUAUAAAAAGUUGCCAAAAAUAUAUGAAAGUUGAAUAAUAUUGACAUGAAACAAUAAAAAAUUAUAGAUACGACAAAGACGUAUCACCGGCCGGUUGUGCCGAUGUCGGAGUAGAGGCGUGAGAUGUCGACGACGGCGGCGGGCGACGCAAACCGGUCAAGCAUAGAUCGAAAAACCAAAAAGAAAAACGCUGAUCAAAACGACGGCGAGAGAGCGAAAAAACCCGGAGCAAGGGCUCGGAUAAAAGACUCUAGGGCAGCCGGCCAACACGGCCGGUGGACGACCCCUAGGUUUGGGCGGCGCGGCCCCCGACGGCGGUCAUGGAGGCCGACCGCCCCAGGGGCAGCGCCCGGGUGCGGAAGAGGCGACGACUAGAGUUUAGGAUCGAGAUAAGGCUGAUAGCAUGUUAGAAAGGAUAGAGGGAUUUGUGGAAUAAUUUGAUGUAUUGCUUGAGCCUCGUGGACAUAUAAAUAGGAGUACAAAGGUCAAUUUGGAUUACAAGACAAGGCAAGACCAAAUUCUAGUCUAUCCUAUACUUCCUAAUAAUCCUUAUACUCAACAAUAAUGAUUUGACAAUGGUCGUCUUUGUCUUAUACUCUGCUUUUUUUUCUAUGCUCUGCUUAAUAAUUGAUACAAAAUAAUUGUGUACAUCGUUAAUUUUUUUUGACAAUCAUGAUCGUGUACAUCUUGAUGCAAAGGCAACCCCUUUUCUUCUAAGGAAAAAAAAUCUUGCAUGUACAUGUGGUUUGGCAUGGGAUCGGCAACACUUGUGGUGCUACCGACGAGUGAAAGCGUGCCGGAUUUUAUUUCUCCGACCCCGUGACAAAGCCGCUGCAGUGUACGUAACACAAAGUUAUACGUCGUCUUUUUUUCUUUUGAGUAACAGUUACACGUCAUCUUUGCUUUAGGACACCGCUAAGAGUAUCUCCAGCUGUAGAGCCCCCCAGGAGGCAUUUUUAUCGCCCCUUGGGGGGCUGCCGGUGAAUUUUUUUUGCCUGCGAUCGAGAAAAUAUCCACUCGUUUCGUCCCCCACACACGUUCUGCCCCCCCUACUCUUCCUCGAGCUCCCCUCCUCUGCGACCGCGGCUGCUUCCUGACGACGACGACGACGCCGCCGACGGCUGCUACCCUCUGCGUGGACGACUUUUGCGUCUCGCCAGCCUUCCGCGGCCGCUUCCGCCGCGACGUCCCGCAGCCCGCGCGUCCGCCACGCCGGGCGACGAGGAGGAAGCAGGGCGCGCGCGUCCGCCCGGCGUCCAGGAAGCAGGGCNNNNNNNNNNNNNNNNNNNNNNNNNNNNNNNNNNNNNNNNNNNNNNNNNNNNNNNNNNNNNNNNNNNNNNNNNNNNNNNNNNNNNNNNNNNNNNNNNNNNNNNNNNNNNNNNNNNNNNNNNNNNNNNNNNNNNNNNNNNNNNNNNNNNNNNNNNNNNNNNNNNNNNNNNNNNNNNNNNNNNNNNNNNNNNNNNNNNNNNNNNNNNNNNNNNNNNNNNNNNNNNNNNNNNNNNNNNNNNNNNNNNNNNNNNNNNNNNNNNNNNNNNNNNNNNNNNNNNNNNNNNNNNNNNNNNNNNNNNNNNNNNNNNNNNNNNNNNNNNNNNNNNNNNNNNNNNNNNNNNNNNNNNNNNNNNNNNNNNNNNNNNNNNNNNNNNNNNNNNNNNNNNNNNNNNNNNNNNNNNNNNNNNNNNNNNNNNNNNNNNNNNNNNNNNNNNNNNNNNNNNNNNNNNNNNNNNNNNNNNNNNNNNNNNNNNNNNNNNNNNNNNNNNNNNNNNNNNNNNNNNNNNNNNNNNNNNNNNNNNNNNNNNNNNNNNNCGGCGGGUAGCAAGGAGACGGCGGCCAGGAGGCGUGGCGGCGAGCGCGGCCGGAGCGAGGAGCUCUGCUUGCUGCUUGCGGAGAGAGAGGAGAGAGAUCCUUUUUUGCAAGUGGGUGGGGUGGGCCUGACAGAAAAAGGGGGGGAGAGAGAGAGAGUAGAGAGGCUGGCUGGUGGGGUUUGCAUGCAGGAGAAGUAGCGCCGGGCGUCCCAAGUGCAUCCCAAGGCGCUGGGUUUUACCCGGGGUCGCCGGCGCUGUUUUCGCAGAAAUCUGGCGCAAAACGAGGGUGUGGGGGCGUGACUGCGAGCAUUUUUUACAACCGGCGCUAAAAAAGGUGCUUGGGGGGCGUAUUGGGGAGCCUAGUGGAGAUGCUCUAACGCACACACGUGUGAUGGAAGUCAAACUCACCCACACGCCUUAUAGAACAUAGACUUCGUCAUGUCACCGCAUGCAUGCAUGUGGAAUUUCUUUUGGAUUUUCUGUUUUAAAAAUGUUUUAUCUCUUAAAUGAAAAAUCCGAUUGAAGAUUCGUUUUCACCAUUAAAUCCCUCGCGACGAGAUCAUCGAAACUAGAUCUCAUAUCAAUAUAUUUCAAUGAUUUUUUUGGGGUUAAAAGUUGCCGUGUCUAUUGCACAUGAAUUGCCAUGAUGUUUACACUAAAGUUGAAAUGAUAUGUUCCACCUAUUUUUUCUACAUUUAAAAGUAAAUUUUGACAUAUUAUAAAACAAGGAAUUAAGAAACUAGACUUGUCAUGCACCAUAAAUUAAAAUUGUCAUGAUACAUGCACUUAAAAUUGCCAUGAUUCAUACAAAAAAAAUAUUUUCAUGGUAAAAGUACUGGAAUUGCCAUCAUCAAAAAACUAAAAUUCUCAUGAUCUACAAACUAAAAUUGCCACAUGGCAACUUUAGUUUAAGCCCUAUGACAACUGCAGUGUAAACAUGAUAGCAAUUUUUAGGCAAAAAAAUUUCAUCGAAACAUAUCAAUGUAGGAUCUAGUUUUGAAGAUCCCGUCGAGACGGAUUUAAUGGUGAAAACAGACUUUUAAUUUGCUUUUUUAAUUAGGAGAUAAAACAUUUUUAAGCCGAAAAUAAAAAAAAAUCUGCUCAUGUCAUCUGUUUAUACGUGGCAAAAUGAGUGGUGAUGGAGGCGUGUGGACGAUGUGCAAACGCCCACACGUUUUUCCGUUGCUUUAAGACUAACCAAGCUGGUAAUUAUCCACCAAUCCUGCCCAUUUAUGAUGGAAGUGGAUUCUCUACCAUUAAGAAGGGAAGUCACCUAAGAUAUAGUGCAAUCUAGUGCAAAACAAAGAAGGAAAGGCAAGGGCACUGUGGCAAAUAUUGUGUUUAGCUACUAUAGCAGGUUAUGUGCGUGGUUAUUGUUCAUGUAAAUAAAUUUAAAAUUAAUUUUAUUGCAUCAUAAUUUUGUUUGUAUGUAAAUUUUGUAAAUGUAUACAAUAGAUUUGUAAUUUGCAAAUUAAAUCAAGUCAUUUUAGCCUUAAUCAUAUGGAUGUGAAGAAGAAAAGUUAGGAAAUUUAUAGCUUAGGUGACAUCUCUUCUUCAUGUUAGAGGAUCCACUUUCAUUUGUGAUGCAUUUUUCCUCUUCCAGGAGCAGAUGAGCUGCCCAGUAAUCGGAGGCUCAGGCAAGCCAAGGUCACCCACGUACAAGAGCGACGGCCGGUUUCAUCUCACGGAUUUCCUCGGCCAAGAAAGCAAGAAGCGACGUGUGGACACUAAGAAAUUGCAUGCAUGCGAUGCACAGAGCACAACCCGAUCGAUCGAAUAAUAUUCAACGAAUUUUAUCCAAUCCAAAAGAGAGAAGGAAAAUAGUAUAAAUCGUGCGUACGUGCUUGAGAGGGAUUGGAUUGGGAGGCAGGCAGUAGGCACCGCCCGGCUCACCCAUCGACGUCGACAUGCAUGCGCUAGUAAAUCCUACGUAUGGCUACGUCCACCAUGCACAGUCAGCUAGUUUGACAGGCUAUGUACGUCGUUUGCGUUUUGUUCUCUCUUCUCUGCCCCCUCUCGUUUGGUUGGCUGGAAACUCCACUCAGACGAAUGGACACUGUUUUUUGCUCUCAUGUGUCAUCCUCUCUUUUUUUCUUUUUUUUUGCGAGGGUAAAAGGAUUUUUAUUCCAGAGUGAUAGUGAUACAAUCAAGUGGCACAAGUUCCUCCACACAAGGUGGACUCCUACCUAGCCAUACAGCAGUUGUAUUCUCCGUACGACUAUAACACGCCAGCCAAUCUGCAACCCUAUUCUGAACCCGAUUAAUCUUCAACGGAAUAAAUUCCCUUUCACCCAUGAGACGAUGGAUCUCAGCAACUAGAUGUCCAUAAGCGGAGCGGGACUGUCCCCUGUCAAUGAACGUAGAGCUUCAGAGGAAUCGGAUUGAACGAUCACCGGUUCUUCCGAGUGUUGGAUAGCCAAGGCCAUGCCUUGCAUUAAUGCAUGAAUCUCAGCCUCCAGAGCGUCGUUGCAAUUGAAGAUGCAUCUGUAAGCUGCAAAAAUAACACUCCCAUCGGAACGUCGCAGAAUCAUUCCCGCGGCCGCCGACCCGUCAGAACGAUGAAACGCUCCAUCUACUGAUAAGGCCACUCGCCCCACUGGAGGCUUCGGCCAUGGCUGUGGUGUAGCUUCGGGUCUUUGUUGUACCGGGGCUUCCUCCCUCAUUGGCAUCUUUCCUUUCAUGAUCUCCUCGGUCGUAUAUUUCCGGGCCUGGUGUAGAGAAGACAUGUAGCUUUGCAAGUACUCCGUUGUCACCUCCACUGAUGGCACUGGUUUACCAUGAGUCAAGUCAGACCGUAAGGACCAUAUCCUCCAGAUUAACAUGAUAAUACAAUCUCGCAUAUGAUCAUGACAGUUCAGCAGAAGGUUUAGCAACCACUCAGCGCCGGAUUCCUGUAUUACCGCAGGUUUAGGAAGCUCCCAAACCUGGCUCAUCGCCAUCCAGAGCUGACGAGCAUGCCCGCAUGUGACCAGCGUGUGGAAGCUCGACUCUUUCUCCGUCCCACACAGAGGACAUGUAUCCCGCGUAAUGUGUCGAUAUUUCUUGCAUGCGUUCGUCGCCAGUGCUUUGGAUACAGCUUUCCAGGCAAGGAUGCGCAUCUUCAGAGGAACUUUGGCCUCCCAAACCCUUCGCCAUAUCGGGCGCUGGCCGUCGGGCGAGGCGCUUGAUGCGCUCAUACCCAUGUAUGUAAGGCCAGUAGCUAGCCGGUACGCACUCUUCACAGUGAACCUUCCACUCUUCUCCGGGAACCAAGCGAGAAAGUCUUGGCCCCUGUUAGGAGAUGUACGGAUCUUCACAAUUUCUCGGACAUCCAUAUCCCAAAAGUAUUGCCGUAAACACUGCACAUUCCAGGCACCAGACUCCUCGAGAAAAUCUGCUACCCAACUAUACCUGCAUGUACCCUUCGGGGUGAUGGGCCUAAAGUCAUGCCCUCUCGGGAUCCAUGCGUCUCUCCAAGUUUUAAUCAAGGAUCCAUCUCCUACCCUCCAGAUCAGCCCUUUCUUGAGUAGCUCCAGACCAUGUGUGAUGCCUCUCCACACAGCCGACGACGAUGUAGGGAACACAGUGUCUAAUAAGUUCCCAUUAGGAUAAUACUUAGCCCGGAGCAAUCGGGCACAUAAGCUAUCAGGGCUAUCCAAUAAUCUCCAUGCUUGUUUAGCAAGCAAGGCUUGGUUAAAAGCUCUCAUGUCUCGAAAGCCCAUACCACCCAUACUCUUGGUAGCAUCAUCUUUUCCCAACUAAGCCAUGCCAUCUUCCUUUUGCCUUUCUCCACCCCCACCAAUAUUGUCUCAUCAUCUGUGUGAGAUCAUCACACACCGAGGCAGGGAGGCGGAAAACACUCAUGACAUAGGUUGGUAUUGCUUGCGCAACUGCCUUUAUCAAGAUCUCCUUGUUGCCUGACGAGACGUACUGCUCGCUCCAGUCAACAAGCCUCUUCCGUAGUCUUUCUUGAGUAGUCUCAAACUACCCUUUGUGCAUUCUCCCUUCCGGGACUGGUAAGCCCAAAUACUUAGGCUCAAAAACCUGCUGAGUAAUCUCCAGAAUAUGUUUCACUUCAUCCGCCACCGACUGCAUGCAAUUAUCGGAAAAAAGGAUGGAACACUUCCCUGGGUUGAUAAGUUGACCCGUCGCUGAGGUGUAUGUGUUCAAUAAACCUUUAAUAAUGCUUGCCUACUGGGCUGACGCUUCAAAGAGUAACAUGGUGUCAUCCGCAAACAGUAAAUGAGAAAUCACCGGUGCACCCCGGCAAAUGGAUACCCCUCUCAAGUCCCCAUUGUUAACUGAAUUUGAGAUCAGAGAUGACAGAGCAUCAGCAACAAAUAAGAAUAAGAAAGGGGACAGUGGAUCACCUUGCCUCAAGCCCCUAGAAGGGGUAAAUGAUUCUAGUAUUCUCCCGUUGAGCUUCACCGAAUAUUUAAUCGAUUUCACACACGCCAUAAUCCAUGCGAUCCACUCAUCUGCAAAGCCCCAUUUACGCAGGGCUUGCUCCAAAAACUCCCAAUCCACGCGGUCGUAGGCCUUUGAAAGAUCAAGUUUGUAGGCGCACUCCGCCGGUCUGUUUUGCCUCAGUGACUGUAUAUGAUGUAUGCACUCAAAGGCAAUGAUAGAAUUGUCAGAAAUCAGACGACCGGGAAUAAAGGCACUUUGAUUUUCACUAAUCAGAUCUCCAAGUAUAGGCCGAAGCCGGUUGGUGAGACACUUUGAGACAAUUUUGUACAAUACGUUACAUAAACUAAUCGGUCUAAAAUCCUUGAGCUCCUUUGGGUGUGGAACUUUCAGGAUAAGAAUGAUAGCCGUGUCAUUUACCCCGUCCGGCAUUACUCAUGAUUGAAAGAAUUCCAAUACUGCAGCCACUAUCUCUGUCCUCAGCACCCCCCAGUUUCUCUGAUAAAACCUUGCCGGCAGCCCAUCCGUACCUGGCACCUUGAUAGGGCCAAUUUGAAAGAGCGCAGUAGACACCUCUUCUUCGGAAAAGGGGGAACAGAGUUUAUCAUUCAUGGCUUCGGUAACUUUAGGUGCAAUACCCCUCAACACCUCCCCUGGCGAGAGCGUCGGAUCUUUGGUAUAUACCUCCUUGAAGUAAGAGGUCGCCAUACGUUCCAUCUCAGACGGGACGGUACACCACAUGCCAUUCUCACGACGGAGGCGCUGUAUAAAGUUACAUCGUGCACGCCACACUGCCCGCCGGUGCAGGUAUGCCGUGUUCCUUUCCCCCUCCUUUAACCACUCGAUCCUCGACCUCUGAAGCCAUAACAUUUCCUCUCUAUAUAGUAAUUCAUCCAAGGCAUGCAUCUUUUGUCUAAUCAAUGCCCUGUCAGCAUCCCGUAGUUGUAGGUCCGCGAGUUCUCCUCUAAGUUUCUCGAUCUCUGAGGAGACAUGGCCGAAGUUUUUCUUACUCCAAGCCCGCAGUUCAGUCAUCAUUGCUUUGAGGGCAUCCCGUACUGCCCCCAAAUUCCCGUCCGGUUUACUCCUCCUCCAUCUGUUCUCAAUCACCGUCGGUAGCGCAGGAGAUCGCUCCCACAUAAUCUCGUACCGCGGUGACGCCCUUGUUUUUGGUACCUCAUCAUGUGCCACCCGUAUGAAAACUGGACAAUGGUCCGAGCAUGACGACGCCAAAUGCACCAAUUGUGAGAACGGGAAAAGCUCUCUCCAUGCUUCAUCCGCGCAUGCUCUGUCAAGCCGGACCCUGACAUUACCACCCCCAACCUGGCCGUUAUCAUAUGUGAAAGGAGUCCCGAUAAACCCUAGGUCCAUUAGUUCACACGACAGCAAGCAAUCACGAAACAGUUGUAUUUGUGUCUCGGAACGCUGCGUAUGCGAAGUGCUCGUGUUGCCGCAUUGCCUCAUUGAAAUCCCCACAAACUAACCAUGGUUCUGCAGAAAUUGCUCUAAGGCUUGAAAGUAAGCUCCACAUACGAUGCCGAUUUUCUGUCCUUGGUUCACCGUACACAUACGUUGUUCUCCAAGACCUAUCAUUUGUCCUAUCAACGAUCCGCACGUCUAUAAACCGUGCACACGAGUCCAGAACCGUGACUUGAAGAUUCUCAUCCCAAUAUAGCGCAAGGCCCCCACUGAGGCCAUCGCUAGAAACUCCCGCAAAACCCUUCAAUCUUAGCUUCCACUUAAGUUUCUCCAUCUUACUAGAGGCUUGCCUAGUUUCAGAAAGGAAGACAAGCCCCGGGGAAUUGGCUUUAUAGAGGGCCAAAACCUCACGAACUGUCCGGCGGUCCCCCCCCGGCAGUUCCAGAUUAGUGAACUCAUUGUGCCCGACGGUCCUCCUCGAAGGAGACCGCCGAUCUAUUAUCUUCAGAAUCCACUUUGGCACGCUUGCUGCCAGUACUACUGCUGGGUGACUUAUUACCGCCACCAUCUUCUCCUCUACCCAGAGUCAGGGCGAGGGUCUCUCCCUUCGCUGUUUGUGCUUUAGUAGUAGCUGUGUCCACAUCAUCCAAUGCCAACCUCUUCCUGGCUGUGUUGUCAAUCCUUUUCCCUGAUUGCGGUAUUUUUGAGGGGCUGGAGGCCGUAUCCAUGACCUCAGGAUCAACAGCAACAUUCCCUGAUUUUUGGCUCGGCUUGGGUGUAUGGUUGUAUCCACCCCCCGAUCAUACGCUCCCUCGUUCCUCUAUUUAUUUGGACCAUCUGCAUACAACCAUGCCCCAAAUUUCUUACUUUUCUCAUCAUGGAUCCCUGACCCACAUUCCUUGUACUCGUGGCCAAUGAUGCCACAAACGCUGCAAAAGCGAGCUAGUUUCUCAUAUCUUACUAGAAAAACUUGGCGCUCCUUGCCUCUGAUAAUACUCACAAACUUGGUCAAGGGCAGACGCACGUCAUGGCGCACCCUGAUUCGAACAUAGUCACCGCGAACAUUGCCGUUCAACCUCAUAUCCAAAAUCUCCCCUGAAUUCCUCAACAGAUGCUCAACAAUGUUUACUUUGCAGAAUCCCUCUGGAAGUUUAUGUAUCUGAAGCCAGACUGGCAUAAAAAACAUUGGUACCUCUUCUGCCUUAGUGAAUCCAUCAUAUGGACAUAUCAAAACCGCCAAGUUCCUGAACAGCCACGACCCCUGAUCGAGCAUGCGUUCAUAGUCGCCGAGGCAGGAUGCCUGAACGACAAACAGUUUGGGGCCGGCUGGACGAAAUCUUACUUGUUGCGCCGGGUUCCAGGCCGCGCCGGGUUCCAGGCCGCGCACAUGUUCCAGGAUCCGUACGGUAGGGGAUCGAUAGUUGGUUGGGUAGGAAACUCGCGGACGGGAGAUCGCCAGCGAGGAGAUGAAACCCUAGCCUCCUCUAGGGGAAAAAACUAAUCUAAUAUUGCUGCACUAGCAGUAUCCUCUCUUUUUUCCUACACAUACGUGCCACUAUUCUCCUAGUCGCGUUAAGAGCAUCUCCAGCCGUUCCCCCGAAAGCCCCCCUAGAGGCCAUUUUUUUAUCGUCGGCGACCAAUUUCCCCUCCAGUCGUGCCCCCAAGUUUCCAAAUAGCACCGGAUUUGGCCAGAUUUNNNNNNNNNNNNNNNNNNNNNNNNNNNNNNNNNNNNNNNNNNNNNNNNNNNNNNNNNNNNNNNNNNNNNNNNNNNNNNNNNNNNNNNNNNNNNNNNNNNNNNNNNNNNNNNNNNNNNNNNNNNNNNNNNNNNNNNNNNNNNNNNNNNNNNNNNNNNNNNNNNNNNNNNNNNNNNNNNNNNNNNNNNNNNNNNNNNNNNNNNNNNNNNNNNNNNNNNNNNNNNNNNNNNNNNNNNNNNNNNNNNNNNNNNNNNNNNNNNNNNNNNNNNNNNNNNNNNNNNNNNNNNNNNNNNNNNNNNNNNNNNNNNNNNNNNNNNNNNNNNNNNNNNUUUUCGGCCGGAGAGAGGACGUACGACAAGAAGGUCGGCGGGAGGCCGGGGCGGAGCUCACGGCACGGCCGGCGCGGAGCUCAAGCCCGGGGCAGAGCGGCGCGGGAGCGGGAGCGGUCCAGCGGGCGCGGCAAGGAGGAGUCCCUGUGGAGCCAGAGCUACGAGAAGGCCGUGGGUGUCAUGGCGCGCAGCCUGCGCCCCAAGAGGCCGGUGUCGGGGCAGAUGGCCGGCGUGGCCUGGCGCAAGCUCCUGGACGCACCGGCGAGCACGCUGGGCAGCGCGUGAUCGUGUCGGCGGAGGAGCUGCUACAGAUGGAGGCAUAGGGGCGGUUGGAGGACGGGCGCACGACGAGGAGGCGGCUGCACAGCGGGGAGGCCGGCCAUGGGUGCACGGCGGCAGCUGGCUGGCGGGCGUGAGGAUCAGGGAGGAGAUGGUCGCCGUGGCCUGGGGGCUCCACUGCUGUUGGGUGGGGGCUUGCCGUGUACUGGGCGCUUCACUGCUGUUGGGUGGGGGGCACGGCCGUGUAAUUUUUGACCCCCAAGCCAAAUUUGCCGCCGGAUCGACCCCAAGCGGCUGAAAAAGUUGCUCCUGGGGGGCUCAACGGCUAGAGAUGCUCUAAUAGAAGGACUAAGCUAUUUUCGAAUCUUCACAAGUAGCAUAGCGUUGCUGAGAUCUUAUUUCAUGCCUUGUGAUGUUGAUGAAAUUCUUAAGAUUAGGGCUUCACCGAGAUUAGAGGAGGAUACACUUGCAUGGGGUCCUGAAAAGUUUUUUUCUAUUUAAAGUGCGUAUGAGCUUGCGUUUGAGGAGGCCUAUAGAGAUGGCGUGUCAGCAUCAAGUUCGGCUUCUAAUGGACGUAGAACCUGGUGAAAAUGGGUCUGGUAUGCUGAAAUGCCUCCUACGGUUCGCAAUUUUGCCUGGAGAGUAGCAACCGACUCGUUGUCUACAUCGGCCACCAGCGCGCUCUAAAGAAAACCAAAUGGUCGGUACUGCAGAAUGGUAGCUUGCUUGCUCGAUAAAUGUCCAGAAAACAUUUUCUCAACCAUAGAAUUAAAAAAAUAUACUAAAAAUAGGAAAAAAGUUCACGAAUUCAAAAACUUUAUGCAUUUGGAAAAAAUCAUGAACUCGAUAAAAGUUUGUGAUUUUGGAAAAAGUUCAUUGGUUUGUUAUAAACGUUGACAAAUUUUGAAAAAAAUAAUGAACUUGAAAACAAAGUUCAUUAAGUUUUUUAAAAAGUUCAUCACAUUUCAAAAAUAUUCAUGCAUUUUAUCAAGAAAAAUAAAAUAAAACUAAAUAAAAAGGAAAAGAGUACAGAACAAAGAAAAAGGGAAAAAGUGAAGAAAUAAGAAAGAAAGAAAAAACCAAACAAGACCAUUUCAUAAAAACCAUAAUUGAAGAAAGAAAAACGAAGGGAAGAGUUCUCUCUCAUUCCAGACUUAGGUCAACUGGCCAGUUAACGAAGGGAAGAGCGUCUUUAGCGCCAGUUAACGACAUGCACUUUAACGGGUUCUGAAGGCAUCGAAUAGGAAAUGCCUUAGGUCUCAAACUAAGCGGGAUAUAGUCCCUCCCUCCAGGGUAGGCGCGCAUCUAUAACUCGCUUAUAGUGAGAUAGACCAUCGCCUUGCCUGAAGUGGCGUGGUCAUGGACCGGCCCAACAACACAAUUGGUUCUAUUCUUUUUCCGUUCGUUAACUUAGUCUAGUUUCUUGCAUUUUUUUUCUAUUUUUUCACAUUUGAAUCAUAAAAGUACAUAUAUUUCACAAGGAAUUACUUCAUUUUUUAAUAGCUUUAAAGAAUGUUUCUUAUGUAUAAAAAACAUGUACAAUAUGUAUGAAAAAAUAUACAUCAAAACAUAUAUCUGAAAAAUGUUAAUUAUGUAUCUAGCAUUCAAGUGCGUCUAGAUAUAUCCGUUUUAGCAUCAAUUAAUAUGAGACGAAGGGACUAUUUCAAAAUUUUUACAGUAUAUCAGAAAAAAAUUCUUAUGUAUACAAAAAAUGUAUAGUCUAUACCAAAAAAGGACACAUCAAAUAUAAGCUAAAACAAUAUUUAUCAUGUAUUUGAAAAGUGUUAAAUGAGUAUAGAAAAAAUUUCUACUGUAUAUGAAAAUGUACAAUCCAUAUGACACAAAAUAGCCCUCAAAACACAUAUUAAAAAGACAAUUUCAUUAUGUACUUAAAAAUGAUAAACAUGUACUCCCUCCUUUCAAAAUAUUUCUUCUGGUUUUGGUUUGAAUUUGGACUAAAACCACAAAGUAUUUUGGAAAGAAAGGCCACAACGACUGCCUUCCACUUACAACGGUCCAGAAAGCAUGUUCCUCCUUUUGGAAGGCAAAGACAACCGUUCCAUAGUUACAAGCUAACGUCAGACUUGAUUUGCUGGUGCGGGAGCGGAGGCGUAGGCAUCAUCUUUAGAGGUAGCUGUUGUUGCCAAAGGAGAUGUAGCGGUUGGUAUCGAAGGAGGAUUAUCGCUUGCGGCUGCUUGGUGGUGGUCAUCUUUCUGAAUAAGAAGAUACGAGGAGACCUCAAGGGCGACAACUACAAGAAACAGGAAUAUCGCAUCCACGAAAACUCCUUCACCUCCGACACCUCCGACACAACUACCGUUCUCAAUAGUUUUCCCAAUAGUUUUCUCCUUAUAUCCUUCAAUCCCUAAUAGGGCGCCGCCCAGAAACACCAGCACCGCUAUGAUCGCUAGGAUCCUGCAAGUAUACAUGAAUGGCAUAGAGACCACAUGAAUAAAUACUACUUAAACAAACAAUCCACCAAGUAUAUAUAAAUUUUGUUGAACUUGAGUCUGCAAAUUUUAAGCAGAGGUGCAUUUUUUUGAAAAACCCUAGAGAACGAAUGUUCUCCUGGGUCCCUGUUGCCUUGCAGCACGACAGAGCCUGCACCACAUAAUUUUGACUCACGGCCAUGCAGCCAUAUGAUCAUGAUGCAUACAUGACAUCGACACGACAACCUCAACAUUCACCGCGGAAAAUUAGGUUGACAUGUAGCGAUUUGAAUAGUGUGUUGCCUAAGGGCAUGUAUAGUGGUUGAUAAAGUAAUCUUAUCUUAAAUCCAUCAAGUAGUCUUGAUAUGACAAUAAAAAUGGUGUACAACAGGUUAUACCUAAAUAUGUAAUGAGAGAUAUUGUUGCUAAGAAAUCAUCUCUUAAUUAGGAGAAAGCAGACCUUUUCUCCCGUUUCUCUCCCAUUCACCUCAAUAUUUAUCCUAUGUGACACUUCUAACAUAGCAUCAUUGUAUUCAUCUUAAGUUCAUGGCCCUCUUGCGUGAUUUUCUACCUACUGGACGGUUCUAUUCCUAGGUUUCAAGUUUAGCGCCCAUGGUGGAAUUUCCUCCCUUUUCUCAAAAAACAUUUAAUAUUAACUUUAGUGACAUUGUUUUUUUGCCCGAAGAUGAUAUUUUCCUUGACUACUGACAGAAAGUAGUUUUUUUUGCAUGGGAUAGAAAGUAGUUGAGAUAUGGAGGUUUCAGUGACAAAAUUAUUUACAUACCAUGAGAUGACGUAGAAAACGACGGCGGCGACGCGAUUGGCCCUCUUGGGAUUCUGCCAUGCCCCACAGCAGCCGAUGGCCACGCUAGCGAGAAUCUGUGUCGUUAGCGCCAGCACGGCCGCCACGACGCCGCAAGCCGUCGCCGGCGAUCGCGCGUACUUGCACACGCUGCGGUCACCGCGGUCAUCCUCAUAGCGUCUCUGCAUGAAUGAUUGUACACAGUGAUUCUACAUUAUUGGUUGACUGGAGGUUGCAACCGAGGAAGAGAUAAUAUCGCGUGCAUACCAGUCCCAAGAAAACCGCACCGAUGACUCCGAAGAUGACAGUCAUCACGGCGACGACGGUGGUCGCCACAACUAUACCUUUCUUCCCCAUGGAUGAUCACACUACACUCCUAAUCGGGGGAGAUGAGUUGGAUAGUGCAUUAGGCGCAAACAUAUAAAUAGAUGAACAAGUGCAGGAGUACAAUGGUAGCUCGAAUAUGAUUACUCGACGACGGGCUAACUCAUGCAUAAGGAUUAUCAAUCGCAUUAAUUGCUCUAUUUCUUCGUGAUAAGCUAUAUAAUUGCUCCAUAACGACGGGCUAACUCAUACUACUCCCUUCCAUUCAAAUUAAUUGUCGCAACUCUAAUACAACUUCCCUAAAGUAUAUAUGAUUAAGGCGCGCCUAGCCAAGAGAUUUGUCGAGGAUUCACGCGAUCCGAGUGGAGUGGUGUCAAGAAUUCCCGCCUCACCAAGCAUGGCGAAAACAAGAAGGUCCCCGGCUCGCGGCUCAGAAAAAGCCUCACUUAAAUCGGCAACUAGACCUCAAGAGAGGCCCCGCAAACUAACUCGACAAAAGCACAUGCAUGCUACUAAGUUUGAGACACUUAUUUUGAGACGGAGGGAAUAUCACGUAGCUAUAAAUUCCAUCAGACAUGAUGGGGAAGCACUGAGCAAAGAAAACUCCCGAGCUUGCAAACUGAUGAACACAAUGCGUGGAUAAAUAGAGAGUGAGAAUCAUGCCCUGCGGCUUCGCAAGAACUGAUGAACUGAAAGCAAAUCUCCCGGAGCACCAAACUAUAGCUGAAAAAGAGGAGAUGACUGAAGGAGGAGCAGAGGAAUCCUUACGGGAGCUCCAAGUCGGCGGCCCAAAUCAAGCAAGCGACUGCUGCCCACACCCACAGAGCCCUACACCACCAUGCGGCCAGCGAAAUCAGAGGACGGCAGCUACCGGGAGCACGACAAGGGAGAGAAAGGAAGCGCCGGAGUAUGAUUUUGGUUGAGAGGUGUGAAUGGAUCCUCGACACAAAAAUCCAACCAAUACCAUCACUAAUAAAUAGCGUGAGGAGAUAAAGCAAUAAUAAACAAGUGGAUAGCUUCCUAAAAAAAGUGGAUAGGAUGGGAACUUAUCUGGAUCCCAUGAUUCAAGUACGUCUCUCAGGCCGGAAAGAAAGGAUGAGAAGGAGCGGAAUAUUCAAGGAUUGCAUGCGACCGAUGCACGAUGCAGGUAGGGUCUGCAUCAAACAUUAGUCAGAGGUUGGCGAGUGCCUCUCUUGCUAGCUGUUUCUGUCGAGGCAGGCAGCCGGCCUCCGAGGACAUACAUACGCGUGCGUAUAUGCGUGGUGGUGCAUGCAUGUACGUGUCGACCGGGCCGCCGGAGAUAUUCAAAGCUUGCAGGUACCCCCUCCGUUUCAAUUUACUCGUUGUGGUUUUAGUUCAAAUUCGAACUAAAACCACGACGAAUAAAUAGGAACGGAGGGAGUAGUAGGGACCCGUUGGUGGAUCCAUAUCAACAUCGUGGCUGGAGUAAAAUACAUAGAACCAUCACAAUAGUCAUUUGCGAAAAACUAUUACUUUACAUAACAUGGCAAAAGUCACCCCACUGCCAACGUCUCUUCUUCCUGACUCACUGCACUCCUUCCUAACUUACUGAGGUACGAUGCCCUUACUUUAUUUGCUCGAUGGAUUUAGCUUCGGAGCAAGUAGAUGCUCCGGUGCCCUUGAAUUUUUAUUUGGCAUCGGCUUGACAACGUGGGGCAUCGGUGCCAAAUAUCCAAAAAGCAAAUUUGGCAUCGCUUUUAACGUGCAUAGUGGAAGGCCUUAGAUGUCGUGGUUGGCACCGAUGGAGGAUCAGUCCCGGCAGCUUCUUGGUUGUGGCCUGCCUUCUAAAGAAGGACGUACGAGGCGAUGUCGAGGCCAACAACUAUUUUGAAUAAGCUCGUCGCCACCACGAAAAUUAGAACACCCGGUGUGAUACAAUUGUCGUCACCCAUAUAAAUAUUGAAAUAGCCUCUAGACCCGACCAAUGUUGCGGCCAGCAAAAAUGUUAUCACCGCUGCAACCGCAAAGACCCUGCAAGAGUAUGCACGGAGAGACCAAAGUAACUAAUUGAUACUUGAAAAGUAAUGAUACUUAAAUGAACAAACCUGCAACCAUAUAUCGGUUCCCUAUUGAACUUGUGUUUUCAAAUUUUACAAAUAUUUUUGCGGAAAUAAUAUGAUAAAUGGUAUUUCCUCCAUCCCAUAAUAUAAGAGGGUUUUUGACACUUGAAAGUAAAUUGAAAUACACCCGGAAAAGUUGGCAUAUUUGGUUUCUGGUUAGCUACCACGUACCAGGAGAGGAUGAACAAGAGGACGGUGAGGACGCGCCUGCCCUUGCUUUUGGGAGUCGGCCACUUCUCACAGCAGCAGCCGCAGCAGCCGAUGGCCGCGCUGGCGACAAUCUGCGUCGUCAGCGCCAGCACUGCCGCCACGAGGCCGCAGGGCAUCGCCCGCGGCCUGUAGCUGUAGUCAUCGCGGUUGCUUCGCGGAGCCGCCGUCUGUAUGAACAAAUGCACACACGGUUAAGAAGAGCCCGCACACAAGGAUCGCUGAUCGAGAAAGAGAUCUAGGCGUGCUGUGCGUACCACGGCGACCAAGAUUGCGCCAAUGAUUCCGGACAAGACCGUCAGCACAGCAAGGACGCCGGCCGACACCAACAGACCAUUCUUGUUCUUCCCCAUCUUCGAGCUCAUCACUACUCUUGAUUAGUUUUGAUCUUUACUGAUCUUCUAAUUGACAGCUAGCUGGGUUGGAUCAAUCUCCAUAUAUAAGCCAAUCUCAUUGCUCGACGACGGUCUAACUGAUGCAUGAAGAUUGUCUUUUAGUCGCAUCGCUGCAUUUCGUUAUAAACUAUAAAGUGAUGGUACUAUAUAGUUAGCUUAACCUCUGCCUAGCUAAAAAACAUAUGAUGAAGUUGCAUGGAACCUUCUCGAUCGAUCUCAGAAGACAGAAUAACUUUGGGUUCUCAGCCCGGGGCAGUGCAGUGCGUGCAUGUCUCGACUAGCUAAUUUUGGUGUCGUGUUGGGCGCAGUUUCCUGUUUGUAACUUUUAAGCUACCAUAUGAACCAAGUGGCAAAGAUGAAAAUGAUGCAAGUUGUAAUUAGCAUUAAUAACUGCAUUCACCAAUGGAUCUAGGGUUGAGAAUCAACCAAGGAAAGUUUUGCUAGGUGGACUAGCAUCUACAGCCGGACAUGGCAAAUUCGGCCCCUCAAACAUCCACGGACACUGAUCGUCAGUCCUCAAAUUGCGUCGUCCACAUCCACGUAUCUCAUAUCCGAUUUCAUAUAUCCAUUCUAAACCAUGCAACGUCGAUAAAAACAACGUAUAUCAUGAGCGACGGACAUACAAAUGCACAAUCCAUUCACGAAAAGAUCACAGUCGGAUCUUCAAAAGAUCGCCACAGUUCACAUAAUGCACAUAAUACGACGGGCAAGUUUAAACUACAUCCAAAAACUUGAAUUUAAAGCGGAGAAGUCGGAUCUUCACCACUUCCUCGCCGACCCUUUCCUCUUCUGGUCGCCCGCGUAGCUCUAGGAUUUGGCGGCUAGUGGAGGAUCGUCCGAGUCGUCAUACGAGGCACUAUGGUUGUCGCCGUUGUUGUCAUCGUCGGAGGUGUCGGAGAGAAUGAUGAGCCCUUUGAGCCGCAUGACGGCCCUGUUCUGCUGCCGCGUGAGCUUCGGCAGCCGAGCCGCCUCUCGCUCGGACUGCUUAAUAGCAAUCUGGAGCGCCUUGGUGUUCUUCCAGCGGAGCCCCCGAGCGUCCAUCUCCACCGUGGUAAACGACCGGCGGUAGACCCAAGCGAGGAGCCGCUCGUCCUUGUCGGGCUCCGCCUGCAUCCCGCGGCGGUGGCAUGGACUGCUCAGCCGCGUCCCUGUCCCUUGCCCGCUGCCUCACGCAGCGGGCGGUGGGCGCCUCUGAUUCCGGCGUGCGCGUCCGGGCCGGUGUAAAGAUGCUCAUAGAUCAUACAUCACUAGUAGAAAAAGGGUCAAAUGUGAAGCACAUUAGUGCCGUUUGAAUUUGAGCCGGCACUAAUGUGUCCAUUAGUGCCGGUUCCAACGGCUAGGCGGGCGGACAUCAUUAGUACCGGUUCAUGGGCAACAAUUAGUACCGGUUCGUGGCAUGAACCGGUACUAAUGAGGCUGUGUCAGGCUGUGGGCCCCACGAACACCUUUAGUACCGGUUCAUGGCAUGAACCGGUACUAGAGUUUCUUAUUAAGCUGAUUUUUAGUCCCACCUCGCGAGGAGAGAGGUAGUAGGAGUGGUUUAUAAGCCGUGAGUGCAGAGACGAUGAAGGAGAGGCGCAAUGCUCACCUGCAGGUUGCUUAGCUUCAAGCCUUUCGGAAUAGAAUAGAUUGCACGGAGCUAUGUGCAGUGUAGUCUACAUGUUGGAAAUAUACCAUAGAGGCAAUAAUAAAUUAGUUAUUAUUAUAUUUCCUUGUUCAUGAUAAUCGUUUAUUAUCCAUGCUAUAAUUGUAUUGAUAGGAAAAUCAGAUACAUGUGUGGAUACAUAGACAACACCAUGUCCCUAGUAAGCCUCUAGUUGACUAGCUCGUUGAUCAAUAGAUGGUUACGGUUUCCUGACCAUGGACAUUGGAUGUCGUUGAUAACGGGAUCACAUCAUUAGGAGAAUUAUGUGAUGGACAAGACCCAAUCCUAAGCCUAGCACAAAGAUCGUAGUUCGUAUGCUAAAGCUUUUUUAAUGUCAAGUAUCAUUUCCUUAGACCAUGAGAUUGUGCAACUCCCGGAUACCGUAGGAAUGCUUUGGGUGUACCAAACGUCACAACAUAACUGGGUGGCUAUAAAGGUACACUACAGGUAUCUCCGAAAGUGUCUGUUGGGUUGGCACGAAUCGAGACUGAGAUUUGUCACUCCGUGUAAAUGAGAGGUAUCUCUGGGCCCACUCGGUAGGACAUCAUCAUAAUGUGCACAAUGUGACCAAGGGGUUGAUCACGGGAUGAUGUGUUACGGAACGAGUAAAGAGACUUGCCGGUAACGAGAUUGAACAAGGUAUCGGUAUACCGACGAUCGAAUCUCGGGCAAGUACAAUACCGCUAGACAAAGGGAAUUGUAUACGGGAUCGAUUGAGUCCUUGACAUCGUGGUUCAUCCGAUGAGAUCAUCGUGGAACAUGUGGGAGCCAACAUGGGUAUCCAGAUCCCGCUGUUGGUUAUUGACCGGAGAACGUCUCGGUCAUGUCUACAUGUCUCCCGAACCCGUAGGGUCUACACACUUAAGGUUCGAUGACGCUAGGGUUAUAAAGGAAGUUUGUAUGUGGUUACCGAAUAUUGUUCGGAGUCCCGAAUGAGAUCCCGGACGUCACGAGGAGUUCCGGAAUGGUCCGGAGGUAAAGAUUUAUAUAUGGAAAGUUGUUGUUCGGGUUCCAGAAAAAGUUCGGGUUUUUUCGGUAUUGUACCGGGAAGCUUCCAGAAGGUUCCGGAGGAUUCCGGAGGGGUCCGGAGGUCCGGAAAUUGUUCCACCACGUCCAAUAGAGUAGCAUGGGCUGUAGGGGGGCGCCCUAGCCUUAAUGGGCCAGGGGCACCAGCCCCCCCCAAGGCCCAUGCGCAUGGGAAGGGGAAAACCCUAAGGGGGAGGGCCUCCACUUGACUUGGGAGGCACUCCUCCCCCCCUUGGCCGCCGUCCCCUCCUCAGAUUGGAUCUGAGGGGGCCGGCCCCCCUCUCCCUUGCCCCUAUAUAUAUGUGGGGGGUGGGAGGGCAGCCGCACCACAAGUUCUGGCGCAGCCCUCCCCCUCUCCCAAGUACUCCUCCUCUCCCGCGGUGCUUGGCGAAGCCCUGCAGGAUUGCCACGCUCCUCCAUCACCACCACGCCGUUGUGCUGCUGGUGGAUGGAGUCUUCCUCAACCUCUCCCUCUCUCCUUGCUGGAUCAAGGCAUGGGAGACGUCACUGGGCUGUACGUGUGUUGAACGCGGAGGUGCCGUCCGUUCGGCACUAGGAUCUCCGGUGAUUUGGAUCACGACGAGUACGACUCCUUCAACCCCAUUCUCUUGAACGCUUCCGCUUAGCGAUCUACAAGGGUAUGUAGAUGCACUCUCCUUCCCCUCGUUGCUAGUUUCUCCAUAGAUAGAUCUUGGUGACACGUAGGAAAUUUUUGAAUUUUUGCUACGUUCCCCAACAGUGGCAUCAUGAGCUAGGUCUAUUGCGUAGAUUCUUUGCACGAGUAGAACACAAAGUAGUUGUGGGCGUUGAUCUUGUUUAAUAUGCUUACCGUUACUAGUCCAAUCUUGUUUUGACGGUAUUGUGGGAUGAAGCGGCCCGGACCGACCUUACACGUACACUUACGUGAGACAGGUUCCACCGACUGACAUGCACUUGGUGCAUAAGGUGGCUAGCGGGUGCCAGUCUCUCCCACUUUAGUAGGAAUGGAUUCGAUGAAAAGGGUCCUUAUGAAGGGUAAAUAGCAAUUGACAUAUCACGUUGCGGUUUUUGCGUAGGUAAGAAACGUUCUUGCUAGAAACCCAUAGCAGCCACGUAAAACAUGCAAACAACAAUUAGAGGACGUCUAACUUGUUUUUGCAGGGUAUGCUAUGUGAUGUGAUAUGGCCAAGAAGAAUAUGAUGAAUAUAUGUGAUGUAUGAGAUUGAUCAUGUUCUUGUAAUAGGAAUCACGACUUGCAUGUCGAUGAGUAUGACAACCGGCAGGAGCCAUAGGAGUUGUCUUUAUUUAUUGUAUGACCUGCGUGUCAUUGAACAACGCCAUAUAAUUACUUUACUUUAUUGCUAACCGGUAGCCAUAGUAGUAGAAGUAAUAAGUUGGCGAGACAACUUCAUGGAGACACGAUGAUGGAGAUCAUGAUGAUGGAGAUCAUGGUGUCAUGCCGGUGACGAUGAUGAUCAUGGAGCCCCGAAGAUGGAGAUCAAAAGGAGCAAUAUGAUAUUGGCCAUAUCAUGUCACUAUUUGAUUGCAUGUGAUGUUUAUCAUGUUUAUGCAUCUUAUUUGCUUAGAACCACGGUAGUAAAUAAGAUGAUCCCUCAUUAAAAUUUCAAGAAAGUGUUCCCCCUAACUGUGCACCGUUGCGAAAGUUCGUCGUUUUGAAGCACUACGUGAUGAUCGGGUGUGCUAGAUUCUUACGUUCACAUACAACGGGUGUAAGCCAGAUUUACACACGCGAAACACUUAGGUUAACUUGACGAGCCUAGCAUGUACAGACAUGGCCUCGGAACACAAGAGACCGAAAGGUCGAGCAUGAGUCGUAUGGUGGAUACGAUCAACAUGAAGAUGUUCACCGAUGAUGACUAGUCCGUCUCACGUGAUGAUCGGACACGGCCUAGUUGACUCGGAUCAUGUAAUCCCUUAGAUGACUAGAGGGAUGUCUAUCUGAGUGGGAGUUCAUAAGAUGAACUUAAUUAUCCUGAACAUAGUCAAAAGACCUUUGCAAAUUAUGUCGUAAGCUCGCGCUUUAGUUCCACUGUUUAGAUAUGUUCCUAGAGAAAAUAUAGUUGAAAGUUGACAGUAGCGAUUAUGCGGACAGUAGAAAGCUUAUGUCCUUAAUGCACCGCUCAGUGUGCCGAACCCCAAACGUCAUCUGUGGAUGUUGCGAACAUCGGACAUACACGUUUUGAUAACUACGUGAUAGUUCAGUUAAACGGUUUAGAGUUGAGGCACCAAAGACAUUUUCGAAACGUCGCGGAACAUACGAGAUGUUUCGAGGACUGAAAUUGGGAUUUCAGGCUCGUGCCCACGUCAAGAGGUAUGAGACCUCCGACGAUUUUCUUAGCCUGCAAACUAAGGGAGAAAAGCUCAAUCGUUGAGCUUGUGAUCAGAUUGUCUGAGUGCAACAAUCACUUGAAUCGAGUGGGAGUUGAUCUUCCAGAUGAGAUAGUGAUGUUUCUCCAAAGUCAUUGCCACCAAGCUGCUAGAGCUUCGUGAUGAACUAUAACAUAUCAGGGAUAAAUAUGAUGAUCCUUGAGGUAUUCACGAUGUUUGACACCGCGAAAGUAGAAAUCAAGAAGGAGCAUCAAUUGUUGAUGGUUGGUGAAACCACUAGUUUCAAGAAGGGCAAGGGCAAGAAGGGAUACUUCAUGAAACGGCAAAUCAGGUGCUGCUCCAGUGAAGAAACCCAAGGUUGAACCCAAACCCGAGACUAAGUGCUUCUGUGAUAAGGGGAAUAGUCACUAGAGCGAAAUUACCCUAGAUACUUGGUAGAUGAGAAGGCUGGCAAGGUCGAUAGAAGUAUAUUGGAUAUACAUUAUGUUAAUGUGUACUUUACUAGUACUCCUAGUAGCACCAGGGUAUUAGAUACCGGUUCGGUUGCUAAGUGUUAGUAACUCGAAAUAAAAGAGCUACGGAAUAAACGGAGACUAGCUAAAGGUGAGCUGACGAUAUGUGUUGGAAGUGUUUCCAAGUUUGAUGUGAUCAAACAUCGCACGCUCCCUCUACCAUCAAUAUUAGUAUUAAACCUGAAUAAUUGUCAUUUGGUGUUUGCAUUGAGCAUAGACAUGAUUGGAUUAUGUCUAUCGCAAUAUGGUUAUUCAUUUAAGGAGAAUAAUGGUUACUCUAUUUAUUUGAAUAAUACCUUCAAUGGUCUUGCACCUAAAGGAAUGGUUUAUUGAAUCUCGAUCGUAGUGAUAAACAUUUUCAUGCCAAAAAUUAUAAGAUAGUAACGAUAGUACCACUUACUUGUGGCACUGCCAUGUAAGUCAUAUUGGUAUAAAACGCAUGAAGAAGAUCCAUGUUGAUGGAUCUUUGGACUCACUCAUUUUUGAAAAGUUUGAGACAUGCGAACCAUGUCUAUUGGUGCAUACGCAUGAAGAAACUCCAUGCAGAUGGAUCGUUUAGACUCACUUGAUUUUGAAUCACUUGAGAUAUGCAAAUCAUACCACAUGGACAAGAUGACUGAAAAGCCUCGGUUUCAGUAAGAUGGAACUAGAUAGCAACUUGUUGGAAGUAACACAUUUUGAUGUGUGCAGUCCAAUGAGUGCUGAGGCAUGCAGUGAAUAUCGUUAUGUUCUUACUUCACAGAUGAUUCGAGUAGAUGUUGAGUAUAUUUACUUGAUGAAACACAAGUCUGAAUUAUUGAAUGGUUCAAGUAAUUUCAGAGUGAAGUUUAAGAUCUUCGUGACAAGAGGAUAGAAUGUCUAUGAUAUGAUCAUAGAGAUGAAUAUCUGAGUUACGAGUUUUGGCACACAAUUAAGACAUUGUGGACAUUGUUUCACAAUUAAUACCGCCUGGAACACCAUAGUGUGAUGGUGUGUCCGAACAUCAUAGUAGCACCCUAUUGGAUAUGGUGCGUACCUUGAUCUCUCUUAUCAAAUUACCACUAUCGUUCAUGGGUUAGGCAUUAGAGACAACCGCACUCACUUUAAUAGGGUACCAUGUAAUUCCGUUGAGACGACACCGUUUGGAGAAACCUAAGUUGUCGUUCCUUAAAAGUUUGGGGCUGCGACGCUUAUGUGAAAAAAUUUCAGGUUGAUAAGCUCGAACCCAAAGCGGAUAAAAUGCAUCUUCAUAGGACACCCAAAACAGUUGGGUAUACCUCCUAAUUCAGAUCCGAAAGCAAUAGGGAUUGUUUCUUGAAUCGGGUCCUUUUUCGAGGAAAGGGUUGUCUCGAAAAUUGAGUGGGAGGAUGGUGGAGACUUGAUGAGGUCAUUGAACCAUCACUUCAACAAGUGUGUAGCAGGGAACAGGAAGUUGUUCCUGUGGCGCCUACACCAAUUGAAGUAGAAGCUUAUGAUAGUGAUCGUGAAGUUUUGGAUCAAGUCACUACCGUACCUCGUAGGGUGACAAGGAUGCGUACUACUUCGGAGUGGUACAGUAAUCCUGUCUUGAAGGUCAUGUUGCUAGACAACAAUGAACCUACGAGCUAUGGAGAAGCGAUGGUGGGCCCAAAUUCCGACAAAUGGUUAGAAGCCAUGAAAUCCGAGAUAGGAUCCAUGUAUUAGAACAAAGCAUGGACUUUGGUGGACUUUCCCGAUGAUCGGCAAGCCAUUGAGAUAAAUGGAUCUUUAAGAAGAAGACGGACGUGGACAGUAAAUGUGACCGUCUAUGGAGCUCGACUUGUGGCAACGAGUUUUUCACAAGUUCAAGGAGUUGACUACGAUGAGAUUUUCUCAUCCGUAGCGAUGCUUAAGUCCGUCGGAAUCAUGUUAGCAUUAGCUGCAUUUAUGAAAUCUGGCAGAUGGAUGUCAAGACGAGUUUCCUUACCAGUUUUCGUAAGGAAAGGAUGUAUGUGAUACAAUCAGAAAAGUUUUGUCGAUCCUAAGGAUGCUAAAAAGGAAUGCUAGCUCCAGCGAUCCUUCCAUGGACUGGAGUAAGCAUCUCGGAGUUGGAAUAUACACUUUGAUAAAAUGAUCAAAGAUUUUGGGUUUAUACAAAGUUUAUGAGAAACUUGUAUUUCCAAAUAAGUGAGUGGGAGCACUAUGGAAUUUCUGAUGAGUAUAUGUUGUUGACAUACUGUUGAUCAGAAAUGAUGUAGAAUUUCUAGAAAGCAUAUAGGGUUAUUUGAAAAGUGUUUUUCAAUGGAAAACCUGGAUUAUGCUACUUGAACAAUAAGCAUCAAGAUCUAUAAGAUAGAUCAAAAUGCUUAAUAAUACUUUCAAAUGAGCACAUACCUUUACAUGAUCUUGAAGGUGUUCAAGAUGGAUCAGUCAAAGAAGGAGUUCUUGCCUGAGUCGUAAGGUACGAAGUUAAGACUUAAAGCUCGACCACGGCAGAAAAGAGAGAAAGGACAAAGGUCGUCCCCUAUGCUUUAGGCGGAGGCUCUAUAGUAUGCUAUGCUAAGUACCGCACCUGAUGUGUGCCUUGCCACAUGUCUGGAAGAGGGUACAAAGGUGAUCAAGGAAUGGAUCACCAGAUAGCGGUCAAAAUUAUCCUUAGAGGAAUAAGGAUUUGUUUCUCGAUUAUGGAGGUGAUAAAGAGUUCGGCGUAAAGGGUUACGACGAUGCAAGCUUUAGCACCUAUUCGAAUGACUCUGAGUAGCAAACCGGAUACGUAUAGUGGAGCAACCAUUUGGAAAAGCUCCAAGUGGAGCGUGGAAGCAGCAUUUACAAUAUGACCUAGAGAUUUGCGAAGUACAUACGGAUCUGAAUGUUGCAGAUCCGUUGACUAAAACCUCUCUCACAAGCAAAACAUGAUCAAACCCCAGAACUCACUGAGUCUUAAUCACAUGAUGAUGUGAACUAGUUUAGUGACACUAGUAAACUCUUUGGAUGUUGGUCACAUGGCGAUGUGACCUGUGAGUGUUAAUCACAUGGCGAUGUGAACUAGAUUAUUGACUCUAGUGCAAGUGGGAGACUGUUGGAAAUAUGCCCUAGAGGCAAUAAUAAAUUAGUUAUUAUUAUAUUUCCUUGUUCAUGAUAAUCGUUUAUUAUCCAUGCUAUAAUUGUAUUGAUAGGAAACUCAGAUACAUGUGUGGAUACAUAGACAACACCAUGUCCCUAGUAAGCCUCUAGUUGACUAGCUCGUUGAUCAAUAGAUGGUUACGGUUUCCUGACCAUGGACAUUGGAUGUCGUUGAUAACGGGAUCACAUCAUUAGGAGAAUGAUGUGAUGGAUAAGACCCAAUCCUAAGCCUAGCACAAAGAUCGUAGUUCGUAUGCUAAAGCUUUUUUAAUGUCAAGUAUCAUUUCCUUAGACCAUGAGAUUGUGCAACUCCCGGAUACCAUAGGAAUGCUUUGGAUGUACCAAACGUCACAACGUAACUGGGUGGCUAUAAAGGUACACUACAGGUAUCUCCGAAAGUGUCUGUUGGGUUGGCACGAAUCGAGACUGGGAUUUGUCACUCCGGGUAAAUGGAGAGGUAUCUCUGGGCCCACUCGGUAGGACAUCAUCAUAAUGUGCACAAUGUGACCAAGGGGUUGAUCACGGGAUGAUGUGUUACGGAACGAGUAAAGAGACUUGCCGGUAACGAGAUUGAACAAGGUAUCGGUAUACCGACGAUCGAAUCUCGGGCAAGUACAAUACCGCUAAACAAAGGGAAUUGUAUACGGGAUCGAUUGAGUCCUUGACAUCGUGGUUCAUCCGAUGAGAUCAUCGUGGAACAUGUGGGAGCCAACAUGGGUAUCCAGAUCCCGCUAUUGGUUAUUGACCGGAGAAUGUCUCGGUCAUGUCUACAUGUCUCCCGAACCCGUAGGGUCUACACACUUAAGGUUCGAUGAUGCUAGGGUUAUAAAGGAAGUUUGUAUGUGGUUACCUAAUAUUUUUCGGAGUCCCGGAUGAGAUCCCGGACGUCACGAGGAGUUCCAGAAUGGUCCGGAGGUAAAGAUUUAUAUAUGGAAAGUAGUUGUUCGAGUUCCGGAAAAAGUUCGGGUUUUUUCGGUAUUGUACCGGGAAGCUUCCAGAAGGUUCCGGAGGAUUCCGGAGGGGUCCGGAGGACCGGAAAUUGUUCCACCACGUCCAAUACAGUAGCAUGGGCUGUAGGGGGGCGCCCUAGCCUUAAUGGGCCAGGGGCACCAGCUCCCCCAAGGCCCAUGCGCAUGGGAAGGGGAAAACCCUAAGGGGGAGGGCCUCCACUUGACUUGGGAGGCACUCCUCCCCCCCUUGGCCGCCGCCCCCUCCUCAGAUUGGAUCUGAGGGGGCCGGCCCCCCUCUCCCUUGCCCCUAUAUAUAUGUGGGGGUGGGAGGGCAGCCGCACCACAAGUUCUGGCGCAGCCCUCCCCCUCUCCCAAUUACUCCUCCUCUCCCGCGGUGCUUGGCGAAGCCCUGCAGGAUUGCCACGCUCCUCCAUCACCACCACGCCAUUGUGCUGCUGCUGGAUGGAGUCUUCCUCAACCUCUCCCUCUCUCCUUGCUGGAUCAAGGCAUGGGAGACAUCACUGGGCUGUACGUGUGUUGAACGCGGAGGUGCCGUCCGUUCGGCACUAGGAUCUCCGGUGAUUUGGAUCACGACGAGUACGACUCCUUCAACCCCGUUCUCUUGAACGCUUCUGCUUAGCGAUCUACAAGGGUAUGUAGAUGCACUCUCCUUCCCCUCGUUGCUGGUUUCUCCAUAGAUAGAUCUUGGUGACACGUAGGAAAAUUUUGAAUUUCUGCUACGUUCCCCAACACUACACUAUUCUGAAAGGCUUGAAGCUAAUUAACGAGCAUUGCGCCUUUUUUAUUUUUAAUAACUUAUUAGAACUCCGGACUUCUUGUGUUACGGCAAAAACUGGAUGCACUUCGUGUACAAACUGGACAGUCUCUUUCGAAGUAUCAGGGCCAGUUUCGGAGAAAACUCAUCUGUUACACCGACACUUCAUUUUUUAAACUUAUUACAACUCCAGACUUUUUUGCGUUCAGUAUGCACCAUUCUAAGCCACGUCAUCAAUUUUCAACCCUUUCUGACAUCAUUUGCUCACCUAGCACGAACCGGUACUAAAGAGGUUGUGGCAGGGCUAAAAAGAAAAAAACUAUAUAAAAAAUUACUCAAAAAUAAAUAAUGUAGAAAAGAAAAAAAAUAUAUAAAGCAAAAAUAUUCACAAAGAAACUAAAUACGGCAAAAAAAAACUACUCAGAAAUAAAUAGAAGAAAACAAAUAAAGCAGAAAAGAAAAAACUAUAUNNNNNNNNNNNNNNNNNNNNNNNNNNNNNNNNNNNNNNNNNNNNNNNNNNNNNNNNNNNNNNNNNNNNNNNNNNNNNNNNNNNNNNNNNNNNNNNNNNNNNNNNNNNNNNNNNNNNNNNNNNNNNNNNNNNNNNNNNNNNNNNNNNNNNNNNNNNNNNNNNNNNNNNNNNNNNNNNNNNNNNNNNNNNNNNNNNNNNNNNNNNNNNNNNNNNNNNNNNNNNNNNNNNNNNNNNNNNNNNNNNNNNNNNNNNNNNNNNNNNNNNNNNNNNNNNNNNNNNNNNNNNNNNNNNNNNNNNNNNNNNNNNNNNNNNNNNNNNNNNNNNNNNNNNNNNNNNNNNNNNNNNNNNNNNNNNNNNNNNNNNNNNNNNNNNNNNNNNNNNNNNNNNNNNNNNNNNNNNNNNNNNNNNNNNNNNNNNNNNNNNNNNNNNNNNNNNNNNUGCAGAAAAGAAAAAAAUUUAUAUAAAGCAAAAAUAUUCACAAAGAAACUAAAUACAGCAAAAAAAACUAUUCAGAAAUAAAUAGAAGAAAACAAAUAAAGUAGAAAAGAAAAAACUAUAUAAAAAAUUACUCAAAAAUAAAUACAAAAAAAUAAAUAAUGCAGAAAAGAAAAAAACAUAAAAAAAUUGUUGGGGCGCUUCCUGGUGGGCCUGCCAGACCUAGGGUGUGCAAAUUUAGGCCCAGAAGGGCCAGUAGGCUCACAGGGCAGCGUGCCGGAGUUAGGCCCAGAAGCCUGCUAUAUAGAGGAGUUUGAAAGGGCAGCCGCGGCUGGGUUUAUAAAUCAGUGCGGCUGCCCUUCGCGCGGCGAGGUGGGACUAAAAAUAGCGCACCGCGGGUGGCAGCGCACGAUCUUUAGUACCGGUUGGUGGCUCCAACCGGUACUAAUGGUUGUCCUUUAGUACCGGUUGGUGGCUCCAACCGGUACUAAAUGCCCUUGUUUCCCGCCGCUUGGCCUGGCCAAAAUUGGCCUUUAGUACCAGUUGGUGGCUCCAACCGGUACUAAAGGCCCCUCCUAUAAAUACUGCACUUAUGCAAAAUCAGUUCCAUCGUUGACCACUUCUCCACUUUUCUUCUCGCGCUAUCGCCGACGACGAUGCGCCGUCGCCCCCGCCGCCCUCGAUCGCCGCCCCCGCCGCACGUACGUCGUCGCCGUCCCCGCCGCCCGUCGUCGUUGUCCCCGUCGUNNNNNNNNNNNNNNNNNNNNNNNNNNNNNNNNNNNNNNNNNNNNNNNNNNNNNNNNNNNNNNNNNNNNNNNNNNNNNNNNNNNNNNNNNNNNNNNNNNNNNNNNNNNNNNNNNNNNNNNNNNNNNNNNNNNNNNNNNNNNNNNNNNNNNNNNNNNNNNNNNNNNNNNNNNNNNNNNNNNNNNNNNNNNNNNNNNNNNNNNNNNNNNNNNNNNNNNNNNNNNNNNNNNNNNNNNNNNNNNNNNNNNNNNNNNNNNNNNNNNNNNNNNNNNNNNNNNNNNNNNNNNNNNNNNNNNNNNNNNNNNNNNNNNNNNNNNNNNNNNNNNNNNNNNNNNNNNNNNNNNNNNNNNNNNNNNNNNNNNNNNNNNNNNNNNNNNNNNNNNNNNNNNNNNNNNNNNNNNNNNGACACACAGACACACACAUACAUACAUACACACACACAUACACACACACACGCAUACACACACACAUACACACACACAACACACACACAUGUACGUACACACAUACACACACACACAUACACACACACACAACACACACAUGUUGUGCCUCAGGGGAUCGAGACUAAAGGUCGCAUGUCAAUUGUUAGCUUACGGCCAAGAUAUCCUGCAUUGCACAUGAGUGCAUUCAGGAUUUCUAGAAGUGAUGAAUGCUUAAUAGUGAAAGACUGGAGGAAAAUUGUUAAUGAUCGCAGAGAAGUACUAGGGGGCAGCAAUGAGUAGCGCAACCCAUGAUUAGGAGACAGGUUCAUCUGCAUGCUUCAGUAUGAUGAAUCAGGAGAGCUAUACAUGUUCUAUGUUAUUUUACCUGAGAGAGAGCAGCAGGAGUGAUUAGUUAGUUCAUGCUCUUAGUACUUGUCCUUUCAUGUUCGUAUUCUUCGUUCUGAACUUAAUCUCAAAGAGUGAUUUGCUUUUAUGGUGUUAUAUAUGAACACUUAUAAUAUCAUGACAAUCAUGUUGAACUCGAUGAUAUUUUUACUUCUGGUACAAGUGAAUGUUUCUUCUUUAAGCUAGUGUUGGUGGUGAUUAGAUAGCGGUAAUGAUUAUGAUGAUUAAAUAGUGAUAAUGGCGACUACGAUGAUUUUUAGCUAGCUAGCUAGAGUAUAUAUAUAUACUCAUGUUGAUGAUAUGAUGCAAGAGUUUUUAUAUUAAUAUGAUGAUAUCAUAAUGAGUUAUUAUAUCAUUUAAUGAAAGAAACCACAAAUUAGUUUUAGCUGGAUGGAUCCUACCUAAAUGAUCAAGUAUAUAUGCCAUAUCCAUAUAUAUUAUACUUGAUCACCUAAUUAGGUGAUCAAGUAUAAUAUGGAUAUGGAUUUAACAGCUCAUUAUAAUGUAAAACAAUCACUAAGUUAAAUUGAAAACACAAAAUUAAAGGAAAAAUUAAAAAAAACCAAACAUACUAAAGCCCUACGCGCACAUGGGCCUGGCUCGUGCCACGUGUUUACACUUUGAAUUUUUGUCCAAAAGGACCGGCUGCUGAGUCAAAUUGACGAAAAAGACUACCUCUAAAAACAAUUGACAAAAGAGACCGGCUCGGCCCUGGCGGCAGGCGCGUCAGCCGACACGUGGCACCUGCCGCCACACGCGGAGGCGGCAGCACCUGCUGCCACACACGGAGGCGGCAGCACCUGCCGCCACGGUAGUAGGCGGCAACCUUGAAAUUACGGGAAACCGGGCGAGGCUAGCUGUUGCAACGGAACAACAUGUGUUUGAUAGGCCCUGCCACUACAGACCAUGGCGGCAGGCAGGUCUCCAGCAGCAGCUACUGGCUCUCGUUCCGCUCUUUGUUCUUCCUGUGUUGUUAGCAAGUGUGAAAUAGACAUGUUUGACUGAGAUUUGAAUCAAUUUAAAGAUCGAUUUUGAAGAUGCUACAGUUGAAGAAAAGAUAGAUCAAGGUAAGAUGUAUCCAUUUUUGUGUUUUUCGCUCACAUCCAUGGUAGUUAUGUACUGUAUGAUUAGUCUCUAACUUUGUAUUCUCUGCUGUAGUUGGCAUUCGAUAAUAAUUCUUUGGAGUGUUUUGGAGCAUUUGGAAAGUACAAAACGAUCAUGUAUGUAAGCGAAAAACAUAAAAAUGGAUAGAUCUUAACUUGAUCUAUCUUUUCUUCAACUGCAAUAUUUUCAAAAUCAGCCUUCAAAUUGAUUUAAAUCUCAGUCAAAUGUGCCUAUAUUCACAUUUGCUAACACCGAGUAAACUAGAGAACAGACAGACGUGCUGCUGCCGGAGACAUGCCGCCACGGGGUGUGGCGGCAGGGCCCACCAACCCAUCCAAAAUUCCGUUGCAUCAGCUCGCCUCGCCUGGUAUCUCGUAAUUCCAAGGUUGCCGCCUGCUGCCGUGGCGGCAGGUCCUGCCGCCUCUGCGCGUGGCGGCAGGUGCCACGUGUCGGCUAGCGCGUCUGCCGCCACGGCUGAGCCGGUCUUUUCUGUCUAUUGUUUUCAGAGGCAGUCUUUUUCGUCAAUUCGAAUCAGCAGCCGGUCCUUUUGGACAAAAAUUCUUUGCACUUUAGCGCCGGUUCGUGACGAACCGGUACUAAAGGGGGGGGGGCUUUAGUCCCCACUUUUUAGUGCCGGUUGGCGAACCGGCAGUAAAGACCGUCACGAACCGGCACUAAAGGCCGGUUCUGCACUAGUGGUGGUAAAUGGCGGUAGACCCAAGCGAGGAGCCGCUCGUCCUUGUUGGGCUCCGCCUGCUCAGCCGCGUCCCUGUCCCUGUCCCUUGCCCGCUGCCUCACGCGGCGGGCGGCGGGCGUCUGUGAUUCCGGCGUGCGCGUCCGGGCCGGUGUAAAGAUGCUCAUAGAUCGUACAUGUGUUGACUUCUUAAAAGAUAGUGACAUUUAUGGGUAAAUACCAAUAAAUUUCACAUCAAGGUAUGUACAUACAGUGAAAUAUCUUGAUUAUGUACUGUUUUUUACGGGGAUUUGGGUAUGCACUUAAAAGUAUCUUGGACUAUGUAGGUAUCUUAUAAAACCUAAAACAAAUCAUUGGGCAUAUAUGUAAACAAGUACAAGUGUUCGACUAUUUUUAACGAGACUAGUAGAAUUGUUUAAGCAAAUAAAUUGUUUAUGAAAGAAUGAAUAGCAUGCAUCUAUUUUUGGAAACUAAUCUUCAAAUAAUGGUCGUGGCUGUACUAGUCAUCAAUACUCCCUCUGUCCUGAAUUAUUUACCGCGAAAAUGUAUAGAAAUGAAUGUAUUUAAAACUAAAAAUAUGUCUAGAUACAACCAUUUCUAAGACAAGUAAUUCGGGACGUAGGGAGUAGUAUGCAAUUUUUUGGAAACUAAUCUAAAAUGAGUGGCUGUGGAGGUACUAGUGCAUGCAAGCAGAAUAUGAAAAGCAAGAUAUUUGGAAGGUAAUACUCGGUAGUGAUUAUUUGCAAGAAGAAAAUGCGUUAACGGGCUGGAUCCAGAACAAGGUGCCCCAGACAUAUAAUAUAGUCCCUCCAUCCCGAUGAGUAAGGCGUAAACGCUUUCCAAAAUCCAAAAAAUACACAAUAUAUAUUUUUGUGACUGGAAAUUUAUACCAAUGAGAAGUUCUUUCGGAUUUGAAUUCAGCGGUAUAACUUUUAUGACAUAUAAGAUACAUUUGGUCGGUCUAGUUUCUGGUCAAAGUUAGUUUUGGGAUGUGUGUGCGCCUUAUUCAUUGGAAUGGUGGGAGUAGGUAAUAAUAUAGAUUUGAUUGUUUUGUCUGAUCAUUAGUUCAAAACCUGGUUACCUGAUAUUAAUAGUGUGUAUUUUAUGUCAGCAUAGACGACAUAUGUACCACUAACUUCGUACUCGUACAUAUCUGAUACACACAAACUCCGAUUAGAACAAUCAAUGAUCAUGAUUAAUCCGCCGAGACAAUGUAAUCUCACGACAAUAAAGACAUCAGAUCUUCUCGAAUAAUAAUCUGCUAAAAAGAGACAAAGAACAAUAUUGUCUCCGACAAAAAGAGAAAGAGAGGAUCGAUUAUUUGUUUAUUGAUCCACGCCUUAGAUAGAUUAGGACUGUAUGUUUUCAGCGACGGCGUCGAGUGAUCUGCAGAGGACGCACUUGCAGACAGAGUCGUCACAAAUCCCGCCACAAUAGCCAUUAUCGACGCACGUCUCGGCACAGGCUUGGGCGGCCCAGGCCGGAACUCUGGCUGGGGGGCCGUCCCAAUGCAAAUCCCUGCUUGCACCAACAUCUAUAUGCGUAGG
RNAcentral lists this long non-coding RNA (419326 nucleotides) under Triticum aestivum (bread wheat). RNAcentral describes it as "long non-coding RNA (TAES_LNC006580)". The stretch from base 321754 to 321840 matches the Rfam family "MIR1120/MIR1122 microRNA precursor family". The record is from RNAcentral. Lineage: Eukaryota; Viridiplantae; Streptophyta; Magnoliopsida; Poales; Poaceae.